UUCAUGUAUUAGGACUAUGUUAACGUAUACGUACCCUUCGCUGCAUAGUACACUUCAAUUUGUACAAAGAAGGCAUGCAUUUAGGUGUAAAUGUAUUGAUGGGUUGUACCUUCAAACUUCAUUUCCUUUUUCUACCGAUUUGAAUUUGUUUUGCAUUUGUUCUUGAUUUUAAGCACUGAAUCACGCGGGGGUCAUGGAUCGUGCGCCAGAGUGAUGGAAGCACCCCUUGUUUAUUAGGAAAAGCAGUUGAUUGUAACUAUAUCCACGGUCCUAAGUACUUGGAAGUAAAUGCUCUUCGAAUUCCUAUAGUACAUGGGAUGUGUUCCCUUUCAAAUAGCUUGUUCAAUAUGAUUAACAUGGUUUAACAUUGUUAAUCUUUCUGUAGAUUGAUGUUGACAUGUUCUUGUAAUUGGUGUAAUUACGGCAUUGGUGGUUGACAUGGCUUUCCUUGUGCAGGUAUGUAUGAUUGUUUUUUUCCCCCAGUUCUAAAUGACACAAGGGAAAAGACAUGAUUUUGAGAUAUUGUACUGCAAUUUGCAUAUUUGCAUACUUGAAUGUUCUCAGAAUGGUAUAAUGCUUUGUGUAUGCAGGCAAAUACUACAGAUGAAUUACCGGAGCGGCUGAUUGGAGCUGUACGUGUUUCUUAUAUAGAACUCAAGUCUGCUAUUGUCCCAAAGUUGGAACCAGAGACAUCAUGACUCUGGUUUCAUUUCACCUCAACUGUUUUUUUUUUUUUUAAUUGAAAAAAAAAUCAUUUGUUUUAGGUAUACAUACAUGUAUUUUGAUCCCGUUUUCAUUGUAAUUUCUCAUUUACUUUGAAAGAAAGUCAUUGGUGUUUUCGAAUGGGAAUUUUGCAUUAAAAAAUAAAGAAUACUUAAUAGGAAAUUUCAUGAUUCUUUAGUUACUAUUUUUGGAAUGAGUGUAAUAGUAUUAAAGUUGGUUUCUACUCGCAAACAAGUGAACUACUCGAUCCCCAACUGCGACCACUACUUUUAAAACUCAACAACUAACAAAAAUACUAAUAAAAAAAUGAUUUUCUUAUGAUGCUGUGAAAACAUUUAUGGGUUCACUUAUUUCCACAAGAUCUAUAAAAUGGUAUUGACUUCACGAAAUUCUUUUAAUUUAAAGGGUGUUGGUCUGAGAAAGUCAGUGUGACGGAUUAAUUUCUUCUAAUAAUGGUCGAUUUAAUUUUACUAUGCUCAUAAAACUAUUCUUAUUCUGAUAAUGUCAUAAAUGUUAUGAUGUUUUCUUCGGCUAAUGAUCUUCUAUCAGGACUAGUUAGAAAUCAAAUGCUUAAAACACCAAUUGAAUGAAUAAUGCAGAAGUUUAAACAGUAUCUAAUUGAAAAUUGCAUGAAACAUGAAACAUCAAUUCAAGUCCUUCCUUAAACAGAGAAUGCAUCAAACAAAUCCAAAGUGUCUUGCAAGUCUGUAGCAUGACUAAAAAAUUGUAAAUGCGUUUAGAACCAAAUUAUUCAAGUACAGGAGAACGAGCAAGUUGAAUCAUGUACAAGAGAUUGGCCUGGUUCGAGAUAGCUUCUUCACUGUACCUGAAGGGUUGGCUCAAUCUUUUCUCUAGAAUUCUGCACAUUUUGUAAUUACUCGUGUAAGCAAGCAUACAUUACAACCAUAAUAAUAAUAAAGCAAGAGUAAUGAUACGACCACAACCUCUUGUGCACAAAUAAUAUUGUACAAACUAAUAUGACAUAAUAUGAUUGAUUAAACAAAAACAUAACAUGACCCUCAUUUUUUUUUUUUAUUUUAUGUUUUCAGUCAAGCAACCAUAUUAUGCCACGUUAAUAGCUAUAGAAAUAAUUUGCUAGAUAGUGCCAACACUUCAUUGAUACUCACCAUUUCAUUGAACAAUUUUUUUAUGGUGUCAUUGAGGUUUCCUUCCCAACAUCCUUCAUCAUCACCAUCUUCUUCUUCGGUGGGUUUCACUUUGUUUAGCUUUGGUGCGUCUACGACUCCUUGAGAGAAAAUCUUCAUUGUUGGGCACUGUCUCACAACUACGUGUUCCAAGGACGGGAACUCAAGAGCGUAAUUACCCAAACAAAAGCUUGUUAGGCUUGGCAAGCAAUCAAGUCCCAAGUACUCCAAUUUCCUGAAAACAAUGCAAUCUUCCGCUUCUUCUCCAACCUGCAACUGUAUGAUUUCUUCUAUCAUUUUGCAAUCAGUUAUCUUCAUUAUUCCGAGAUUCAUUAGACUUUCAGAUGUUGAGAGCAUCAAUAAAUUUAUCAACCCAUGACACUCGAAUACUUCCAGAGUCGCAAGAUUUUCCAAAUGCCACGAAGCUGGUACUAAUUUCUGCAACUUACUACAUUCAAAUAUUUCUAGACUUUUCAAGUUUGCAAACACUUUGUUGGAUUUGGCAUUUUCCUUCCAGAGAUGCUGCACUUUGUGUAAUCCAGAUAGCUUUAACUUCAUCAAUUGAGGGAAUGCAACCUGAAAAUCAACAAAAUUAAGUUGUAAAUAAAAAUAUGUAUCCAAGCUCUGCAGUCUUCCCCUGCAUAUUUUAUGGACAAGAUUAAUCACGACAUUUUAUAUUUUUUUCCAAAUUAGUAUGCUUUGCAGUAGGAUCCCAAAUAUAAGUAUCAAAUCGAUUACCCUUUGAAACACAUAAAUGAAAUCUGAUCUUAAAUCCAAUAUGAAUUAGCUAGGAAAACAGAGAUGUAACAUGCAUAAUCGAUAUAGUUCAUCACCUCCUGUCACUAGGGAUCUAAUUAAUUUGAGACAUUUUUAUAAUUCAUACUAUAAAGUUAGUUAAUAACUACGGUUAUAUUGUUAAAUCAGAUAUAAAUUAAGACGACGUGCAAAAAGAUGAGUCAUUAAAUUUGAUUUGAUUCUAAUGAAAUUACAUUUGUGCGAACGAAAGUGAAGGGAAAAAUAAUAAUAAUGAUUACCUUUUCAUCGAAGAGAUGUUGUAUGUGAUUAGCUACCAAGAGGUUCUCUUCUGAUUUUAAUUUUUGAGGUUCCUUAUUAUCGGCUGUCAUGUGCGGUAGAGGUGUAGAAUUGGAUACAAAUGUUUCCAUAUCAGGGCAAUUCUCAAUAAUUAGAUAUUCCAACUUAGGCAUUUCAAUUAUAUUCCCAGUGAGGUUGCAGAAUCUUUUGAGUUUUGGAAGAUCAAUGAGCCUUAGCUCAAAAAGCAUAGGAAACAGGGGGCCUAUAUGUACUUUUUCAGCAUUUAGCUCUUCCAAAUGAAGCACCUCUUCUAGUGAAUCACAAUUGCUCACUUCCAGCCGUAGCAAAUUGUUAAAGCACCGUAGCAGAUUGGCAGGAAUAGCACUCGAAUAUUCGUGCAGUCAUCCACCACCAGCACUACUAAAUUGUUGAAGAAGCUGACAGGCAGUGCUUGGCCAUGCCAUGUUUCUUUCAAACGUGGAAAAGGUGAGAGUUGCAAAUACCAUAUGUCACGGAAUCCAAUCUGCACAAACCAAAACAAUUGCACUGGAUAUAUAUAAACUAUUUUUUUGAAAGGCAUUAGAUAUAUAUAAAAUAUAUAUACAAGGCAGGUGUAUAUGUUCAACGAAUCGAUUUAACACAUACCAUUUCUUUGUAACACUUUUGUAUAGUGGAAUUAAGGUUGCCUUCCCAAUGGCGCAAUUCAUCCUCUUUCUUUUCAGUCACCUGCACUUCGUGCAGCUUUGGUGUGGAUACGAUUCCCUGAGAAAAAGUCUUCAUGUUCUGACAAUGUGUCAUAGAAACUCGUUCCAAUAAUGGGAAUUCAAGAGUGUAAUUCUCCAAACAAAAGCUAGUAAACCUUGGUAAAUAAUCGAGUAUCAAAAGUUUUAAUUCCCUGAAAGCAAUACGAUUCUCCUUCACUUCUUCUCCAACAUGUCCUAUGAUUUCUUCUAUUUUUUCGCAGUGUGAGACAUUAAGAUUCACCAGACUACUAGGAAUUCCAACCUGAAAAUAAAGAGUAGCAUUCAACUAUAUUCAAAAUAUGUCUAAAUCAUACAAUUGUUUUAUGAAAAUAACAAACCAUGAAUGUCUACUAGAUAUUUUUUGUUAAAGAAAAAAAGGAAAACAAUAAAACAAAAAUAAAUAAAUAAAUAGAAAUCCAAAAAAACAAAGAUAAUGAAAAUGCAUUUAUGCUAUUUAGUGUUAGGAAUGUAGAAAGAAUUUCAGGUAAUUUUUAAAUAUUCUAAAUUCAUUUUUCAUCUUGAUGCUAGUUUUUAAAAAUUUUUAAUUUUCAAACAUGCCUAUUUUUAAAAUAACUAAACUAAAACGCUGUAUUUCCCAUUUUUUUUCCUGAUGUUUCCUGCUUUUAAAAAUGGAAAACAUUUCUGGAAAACACUUCCCAACGCCAUCAACAUGGGACUGUUAUAGAGUGAAUAUUUGAGGAAAUUUUUUAAUCAACGGUCGAUUCAAAAUGACCAUCAUGAAUUUGUGCUUAAUCAAUGGCGUAAUCAAUUCAUAACUAAACUAGAGAUAUUAACUACAUUUGAACACUUUUCUUUUUUUUUUUUAAAUCGAAAUCUAAAGACCCAAGGAAAAGAGAAAUAUAUAUGAAUUUGUGAACUUAAAAGCUGAGUAACUAAGUAUCUUUUAAUUUCUGAAAAUCUUAUUUAUUAGGAUUUAAGAAAAAAAACAAUUAAAUUGAAUUAUAUUAUGCUGUUAAAUCGUGUUUAAAACAAUUAUAUUGUUGACUUUAAUGCAGGUGAACCUAUAAAUUAGAUUGAAAAUGCAGAGUUCAGAAUGGUGAUUUGAAGUACACUACUUUUUUUCCCUCCACAAGUUUGAAGUACAAUAGUUGCAAUAAAUAAUUUGUGAAUGAAAAUUAUUUGUAAACACAAAAAUGAUUAAAAUAAUUGUUGAAUGUUAUUUGAAAUAAAAAUUCAAAAUGAAUAUAGCAAUCUUACCAAUGGAGGAAAAAUAUUCAGUAGAUUAUUACACCCAGAUAUCUCCAAACUUUUCAAUUUGCUAAAAGAGUCUAAAGCAAGCUGGUGGUGCCAUAUUUUUCUCAACUGAUCCAUCGAGCUAAUAUGCAAUACCUCCAGACUUGGGAGUCGUACCUGAAUUUAAAAAUUCAAUGCAAUUAGAGAUGGAUAUUAAUUAAAUUUGAAGACUCAACGAUAGAAGAAAUUAACUAUUAAGAAUAAAAUUAAUUAAAAAAAAAAACCUUUUCAUCAAAGAGAGGUUGAGGUUGCAUUUCAGAAUGAAUGGUGUCUUCUGGUGAGGCAAAGCUACUUAGUUUUGGAAGACCAUCGAGCUGCAGGGAGUGUAGUUUAGGAAAAACCUUUAAUUCAUCUCUUCCUCCUAACCCCGUGGUGUUGACUACCCCUUCAAUUGACCGGCAAUUUCGAAUCUCAAGAUGUUGGAGUUGCAAAAGACUAUUAACCAUAGAAUAUGAAAACGGAUACUUCAGACGAUGACACCUUUCCACGGUCACUUUUGUCAAGUUUUGACAACAAUACAUUCCCUGAAAUUGAUCGGGCCAUAAUUUUUUGAUGCUUAUUAAACGGUCAAGUUUCAGUUCCUCCAAGCGUGGAAAAGUAACCUGCAAAGCAAAACCGUACAUUCUUGUUAAUUAAUUAAUUAUUCUUUCGAUGAUUGAAGAUCAAUCGUGAUAAUAUAUUAAUUAAUUAAUUAUUAAAUAGAAAAUUAUUACCUGGUGAACAGGAUCAUCCUCUGCAUUGAUUUCUGUGAAUCCCUCAGUAGUUGUUGGUUUCUCCAUGUCGGGCCCUAUAAAUGAACAAAAACAAUAUAUAAUAAACAUCCGUUGUUUUAUUCACCAAAAAAAAAAAGAAAAAAAGAAAGAGUCAAUGUCAAUAAUCCUACCAAUAAUUAAUUUCAACACUUACCAAUAAUCAUUUUCAAAUCAUCGCAGUCUUCCACUUUUACUUUUUGAAGCCGCAAUAGGUUUUUGGCCAUAGAGAAUGAGAAGAGAUGCUUCAAUUUGUCACAAAAAGCUACUCUUAUAAUCCUUAAGUUGCUGAAAGAUUGAUCUUCUCUGAGUUGGCUGUAGCAUAUCGUCUCCAAAUUAGUUAAAUCAAUAAGAUCCAAUGACUCCAGCAAGGGAAAGACUUCGCAACGAACCCGUCUAACUGAACCGACAAUAUGUACAAUCUCAUAACAACUUUCUACAUGAAGAUGCUUCAAUCGUGGAAAACCUUCCCCAUCGUCUAAUUCAUGAACAACAUUCUGAACACCCUCCAAUUUUACUAGCCAGAGAUCUUCAGUUCUCUGCAGCAACAUUUUCGUCCCAUCAUUCUCCUGGAGAAUGCUAACUUUUUCUAGCCCCUUGAGCAUCAUCAAUCUUAAUGCUUCAGAUUUGACGAGCAAUUGGUCAAUCUCAUAUUCGAGCUUAUCUCCUAUACGUAUCCUAUAUCUUUGCAAUUCCACAGAGACAAAAUCCGGCAACAGAAUUUCGGCAUCCCGAACUUCUAUCUCCAAAGUAGUUAGCUUUGUCAACCUCUUCAACUCGACAAGACUGGCAUUACUUCCUCCUUCAACCUUCUCCCACCCUGAAAAGCUGUUAUCCAUAUACAAUUCUUCUAAUCGAGAUAAUUUUGAAAUGACAUUUGGUGCUAUCACCUGAAGGCUCCAACAAUUGGUCAAAUCUAACAAUCUUAACCCCGUCAAUUGUCCAAUUUCAAGUGGUAACUGCUCGAUAUUGGAAUCUGCAAGGUUGAGAAUCUCUAAUUUCUUUAGCUGUCCAAUUGCCGCUACAUCUUCUAGUUGGCACCAGUCUAAACACAAUGUUUGAAGGUUAAUGAGGCGACCAAGUGAUGAAGGUAAUGAAGAGAAAUGAAUUCCGAUAAGACUUAAAACUUUGAGUUCUUCUGUUCCUUCAAAAAAGAGGUCUGAAAUUUGCACGGGGCCAUAACCCUGUCUAAACAACAAAAAUAACUGGAGAUUGGGACAUUGCAACCUUUCAGGGAGCUCUUGAAUAUUUCUCUGGGGUAAUGAAAUGGCAAUUGGAUCUUUCCGUAUUGUCUCUUCCAUCUUUUUCUCCAAGUCGGCAACAUUUGGGAUAUUAAACAUGCGCGUCUCUGCGGCAACUGAUACGGCAACAACAUGAAUGAUGUCAUGCAUUUUAACUUCAUCUUCAGCAUCACCGUCCAACAAUAAGCAUGAAGAUUUGAGAUUGUCGAUCAACCGAUGCACCCUACUCCUUGCUUCUUCCAAUGUGUAAACAUUUUCAAACAAACCCCAACCCACACCAUAUCUCAAUAAGUAAGGAACUGGUAUAGCAUGACCUUCACUGUAUAGACCACAAAGACGGAACAUAGAUUUUGCUUCCUCACUUCUCAAGAAGUCGUAACUCAAUUUUAUGGAGAGGUACACAUUUUUUUCCAUUCCAUCAAUUUCUUUUGCAUAGGAACUUCUUAGCUGACGCAGCACAUCUUUCCAAGUGUCAAGGCUCUCAUUUUUCAAAGCUUUUGCAAGUGUAAUCAGUGCAACCGGCAGUUCUCCGCAUCUUCCGACGAUCUCAUGUGCUAUAGGUUGAAAAGCAGAUGUUUUCAUUGAAUCACCCACUAUCUUCUGAAAUAAAUGCAAUGCUUCUUCUUUUGAUAAAGCAUCGAUCUGGAUCUCUUUCUGAGAAUUCAUAACAUUGCGCAAUAAAUCUUGACGUCUAGACGUCAGUAUUAUUGUGCAUCGUCGCUGAUCAUCCAUUCUUUCUUUCUUAACAUCCCCGGAAGGAAUUCCAACUUCAUCGAACUUCAGUUCUCCCCAAAUAUUAUCCAAUAUAAUGAGAUGCCGCUCCUCGUUCUUCAAAACUCGACAUAGUCGAUUUGCUCUGUCGAAUAUACUCUCAUUCAACUCAAACUUUAUGCCUAAAUCAGAAGCAAGUUUGUCUUGAAUUUUCUGAUGAUCUGGGUUCUCUGUUACCUCAGCCAUAGCGACCUUAUCGAACAACUUAUCUUUUUCCAUCACUCGCUUUGCAACUUGCUUGACGAGCGUGGUUUUACCCACGCCGCCCAUCCCGUAGACCCCAAUAAUGUUGAGCUUAUCAUCCUUCAACGCCUCCACAACAUCUUGAAAUACUUUCAUUCUUGAAUCAAAGGCCUCGUAAUCUUUCACUUGCAAAUGUUCUGUACUCUCUGGAGCAGGAAGGUAGGAAACUUCCCUGAAGUCGCCUUCUUUUAUGAGACUAUCGGCUGCUUCUUUGUCCAUUGCAGCUUGUUUACUAACCCUGUAACGAGAAAUCAAAUUUGGGCACAAUCCAUCUUCAGUAUCAAUGAUGGGUUUUUCAAUCAAUCCAUCAACUUUUUUAAGCCAGAUUUCGACGUCAUCAAAAAUCUUAUCUCCUUGUCGAGUAGCCUGAUCAACGGCUUUUUCCACCCUUUGUCUUUCUUGUUUCAGCUUCUCCACUUGUUCUUUUAGCCCAUCGAUGUUGCUUUUGUACUCUGGCACAUAAGAUAUUGGUCGUAUAAUAAGUUCGAACAAUGUCUUUGCACCACCGGAUACAAUGCUGGAAAUAGCAUUGAGACACCCUUGUGCAGCCAUUGCGAGACACCCUUCUGCAGCCAUUGCCUGUUGCUAAACAAUAUAUAUAUAUAUAAAUAAAAGUGUCAAAGAAAUGAAUACAAAUAAAUUAAAAUGAACUAGAGGGAAAGACAGAGAAAGGAAAGACCGCAAACAACAUCGCGAUAUUGAUAUUGAACCAACUGAUACCUAAAUAGAGAAUUUCUUUUUCCAUCUUAAGGAUCAGAGGUUUCGCUAUUAACAGAAAGGUAUCCUUCAAGGAAAGUUGAUGGAAAUUAAGAAAGAACCGCUAUCAAUAUCAAGUAUUCUGCUACUAAAAAUAAAUGAUAUGACUUAAGAAAAAUAAAUGAUAUGAUUAAGAAAAACCAGAGAAUUUUUUCCUCGGAAAGUUGAUGGAAAUUAAGAAAAAACCGCUAUGAAGAACAAGUAUCAGAGAUUCUGCUACUAAAAGAAUAUUACAGGUUUUAGAACAAGUGCACCUCUUUACCUGUCUCGGAUCAGAGUUGAUGAGCUGCUGUAUUCACCUUGAAUAUAGAAGAAAAAUUUUAUUGAGCAAAAGGAUCUCUGUUGACUAAAGAGGAAUGCGAGUAACGAGUUGAUGAGAGUAAUAACAAUGAAUUUCCAAAAGAAGACGACUUGAGCAUUAAGCACGCAUCCCUUUUUCAAUCAAAUACUGGUACGUAUGUCCGUAGGGACCAUUAUGCGUAUACGAAGUCUAUUAGUUGCAAUCAGAAGCCCCGGCCCAAUUUAAUUGACACUCGAUUUUUGAUAAGAAGAAGGCAAGGAUAAGGAUAAAGUCAAUCAAUCACCAACAGUAAUUACUUCAAUCUUUGUCAAUAUACUUAAAUUGUCGAUCAACAUGAAAAUUGUUUAAAUUGAUAUUUGUAAAUGAAUCAAUUUUCUAGUUACUAUGAUUAUAACGUUUCACCUUUCAUAUUGGAUUUUAUCUUUUCAAAAGUUUUCAAAUGUGAGUUUCAAUAAUUAUUGAGACUCCAAGCCGUGCUCUCAAGAUUGUGCUGACAAAUCACCAUUAGCUUUAUUUAUGCAUAUUUCAAAGAAAAAAAAAGUUAUGGUUUGUAUUGCCAGCCCUGCUACUUUUUGUUUUUUUUCAUUUGUAUUAUUUACGAAUUAUUUUUUAACAGAAACAUGAGAACUCUUCAUCGUACAAAAUUGCAUGAAAAAACCUUCAAAUUUAUAAAAGUAAAUUUCAUUGACAGAUUGUGGAUAUGUUUGCAAGAAUAAGGAUAAGAAUGAGUUAAGAAAUUAAAAAAAAAAAAAAAGAUAGUGUAAGUAAACAAUGUUUUGGUACAUUUGGUAUUGUUUUCAAAAUAUUUUGAAAAGAAAAAUUUUCAAUCAUCCACCUAAAAAUUAUCUUAUUAUCCAAAAAGUUAUAAAAAUUUAAAUAUACUUAAUUUUAUACCCAUUAUUACAAUGUGUAUAACUGUUUACUAAAAAUUUAAAUAUACUUAACGGAUGUUUAAUACAAAUUGCAUACAUUGGGUGUAAAAUUAAAUAAAUUUAAAUUUUAUAAUAAUUUUAAUAACUGAAUAAACUUUGAGUAAAUGACUGAUAAUUUUUCUUUUAUAAGCUAUAAGAAGUCAAAUAAAAAAUAGGAUGAUAAUUUCUGAUGGGUGUCGAAGCCAACAAAAAUAAAUUCCUACUCUAAAUAAAUUGUGUAUAGUGAUUGAGCAGGGUCGUGUCCACAGAGAUCGGUAAUUAUUUAAAUCCUUUUGAAACGUAAAACGUAAAAUGAGGGAAUUGUUGACAAUAAUAAAAAUCAAACUAAAAUAACGAGAAUGUAAAUUAAAGUUGUGAUUCAAAUUGGAGAAAGCUCUGGUUGAAGGAAUUAACUCAGCUUGAUUCGACUACUGAUCAUUGAUUCAAAUAUAGAUUAUUAUUACUUAUGAAUAGACCGGUUAUAGCUACUGAGACCCUCUAAUAGCCAAUCUCUCCUUAACUAGUCGAUAACCAAAGUACGACCGUUGGUUAUUUCCCUAAUCAAUAGACAACCCUAGAUACGAUCAUAUGAUUUAAUCAAUUGACAGCCUGAAAAACCAGAGAGACCCAAAUCCUAAUCAACACAUAUGAUGAUUCAUUUAAAUUAGAUUGUUUAUUCUCACAACACAACUCUCUGCUAUGUUAUUUGUCACAAACAUUAAAUUCUUCAUACGAUGAAUCCUUUAAUUGACAAUAGAUUAAGUUGAUAAUUAAAUAGUGGCCAAUUACCUAAUUAACAAACAUAAUCAUGAAAAUAAUUCAGAGAAUAAACAAAUACCCAAAAGCAAUAAAACAAUUAAAGCACAAGAAAGAUCUCACAGUACUGAUGAAUCAAAGCUUCAUUAUCCUUCAACCAGAAAAAUGGGUUUAGUUCCUCAUAGAGAGAAGAGAAAAAUUAGAUCUAGGGUUUCUUUUUCUCCAAUCCAAAAAUCCCCUUUUUUCACAAUAGAUUCCUCCCUUAAAUACUCUCUCUCUCUUCUCUUUUAGAGUUCUAUUUAAAAUAAAAUACUAAUAUCUGAAAUAUUAAAUUCGUAAUUACAAAAAUAGCCAAAAAUACAAAACACGUUAAACUCAAAACUGCAGGUUCGCAGUUGACAGCACGCGCCCACGCCUUAUCAACAAAGUUCUUCUGCCGCUCAUAAUUUCUCCAAGAGAACAAUCAUCCUUAAACAUCAUCUUAUAGCUCAAUUUUAUCACCAAUUAAUAGAAUUGCACCUACAAAAGUAAAACACAAGUAAAUCACUAUUAUUAAGUGCAAAACAUCGAUAUUAAGGGAAGUAAACAAUGCAAAACUAGUGCAUAAAUUGCACUCUAACAAUUUCUCUUUUAUAUUGCUCAGAUGAUUUAUUGUUUGGGGACUAAGAUUUUAAGUAUUCAACUUAAAAGAUUAAUAUAUUAUAAAUUGAUUAAUUAAUUAAUCAUUAAGCAACUAAAUUGGGUCCCUGGAUGUCAAUUCCUUUAAUAUUGAUGCAACAACCUUUUUUUGGCAAAUAAUUGUUAAUGCACUUACGGAACUUUUGCGUGUCUACACAGCGAGUUCCAGGACAUUUUCGCAUUGUGCAACAAUUGCUAAUAGCACCUUUUUACGAUUAAUUUAUAAUAUAAUUUCAGUAAAGAUAGAAAUACAAAUUUUAUAUAAAUUGAUAUGAUAUUACUUAAAAACAUUUCAUUGCUCACAUGAGUUACUGCUGAAGCCUAUGAUUUUAGAUACUCAACCCAAAAGAUUAGCCUAUUGAGAGGAGGGAGGUCUAUGAUUUUAGAUACUCAACCCAAAAGAUUAGCUUCUUGAGAGGAGGGACCACUUGUAUUUAUUAGGAAUGGGCAUCAGAUCAGAUUUGGGUUGAUUUGAUCCGAUCCGAUAUGAGCUAAUCUUAUUUGGAUUGGAUUCGAAUUUAGCUCUAAAUCUGAUGGGAUAAGAAUGUUGCAAUCUGAUCAGAUCCGGAUCAAUACGAUCGAUUGCACUUACAAUUAAAAAGAAUACAAAACUUAAAUAUAAAUAAGAAAUAAAAAUUAAAAGACAACCCUAAAUCCCUAAAUCCUUAAAUUUCCCAAAUCAAAACAGAAAGAAUCAAAAAAAGCAACUCAGCCGCAUGCCGACAUUAGCGACGAACCCAGCCAUUCUCUUGAGAAAUAGUUGGCCAGUGUCACGAUCGGUUCCAAUGGCUUGACCACGUCCCCUUCCUCUAGCUCUUCCUCGAGCUAUGUUGUAGUGGCAAAGAAUAACGAUGGAGAAAUAAUGAUAGAACAGCUAACAAAGAAUUUAGUUUGAUUCUCAAUGAUCCUUUUAUUGAAUAAAUUAUGCUCAAUUUAUACACUACUAACUGCAACUUGACAACAAAAGCGCAACUCACAACCAGAAAAUAGCAACAGCAACUAAGAAAUAGCAAGUAAAUCAGAUUCUUGCCUAUUAUUCGGACUAGUGACCCACUACUUUGACUGACUCAACAAAACAAAUAAACUAAAAUGCUGACUCAUGACAGCCAGUUGCAAAGCCGAUGAUGCCCGAGCUGCAUGCCGAUGACGUCCCAGCCGACAGCUGCUGGGCCAGUGACCCGUACAUUGCAAAAGUCCUAAACCUAGUCGUUGCAUUUAUUUGUUUGUUGCAAAGGUUUCAAAUGGAGUCGGAUCCAUUAAAGCUUUUGAGGUGCAGAGGUUAUAAAAAUAGAAUAGAUACUUUGAAAAACUUGCAGAGGUUUGCGUCGUUUGAAUUGCUUGUGAACUUAUUUUUGCAUGCAUGUUAUUCUCUAUGCUUUUUGGUGAUUGUAAAAUUAAUUGUUUGAUUUAGCUUUCCAACUUUUGGGAUGCAAUUGUUACUGGUGUUCUCAACAAAAUAAUUGAUGUGAAAAUGGACGAACUUUCAUUUUUUGUCUUUGUUCUUCCAUUUGCUAGCUUGCUGCAUUUUUUUCUUAAUUUCUAUGAUUUUUCAAUUUUGUAUUUCAACUUGCAAGUGAUUGAGAUUCAUCUGAUUUAUUCGAACACAUCUGAUUCCAAUUUCAGUAUGAUAUUAUCGAUCUGAUCCGAAUCCAAAUUAAUCCGCACUAUUCAUCCAAUUUGAAUGUGAUCCGCACAUAAUCGGAUUGGAUGCAAGUUCAUAUUGCAUUCAUAUGACUUUUUAUCAAUUCGAACAAUCCAAAAUCUGAUCGUAUUAAUCCGAAUAUUAUCUGCAUCCAAUUUUGCCCAUCUCUACUACUUAUAAGCCCAAGUGACUCUCUUUUACUAAUUAACUAGAAAAUAGACCCGCGUUUCACGCGGCUUUGAAAAAAGAAUUUACUAUUAUCUUUUUUUUCUUACUUUACACUUGAUGAAAUAGAUAAAAAAAUAAGAAUUGAUUUUUUUUUAAAGAUGAGGCAGCCUUAUAAAAAAAAAAGUUAUUAGGUAGUAAUAUAAAUAAAGAAGCAACACAAGAUAAAGAAUAAAAUGAGAGAAUAUAUUAUAGAGAGAUUUUAUUCAUUCCAAUUGUGUGUGUACAAAAUAAAAAGAUGAGCUCUCCUUUUAUAGUUACAUAAUCACUCCAUGAAGUUAAUGAAAAAUUAUGGAUCAUAAUUUCUUGUGAGAUAGUGGGAGUUAUAGGGAAGCUAAAGGUUGCUAAUGGGAGAUAGUGGGGAGACUAAGAGAUAUAUGUUAUGAACAUUUAUAUUUAUUUUAAUAAAUUCAUAACACUCCCCCUUGGAUAUUCAUUACAAAAAAUAUGCAUCAUUAAAAUUUUUACAUAAUUGUUAUUGUAUAAUAACAAUCAAAUUAAUUAUGAGAAGAUGAAAAACCAAAUCUAAAAGAAAAUUUCUCUAUUUAUUAGAUAAUAGAGAAUAUACAAAGAAGAGAAAUGGUGAUGCCACAUCACCUCCUCAAGUCCCAACUUUAUAUAGAUAUAUAGAUAUGGGACAUUAUUUAAGAAUUCUUUCUCAAAUGAGGAAAAUUAUCAUACCAUUUUUAUCCAUUAAUUUAGAAUAAAUGCAUUUAUCAUCAUUAUUAUGUUUAAAUCCAUGCAACAUGAUCAUAGAAUCAAAAUUUUCAUGUUGUUGCGUUAGUGCUUAUUUAAGAUCAUAUAAUGACUUUAUUAAUUUACUAAAUUUAUUUUGUAAAUUAGUAAAUUUAUUUUUUCCUUUCUUUGUUGUAAAUCAUUUUGCAUCCAACCACCCUCUAAAGGCUUGGGCCAAUGUUUCAAACAACAAUGCAUCAAGUUCCAAUCUAAGUUAAGAUCCUGCUGAUGCAUCUAGUUGAUUAGAUAAUAAUGAGUCUAUCUCAUUACUUGUUGCCUCUUUCCACAAGGCUGCAUCUGUUGAAGCCAUAGCCUCACUGAGAGUUUAAAGAUCUUCUUCCAUAUUAAAUAGGGAAAUUAUCAUUCUACCAUCUUUCUUUUGACUUAUGUUCAUUUAACCACCACUAAAUUUCAACAUGUUUUCUGCAAUACCUUUCUUUUUAAAUUUGAAUCAAUUAGCCACUUUUACACUAACACUGUUAAAUAAUUUAAACAAAAUGAUAAUUUUACUUCUAAAUAAAUUAAAAUGCCAUUUUAUCUUAUAAAAGCUUUGAAAAAUAAAAAAAUUUUACUUACAAAAUAAUCCAAAAUAGAGGUGCUCAGCUUAUUUUUAUUAAAAAUUUAUAAUUUUGUAAAAUUUUAUUAAAAUAACUAAAUUUAUUUAUUAAAAAUAAAUCCCAAAAUUUUAAUGUUUUAGGGGAUGUUUAUUAAAUCCCAAAAUUUUGCAAUUAUUUUAUAAUUAUAAUUUUUAUUAAAAUAAAAAUUCUAAUUUGGGGAUUUAUUUCUUUAUUAAAUUUAGGGGUAUUUCUAUAAUUAUAAUUAUAAUUUUUUAUUUUUUAUAAAAUAAAAUGAUCUUUUAAUUUAUUUAGGGGUAAAUUUAUCAUUUUGUUUAAAUUAUUUAAUGGUGUUAGUGUAAAAGUGACUAAUUGAUACAAAAUUAAAAAGAAAAGUAGUGCAGAGAACAUGUUAAAAUUUUGUAGUAAUUGAAUGAGCAUAAGGCAAAAGAGUAGUGGUGAAAUGAUAAUUUUCCAAUUAAAUAAAACGGGUGUUCGAUUAAGAACUCUAUCUCUAUCUCCUCGUCCUAUCAAAUAACGUCAACCAUCCAAAAGAAAAAAAUAAAUUGGAAAAGUCCACGGGUAGCAAUAAUUUCUGGUCCGUUCCUGGACCUCCAUUAUCUGGCACUAUGAAUAAUGAAAAUGACAUUGCAAUCGUUAGGUAUCUUGGAAAAAUGACGAAAGUUUUUGGAGGGAGGUGGGGGAAUUGUCAAAAGUUCACACAAUGCGAAACAAGUGUUACAUCCAAUUAAAUUUUAUUUCAUUACCUCUUUUGCCUCAUAAAUAAUAGGAUCACCACGAGAUAAUGAUAAUAUCAAAUAAUGACAACCAUCCAAAUGUAUGAUGGGUCUUCCAAAUUUUGAAAAUGUCGUCAACAUCAAAUCUUCAAUGCCGAAGAAGGUAUAUGCCCAAAAAAUGACACGCAAGACCCACUCCACAGACUAAAUUGUCCUUGAUCAUAUGUAACAAACUUUGGCCUUAUGUGCCUGUGGUGACAUUAGACUGUUCAUUUUCAUUGUUUCUUACCUUCCAUUUACGCCCACUGUAGUAUUAUUUUAUUCACCAUUUUAGCCAUUUAAAUGAAAUUUUAUUUUUGUCAAAAAAUGAACUUUUACUUUUGUCAAAAAUAAAAUGAUACCCUAAAAAUUUAGAAAAAUAGUCACGUAGACCUCAAAUUUUUAAUAUAGGAUACCAAUACCCCUUUUGAUCAUAAUACUACUCUUAGUAGAUGGUAAAAAAAAAAAAAAGACUUCAAAAUUUUUUAUAAAAUUUAAAUAAUUAAUUUCAAUAUUAAAUUUUAAAAUGUGAAUUAAUAUAUUUGUAUCUAUAAAAUACUUGUAAUUAUUACAAAAAAAAUUUAAAUGAAUCCUUAGGUUAAAUAGAUUUUACAAUUAAUAUAAUAUUUCUCAUGUAUUAAUAAUAUUAAAAUUAUUUUAUGUGAUAUUGAAAAUAAUUUAAAUUUUUAUGUAUUUAUUUGAAUAUUAUGUCUCUAUUUAUUAUUAUUUGGUUUAAUAGAAUACGAGAUUUUAAAAUAUUAAAAUAUUUUUAGAUAUUGAAAUUAUUUUAAUAUGUAUACAUUAUUAUAUUCAUUUUAAUAUCCUACUUAUAUUUAUUAUAAAAUAUGAGAAUUAAUUUUUUUAGUUAAUAAAUUUAAAAAAUACUAUAAUAAAAAAAAAGGAUCUUAUUGUCCGGUAUUCACGACAUGAGGUACUACAAAAUUAUUUCCCCGGACGGGUGUGCUUUUCUUAUUUUUAGAAAGAAAAAUAAGUCAAUGGGUUUCAACAAUUUCUAGUCCUAUCUGCCACUAUGACUAAUGGAAACGACAUUGCAAUUGACAUUGCUUUUCGCAAUAUGACUAUUUUUUGGAGAAUCGUCAAAAGUUCACUCCACUAGAGAGUUUUAGGUGGGAGAAUUGUCAAGAGUUCACACCACAUGAAACUAAUGAUAGACUUAAUUUCGCUGUCAGUUCUUUAUUUAUUUAUUUUAUUUAUUUAAUACAUUAUUGUCUUGUUGGUAUUGUGUUGUAAAGAUAUAAAAGUAAAGUAAAAUAUUAAGGGUGCUGUUAAGUUACAACUGAUGUAACUUACAGUUUUUUAAAAAAUAAUGUAAAAAAUUUAAUAGGUGGUGGGACUCAAUUUUUUUUUUUUUGAAGAGAUCAUAAGUUACAGCACUUGUAACUUAACAAAAUCCAAAUAUUAGACAAUAAUACAUAUUAACAAUGCAUAUAAUUUGGGUCUGAUUUUUAAAAAAUUAUUUGAGUACCACCUAUCCUUAAGAUAUUAAUGUGAAUGUAUUUUAAUAGUAAAUAAUAAAUUUUUUUUAACUAUUAUUUGUAUUUCAUACAUUACAUAUUAUAUUUGUUUGAAUUUUAAGUUGUUGCUAAUAAAUAUUUAUGUUGUGAAAGUCGAAUUCAAUAGCUACAAAAGAAGAGAUAAUGGUAUUUUAUAUAGUUUUUAAGAAUACAAGGAUAAGCUGGAUAAUUGACUUAAGUUCUAAUGAUUAAAACAACAACUAUCCCUUAAAUUAUAAUGUCAAUUUCUUUAAUUAGAAUUUUUUUCAACAAUUGCUACAGUUUUUUAAAUAAUAAUGGGAGUUAUAAAUUAUUUAUAUAAAAUUUGUGUAGAAACUAAUGUAACCUAAAAGUGGUUGCUGAAUAACAAUAUUUGAAACUUUAGGUAAUUUUCAUAUCAGCCCUUUUUAUAUUCAGCAACUUUAGAACUUAAACAAACUUGCCCUCGAUCUUAAUUUAUUUACCCCAUUUAAACCCAUGAUGCAUGAUGACAUAAACAGAUUCUUGUGUGAUGAAAACAUCAAGAAAAGACAUCUCAUGUUUUAAUAUAACAGAAAAAAAGCGGUCCAUAAGUCUAUCCAUUAUUUUAUUUAUUCAGUACAAAUGGCCAACUUUAAAAAAUGAUAAAAGUCACACAACGCUUAAGUGAAAAUUAAAAAUGACAUUUUUUAAUACUCUCUGAGUCUCUCUCUCUCCCCCUUUUUUUUCUAAAUAAACCUUAGUUUAAAAUUAGAAGAAUUUUAGAUAUAAAAAUUUGUCAAUCACUUAACAGAAAAGUAGGGGAAUGAAAACAAAGGAGCCCCUGUUAUUAUUGGAAUAUUAAUUAUAGAUGUUAUAAUAUCUAUAACUUGUCGUGGUUCAUUGUAGCAUUCUAAGCCAUAUUCUAAAACUAGGAAAUAGAACCGCACUUCGUCCGGCUUUAAAAAAAAUUAGUAUUAUUUUUUUAUUCCUUUGUAAUUAAUGAAAUUGAUAAAAAAUAUGAAUUAUUUUUUUAAAAGAUGACGCAGUCUUAUAAAACUAAUGUUAUUUAUGAAAGUUAAUUAUUUUUUGUUAACAUUAAAAAUAUAUAUUAAUGUGUAUAGUUAAGUGUACACAACCUUUUCAUCAAUAAAAAUUAUGUUCACACUAAUCAACUCUCCAUUUUUCUUGGUAUAAAUGGCAUUGUUGAGGGAAGAUGAUGAAACCUUCCUUCUUAUAUUAAUUAAUUGAUGUAUUUUAAGCCACUAAAAUUUAAUUGUUGGCAUAAUAAAAUAAAUGAAUGUUUCAAAACUCAUAAUUAAUUAUUAUUAAUGGUUACAUAUUGUUGAAUUUAAAUAGAAAUAGGAAAAGACAUGUAAUCAUUUAUAAUUUAAUAAUUAUUUUAUAUUUUAAUAUUUUGUAAUGUAAUUAUUUUUUAAUUUCAACCAAUUUAUUAAAUAAUAGACAAUAUGAAAUGAUGAGAAAUGGUGAUGCCACAUCACCUCUUGUAGUCCCAACUUUAUAUAUAUGUAUAGAUAGAUAGAUAAAUUAAUUCAUGUAUUUUAUGCCACUAAGGUUUAAUUGCUAGCAUAAUAAAAUAAAUAAAUGUUUCAAAAGACUUAUAAUUAAUUAUUAUUAAUGAUUACAUAUUGUUGAAUUUAAAUAGAAAGAGAAAAAAAAGUACAAAGAAUAUUCACCAAUAUUUUAGAUAUUUUAUAUAAUAGAAAAUAUAAAAAGAUGAGGAAUGAUAUAUAUUAAUAAAGUUACUAUUUAUUAAAUGAGUUAAAUACAAUCAAAUUAAUUAUGAGAAGAUGAAAAGACAAAUUUAAAAAAAAAAAUAUCUAUUUAUUAGAUAAUAGAGAAUAUACAAAGAAGCAAAAUGGUAAUGCCACAUCACCUCCUCAAGUCUUAGCUUUAUAUAUAUAUAUAGAUUAGUAGAUUUGUUAAGAUUUUUAUUAUUGGCAUCAUUGUGUCAAUAUUAUUAUAAUUUAUUCAUUCUAUUGUAAUGAAAAUUUGUCUAUUCUUAGCUACUUAUUAAAUUAUCCUUAAUUUAUUACGAAUAUUUUUGGAGACAAAAGAAACACGUGUAUGUAGGAUUAAUGAUUGGAGAGUUGUAAGUAAAGGUGAUUGCUUCAUUGAGAAGCAUAUUAAAGAAUUAUGGAAAGUUGCACUGUUCCAGAAGCAUAUAUUUAUACUUCCCUAUUUGGACUUGUGAAGUGAUGAUCCGGCCGUAACUAUUGUGAAGCUUUCCUCAAGUAUUCUCAUGCAUACUUGAGGAAAGAUACAAAUUGCAUACAUGUCUAGGAGCCUUAUCAAAGGCGUUAUAUAACUUGUCCAAUUAAUUAAUUCUCUUAAGGGUCAUACCGUGCUCACUCAUUUCAAAAGCAAUUAAGGAUAAGAACUUUCAUCAUUAAUUGAUAUGGCCAGUGUAGAAAAAAUGCCAAGAUCAAAGCACAAGGAUAAGUUUAGAAUUACACUUUUUAAAUUUUGGUUAAUAAAUAAACGUCUAUAUGAAAAUGGAAAAUCUUUUUGGAAUAACUUUUCUUUUCUUUUCUUUUUUUAAUGAAUGUGGAUAUAAAAUUUUAAAAUCGCCAAACCGAAAAGAAAAACAGGGGAAUGAAAAGAGGGCUCUGUUUCUCCUCUGUUUCGAUUUUUUUAUUACUAAACAGGGGAAUGAAGAGAUCAGCUCUUGUCGCAAGUGCAAAUGCAGUUGGUUAUUCUACUUUUGCUAGUGAAGUUUUGGGCCUUGUCGUAAUUGCUGUAAUUGCGACAUCGGUGGUUGACAUGGCUUUCCUUGUACAGGUAUGUAUGAUUGUUUUUUUUUUUUUUGCACUUCUAAAUGGACACUGUUGAAAAGCUUAAAAUUGAACUGAUAAUUUUGUUUGGAAGCUUAGAAAAUUCAUGAGAAAGUGAAAUAGAAUAUUCUGGAUUUCUUACAUAAAAAAAAACAGAAUUAAAGCAAGGUACACAACUAUAACAGAAUCAAAAGCGUGCUUUACUAAUUGGCUGAGCUGGCAUAUACUUCUUUAACUAACAAUGCUGCUGACUGGACUUUAGCUCACACAUGCUUAUUGUGGAGCUACUCUUACUUCACACGUGCUCAGUGUGCUUCCUUAACAGACACAAGGGAAAAGACAUGAUUUUGAGAUUAAUUUAUACCAUAAUAAUAAUAAAGCUAGAGUAAUGAUAUGAAUCAUUAAUUGCUACAAAAUAAUUUGCUAGAUAGCGCCAACACUUAAUUGAUACUCACCAUUUCAUUGAACAAUUGUUUUAUGGUGUCAUUGAGGUUGCCUUCCCAACAUCCUUCAUCAUCAUCAUCUUCUUCAUCCUCAUCAUCUUUUUCUUCGGUGAGUUUCACUUUGUUUAGCUUUGGUGUGUCUACGACUCCUUGUGAGAAAAUCUUCAUCUUUGGGCACUGUCUCGCAAUUACUUGUUCCAAAGGAUGGGAAUUGAAGAGUGUAAUUACCCCGAACAAAGCUUGUUAAGCCUGUCAACCAAUGAAGUGUCAAGUAGUUUCAUUUUCUCGGAAGAACAAUGCAAGCCCUUUCACUUCUCUCAACCUGCAAUUGUUAUGAUCUUCCUUCUAUCAUUUUGCAAUCAGCNNNNNNNNNNNNNNNNNNNNNNNNNNNNNNNNNNNNNNNNNNNNNNNNNNNNNNNNNNNNNNNNNNNNNNNNNNNNNNNNNNNNNNNNNNNNNNNNNNNNUGAGAGUGUCACACAUUUAUCAACCUGUGACACUUCGAUACUUCUAGUCCCCACAGAUUUUCCAAAUGCCACGAAGGUGGUACUAAUUUUUGCAACUUACUACGUUCCGAUAUUUCUAGACUUCCCAUGUUUGCAAACGCUUUGUUGGAUUCGUCAUUUUCCUUCCAGAGAUGCUGCACUUUGUGUAAUCUAGAUAGCUUUAACUCCAUCAAUUGAGGGAAUGCAACCUGAAAAUCAACAAAAUUAAGUUGUAAAUGAAAAUAUGUAUCCAAUCUCUGGAGUCUUCCCCUGCAUAUUUUAUGGACAAGAUUAAUCACGACAUUUUAUAUUUUUUUUCCAAAUUAGUAUGCUUUGCAGUAGGUUCCUAAAUAUAAAUAUCAAAUCGAUUACCCUUUGAAACACAUAAAUGAAAUCUGAGGCUAAAUCCAAUAUGAAUUAGCUAGGAAAACAGAGAUGUAACACACAUAAUUAAUAUAGUUCAUCACCUCGUGUUACCAGGCAUCCAAUUAAUUUCAGACAUUUUUAUAAUUCAUACUAUAAAGUUAGUUAAUAACGGAGGUUAUAUUGUUAAAUCAGAUAUAAAUUAAGACGACGUGCAAAAAGAUGAGUCAUUAAAUUUGAUUUAAUUCUAAUGAAAUUACAUCUAUGCGAACGAAAGUGAAGGGAAAAAUAAUAAUAAUAAUAAUCACAUUUUCAUCGAAGAGGGGUUGUACUUGAUGAGCCAGCAAGAAGUUCUCUUCUGAUGUUAAUUUUUGAGGUUCCUUGUUAUCUGUUGUCACGUGCACUACAGAGUUGGAUAUGAAUGUUUCCAUAUCAGGGCAAUUCUCAAUAGUCAGACGUUUCAACUCAGGCAUUUCAAUUAUAUUCUCAGUGAAGUUGGGAAUCUUUUGAGUUUUGGAAGAUCAAUGAGCCUUAGCUCGAAAAAGCUUAGGAAACAGGGGGCCUAUAUGUUCUUUGUCAACACUUAGCUCUUCCAAAUGAAGCACCUCUGCUAGCGAAUCACAAUUCCUCACUUCCAGGUCCAUCAAAUUGUUCAAGCACCGUAGCAGAUUGGCAGGAAUAGCACUCGACAUAUUCGUGCAGUCAUCCACCACCAGGUGUCCUAAAUUGUUGAAGAAGCUGACAGGCAGUGCUUGGCCAUGCCAUAUUUCUUGCAAACGUGGAAAAUGCGAGAGUUGCAAAUACUUUAUGUCACGAAAUCCAAUCUGCACAAACCAAAACAAUUGCACUGGAUAUAUACAAUUUUUUACUUUUUGAAAGGCACAGACAUAUAUACAUUAAACUUACAUGUUUUGUGCUUAAAUGUGCAAGUGCAAGGGAGAUGCAUGAGCAAUUUUGAUGAAUCGAUUCACACAAAUCAUUUCUUUGUAACACUUUUGUAUAGUGGAAUUAAGAUUGCCUUCACGAUCGUGCAAUUCACCCUCUUCCUUUUUAGUCACUUGCACUUUGUGCAGCUUUGGUGUGGAUAAGAUUCCCAGGGAAAAAGUCUUCAUGUUCGGACAAUGUGUCACAGAUACUUGUUCCAAUGAUGGGAAUUCAAGAGUGUAAUUCUCCAAGCAAAAGCUGGCAAGCCUUGGUAAAUCAUCAAGUAUCAAAAGUUUUAAUUUGCUGAAAGCAAUACGAUUCUCCUUCGCUUCUUCUCCAACAUGUCCUAUGAUUUCUUCUAUUUUUUUGCAGAUUGAUACAUUAAGAUUCACUAAAAUACCCGGAAUUCCAACCUGAAAAUAAGCAAAAGAGUGUGUGUGUAUUAAAAAAGUAAAAAUUAAGAGUAUCAUUCAACUAGGUUCAAAGUAUGUUUAAAUCAUACAAUUAUACGUUUUAUAAACAUAACAAACCAUGAAAUGGCUACUAGAUAAUUUUUGUUAAACAAAAAAGGCAACAAGAUAAGUAAAUAAAUAAAAGCCAGAUAAACAAAGAUAAUAAAAACGCAUUUACACUAUUUAGUAUUAGGAGCGUAGAAAGAAUUUAAGGCAAUUUCUAAAUAUUUUAGACUUAUUUUGCAUUUCGAUGCAAAUUUUUAAAUAAAUUUGAAAUUGCAACUAUUCCUUUAAAAAAAAACUCAACCAAAAUGCUGCUUUUUCCAUUUUCCUUGGUCCCUUUUUUUUAUGUAUAUUAAAAAAUGCAAAAAAAAAAUGGAAAAGACUUCCCAAUACUGUCAACGUAGGACUGUUGUAAAGCGGGUCUUUAUUAAGUACUUCCAUGAAUUUAUGAUUAAUUAAUGUCAUAAUCAAUUCAUAACUAAACUAGAGAUAUUAAUUAAAUUUGAAGACUUUUCUUUUUCUUUUUUUCCAAACGAAAUGUCAAGAAUUAAGGAAAAGAGAAAUAUAUAGAUGAAUUUGUGAACCUAUAAGAUGAGUGACUAUCCUUUAAUUUUUGAAAAUCGUACUUAUUAAGAUAUGAGAAAAACAAUUAAAUUGAAUUAUAUUAUGCUGUUGAAUCGUGUUUAAAAAAAUUAUAUUGUUGAUUCUAAUAAUGGCGAACCUAAAAACUGGACUUAAAACGUAGAUUUCAGAGUGGUGGUUCGAAGUACAAUACUUGAAAUAAAUAAUUAGUGCCUGAAUAUCAUUCGUAAACACAAAAAUGGUUAAAAAAUUGUUGGAUGUAAUUUGAAAAAAAAGAUUCGAAAUGAAUACAGCAACCUUACCAAUGGAGGAAAAAUAUUCAUUAGGUUAUCACACCAAGAUAUCUUCAAAUUCUUCAAUUUGCUGAAAGACUCUGAAGCAAGCUGGUGGUGCCAUAUUCUUCUCAAAUUAUCCAUCCACCAAAUAUGUAAUUCCUCCAACUUCGGAAGUCGUACCUGGCAGUUAAAGGUUAAAUAACUAAUUAAUCGGCAUAAUCUAUUGAUAACCAAAUUAGAGGCUGAUACUAACUAAAUUUGAAGACUCAAGGAAAAGACAAAUUAAAUAUUGUGGCUAAAAUUAAUUUAAAAAAAAAAAAAACCUUUUCGUCAAAGAGAGGUGGAGAUUGCAUUUCAGAAUGAAGGGUGUCUGCUGGUGAGCUCGUAGAGAUGAAUCUUAACAUAUUAUUGCAACCACCAAUCUCGAGGUUUAGUAAAGAAGGGAAUUCAACAACUAAAUCUGAAUGAAUAUGUCCCGUAUUGGCAAAGCUCGUUAGUUUUGGAAGCACACAAAGCCGUAAGGAGUGUAGUUUAGGAAAAACCUCUAACUCAAUCAACUUUCCUUCAUCUCUUCCUCCUAACCACCCUGUGGUGUCGACUACCCCUUCCAUCGACUUACAAGAUCUUAUCACAAGAUGUUGGAGUUGCAAAAGACUAUUAACCAUAGAAUAUGAAAACAGAUACUUCAGACGAUCACAACUUUCCACGGUCAUUUUUGUUAAAUUUCCACAAUAAGACACUCCCUGAAACUGUUCGGGCCAUAAUUUUUCAAUGGUUGUUAACCAUAUAAGUUUCAACUCCUCCAAGCGUGGAAAAAUAACCUGAAGCAAAACGGUACGCUUUUGUUCCGUCAAUUACAACUGUCUAAUAUAAUAAUCUUUUGAUGAUUGAAGAUCAAUCGUGAUAAUAUAUUAAUUUAUUAAUUAUAAAACAGAAAAUUAUCACCUUGUGAACAGAAUCAUCCUCUGCAAUGAUUUCUGUCAAUCCCUGAGUAGCUGUUGGCUUCUCCAUGUCGGGCCCUAUAAAUGAACAAAAACAAUCUAUAAUUAACCUCUGUCCUUUUUUUUUUAAAAAAAAGAGAAAAAAGAAUGAGCCAAUGUCAAUAAUCCUACCAAUAAUUAAUUUCAACACUUACCAAUAAUCAUUUUCAAAUCAUCGCAGUUUUCCACUUCUACUUUUUGAAGCCGCAAUAGGUUUUUGGCCAUGAAGAAUGAGAAGAGAUGCUUCAAUUUGUCACAAAAAAAUACUUUUAUAAUCCUUAAGUUGCUGAAAGAUUGAUCUUCUCUGAGUUGGCUGUAGCAUAUCGUUUCCAAAUUAGUUAAACCAAUAAGAUACAAUGUCUCCAGCAAGGGAAAGACUUUGCAACGAGCUCGUCCAAUUGAACCGACAAUAUGUAAAAUCUCAGGACAGCCUGCUACUAGAAGAUGCUCCAAUUGUGGAAAACCUUCCCCAUCGUCUAAUUCAUGAACAACACUCGGAACACCAUUCAAUGUUACUAGACGGAGAUCUUCAGUUCUUUUUAGCAACAUUUUCAUCCCAUAAUUCUCCAAAAGAAUGCUAACGUUUUCUAGCUCCUGGAGUUUCAUUGAUCUUGAUGUUUCAGAUGUCAAUUUUUCUAGCUCCGUGAUAACUAUGGAUGCUGAUGCUCUAGAUGUGGCGAAGGACACAAGUCCAUUUCGUUGCACUUUUCCUAUACAUAUCUGAUACCUUUGCAAUUCCACAGAGACCAAAUCCUGCGGCAGAAUUUCGGGAUCCGGAACAUCUAUCUCCAAAGUAGUUAGCUUUGACAACCCCUUCAACUCGACAAGACUGGCAUUACUUCCUCCUUCAACCUUAUCCCACUGUGAAAAGCUGCAACCCAUGUACAGUUCUUCUAGUCGAGAUAAUUUGGAUAUGAUGUUAGGAAAUUGGUGGGUGCAGCAGGACCGCAGCUAAAAUAAAAUUGGAAAUAAAAUAAAGAACAAGCACACUAGAGGACACAAGAAAAUUACGUGGUUCGGCUUUUAGCCUACGUCCACGGGCGAAGACAGAAGGAAAUAUUUUACUAGUGAAAAGGAGUUACAAGUAUUGUAGUAUUUUAGCUCACUUCCCAAAAUCCCAAUACACCCAAACUCUCAAAACACUAAACACUCAAGAGUUUAUUAAACUCUUAAAACUCUCAACACUCAAAGAAAGCAAUGCUUCUCUCUCGAUGGAAUUGGAUGAAAAUGAAUGAGGAAGCUCUUCCUUUUAUAGCCAAAAAAUGGCUAUUAAAUUAAUAUAUAUAUGUAUAUAUUUCAAAUGUAGUUACCAACUUCUUCUUUUUCUCCAUUUGGAUGGCACCAUUUUCUUUGGCCGGCUGCACCAUUUUCUUCUUUCAAAUGUCAAACCCUUCUAGAUGCAGCCAUGCCAAACACUUCUAGAUGCAGCCAACUUUGACAUAUGACAUUCGGUGUUAUCACCUCAAGCCUCCUACAAUUGCUCAAAUCCAGCAACUGUAACCGCGUCAAUUGUCCAAAUUCAAGUGGCAACCGCUCAAUAUCGGAACCUCGAAAGCUAAGAAUCUCUAAUUUCUUUAGCUGUCCAACUAUUACUAUAUCUUUUAGUCGGCAAUAUUCUAAACACAAUGUUUGAAGGUUAAUGAGGCGACCAAGUGAUGAAGGUAAUGAAGAGAAGUGAAUUCCAGUAAAAUUCAAAACUCUGAGUCCUUCCGUCCCAUCAAAAAAGUGGUCUGAAAUUGGCAUAGAGCCACCACCCUUUUCAAGCAACAAAAGUAACUCGAGACGGGGACAUUGCAACCUUUCAGGAAGCACUUGAAUACCUCUAUAAGGUAAAGAAAUAGCAAUUGGACCUUCCUGUACUGUCUCUUCCAUCUUUUUGUCCAAGUCGGCAACAUUUGGAAUAUUAAACAUGAGCUCCUCUUUUGCAAUUGAUACGGCAACUACACGAAUGACGUCAUGCAUUUUGACUUCAUCUUCAGCAUCACCGUCCAACAAUAAGCAUGAAGAUUUGAGUUUGCUGAUCAACGUAUGCACUGUACUCCUUGCUUCUUCCGGUGUGUAAACGUUUCUAAAAUAGCCCAUACCCAUACCAUAUCUCAAUAAAGAAGAAACUGGUAUAGCAUGACCUUCACUAAAUAGACCACAAAGAAGGAACAGAGAUUUUGCUUCCUUAUUUCCCAGUAAGUCGUAACUCAAUUUCAAGGAGAGGUACACAUUUUUUUCCAUUCCAUCAAUUUCUUUUGCAUAGGAACUUCUUAGCUGACGCAGCACAUAUUUCCAAGUCUCAAGGCUCAUAUUUUUCAAAGCUUUUGCAAGUGUAAUCAGUGCAACCGGCAGUUCUCCGCAUCUUCCGACGAUCUCAUGUGCUAUAGGUUGAAAAGCAGAUGUUUUCAUUGAAUCACCCACUAUCUUCUGAAAUAAAUACAAUGCUUCUUCUUUUGAUAAAGCAUCGAUCUGGAUCUCUUUCUGAGAAUUCAUAACAUUGUGCAAUAAAUCUUGACGUCUAGACGUCAGUAUUAUUGUGCAUCGUCGCUGAUCAUCCAUUCUUUCUUUCUUAACAUCCCCGGAAGGAAUUCCAACUUCAUCGAACUUCAGUUCUCCCCAAAUAUUAUCCAAUAUAAUGAGAUGCCGCUCCUCGUUCUUCAAAACUCGACAUAGUCGAUUUGCUCUGUCGAAUAUACUCUCAUUCAACUCAAACUUUAUGCCUAAAUCAGAAGCAAGUUUGUCUUGAAUUUUCUGAUGAUCUGGGUUCUCUGUUACCUCAGCCAUAGCGACCUUAUCGAACAACUUAUCUUCCGUCACUUGCUUUGCAACUUGCUUGACGAGCGUGGUUUUACCCACUCCGCCCAUCCCGUAGACCCCAAUUAUGUUGAGCUUAUCAUCCUUCAACGCCUCCAAAACAUCUUGAAAUACUUUCUUUCUUGAGUCAAAGGCCUCGUAAUCUUUCACUUGCAUAUAUUCUGUACUCUUUGGAGCAGGACGAUAGGAAACACUAGAGAAGUUGCCUUUUCCCACGAGAUCAGCAGCAUCUUUUGCGGCCUUUGCUGCUUUUUUACUGAGUUUGUAACGAGACAACAAAUUUGGGCACAAUCCUUUGAAGCAAUACUUCUUGGCUCCAUUUUCAUCAUCAAUAAUGGAGUUUGCAACCCCUUCACUGAUGAAUUCAUCAACGCUAUGUAGCCAAUCUGCGACACCCUCAUAAAGCUCAUCCCCUUGUAGCCUAGCAUGAUUAACUGGUUGCUGCACCAUUUCUCUUUUACAUCCCAGCUGCAUUACUUGAUCUUUUAGCUCAUCUACGUAGCUCUGGUACUUGAACACAUAAGAUAUCUGCCGUAUAAUCGGUUUGAACAGUGACUUUGCACCUUCUGAUACGAUGCUUGAAAAACCACCGAGACAGAAUUCUACAGCCAUUGCCUGUUGCUUAACGAUGUAUGUGUAGUUUUUGGCUGUUAAAAAAAACAAAAAUUGGAUUCAAAUAAAUUAAAUGAACUAGAGGGGAAGAAAAAGAAAGAAACGACAACAAACAACUUUUUAGAGAAAGGUUGAUAUUGUUACAGAACACAUGUUCAUUUUUAACAAAUUGAUCAAUAACUCUAUUCGCUAUUUAAUUGAUAUUGUAACCAAUUUUAAGAGAAUAUAAUAAUAAUCCUUCGAUGCAUAAAUUUAGAAUUAGAUUUUUUAACUUUUUAUUUAAAUAUAAAUCUCAAUGGAAAAUUAUAAAAAUUUAGAGAUAAAAUUUUUCAAUCACCAAACGGAAAAACAGGGGAAUGAAAACAGAGGAAUCUUGUUUUACCUUUUUUUUUUUUUAACCUUCACUCUUGUUCUUAUAUAAAUAAUCUUGUUCUGAUGAUAGUGCUCGUGACUGCAGGAAAAUUUCUAGUGGAAACAACUCAAUUUCAGAAGAAUUUAUUCAAUUGACUCUGUACUUGAACUCGUUGGAUUGGUUGAUUUAUGAUUGACUGAAUUUAUUCAAUUCGGCCUAAAAGAUCUUUAACCAAAGUUUAAUAGCUAUCAUCUACUCCUUAAAAAAAAAUAUGUAUCUUUUUUAGAUUUGACUGAAUUUGAACUUGCUGGAUUGGUUUUUUUUAGAUUAUUAAAAUGGGGCACUGCAAAGUAAGUAUUCUAAAAUCUGUAUGUUGCUUUAGAAAAAGGGCUUUUCCCACUGAUCUUUAUUCUUCAAGUAAACUUAGAUACAAAGUAAAUCUAAAAAAAUGACAAACAAACAAUGAAAUAAACGACAACAAACUGGCAAUUUUGACACAAAGCCAACAAUUAAAAUUUAGGACAUUUUUUUUUCUUGCUUUCUUUUUUUGGAGGAUUAGAGAUUUUGGUAUUACCAGAAAGGUUUCAAGGGUCUGAGUUUCAAGGGUCUGAGUAGAAACCUAUAAUCUUUUGAAAAACUUUGUUUUUUUUUAAAAAAAAAUUUGGGGAAAGGAUGCAAAUUAACCAAAGGAAAUAAUAAGAGCACAGGCUUUAACAAUGAACAAUAACUUAAAACUCAUGCAAAAUAAAUUCAAUAUUAAAGCAAACCAGAGAAAUUUUUUUCUUGAAAAGUAGAUGGAAAUUAUGAAAGAACAGAUGUCAAGAUCAAGGAUCAGGGAUUCUACUACCCAAAAAAAAAAAAAAAAAAUUAAAGGAUUUGGAAAAUGUGCACCUAGAGUUGGUGAGCUUCUCUCUAUUCACUUGAAUAUUUAAGAACAGCUGGGGAAUGUGUGAGAAAAGAGUUGACGAGAGAAAUAACAAUGACUUGCAGAAGAAAAACCAUUAAUCAAGCACACCUUUUUAUAUCCUGUAUUUGGUUAUUGUUGCCCUCUUGACGCAUGUAGAGAAUAAUUAUGUGCAUUUUUGUUUUUAAUCCGCAUGCACUUUAAUGAUUAGUGCUCCUUUCAUAAAGCAGAUACCGGAAACACACAAAUAUCAUUUGAGAGAGAAACUAAACAGCAAAUCAUCAAAGUAAGAUCAAUAAUAUAUGAUUUGGUUAAUGCAUAUUCAAGAACAAAAACAAAAAUAAAUAAAUAAAGAAGGUUUGAUUUUGUUUUGCCAACGCUGCUUUUUUGUUAUUUCUCACUCAUCUUCAAUCCUCAAGUAAAAUUAGGUAAAAAGCAAAUAUAAUAAAAAAACAAACAAAUUAACAAAAAAAGAAAAAAAAACAUUGAUCUUGAGACAACUGAUACUUAAACAGAGAAUUCUUUAUUCUUUUUUACUUCCCCUCCCCCCCCCCCCCCCCCGGGCUCGAGGAUUAGUUUUUGCUAUUAACAGAGAGGUUUUAAGAGUCUGAAUAAAACCAGCGCUUUUUUUAAAAACCUCUUUUUUUUCUUUUUUCUUUUUUGGGAAGAUAGAUUCAAAUUAACCAAAGCUAGUAAUAAGAACACAGACCUUACAAAUGAACAAUAACUUACAACUCAAGCAACAUAAAUGAUAAGAUUAAAACAAACCGGAGAAAUUUUUCUUGGAAAAUAGACGGAAAUUAAGUAAGAACUGCUGUUAAAAGAAAUUAUUAGAGGAUUUAGGAGAAUGUGUACCUCUUUAAUUAUUUGGGAUCAGAGAGUUGAUGAGCUCUCUAUUCGCCUUGAAUAUUGAGUAAGAACUGGUAUUAAAAGAAAUUAUUAAGAACAAUAUUUUAGUGAGCAAAAUAUCACUGUUAACUGCAGAGGAAUUUUGUGAGUAAAAUGCUGAAAGAGCAGUAACAAUGAAUUGCAAAAGAAGAAGACUUAACCAAGCACCCCUUCUAUACCCGAUUUUUAAGAUUUAAUUUUGAAGUUCAGAAUCAAGAACAAAGACGAAGCUUUAAUAAAGCAUGCAGUGAGAUACAAGAAAUGGAUCGGGCAAAAUACCUUACGAAGCGUUUCAUAUUUUCUAAUGAAAUAAUUUAGUUGAAGUUUUCGACGAAUAAAUACCUGUUGUGCUUGAAUAAUUUUGGCAUAUACAUUACUUGUAUCCGGCGAAAUUGAAAAGCACACUCAUUUACAGAGCUUGUUAGUGGGGAAAAGCUUCGUAAGAUGCCUGAUAAAAGAUAAAGCAAAAGCUUGAAUGAAGAAUGACAUUUUAGAAAGAAACUAAAGUGCAAUCAUCAAAGUAGGAUCAAUAGUGAGUUGAUCAGUUAUGCUUUUUGUUAUUUCAAUUGUCCUGUCCACAAAUGAUGCUUCGUUAUUACUAAUUCCACAUGGACAUUAUUUAGAAACUGUUCUUAUGUUUAACAGAAAAAUGAAAACUCGUCAUCAUACAAAACUGCGUGAACAAAUCUUCAAUUUGAUUAUUAUAAAAUAAAGAAGUUUCAUUACUAGAUUAUGCGGACGUUAAUGUUAGAGAUUUCAUCAGAUUAUCAUAUAAUUUACCAAACGCUUUGAGAAGAACAUGAAUUAAUUAGUUAAAAAUUUAAAAAUAAAAUAAAUAAAGAGUACAUGCAAAUAUUGUUGCUUCCAAUCACCAAAGUGAAAAACAGGGGAAUGAUAACAGACGAGUCCCUGAUUAUCCUCUCUCUCUCUUUUUUCAAUCUCUCUUUAUGUUAUGAUUGAAUAAUUGUAUAGAAAGUGUGACGGUUGCUGCAGCAUUAUGAAGUCAAAAUUGAGAACGACAUUAAAUAAUCAAUCUCUUUAUGUAUAUACUCGAAUGUCUGAUAGUGUUCAGACUUGGAUUUUCUAUAAACACAGAUUCGAAAUCCAAAUAAUUGAAUAAUUGUGUGCGUUCAAAUUCAGCAUUUAAUUUCUAUAUAAUUGGACAUAAAUGCGUAUUUUUUAUUUAGCCCAUUUCGGUCCAUGUUCAAAUAAACAUAUUUCUGUGGAUGAUAAUAUCAGGACCUCUGAUGCUUUUUUUUUUAUCAGAAAUUUUAUUUUUAACUCUUCGUUAUUUAGAUAUAAAUUUUUGCAGUCACCAAAUAGAAAAACAGGGGAAUGAAAACAGAAGAGCCGUGUCCUAAAUCAGGAGUAGGUGUUUUGCCUAAAAGUACCACUUUCCUAGCAAAUCUAGUGGGUUUACUGAAUAAAAUUUUUAAUUAUUCUGUUUGAUCUUUCUCUCUUUAUCCUAAGCAUUCUUGGUUGGGAUCGCUGCAUUGUCCUGUAAUCCGUGUGCCUUAGUGAAAAGAGUAAUGGGUAACUGUAGUUAUGGGUACUUGAGAGCUCACGAUGAGGGUAGCUUGGUAAUGGGACUAUCCAUAUCUGAGCAUCAGAGCUUGACAUCUUUGAUAAAUACAUAUGCUUACUGGUACUGUUUUUGCAUAUGUCUUUCACAAAAUCUUUGUAUAGGCUUACAUAGAGAAGAAGAUUCACCAAUAAAGUGUUGGCUCCACUGGCAAUGAAGUCCCUUAAGUGGCUUGACUGGGUUUGCUCCUCAGUUCUAGUCUGGGUUGUGGUACGGGCUUAAAGGUGCCUCCCACAGUUGGGGCCUUCCCCAGGAUACCUCGUGGUCAAAACAAAAAAAAAAUAGAGAAGAAGAUUCGGAUAACUUUCAAAAUCUGAAUCCGCCUGAUGGACGGACUUGACCACACAGCCCCGUGACAAGGAAGUCCAAGCAACUAACCUAAACCGUUCUCCUUUAGUCCUUUAUUAGGUUGUUCAAAAUGAAAUUAUACUGAGGAGCACCCCCCCCCCCCCCCAAAAAAAAGUUCUUUUAUAUAUUUUUCUUGGAAUUUUAGGCAAAAGAAAAAAAAACUGAGAACGAUUUCAAGCGAACAAGUGGAUAAUAACUAAAAUACUUAUUUUUAUAUAUUUGAUAUAUGCGCUCACUAUUAAUAGAACUUAUUAGAUACUACAACUUAAAUAACUUCCAGUGGUUGAUUGAGGGUAUGUUUGGGAUUUCCUUUACUUUCCAAGAAUUAAUUUCUACCUUGAUUCUGAACAAAAAAAUAAUUUUACAAAUAAUUUAUUAGGGUGUUUGGUAAAUGAUGAUUAUUUGACAAUCAAUUUUUAAAUGGUUUACUAUACAAAUCUGGUAAAUGAAAAUUAAAAGUGUAAAAUGUUCAUGUACAAUGACAAAAAUGUACUUGUUUACUUUUUUGUAAUUUAUUUAGAAUAUUAUUAUUUAAAUCUUUUUUAUUUACAACAUUUUUAAGAGCAUAUUCUAUUUUCUUUAUUACAUAUUUAAAUAAUUUUUUAUUAACUAUUUUAAUUUGCAAUAAAAUUAACUUGAAUAUUUUUUUAACUAAAAAAAUUGUUAUCUAGUUCGUGAUAUAACAAAUACUAACAUAUCAUCAAAUUGAUUAAUAAAUUAAGUGCAAAAAAGAAAAUGCAAAAAUUUAAUCUUUAUAGCUCAUAGAAAUAUAAUAUUAUAUACAUGUGUGUAAAAAACAACAUAUGACCAUAAUAUUAUCCACUCAUUAAACUUGCUGCACUAUUAUUUCUCAAUCUCUCCAUCUCUCGACCUUCAAGAACAUUACUACCAUAAUCUUCUUCUUGAAUUCAACCUCCAUUUCCUCAUCAUCAACAAUGCGACCAAUUUGCCUUGAUAGCCUUUCAACUCCUCCCACUUUCCUCCCUUUUGCAGACACUCUUUUUCUUUUUCUUUUUCUGUCUUUAAUAGCUUCAAUGGGAACAACCUCAUCUGACGACAAGUCCAUUCUUCAACUAGGACAGAGUUGGUAGUAGAUAUUCUAGUACUCUCAAACGAUGCCCAAACGGGGUCACCAGUGAUUGUUGUAUUAAAAGACAUUCUAUUUAAUUUUCCUCUGACUCUUGGUCGAUACCUUUUGUACAAAAUCUAUUUACUUCAGGAAUUUUAUACAUAUGUCGAUAUCAUAUUAAAGUGAAUUCAGAUCCUAUAUUAUUGACAUUAAAAUUUAGCCGAAUAGUAAAAAAUUUCCCUUUUUGUUUGUCACACAACUAUAUAGUCCCAUUUUUGGUUAUAAGCUCACGAUAUGCAAGGGAAAUGAAGAUCUAUUAAAAACUUCCCCAUAAUAUUAAACAUUAAACAAUAUCAACAUUUUGUGCAUAUGGUGCCUCGUCAACAAUUUGAUGUUCAUUUUGUUGCUCGGAGGAAUAUGACUACCUAUUAAUUAAUUAGCAAGAAUUGCGUUGCGAGUCCAUGUUUUUUGUCGUUUGGAUGGAGGAUGUGCUAUCUUUUUAUUGUAGAUGCUUUGUAAGGCUUUUGAUUUAAUGAUUGAAUGCAGUCAAUUAACAAAAGCUUACAUACAGUAUUAUGUAGUUGCUGAGAUGUCUAUUCUUGAUAAAGUCGAUUUAUUUACACCCAAGCCAACGGAAUCAAAGCCUUUUCGUUAAUAAUAUACACGGUAAUUGUUUUUGUUAAAUUGAUUUCUGGCUAACAAGAUCUUUGAAAGCAUUUAUUAAAGAAACCACUGACUCAUAAGAAAGCCAUGAUUAAAUACACAGCCAAGCAUGUGAGCUCGUUUUUCAAUCUCUUUGAUCACUCAUAAGCUUCUCUAUACCACUCACUGUAUCAUCCUUUUAAGUCAAUUUUGACUGAUCAUCAGAGAUCAUGCACCCCACCUUGAGAUGAUUGAUCACCAAUUUGGCAUUGUAACGUUGAUCACCUCUAAUUGGCCAUGCUAAAAUUGGGACCUCACAGCCAAUUGCUUCUACAGUUGAAUUUUAUCCACAGUGAGAUAAAAAUCCACCUAUUAAUUGAUAACUCAGUAUCAAUAAUUGUGGCACCAUUCCAUCUAUUAUCAAACCCUUUUUACCGACUCUACUAUCUAAACCACUACAAAAAUAAGCUGGUUAAAUGACGUGGAGGAUCCAAUCUAUUUACAUCAGUUUGAAUUACCUAAAUAAUCGGUGGAUUUGAUGCUUCUAAAUCAUUGGCUAAUGUUGAAUAAUCAUUUAAGGUGGGACCCAUUUCGGUACCAAAUGACAUGUAUAACACGGAUCCACAUGAUUUCAAAUCUAACCAUUGAAUGAUCUCAUCUUCGGUCAUGUUAGAACUUCGCCGGUUGGUUCUCAUCUCACAAUCACGAAGCACUGAACCAGCCGAUUUGUAAAAUUGUUCAGGUAACAAUUGGCCCACUCCCCACACUGGCAUCAACACCAUCGAUCCCUCCACUUGCUUCAUCCAGUGUGGUUGAUCACUCGGUUCUGAUGGGCCUAUUUAUUCUGAACCGGGUGCACCUCACAAAGGUUGUGGACCACCAGGAAGGGACCCGUGAGGCCUGCGUUUAAGAUCCGAUUCGAAUAAAGCAAUAUCCUUGGGUAACCCAAGAAGUAAACGGGCCUCUCCCGGUUUGACAUCCUGGAUGCGAGCCUGCCACAUGGCACACUCCACAGCUGCUGAGCAAGCAUCAGAAGUGAAGAACCCAACAAUGGGAACUUCAAAAUUCUUGAAAACAUCAGCCGUCCAGCCCAUCAUAACGCCGAUGACUACGCAAACAGGUCGGCUUUCGGGUUCCGGGUUGAAAGGAGGUUUCGAAGGCCUUGAAGCAUUUGGCUGUGCAUGACAACAUGGUGGUGAGAAGGAGGUGAUGGUAGUGGUUGAGAUGGGGAGGGUAUUUCGGUAAUUUCAAAUAGAGCGUAUUGGUGAAGAGAGGAAGGGGUGAUGCUGGUGGUAGAAACGUGAGAGGGAAUAAUGAGGGUAGAUUUGUAACAACGAGAAGUGAUUUGCUUGCAUAAUUCAAUGCAUGGAAACAGAUGUCCCUGACCGAAGAAUGGGACAAUCCAAAUCUCAGCCUCAGCAGCAUUCGCAACAGAGCUUGACAUCUUUUAUGAAUUAUUUGAGACUUAAUUGUUAUUGACUGCUUUUGCCAUCUUUCAUAAAACAUUCUUUGUUAUAUAUAAAGAGAUGACUUGAUGGAGAAGCAAGUGUUUUACUUUUAUAGUUUUACUAGUAGUUGAGCUCUGAUUUUGAUAAUUUGAUUGUUAGUUUUAGUUGGUUAGUUAUGAGAAAGCAUCUUUCACAAAAUUCAUUCCAGUUUCAACUAAAAUUAACAAUACUGUUCAAAUUAAUUACUGGAUCAACAAAUAGUCAUAGGCAAAUCUAUCCCUAGCGCUAGAUCUUGAACAUAAUUAUUAUCAUAAUCUCCCCUUCCCCCACCCCCCACCCCCAAAAAAAAAUUUACUAAAUAUCUUUUGUUAUAUAAUGAACAAGAUAAGUUGACGGAGAAGGGUUCUACUUUUACUAGUAAAUGAGCUUUGAGUAGUUAAGAAGGUUAGUUUUAGUUAGUUAAAUAUCUACCAUCCGAAUCAAAGUUCCUUAGACUAUUAUUCAAGUGAGAUGCUUGAGUAACAUAUACUUGUGUUAGUUGGUGCCUAACAAUUCGUGUGAUACAUGAAACCAACCACUAUGAAAUCCAAAUGAAGCUGGUAGGAUUAGAUUAAUUUAAAUGAAAAUAAAAAUUUGUUUAUGCUAUUUAUUAAUCUUAUAAUGUUGAAACUUGAAAGUUAAUUCUUCAACCUGUCAAUUGGUUCAUGACAUGGUUUAAUAUUCAAGUAAAUAAAUUUAUCGUUUAAAAUUAAUUUUUCAUGUGGUAAAAGCAAUACAAAAUAUGGGGUGGAGAGAAUAAUUUGUAGGGUAUACCCCCACCAUUUAUUUAAUUUCAUUAAAAAAAAAGAAAAGAAAUAAAGGCUUGUUCAACAUUCAAUUAAAAUUAACAAUUCCAUGAUAAAAUUACUUGAGAAUAAAAAUUAAAAAAAAAAAAGUAACACAAAAACGAGGAAUUUUUGAGUAACUGAAGAACCAUAGAUGUUUUUUGGUCAUGAGCAAUUUUUGAGUUGAGACAGAACUUGUAUAAAAAAAUAGUUUUGAAUAACUUCUUUUCUUUUUUCAUAAAUAUAGAUAUAAAAUUUUAAAGUCACCAAACACAAAACCAGGAAAAUGGAAAGGAAGCCCCUGUUUCUCCUCUGUUGCAAGAACAAAUUCGGUUUCUACAGGAGUACCUUCUAAAUGCACCAUUUGUAUUGCUUUGUUUCCACGUAAGCUAACGGAAUUUUUAAUGAAAUUAAAUAAAUACAAUCUCACUGACCGAAAAGUUCUGUAGCUGUUUCAAUUCAAUUGCAUACAUUGACGAAACAUUAAAUACGGAAAAAACAAAAAAGAAGUAAUAGGACAUGGGGAUUUCGAGAACUUCUAAAGAGAGAAAUCUAUUUAUAAGCAUUGAAAAUUAGCUCAUUAAAUUUGACAGAAUAAUAUACAAUCUCACUGUUGGCCAGAAAAUAAUAGUAAGAACUUGUGAACAUAUAUAAUCAAUUGUUUAUUACUUAAGCUCUUUUUCUUCGUUAUUUUGAAUGGGUGCAAAGAAGAGAAGUUUUGUACCCAAAUUCCAACUCGAAUUGUGUAGGCUGCUUGCAAGAGCUUCAUUAGAUUUUUAUUUGUCUUUUAAUAGUGCUACUCGAUAAAUACAGCUAGCUACCUGUCUUUUUUGUUACUGGACUAUAGAUCAAUUGACAGUUGAAGUUAUAUUAAUUUGUUGUACUGGAAUUGAAGCUUGUAUCUUAGCCAUUUCGUGAAGUGUCAAAUAUAUUUUUAAUUUCCUUAAAAUUGUUCAAAAUAUGUUUACACUUUUAAAGUCACUAUUAUACAUGAGUGCCCUAAAAUAGGAGAAGGCGAUUUGCCUGACAUUACCUGUUUCCUGUCAAAUCUAGCAGGUUUACUGAUUAGAUUUUAACAAGUCUCUUGGCAAAGUUUGCUAGAAAUGGAAUCAAAUUAUUCUAUUUAAUCUUACUGUCCAUACCCUAAUAGUUCUUGAUUUGCAUCACUGCAUCGUUCUAUAAUCUGUGUGCGUUGGCUUAUAAAGGCUAGCAAGGCUGACCAUUCGUAGCAUAGUUUUUUUUUUUUUUUUUUUCCACAAUGAAACUCCUAUUGAUUUGACUCAGUAUUUAGAGGCGUUAACGAGGGCACUAUACUAGACAUGGAUUUCUACCGCUUUUGGUUGUACAAUUGUUGUAAUCCUUGGCCAUCAAAUCAUUUUUACGUAGCUUUCUCAGAGUUCAUGCCAAGUGUACAUUAAUGUUUUUAUGUUUUGGAUGCAAGUGGGAUUCUAGUUCUCUAUGGCAGUUGAAGAGGUAAAUGGGCAUGGAGCUAUGCUCUAUCAUAGGCUUCGGCCGCUACAAGAAAUUUGAUUUCUUAAGACGAUAUUUUUUACAACUUUAAAUUUGGUCACAAAAUUGUAUUUAUUGUGACAAAUUUUUAAAAUCGUAGUUAAUAAUCUUGUCGUAACUUAUAUUGUUUUUUGUAACCAAUUGUUUUUAUUUUGAGACUUGUUCAUUGGUCAUUAAUUAAAUUUUUUUAUGACAAAAAUUAUUUUAGUCACCAAAAGAUAUAUUUUUUUGGCGCAAAAUCUUCCCUCCAAAAGUGAUUAUUUUGAGACAAUAUUUCACUAUUUAUGACAAAAUAAAUAGUCACGAAAUAUAAUGAUAGGCGACCAAAUUAUUUGGUAACUAAAAGAAGGGUGUAAAAUUGACUAAACAAUCUAUGACACAAAAUAUUAGUAGCCAAAAUUAUUGUUCUUUUGGCUAAUUUUAAGACCAUUUUUUUUUGUCAUAUAUAAUUACCUACCAUGACAAAAUUUAAAAAUAGUUGUUGAAUGUUUUGUCUUGAAUAAUUUUAUAUUUGAUAACCAAUUUUUUUUUUUCUUUUUGAGACAUAUUACUUGGUCCCUAUUUCAACUUCUUUUUGACGAACUUUAUAAUAGUCACAAAAGACUUUUUUUAUUUUUGGCAUAAAAAGUCUGUCCAAAGUUAGCUCUUUUGGGACAAUAUAUAAUCUUUUAUGACAAAAUAUAUAGUGGCGAAAUAUAAUUAUUUUUUACAAAGUUAUUUCGUAACUGAAAAAGAGGUGUAAAUAUAGUUAACCUAUUUGUGACAUAAAAUAUUAGUCUCCAAAACUAUUAUGUUUUUAGCCAAUUUUAAGACCCUAUUUUGUUGUCAUGGAUAAUUACCUAUUUUCAAAAAACUAAGAGAUAGCAAUCAAAAGUUUGUCUUGAUUGACAUUGUAUUUUAUGAGCAAAAUAUUUUGUUUCAGUGACACUUUACUUGGUCUUUGAUUAGACUUGUUUGUGAUGAUCAAUAGAAUUAUAUAAUAACCACUAAAUUUUUUUGGGUUAAAUUUUUAUAGAUACUAUUAAUUAAGUUGUUGACGAAAAUGAUCGAACUAAUACUAAUAUGGGAUACCAUCAAUAGCCGUAAUACUUAUGAAGCGAGAAAUUAUAAUAUGUAGUGAUUUAUUUAGAAUUAUUUUGACUACUUUAUUGAUUUCCAAAACAUAAAAUUCUCAACCCAAAAUUCCCCGCAUUGUGUUUUAUUUUGUCUCCUCACUCAGUUACUCUUUUAGCUAAAGUUGCUUUGGAAAAGUUGGAAUCUUUUGUUUGGGUGGAAAAUUUCCCACCAGAGAUUAGACAUGUAUUCACCUAGUUGAAGUAAUGAAAGUUUUACUUUCCCAUAAAAAAAAAAACUCACGGCUUGACAAAAAAAAGGAAAAAAAUUCUCACAGCUUGAUGGUCUCCUCUCUUUAAAAAUAAAAAUCCCUAGUUACUCUGCUCAAACUCGUUAAUAUUUGUUUCCACCACCUAAGCAGCCACUAGUAUCUUUUUUUUUCGCAAUUCACUUUUGCUGUGUUUCGUGGUUUGGAUGGAGAUCAUGACAAUAAUUGAACGAUGGUGAUAAAUAUCAAAGAAGGAGCUUACAUGCCCUAUAUAUCUCUCUUUGGAUGAAUAACGAAGGUGAACUUUCAAAGUACAGAGAUUUACAUGUUUUAAUUGUCAUUUACAUUGCUGCAUGCCCAUUGCUUGAUAAAAUACCGCAACAAACACGCAUUCUCGAUUUUCUCAUAAAUUUAUUUUCUUAGUCUGAAAAAAAAAUUGAAUGUUCAGAGAAUUUUGAAGGUUUUGGUGUAUGCAUUAAUAUUUUGAUUCUAUUUAUGUUGUUUAACUAAUGAAGAUGAUACAUCUAGCCUCUUUUUGCCCCUUGUUGUUUUUAUUCUUGUGCUUUAUAUACGGUUCAAGUGUGAUACACUUUAGUUUUUCUCAAGUGUUUGUUAGUAUUUCCCCAAGCAAAAUUUGUCACAGACUUUGAGUUCAAAAGUUGAAAUCAUAACUAACAUACUUCGAUUUUUUAUUUUCCUUUUUUCUUCGGGGUCCCAUAUAUCUUUCUAUAUGGCAUUGCUUGAGAAAUUGGUGUACUUAGAUCGUAAUAUUCUGUAGAAAUAAGCUAAUAUUUCAUUAGGUACAUUGUUUAAUAUGAUAAGUACUGUAUGGAAGUUUUACAGAUAAGCUCCUUGUAUAUUAUGCAUUAUGUUUUUAUCAUAUUGUUGCUUGGAACUUUGAAGGAUUGGCCACAGGGCUUUAGUCCUACAAGGACAUUUUAUAUUGGGAAAUUAUCAUUCGUAUACCCUAUAGAUGCUCUGUUAUAAAAAAUACUACAACACUUUGAGGGUGUAUCAAUCGUCCACAUUAAGUUGACAAAAUGUAUCUGUUGUCCACCAAACCGUUACUUGCCGUUUAAAUAGGAUAACGACAGAGGGGUAAUUUGGUCUUUUCAUAUGAUACAAGUGAUAAUUUAAGGGUAUACAAGUGAUACUUUUCAAGGGUAAAAUUGUCAAUUCGCUAUAAUUCCGUUAACUUUCAAACGGUAGCUAACGGUUUGAUGGUUGGUAGAUAGCUUUUGUCAAUUUGGGGUGGACGAUUGAUACACCCUCAAAGUGUUGAAGAACUUUUUAUAACAGAGCUUCCUACANNNNNNNNNNNNNNNNNNNNNNNNNNNNNNNNNNNNNNNNNNNNNNNNNNNNNNNNNNNNNNNNNNNNNNNNNNNNNNNNNNNNNNNNNNNNNNNNNNNNNNNNNNNNNNNNNNNNNNNNNNNNNNNNNNNNNNNNNNNNNNNNNNNNNNNNNNNNNNNNNNNNNNNNNNNNNNNNNNNNNNNNNNNNNNNNNNNNNNNNNNNNNNNNNNNNNNNNNNNNNNNNNNNNNNNNNNNNNNNNNNNNNNNNNNNNNNNNNNNNNNNNNNNNNNNNNNNNNNNNNNNNNNNNNNNNNNNNNNNNNNNNNNNNNNNNNNNNNNNNNNNNNNNNNNNNNNNNNNNNNNNNNNNNNNNNNNNNNNNNNNNNNNNNNNNNNNNNNNNNNNNNNNNNNNNNNNNNNNNNNNNNNNNNNNNNNNNNNNNNNNNNNNNNNNNNNNNNNNNNNNNNNNNNNNNNNNNNNNNNNNNNNNNNNNNNNNNNNNNNNNNNNNNNNNNNNNNNNNNNNNNNNNNNNNNNNNNNNNNNNNNNNNNNNNNNNNNNNNNNNNNNNNNNNNNNNNNNNNNNNNNNNNNNNNNNNNNNNNNNNNNNNNNNNNNNNNNNNNNNNNNNNNNNNNNNNNNNNNNNNNNNNNNNNNNNNNNNNNNNNNNNNNNNNNNNNNNNNNNNNNNNNNNNNNNNNNNNNNNNNNNNNNNNNNNNNNNNNNNNNNNNNNNNNNNNNNNNNNNNNNNNNNNNNNNNNNNNNNNNNNNNNNNNNNNNNNNNNNNNNNNNNNNNNNNNNNNNNNNNNNNNNNNNNNNNNNNNNNNNNNNNNNNNNNNNNNNNNNNNNNNNNNNNNNNNNNNNNNNNNNNNNNNNNNNNNNNNNNNNNNNNNNNNNNNNNNNNNNNNNNNNNNNNNNNNNNNNNNNNNNNNNNNNNNNNNNNNNNNNNNNNNNNNNNNNNNNNNNNNNNNNNNNNNNNNNNNNNNNNNNNNNNNNNNNNNNNNNNNNNNNNNNNNNNNNNNNNNNNNNNNNNNNNNNNNNNNNNNNNNNNNNNNNNNNNNNNNNNNNNNNNNNNNNNNNNNNNNNNNNNNNNNNNNNNNNNNNNNNNNNNNNNNNNNNNNNNNNNNNNNNNNNNNNNNNNNNNNNNNNNNNNNNNNNNNNNNNNNNNNNNNNNNNNNNNNNNNNNNNNNNNNNNNNNNNNNNNNNNNNNNGAGGAUGAAAUUUGCAAAAACCUUGUUCAUAGCUAUGGUAAUUAAGCAAAUUGAGUCUUCUUUUUUUGUUGUUUUUUAUUCACUUUUUCCUGUCCUUAAAACAAAUAAUGAGUUUUCUUGUUUUUAAUAUUUCUUAUAAACUUUAUGUUGUUUGGUAUAAAAUUAGGUAAUUGGAAAGGUCUCAUGUUGGAUGAAAUUAUCAAUUAUGUGCAGUCCCUACAGAAUCAAGUGGAGGUAACAUUGCUACUAAAAAACCUUAUUAACAUAGUUAUAAUGAAUUAAUCUUCUUUAAUAUAUUGCAAUAUUUUUUACUAUUUCUAGGUCUUUCUAUGUUGGUUUUGGAUCAUUGUAGUUGCUGAUUGUGAUUUAUUGCCGCCUAUGGUUGCUGACUUUUGUUUACUGCAGCUACUUUAUUAAAGCAAUUUUGGAUAUUGAAGUUUAUGGCCAACUUUUAUUAGAUACUUCUGACCUUUAUCGAUAUAUUUUCUGAACCUUUACACUUAAGAUGUGUGUGUGUUUUUUUUAAGUAAUUUAAUCCUUACUAACAUUUUCUAACAAAAUCAAUUACAGAAAUGAUUAGGAAAAAACAAGCAAAAUCAUUGUAAAGUGUCUUCUGCGCACCGUGGUUGCUCAAGUCUCAUGUGCAACAUGUGAAUGAAAUAGUACUUGAAAUAAUAGAGACUUUGUUUUAUGACUCUUAUAUUUACAUUUCUUUGCAAGGAACCAUACUUAAUUGUACCUAAUAGAAGAGAUAUCUUUUCACUAUAUAGUCUUAGUAUAAAAAGAUACCUCUUCUAUAAGGCACAAUUAACGGGACAUGUCUUUAUACUAAGACAUCAUUCAUAUUUAUCACACAAUAAUAGAAACUGCAACGGUAGCUGGAAUAUUAUGAAGUCAAAAUUGAGAACGACAUUAAAUCAUGAAUUCUUUAUGUGUUUACUCUAAUGCCUGACGGUAUUUAGUUCAAUUAACACAGAUUCGAAAUCCAAAUGAUUGAAGAGUUGUAUGGGUUCAAGUUCAGUAUUUAAUUACUAUAUAAUUAUACAUAAAUGUGGAUUUUGCAAUCUUGAACCCAUUUAAUUACUAAAAAAGGAUGACGAAUAGAAUUGGUGGAAAUUGACCACAAUCAUCUCUCUCUCUCGGCUUGCUCAAAUUUGGCCGAUCUGUGCGCUUGCUUAAGCUUGGCCGAUCUAUGCUUGCUCGAUUACUCUUCCUAUAUUCAGUCAGAGUCAACUGUUUGACAAGAGUCGAAGUCCAAGGUUCUUUUUUACAGGAUUUGAGCUACUUCUUUUAUUCUUCUUGCAUGUUCACUGAUAGCGGGUGGAAUUUGAGAUGUUCACUGAAGCUUUGAUGUGGUGUUCUGAUAGCGGGUGGAAUUUGAGAUUCUCCUUUCUUCUCUAUAUGAAGGUGCUUGUCAUGUGUCAAGAAAAAUAAAAUUAUUUACAAAAGAUUAUUUUAAGGAGAUUUAUUAUUAUUCGUGGAUCAGGAAGCUCAAAAAGUUUUCUUAUGUAGAACAUAAAAUGAUUUAAAUUUUGCCAUGGUAUAUCCUUUUCUUUGAUUGUGUUGUGGUUUUCCAGUUCUUGGAGAUGCAGAAGAAGUUUAUUUUGUUUUAUGGUAUCUUAUUUAUUUAUUGUUUUCACGAGGAAAUAGCUGUGCUUUUGGAAAUUAAUAUGCUGUGUUGUAAAUGUUGUGUGAAAUCCUUUUAUUGGUGUCUAUGUAAAGUGUUUCAGAUUUCAGACCUGAGAGUUAAUCUUCGCGUACCAGUUGGCUUUUGGGUUUAGUAUUGCUGCUUUUAACAUAAUUGACCUAUGGCCCAAAUCAUUUCUUAGGGCGAAGCAUAUGAAUGAUACAUAUUAUCUUUUUUUGGCCUUAUGUAUUGUUAUUUGCAGUGUGAUUUGGUCUAGCUUAAGAGCUUAAGCUUGCAAGUUGGAUUUGUCUAACAGGGAACAAUUUAAUUUGUUCAUCAUGAUGUUUAUAUCCAUUUUGUACUACUAUCAAUUUCAAUCAUGCCUAAUUUUUAUAUGUAUUUCUUGUGGACUCUCAGGUUCAGUGCACAAGAGGAUGAAGACGAUGGACACCCAAAUUUGAUGUGGAGAAUAAGUAUUGCAAAUGGUCCUUGAUUUACUUCUCCAAUUGACUUGAAUUGGUUUGACGCAAUUUAUAGUGUAUUUUUGUCAUCUUUGUAUGACUGGCAGGUCGUCCUGAUUUGGUACAUGACUGGACUCAGGAAUUGGACUCAUAUUUUUCAAACCAGAAUGCCAACAAUCAAGCAUUUUCUUUUGAAAGCACUGGCGUCUUCUUCAAUGCCAAAAAGGUUAGAGAUUUUUUGUAUCCUGUUUUGUAUUUGAUCAGUUUAGCAUGUGGGUGGCAAUCAAGAAAAGUUAUUCUAACAUUUUUGUGUUCCCGAAAAACUGCUGAUGAUGUGUAGUGCAGGAAAUGAAUUGUUUGUGACUUCUUUUUAUUCGUAUUCUUUCUUUUUUCUUUUCUCCCCAACAGGAUUAUGUAUUUCUGAAGAGCUUCUUGAAGUUGAUUACCUUGUAAGCCACUUUCUGUACUCUAUGCUCAGGAUGUGAUUUUGCCAAGCAUUAAAAUGGUUUAGGUCAGAACCAUCAUCUAAAGUUUACUUAAUGCAGCCGAGAAGCUGUAGUAGAGCAAUGAAGGCUGUUGGUGUUAUGAAGGCCAGCUGUGAAGAAAUAUUUGAACUUGUAAUGAGCAUGGAUGGGACACGAUACGAGUAUGCUUCUUUUCUAUUUUUUAAUUUUAGUUAUUUUAACAUAAUCAAGACUAUAUUGGCUGUCUCUGUAAGCUGAGUAUUAUAUUUCCUCUUGUAUGCUGUGAAAUUCACAUUGUCUCCAGUCCCGAUUCUGUAUGUGCCUUUUUGAAUAUAUUUAAUUAAUCUGCAUGGUGCUUUCUAAAGAUUAUUACAAACUUUUGUUGCUUAAGUAUAUGAAGAAUGUGGAAAUGAAAAUAGCUUUUGAAGUUUGAUGGAUUGCUUCAUUAAUAAAGAAAGACUGGGACUCAUUUUUAUAACUUUUCUCCACUUAGCUAAUGGUAUUUGAUGAAGACAAAAUAGAUGUAGCUAUCUGUAUUUUUUGUUGCUGAACUAUAGAUCAAUUGACGGUUGAAGUUAGUUAUAUUAAUUUGUUGUACUAGAAUUAAAGCUUGUAUCUUAGCCAUUUCAUGAAGUGUCAAAGACGUUCAUGUUUUUUAAAAAAAACAUGUUACACUUUUGAAGUCACUAUUACAUAAAAGAGUGUUCUAAAACAGGAGAAGGCGUGCUGCCUGAAAUUACCUGUUUCCGAUUUUAACAAGUCUCUUGGCAAGGUUUGCUAGUAAUGUGUUCAAAUUAUUCUAUUUAAUUUUACUGUCUGUACCCUAAUAAUUCUUGGUUUGCACCAUUGCAUUGUUCCAUAAUCUCUGUGCGUUGGCUUAUAAAGGCCAGCAAGGCUGAUCAUUUGUCAAAUAGUUAUUUCCAUGAAAUUCCUAUCAAUUUGACUCAGUAUUUAGAGGUCUUGAAGAGGGCAGUGUACUAGACGUGGAUUUCUUCCUCUUUUGGUUGUACAAUUGUUGUAUUUCUUGGCCAUCAGAUCUUUUUUAUGUAUCUUUCUCAAAGUUCAUGCCGCACGUACACCGUUUUUCAUGUUUUGUGCAGGUGGGAUUGUAGUCUUUUGUAUCGCAGCUUAGUUGAAGAGGUAGAUGGUCAUACGGCUAUUCUCUAUCAUAGGCUUCAGCUGGACUGGUUUCCAAUGUAAUAGUCUCUUGAUUCAAUCAUCUCAUUUAUGCUUUGGUCAGAAUAGAACAUUUAUUGUUUUCUUCUUUCCCCUUUCAUGUCUUCUGAUAUAAUAUGUGAGGAAAUUACCUAAAAUUUCUGUAUCCCAAUGUAAUUGUUGGAAUUCAGAAAUAAAAUAAAUACACCGUCUUGUUUUUCCCUCGGUUCAGUCCUAAGUUCUCUUUGGGCCUUCUGCAAGUUUUUAAACAUACUGUGACAGUAAAAAAUCUAGUGAUUGAGAUCAUUUUGAUGAAUUUAAUUUUAAUUCUUAGCUGAUACUUUUUCUGGAAUUUUUUUUCUUAUGUUUCCUCAAUAUGACUUAAAUAUAGGGCUUAGUUUGGUUUAGAAGUUCGUCUAAAACCUUCUCCUUGAUUCCAAAAAAAUUCUCUAGAAAGGUCUCAGAUGGAUUUUAGGGGAGUUCUGUGGCAAAUUUGAAAAGUUCAGGGGAAGGGUCUAAUGAAUUUUAAAACCACAUGGGUUAUCUGUUUUAUUCAGAGGAUAGUGGAAUUCCCUGAAAUUUAUCAUUUUUAUUUAAAUAAUCUUCCUACUUUCCUCUGCGGAAUUUAUUUACAUUUAUGAAUUCAUUUGGUUGCAGGUUUGUUUGGCCCCGCGGCCUUUGUUAAGUACGUUAUUGGCGUUGAAAUGACGCUGCGAGUUAUGGUAAGGUUCUUGCUUCCCCACUUCUUGAAAUUAAAUCUAUCUUUUCUGGCACUAGAAGUUUCCAUAAGCUGUGUUUUGUUAUCGCGCAGUUGUGUUAUUUCAUUCUAGGGAGCAUGAGAACUGUGGUCCACAGCCAGGAUAUGUACGAGCUCACGUGGAGAGUUAGUUUUCUGUCCUUUACUUUGGUUGAUGUAGAGAAUUAACAAGUGACUAAGUCAUGCCAAGUUGCACCACUUGCUUCCUGUAUUCUGAUUUCUCAGGUGGUGGAUUCAACAUUUCCCCACUCAAACCUCAAAAUGGUAGGCCCAGAACACAAGUACAGCAUCUUAUGCAGAUUGAUCUAAAAGGGUGGGGUGUUGGUUAUGUGUCAAUGUUUAGCAACACUGUCUUCUUCAGAUGUUAAAUAGCAUUGCUGGUAAGUUUCUUGCUUUCACAUUUUAUUUUGCGCUGUUAUGGGUUAAUAUGUUUCUGUUGGGUGGCCAUUUUAAGUCAUAUUUUUACGUGUUACUGUAUUUUCUUCAGUCCUUUUAUAGGGAACACACACAUACACGUAUGUAGAGUCACCUUUUAAUGAGGGAUCUACCAUUUUAAUAAAAUGAGGAAUGAGCUAAAAGAUAAAAAUUCACGAACUCCAAUGCAAUAUGUGUGUGUGCGUGUGCACACCUUUUCUAACUCUUGUUCUUAGUUAGAUAUUUUUCGGGAUUUCAGGCAAAUGAAAAAAGAGAUUAAGAGAAAGAGAAUAGGUGGAUGAUAACUUAAAUAUUCAUUUUUAUAUAUUUUGUUAAUGUCCUCUUUAAUGGAUUUCUAUGGAAUUAAUCUUUUUUUUUCAAUUAGUUGCAGCCCUAGAGGAAAAGUAGGGUGAUCAAAUUGAUUUAUCUCAUUUUUUUUUAGCAAUUUGCGACAUAAUGACCGUGAUAAUGCUUGUGACUGCUGGAAACUUUCUGAUGGAAAUAACUUCAGAGUUCGUAGCAAGCAUUUUUGUUAUGACAAAACAAAGGUUCCCGCGAAUUUUGGUUGUUGUUAGGCCACAAGUGCGUUUCACAUAUGCAAGGCGCAAGGGUAAUUCCGGAAAUACCAAUCGUGGCUGACGUGUCAUCAAGUAGUAUAGAGAGAAGAGUUUGUUAUGCAUUUCUGUUAGUGAUAAGUUGAUGGUAUUCUGUUUUGAUAAUUUGUUAGAGUUUUCUAUUAUUCUAUUUGGGCGUAAAAGUGAGGAGGUUAUAUGGAGAGGAGCUGUUUUUUGGGAAGGGGAUCUAGAGAAUUAUUUUGUAGUGAGCUUGCUCAUUUUGGGAGAGAUACCAAGCCUCUCGAAUGCUUGGGUGUUUUGGUUUAUUUCUGCAGAUAAAUACCAGUUUUCCUACUUCCAACAACAUUCUGUUCUCUACUGUGUUGUUUAUCUAACCAUUUCAGUUCAGGGCUUAUCAAAUUGGUAUCAGAGUAGUCACGUACCUAGAAAAUGACUGGCAAAAAUGUUGCUCAACGAAUGGAUUCCAUAGAGGAGGCGAUGGGUGCUGCGUAGGAGGAGUUUCAACGGGAAAUGAGAUCGUUGAAGGAUGAAAUAUAGAUGAUGAACAAACGAUUCGAACAGUUCAUCAAACUUCAAGAGGAUACGGGAGGUUCGUAUUCGAAUAAAAGGGAAAAGAUGCUCAGCCCCAACUUCGGCGGGUUGAGCUCAAGCGGAACUAGCCAUGAUUUCCGAUUCCGGAAACUUGAGAUGCCACUGUUCGAUGGCUCAAAUCUGGAUGGCUGGAUCUGAAGGCUGAACGAUAUUUUUCCGUAAAUCGGUUAUCCAAUGAAGAAAAACUUGAGGCAGCGAUAAUAGCUUUCGAGGGAGAUGCCCUGUUGUGGUAUCAAUGGGAGAAUAGGAAGAGAUCCAUGAUGGUUUGGGAAGAGAUGAGGCUACUAAUCUUGAAACAAUUCCGAGUAAUCCAAGCCGAUUCUCUCCAUGAACAAUGGCUAGCCCUUACUCAAGAUAGCAGUGUGCGAGAAUACCGCCGGAAAUUCAUCGAACUUUCGGCGCCGUUGGAGAACAUUACAGACGAACUAGCUCUGGGAAAUUUUAUCAAUGGGUUGAAGCCUGAAAUUCGGGUCGAGGUUCGGAUCAUGGAACCCAGUAAUUUGGGCCGGGCCAUGGACUUAGCCCAAAAGAUUGAGGAGAAACUGUGGGUGACCAAGGCCCACAAAGCAGACGGUGGGUUUCAUCGAGCAGGAGGGUCAACGCGAGGUGUGAACUUCCAUUCUGAAGCUUCGCAAUCUUCGUUUGGGGCAAAUCAUAACACGGCCCGAUUUUCGGGAGAGGUUAGGAGGUUGUCCGAUUCAGAAUUACAGAAGAAAGAGAGAAGGGACUAUGUUAUCGAUGUGAUGAAAAGUGGGCACCUGGGCAUCGCUGCAAGAAGAAAGAAUUGACUGUCCUUCUCACCUACGACAUGGACGAAGCAGAGCAGGAAGAGGAAGAAGGUUCGGGUGAAGGCGAUCCCGAACUGGAAACGGCCGAAAUUAAUCAAGGGAUAGAGGUCUCUCUUAACUCGGUGGUUGGUCUGACUACACCAAAGACGAUGAAGCUUAAGGCGUCUAUCGGGGAGCAAGAGGUGGUGGUACUGAUUGAUUCAGGUGCAACCCACAAUUUUAUUUCUCUAGAUUUGGUUAGUAAGAUGCAGAUACCCAUUGUUAAAACUGAGGCUUAUGGGGUGACUAUGGGUACUGGAGCGGCUGUAAGGGGAUAAGGUUUAUGUCGGGGAGUGACUAUUCAUCUACAGGGAAUAGAUAUUGUAGAGGAAUUCUUGCUGCUUGGGUUGGGGAGCUCGGAUGCUAUAUUAGGAGUUCAGUGGCUUGAAACUUUGGGGAUGACACACACAAAUUGGAAGACACAAGUGAUGAAGUUCAUGCUCGGAAAUGAAUCUGUUACUCUACGAGGGGAUCCUUCCCUUGGCAAGACUUUGGUUUCAUUGAAGGCAAUGAUGCGCACCAUUAAGCACGAGGGAGCUGGAAUUCUGGUGGAAUGUAAUCAAUUUGAAGGUCUGUGCGAAGUGAGCCCUGAGGUGCCACCGAAUCUAAACCAAGUCCUAGCAGAAUAUGAAUUGGUUUUUAACAUGCCCAUGGGCUUACCACCUACUAGGGGACAUGAGCAUUCCACUUUGCUCAAAGACGGCAGUCAACCUGUUAGUGUCCGACCAUACCGCUAUCCUCAUGCCCAGAAGGAUGAGAUUGAAAGACUGAUUCAGGAGAUGUUAGAUGCGGGAAUAAUCCAAGUCAGCAAUAGUCCAUUCUCGAGCCCAGUUUUGUUGGUUAAAAAGAAAGACAGAUCAUGGCGUUUUUGUGUGGAUUACAGGGCUCUCAACAAAACGACGGUACCAGAUAAGUAUCUCAUCCCUGUCAUUGAUGAACUCCUAGAUGAGUUACAUGGUGCCAGAAUUUUUUUCCAAGCUAGAUUUAAAUUUGGGCUACCAUCAAAUCAGAGUCAGUAGUCAGGAUGUUCAUAAGACUGCUUUUCGAACGCAUGAUGGACACUACAAGUUUCUCGUCAUGCCUUUUGGACUAACGAAUGCCCCGUCGACUUUCCAAUCCUUGAUGAAUGAUGUCUUCUGGCCUUAUCUUCGGAAGUUUGUUCUAGUGUUCUUUGAUGACAUUCUAAUUUACAGCCCUUCAGUGGAAUCCCAUCAGCAGCACUUGGCUCUCGUCUUGGGAAUAUUGCAGGCCAACAGCCUUUAUGCCAACCGAAAAAAAUGCGAGUUUGGAAGAACUCAAGUGGCAUAUUUAGGCCAUAUCAUCUCUGGACAAGGGGUGGCAGCGGAUCCAAGUAAAAUCCAAGCCAUUAACUUGUGGCCAACGCCCACUAAUCUGAAAGCGUUAAGGGGAUUUCUGGGAUUGACGGGGUAUUAUAGAAAGUUUGUGGCUGGGUAUGCUAGAAUCGCAUCGCCAUUGACUGAUCAGCUCAAGAAAGAUAGGUUUGGGUGGAGUCCAGAAGCUGCAGCGGCAUUUGAAGAACUCAAACAAGCUAUGUCUUCAGUCCCUGUGUUGGCAAUGCCUGAUUUCACAAAGCCAUUUAUUGUUGAGAAUGAUGCAUCUGGUUUUGGGUUAGGAGUUGUUCUACUACAGGGGCAACAACCAGUAGCUUACUACAGCCAAGUUUUGGGGCCCCGGGCUCGUCUUAAGUCCAUAUAUGAGAAAGAACUAAUGGCCAUAGUGUUUGCAAUCCUGAAAUGGCGGUCGUACUUGCUGGGAAGGCGAUUUAUUGUGCGAACAGACCAACAGAGCUUAAAAUUUCUUUUGAAGCAGAGGAUUGUUGGAGUUGAAUAUCAAAAAUGGAUCACCAAAAUCAUGGGAUAUGAUUUUGAUAUUCAAUAUCGUAUUGGGGCUGUUAACAUAUAUGUUUCCAUAAUAUUGAUUUUGAUGAUAACAAAAAAGAUUAAAAAUGAUUAAUCUUUUAAGCUCAAAUUAUUUUUUAUACAUUUUAAAUAAAUCAUUAUUUUUAUAUUAUAAAGGUUUUAUAUUUAAUGGAAAAAUGAUUUUAUGAAAUUGGUUGUUUUUCAAGUUUAUGAUUUAAUUGAAAGAGUUUUUGAAAACUUUGAAAUCAACAAGUAUUGCUUGAAAUUUUAGAGAAUGACUUAUUUUAAAAGUGUCAUAGCAUUUUGGGCUAUAUCAUAAUUUCAGAAAGUUUUGGGAUUAACAAAGCAUUACUUAGAAAUUCUGAAAUUGGACCUAUUUGUAAACUUUCAUAACAUUUUGGGCCAUACUGUAGUUUUAUAAAGUUUUGGGGUCAAACUAUAAUUUUAAAAAAUAGUGCACUGUGCAGGUUACUGUACCAAUCACUGUAGCAAAUGGCUAACCGUUUAUUUAAAAACGGCUAACCGAUAAUUUCCAGAAAGCAUGUUCUGCAAAGUAUUGUUAAAAUGAUGAUUCUGGAAACUAACGGUGAACCGUUUACUGAAAACGGUUAACCGAUUAUUUCCAGAUUGUUAACCUUGAACCGUUUAGUAAGAACGGUUAAACCAAAUUUGUUUUGCAGGUCUCUGGAAAUUAACGGCGAAAGGGUAAGCCUAAACGGCUAAUCGUUUAUUUAAAAAUUGGCCCAACGGUAACUUUGACCGGCCUAAACGGUUAACCGUUAAUGGUUAACGGCGAACCGUUUUCGAGCAAACAGUCUAUAACGGCUAGUUUUUCAGCUCCAACUAUAAAUAAGCUCAAUCCAAUUCAAACAAGAAGAAUUCCAACGAUCAUCAUUGAGCAAAAUAUUGAGAAUAUAACUUUCAUUGAGCUUUAAAUCCUUGUAUUCAUCUCAUUCAUUCACACAUUGAGCUUUCACUUGUGAUUAAACACAUUGUGUGAGAGAGAUUUAUUUGUAAUCCUUUUUGUAAAAUCAAGUUAAAAGAUUGUAAGUGUUGGGAUACACUUGGGUUAAGAGAUUGGGGAUAAUCUCUUGUUGUAAAGGUCCAUUGACACCUUGGAAGUCAAUUGUAAGCGUUUGAAGCCUUGGGAGGCUAGCUUAGUGAAAUCCUCAAGCUCGGUGAGCUUGGAGGCAUGGACGUAGGCGGGGAUUGCCGAACCACGUAAAAAUCAUUGUGUUUGUUUUCUCUUCCCUUACUCUUUUAUAUUGUGAUUGAUUUAUUUGUUAUUGCUUUAAAUUAGUUUUGGAUUUGCAUUGAGUUUUGUUUUAGAAUUGAAUAAUUUUUAAUAUCCCAAUUCACCCCCCUCUUGGGUUGCCUAGUUAGUAUUUCAUUUGGUAUCAGAGCGAGGUGUUCUUGUGUAGACUUAACCGUCUAGAGUUAAAGAUCCAUGGCAACCUAUAGUGACUCAACCUUUAGGGAAGGACAAUCCACAAUUAGACCACCGUUCUUCGACGGUAAUGACUACCCAUAUUGGAAAACUAGGAUGAGAAUUUAUUUACAAGCUUUAGAUUAUGAAAUUUGGGAAAUUGUUUGUGAUGGUCCAUUUAUGCCUUUGACUAAAAACGAAGUUGGGGAAGAUAUUCCAAAACCUUCACGGGAAUGGAAUGAAUUGGAAAAGAGAAAAGCUUCUCUAAAUUCCAAAGCCAUGAAUGCCUUGUUUUGUGCACUUGAUAAGAAAGAGUUUCAUAGAGUGUCUAGUUGUGAAAGUGCUAAUGAAAUUUGGCACAAACUUGAAGUUGUUUAUGAAGGCACGAAUCAAGUGAAAGAGUCUAAAAUUAGUAGGUACACUCGGCAAUAUGAAUUGUUCCAAAUGGAACAAAAUGAGAGUGUGUAUUCUAUGAAUACUAGAUUUACGGACAUAGUGAACACUCUAGGAGCCCUAGGAAAGACCUUUUCAAAUAGCGAGAAAGUUAAGAAAAUCAUUAGGUCGUUACCUAAGAAAUGGAGACCAAAAAGGACUGUCAUUGAGGAAGCUCAAGAUUUGAAUAUCUUACCUAUUGAUGAUUUAAUUGGUUCUCUUAUUUCUUAUGAGGAAGACAUGGCAGCCGAAAGAGGCAAUGAGGAGAAGAAGAAAAGCAUUGCUCUCAAAGCCUCGAAACAUGAGAGUGAUGAGGAAAGCGAGCUGGAUGAGGAGGAGAUGGAUAUGCUGGCUAGGAGGUUCAGAAAACUUUUUAAGAAAUCCGAUGAGCGAAGAAAAUUUAGAGACCUCAAGAACCGAAAGGAGAAGAAGGAAGUAAUCAAAUGUUAUGAGUGCAAGAAGCCUAGCCAUAUAAGAACGGAAUGCCCUCUUCUCAACAAGCUGAAGAAGAAAGCAAUGAUAGCCACAUGGGAUGAUAGCGAUGAGGAAACAAGUGAUGAUGAAGAGCAUCAAGAAAUGACAAAUCUAGCUCUCAUGGCAAUUGGAGAUGAAUCGAAUGAUGAACUUGAUGAGGUAAAUGAUCUUUUUACUUAUGAUGAAUUAUAUGAUGCUUUUAAAGAAUUACAUGAUAAUUGGAUAAAAAUUGGUAAAAAGAAUGCAUGUCUUAAAAAGAAAAUGGUAGAGCUCAAAAAUGAAAAUGAAUCUCUAUGUGCAAAGAUUACAUGCCUAGAAUUAGAGAAUAAAACAUUGCAUGAUAGAGUUGCAUUAUCAAAUGAGAAACCUAGUACUUCACAUGAGCAUCUAGAAUAUCACAUAGAUGACUUGAAAAAUGAAAAUGAAAUGCUUAAGAAGAAGAGCAAUGAGUUAAAUGAGAUUGUUUUAAGAUUUACAAAUGGACAAAAGAUGUUGGAUAACUUGAUUAAUUCACAAAAAAUGUGUGUUUGAUAAAGGAGGACUUGGUUAUAAGCCACAUUUGAAACAAAAGUAUUAUAGGAACUACUUUGUGAAGAGUACAUCUACUAACAAUCAAGUUGUAUGUCAUUAUUGUAAUCAAAACGAUCACAUGAAGCUUGGUUGUCCUAUUAAAAGAAAAGUAUAUUAUGGAGUAAAAUGUGUUUUGGUUCCAAAAGGAAAAAUUGCUAACACUCAAGGACCCAAGAGUAUUUGGGUACCAAAGGGCACAACGUGAAUGUUUUCUUUGUAGGUACCACAAUCAAGGAAUGGUGGAGAGUUCCUUGAUGAAAGCUUGUGAGGAUAAUCACUUGAGUAUGAUCUAGGAGAAAAAGAUGAGGCAAGAUGAUUUAAUUGUUUUGGUAACAAUUUUUGCCAUAUUAAUUUUGUUGAAUGAAUCAUGAUAAAUGAAUUUGCGAAAAUAUGCUUGUAUGUUUACAUGAUGGAAUUAUCAUUGUGUAUAACAUUGAGUGAUUUAUCAUGAUGCCUUUGUUUGAUUUUGAUGAUUGUAUGGUCUUUGAUUUCAUCUUCUUAAUUGUCUAUCAUCAUUGUCCAUCUCUUAUAAAUGUGUGAAUUCAUAUGCCAUUAAUUGUGUUAUAUCAUCAUUCAUGUAUAAAAUUGAACUUAGAAAUUAUGAGGAAAAAGUAGUAUCCUUCAUCUUUACAAUCAGUACAAGGAUCCCUUUUAAAUAGAGCAAUUAUAACAGAAAAGGAAACUAAUUAAGAGCUAAUAUUUGACAGCUAUCAUCUAUAUUUACAGAGGAAAGGAUCCUACAAUAUCUCUAGGAUUAAGGCUAAAUUCAAGGCCUAAUUUCCAACACUCCCCCUCAAGCUGGUUUGAAGAUAUCUUCCAUAGCCAGCUUGCUAGUCAACUUAUCAAAUUGCUUCUUGUGCAAUCCCUUUGUUAAUACAUCAGCUAACUGUUCAGUUGUUGGAAGAUAUGUCAUACAUAUUAUUCCAGUGUUGAGUUUCUCCUUGAUGAAGUGUUUAUCCACUUCUAUAUGUUUUGUUCGAUCAUGAAGAACUGGAUUAUGAGCUAUAGAAAUAGCAACUUUGUUGUCACAAUAGACUUUCAAAGGAGUUGAGAAAGUAAAUUUCAGUUCUUCAAGAAUUCUUUUUAUCCACAUAACCUCGCAGAUUCCAUGGGCAACAACUCUGAAUUCUGCUUCUGCACUACUUCUAGCAACCACAUUCUGUUUUUUACUCCGCCAUGUAACUAGGUUCCCACCAACAAAGGAACAGUAGCCAGAUGUUGAUCUCCUGUCAGUGACACUUCUUGCCCAGUCUGCAUCUGUGUAGACUUCAACUUGAAGAUGUCCAUGUUUUUUGAACAUUAGGCCCCUCCCUGGAGUUCCUUUUAGGUAUCUUAAGAUCCUGUAGACUGCCUCAAAAUGCUCUGCCCCUGGUGAGUGCAUAAACUGACUUACCAUGCUGACUGCAAAGGCGAUAUCAGGUCGCGUAUGAGACAAGUAGAUCAACUUCCCUAUGAGUUUUUGAUACUGUUCCCUAUCCUUUACUUCUUCAACCUUAGCAGGUUGUAACUUCAAGUUAGGAUCAAUUGGGGUCUCUACCAUCUUACAACCAAGCAAACCUGUUUCUCCAAGGAGAUCAAGAACAUAUUUCCUCUGAUUCACAAAUAUACCUUCCUUGGAUCUUGCAAAUUCCAUUCCAAGGAAAUACUUAAGGACUCCCAAAUCCUUAAUUUGAAACUUCUUUGCAAGUCUCUUCUUGAGGGCUGCUAAUUCUGUUUCAUCAUCACCAGUUAAAAUGAUAUCAUCAACGUAAACAAUCAAAAUUGCAAUUUUACCGUCUUUUGAGUGUUUAUAAAAUAUUGUGUGAUCUCCUUGACUCUGCAAGAAGCCAUAACUGAUAACUGCCUUUCCAAAGCGUUCAAACCAUGCUCUUGGUGACUGUUUGAGACCAUAUAAUGACUUUCUUAAUCUGCAGACUUUAUCACUACCAAGACUCUUCUCAAAUCCUGGUGGUAGACUCAUGAACACCUCCUCUUUAAGAUCACCAUUGAGAAAUGUAUUUUUAACGUCAAGUUGGUGUAAAGGCCAAUCACAAUUCACUGCAAGAGAUAACAAAAUUAUGAUAGAAUUUAUUUUAGCAACAGGAGUAAAAGUCUCAUGAUAGUAAAUCCCAUAAGUCUGAGUGAAGCCUUUAGCCACCAGCCUCGCCUUGUACCUCUCAACGCUUCCAUACGCGUUACAUUUUAUCCUAAACACCCACUUACACCCAACUAUUUUCUUGUCUCUGGGUGGAUCAACUAUCUCCCAAGUACCACUUCUCCUCAAGGCAUUCAUCUCCUCCAUGACUGCUAAUUUCCAAUUCGGGUCAUCCAGUGCUUCCUGUACAUUUCUUGGAACAAACAAGUGUGAAAUCCUAGAUGUGAAAGCUUUAUGGUUUUUUGACAGUCUUUGAUAGGAAAGAUAAUUUGCAAUAGGAUGUUUGGUGCAGUUUCGAACACCUUUCCUAAUAGCUAUAGGGACAUCAAGAUCAGAAAUAAUUGGUGAAUUAUUGGAAACAAUCGAAGGAAUCAAAGCUGGAGUUGGGAUUUGAUUACCUGAAAUUUCAGUGCCGGAACUCAGUUUUUCAAAUUGGGCUUGUGUAGGAUUGACAUUCAAGUCUUUACUUCUCAGAUGAAAUCUCUUCCUAGUAUAAACCUGAAGUUCAGAAUUUAGAUCAUGUUGAUCUGUUUGUAGUACUUCUCCCCCUGAACGAGAAUCCCUUGUACUAGGCUCUAAAGAACUUGUUUUUCUCAACUGAUCAUUAUCAGAAAAGUGUGGUCCUUGAAUAGGACAAAUAACAUUUGGAAGUGGGAUAGAAAUGUCCCAAAAAUUGUCUUCUACUCCAUUUGUCUCCCCCUGAAGAGAAUUUUUUAUGAAAUAAGGAGUUUUUUCCAAAAACGACACAUCCAUACUCACAUGAAAUGUUUUUGUUUGAGGGUCAAAACACUUAUACCCCUUUUUGUUCGAUGAAUAACCCAAAAAUACACACUUUAUAGCACGUGGGUCAAGUUUUGAACGAAAUUGACUUGGAACAUGAACAUAGACAGUACACCCAAAAACUUUGACGGGUAAAUCAGAAAACAACCUUGUUGCAGGAAAAAAUUCUUUAAGGCAAUCAAGAGGUGUUUUGUAUUUUAACACCUUGGUAGGCAUCCUGUUUAUUAAAUAAGCUGCUGUUAAAACCGCUUCACCCCAUAAAUACUUAGGAAUAUGCAUGUAAAACAUUAUGGCACGUGCUACCUCAAGUAAAUGUUUAUUUUUCCGUUCUGCAAUGCCAUUUUGUUGAGGGGUAUUCCGACAUGUAGAUUGAUGAAAAAUGCCUUUAUCAUUCAAAUACUCACCCAAGUGCUCAUUGAAAUAUUCUGUUCCAUUGUCAGAAUGUAAAAUACCAAUUCUAGUUUGAAAUUGAUUUUCAAUCAUAGUGUAAAAAUUUUCAAAUAAAUAUUUUACGUCAGAUUUUUUAUGCAUGAGAUAAAUCCAACAUAAACGAGUAUGGUCAUCAAUAAAAGUAACAAACCAUUUUUUACCGGAAAGGGUAGUGACCUGAGAAGGACCCCAAACAUCACUAUGAAUCAAAUAAAAAGGUUUGGAGGCCUGGUACUGUUUUGGCAAAUAAGUAGAACGAUGAAGUUUUGCAAAAGUGCAACAUUCACAAUAAAAAGAAGAGCAAUCAAUCCCUUUAAAUAAUUCUGGAAAUAAGUAUUUCAAAUAAAGAAAACUAGGAUGUCCUAGUCUAUAGUGCCAUAGCAUUAUUUUUUCUCGAACAGAAAUUGAACUAGUACUAAUAAAGUUCUGAGCUUUUUUAUUACUAAUAGGUACUUCAUCAAAGUAGUAAAGACCUUCAAUCAUCCUAGCACGUCCAAUCAUCAUCCCCGAGUUCUGGUCCUGAAAUUCACAAUGUGAUUCAAAUAAGGUAAUACGACAAUUAGAAUCUCUAGAUAAUUUACUAACAGACAAAAGACUGCAGGCUAAUUUAGGGACAUGAAGAACAAAAUUGAGAUUAAUUUUCUCGGUCAGUUUGAUAAGUCCUUCUCCUGCAAUAGGUGAAAAACUACCAUCGGCAAUUCUAAUUUUUUUAUUUCCAGAACAAGGAGAAUAGGUAUUAAAUAAAUGAAAAGAACUAGUCAUGUGAUCAGAGGCUCCAGAAUCUAUGAUCCAUGGAGAAGAGUUUAAACAAGAAAGGGCUAUAGGAUUUCUACCUGUUUUUGCCAAAGAAACACUAGGAAUACCAGACGAGAAGUUGGAUUUUAUCAGCUUCAGGAGUUGAUCAAUCUGCUCUUUGUUAAAGUGGCCUGAGUUGGCUUCAUUGGCCGAAGGAAUCCCACGAUUCUUCUCUCCUUGCUUGCUGCUUUUCCAGUUUUCAGGUUUGCCAUGAAGCUUCCAACACUUCUCACGUGUAUGGCGAGGCUUGUGGCAAUGAUCGCACCAGGCCUGUGACUUAUCAUCAGACCUGCGCUGAUAAUUUGCAGUCUUGUAGGCUGCUGCAUCAGUAAUUAAGGCAGAAUUCUCAAUUGACUCACCGGCACUCCUUUUCCUGAGCAUUACGCUCCUUCGACUUUCUUCUCUUCUGACUUCAGCAAAGACUUCGCCAAUGGGUGGUAGAGGAGGUCUGCCAAUAAUCCUCCCUCGUACUUCAUCAAACUCAACAUUGAGGCCGGCAAGAAACUUGUAAAUACGACUGUCUUCCACGGUUUUCUUGUGGUGGUUGCAGUCAUCAGCGGAUUUCCAUUCAUAUGUGUUGAAGAGGUCAAGAUCUUGCCACAACCUUUUCAAAGAAUUGAAAUAUUUGGUGACAGAAUCAUCACCUUGACGAAUCUCUCCCAACCUUAAAGUUAACUCAAAAACCUGAGAUUGGUUGCCCAGGUCAGAAUACAUCUGACUAACGUUGUCCCACAAUUCUUUAGCAGUAGGAUAGCACAUAUAAUUGGAGCUUAUAUCCUCCUCCAUGGAGUUGACCAGCCAUGUCAUAACCAUGGAAUUUUCAGCAUCCCAAGUGGCAUACAGCGGAUCAUCAUUAGCAGGAACCUUCUUGUCACCAGUGAUGUAACCAAUUUUUCCUUGCCCACGGAUAUACAUCCGGACAGAUUGCGACCAGCGGAGGAAGUUGUCGCCAUUUAAGCGGAUGGUGGUGAUUUGAACAGAAUGAGAGUUGGAGUGGUUUCGCAGGGUCUCAGAUGUUUUUUCUGGAAUGGCAGCAGCAAGGGUUUGAGUGGUUUCAGACGUGACUUCUGACAUGGUUGCAGACACGAUUCCCUAUGCUCUGAUACCAACUUAGAAAUUAUGAGGAAAAAGUAGUAUCCUUCAUUUUUACAAUCAGUACAAGGAUCCCUUUUAAAUAGAGCAAUUAUAACAGAAAAGGAAACUAAUUAAGAGCUAAUAUUUGACAACUAUCAUCUAUAUUUACAGAGGAAAGGAUCCUACAAUAUCUCUAGGAUUAAGGCUAAAAUCAAGGCCUAAUUUCCAACAAUUGACAUUAUUGUUUGAUACGAUUUCAUAUGUUUGGUCUUGUAUACAUUUAUGCCUCAUGCAUUAAAAUGGCUUAUAAAACAUUUUUGGAUCAAUUAGUUAGUAUUUCAGGGGCAAGUAAUCGAGUAACGGAUGCACUCUCACUCUUAACAGAACCAGCAGAGUGUUCAGCUUUGGCGAUUCCUCAGUGCCAACAUUGGGAUUCCUUAAAGGUUGAGUUGGCAGAGGAUACCUUUCUGAAGAAACUAAGGGAAGACAUAACUUCGGGUACACAAUCUCACGUGGGGUUCUCAGUUGAGCAUGGAGUAUUGUUCUACAAGAGUCGGCUGGUUAUUCCUCAGACUACUAAGCUUCUUUUUGCUCUCAUAGGAGAGUUUCACACCACUCCGAUUGGGGGACAUUCGGGAGAAACAAAAACUUACCAACGCUUAGCAGCAGAAUUGUAUUGGAUAGGUAUGCGCAAGGAUGUCACCAGAUUUGUACGGGAAUGCACCAUCUGCCAGCAGAAUAAGUACUUGGCCACUACUCCCGCAGGGUUACUUCAACCUAUUCGACUACCAGCCCAGGUUUGGGAGGAAGUCACACUUGAUUUUAUUGAGAGGUUGCCUCGUUCUGAAGGGUGGGAUGCCAUCUUAGUAGUGGUGGACAGGCUGAGUAAGUAGGCUCACUUCAUAGGAUUAAAACAUCAUUUUUCUGCUGUUUCGGUUGCUGGAAUCUUUGUUCGUGAAAUUGUUAGGCUUCAUGGGAUACCACGGUCAAUUAUCUCUGACCGAGAUAGGAUAUUCUUGAGCCAUUUUUGGAGUGAAUUGUUGAAGCUGCAGGGAACUACUCUCAAAAGAAGCACCGCCUAUCAUCCACAAUCUGAUGGACAAACAGAAGUUGUCAACCGUUGUUUGGAAACGUAUCUAUGCUGCUUUGCUUCUGGAAAACCUCGAAGUUGGGCUCGCUCGUUGGCAUGGGCUGAGUAUUGGCAUAAUACUUCCUUCUACUCUUCUACACAUUGUACUCCAUUUCGUGCUCUCUAUGGAAGGGAUCCACCCCCUCUUAUUCGGUAUGAGCAAGGAGCUGCUUCGGUAUCUUUGGUAGAACAGUUAAUGGAGGAUCGUGAUGCCAUACUGGACGACCUGAGGAUGCAGUUGCUUCGUGCCCAGCAGCGGAUGAAGCUGCAAGCUGAUCAAAAGCGCCAUCAUGUAGAGUUCAAUGCAGGUGAUUUGGUAUUUCUGAAACUAAGACCUUACCGGCAGCGCUCCCUCGCUCAACGUAAGUUUGAGAAAUUAGUUGCACGUUACUACGGUCCAUUUAAGGUUCUUCAGCGUGUCGGGAAGGUGGCAUACAAACUAGAACUGCCUCAAACAGCAAAACUCCACCCUAUCUUUCAUGUUUCGCAGUUGAAAGAUAAGGUUUCAAACAACAAACUACAUACUAGUUUUCCUACUUCCAACAACAUUCUGCUCUCUACUGUGUUGUUUAUCUAACCAUUUCAGUUCAGGGCUUAUCAGUUGUUUCUUAUGGUAUUUAUAUAUCCGACAUAUUCUAGUUCGACAUGUAACGAUGUAGUUUGGUUGGUUCUUCUUGCUUUUUGUGCAAUUUGUAACUGCAGAUACGUGUGGGAAAACAUUUAAUGGAUCUUGUUGCUGUUGAUUAGUUCAAAGACAAAGAGAAUGGACCAUGUAGCUAGGCGUCAAGGCUGUGAUGCACAAGUAACUAUUCUUUUCUUUUUUAUUUUUCCUUUUCCAUUGACGGAUUAGAAGAAAAUACUGCCUGUGAGAUACUACAAUAUAAAUAACUUCUGGUGGUUCAUUGAAUCUAUAACACUCUGAGCCCUAUUCUAAAAUAUGUAGGUUGCUUCCAAAAAAGGGCUUUUCUCACUGAUCUUUAAUCUUCAAGUAAGCUUGUUUCAUUUCAGAAGGUAUUAAGUUUCAAACUUAUCGUUUUGGGAGGUUGUAUGGUUGUAACGUAAGCAUCUGCAGGUUCCUGGUUCAACAAAUUAUAGUAUGGUAUUUUAUUUUGUCACAAGGGAAUUAAUUACAGGAUCCCUUUUGCAAUGGUUUGUUGACGGCGAUGAUGAAUUUCGCAAUGAAACUUAUCCCAUCCGUUCCUAAGGUAUCCGUCUUGGUCUUCAUGUAUUAGGACUAUGUUAACUAAUACGUACCCUCCGCUGCAUAGUACACUUUAAUUUGUACAAAGAAGGCAUGCAUUUAGGUGUAAAUGUAUUAAUGGGUUGUACCUUCAAACUUCAUUUCCUUUUUCUACCGAUUUGAAUUUGUUUUGCAUUUGUUCUUGAUUUUAAGCAUUGAAUCAUGCAGGGGUCAUGGAUCGUGCGCCAGAGUGAUGGAAGCACCCCUUGUUUAUUAGGAAAAGCAGUUGAUUGUAACUAUAUCCGCGGUCCUAAGUACUUAGAAGUAAAUGCUCUUCGAAUUUCUAUAGUACAUGGGAUGUGUUCCCUUUCGAAUAGCUUGUUCAAUACCAUUAACAUGGUUUAACAUUGUUCAUCUUUCUGCAGAUUGAUGUUGGCAUGUUCUUCUACUGUUGCUAAUGGAGUUUUGGGCCUUGUAAUUGGUGUAAUUACGGCAGUGGUGGUUGACAUGGCUUUCCUUGUACAGGUAUGUAUGAUUGUUUUUUUCCUCUACUUCUAAAUGGACACAAGGGAAAAGACAUGAUUUUGAGAUAUUGUACUGCAAUUUGCAUAUUUGCAUACUUGAAUGUUCUCAGAAUGGUAUAAUGCUUCGUGUAUGCAGGCAAAUACUACAGGUGAAUUACCGGAGCGGCUGAUUGGAGCUGUACGUGUUUCUUAUAUAGAACUCAAGUCUGCUAUUGUCCCAAAGUUGGAACCAGAGACAUCAUGACUGUGUUUUCAUUUCACCUCAACUGUUUGUUUUUAAUUUAAAAAAAAUCAUUUGUUUUAGGUAUACAUACAUGUAUUUUGAUCCCGUUUUCAUUGUAAUUUCUCAUUUACUUUGAAAGAAAGUCAUUGGUGUUUUCGAAUGGGAAUUUUGCAUUAAAAAAUAAAGAAUACUUAAUAGGAAAUUUCAUGAUUCUUUAGUUACUAUUUUUGGAAUGAGUGUAAUAGUAUUAAAGUUGGUUUCUACUCGCAAACAAGUGAACUACUCGAUCCCCAACUGUGACCACGCUAAUUGUCAUUGUUUAAUAGCUACUACUUUUAAAACUCAACAACUAACAAAAAUACUAAUAAAAAAAUGAUUUUCUUAUGAUGCUGUGAAAACAUUUAUGGGUUCACUUAUUUCCACAAGAUCUAUAACAUGGUCUUGACUUCACGAAAUUCUUUUAAUUUAAAGGGUGCUGGUAUGAGAAAAUCAGUUUUACGGAUUAAUUCCUUUUAAUAAUGGUCGAGUUAAUUUUACUAUACUCAUAAAACUAUUCUUAUUCUGAUAAUGCCACAAAUGUUAUGCUGUUUUCUUCAGCUAAUGAUCUUCUAUCAGGACUAGUUAGAAAUCAAAUGCUUAAAACACCAAUUGAAUGAAUGAUGCAGAAGUUUAAACAGUAUCUAAUUGAAAAUUGCCUGAAACAUGAAACAUCAAUUCAAGUCCUUCCUUAAACAGAGAAUGCAUCAAACAAAUCCAAAGUGUCUUUCAAGUCUGUAGCAUGACUAAAAAAUUGUAAAUGCGUUCAGAACCAAAUUAUUCAAGUACAGGAGAACGAGCAAGUUGAAUCAUGUACAAGAGGUUGACCUAGUUCUAGAUAGCUUCUUCACUGUACCUGAAGGGUUGGCUCAAUCUUUUCUUUAGAAUUCUGCACAUUUUGUAAUUACUCGUGUAAGCAAGCAUACAUUACAAUCAUAAUAAUAAUAAAGCAAGAGUAAUGAUACGACCACAACCUCUUGUGCACAAAUAAUAUUGUACAAACUAACAUGACAUAAUAUGAUUGAGUAAUGAUACGACCACAAUCUUUUGUGCACAAAUAAUAUUGUACAAACUAAUAUGAUGUAAUAUGAUUGAUUAAACAAAAACAUAACAUAACCCUUAUAAUUUAUUUAUUAUUAUUUUAUAUUUUCAAUCAAGCAAUCAUAUUAUGCCACGUUAAUAGCUAUAGAAAUAAUUUGCUAGAUAGUGCCAACACUUCAUUGAUACUCACCAUUUCAUUGAACAAUUUUUUUAUGGUGUCAUUGAGGUUGCCUUCCCCACAUCCUUCAUCAUCAUCUUUUUCUUCUUCGGUGACGUUCACUUUGUUUAGCAUUGGUGUGUCUAAGACUCCUUGAGAGAAGAUCUUCAUUUUUGGACACUGUCUCACAACUACUUGUUUCAAGGACGGGAAUUCAAGAGCGUAAUUACCCAAACAAAAGCUUGUUAGGAUUGGCAAACAAUCAAGUUCCAAGUACUUUAAUUCCUUGAAAACAAUGCAAUCUUUCGUUUUUUCUCCAACCUGCGAUUGUAUGAUUUCUUCUAUCAUUUUGCAAUCAGCUAUCUUUAUUCUUUGAAGAUUCACUAGAUUUUUAGAUGCUGAGAGCGUCAACGCAUUUAUCAACCCGUGACACUUCGAUACUUGUAGUCCCCACAGAUUUUCCAAAUGCCACGAAGGUGGUACUAAUUUUUGUAACUUACUACAUUCUGAUAUUUCUAGACUUCCCAAGUUUGCAAACGCUUUGUUGGAUUCGUCAUUUUCCUUCCAGAGAUGCUGCACUUUGUGUAAUUUAGACAGCUUUAACUCCCUCAAUUUAGGGAAUGCAACCUGAAAAUCAACAAAAUUAAGUUGUAAAUUAAAAUAUGUAUCCAAUCUCUGCAGUCUUCCCCUGCAUAUUUUAUGGACAAGAUUAAUCACGACAUUUUAUAUUUUUUUUUCCAAAUUAGUAUGCUUUGCAGUAGGAUCCCAAAUAUAAGUAUCAAAUCGAUUACCCUUUGAAACACAUAAAUGAAAUCUGAUACUAAAUCCAAAUGAAUUAGCUAGGAAAACAGAGAUGCGACAAGCAUAAUUGAAAUAUAGUUCAUCACCUCAUGUUACCAGUCAUCGAAAUAAUUUAAGACAUUUUUAUAAUUCAUACUAUAAAGUUAGUUAAUAACUACGGUUAUAUUGUUAAAUCAGAUAUAAAUUAAGACGACGUGCAAAAAGAUGAGUCAUUAAAUUUGAUUUGAUUCUAAUGAAAUUAUAUCUGUGCGAAUGAAAGUGAAGGGAAAAAUAAUAAUAAUGAUUACCUUUUCAUUGAAGAGAUGUUGUAUUUGAUUAGCUACCAAGAUGUUCUCUUCUGAUUUUAAUUUUUGAGCUUCCUUAUUAUCUGCUGUCAUGUGCAGUACAGAUGUAGAAUUGGAUAUGAAUGUUUCCAUAUCAGGGCAAUUCUCAAUAGUUAGAUAUCUCAACUCAGGCAGUUCAAUUAUAUUCCCAGUGAAGUUGUAGAAUCUUUUGAGUUUUGGAAGAUCAAUGAGCCUUAGCCAGGAAAGCCUAGGAAACAGGGGGCCUAUAUGUUCUUCCUUAGCAUUUAGCUCUUCCAAAUGAAGCACCUCUUCUAGUGAAUCACAAUUCCUCACUUCUAGGUACCUUAAAUUGUUCAAGCAUCGUAGCAGAUUGGCAGGAAUAGCACUCGACAUAUUCGUGCAGUCAUCCACCACCAGCUCUCUUAAAUUGUUGAAGAAGCUGACAGGCAGUGCUUGGCCAUGCCAUAUUUCUUGCAAGCGUGGAAAAUGCGAGAGUUGCAAAUCCUUUAUAUCACGAAAUCCAAUCUGCACAAACCAAAACAAUUGCACUGGAUAUAUACAAAUUUUUUUUUAAAGGCAUUAUAUAUAUACACAUUAAACUUACAUGUUUUGUGUUUUAACUUUUAAAAAUAUAUAUACAAGGGAGGUGUAUAUGCUUAAAUGUGCAAGUGCAGGGGAGAUGCAUGAACAAUUUGGGUGAAUCGAUUAACACAUACCAUUUCUUCAUAACACUUUUGUAUAGUGGAAUUAAGGUUGCCUUCCCAAUGGUGCGGUUCACCCUCUUCCUUUUUACUCACUUGGACUUUGUAUAGCUUUGGUGUGGAUAAGAUUCCCAGAGAAAAAGUCAUCAUGUCCGGACAAAGUGUCACAAAAACUUGUUCCAGUGAUGGGAAUUCAAGAGUGUAAUUCUCCAAACAAAAGCUGGUAAGCCUUGGUAAAUCAUCAAGUAUCAAAACUUUUAAUUUGCUGAAAGCAAUACGAUUCUCCUUCACUUCUUGUCCAACAUGUCCUACGAUUUCUUCUAAUUUUGGGCAACCCGAUACUUUAAGAUUCACUAGACUACUAGGAAUUCCAACCUUAUUAUGAAAUGUCUGUGUGCAUGUGUGUGUGUAUUAAAAAAGUAAAAAUGUAAGAAUAUCAUUCAACUAGAUUCAAAGUAUGGUUAAUCAUACAAUUAUACAUUUUAUGAACAUAACAAAUUAUGAAAUGUCUACUAGAUAUUUUUUGUCAAACAAAAACGGAACAAGAUAAAUAAAUAAAUAAAAGCCACAUAAACAAAGAUAAUAAAAAUGCAUUUACACUAUUUAGUAUUAGGAACGUAGCAAGAAUUUAAGGCAAUUUCUAAAUAUUUUAGACUUAUUUUGCAUCUUGACGCCAGUUUUUAAACAAAAUUUGCAAAUUUCAACUAUUCCUUUUGGGAAAAAAAAUCAACCAAAAUGCCGCUUUUUCCCUUUUUCCUUGGUCCCUUUUUUUUAUGUAUAUUUAAUUUUGGAAACAAAAUUAAAGUGGAUCUUUAUUAAGUACUUGCAGACUCGAGGAAAUUUCUUUACAAUCAAGGAUCAGUUGUAAAUAAUCAUGAAUUUGUGGUUAAUUAAUGGCAUAAUCAGUUCGAACUAAACAAGAGAUAUUAAUUAAAUUUGAAGACUUUUCUUUUCUUUUUUUUUUCUUUUUCCAAUCAAAAUGUGAAGAAUUAAGGAAAAGAGAAAUAUAUAGAUGAAUUUGUGAACCUAUAAGAUGAGUGACUAUCCUUUAAUUUUUGAUAAUUGUACUUAUUAAGAUAUGAGCAGAAACAAUUAAAUUGAAUUAUAUUAUGCUGUUGAAUCGUGAUUAAAAAAAUUAUAUUGUUGAUUCUAAUGCUGGCAAACCUAAAAACUGGACUUAAAAUGUAGAUUUGAGAGUGGUGGUUCGAAGUACAAUACUUGAAAUAAAUAAUCAGUGGCUGAAUAUCAUUUGUAACCCAAAAAUGGUUAAAAUAUUGUUGGAUGUAAUUUGAAAAAAAAAAAAAAAGAUUCGAAAUGAAUACAACAACCUUACCAAUGGAGGAAAAAUAUUCAUUAGGUUAUCACACCUAGAUAUCUCCAAAUUCUUCAAUUUCCUGAAAGACUCCAAAGCAAGCUGGUGGUGCCAUAUUGUUCUCAGGUUAGCCAUCCACGCAAUAUCUAAUACCUCCAACCUAGGAAGUAGUACCUGGCAGUUAAAGAUUAAAUAACUAAUUAAUCGGCAUAAUCUAUUGAUAACCAAAUUAGAGGCGGAUAUUAACUAAAUUUGAAGACUCAAGGAAAAGACAAAUUAAAUAUUGUGGCUAAAAUUAAUUAAAAAAAAAACCUUUUCGUCAAAGAGAGGUGGAGAUUGCAUUUCAGAAUGAAGGGUGUCUGCUGGUGAGCUCGUAGAGAUGAAUCUUAACAUAUUAUUGCAACCAUGGAUCUCCAGGUUUAGCAAAGAAGGGAAUUCAACAACUAAAUCUGAAUGAAUCUGUCCCGUAUUGGCAAAACUUGUUAGUUCUGGAAGCCAUUCUAGCUUGAGGGAGUGUAGUUUAGGAAAAACCUUUAAUUCAAUCAACUUUCCUUCAUCUCUUUCUGACCACCCCGUGGUGUCGACUACCCCUUCCAUUGACUCACAAUAGCUUAUCUCAAGAUGUUGGAGUUUCGCAAGACUAUUAACCAUAGAAUAUGAAAACAGAUACUUCAGACAAUCACAACUCCACACGAUGACCUUUGUUAAGUUUUGACAACAGUACAUUCCUUGAUUAUGAUCGGCCCAUAAUUUUUUCAUGUUUCUUAAGUUCCUGAUAUUCAAUUCCUCUAAGCUCGGAAGAAUAAUAACCUGCAAAGAAAACCCGUACAUUUUUGUUCCUUCAAGUACAACCGUCUAGUAUAAUAUUUUUUGAUGAUCGAAGAUUAAUCGUGAAUCCGUGAUAAUAAAUUAAUCAAUUAAUUAUUGAACAGAAAAUUAUCACCUUUGGAGCAGGGUCAUCAUCAGCAAUGAUUUCGUUAAAUCCCAAAGAAGAAGUUGGUUUCUCCCUGUCGGGUCCUAUAAACAAACAAAAACAAUAUACAUAAUUAAUCUUUGUUCUUUUUUUUUUUUUGGUCCAAAAUAAUUGAAGAGAAGUCCAUAAUCCCACCAAUACUUAACUUCAACACUUACCAAAAAUCAUUUCCAGAUCAUGGCAAAACUCCACUUCUACCUUUUGAAGCCGCAGUAGGUUUUUGGCUAUGGAGAAUGAGAAAAGAUGCUUCAAUUUGUAACAGGAAUAUACUUCUAUAAUCCUUAAGUUGCUGAAAGAUUGAUCUUCUGUGAGUUGGCUGUCACAUAUUGUCUCCAAAUUGAUCAAACGACGAAGAGACAAUGACUCCAGCAAGGGGAAGACUUUGCGACGAACCCGUCCAACUGAACGGACAAUAUGCAAAAUCUCAGAACAACUUUUUACAGAAAGAUGCUUCAAUCGUGGAAAACCUUCCCCAUCAUCUAAUUCACCCUUCAGUUCUUCUAGAUAGAGAUAUUCAGUUCUCUUCAACAACAGUUUCAUCCUGUAAUUCUGCAAAAGAAUGCCAAACUUUUCUAGCCCCUGGAGCUUCAUCAAUCUUGAUAAUCCAGAUUUAACGGACCGGCUGCUCCACCACGUAUUUCCUAUACAUAUCCUAUAGCUUUGCAAUUCCACAGAGACCAAAUCCUGUGGUAGAAUUUCGGCAUCCCGAACGUGUAUCUCCAAAGUAGUUAGCUUUGACAACCCCUUCAACUCAACAAGACUGGCGUUACUUCCUCCUUCAACCUUCUCCCACUGUGAAAAGCUGUUACUCAUAUAUAGUUCUUCUAAUCGAGAUAAUUUUGAUAUGACAUUUGGAGCUAUCACCACAAGGCUGCUACAAUUGCUCAAAUCUAGCAACUGUAAUCUCGUCAAUUGUCCAAUUACAAGUGGCAACUCCUUAACAUCAGAAUCUCGAAGGCUGAGAAUCUCUAAUUUCUUUAGCUGUCCAACUAUUGCUAUAUCUUUUAGUCCGCAACCAUCUAAACAAAAUGUUUGAAGGUUAAUGAGGCGACCAAGUGAUGAAGGUAAUGAAGAGAAAGGAAUUCUAGUAAGACUUAACACUUUGAGUUCUUCUGUCCCUUCAAAAAAGAGGUCUGAAAUUUGCAUAGGGCCAUAACCCUUUCCAAACAACAAAAAUAACUGGAGAUUGGGACAUUGCAACCUUUCAGGGAGCUCUUGGAUAUCUCUAUGAGGCAAUGAAAUAGCAAUUGGUCCUUUCUGUUUCGUCUCUUCCAUCUUUUUCUCAACGUCAGCAACAUUUGGAAUAUUAAACAUGCGCUUCUCUGCGGCAAUUGAUACGGCAACAACAUGAAUGACGUCAUGCAUUUUAACUUCAUCUUCAGCAUCACCGUCCAACAAUAAGCAUGAAGAUUUGAGAUUGUCGAUCAACCGAUGCACUCUACUCCUUGCUUCUUCCAAUGUGUAAACAUUUUCAAACAAACCCCAACCCACGCCAUAUCUCAAUAAGUCAGAAACUUCUAUGGCAUCACCUUCACUGUACAGACCACAAAGACGGAACAAAGAUUUUGCCUCCGCACUUUCCAAGAAGUCAUAACUCAAUAUUAUGGAGGUGUACACAUUUGCUUGCAUGCCAUGAAUUUCUCUUGCAUCCGAUCUUCUUAGCUGAUUCAAUGCAUCUUUCCAAAAGUCAAGCUCCUUAGUUUUCAGAGCAUUUGCAACUGUACUCAGUGCAACAGGCAAACCUCCGCAUCUUUCAACGAUCUCAUUUGCCAUACUUUGAAAAGCAGAUAUUUUAGUUGAAUCACCCACUAUCUUCUCAAAUAACUGCAAUGCUUCUUCUUUUGAUAAAGCAUCGAUCCAGAAAAUUUUCUGACAAUUCAUAUCAUUGCACAAUAAAUCUCGACUUCUAGACGUCAAUAUUAUUGUGCAUCUUCUCUGAUCAUCCUCUCUAUCUUUCUCAUCAACAUCUCCAGAAGGAAUUCCAACCGCAUCCAACUCAAGUUUUGUCCAAAUAUUAUCCAAUAUAAUGAGGACCCGCUUCUCUUGCUUCAACCUUUCACGCAGUCGAGAAGCUCUAUGGUGUAUACUAUCAUUCAAGUCAAAUUUCAUGCCUAAAUCAGAAGCGAGCUUGUCUUGAAUUUUCUGGGGAUCUGGGUUCUGUGUUACCUCAGCCAUAACGACCUUAUCGAUCAACUUAUCUUCCAUCACUUUCUUAGCAACUUGCUUGACUAGCGUGGUUUUACCCACGCCGCCCAUGCCGUAGACCCCAAUUAUGUUGAGCUUAUCAUCCUUCAACGCCUCCAUAACAUCCUGAAAUACUUUCAUUCUUGAAUCAAAGGCCUCGUUAUCUUUCCCGUCAUUAAGUCCUGUGCUCUUUGGAGUAGGACGGUAGGAAACAUUAGAGAAGUUGCCUUUUCCCACGAGACCAGCGGCAGCUUCUGCGGCCUUUGCUGCUUGUUUACUAAGCUUGUAACGGGACAUCAAAUUUGGGCACAAUCCUUUGAAGCAGAACUUCUUAGCUCUUUCUUCAUCAUCAAUGAUGGAUUUUGCAACCCCUUCACUUAUGAAUUCAUCAACGCUAUGUAGCCAGUCUGUGACACCCUCAUAAAGCUCAUCCCCUUGUAGCCUAGCAUGAUUAACUGGUUGCUGCACCGUUUCUCUUUUAUAUCCCAGCUGCUUUACUUGAUCUUUUAGAUCAUCUAUGUAGCUCUGGUACUUGAACACAUAAGAUAUCUGCCGUAUAAUCGGUUUGAACAAUGACUUUGCACCUUCUGAUACGAUGCUGGAGAAAGCUGCAAGACCCACCUCUGCCAUUGCCUGCUGCUUAACAAAUCUAAUAAAAUGUCAAAGAAAGGAAUUCAAAUAAAUUAAAAUGAACUAGAGGGAAAGACAAAAAAGGAAAAGGCAGUAAACAGUGUCGCAACAUUGAUCUUGAAUCAACUGAAACAUGAACAGAGCAUUUUUUCUUCUUUGUUAAGGAUCAGAGUUUUUGCUAUUAACAAAACCUACUUCAAGCGUCUUAAAAAAAAAAACUGUAAAUUUACCAUAAAUGAACAAUAACUACAAAACUCAAGCAAAACAAGCCACAGAAUUUUUAUCUUGGAAAGUGGAUGGAAUUAAGAAAGAAAUGCUAUAAAGAUCAAGCAUCAGAGAUUAUGCUAUUAAAAGAAAUUAAUUGAAGGUUUUAGAUCAAGUGCGCCUAUUUAAUUAUGUGGGGUCAGAAAGUUGAUGAGCCUCUGUGAUCGCCUUGAAUAUUUAAGAGCAAUUUCAAUGAGCAAAAAAUUUCUGUUACCUGCAGAGGAAUGUGAUUAUAGAGAGCUUAUAGGGUAAUGACAAUGAUUUGGAAAAGAAGAAGACUUAAUCAUGCAGCCCUUAAUAUUUAUUAAAUGACUUGUGAUCAUUUCUUUUAUGAAUAAAAUGCCAAUAGCAAAAAGAGAAAAAAGGGCGAAAUUUACUAAGUCUUAUUUUAUUUUUAAUUUCUUUUAUUUCCAUUCGCCGAAGAGGGAAUCUCUCCCUCUUUUUGUUUUUUUUUAAGGGGAAUCUCCUUACCUAAUAUGACAUAAUGAAAGCAAUCUGUAAAUAGUCAUAUAAUGUAAUAAUUAAAAAUACCCACAUAUUUAUAAUAUUAAUGAUGGGAUCCAUGUGUUUAUACUAAUUAAAUUGGUGGACCAGAAUUUAUUUGACCGUACUUGUUUUCUAUUUAAUUAAGAUUGAAACGAUAGAGAAAAAUUGUCGUAUUGAUUGUUUCGAUUGUGGAGUUCCAACACUGAAAGUGAAGAUUUCAUCAACUUUCUCACAUGGACACGUACCGUCAUGCAUAUUGCAUUAUUUUCCUAGAAAAGCAAGAUUAAUUCUUUUAAUAAUUGUGAAUUCAGGAAAACAGGUGGAUAAUAACUAAAAUAUUUAUUUUUAUAUUUUUGAUAAACGCACUCACUAUUAAUAGAAUUCAUUAGAUAUCAUAACUUAAAUAACUUUUUGUGAUUGAUUGAGGGUAUCUUUUACUUCCCAAUAAUUAACUUCUAUGUUGAUUCUCAGAAAAUUAAUUUUACGAAUAAUUUAGUAGGGUGUUUGGUAAAUGAUGAUUAUUUGACAAUCAGUUUUCAAAUAGUCUACUAUACAAAUUUGAUAAGUGAAAAUUGAAAGUGUAAUAUUCAUGUGCAAUGAUAAAAAUGUACUUGUUUGCUUAUUUGUAGCUUAUUUAGAAUAUUAUUAUUAACAUCAUUUUUUUAUUUACUGGAUUUUUAAAGAGUAUAUUCUACUUUCUUUAUUACAUAUCUAUAUCAUUUUUUUAUUAACUAUUUUAAUUUGCAAUAAAACUAACUUUAAUAUUUUUUAACUAAAAAAUUCAUGCUAACAUAUUAUUAAAUUGAUUAAUAAAUAAGUGCAAAAAGAAAAUGCAAAAAUUUAAUCUUUAUAUAAACUUUUAUGUACAUAAAACUAUUGCAAUCAAAGUAGUUCAUAAAAAUAAAAUAUUCUAUACAUGUGUGUAAAAAAAAAAUAUAACUACAAUAUUGUCCACUCAUUAAAUUUGCAGCACUAUUAUUUCUCAGUCUCCCCAUCUCUCGACCUUUACCUUUAGGAACAUUAACACCAUGAUCUUCUUCUUGAAUUCGACCUCCAUUUCCACAGUAUCAACAAGGCGAUCAAUUUGCUGUGACAGCCUUUCAACUCCUCCCACUUUCCUCCCUUUUGAGGCCGCCCUUUUUCUUUUUCUUUCUUUGAUAGCUUCAAUGGGAACAAACUCAUCUAACGACAAGUACAUUCUUCAACCACAGUAGAAUUGGUUGUUGAUAUUUUACUACUCUCAUAUGGUAUGUAAACAUGGUCACCAGUGAUUGUUAUAUUAAAAAAAAAUUCUAUUCAAUUUUUCCUCUGACUUUGUGUCGAUACCUUUCAUGCAAAAUCUAUUUGCUUCAGAAAUUUCUUCCGUAUGUUGAUAUCAUAUUAAAGUGAAUUCAAGAUCCUAUAUUAUUUUGCAUGACAUCAAAGUUUAGCCGAAUGGUAAAGAAUUUCCCUUUUUGUUUGUCCCACAACUAUAUAGUCUCAUUUUUGGCAAUAAGCUCACAAUAUGCACGGAAAUGAAGAUUUAUUAAAAACUUCCCUAUAAUAUUAAACACUAAACAAUAUCACUAUAACCAAAGUUGGCUGGUGUGAGUGGUUCGGCACUCUCACUCCUUAAGAGAGGUCAGGGGUUCAAGCCCCGCUCUCGUAUGGAGUCACCACUUUGGCCAGCACUUUACCCCUUAUGGGCCGACCCGGUGCGAGCGGGGAUUAGUCUGGGUUGUGGUACGGGCUUAAAGGUGCCUCCCACAGUUGGGGCCCACUCAGGACCACCUCGUGGUUCAGACCAAAAAAAAAAAAUAAACAAUAUCACUAUGUUGUGCAUAUGGUGCCUCGUCAACAAUUUGAUGUUCAUUUUGUUGCUCGGGUGAAUAUGACUACUUGGGUUGCGAGUCCAUGCUUUUGUCGUUUGGAUGGAGGACGGGCCAUCUUUUUAUUUUAGAUGGUUUGUAGGACUUUUGAUAAUUAUUUUUCUAAAACUGAUUUCUGGUUAAUAAGACCUAUGAAAGCAUUCGAAGAAGCCACCGAACUCAGAGGAAAGCCAUGGUUAAAUAUACUGCGAAGUAUGUGAGCUCGUUUUUUAAUCUCUUGAUCACUCAUAAGCUUUUCUAUACCACUCACUAUAUCAUCCUUUUGAAUCAAUUUUGAUUGAUCAUCAGAGAUCAUGUACCCACCUUGAGAUGAUUGAUCACAAAUUUGGCAUUGUAAUGUUGGUCACCUCUAAUUGGCCAUGCUAAAAUUGGGACUUGACAACCAAUUGUUUCACUGUUGAAUUCCAUCCACAGUGAGAUAAAAAUUCACCCGUUGAUUCAUGUCCCGCUCUCUUAUGAAGUCACCACUUUGGCCAGUACUUUACCCUUUAUGGGCCAACCCGGUGCGAGCGGGGAUUAGUCUGAGUUGUGGUACGGGCUUAAAGGUGUCUUCCACAGUUGGAGCCCACUCAGGACCACCUCGUGGUUCAAACAAAAAAAAAAAAAUCCACCCGUUGAUUGAUGACUCAAUAUCAAUAAUUGUGGGGCUCAUCCAUCUAUUAUCAAACCCGUUUCACCGACUUUAUUAUCCAAACCACUACGAAAAUAACUGCCUUCUACUGGUUUGUUCAAAUGACGUAGAGGAUCCAAUCUACCUGCACCACCUUGAAUUACCCAAAUAAACGGUCGAUUUGAUGCUUCUAAAGCAUUGGCUAGUACUAGGUACUCAUCUAAGGUCGGAUCCACUUCAGUACCAAAUGACACAUAUAACACAGAUCCGCGUGAUUUCAAAUUCAAUCAUUGAACGAUCUCAUCUUCCGUCAUGUUAGAACUCCGCCGGUUGGUUCUCAUCUCAUGAUCAUGAAGCACUUAACCGGCCAAUUUGUAAAAUUGUUCAGGUAACAGUGGGCCCACUCCCCACAUCGGCUUUCUCAAUUCAUUGGCUAAAUAAUUAUAAAUGGUCCCUCAAGACCAUCACACGUGUUGAACAUCAACGCCAUUGAUCCCUCCGCUUCCUUCAUCCAGUGUGGUUGAUCACCGGCCUCUGGUGGACCUAUUUUCUCGGAACCAGGUGCACCUCUCAGAGGUGGUGGACCACCAGGAGGGUGCCCAUGAGGCCUUGUUUAAGAUUCGAUUCAAAUAAAGCCAUAUCCUCGGGUAACCCAGGAAGUAAAUGGGCCUCUCCCGGUUUGACAUCUUGGAUGCGAGCCUACCACAUGGCACACUCCACAGCUGCCGAGCAAGCACCAGAAGUGAAGAACCCAACAAUGGGAACUUCAAAAAUCUUGAAAACAUCAGCCGUCCAGCCCAUCAUAACGUCGAUGACUGCACAAACGGGUCGGCUUUUGGGUUCCCGGGUUGAAAGGAGGUUUCGAAGGCCUUGAAGCAUUUGGUUGUGCAUGACAACAUGGGGGUGAGGAGACGAAGGAGGGUAUUUUAGUAAUUUCAAAUAGAGGGUAUUGGUGAAGAGGGGAAGGGGUGAUGCUGUGUUGAAUCAAAAUAGAGUAAAAACUCUAAUUGAUCAAGAAGAAGAAAAACACUCUUUAGAAUAAUCUCACAAAAUUGCAAAAGAGAAGAACUCUUAAGAAAACUUUCAAAUGCUUAUAAUAAAGCUUUGAUUGUUAAAUUAUAAAACUCAAAUACAAAUAAGGUAUUUAUAGGUUACAAGAAACAAUCUAAACCACUCAUUAAAAUAACCACAAACUAAUUUAAACCAUUGAAAUUAAACAUGAGAAAAAUACCUAAUUUUCACCUAACUAAAUUGAUGUAAGCAAUGACAUCAAAUUAAUUUGGGUGUGGACUUAUUUGGGCUAAUAUUGACUUCUCAACACUCCCCCUCAAUGUUAGCCCAAUUCUUUGAAUCACGCCAAGCUGACGACGGAAAUGUUCAAACUUUCCAACACUCAAGCUUUUUGUAAACAAGUCCGCAGUUUGCUCAUCUGUCUUGACUUGCCUCAUCUCAAUCUCUUCUUGCAGAACUUUUUCCCUAACAAAGUGGUAAUGCACUUCCACAUGUUUAGUUCUUGCAUGAAAAACAGGAUUCUCCGCCAGCCGAAUUGCCGAUUGGUUGUCACAGUACAACAGAACUGCAUAAUCUACUGGUUGAUGUAGAUCAUUCAUUAGUUGUAUCAGCCACGUGCUUUCUUGAGCUGCCAUUGCUGCUGCUCGGUACUCUGCUUCCGUAGUUGACAAGGACACAGUCGGUUGUCUCUUGCUACACCAAGAAAUCGUUCCAGAUCCAAGGGUAAACAUAUACCCAGUAGUUGAUCUGCGAGUAUCGUGAUCUCCUGCAUAGUCAGCAUCACAGUAGCCAACUAGUUUGUAAUUUCCACCUUUCUUGUAUAGAAGACCAUAGUCUAUUGUACUCUUCACAUAUCUGAGUACUCGCCGAACCGCUUCUAAAUGAGACUUCUUCGGAUUUUGCAUGUAUCGACUCAUCACACCAACUGCAUAAGAAAUGUCAGGUCGAGUCAAGGUUAAGUAGAUUAGACUACCCACUAAUUGUCGAUACAUCGAUGCAUCUUCCAGGUCUUUGCCUUCAUGUGCACACAUCUUGGCAUUUGGUUCCAUCGGCGUUGAGAUCGGCUUACAUUCUAGCAUCCCAAACUUCUUCAACAAAUCUUUGGCAUAUUUCUGUUGACAAAGAAAUAUCCCUUCUUUCAUCUGAUCAACCUCUAGCUCAAGGAAAUGCUUAAGUUGUCCAAGUUCUUUCAUUUGAAAACGAACUGACAAGUUCUCCUUUGUUCGGAAAAUUUCUUCAAUAUCAUCUCCAGUGAUGAUUAGAUCAUCUACGUACACGAGCACAAUAGCUAUCCUUUCUCCAUUAGCUUUAGCAAACAAGCUGGAGUCUGCAGAUGUUACUGAAUACCCACUUUGAGUUAGAAAUUCAGCAAUCUUGCCAUACCACGCCCUGGGUGCUUGUUUUAGUCCGUAGAGAGCCUUUUGCAGCUUACACACAUACUCAGGAUGACCUCGGUUCUGAAAACCCAUCGGUUGAAUCAUGUAGAUCUCCCGAUCCAGCUCUCCAUGGAGAAAGGCAUUCUUCACGUCCAUCUGCCACAAGUUCCAGCUUUUGUUGGCUGCAAGUGCAAGUAAGACUCGGACGGUUGUAAGUUUUGCCAUUGGACUAAACGUUUCGUCAUAGUUUAGUCCAUAUUGUUGAGAGAAACCACGAGCUACCAAUCGAGCCUUGUACCUCUCGAUUGACCCAUCUAGACGGUGCUUUAUUUUGUAAACCCAUCUGCAGGAUAUGGGUUUCACAUCUUUUGGCUUUGGCACGAGUUCCCAGGUCUGAUUUUGCUCAAGUGUAGUGAUCUCGUCUUUCAUAGCUGUCAUCCACUCAGAACUCUGUGAUGCUUCUUCGAAUGUCUCAGGUUCUAUUCCAGUUGCUUCUUCAACUAUGGCUGCAUUAGCGUAUUUGGGAUUUGGCCUUCGGGUUCUUGUUGACCUUCGUAAUGGAGUUGAUUCUUCCGUUUCACUAGGCACACCUUCUUCAUCUGGUUGUCGAUACACCCCAGAUUGCCAAGGAUUUAGAGUUACUCUUCGUUCGCUAUCACUAUCGCAUAGAUCCCCAGCUGAGCUUAGAUGAAUUUGGACAGUAUGCUCCCCCAUCUUUUGUUGUAGCAUGUCUUCGAAUUCUUUCGAGUCUGGCAGCACUUCUUUUUCUGAGGUCCACCAUGAGGAUGCUUCAUCAAACACCACAUCUCGUGAUGUGUAGCACCUUUCAUUUACUGGAUCACAACACUUCCACCCUUUUCGCUGGUUGUCGUAUCCUACAAAGAUACAUCUGACAGCUUUCUUAUCGAUCUUGCUACGUAGAUGGUCAGGAACAAAUACAUAGCAUACACAGCCGAAUACUCGAAGAUAGCUAACUGUAGGUUUCUUGUUCCACAAUUUCUCAAAGGGUGAAACAAACUCCAACCUUGGUUGAGGAAGCUUGUUGAUGACAUGAGCUGCAGUUCUCAUACCUUCGGCCCAAAAUCUUCCAGGUACAUUCUUCGCAUGUAGCAUACUCCGGUAAAUUUCAGCAAGAUGCCGAUUCUUCCUCUCUGCUACACCAUUUUGUUGUGGCGUAUUAGCACAAGUAUACUGAUGACGUAUUUAGCAUUCCCGUAGGUAUUGAGAAAACUCUCUCGAGCUAUACUCACCCUCGUUGUCUGUGCGCAAGCAACGAAUCUUUUGCUCCACUUCUCCUUCGACUAUCUCUUUGAACUCUUUGAACUUUGAGAAUGCUUCAGAUUUUUCUUUCAUGAAGAAAGCCCAUACAUAUCUGGAGAAAUCAUCAAUGAACGUAACCAUAUACCACAUUCCGCCAAUUGAUGGUUGCUUAACGGGUCCAAACACAUCAGAGUGAAUUAACUCUAAUGGUUUAUUUGCUUUAAACUUCGACUCCUCGUAUGGCAAUUGAUGUGCUUUACCAUAUUGACAUCCCGCGCAAACAAUAUUUGUUCUCACGUCAAGUUGAGGAAGUCCUUUAAGCAUCGACUUCUUCACCAUCACACUUAGCUUGGAAUAAUUAACAUGACCUAGCCGCAUGUGCCACAGAUCUGCCGUCUCAUUCCUUCUUGUCUUGUCUACGUAUGCAGACUCAGCUGACAUCACAUAAACUGACUCCAAUUGUCGUCCCUCCAUCGUAGGCUUUUCUGAGAUCUUUAAGUCUCGGAAUACCUUCACAUUUUGUGGACCAAACAAGACAUAGUGGCCUGAUGAUGUCAAUUGAGCUACGGAUAGCAAAUUUUUCUUCAUUCCUGGAACAUGGUAGACAUCUUGAAGUGGCACUUGGUUGGGACUAUAUCGAGGUGUAACGAUCGCUUUACCGAUGUGAGCUAUCGGUAACCUUGAGUUGUCAGUUGUUACCACCACACGAUUUCCCUUGUACUCAGAACAAUUUUGCAACUUCUGUCUAUCACCCGUCAUGUGAUUUGAGCAGCCUGAGUCUACGAUCCAAUCAUUCUCGUAGUUAAUCUUUUCUGGUGUUGUUACCGUGAGAGCUAAUUCUUCUUCCUCCAUAGCGAGUAAUGCUUCGGCAUCCCAGUUAUCUUCACUAUCUUCUUUAGAACUAGAAGUAGCAAUAUUGCUUUCGGUAGACUUCUUUUUGGACCAACAAUCUCUCUUCAUGUGGCCCUUCUUCCCGCAAUUGUAACAUUCGCCAUCAAACUUUCUAUUACUGUCGCGAUUCUUCGAAGCUCCCCCUGGACGAGAGCCAUUCCCUCCCUGAUGACUUUUUGUCUGUUCACCAGUCUUUCUAGAUCCGCCUUUGUUGUGCUGUCUUGAACCACCUCUGCUUUGGUUGGUGUAAAGCGCUUCCUCUUCACCCUUUAGUGAGACUCCUCCCAUUUUCUUGGCCAUAGCUUCUUGGCCUGUCAGCAAAUUUUCAAACUCAACAAGUGAUGGUUGUGUCGGCCAUCCUUGCACAGCGGCUACAAAGCUUCGGUAUUCGGGUCUCAAGCCAUGGACAAUUAUUCUUUUUAUCCUGGCUUCCCCAAUAGCAGCUAUUGGAUCUAAUUCUGAAAUUUCACGGCAUAUCGACUUCACCUUGUGAAAGUAUUGGGCAAUCGCCAUGUCGCGUUGCGCCAUUGAUAGAAGUUCAUUCUCGAGAAGUUGCAAUUUUGUAUCGUUCCUCUUCGAAAAGAGUGUAGCGAAGGUGUCCCACGCUUCCUUCGGUGAUUUAGCAUCCCGAAUGUGCUCCAACAUUUCUUCUUCUAUUGUGGUCUUUAAAGCAAACAUUGCUUUGCCUGCUUUAAUUUUCCACUUCCGCAAGACGCCGUUAGCAUCUUCCGCUGCCGGUUGUGUAACUUCACUACCACCGACAACCUCCCACAAGUCUUGACCUUGAAGGUAAGACUCUAUACACGUUGCCCACGUGUUAUAGUUUUGGUUGUUGAGCUUUUUGAUUCCUCCAACAACUUGAAGAUCACCCAUCGUAUCGGUAUCGACAAGACUUUGACUACACCGAACAAGCUUGAGUGACUACCGUGCAGAGUAAUACACUACUCUUGACACAAAGAAGCUCCCUCUCAAGGUUUGUGAUAACCCCAGCAAUAAUCUCAAGAAAUCUUUUCUGAUGUGGAAGAUCAGUCAAAACUGCAACCACAGAGCAUACUCGGAAUUUCAAGAGACUUUACAACCAAUGCUCUGAUACCAAAUGUUGAAUCAAAAUAGAGUAAAAACUCUAAUUGAUCAAGAAGAAGAAAAACUCUCUUUAGAAUAAUCUCACAAAAUUGCAAAAGAGAAGAACUCUUAAGAAAACUUUCAAAUGCUUAUAAUAAAGCUUUGAUUGUUAAAUUAUAAAACUCAAAUACAAAUAAGGUAUUUAUAGGUUACAAGAAACAAUCUAAACCACUCAUUAAAAUAACCACAAACUAAUUUAAACCAUUGAAAUUAAACAUGAGAAAAAUACCUAAUUUUCACCUAACUAAAUUGAUGUAAGCAAUGACAUCAAAUUAAUUUGGGUGUGGACUUAUUUGGGCUAAUAUUGACUUCUCAACAUGCUGGUGGCGGAAAUGUGAGAGGGAAUGGUGAGGGUAGAUUUGUAAUUACGAGAAGCGAUUUGCUUGCAUAAUUUAAUGCAUGGAAAUAGAUGUCCCUGACCAAAGAAUGGGACAAUCCAAAUCUCGGCCUCAGCAGCGCUGCAGCAGUAGCAACAGAGCUUGACAUCUUUUUGAAUUAUUUGAUACUUAAUUGUUACUGUUUGCUUUUACCAUCUUUCAUAAAACACUCUUUGUUAUAUAUAAAGGGAUGACUUAAUGGAGAAGUAAGUGUUUUAGUUUUACAGUUUUACUAGUAGGUGAGCUCGGAGUUUGAUAAUUUGAUUGUUAGUUUUAGUUGGUUAGUUAUGAGAAAGCAUCUUUAAGAAAAUUCAUUCCAGUUUCAACUAAAAUUAAUAAUAUUGUUCAAAUUAAUUACUCGAUAAAUAAAUAAUUAGAGAUAAAUUUAUCCCUAAUCUCACAUUUAUAAAAUAAGGAUUGAAAUAAGUUUUUGUGGGUUCGAACUCAAGCCCUCAAGUCGAGCGGCUGGAUCUUGACUACUUUGACUUAAUUAUUAUUAUUAUUAUAUAUAUAUAUAUAUAUUUUUUUUUUCAUUCUGUCACGGAACAUCUUUUGUUAUAUAAUGAAGAAGAUAAGUUGACGAAGAAGAGUUCUACUUUUACUAGUAGAUGAGCUUUGAGUUGACAACGUUAGUUUUAGUUAGUGAAAUAUCUACCAUCCAAAUCAACGUUCUUUAGACUAUUAUUCAAGUGAGAUGUCUGAGUAACAUACGCUUGAGUUGGUCGGUGCCUGGCAAUUCGUGUGAUACAUGAAACCAACCGAUAUGAAAACCAAAUCAAGUUGGUAGGAUUACAUUAAUUUAAAUUAACUUUCAAGUUCUAAUAUUAUAAGAUAAAUAAAUAGCAUAAAAUAAUUUUUAUUUUCAAGUAAAUAUGUUUAUCGUUUAAAAAUUAUUUUUUCUUGCGGUAAAUGCAACACUAAAUAAGGAGUGAAUAGGGUAAUUUGUAGGGUAUACCCCCACCUUUUAUUUCAUUUCAUUAUUAAAAAAUAAAGGCUUGAUUCAACAUUCAAGUAAAAUUAACAAUUCCAUGAUAAAAUUGCUUGAGAAUAAGAAUUAAAAUAAAAAAAGAAAACAGCAACUCAAAAACGACAUACAAAUACCGCAUAGAGGUUUUUCGUCGCAAGAUAUUUUUGGGUUGAGCAACACUUGUAUAACAGAGCAUACAGACUGAAUGACGGUGAGAAUAAGAAGGAAAACGGCGCCACACACCGAAAUGCCAGCCCAUGGAGUAUUGAAGUAAUUUUGUUUCAAGUUUGCCCUCCAUUUGUAGCACGUUCUUUUGCAGUGAUCAUUCAAUCCUUUGCAUAGCCCAGAAAAAUAGAAGCUAUCAGACAGCAGAGUAGUACCUCUAGAAAGGUUAUUUAUAAGCAUUGACGCAGUCUCUUUAUCCGGCAACCGGUUCUCAAUGAUUCCGUUCUGAACAAGCAACUCGACGUCCUUCGCUGUGUUCACGAGAUGAUGAAUAAGGAACACAUAAUCAUUUAUGUAAUUCUCUGAGUAAUGCCGUUGUUCAAAGGCAAUGAGAUUACGAAAUAAGGAUUCCGUUUCCAGCUGUAGCUUCAGUUUCGGAAUAUGCAAUGUCCUGUUUUUGAAUUCUAUGGCGAACAAAUCAUUGCUCUUGCUCAAACUGAAGUGGACUCCAGCUUGGUGGAGAUCAGUCACACUUGGUGCGGUUUUGCCUUUGUGGUAUUGCUGACCUUCUUGUUUUUCCUGAUUCCUCGAUGAUGGUAGAUGACAAAUCCUUAGAAAAUCAAGGAAAUGCUCGACCCUAACCUCAGUGUAAGGAGGGAAUUUUUGCUGAUUACCUUGUACUGCCUCUAAACCCUUGAAAUACUCGUAUGUGACUGUGAUGAUGGUUGGAUUUUCAUGUUGGUCGGGGAUUUCAAUAGCAAAAAGAUCCUCAAGAAUGAAGAAAGGAAGCUGAUUCUCAAGCAACCACAUAUCAUACCAUAUAUCCUCUAUUAAAUAGGGUUUAAGAAAUAUAUAAUCAUCUUUUUUUUGAAGUUGACGGAAAUGAUGCCUCAAUAAGAGUUCAAUGAUGAAGGCAGCAUCCAGCAGAAUCAUUUCAACAAAUUUAUCACUACUUAGUUCGACUUUUUCUGCAUAAGAACCUCGUAAUUCUGCUUCUCUGAGCUUUAUAAUUUGAACAAACUCGUCAAAGCUUAUUUUGGUCCGUUGAAGAAAGUAACGCAGGUACCGCUGUUUAUGUUCUUCCAUGAACUGUAAGUUUGCUUUGCCAUGGUGAAGAGGGCCAAUUGAGACUACCUGAGCUGUAUAUGCCUUUUCAUUUAUCUGACGUAAUCGCUCCGGAACUCUGUAGAUGCAGCAGUUUGAGGGCAAUGGUGAUAAUUUUUCCAACUUAACUUGCAAGCACUCUUCCAUGUUAUAAACUGAAAACAUGGCGCGAAAUUUGAUCAAUUCACUAGUUUAUAUAAUAUUCUUGAACCUCAUCUUAAGCAAAGCAACAAAAGCCUUCACUGUUUCUUAACAACUUUAUUGCUCUAACACAUAGCAUAACAUUUUUAAAUUUGCAUAAAGCACAAUAGUACUUUAGUUUGUAACAACAGCACAGAUAAUAAAUAGCAUUUUAUAGCUUUAACAAAAGCAUACAAAAUUCUUAAACCUUGUUUCAAGCAAUUCAUUAAUGCCACAAGGAUGUCUUUUUGCUUCCUACAGUUUUUAUUGAAAUUCAUAUAUUCUUCUUUAUCAAAUUAAGUAAUUUUCCUUUUUCAAAAAAUCAAGAAGGUUUCGACUGCAUGGAAAUACAGCACACAAUUACUACUAUUCCCGGAGUAAGAAAUUCAUAAAUGCAAUAUAAACAUACAUUUUCAUAAGACAUCAGAAUCAAAGAAUCAUCAAUGCAUCAAAUCUGUACACCCAAAAAAGUUGAAAGCACCAAGAGAAAAUUAUACCGCAUGGACCCUUUACAACCCUUAUAACGAGUUCAGACAGCUACAAUGUGCAAUACAAAAUUUCCCAAUACUAUUUAGAACAAAGUCUAGAAAACAAAACUUAUAUAUUGUACAAAAUCAUGAAAACCAGAAAUGACAAAAAACCUGCAAAUGUAAUUUUUGGGUUUCUUCAACAUAUCUUCCAUCCAAAUCAAACAAGAAUCGAUAAAUCAACAACAUUCAUCUUUAAAUGACAUAUUACCACAAUAAAAUUGUCAACCAAGCCUCAUAUAAACCUUUUUUGUGUUUUGUGGUAAAUAUAUUUGUUAUUCUCUAAGAAUACUAGGGAAAAAAGAAACCCACUUUCUUAAUCAAGAAUCAAAUAAUAUAUAUUUAUCUAAGCUGAAGUAAGUCUUCGGUUUGAUGAAAUAGCUUGCAAUGUGAUUUAGAUUGGAAAGGAAGUUGAUUUUUGCUGGUUGAGAGAGAGAGAUUUGAGACUUAAGAGUGUUGCUAAUCUUCGAUCGUGUAAACAAGGGUAACUGGGUCAUAGUUCAAAAUAAGGGUCCAAAAUUUACUAAAGCUAUUAAGGAGCCCAAAACUCAUAAUGGCUUGCCCAAAAUAAAUAAAAUUUUCGAGCAUUAAGUUUUUGUUUCUUCUUGAGAUUUCCUUGCCGUACUUACCCAUAUUUCGAUAUUGCCUCCAAGUAAACUUAUAUAUAUUGAUUAACAAUAUAAACAAGCACUAUGAAGUUUUAGGCAUGAAAGAACAUUAGGAUUGAAAUGAAAACCAUCUAUUUAAGUAACAAAUUCUUCUGAUAAUUUGAUGCUUAAUUUAGAGCAGAGAUGACAUAUCAAUCACGUUAUGAUGUGGAAGUUAUGAUUAUAUUCAUCUUAAGAAUAAGAUCUUUCAGACACUGGCAGAUUAGUAUAAAAAAUACUCAGCAUAAGACCUACAAACUAGAAAUCACGCACCAAUUAUUGAACUCAGCACAUAAGUUGAUCUUUUAUAAGCUAUAAAACAAAUCUGCUAUAACAUAAGAAAGUGGGAUUUAUCACCAGACAAGUAUUUUGGUGAAAUUCAAGCUGACGGAAGGAUAUCCAAAGCAACCUCCUUAAGGGAAGGCAUCACUUCCUGCUGAUGCAAACAUGUAUAUUUAUUACUCACUUUCUUGAGGACCUUCUAGGAACCUGGGCAGCACCUAACAGAAAGUGGAAAAGAAUAAAAUGUAAAAUAUAAGUUAAACAGCAGGAAAACAGUGAGUGAUACUAGGCAAGCAUUAAUAUGUUGCCGCAGGAAAAGUGUCAGUAACUAGCUAGCAAACCUGAAAAGGGUUCCUCCAUUGUGACCCUUAAAAUUGUGAAUGUAAAAUAUGGUCUCCAUCACAGGAAAAAGUGUUUUGGAUAGUGCAGCCAGCUUAGGGUAGAAGAAUGACGGAUAAUCUUUAGCUCAUUUAAGGAAAUCCUCUCUGAUCCUUUCAUUGCACAUUCCAAAACAACUCUACUACAACCAAGUUACCAAUUCUUUUUGUUAAGUCAUUGUUAUUUGUUAAAAAAAAAAAAUCUUCCUUGCAACAUUUUAUUGAAAGAUAUAACAUGAUCAUCCCUACUAAUUCCCUUUUAGAUUUCUGUGAGUGAAUUUCAAAUUAUUGUAUUCAAAAAUAGAAGCAAAAGACCCACUUUACUUUCAAUUUCUGCAACAAGAUACCAAUUGAAGGACCAAAAAGUUGUAAACAACCAAUUCAAUGGGUGGGCAUCUAGAAACUGCUAUAUAGCAUCAAGAUCAUACUAAAUUUACAGAAAGUACGAUAAUAAUGAAAGAAUGGUGAAGGAUACACCCAGACCUUAUCCGGUCAAGUUCUCCAUUGAAUAUAAUCAGUUUCCGGGCAGUAUUGAAGACAACUUCUUUGUAAAGCUCUUCAACGACAAGCAUUUCUACAAGACAAAAGAAAAGCAAAAUUAAUUACCUUAAGGAAUGAAUAUCAAUGAGAAGACAACGUGUAAGACUACCAUUGACAUUAAAAUAUGGAUACGCGACUAGAAACAAUUCAUCUUCCGGCUUCACACGGUCUGCCUUUUUAACCUUCUCAGUGAAUCCAAAAUCCUCAAAGAAUGAAGGUUUUGUUAGAUAGUCCAACUUAAAUGAUGAUCCUUCAAAGACCUAUUUUCUUGCAAAUUUGACUUCAUUUGCCUCUGGGAAAAACUAAAAACCAAAUGACAGACCAAGAUCACAAAACGAAUCAUGAACAUAGAUAUCAGAUAAUCAGAAAUGGGCAUUAAACAGACUACUAACAAAUAGGAAAUGCAUACAGAAAACAUUAUUCAUACACCUUAUGCACAUGAAAUAUAUAUGCAGUGGGAUCCUCUUGUGAAUUUAGUUUAUAUCCUAAAAUGAGACAAUGAACAAUUGGAUGCCAUCUAAGGGCUAACAUUUGUUUGAUUAUUAUAUGAAAAAAAAAAACAAAACAGAGUUGAUUGAUGGCCUUUGAUGGAUUGCCUACACUCCUAAAGUGCAGAGAGCCUGAUUAAUUGCUUUACCUGCCCCCCACACACACACUUGAUUUUAUUAUCUCUCUUUUCAAAUAUAUAAUCAUUGCCUGUCUUUCAUCCUGAUCCAGCUCUCCUUCCAGGCACCAGCUGUGUUUUCUUCAAUUCAGUGAAGCAUUCACUUUCAGGUAAGAAUAAACUUGUCCUUCCUCAAAAAUCAGCUUCUCACCAUGAAGCUUUCUUUUUCAAAACAAUUACUAGUCUAGCAUAAUGCAUCUAAUUGAAGACAACUCAGAAUUGAAAAAGCCAUACUUUAAUGUCUGCUGUUGGGACCUCAAGACCAGGAAAAAAAAGCUUCUUUCUAACUGUUGGAUUAACAAGUAGAAAUAGCUUUUUUCUGAAGGACCCAACAUUGCAUUGAAAAAUUCAACAAAAGGACUGGCGUCAUAUUUAGUCCUGCUAGAAUUUUGUGCACUUAACACAAUGGUUAAUAAUUGGCCCAGCAGACACUUUGUCGAACUACUGGCAAACCUUGACUGUGGAAAUGCAUAUUUCAAAUGUUGGCAGACUCUAGCUUCUUGAUGUACUGUUGAUAAAAAUGCCUAUUUCAAAAGUUGGCAGGCUCAAACUGCCGAGACUUUGGUUUCUUACAUUUCAAACCCACAAAUAAAACUUUGGCAGAACCCCAGAAAGAGCUACACCUCCCAAAUUUGAUGACAUAUGAAGAGACCAUGCCUAGUGCUUGGUUCGGCAAAUGAGUAAGUUUGAAAUAAAUUGAGGGAAACCUUUCCCACAGAGAGUCAUUUUGAAGGUUACAAUUUGAAGACUUUGUCCCCUGUCGCCCGUAACCUUCUUUGAUCUCUUUUCUUAGUCAUGAAUAAUCAAACAUGUGUUAGUGGUUGGAUGCAAUCCACUCGCUGACAUCUCAUGUCCACAAUCAAUCAACCAUAUUUUAAUAGAAAUGGAAACAUUUUAAUUAAAAAAGAAUGAGAUAGGAACAAAAUCAAGCUUGGCAGACAUGGGUCUAUGAGAUUUUAAAGAUGCUUGGUGAAAGUCGUAUUCAAGAGUUCAACAAUCAGUUCCAUCACCUAUGGCAAAGUAACCACCGCAACUAAAGCAAUUACAAAACAUCAAGAAGCUUGAACUUGGCAAGAGGUCUCAUUAACAGUAUACCUCAGAAAUUAAGACAGAAUUAAAGUGCAAGCUUUUGGAUUUAUUUAAACACUGAAAAUAAUAUGGGUAGAAGCUCCUAUGGUCACAGCAAACAAUUACAAAGCACAAAACCCAAAAAACAGAUAUGCAAAAAGCUGCAAAAGAACAUUAUUAGCAAUUGACAUCUGCUUUUGCUCAGACAAAGGUUCUCAUAACAAAGGACUUAGUGAUUAUCUGUCAUAUGUUUAUGUUAAGGGGAAAAAAGAAGUUUGUUUUAGUCAAUCUCAUGUCUAUUGGCAUUCAUAAGGAGCCCAAAAAUAAAAGAAAAAAUAAAGAGUUAGUAGGUGUUUCUUGCAACACAAAGAAAAUUUAUCAUCCAUGAAAAACUUAGUAUGGAAAAAGCUAACUCAUUUAUCUGCCAAUGCAGAAAAACUUGUUGUCUACCCACUAAGGACCCACCAUUGGCAGGUCUGAUGGAUCCCAUGGAUGGGAACCACAAAUAUUUUAUUCUAAAUGACAUGGGUAUUGCACCCAUAUCAUUUAAUUUGUAGAUUCCACUGAUGGAACUCAUCAAACUUGCCAAAUGGCAAGUCCUCCGUGGGUAGGCGCAUCACUUCAGCAUCCUUCUCCACCGAUGACCAAAUCUGGACUCAUUUAAAAAGAAUACAAAGCAAACUAACUGACAAAAAUUGCAUAUAGAGGUCUAGGAGCCAAAUCAAUGUUGUUAACUCAUCCAAUUAAUACAUUCUCUUAGAGGUCAUACCUUGGUAACUCAUUUCAAAAGAAAUUAAAAGAAAAAUGACUGCACAAAUUGUACUGAGCUCAAGAAGACCUGUUCAAGGUGUUCACUUGUCCAACUAAUAAAAGUCAUCAAGGAUUGUAUCAGGGACUUGGGACCAAUCCUGCCUUAACGAGAGAAAGGGAAUUUAGGAUGAAGAAGAUAACCUCUUUUCCUAGAGCAAAUUAAGCUGGUAAAAUCUUGGCAGUUGCACUUGGGGCAGAAAUUAGUUCCACCUUGGUUUACAGGACAGAAAUUCGUCAUAUGCAUGUAUUUAUUUAUAUUUUAUACACAUACGCAUACAUGUACACACAAACACUACCUUCACUUUGAAGAAAAGAUUAAAAUAACACUGCUCACAUACACAAUACUUACUAUUCUAGUUCGUGUGACUUUCUCCGGAGUCACAAAUAGGUCAAAGAAUUCGCGUAUUAACCGCAUACUUCCAGUCAUUUCUAUUCCUCCUUCACCAUCACCUUUCCCACAAUUACAAAAAGUGAGAGGUAGUAACCAACAUAUUUGGGUUGUUCUUCGGUAAGGGGUGGGAGGUAAGGGUUAGUUGUGGAGGGCACCUGGUACAGAAUCAAGGCCAGCUGUUGGGAAUUUGAUCUCCUGUAACAUAUACUUGUUCAUCAUAAACUAUAUACUUAUUCUGCAGUCGAUGUGGGCAUAUAGCUCUUCAAUUAUCCAGUAAUAACUCACCAUCAACUUCCUGCCAUCCUUCAUGGCUAAUUCAGCAGCUAUUUUUGCCUGUUUAAAGGGCAAAAGCCCAAACUAAGCAGAUGCUCCUACUCCGAUACUUAUUAUCUAACUACUACAGAACAGAUGAUACACAUCAAGUUGUGUCAAGAGAGACACCAAGUUGUGUUUUCCAAGAGGUUCCAAAGAGGUUUUGUGUUAGAGUGCAAUUUAUGCACUAGUUUUGAAUUGUUUACUUCCUUAAUAUCGAUGUUUUGCACUUAAUAAUAGUGAUUUACUUGUGUUUUAUUUUUAUAGGUGCAAUUAUAUUGAUUGGUGCAAAAAUUGAGCUACAAGACGAUGUUUAAGGAUGAUUGUUCUCUUGGAGAAAUUAUGAGCGUCAGAAGAACUUUGUUGAUAAGGCGUGGGCGCGUGCUGUCAACUACGGACCUGCAGUUUUUAGUUUAACGUGUUUUGUAUUUUUGGUUAUUUUUAUAAUUACGAAUUUAAUAUUUCAGAUAUUAGUAUUUUAUUUUAAAUAGAACUCUAGAGGAGAAGAGAGAGAGAGUAUUUAAGGGAAGAAUCUAUUGUGAAAAAAGGGAGAUUUUUGGAAAAGAAAGAAACCCUAGAUCUAAAUUUUUCUCUUCUCUCCAUGAAGAACUAAAUCUAUUAUUCUGUUUGAAGGUUAAUGAAGCUUUUAUUCAUCACUACUGUGAGAUCUUUCUUAUGCUUUAAUUGUUUUAUUGCUUUUUGGGUAUUUGUUUAUUCUCUGAAUUAUUUUCAUGAUUAUGUUUGUUAAUUAGAUAAUUGGCUACUAUUUAAUUAUCAACUUAAUCUAUUGUCAAUUAAAGGAUUCAUCGUAUGAAGAUUUUAAUGUUUGUGACAAAUAACAUAGCAGAGAGUUGUGUUGUGAGAAUAAACAAUCUAAUUUAAAUGAACCAUCGUAUGUGUUUGUUGAUUAGGAUUUGGGUCUCUCUGGUUUUUCAAGCUGUCAAUUGAUUAAAUCCUAUGAUCGUAUCUAGGGUUAUCUAUUGAUUAGGGAAAUAACCAACGGUCAUACCUUGGUUAUCGACUAAUUAAGGAGAUAUUGGCUAUUAGAGGGUCUCAGUAGCUAUAACCGGUCUAUUCAUAAGUAGUAAUAAUUUAUAUUUGAAUCAAUGAUCAGUAGUCGAAUCAAGCUGAGUUAAUUCCUUCAACCAGAGCUUUCUCCAAUUUGAAUUACAACUUUAAUUUGCAUUCUUGUUAUUUUAAUUUGAUUGUUAUUAUUGUCACAAAACCCUCAUUUUAUAUUUUACGUUUUAAAAGGAUUUAAAUAAUUACCGAUCUCUGUGGACACGACUUUGCUCAAUCACUAUACACAAUUUAUUUAGAGUAGGUAUUUAUUUUUGUUGGCUUCGACAACCUUCAAAUUUUGGCGCCGUUGCCGGGGAUUGGUGUCAUUUAUUUAAUCCUUUUUACGUUUUACUUGGUGUAUGGUUCGUUCUUCUUGUACAGGUACACUUUCGUUUGAUCCUUAAAUUGAGAAGACAGCUCGCCAGCUGAGACAGCAGACGAAGCGAGCUAAGCAACGACACUCAUCGCCUUGCUUUCUGAAACAGAUACGGUGCCUGAUUUAGUUGAAUCAUCAAGCGAUUUAGAAGAACAAGUGAUGGAUAGAGCUGCACCUGUAGAAAGAACUCUUAGAGAGUUAGCCGAACCAGACUUGAAUCAGCAACCACUCUACAUUCAAUAUGUAGACUUGGAGGUAAAUUUUGAAUUAAAGUCUGGUCUUAUUCAUUUAUUACCCAAGUUUCAUGGUUUUGCAGGUGAAGAUCCUCAUAAACAUCUCAAGGAGUUUCAUGUUAUGCGUUCAAGUAUGAGGCCACAAGGCGUGACUGAAGAGCAAAUUAAGUUGUGUGCUUUUCCUUUCUCUUUAGAUGGGCUAGCUAAAGACUGGUUGUAUUACUGUUAGAGUGCAACUUAGCAUAUAAUUUUUUAGGCAAGAAAGAUCACUCAGGAGUUUUCUCUAAAACUGAAUUUUAUUUUAUCUGGUGCAUGUUAAAUGAUGUGAGGCCUAAUUUAGGUUUUUGGUUAGCAGAUCAAUUUCAAAGUGUGCUUAAACGGUAUAGGACUUUAUUUCUUGGUCCAUACAUUACUCUGUUAGCUAUAAACCUAUGUGUGCUUGAUCCUGACAAUAAUGAUUUGCAUCCUGCUUGCAAAAAAGAAUUUUUGGAUAUGUUUAUGUUUGAAAGAACAGGUGUGGUCGAAUUCAAGGAGCGGAGAUUUCAGUUUACUAAACCAGGGCCCACUCAACCUCCGAAGAAGCUUUAUGCUAGGAGUGGUGCUACCUCUGAUGACGAGUUUGACGACGACACUGCUGCCCCGCCAACUAUUCCUUCUACAUCCGCACCACCUUUGAGCAUUCAGUUAGAGAAAAUGGAGCACAAGCUGAAUAAGAUGGAGCAAAAUUUGGCCACAUACUUCGAGAAUGUGGGAUUUACCUCACCAUUUCCGCCAAGCCAAUAGACGUUAUGUGGAUCAAAGCUCACAAUUCAGGGAAGUUUUUUUUGCCUUUAAUCUUUUAUCCUUACGCUUUAAUUUUUAUGUGAGCUUUGAUUAUCUUACAUUGGGGACAAUGUAAGUUCUUGGUGUGGGGGAGGGAUUUUUGCAUUAUUGAUGUCUGGAAUUAUUAUUUUCACUCUACUCAUCUAUUUUCACUCUACUCGUCCUUAAAUGAUUUUGGAGUUAGUAUGCUUCAUAUAUUAUUAAUUUCCUUUUCCUUUCUCUCUCACUACUCUUUUCCCAUCUAUCUCAAAUUAUUUACAUCUAUUUUUUUUUCUAUCAUACUCUUUCAUCACUUACAUUUUAUCUUUCAUUUUUUUACUACAUACAUCUUUCUCGCUUAUUAUUUUUUUACCUUUCUUUUUAUAUCUCACUCAUACCUUCUUCUCAUUCUACACCACUCUUGAUGGUUGAUUCAUUUGAAGAGUGUACAUGAUUUGAUGGCAAAUUUACCAACUUUGUGAGGAUUUGAGCCUGUGAGCAACCACUUUGCUCUAAUUAUUUUUGUUAUGUGAAUAUCAAUCUUAGUUUGUAUAUUCUAGAACUUGCUUUGUUAAGCAUGUUGAAGCCACAUUACGGGAUUUUAUGCAUUAAAAUGAUAAGGGCAAACCAUUUACCAUUUUUCUAUUCUCGCAUUUUCUUUUUUCUCUACCCGAAGACCUUUAUUUGCUACCUUUGUUUGAGCCUUAACCAUUACCCAUCUAAUUCUUUCCAUCUACUUAACCAUUUUUCUUCUUUUUGAGCCUAAUUUAAGGAGAUAUUUGGACUCAUUGUGUGGAUAUAUUUUGUUGCUUUUUCUACCUUGUAUUAAAGUUUCUCAAUUAGAUCAACAAGCAUUAUGCUUGAAUUAAAUUGUGCAAGGUUCGUUUCUUUUGUUUGAUUAAAAAAAAACAACAAAAAAAAGGAAAAAGAAAAAAAAGUGAAAAAAAAAUCGAAAAAAAAAAUUGAAAAAAAAGGUUUACAUUCUUGGUGACUUGAGUAGAAAUAAGCAUUUUGAUAUCAUAAGUUCAUUCAAUGAGUUCAUUCUUCUCAUUUUGAUCUCUUUUUCUUUCAUAAACCUUUCUUUUUUAUUUAACCUAUUUAACUCCAUUACAACCCUUUUAAGACCCUUAAUUUUUUGCAUUUUAUUUAUGUUUUAUGGAUUGAGAUGUGAUAUAUGAGCAAGCUUAUGGUAAUAGCAUUCUUUGAUUUGAUUUGAGUGAAUAAAUGACACCCUAAACACUUUGAGUGCAUGGAGUGAAGUCAAUGAGAGGGCUAUUAAAUCUUGUUGCACUUGAAUUUUGAAUGGAUCUUCUUGGUGGUUGAAUGUUCUUAUUCUAUCUUAUGAGAUUCUAUGCUUUAAAAUCCUUGCCUCUCGAAUGUUGAUCGACUUAAAUUCUUGAGGUAUGCUUGCUUAAAAUUGUUUUUGGAUGAGUUGAGAUGAAAAUUGAGUGGAGAUUUGGGAUUAGUCUUGAGUUAUAUGCUUGAGGACAAGCAUCAUCUUGGUGUGGGGAAUUUGUUAGAGUGCAAUUUAUGCACUAGUUUUGCAUUGUUUACUUCCCUUAAUAUCGAUGUUUUGCACUUAAUAAUAAUGAUUUACUUGUGUUUUACUUUUGUAGGUGCAAUUCUAUUGAUUCUUGAUAAAAUUGAGUUAUACGAUGAUGUUUAAAGAUGAUUGUUCUCUUGGAGAAAUUUAGAGAGUCAUAAGAACUUUGUUGAUACGGCGUGGGUUCUUGCUGUCAACUGCGGACCUGCAGUUUUUAGUUUAACAUGUUUUGUAUUUUUGGUUAUUUUUGUAAUUAUGAAUUUAAUAUUUCAGAUAUUAGUAUUUUAUUUUAAAUAGAACUCUAAAAGAGAAGAGUGAGAGAGUAUUUAAGGGAGGAAUCUAUUGUGAAAAAGGAUUUGGAUUGGAGAAAAAGAAAGAAACCCUAGAUCUAAUUUUUCUCUUCUCUCUAGGAAGAACUAAACUUAUUUUUCUGGUUGAAGGUUAAUAAAGCUUUGAUUCAUCACUACUGUGAGAUCUUUCUUAUGCUUUAGUUGUUUUAUUACUCUUUGGGUAUUUGUUUAUUCUCUGAAUUAGUUUCAUGAUUAUGUUUGUUAAUUAGGUAAUUGGCCACUAUUUAAUUAUCAACUUAAUCUAUUGUCAAUUAAAGGAUUCAUCGUAUGAAGAUUUUAAUGUUUGUGACAAAUAACAUAGUAGUGAGUUGUGUUAUGAGAAUAAACAAUCUAAUUUAAAUGAAUCAUCAUAUGUGUUGAUUAGGAUUUGGGUCUCUCUUGUUUUUCAGGCUGUCAAUUGAUUAAAUCCUAUGAUCGUAUCUAGGGUUGUCUAUUGAUUAGGGAAAUAUCCAACGGUCGUACCUUGGUUAUUGACUAUUUAAGGAGAGAUUGGCAAUUAGAGGGUCUCAAUAGCUAUAACCGGUCUAUUCAUAAGUAAUAAUAAUCUAUAUUUGAAUCAAUGAUCAGUAGUCAAAUCAAGCUGAGUUAAUUUCUUCAACCAGAGCUUUCUCCAAUUUGAAUUACAACUUUAAUUUGCAUUCUUGUUAUUUUAAUUUGAUUUUUAUUAUUGUCAACAAAACCCCCAUUUUAUGUUUUACGUUUUAAAAGGAUUUAAAUAAUUACCGAUCUCUAUGGACACGACCCUGCUCAAUCACUAUACACAAUUUAUUUAGAGUAGUAAUUUAUUUUUGUUGGCUUCGACAACCAUCAAUUACUUGCCACCUGGAUCGAUUACAACAUGGAAUGGUUUGAAGAAGCAGUUCCUUGAGAAGUACUUUCCUGUUGUAAGAGCUGCCAACAUCAGAAAAGUCAUUUGUGGGAUCAGACAACUUCUUGGGGAGACUUUGUAUGAGUAUUGGGAGCGAUUCAAACAAUUGUGUGCCAGCUGUCCUCAGCAUCAGAUUUCUGAUCAACUUCUUAUUUAAUAUUUUUACGAAGGACUGUCAUUGAUGGACAGGAGUAUGAUAGAUGCUGCUAGUGGAGGUGUGUUGGUGAACAAGACCCCUACUCAAGCAAGGGAGUUGAUUGCAAAUAUGGCUGCCAAUGCACAACAAUGUGGCAGCAGGUAAGAUCUCACUUCAAGGAAGGUGAAUUAGGUAAAUAUUUCUUCUGUUGAACAACGUUUAGAUAAACUUACUUCUCUUGUGGAAAAGUUUGUUGUAGGUAAUGUGCAACAGGUGAAGACUUGUGGCAUUUGUUACAAUAUGGGUCAUUCAACCGAUAUGUGUCCUACAUUUCAAGAAGAACCCGUUGAACAAACCAAUGCAGUUAGAGGAUUUCCAGGCAUGCCUUAGAGGAGGUAUGAUCCUUAUACACAAACAUACAAUCCGGGAUGGAAGGAUCAUCCCAACUUCAGCUAUGGAGUUAGACCAUCAUGAUUCCCGCAACAGUAUCCACCAAGACAACCAGCACCUCCACAGUCAAACUCCAAGUCAGGUAUAUCUCUUGAAGAAAUUGUUAAAUCACUUGUGACUAACACUCAACAAUUUCAACAGGCAACUACAGCAAGCAUUCAGAAUUUGGAGAACCAAAUGAGUCAAUUGGCGACUACAGUGAGCCGUCUGGAGUCUCAAGUAUUAGGGAGAUUGCCUUCACAAUCUGAGGUGAAUCCAAAGUAAAACGUUAGUGCUGUCAUCCUUAGAAGAGGGAAGGAGUUGCAAGAUCCCAGUAAGAAAGUGACAAAGCAUGUAGAAGAUGAGUUUGAGAAGAAUGAAUUGAUGCCUAAAUCUCAAGAUGCGCAACCCACCAAAGCGAAACCCCUACCUAUUGUGAUACCUCCUCCUUUCCUAAGCCGGUUUGCAAAAUCCAAGAAGGAGGAACAAGAGAAAGACAUCCUUGAGACAUUUCGCAAGGUUAAGGUAAAUAUUCCUUUAUUAGAUGCUAUAAAACAAAUACCUCGAUAUGCUAAAAUCCUUAAGGAACUAUGCACCUCCAAGAGAAAAGUAAGAGGAGAUGAAAAAGUUCACAUGGGGGAGAAUGUUUCAGCAAUUCUCCAAAAGAAACUACCUCCUAAGUGCAAGGAUCCAGGUAUGUUUACUAUCCCUUGUAAAAUUGGUAGUGUUAGAGUUGAAAAUGCUAUGUUAGAUCUAUGAGCUUUUAUUAAUGUCAUGCCUCGUUCCAUUUAUUCAUCUUUGAAUGUUGGGCCAUUAAAAGAAACUGGCGUGAUAAUUCAACUAGCUGAUAGGUCUAAUGUAUAUCCUGAUGGGGUAUUAGAAGAUGUUUUAGUACAAGUUAAUGAGUUGGUUUUUCCUGCUGAUUUUUAUGUACUUGAUAUGGAAGAGGAUAACUCCUCUAAUUCUGUCCCAAUUUUGCUAGGAAGACCUUUUCUUAAGACUGCUAGGACUAAAAUGGAUGUACAUAAAGGGACUCUCACUAUGGAGUUUGAUGGAGAGGUUAUAGAAUUCAAUAUGAAUGAUGCCAUGAAAUAUCCUAGUGAAGAACAUUCGGUAUUUUCUGUGGAUGUUAUUAACCCUAUAGUGCAGGAAGUUUUUUACAAGAAAAAGACGAAGAUAUUUCAUGAUAGAAUGAUUUUGAGAAAGGAGUUCUUUGUUGGUCAAAAAGUUCUUCUUUUUCAUUCUGAGCUUAAACUUUUUCCGGGUAAAUUACGUCCUUGCUGGGUUGGACCUUUUAUUGUUACUAAUGUUUUUCCUCAUGGUGCAGUUGAGAUUCAGAGUUCGACCUCUGACAAAGUUUUUAAGGUUAAUGGUCAUCACUUAAAACCUUUUUAUGAAGGUUUUUCGGUGAAUAUUGUGGAGAAUGUGGCUCUCGAGAGUCUCAAUUAUGGAGAUUGAUGCAUAAACGUGUCUAGCCAAAGACAUAAAACAAAGGCGCUUUUUGGGAGGCAACCCAAAUGAUUUAUUUAUUUUGGUUUUUGUUAUAUCUUCUUUUAGUUUUGAUUCAGAUUAUUUUUUGAAAAAAAAUAAUGUGUUUGCUUAUUUUGGUCAGAAGAAAAUUUUUGAUAAGGCGUGCUCACGUCUUAACUAAUAAGUACUUCUGUGAUUUUUAAAGUAAAAUGGUUUUAAGGCGUGCCCACGUGCUUAUUAGAAAAGUACUUCUGAAUUUUUUUUUAGUGUCUCAAAGUGAUUCAUCACUAAAAAAAAAUGAAAAAAAAAAUUAUUUAUUUAUUUAUUGAUUUGAAAAUUAAAAAAAAAAGAAAAAAAGAGUUUUUUUCUUCUUUUUCUUCUUUUCUUUCUUAUAUAUAUUUAUUUAUUUUAAAAAAUAAAAAAUCACUAUUCACAAAUCCCUAAUUCAAAAAUUACUGUUGAUUAUCGUUUUCCAGCAGCGCGCCUCGGCUCCAGCCUUCACUGAGCAACCAGCAGCAGCAGACGAGCACGCUCAGCCCCAGCCGCAGCGCGCAGCAUCAGCCCUAGCCGCAGCACACAGCAUCAGUCCCAACCGUAGCGCGCAACGUAACGCAACCAGCGUCACCAGCGCAGUAGAACCAACCCCAACCCGUGCAUCAAGCUACAGCCGAGCAGCAAUCGUCCGCAACCCGCCUACGCACUGUAUUCCAACCGGGUAAAUCGAAAUCCGUGAGUGCAAUUAUUAUAACAAUGCCGAAGAGGAAAGCAUCAACUUCCAAGUCAUCUAAAAAGACACCCGUCGCAAAGAAGUCCAAGAUUGCCGCUCCCACUACGGUUCCAUGGAACACAGUUUCAGAUUCACGCCAAGCCGUGAGACAAAGAACGAAACAUGGAAAGGGCAUGAGUGUUUUACUACUUGCGGAAUCCAAUCUUGGAGGGGGCCUCGCAUUCACGACUCAACAAGAGAAAGAAAGGUACAAAGAUAUUUCCAAGCAAAAAAUACUUCCAGCUAAGUAUAUUCAUUACCCGACUCUUGAAAAAUUGAAUGUUAAGGAUAAUUUUGAUUCUUUGAUAGAUAAGAUUGGUUUGCGUAAGUUUGUUGAUGUUGAUUGUUUGAGUUAUGUUGAGUUGAUUAGGGAGUUUUAUGCUACUUUUCAAUUUAAUAUACCGUAUGAUUUUACUUUGCAUACCCCGGAUAUUAUAAAGUUUAGGUUAAUGGGAUGGAGUUUUUCACACUCGAUCAUAGAUUUUAACCUAGCUUUAGGAUUCAUUGAUGAUGAUUAUUCUUCUAGUGAUGCAUAUUUAGGAACAACUUGUGACUUUAGCGAAAAUUUUGAGCCUUAUGGUCUUUGGCGUAAUUUAUCUGUUGAUCACAAUGCCUAUAACCCAAGUAAAUCAAUGAGUUCUUUCUUACGUGACCCUGUUUUGAAAUGUGUGCAUCGAUUCUUAGCAUAUAAUUUUUUAGGAAAGAAAGAUCACUCAGGAGUUUUCUCUAAAACUGAAUUUUAUUUUAUCUGGUUUAUGUUAAAUGAUGUGAGGCCUAAUUUAGGUUUUUGGUUAGUAGAUCAAUUUCAAAGUGUGCUUAAACGGUAUAGGACUUUAUUUCUUGGUCCAUACAUUACUCGGUUAGCUAUAAACUUAUGUGUGCUUGAUCCUAACAAUAAUGAUUUGCAUCCUGCUUGCAAAAAGGAAUUUUUGGAUAUAUCUGUGUUUGAAAGAACAGGUGUAGUCGAAUUCAAGGAGGGGAGAUUUCAGUUUACUGAACCAGGACCCACUCAACUUCCAAAAAAGCUUUAUGCUAGGAGUGGUGCUACCUCUGAUGACGAGUUUGACGACAAAACUGCUGCCUCACCAACUAUUCCUUCUACAUCCGCACCACCUUUGAGCAUUCAGUUAGAGAAAAUGGAGCACAAGCUGGACAAGAUGGAGCAGAAUUUGGCCGCAUACUUCGAGAGUGUGAGAUUUAUCCCACCAUUUCCGCUAAGCCCAUAGACGUUAUGAGGAUCAAAGCUCACAAUUCAGGGAAGUUUUUGCCUUUAAUCUUUUAUCCUUACACUUUAAUUUUUAUGUGAGCUUUGAUUAUCUUACAUUGGGGACAAUGUAAGUUCUUGGUGUGGGGGAGGGAUUUUUGCAUUAUUGAUGUCUGGAAGUAUUAUUUUCACUCUACUCAUCUAUUUUCACUCUACUCAUCCUUAAAUGAUUUUAGAGUUAGUAUGCUGCAUAUAUUAUUAUUUUUCUUUUCUUUUCCUUCUCACUACUUUUUUCCCAUCUAUCUCAAAUUAUUCAUAUCUAUUUUUAUUUUACCAUAUUCUUUCAUCACUCACAUUUUAUCUUUCAUUUUUUUUCUACAUACAUCUUUCUCGCUUAUUAUCCUUUUUACCUUUCCUUUUAUAUAUCACUCAUACCUUCUUCUCAUUCUACACCACUAUUGAUGGUUGAUUCAUUUGAAGAGUAUACAUGAUUUAAUGGCAAAUUUACCAACUUUGUGAGGAUUUGAGCCUAUGAGCAACCACUUUGCUCUAUUUAUUUUUGUUAUGUGAAUAUCAAUCUUAGUUUGUUUAUUCUAGAACUUGCUUUGUUGUGCAUGUUGAAGCCGCAUUACGGGAUUUUAUGCAUUAAAAUGAUAAGGGCAAACCGCUUUCCAUUUUUCUAUUCUCACAUUUUUCUUCUUUUUCUCCACCCGAAAACCUUUAUUUGUUAUCUUUGUUUGAGCCUUAAACAUUACCCAUCUAAUUCUCUCCGUCUACUUAACCAUUUUUCUUCUUUUUGAGCCUCAAUUUAAGGAGAUUUUUGGACUCAUUGGGUGGAUAUAUUUUGUUGCUUUUUCUACCUUGUAUUAAAGUUUCUCAAAUAGAUCAACAAGCAUUAUGCUUGAAUUAAAUUGUGCAAGGUUCGUUUUUGUUGUUUGAUUAAAAAAAAAGGAAAAAAACAAAAAAAAAAAAGAAAAAAAUGUUUACAUUCUUGGUGACUUGAGUAGAAAUAACCGUUUCGAUAUCAUAAGAUUCAUUCAAUGAGUUCAUUCUUCUCAUUUUGAUCUCUUUUUCUUUCAUAGACCUUUCUUUUUCAUUUAACCCAUUUAACCCCGUUACAACCUUUUUAAGACCAUUAGAUUUUUGCAUUUAAUUCAUGUUUUGUGGAUUGAGAUGUGAUAUAUAAGCAAGCUUAUGGUAAUAGCAUUCUUUGAUUUGAUUUGAGUGCAUAAAUGACGCCCUAAACACUUUGAGUGAAUGGAGUGAAGUCAAUGAGAGGGCUAUUAAAUCUUGUUGCACUUGAAUUUUGAAUGGAUCUUCUUGGCAGUUGAAUGUUUUUAUUCUAGCUUAUGAGAUUCUAUGCUUUAAAAUCCUUGUCUCUUGAAUGUUGAUCGACUUAAAUUCUUGAGGUAUGCUUGCUUAAAAUUGUUUUUGGAUGAGUUGAGAUGAGAAUUGAGUGGAGAUUUGGGAUUAGUCUUGAGUUAUAUGCUUGAGGACAAGCAUCAUUUUGGUGUGGGGGAAUUUGUUAGAGUGCAAUUUAUGCACUAGUUUUGAAUUGUUUACUUCCCUUAAUAUCGAUGUUUUGCACUUAAUAAUAGUGAUUUACUUGUAUUUUAUUUUUAUAGGUGCAAUUCUAUUGAUUGGUGCAAAAAUUGAGCUACAAGAUGAUGUUUAAGGAUGAUUAUUCUCUUGGAGAAAUUAUGAGCGUCAGAAGAACUUUGUUGAUAACGCGUGGGCGCGUGCUUUCAUCUACGGACCUGUAGUUUUUAAUUUAAUGUGUUUUGUAUUUUUGGUUAUUUUUAUAAUUACGAAUUUAAUAUUUCAGAUAUUAGUAUUUUAUUUUAAAUAGAACUCUAGAGGAGAAGAGAGAUAGAGUAUUUAAGGGAGGAAUCUAUUGUGAAAAAAAGGAGAUUUUUGGAAAAGAAAGAAACCCUAGAUCUAAUUUUUUCUCUUCUCUCUAUGAAGAACUAAACCUAUUAUUCUGGUUGAAGGUUAAUGAAGCUUUGAUUCAUCACUACUGUGAGAUCUUUCUUAUGCUUUAAUUGUUUUAUUGCUUUUUGGGUAUUUGUUUAUUCUCUGAAUUAUUUUCAUGAUUAUGUUUGUUAAUUAGAUAAUUGGCCACUAUUUAAUUAUCAACUUAAUCUAUUGUCAAUUAAAGGAUUCAUCGUAUGAAGAUUUUAAUGUUUGUGACAAAUAACAUAGCAGAGAGUUGUGUUGUGAGAAUAAACAAUCUAAUUUAAAUGAACCAUCGUAUGUGUUUGUUGAUUAGGAUUUGGGUCUCUCUGGUUUUUCAAGCUGUCAAUUGAUUAAAUCCUAUGAUCGUAUCUAGGGUUGUCUAUUGAUUAGGGAAAUAACCAAUGGUCAUACCUUGGUUAUCGACUAGUUAAGGAGAGAUUGGCUAUUAGAGGAUCUCAGUAGCUAUAACCGGUCUAUUCAUAAGUAGUAAUAAUUUAUAUUUGAAUCAAUGAUCAGUAGUCGAAUCAAGUUGAGUUAAUUCCUUCAACCAGAGCUUUCUCCAAUUUGAAUUACAACUUUAAUUUGCAUUCUUGUUAUUUUAAUUUGAUUUUUAUUAUUUUCAACAAAACCCCCAUUUUAUAUUUUACGUUUUAAAAGGAUUUAAAUAAUUACCGAUCUCUGUGGGCACGACCCUGCUCAAUCACUAUACACAAUUUAUUUAGAGUAGGUAUUUAUUUUUGUCGGCUUCGACAACCAUCAUUUUGUUUCUUUAUGUAAUUUUUAGACUGCUCUGACAACUCAUCUUAAAGGUGCCACUCAUCCAAUAUGAUAUGGUGACAGUAGUUUAGAGUUUUAAACUAAAUGCAGAGCUAAUAGUAUUUUGGAAAUAUAAUCAUCCUAAGAUACUAACAAAAACAACAACUUCGGUGUAGAGAGAAAAUGAUUUCACAAAAGCAGAUGUUUUGAUUUAAGUCUCCAAAACCCCCACCAAAGAAAUGUUCAACGGAUAUAGAAAUAUGAUCCACAUAUCUGUAACUUAAACUGUGAAAUUUGUUGAUGCUGUUCUAAAAUUGCCACAAUCUAUCUACCCCAUGAAUGUUAUUGGAUAAAACAACAAGCAGGACCCAAUGCCUGUUUUCUAAUAGCUUCAAAAAGGCCAAAUUGGUUUUGAAAUGUCUCCAGCUUUUCAUUUAACAAGUUUAAGGAUCCCUUCGGCAUUGCAAUUGGGGAGCUCAGAUAUAUAAAAGUCUGGUAAACUCUUACAGCCGCAGCUUUUGAGCAAAAAUAAUUUUAUCUCAUAAUAUUUUGACAAAAAACUUAUAUCACCUUUUAUCAGUUUUGUAAAAAAUAUUAUUUAUAAGUCAUAUUUACCAAACACAAUCAACUUUUACAUCACAAUUAUAGCUUCUUUUUUUUCACCACACAUAUACAGUUAAAAUCUACAAGAACUCGAUAUCAAAUAGAUCCUAAAGCUUAAUCUAAUAAAAAGGUAAAUAAACAAAUGCAGAAGCCAGCGUACUUGAUCAAGACGCUCUGAAUAGUCACUGGGAAAGGGAAUAUCGACGUUAAUGGGGUUAUUGCCAUCGCUUGAAACCGAAUUGGUGAGACAAUUGCGUUUUCUUCUGUACGGAGAAAAUGUGACGAUUCUUUGACCACUGAAAAUUUCGAUUCUACAAUUUACCUGCAAUUAGUGACAAUUAUUCCGUUUAGAAACAAUUUUAAAAAAAAUAAAAAGUAAUAAUUACAAACUCAGAGUAUACCUGUGGACGUGGAAUUGAAGAAACUGGAAUAGGAAGCGUAGGGAGGGCAAUGGCUGUAUUGGAGGAUAACGGCAUUUUGAACCUCAAAGUAAAGAGAGAGAGAGAGAAGAAACGCUUCCCUUUCAAAUACCGCGCUCUUUUGUACCUGGGAAUUUAACUAAUUCAUGCGAAUAAAAAAAUUUAUAAAUUUGGUAAAUUAUUUAUUAAAAAAUAUUGAGAGGUUGUGCAUUAUUUUAUUAGUAAUGACAUGGUAAUAAUCAAAUUAGUUAAAUUAAAAUAGUUGUUGACUCAGUAAUUUAUUUUUAUUAUUUUUAUAUAUUUAUUUAAUUAAUUAAUUAAUGUUAUAUCUAUUUAUAUAAAAAUGUACAGUUCUAUCCUCACUCUUAUUUUAUUUUUAUUAUUUUAAAAAAAAUGGUCUGCGUUAUUAAGGUUAAGGGUGACAACUGGGAUUAAUAUACGGUUUAUUCGAGUGCUUAAAACCUAAUAAAUAUCCACUAACUCAUAUAUAGUAAAAAUAUAAUUAUUUUAAAAAAAAUUAAUAUAAACUAAACAAAUUGAUUGGAUUUUGUUUCUCAAGGUACAUCAUUAGAACGUUACUUUUAACUGAACAAAAGCACACAUAACUAGCACAUUCGCCACAAAAGCCUCGGCUUAGUGGUCGGCUUAUUAAUUAUCCUAAUUAAAUCAUGGUCAUAAAUUUGAGUCCCGGCAGGAAUUAUUAGGCUAGGUAGCUUUUAUAGACUACACUAUAAAUACAUGUAUUUUAAUUCUCGCGGGUAUUGCUUCUAGUAGUUAUCCAUCCGAGUAUAGUGCUUUGUAGCUUUCUUCACGACCUUCCCCAAUUUCAAUGAUUGUUAAUCAAUCUUCAUAGAAAAUGUGAUAAGACUGUAUUUAGAGAAAAGCUCAAUAAAUGAUUUUUAUAGGUCAUCAUUUCAUUUAAUUUUCCGUUAUAUAUAUAUAUUCACCUUUCUCAGAGGCCAAGAAGUCUUCGACAGAAAUGUGAUCCUUGAGCUUCUCCCAAGUUUCAAUUAAUUCGCUUUGAGUGAGGAUAUUUUCUGGUGGCCUCAAAUACAAUGUUUUGUUCAGUACUCGAGGAGCAUUUAUUGUCUUAAUAGUAUUUAUGGCAACAUCAUCGAUAUGCACAGUAAAAAAAAAGAUAAUCAUUUUGUUUAAUAUGAACAUAAAUUGUCAAAUUCUGAAUCAUAUUAUAGUGAACGAUAUUGUCGUAUGGUGUGUGUAUGUACUAUCUAUAGUUUUAAUAUUAUUAAUAAGGAGUUAAAAGUCUUGAUUUAAUUUUAAAUUGUUAUUCCUCUAACUUCACCGUCUCCAUAGAUGCAGACUCUAUCUUUUGAAGGGCGGGGGUAGCUAUAUUUGAGAGAGGUGUCUGGGGAACCAACCAGCAAAAAAUAGCUAGCAGAAACAUAAAUGACAAGGAUUUGAGCAGCCUUGAUUGCCCUUCUCACACAUGCGCUCUGUGUUCUCCCUCCAGCUCUCACUCACUCACGCCCAAAUCUCACCUCACUCACGUAUCUCUCCUUUCUGACCGGUGGUUUUCUCUCUCUCGCCGUGGGUCUCUAGGCUGGCGGGGAUUUCUCGACUUGACUACUAAAACAUAAUCCAAAAACUAUCUCGACUUGACUACUAAAACAUAAUCCAAAAACUACUAAGAUAUAUAUAUAUUACUAUGAUAUACACAAUAUGAAGAAACUGCAGUUAUAUUUCAAAUAUUUUAUGAAGGAAGAGGCUGUAUGGAUUAUCCAAAGGUGCUGAAAUUAAGAGACCCACGCCAACCGACAGAGUGAGUGAAUAUAAGGGGGUUAUUGGGUAAAAAUCACAUAACGCGCAAGCGAAAUUUUAGAUUAUAUUUUUUAAUACUCUCCGAGUCUCUCUUUCUCUUUCUUUUUUGGUUUGAACCACGAGGUGGUCCUGAGUGGGUCCCAACUAUGGAAAGCACUUUUAAGCCCGUACCACAACUUAGACUAAUCCCCACUCGCACCGGGUCGGCCCGUAAGGGGUAAAGUGCUGGGCAAAGUGGUGACUCCAUACGAGAGCGGGACUUGAACCCCUGACCUCUCUUAAGGAGUGAGAGUGCCGAACCACUCACACCAACCAACUUUGGUUAACUCUCUUUCUCUUUUUCUUUUUUUAAAUAAAUGUCAGUAUAAAAUUAGAAAAUUUUAGAUAUAAAAUUUGGCGAUGACCAAACAAAAAUUGCAGGGGAAACCUUGAUAUCAUUGAAAUACUAAUCAUAGACACUGCAGUAUAAAUAACUUCUUGUGAUCUACUCAACUUUAACACUUUAAUCCAUAUUCUAAAAUUUGCAUGUUUGUUAGGAUUUUUAUUAUUGAUACUGUUGUAUCAAUAAAAUUAUAAUUUAUUCAUAUGGAAUGAAAACAUCAAGAAAGGACCUCUGAAGUUUAUUAUAACAGAAAAAAAUGGUCCAUAAGUCUAUUUAUUAUUUUAUUUAUUCAAUACAAAUGGCCAACUUUAAAAAUGGUAAAAGUCACACAAUGCACAAGUAAAAUUUUAGAAUUAAAUUUUUUAAUUCUCUUUGAGUCUCUCUCUCUUUAAAAAAUAAACCUCACUGUAAAAUUAGAAAAAUUUUAGACGUAAAAUUUGACAAUCACCAAAUAGAAAACAUAGGCAAAUGAAAAUGGAGGAGCCCUAUUUUCAUUAGAAUAUUGAUCAUAGAUACUAUAAUGUAAAUCAUUUGUUGUGGUUCAUUCAACCUGUCACACUCUAAGCCAUUUUCUAAAAUUUGUAAGGUUUAUAGGAUUUUUAUUAUUGCCAUCAUUGUAUCAAUAAUAUUAUAAAUUAUAUAUUCUAUUGUAAUGAAAAUUUGUGCAAUCUUAGGUAUGUAUUAUAUUAAAUUGUGUGGAUUAAUUAAGAAUAUUUUUGGAGACAAAAGAAGUGUGUGUAUGUAAGAAUAAUGAUAAAAAAUUUCUAAAUAAAGGUGAUUGCUUCAUUGACAAGUACAUAUUUAUAUUCCUCUAUUAGUAUUUGGGUUGUAAACUCUGUUUAUAAAGUGAAUAUAUUGUGGUAAGCGAUGUGGGAAAUAUCGGAUGCGAAAUAUUGAGAGAUCAUUAACGCAUAUAUUUAUUGAAGAUGCAUAUAGAGGAAAGAGUGUAGAUCCGGCCGUAACACUUAUGAAGCUUUCCCUAAGUAUUCUCAUGCUUGCUUAACUAUUCCGAAGUAUUUUUCAUAGUGUGCAUAUUUACUUUAUGGUGUCUUUAUUCGUCUCAAAUGAUUACUACAGUUCUUUUGGGAUGAAAGGUCAUUUAUUUUGUUAAUUUUAAACAAUAGAAAAAAUAAAUAAUGGUAACGAAAGACUAAUUGUGAUAUUGAAGCGUACGGACUUUAACUCAAUCCAAAAAUUAGUAGGACCCACAUAUAUUUGAUGACGCUGAAAGUUACAUCAAUUGUAACUUAGAAACAUCCAAAUAUUAGACAAUAAUACACAAUAACAAUGCAUAUAAUUUGGGUUUGAUUUUUAAAAAAUUAUUUGAAUAUCACUUAUCCUUAAGAUAUUAAUUUGAAUAUAUUUUAAUAGUAAAUAAUAAAAAUUUGUUUAGUUAUUAUUUGUAUUUCAUACAUUGCAUGUUAGAUUUGUUUGAAUUUUAAGUUGUUGCGAAUAAAUAUUUAUGUUGUGAAAGUCGAAUUCAAUAGCUACAAAAGCAGAGAUAAUUGUAUUUUAUAUAGUUUUUAAGAAUACAAGGAUAAGAUCAUAACGCAUGAGAUAACGGUAUUUUAUAUUAAAAGACCAUAAUGCAUGUAUUUGAGCCAUUUAUAUUGAAGACACAUAUAGAGGAAUGAGUGCAGAUCCGACCAUAACUAUUGUGAAGCUUUCCUCAAGUAUUCUCAUGCACCCAAACCUUAUCUGGUCAAGGUUUCUGAUUGAAUAUAAUCAAUUUCCGUGCAGUACCGAAGACAGCUUCUGUUGGUAGUUGAAUUUGUGGGGAAUGACAAAUGUAGAGAAAUACAACAAUAAUGGUGGAACUUUAUUACGUAAAGUAAUGUGUUUACAACUAACUCUGUAUGUAGUAAGAAAAAUAAUAGUAAUAAGUAAACUUGCAAAAAUUUUGUGUGCUUGAAGGCACGUUACAAAUGUCGCUUUCCUUAAGACGUUAUUUGCCCCCACCAAUUGAGUGAUGCACAUGGGUUAAGCAAAUACGCAUCCAGGAUACAAUGAAGCACUUGUUUGUUUGCUAGUGUUGUGCAUCAACGAAAGCAAACCAGAAUACUCUUGAAUGUUGCAAGCCUGCCAAGAAACAAUAAAUUGUUCCUGCAGAAAACAAUAUAUUGGAUUGUGAAUGCACAAAAGAAAUGGGUGUUUUGUGUUGAAAUUCGUACUAGAAAGGAAUGCUAAGAAAAGAGUGGUGUAGGAUCAUUGAUUUCAUGUCUAAAUGGCUUAAACAUGACCCCUAUUUAUGGAUAUACUUGUGCCCCCUCAUUUGGGUUGUCAUCUUCAUGAUACCCCUUCAUUCAUGGCCAUUGGAUCUAUAUUUAAUUUUAAUCAAUGGUCCAAAUUGAACCAUCACCAUUUCAAAUGAAAUGUCACCAUGAAAUGAUGCAUCUCUAAGUGAAAUGUUACCAUGAAAAGUUAUAUCAUUUAGUAAAAAGAUACAUUUUCUAUAAGACAUAAUUAAAUAGACAUGUCCUUACAACAAGACAUCAUUUAAUUAGACAUGUCUUUAGUGAAAUGUACUUUUUCUAUAAGGCAGAAUUAAUAAGACAUGUCUUCACCAUAAGACACAAUUUAUUUUGAAAAUUUUCCAACAGCUUAUCUGUAAAGCUCUUCAACCACAAGCAUUUCUACAAGGCAAAAGACUAGGACGUGUUGGAAUGAAUAUCAAUAAGGGAAUGUCUUAUGAAUUUGGUUUAUAUCCUAAUAUAAGACAAUCAAUAAAUAUUGGAUGCAAUCUAAGGGCUAACAUUUGAUUGAUCAUUGUACGAAAAAAAAAGGUACAAAAAUACAAAACAGAGCUGAUUGAUGGCCUUUAACAGUCAGUUCUAUGACAAAGUAACCACCACAACAAAUGGAAUUAUAAGACAUCAAGAAACUUGAACUUGGCAGGAGGUCUCAUUAGCAGUAUACCUCAGAAAUUAAGACAGAGACUUUAAAAUGCAAGCUUAUGGAGUAAUUUAAGCACUGAAACUAAUAACAGUGAUGCAAAAAAAGGUGCAGAAGUACGGUAUUAGCAAUUGACCUCUGCUUUUGCUUGGACAAAGGUUUUCAUCACAAGGGACUCAUUAGUUGCCCUUGCCUCACACGAUUGGAUGCUAAGGGGAAAAAGGAAGCUUCUAACGGCAUUCACAGAGAACCUAUAAAACUAAAAAAAAAAAAAAUCAUCCAUGAAAAGGCUACUAACAAAAAAACUAACUCUUUUAUCUGCCACUGACCUAAUCCGCACUCAUUUAAUUAAAAAAGAAUUAAAAGCAAAACUAAAAGAUACAAAUUGCGUACAAGUCUAGGAGCCAUAUCAAAGGCGUUAUAUAACUUUUCCAAUUAAUAAAUUCUCUUAAGGGCCAUACCGUGCUCAUCAUUUCAAAAGCAAUUAAGGAUAAGAACUUUCAUCAUUAAUUGAUAUGGCCAGUGUAGAAAAAAUGAAAAAGCCCUCCAAGAUCAAAGCACAAGGAUCAGUUUAGAAUUACACUUUUUAAAUUUUGGUUAAUAAAUAAACGUUUAUAUGAAAAUAGAAAAUCUUUUUGGAAUAACCUUUUUUUUUCUUUUUUUAAUGAAUGUGGAUAUAAAAUUUUAAAAUCGCCAAACCGAAAAGAAAAACAGGGGAAUGAAAAGAGAGCCCACGUUUCUCCUCUCUUUUGUUUUUAUUGUUAUCAAACAGGGGAAUGAAAAGAGUGCUCUGUUUCUCCCCUGUUUUGAUUUUUUUAUUACUAAACAGGGGAAUGAAGAGAUCAGCUCUUGUCGCAAGCGCAAAUUUUUGUUUCUAAAUGCAGUUGGUUGUAACUAUAUUCGCAGUCCCUAGUACUUAGAAGUAAAGGCUCUUGGAAUUUCUAUUGUAGUACAUGAGAUGUUUCCCGUUCAAAUAGCUCGCCCGAUACCAUUAGCAUGUUCAUCUCUCUAUAGAUUGAUGUUGACAUAGAUGUUAUUCUACUUUUGCUAGUGGAGUUUUGGGCCUUGUCGUAAUUGGUGGAAUUACGACAUCGGUGGCUGACAUGGCUUUCCUUGUACAGGUAUGUAUGAUUGUUUUUUUUGCACGUCUAAAUGGCACUGUUGAAAAGCUUAAAAUUGAACUGAUAAUUUUGUUUGGAAGCUCAGAAAAUUCAUGAGAAAGUGAAAUAGAAUAUUCUGGAUUUCUUUUCUUUCCAUAACAUACAAAUGACAAACGUAGCAGUAUUUAUACUCGUUGCUUACAUCAUAAAAACAGAAUUAAAGCAAGUUAUACAACUAUAACAUAAUAAAAACCGUGCUUAACUAAUUGGCUGAGCUAGCAUAUACUUCUUUAACUAACACAUGCUUAUCGUGCAGCUACUCUUUAGUUCACACGUGCUCAGUGUGCUUCCUUAACAGACACAAGGGAAAAGACAUGAUUUUGAGAUAUAACGCUUGAAUGUUCUCGGAAUGGCAUAACGCUUUGUGUGUCUCGGACCUGUUAAGAAUAACAUAUGCUGAGUCAGCUGCUGAGUCAUCAAGCCACGCUGGAAGUUAGUUUUGCAGUUAGUUAGAGAGCUUAUCAGCUUCCCUCCAAAAGUUUGUUAUGUGUAUUAGAAUCUGGGCUCACGAGUUUUGUGAGAUUGUAACCUUAAGAAGAUUCUCACACUACUAUAAAUUGUAUUGUGACUCAAUUAAUAAAAUAAGUUGAAGCUUUGCAUUUUCUCUCAGUCAAAAUUUUCUCUCUGUUUUUCUAACCAAACAAGAUCUACAGAGCAUCUUGUAUUUUAACUUGGUAUCAGAGCUUGAAUCCAAUGGCCUUAAUCGGUUCCAAUCAACAGUCAAGCAACACUUCCAUAACUUCUUUCACCUUCACAAAUCCAAUUAAGCUUGAUCGUGCAAACUAUACGAUCUGGAAACAAUAAGUACUUUCUUCAAUUCGUGGCAAUGGUCUUGAAGGCUAUAUUGAUGGAUCAAGGAUCUGUCCUAGUCAAUUUCUUUCUCCAGAGGCUAGAUCUGAAGGUUCUUCUUCUUCUAACAUCGAAGGUCAAGAGAAUCCAGAGUAUGCAGCCUGGAGACGUCAAGAUUAGCUCCUGCUCAGCUGGAUUCUGUCGUCCAUGAAUGUAGAUAUUCUCAGUCUUGUGGUAAGCUCUAAGACUUCUUUUGAGUUGUGGAAAAAUCUAGAAAAAUAAUUUGGAUCUGAAUCUAUGGCUAAGAAGGUUCAUCUAAAAAUGCUUUUGAGUAACCUGCGAAAAGGAUCUCUAACCAUGUCUGAGUAUUUUACAAAGCUUAAGUCAGUUACAGAUGGUCUUGCUUUAGUUGGUAGCCCUGUGCAUGAUUCGGAUUUAGUCACUCAUCUUAUUACUAGUCUAGAUCAGUCAUAUUAUCCUGUAGUAGUCUAUAUUGAGGCAAACAUGUUGAAAAUGGAUCUUAGUGAGGCUUAUGCUAUGCUUCUCACACAUGAAGCUAGACUUGAGAAUAAUAAGCUUCAUGAUAGUAAGGAAACCAAGAACAAUUAUGCAGCAAAUGUAGCUCAGGCUGGAAAUUUUUCAAAGAAAGGUAAUAACAAUAAUCAAAACAACUGGAAGGCUGGAGGAAACAAUUGGAAUAAUAACUCUGGUGGAAGAGGUGGUUUUGGUGGUAAUGGAAGAGGUGGUUACCAAGGGUUCAAUCCAGGAAGAGGAAACUAGAAUAAUAAUAAUUUCAGAGGUGUUGCUGGUGGAUUUAAUAGUGGAUUUCCUGGUCCCGGUGGCUUCAAUAACAAUUAUGGCAGAGGUGGUUUCAACUCAGGAGGUGCUGGAAAGAAUUUUGCUCAGGGAACUGGUGCUGCUUGUCAGAUAUGCUUCAGGUUUAAUCACACAGCAGCUGAUUGCAGAGACAGGUUCAACCGAAAUUUUAUCCCAAAUUUUCCAGCUCCAGCUCCAAAUCACUUCUGUAAUCAGCAUCAAGGACCAAGAGCAGUCUUCAUAACAACAUCUGAAGGAGCUGCUGAUCAGGGAUGGUUUCUGGAUAGUGGUGCAACUCACCACUUAACCAACACAGUUCAGAAUCUGAGUGAUGGUAAAAUCUAUUUUGGCUCAAACUUACUUACUGUUGGUAAUGGCCAAGGUCUUAGAAUUACUCACAUAGGUUAUACACAACUUCACACUUCUUUUGGCACCUGUUUACAACUACAUAAUAUUUUGUGUGUCCCUCAAAUUACCAAGAACCUCAUUAGUAUUUCCAAACUCCUCACUGAUAAUGAUAUAACCAUUGAAUUUUUCUCUGAUGUUUGCUUUCUAAAGGACAAGGUGAAGGGCACUCUGUUGGCUCAGGGGAUAGCCUAUACAAGCUACUAUCAAAAGAGGAAUCUCUCUCUUCUUCCACUUCUGUUCUGCCAGUGUCUCAUCCUAGUUCUAUGAUGUCAACUCUUUCCUGCAAUAAUGUAGUUACUUCUGUUCAAAGUUCAAAUAAUGACUUCUGUUUUAAGUCUACAUUUCCUGUAAGCUUUCAAACUUCAAGUUAUGUGUCAGCAAAUAUGUUGCACAAUAGACUUGGUCAUCCAAGUAAACAUGUCAUACAAACUAUUCUCAGAAACAAUUGUUUAAUGUCAGCCAAUGUUAGUAAAUCAAAUUUUCUUUUCUGUGAUGCCUGUCAAUUGGGAAAGUUACAUCAAUUACACUUUCCUGCUACUGAAAUCAAAACAAAAAACCCCUUAGAAUUAAUACACACAGACUUAUGAGGACCAGCACCAGUUUUAUCACUAGAUGGCUAUAGAUACUAUAUUUCCUUUGUUGAUGACUUCACCCGAUAUUGUUGGAUCUUUCCUUUAGUUUUAAAAUCUGAUGCUCUUACUACUUUCAAAAACUUCAAGAGCUUAGUUGAGAAACAAUUCAGUCUGCCUAUCAAAAUUCUGCGGUCUGAUAUGGGAGGUGAAUUCAAAGCUUUUCAGUCCUUUCUUCAACAAGAAGGUAUCCAAGCUAGAUUUAGUUGUCCCUAUACUCACCAUCAAAAUGGUGUUGUUGAGAGAAAAUAUAGACACUUAGUAGAAACUGGAUUAACACUCCUUACUCAAGUAAAAAUGCCUAUUUCUUUCUCGUGGGAGGCUUUCCAUACAGCCUCCUAUCUCAUUAAUAGAAUGCCUACCACUACACUGAACAACUUAUCUCCCUAUCAAAAGCUUCAUAAUCAGCCACCAAACUAUCAACUUCUCAGAGUUUUUGGUUGUGCUUCCUAUCCUUUUCUCAAGCCUUAUAAUGAUCACAAGCUUGAUUUUCAUUCCCAAAAAUGCUUGUUCUUAGGUUACAGCCCUCUUCAGAAAGGAUAUAGGUGUCUAACAAAGUCAGGUAAAGUAUAUGUUGCUACUCAUAUUGUUUUUAAUGAAUCUGAUUUUCCCUAUUCAGAGUUGUUCUCUUCAUCUGAGUCUUCUUCCAAUUCUCUAUCAUCAUACUCUCCAUCUAUUUGUAUCCUUAAUGACAGUGGCUUGCAUCAAUCAUCAGCUACAUCUCCUACUUCAGCAAAGUUACCAACUAUACAUUCACCUCAACAUCCUCACCAAGCCCCACACUCUCCUUGUCCCUCUCCAGUCUCAGAUUCCUACAGCUAAUCAUCACCACAUUCUUCAUCACAUAAUGCUUUAGCCAAUCCCUCUGAUGAAUUACAACCAUCAUCUCAACCUGUCAUUUCAACUCAUCAGAUGGUCACUCGAGCCAAAUCUGGUAUUUUUAAACCAAAGACCUACCUUACAGCUACCCAAGACCUUGAACCAGUGAGUGUUAAAGCAACCCUAAUUGAUACAAAGUGGAAAAUGGCUAUGCAAGAAGAGUAUAAUGCCUUGCAGAAGAAUGGCACCUGGACAUUAGUUCCAGCUGAAACAGCUACAAAACUUGUUGGCAAUAAGUGGGUUUUUCGAGUUAAAUAUAACCCAGAUGGCAGCAUUUCCAAGUAUAAGGCUCGGUUGGAUGCAAAAGGUUUUCAUCAAACCUAUGGAGUAGAUUUCUUUGAAACUUUUAGUCCAGUUGUUAAACCCUGCACUGUUCGUAUUGUUCUCAGCUUAGCAGUCAUGCAUUGUUGGCCAGUUCGGCAAUUAGAUGUUAACAAUGCCUUUCUUAAUGGCAUGCUUACUGAAGAUGUGUUUAUGCCUCAGCUAGAAGGCUUUAUCAGCUCUCAGUUUCUCAAUCAUGUCUGCAAAUUACAAAAAGCCCUUUAUGGUCUUAAACAGGCUCCAAGGGCUUGGUAUGAUAGAUUGAAAGGGUCUUUAGUUCAGUGGGGUUUCAAAUCUUCAAAGUCAGAUACUUCACUGUUUUUCAAGCAUAUUGGCAAUAAUGUUCUCAUCAUCCUUGUUUAUGUAGAUGAUAUCCUGAUAACAGGCUCUAGUGAUGUUUAUAUUUAAGAGGUUAUCAGUCUACUUAGCUCAGAAUUUGCACUUAAAGAUUUAGGAGAUUUUAACUACUUUCUUGGGGUAGAAGUGACUCCAUCUGCUGAAGGAUUACAUCUAUCUCAAACUAAGUAUGUUGGUGACAUCUUAAGAAAAGCUCAUAUGCUUGAGAGUAAAGGUUGUAAUACACCUAUCAGUGUUGCUGAUAAAUUGCAGAAGGACAAAGGCUGCUCAUUUACAAAUCCCUCACUUUACAGAAGCAUCAUUGGUUCUCUGCAGUAUCUGACACUGACCAGACCAGAUAUUGCAUUCACUGUAAACAAAUUGAGUCAGUUUUUAGCUGCUCCAACUAUCUUGCAUUGGCAGGCUUGCAAGAGGGUAUUACGAUAUCUACAAAGCACAUCACAUUUUAGACUGCAAUUCUUCAAGUCAGGUUCUCCAAGUCUCAUAGCAUAUUCUGAUGCAGAUUGGGGGUCUGAUCCAGAUGAUAGAAGAUCUGUUGGAGGGUAUUGUGUUUAUCUUGGAUCCAAUCUUGUGUCUUGGUCAUGUAAGAAACAGAACAUUGUUUCCAGGUCAUCUGUUGAAUCUGAGUAUAGAGCAUGGCCUUAGCUACAUCUGAGGUUUUGUGGAUUACAUAUCUAUUAAAAAAGCUCAAAGUAUCACUUCCCAAACCUCUUGUUCUUUACUGUGACAACAGCAGUGCAGAAGCUUUGGCUAGCAAUCCUAAGUAUCAUUCCAGAACUAAACAUAUAGAACUGGAUUUACAUUUUUUCAGAGAACACAUUGCCAACAAGGAUCUCUUCAUUGAACAUGUGUCUAGUUCUGAUAAGCUAGCUGAUGUGCUUACCAAACCUCUGAGUUUUGAUCAUUUUGCCUAUAUGCAAACUAAGGUCAAUGUCUGCCCAUGACCUUGAGCUUACGGGGGCAUUUUAAGAAUAACAUAUGCUGAGUCAUCAAGCCAUGCUGGAAGUCAGUUUUGCAGUUAGUUAGAGAGCUUAUCAGCUUCCCUCCAAAAGUUUGUUAUGUGUAUUAGAAUCUGGGCUCACGAGUUUUGUGAGAUUGUAACCUUGAGAAGAUUCUCACACUACUAUAAAUUGUAUUGUGACUCAAUUAAUAAAAUAAGUUGAAGCUUUGCAUUUUCUCUCAGUCAAAAUUUUCUCUCUAUUUUUCUAAGUAACCAAACAAGAUCUACAGAGCAUUUUGUAUUUUAACUGGAGCGGCUGAUUGGUGCUGUACGUGUUACAUUUUUACUUUUUUAACUCAAGUCUGCUGUUGUCCCAAAGUUGGAACUAGAGAUAUCAUUUCACCUCAACUGUGUUUUUUUUUUAAUUAAAAAAAUCAUUUGUUUUAGGUAUACAUACAUGUAUUUUAAUUCUAUUUUCCUUGUAAUUUCUCCUUUACUUUGAAUGAAAGUCAUUGGUGUUUUCGAAUGGGAAUUUUGCAUUAAAAAAUUAAGAAUAGUUAAUAGGAAAUUUCCUGAUUCUUUAGUUACUAUUUUUGGUAUGAGUGUAAUUAGUAGUAAAGUUGGUUUCUACUCGCAAACAAGUGAACUGCUCGAUUCCCAAGUGCUAUUAACCAGUUUCCAACUUUUUAAUAUACACUAAUUGUUCCUGUUUAAUAGCUACUACUAUUAAAACUCAACAGCUAACAAAAAUACUAAAAAAAAUGAUUUUUUCUUAUGAUGCUGUGAAAAAAAUUACGGGUUUACUUAUUUCCACGAGAUCUUGUAUAGUGUUCUUGUAUAGUGGAAUUAAGAUUGUCUUCCCGAUGGUGCAAUUCACCCUCUUCCUUUACAGUCACUUGCACUUUGUGCAGCUUUGGUGUGGAUAAGAUUCCCAGGGAAAAAGUCUUCAUGUUCGGACAAUGUGUCACAAAUACUCGUUCCAAUGAUGGGAAUUCAAGAGGGUAAUUCUCCAAACAAAAGCUGGUAAGCCUUGGUAAAUACGACUCUCCUUCACUUCUUCUCCAGCAUGUCCUACGAUUUCUUCUAAUUUUUUGCAGUUCCAUACAUAAAGAUUCACCAGACUAGUAGGAAUUCCAACCUGAAAAUAAGCAGAGUGUGUGUGUGUGUGUGUAUAUAUAUAUAUUAAAAAAGUAAAUAUGUAAGAGUAUCAUUCAACUAGGCUCAAAGAAUGUUUAAUCAUACAAUUAUACGUUUUAUGAACAUAACAAACUGUGAAAUAUCUACUAGAUAUUUUUUGUUAAACAAAAAAGGUAACAAGAUAAAUAAAUAAAUAAAAGCCAGAUAAACAAAGAUGAUAAAAAUGUAUUUACACUAUUUAGUAUUAGGGACGUAGAAAGAAUUUAUGGCAAUUUCUAAAUAUUUUGGACUUAUUUUGCAUCUUGAUAUAAGUUUUUAAGCAUAAAUUUGCAAAUUUCAACUAUUCCUUUAAAAAAAAAACUCAACUAAAAUGCCUCUUUUUCCCUUUUCCUUGGUCCCUAUUUUUUAUGUAUAUAUAAAAAUGGAAAAAAAAAUUUUGGAAAAGACUUCCCAGUACUGUCAACAAGGGAUUGCUGUAAAGUGGAUCUUUAUUAAGUACUUCCAGACUCGAGGAAAUUUCUUUACAAUCAAGGGUCAGUUGUAAACAAUCAUGAAUUUGUGGUUAAUUAAUGGCAUAAUCAAUUCUUAACUAAACUGGAGAUAUUAAUUAAAUUUGAAGACUUUUUUUUUUUCCAAUCGAAAUGUGAAGAAUUAAGGAAAAGAGAAAUAUAUAGAUGAAUUUGUGAACCUAUAAGAUGAGUGACUAUCCUUUAAUUUUUGAAAAUUGUACUUAUUAAGACAUGAGCAGAAACAAUUAAAUUGAAUUAUAUUAUGCUGUUGAAUCGUGAUUAAAAAAAUUAUAUUGUUGAUUCUAAUGCUGGCGAACCUAAAAACUGGACUUAAAACGUAGAUUUCAGAGUGGUGGUUUGAAGUACAAUACUUGAAAUAAAUAAUCAGUGGCUAAAUAUCAUUUGUAAACCCAAAAAUGGUUAAAAUAUUGUUGAAUGUUAUUUGAAAAAAAAAAAAAAGAGAUUCAAAAUGAAUAUUCUUACCAAUGGAGGAAAAAUAUUCUUUAGGUUAUCACACCAAGAUAUCUCCAAAUUCUUCAAUUUGCUGAAAGACUCCGAAGCAAGCUGGUGGUGCCAUAUUUUUCUCAAAUUAUCCAUCCAGUCAAUACGUAAUACCUCCAACCUAGGAAGUCGUACCUGACAGUUAAAGAUUAAAUAACUAAUUAAUCAAUUAAUGGCAUAAUCAAUUGAUAAAUAAAUUAGAGGCGGAUAUUAACUAAAUUUGAAGACUCAAGGAAAAGACAAAUUAAAUAUUGUGACUAAAAUAAAUUUAAAAAAAAAAAAAACCUUUUCGUCAAAGAGAGGAGGUUGCAUUUCAGAAUGAAUGGUGUCUUCUGGUGAGCUCGUGGAGAUGAAUCUUAACAUAUUCCAGCAACUCUGAAUCUCGAGGUUUAGCAAAGAAGGGAAUUCAACAACUAAAUCUGAAUGAAUAUGUCCCGUAUUGGCAAAGCUUGUUAGUUCUGGAAGCCAAUAGAGCCGCAGGAAGUGUAGUUUAGGAAAUACCUUUAAUUCAAUCAACUUUCCUUCAUCUCUUUCUGACCAUCCCGUGGUGUCGACUACCCCUUCCAUUGACUCACAAUAGCUUAUCUCAAGAUGUUGGAGCUGCAAAAGGCUAUUAACCAUAGAAUAUGAAAACAGAUACUUCAUACGAUGACAACCGACCACGUGCAGCUUUGUUAGAUUUUGACAACAGUACAUUCCUUGAUUAUGAUCGGCCCAUAAUUUUUUCAUGUUUCUCAAGUCCCUGAGAUUCAAUUCCUCUAAGCUCGGAAGAAUAACCUGCAAAGAAAACCCGUACAUUUUUGUUCCUUCAAGUACAACCGUCUAGUAUAAUAUUCUUUUGAUGAUCGAAGAUUAAUCGUGAUAAUAAAUUAAUCAAUUAAUUAUUGAACAGAAAAUUAUCACCUUUGGAGCAGGAUCAUCAUCAGAAAUGAUUUCGUUGAAUCCCAAAGAAGUUGUUGGUUUGUCCAUGUCGGGUCCUAUAAACAAACAAAAACAAUAUACAUAAUUAAUCUUUGUCGUUGUCUUUUUUUUUCAAAAUAAUUGAGGCGAAGUCCAUAAAUCCACCAACACUUAAUUUCAACACUUACCAACAAUCAUUUCCAGAUCAUCGCAAAAAAACACUUCUACCUUUUGAAGCCACAGUAGGUUUUUGGCCAUGGAGAAUGAGAAAAGAUGCUUCAAUUCGUGACAGUCUGAUACUUUUAUAAUCCUUAAGUUGCUGAAAGAUUGAUCUUCUGUGAGUUGGCUGUCACAUAUUGUCUCCAAAUUUAUCAAACGACGAAGAGACAAUGACUCCAGCAAGGGGAAGACUUUGCGACGAACCCGUCCAACUGAACAGACAAUAUGCAAAAUCUCAGACCAACUUUUUACAGCAAGGUGCUUCAAUCGUGGAAAACCUUCCCCAUCAUCUAAUUCAUGAACAACAUUCUGAACACCCUUCAGUUCUUCUAGAUAGAGAUAUUCAGUUCUCUUCAACAACAGUUUCAUCCUGUAAUUCUGCAAAAGAAUGCCAAACUUUUCCAGCCUCUGGAGCUUCAUCAAUCUUGAUAAUCCAGAUUUAACGGACCAGCUGCUCCCCCACUUAUUUCCUAUACAUAUCCUAUAGGUAGAAGUGUUCUAGCUAUUAAUUUUAUACAUAUCUUCUAUAGGUGUAUUCUAAUUAAUUUCAUACAUCAGAUUUUUAGAUAAAAAUAAAGAAGUAAAAAAAAAAAAUCUUCACAUCAUCUUAAGAAAUUCAAAGCCAUGAUACCACAUCCAAUCACGAGAAUCCAUUUUCCUAUGAUCACUGACCUUUAGGUGCGGUGCUUGGUUUGAAGAAGGGAAAGGGGGUGAGGAAAGUAAUUUGAAUUCCUUUCUUAUUUCCGUUGUUUGGUCGGUCAUAAUAUAAAAGAAUUUAAUUUUCAUUAAAAUUUAAUAUAAUCAUAAUGUGGAAUUUAGAUUUCUCAAUAAAGAGUGAUGAAUCUUGGUUUGGGUCUGUUUUGAGUUUAUUUUCAUUUAUUUGGCUAUGUUUUGAUAGCGAAUUUUGAUAUGUCAAUAUAACGUGUAAUUGUUUUGGGUUGAGCUGGUAAUUAUGCUGGAUUAGAUUGGUUUGGUUUUGGUGCUUCUCUGAUGGAACACUGUUUUUUUUAGAAAUUUUGAAUGUAAUAUGAGACUACAUUUAGUUUAAUUGAACACUGCAUCUAGUCUAAUUACUAGAAGUGCGGCAUUUGGUUUGGUUUAUCCUAUAUUCUCCAGAAUUUCACUUGCAUCUGGUUUUGUUGCAUAUGUUUGCUUGCAUUUGAUGGCAGUAGCAGACUGUUUGGUUUUGUGACAUUUGAUGGCAGUUUGGUCUGUUCUUGGUGUUGGUUUAAGAUUGUUCCUGUUGUGCUGAUGUUAAUUGCAGGUGCUUGAAUCAGCUAGGGUUGCUGGUUUAUUCAGAUGGUUGACUCAGGCGUUGUUACUGGUUAAUUCAGGUGGCUGACUCAAGUUGUUCAUUUAAUGUUAGGAAGCAAAUUAAGAAUUAAUGAAGUAUUCAUUAAACUAUAAUUAUUGUAGUUAUUUUAUUUCAUAACUGAAUUAUAAUCUAUGAUACUUGUGAACAAAUUAGAGAAUUUUUAUAUAUGAAUUAUAUAUAUGUGUAUGUACAUUUUGCUAAUAAUUUAAAGAAUAUAUUUCAAUUCCCACAAAAAAAUGGCUCCAAUUUCAAUAAUUCCCGCCAAAUAAUUAAAUUUUUUUAAUUUACCACCAAAAUAUAUCUUAAAGAAAUUUUAGUUAUUCUUGCUAGAUUUAACAAAAAUGAUUUGUAGGAUUAACAUUUAAUUAAAAUAAUUAAAUAAUUUUAUUAUUCCAAUUAAAUAUGUCAUGUUUAUACGACAGACAAUAUUCAUGAAUGGGAAGUAUUAGUUACGUAUUUUUCCUUGGGAUUUCAGGCAAAUGAAAAAAAGAUUGAGAAUGAUUUCAAGAGGACAGGUGGAUGAUAAGUAUUCAUUUUUGUAUAUUUGUCUAAUGUCCUCAUUAGUGGAUUUUUAUGGUAUUGAUCUUUUUUUUUUUUUUUUUAAUUUUCAAUUAGUUGCAGCCCUAGAGGAAGAGCAGGCUGAUCAAAUUGAUUUGUCUUGUUUUUCGGGCAAUCUACGACAUGAUGACCGUGAUAAUGCUCGUGACUGCUGGAAACUUUCUGAUGGAAAUAACUUUAGAGUUCGUAGCAAGCAUUUUUGUUAUGACAAAACAAAGGUUCCCCCAUAAUUUGUUUGUUUGUUAUGGUAUUUAUAUAUCCUGCAUAGGCUAGGUAGACAAGUUAUGAUGUACGUGUUUCUCAUAUAGAACUCAAGUCUGCUGUUGUCCCAAAGUUGGAACCAGAGAUAUCAUGACUCUGGUUUCAUUUCACCUCAACUGUGUUUUUUUUUUUAAUUAAAAAAAUAUUUGUUUUAGGUAUACAUACAUGUAUUUUGAUUCUAUUUUCAUUGUAAUUUCUCAUUUACUUUGAAUGAAAGUCAUUGGUGUUUUCGAAUGGGAAUUUUGCAUUAAAAAAUGAAGAAUAGUGAAUAGGAAAUUUCUUGAUUCUUUAGUUACUAUUUUUGGUACGAGUGCCAUUAGUAGUAAAGUUGGUUUCUACUCGCAAACAAGUGAACUGCUCGAUUCCCGAGUGGUAUCAACCGGUUUCCAACUUUUUAAUAUACACUAAUUGUUAUUGUUUAAUAGCUACUACUAUUAAAACUCAACAGCUAACAAAAAUACUUAAAAAAAAUGAUUUUUCUUAUGAUGCUGUGAAAAAAAUUACGGGUUUACUUCUUUCCACGAGAUCUAUAACAUGGUCUUGAUUUCACGAAAUUCUUUUAAUUUAAAGCGUGCUGGUGUGAGAAGGUCAGUUUGACUGAUUAAUUCUUUUUAACAGUGGUCGAGAUAAUUUUACUAUACUCGAAAAUAUUCUUAUUCUGAUAAAGCCAUAAAUGUUAUGCUGUUUUCUUCGGCUAAUGAUCUUCUAUCAGGAGAGGUUAGAAAUCAAAUGCUUAAAAGACCAAUUGAACGAAUAAUACAGAAAUUUAGGCAGAAUCUAAUCGAAUAUUGUAUGAAACAUGAAACAUCAAUUCAAGUCCUUUCUUAAACAAAGAAUGCAUCAAACAAAAUCCAAAGUGUCUUGCAAGUUUGUAGCAUGAGCAAAAAAUUGUAAAUAUGUAGAACCAAAUUAUUCAAGUACAGAAGAACGAGCAAGCUAAAUCAUGUAUAAGAGAUUGGCCUGGUUCAGGAUAGCUUCUUCACUGUAGCUGAAGGGUUGGCUCAAUCUCUUCUUUAGAAUUCUGCAGAUUUUGUAAUUACUCGUGUAAGCAAGCAUACAUUGCCACCAUAAGAAUAAUAAAGCAAGAGUAAUGAUAUGACCACCACCUCUUGUGCACAAACAAUAUUGUAUAAACUAAUGCGACAUAAUAUGAUUGGUUAAAUAAAAACAUUACAUGGCCCUCAUAAUUUAUUUAUUUAUUUAUUAUUAUUAUUAUAUAUUUUCAAUCAACCAAUCAUAUUAUAUCACAUUAGUUUCUAUAAAAUAAUUUGCUAAAUAGCACCGAAACUUAAUUGAUACUCACCAUUUCAUUGAACAAUUUUUUUAUGGUGUCAUUGAGGUUGCCUUCCCAACAUCCUUCAUCAUCAUCAUCUUCUUCAUCAUCAUCAUCUUCUUCUUCAUCAUCUUCAUCAUCAUCAUCUUUUUCUUCUUCGGUGACGUUCACUUUGUUUAGCAUUGGUGUGUCUAAGACUCCUUGAGAGAAGAUCUUCAUUUUUGGACACUGUCUCACAACUACUUGUUCCAAGGAUGGGAACUCAAGAGCGUAAUUACCCAAACAAAAGCUUGUUAGGCUUGGCAAACAAUCAAGUCCCAAGUACUCCAAUUUCCUGAAAACAAUGCAAUCGUCCGCUUCUUCUCCAACCUGCGACUGUAUAAUUUCUUCCAUCAUUUUGCAAUCAGUUAUCUUCAUUCUUUCAAGAUUCACUAGACUUUCAGAUGUUGAGAGCGUCAAUAAAUUUAUCAACCCAUGACACUUCGAUACUUCCAGAGUCGCAAGAUUUUCCAAAUGCCACGAAGCUGGUACUAAUUUCUGCAACUUACUACAUUCAAAUAUUUCUAGACUUUUCAAGUUUGCAAACACUUUGUUGGAUUUGGCAUUUUCCUUCCAGAGAUGCUGCACUUUGUGUAAUCCAGAUAGCUUUAACUUCAUCAAUUGAGGGAAUGCAACCUGGAAAUCAACAAAAUUAAGUUGUAAAUGAAAAUAUGUAUCCAAUCUCUGCAGUCUUCCCCUGCAUAUUUUAUGGACAAGAUUAAUCACGGCAUUUUAUAUUUUAUUUCCAAAUUAGUAUGCUUUGCAGUAGGAUCCCAAAUAUAAGUAUCAAAUCGAUUACCCUUUGAAACACAUAAAUGAAAUCUGAUCCUAAAUCCAAUAUGAAUUAGCUAGGAAAACAGAGACCUAACACGCAUAAUCGAUAUAGUUCAUCACCUCCUGUCACUAGGCAUCUAAUUAAUUUGAGACAUUUUUUUAAUUCAUACUAUAAAGUUAGUUAAUAACUACGGUUAUAUUGUUAAACAUGUAUAAAUUAAGACGACGUGCAAAAAGAUGAGUCAUUAAAUUUGAUUUGAUUCUAAUGAAAUUAUAUCUGUGUGAAUGAAAGUGAAGGGAAAAAUAAUAAUAAUGUUACCUUUUCAUCGAAGAGAUGUUGUAUUUGAUUAGCUACCAAGAGGUUCUCUUCUUAUUUUAAUUUUUGAGCUUCCUUAUUAUCUGUUGUCAUGUGCAGUACAGAUGUAGAAUUGGACAUGAAUGUUUCCAUAUCAGGGCAAUUCUCAAUAGUUAGAUAUCUCAACUCAGGCAGUUCAAUUAUAUUCCCAGUGAAGUUGCAGAAUCUUUUGAGUUUUGGAAGGUCAAUGAGCCUUAGCUCAAAAAGCCUAGGAAACAGGGGGCCUAUAUGUUCUUCCUUGGCAUUUAGCUCUUCCAAAUGAAGCACCUCUUCUAGUGAAUCACAAUUCCUCACUUCCAGCCAUCUCAAAUUGUUCAAGCACCGUAUCAGAUUGGCAGGAAUAGCACUCGACAUAUUCGUGCGGUCAUCCACCACCAGGUGUCUUAAAUUGUUGAAGAAGCUGACAGGCAGUGCUUGGCCAUGCGAGAGUUGCAAAUGGUUUAUAUCAAGGAAUCCAAUCUGCACAAACCAAAACAAUUGCACUGGAUAUAUACAAUUUUUUCUUUCUGAAAGGCAUAGAUAUAUGUACAUUAAACUUACAUGUUUUCUGCUUUAACUUCUAAAAAUAUAUAUACAAGGCAGGUGUAUAUGCUUAAAUGUGCAAGUGCAGGGGAGAUGCAUGAACAAUUUGGGUGAAUCGAUUAACACAUACCAUCUUUUUGUAACAUAUGUUUAAAUGUGCAAGCGCAAGGGAGAUGCAUAAGCAACUUGGAUGAAUCGAUUAGCACAUACCAUUUCUUCGUAACACUUUUGUAUAGUGGAAUUAAGCUUGUUGCCUUCCCAAUGGUGCAGUUCACCCUCUUCCUUUUCAGUCACUUGCACUUUGCAUGGCUUUGUAAUGGAUAAGAUUCCCUGAGAAAAAGUCUUCAUGUCCGGACAACGUAUCAUAGAAACUCGUUCCAAUGAUGGGAAUUCAAGAGUGCAAUUCUCCAAACAAAAGCUGGUAAGCCUUGGUAAAUCAUCAAGUAUCAAAACUUUUAAUUCGCUGAAAGCAAUACGAUUCUCCUUCACUUCUUCUCCAACAUGUCCUACGAUUUCUUCUAAUUUUUGGCAAUCUGAUACUUAAAGAUUCACCAGACUACUAGGAAUUCCAACCUGAAAAUAAGCAAAAGUGUGUGUGUAAGAGUAUCAUUCAACUAGGUCCAAAGUAUGUUUAAAACAUACAAUUAUAUGUUAACAUAACAAACCAUGAAAUGUCUACUAGAUAAUUUUUGUUAAACAAAAAAGGCAACAAGAUAAAUAAAUAAAUAAAAGCCAGAUAAACAAAGACAAUAAAAAUGCAUUUACACUAUUUAGUAUUAGGAGCGUAGAAAGAAUUUAAGGCAAUUUCUAAAUAUUUUAGACUUAUUUUGCAUCUUGAUGCCAGUUUUUAAACAAAAUUUGCAAAUUUCAACUAUUCCUUCUGGGAAAAAAAAAAAUCAACCACCAACAAAGUGUUGGCUCCAUUGGCAAUGGAGUCCCCUUAAGUGGUUUGACUGGGUUUGCUCCCCAGUUCGAGUCGCAGGGAAGUCGCCUUUGUUGGGAGAACUUGUGCCUCCCGGUUCGAGCGGGGACUUCUAGUCUGGGUUGUGGUACGGGCUUAAAGGUGCCUUCCACAGUUGGGGCCCUCCCCAGGAUACCUCGUGAUUAAUAUAAAAAAAAAAAAAAAAUCAACCAAAAUGCCGCUUUUUCCCUUUUUCCCUUUUUCCUUGGUCCCUUUUUUUUAUGUAUAUUUAAUUUUGGAAACAAAAUUAAAGUGGAUCUUUAUUAAGUACUUCUAGACUCGAGGAAAUUUCUUUACAAUCAAGGAUCAAUUGUAAAUAAUCAUGAAUUUGUGGUUAAUUAAUGGCAUAAUCAGUUCGUAACUAAACAAGAGAUAUUAAUUAAAUUUGAAAACUUUUCUUUUCUUUUUUUCUUUUUCCAAUCGAAAUGUGAAGAAUUAAGGAAAAGAGAAAUAUAUAGAUGAAUUUGUGAACCUAUAAGAUGAGUGACCAUCCUUUAAUUUUUGAAAAUUGUACUUAUUAAGAUAUGAGCAGAAACAAUUAAAUUGAAUUAUAUUAUGCUGUUGAAUCGUGAUUAAAAAAAUUAUAUUGUUGAUUCUAAUGCUGGCGAACCUAAAAACUGGACUUAAAAUGUAGAUUUGAGAGUGGUGGUUCGAAGUACAAUACUUGAAAUAAAUAAUCAGUGGCUGAAUAUCAUUUGUAAACCCAAAAAUGGUUAAAAUAUUGUUGGAUGUAAUUAAAAAAAAAAAGAUUCGAAAUGAAUACAACAACCUUACCAAUGGAGGAAAAAUAUUCUUUAGGUUAUCACACCACCAUAUGUCCAAAUUCUUCAAUUUGCUGAAAGACUCCGAAGCAAGCUGGUGGUGCCAUAUUUUUCUCAAACUAUCCAUCAAGUCAAUACGUAAUACCUCCAACCUAGGAAGUCGUACUUGGCAGUUAAAGAUUAAAUAACUAAUUAAUCAAUUAAUGGCAUAAUCAAUUGAUAACUAAAUUAGAGGCGAAUAUUAACUAAAUUUGAAGACUCAAGGAAAAGACAAAUUAAGUAUUGGGACUAAAAUUAAUUUUUUUUUUAUUUUAAAAAAAACCUUUUCGUCAAUGAGAGGAGGAGGUUGCAUUUCAGAAUGAAUGGUGUCUUCUGGUGAGCUCGUAGAAAUGAAUCUUAACAUAUUACUGCAACUAUCAAUCUUGAGUAUUUGCAAAGAAGGGAAUUCAACAACUAAAUCUGAAUGAAUAUGUCUCGUGUUUGCAAAGCUUGUUAGUUUAAAAAGCCCAUAGAGCUGCAGGGAGUGUAGUUUAGGAAAAACCUUUAAUUCAAUCAACUUUCCUUCAUCUCUUUCUGACCACCCCGUGGUGUCGACUACCCCUUUCAUUGACUCACAAGAUCGUAUUUCAAGAUGUUGGAGUUGCAAAAGACUAUUAACCAUAGAAUACGAAAACAGAUACUUCAAAUGAUCACAACCGUCCACGAUCACCUUUGUUAAAUUUUGACAACAGUACAUUCCUUGAUUAUGAUCGGCCCAUAAUUUUUUCAUGUUUCCUAAAUGAAAGAGAUUCAAUUCCUCUAAGCUCGGAAGAAUAACCUGCAAAGAAAACCCGUACAUUUUUGUUCCUUCAAGUACAACCGUCUAGUAUAAUAUUCUUUUGAUGAUCGAAGAUUAAUCGUGAUAAUAAAUUAAUCAAUUAAUUAUUGAACAGAAAAUUAUCACCUUUGGAGCAGUAUCAUCAUCAGCAAUGAUUUCGUUGAAUCCCAAAGAAGUUGUUGGUUUCUCCCUGUCGGGUCCUAUAAACAAACAAAAACAAUACACAUAAUUAAUCUUUGUCGUUGUUUUUUUUUUCAAAAUAAUUGAGGCGAAGUCCAUAAAUCCACCAACACUUAAUUUCAACACUUACCAACAAUCAUUUCCAGAUCAUCGCAAACAAACACUUCUACCUUUUGAAGCCGCAGUAGGUUUUUUGCCAUGGAGAAUGAGAAAAGAUGCUUCAAUUUGUGACAGGAUUGUACUCCUAUAAUCCUUAAGUUGCUGAAAGAUUGAUCUUCUGUGAGUUGGCUAUCACAUAUUGUCUCCAACUUGUUCAAAAACCAAAGAGACAAUGACUCCAGCAAGGGAAAGACUGUACAAUGAACCCGUCCAACUGAACCGACAAUAAGCAAAAUCUCAGAACAACUUUCUACACGAAGAUGCUUCAAUCGUGGAAAACCUUCCCCAUCAUCUAAUUCAUGAGCAACAUUCUGAACACUCUUCAGUUCGUUUAGAUGGAUCUCUUCAGCUUCUUUCAGCAACAUUUUCGUCCCAUAAUUCUCCAAAAGACUGCUAACAUUUUCUAGCCCAUCGAGCUCCACCAUUCUUGAUGUUUCAGAAUUAACGCCCCACAUGCGCCACGCUUCUCCUAUACAUAUCUUAUAUCUUUGCAAUUCCACAGAGACUAAAUCCUGCGGCAGAAUUUGGGCAUCCCAAAAUUGUAUCUCCAAAGUAGUUAGCUUUGACAGCCCCUUCAAUUCAGCAAGACUGGCGGUACUUCCUCCUUCAACCUUAUCCCACUGCGAAAAGCUGUCACCCAUAUAUAGUUCUUCUAAUUGAGAAAAUUUUGAUAUGAGAUUUGGUGCUAUCACUACAAGGCUCCUACAAUUGCUCAAAUCUAGCAAUUGUAACCGCGUCAAUUGUCCAAUUUCAAGUGGUAACUGCUUAAUGUCGGAAUCUCGAAAGCUAAGAAUCUCUAAUUUCUUUAGCUGUCCAAUUGCAGCUACAUCUUCUAGUUGGCACCAGUCUAAACACAAUGUUUGAAGGUUAAUGAGGCGACCAAGUGAUGAAGGUAAUGAAGAGAAAGGAAUUCUAGUAAGGCUUAAAACUUUGAGUUCUUUCGUCCCUUCAAAAAAGAGGUCUGAAAUUUGCAUACGGCCAUUACCCUCUGCAGACAACAAAAAUAACUGGAGAUUGGGACAUUGCAACCUUUCAGGGAGCUCUUGAAUAUCUCUCUGGGGUAAUGAAAUGGCAAUUGGAUCUUUCCGUAUUGUCUCUUCCAUCUUUUUCUCUAAGUCGGCAACAUUUGGAAUAUUAAACAUGCGCUUCUCUGCGGCAAUUGAUACGGCAACAACAUGAAUGACGUCAUGCAUUUUAGCUUCAUCUUCAGCAUCACCGUCCAACAAUAAGCAUGAAGAUUUGAGGUUGUCGAUCAACCGAUGCACUCUACUCCUUGCUUCUUCCAAUGUGUAAACAUUUUCAAACAAACCCCAACCCACACCAUAUCUCAAUAAGUCAGAAACUUGUAUGGCAUGACCUUCACUGUAUAGACCACAAAGACGGAACAGAGAUUUUGCCUCCUCACUUUCCAAGAAGUCAUGACUCAAUUUUAUGGAGGUGUACACAUUUGCUUGCAUGCCAUGAAUUUCUCUUGCAUCCGAUCUUCUUAGCUGAUUCAAUGCAUCUUUCCAAAAGUCACGCUCCUUAGUUUUCAGAGCAUUUGCAACUGUACUCAGUGCAACAGGCAAACCUCCGCAUCUUUCAAUGAUCUCAUUUGCUAUACUUUGAAAAGCAGAUAUUUUAGUUGAAUCACCCACUAUCUUCUCAAAUAACUGCAAUGCUUCUUCUUUUGAUAAAGCAUCGAUCCAGAAAUUUUUCUGAGAAUUCAUAUCAAUGCACAAUAAAUCUCGACUUCUAGACGUCAAUAUUAUUGUGCAUCUUCUCUGAUCAUCCUCUCUAUCUUUCUCAUCAACAUCUCCAGAAGGAAUUCCAACCGCAUCUAACUCAAGUUUUGUCCAAAUAUUAUCCAAUAUAAUGAGGACCCGCUUCUCUUGCUUCAACCUUUCACGCAGUCGAGAAGCUCUAUGGUGUAUACUAUCAUUCAAGUCAAAUUUCAUGCCUAAAUCAGAAGCGAGCUUGUCUUGAAUUUUCUGGGGAUCUGGGUUCUGUAUUACCUCAGCCAUAACGACCUUAUCGAUCAACUUAUCUUCCAUCACUUUCUUAGCAACUUGCUUGACUAGCGUGGUUUUACCCACGCCGCCCAUGCCGUAGACCCCAAUUAUGUUGAGCUUAUCAUCCUUCAACGCCUCCAUAACAUCCUGAAAUACUUUCAUUCUUGAAUCAAAGGCCUCGUUAUCUUUCCCGUCAUUAAGUCCUGUGCUCUUUGGAGUAGGACGGUAGGAAACAUUAGAGAAGUUGCCUUUUCCCACGAGACCAGCGGCAGCUUCUGCGGCCUUUGCUGCUUGUUUACUAAGCUUGUAACGGGACAUCAAAUUUGGGCACAAUCCUUUGAAGCAGAACUUUUUAGCUCUUUCUUCAUCAUCAAUGAUGGAUUUUGCAACCCCUUCACUGAUGAAUUCAUCAACGCUAUGUAGCCAGUCUGUGACACCCUCAUAAAGCUCAUCCCCUUGUAGCCUAGCAUGAUUAACUGGUUGCUGCACCAUUUCUCUCUUAUAUCCCAGCUGCUUCACUUGAACUUUUAGCUCAUCUAUGUAGCUCUGGUACUUGAACACAUCAGAUAUCUGCCGUGUAAUCGGGUUGAACAGUGACUUUGCACCUUCUGAUACACAGUUGGUUAAAAAAGCCAGACACGCUUCUAUAGCCAUUGCCGGUUGCUUAACAAUAUAUAUCUAGUUUUUGGCUGUUGAAAAAAAAAAUGGAUUCAAAUAAAUUAAAUGAACUAGCGGGGAAGAAAAAGAAAGAAACGACAACAAACAACUUUUUAGAAAAAGGUUUCAGGGGCCUGAAUGGAAAACCAACAAUUUUUUGAGGAAAGAAAACUUUUUUGGAAGAUGGAUGCAAAUUAACCAUUAAUAAUACUGCAUAAGAACACAGAAGUUAACAAUAAACAGUAACUUAAAACUCAAGAAAAUUAAAUGACAAGAUUAAGACAAACAAGAGAUAGUUUUUGUCGGACAUUAAGAAACAACUGCUAUCAAGAUCAAAGAUUAGAAAUUAUGCUAUUGAAAGAAAUUAUUAAAGUAAUUAGAACAAACGCACCUCUUCAAUUAUCUAGGAUCACAGAGUUUAUGAGCUUCACUCUUGGCCUUCGAUUUAUAAGAAAAAUUUUAAUGAGCAAAAGAUCACUGUUGACUGCAGAAGAAUGUGAGUAAGCAAUACAAUUGAAUUGUAAAAGAACAAGACUUAAAGCGUGCACCCCAACAGAACACAUGUUCAUUUUUAACAAAGUGAUCAAUAACUAUAUUCGUUAUUUAAUUGAUAUUGUAACCAAUUCUAAGAGAAUAUAAUAAUCAGCAAACAAACAACAUUGAUCUUAUGCCUACUGAUAUUUAAACAGAGAAUUCUUUCUUCUUUUUCUCUUCAUGGAUUAGAGUUUUUGCUAUUAACAGAAUGGUUUCAAGGGUCUGAAUAAAAUCCCAGACUUUUUUUUAACUUUGUUUUCUGUGGGAAAAUGGAUUCAAAUUAACCAAAGCCAAUAAUAAGAUCACAGACUUUAACAAUGAACAAUAACUUAAGCAAAACCAAUGACAAGAUUAAAACAAACCAGAGAAAUUUUUUCUCGGAAAGUAGAUGAAAAGCAAGUAAGAACUGCUAUUAAAGGAUAUUAUUAAAGGAUUUAGAACAUGUAUACCUCUUUAAUUAUAUGGGAUCAGAGAAUCGAUGACCUCCACUAUUCGCUUCGGAUAUUAAGUAAGAACUGCUAUUAAAAGAAUGAGUUGAUGAGAGUAAUAACAAUGAAUUGCAAAAUAGGAAGACUCAAUCAUGCACCCCUUUUAUACCUGAUCAUAUUAAGAAGUCGUUAAAGAAUAACGACUAAAUUAGGAAUUAAUUCUGAAGUUCAGAAUCAAGAACAGAGACGAAGCUUUAAUAAAGCAUGCAGUGAGAUACAAGAAAUGGAUCUGAUAAAAUACAUUAAAAAAAUUUGUUCAACCUAGUUAAGCUGAUGAAAGCACUAGUUGUUGGCUCUACGUUUCAUAUGUUCUAAUGAAAUAAUUAAGUUGAAGUUUUCAACGAAUAAAUACCUGUUUCGCUUGAAUAGCUUUGGCAUAUACAUUACUUGUGUCCUGUGAAAUUGAAAAGGUUAUUGAUUUACAAAGCUUAUUAGUAGAGAAAAGCUACGUAAGAUGCCUGAUAAAAGAUAAAGCAAGAGCUUGAAUGAAGAAUGACAUUUUAGAAAGAAACUAAAGUGUAAUCAUCAAAGUAGGAUCAAUAAUGUACCACUUUCCUUGCAAAUCUGGUGGGUUUUCUGAAUAGAUUUUUACAUUAUUCUUCUAUUUAACCAUUUUGGCUUUACCCUAAGCAUUCUUGGUUGGCAUUGUCCUGUAAUCUGCGUGCCCUGGAUACGUGAGAGGGAAUGAUGAGGGUAGAUAUGCAAUUUCAAGAAGCGAUUUGCUUGUAUAAUUCAAUGCAUGGAAAGAGAUGUACCUGACCAGAAAAAAAAGGGGACCAUCCAUAUCUGAGCUUGACUUUUUAGAUAGAUAAAUAUUCUUAUUACUGUUGAUAAUGGAGAAGGGUUCUACUUUUACUUUGCCAUCUUUGAUAUAAAACAGCAUGAUUCCUUUUUUUCAAACACUUGCCUAAGUCUAUUUUUUAUUUUUCUUAUUUUCAGAAAGAGAUUAGCUUAAUUUAAAUUAUAUUCAAGUACAAAGUGUUAUACACUCAUAAAACGACAAAUAGGCAUGUAUUGAUCACGCGCAAUCUGUUUUUUUUCCCCCUUUUUUUUUUAAUCCAGUCUUCUUAUUUAAAAAAAAGAAUUUAUUUGCUUUAUUUUAAAUUAUUUUUUCAUGCGGUAAAUGCAAUACUGAGUAAUGGGUGAGCAAAAUAUUUACAGGCACACCCCCUUUUAAUGAUUUCGUACUAAAAUUAAAAAUUGACGAUUCCAUAAUAAAGUUCAAAGAGUAACUGAAGACCCAUAAAUGUUUUUUGGUCAUGAGCAAUUUUUGAGUUGGGACAGCACUCCUAUGAAAAAAAAUAGUUUUUUUUUUCUUUAAGCAUGAGCAUAUUAAUUCUUUUUUUAUAAAUCAACGUGAAUAUAAAAUUAAAAAAUAGUUUUGAAUAACUUCUUUUCUUUUUUCAUAAAUAUAGAUAUAAAAUUUUAAAGUCACCAAACACAAAACCAGGAAAAUGGAAAGGAAGCCCCUGUUUCUCCGCUGCUGCAAGCACAAAUUCGGUUUCUACAGGAGUACCUUCUAAAUGCACCAUUUGUAUUGCUUUGUCUCCACUUGAGCUAAUGGAAUUUGAUGAAGACAAAAUAGAUAUGAGUCGUGCUAUUCACACCCCUCGAUAAUUCUUUCAAAAUCCCUUUUCUAAUUAUACCCCGUUAAUACCCUUGUUCGCUAUGAAAAUAAAGCAAAUGCCUGUAUAAAAAGCUGGCUCUAAUAAUCUACUUGAAUUUACAUCAGAAAAGAGUGGACUUUGAGAAAUAAGAAGUCAAUAUGGAGAAUUUUACCAAAAUAAUCCAUUUUUAUAUACAGGGAAUGGUAUUUUCUGAUAUAGGGAGGAGUGGAGAAAUUAAAUUCAGCAAAAUAAAGAACCUCCAUCGAGAAGCAAAAAUGAUGAUAUCUUUGUCGUGAAGAGAUUUCUGCCUCAUACAAAUUUUUUAUUCUAGAAUGCUUGAAACCGAAAAGUUCUGUAGCUGUUUCAAUUCAAUUGCAUACAUUGACGAAACAUUAAAUACGAAAAAAACAAAAAAGAAAUAAUAGGACAUGGGGAUUUAGAGAACUUCUAAAGAGAGAAAUGUAUUUAUUGUUGGGAAAAUAUGCUCUUUAAAAGCAUAUGUGUUUAUUUAAUUGUAAUAAACUAUUUUUCUGAUUAAUAAAAUAAAUGAGGCAUUUUAUUCAAAUAUCUUAAUUGCAUUAAUACUUGUAUUAAAGUCCAUUUAAUCAUAUUAUAUGUAUUUAUGUGAUCACCAUGUGGAUUCACAGAAGACAUAAAUACAAGUUAUCUUAUGAUUAAAUAAAUUUAGUUCGCAGUUGAUAAAUAAAGUUGGGCACUUUAUUUAGGUAUAGACUGUAAUAAAUUCAUUGAAUGAUUUGUCUUAAUUAUGUAUGAAUUUAUUGAUGUAGUACGACUACAUUGAACAGGAUCACAUAUGAGAUUUAAUUAACUUUGUAAUAACUGUCAGACUUAUUAAAUCUCAUAGGCAUUGAUUUUACUGUAAUCUUAAUCUUGAGUUAAUUAUGAUUUCAUGAUUGUAAUUGUUAUUCCAUUUGAGUUACCAAUGGGCAUGACACAUACUUGUAGUCUACAUUACCCGGUAUCUUGGUGGGAACAAUUAUGAGUAUUGGAGUUAUGGAUUAACAAUAUAGAAUUUGUACAACACAUCUCUUGAUGGGUUUUCGGUACUUGAUCAUAGAAUUCUCUGGCCAGAGUGUGUCAACAUAUUUAGUAUGUUGAAAAUGAUCAUUAGAGAAAACCAGUAAGGAUCAAGGAAUAAGAUGUUAUUAAAUUGAUUGGACAGUUGAGAUAUCAAUUUAAUUAACGAUGUGGUACAAAGGAUUGUGCAGUAAAGAAAUCAAUGUGGCUUGGGACGAAUUAUUAUUCGAGCAUACAAUUAUGGAAGUCAGUUCCAAUCUUUUAGUGGAGUAGAUUUGGAAUUAAAUAAUUAGGCUAGUUUAAUUACAGGUAGGGAUGGCAAUGGGGAGGGGAGGGGAGGGGACCAAUCUCCCUAUACCCAUCCCCGAUAUUUUAUUAUGUCCCCGUCCCCUCUCCGUCCCCGUCAGAAUUGCUUAAGUGAAUCCCCAUCCCCUCCCCGAAUAAUAACAGGGGAUCCCCGAGGGUCCCCGGUUCCCGAAUAAUUAAUAGUCUAAUACAUUUUUUUUUAUUUUCGAUUUUAAAUUAAUCAUAUUAAAAUAAAAAAUUCAGAUAAAAAUAAAGUUCAAAAUAUAUCUUGCAUUAAUAUUGAUCAAUUUCAAAGUCACAUUCAAAAUAUAAAUUAUUAAAAUAAUUAUCUUUGUCAAUGACUCAAUCUUCAUAAUCCUACAAUAAAAAGAAAAAAAAUUAUUUUUAUAUCGGUAAUAAAAUAAAUGUAGAUACUUAAUUAAUAUUUUUAAUAAAACUAUUUACUUCCUGCUCCUCCUGUUCUUCCUCGAGAAAUGUGGCAAAUUGAGAGUUAGCCUCAGAUUUCAAACCUAAAACAAUGAAAAUGAUAUGAGUAACGUAACUUAUAAGCGCAAAUAUUAAUAACUGUAUAAUAUAAUUACAAUGUAAAAUAAAUUCAUACUGCUAUUGUAAGCUCGUAACCAACUUUAACAGCACAUUAAGGCCUCCAAUGUGCUUGGAUGAAGUUUGUUACGGUGUGGGCUCACAAUUCUAGCACUAGUGCGAAAAGCUGAUUCAGAAGCAACUGUUGUAAUUGGAAUUGCCAAAAUAUCUCUAGCAAUUCGAGCUAAUGUAGGAUACAAAUUAGGAUUAGAACUAUUGUAAAUUAUAAUUAGGCAGCUCUCUCCUGUAUCAUUGUGGUUUGGAUUAAAAAUUUAAGACUUUAAUUAGUUAAUUAAGUUUAAAAGUUUAAUAAUAUAACUAUUUUAAUAUUUAUUAUUUUUAACAAUAUUUAUAAUUUUGUUAUUUAUUUAUUAGUAAUUUUAAAAAUAAAAAUAAAAAUAAAAAUUAAAAUGGGGAAAUGGGUAGGGGAUGGGGAUUCCACCUCAUCCCCGUCCCCUCCCCGAAUAAAAAAUUGGGUAAAAAAUUUUCCCCGUCCCCUCCCCGAAUAAAAAAUUGGGUAUAAAAUUAUCCCCGUACCCUCCCCGAAUGGGGAAAAUCCCCGAGGGUACCCGUCCCCGUGGGGAUUUUUGCCAUCCCUAAUUACAGGCCUAAUUAUUGUAGCCACUAUUGUAUGUUCCCAAAUGAUCCCCGGGUUAGCUCAUUUAAUUGAUUGCACCACUGCUGGACUAAUAAGCAAGAUAACUAGCUAUUUGGGCCAAAAGCCUAAAUAUAUCAUUUAGUGGGAGGCUCCAUUUAAUAAGCUUAUGUGUAAGGGGCCUUAUGUUAUUUUACAUGGUGGGUCCCCUAUUAAAUGAAAAGUAACGUGAGUUUUAUUUUGGGGAAUCCUUGGAGCCUAGGGUUUUCACUAAAGGGAGAUAUAUAAGGCUUAUUUUCCCAAAAAAGAAAAAGAGAAGCCACUUUAUACAGAUCUGAGAAAAAGAUUUUUCUCUCCAUUGUUGAGAGAAAAAUUUUCUCGUGCUAGUUGCUUUGGUAGUGAUAAAGGCGCCCACACGUCAAGUGCAGAUCGAACCUGAGUCAUAACCUGGAAGAUCAUUGGAAACAGUUCGUGAUCUAACAAGCGUGGUGGUGACGGAUCGUGAUCUAACAGGAGUGGUGGUGGUGGAUCGUGAUCUAGGAGCCUAAAUCACUUCAGCGGUAAAAGCCAACUCAGAUUUUCAAGGUACGAUUUCUAGAAUACAAAUUCUUAUAUAUUAUAUGAGAGCGAUCUUCAAAAGGUUUUAUAAAAAUUCAAAAACCUAAUUUUUCCCCAACAUUUAUAAGCAUUGAAAAUUAGCUCAUUAAAUUUGAAAGAAUAAUAUACAAUCUCACUGUUGGCCAGAAAAUAAUAGAAGAACUUGUGAACAUAUAUAAUCAAUUGCUUAUUACUUAAGCUUUUUCUCCGUUAUUUUGAAUGGGUGCAAAGGAGAGAAGUUUUGUACCCAAAUCCAACCCGAAUUGUGUAGGCUGCUUGCAAGAGCUUCAUUAGAUUUUUAUUUGUCUUUUAACUUAACUUCCUUCGUGGUUAAAAUUGUAAAAACAAAUGCGGUUUUAAUAGAAUUAUUGAGGAGUGCCAAUAGUGCUACUCAAUAAAUACAACUAUCUGUCUUUUUUGUUACUGGACUAUAGAUCAAUUGACAGUUGAAGUUAUAUUAAUUUGUUGUACUGGAAUUGAAGCUUGUAUCUUAGCCAUUUCGUGAAGUGUCAAAUAUAUUUUUAAUUUCCUUAAAAUUGUUCAAAAUAUGUUUACACUUUUAAAGUCACUAUUAUACAUGAGUGCCCUAAAAUAAGAGAAGGCGAUUUGCCUGACAUUACCUGUUUCCUGUCAAAUCUAGCAGGUUUACUGAUUAGAUUUUAACAAGUCUCUUGGCAAAGUUUGCUAGAAAUGGAAUCAAAUUAUUCUAUUUAAUCUUACUGUAUAUACCCUAAUAGUUCUUGGUUUGCAUCACUGCAUCGUUCUAUAAUCUGUGUGCGUUGGCUUAUAAGGGCUAGCAAGGCUGACCGUUCGUAGCAUAGUUUUUUUUUUUUUUUUUUUUCCCACAAUGAAAUUCCCAUUGAUUUGACUCAGUAUUUAGAGGUGUUAACGAGGGCACUAUACUAGACAUGGAUUUCUACCUCUUUUGGUUGUACAAUUGUUGUAAUCCUUGGCCAUCAAAUCAUUUUUACGUAGCUUUCUCAGAGUUCAUGCCAAGUGUACAUUAAUGUAUUUAUGUUUUGGGUGCAAGUGGGAUUCUAGUUCUCUAUGGCAGUUGAAGAGGUAAAUGGGCAUAGAGCUAUGCUCUAUCAUAGGCUUCGGCCACUACAAGAAAUUUAAUUUUUUAAGACGAUAUUUUUUACAACAACUUUAAAUUUGGUCACAAAAUGAUAUUUAUUGUGACAAAUUUUUGAAAUCGUAGCUAAUAAUCUUGUCCUAACUUAUAUUGUUUUUUGUAACCAAUUGUUUUUAUUUUGAGACUUGUUCAUAUAUUGGUCAUUAAUUAAAUUUUUUUAUGACAAAAAUUAUUUUAGUCACCAAAAGAUAUAAUUUUUUGGCACAAAAUCUUCUCUCCAAAAGUGAUUAUUUUGAGACAAUAUUUCACUAUUUAUGACAAAAUAAAUAGUCACGAAAUAUAAUUAUAGGCGACCAAAUUAUUUGGUAACUAAAAGAGGGGUGUAAAAUUGACUAAACAAUCUAUGACACAAAAUAUUAGUAGCCAAAAUUAUUGUUCUUUUGGCUAAUUUUAAGACCAUUUUUUUGUCAUAUAUAAUUACCUACAGUGAUAAAAUUAAAAAAUAGUCGUUGAAUGUUUUGUCUUGAAUAAUUUUAUAUUUGAUAACCAAUUUUUUUUCUUUUUGAGACAUAUUACUUGGUCCCUAUUUCAACUUCUUUUUGACGAACUUUAUAAUAGUCACAAAAGACUUUUUUUUUUUUUUUGGGCAUAAAAAGUCUGUCCAAAGUUAGCUCUUUUGGGACAAUAUAUAAUCUUUUAUGACAAAAUAUAUAGUGGCGAAAUAUAAUUAUUUUUUACAAAGUUAUUUCGUAGCUGAAAAAGAGGUGUAAAUUUAGUUAACCUAUUUGUGACAUAAAAUAUUAGUCUCCAAAACUAUUAUGCUUUUAGCUAAUUUUAAGACCCUAUUUUGUUGUCAUGGAUAAUUACCUAUUUUAAAAAAAACUAAGAGAUAGUAAUCAAAAGUUUUGUCUUGAUUGACAUUGUAUUUUAUGAGCAAAAUAUUUUGUUUCAGUGACACUUUACUUGGUCUCUCAUUAGAGUUGUUUGUGAUGAUCAAUAGAAUUAUAUAAUAACCACUAAAUUUUUUUGGGUUAAAUUUUUAUAGAUACUAUUAAUUAAGUUGUUGACGAAAAUGAUCAACCAAUACUAAUAUGGAAUACCAUCAACAGCCGUAAUACUUAUGAAGCGAGAAAUUAUAAUAUGUAGUGAAAAAGUUUUCACAGUAGUCCCUAGUAUUUAGAAUUAUUUUGACUUACUUUAUUUACUUCCAAAACAUAAAAUUCUCAACCCAAAAUUCCCCGCAUUGUGUUUUAUUUUGUCUCCUCACUCAGUUAAGAGUAACUCACGGCUUGACAAAAAAAAGGAAAAAAAUUCUCACAGCUUGAUGUUCUCCUCUCUUUAAAAAUAAAAAUCCCUAGUUACUAUUUGUUUCCACCACCAAAGCAGCCACUCGUAUCUUUUAUUAAGCAUAAUAUUUUUCUUAAAACCUAAUUGAUCAUUCUUUAACGUCUCCAGGAUUAUAUAUGGCUCGCUAUUUUUCUCCUUCAAUUGAAUAGAAGUCUAGAAUUUUUUUUUUUUUCGCAAUUCACUUUUGCUGUGUUUCGUGGUUUGGACGGAGAUCAUGUCAAUAAUUGAACGAUGGGGAUAAAUAUCAAAGAAGGAGCUUACAUGCCCUAUAUAUCUCUCUUUGGAUGAAUAACGAUGGUGAGCUUUCAAAGUACAGAGAUUUACAUGUUUUAAUUGUCAUUUACAUUGCUGCAUGCCAAUUGUUUGAUAAAAUAUCGCAACAAAUACGCAUUCUCGAUUUUCUCAUAAAUUUAUUUUCUUAGUCUGAAAAAAAUUGAAUGUUUAGAGAAUUUUGAAGGUUUUGGUGUAUGUAUUAAUAUUUUGAUUCUAGCCUCAUUUUGCCCCUUGUUGUUUUUAUUCUUGUUUUUUAUAUACGGUUCAAGUGUGAUACACUUUAGUUUUUCUCAACUGUUUGUUAGUUUUUCCCGAAGCAAAAUUUGUCAGACUUUGAGUUCAAAAGUUGAAAUCAUAACUAACAUACUUCGAUUUUUUAUUUUCCUUUUUUCUUCGGUGUCUUUCUAUAUGGCAUUGCUUGAGAAAUUGGUGUACUUAGAUCGUAAUAUUCUGUAGAAAUAAGCCAAUAUUUCAUUGGGUACAUUGUUUAAUAUGAUAAGUACUGUAUGGAAGUUUUACAGAUAAGCUCCUUAUAUAUUAUGCAUUAUGUUUUUAUCAUAUUGUUGCUUGGAACUUUGAAGGAUUGGCCACAGGGCUUUAGUCCUACAUGGACAUUUUAUAUUUAAUAGCUGGUUAGGCAUUUUAUUUGAUGUUAUUUGGACUUGUAGGUCUUAAAAGUUUUGUUCAAUAAUUUUAUAAAGCUUAAUUUCAUAGGUGCUGAUUAGGCAUUUCACGAGGAAAUAGCUGUGCUUUUGGAAAUUAAUAUGCUGUGUUGUCAAUGUUGUGUAAAAUCCUUUUAUUGGUGUCUAUGUAAAGUGUUUCAGAUUUCAGACCUGAGAGUUAAUCUUCGCGUACCAGUUGGCUUUUGGGUUUAGUAUUGCUGCUUUUAACAUAUUUGACCUAUGGCCCAAAUCAUUUCUAUAGGGCGAAGCAUAUGAAUGAUACAUAUUAUCUUUUUUUGGCCUUAUGUAUUGUUAUUUGCACGGUGAUUUGGUCUAGCUUAAGAGCUUAAGCUUGCAGGUUGGAUUUGUCUGACAGGGAACAAUUUAAUUUGUUCAUCGUGAUGUUUAUAUCCAUUUUGUACUACUAUCAAUUUCAAUCAUGCCUAAUUUUUAUAUGUAUUUCUCGUGGACUCUCAGGUUCAGUGCACAAGAGGAUGAAGACGAUGGACACCCAAAUUUGAUGUGGAGAACAACUAUUGCAAAUGGUCCUUGAUUUACUUCUCCAAUUGACUUGAAUUGGUUUUACGCAAUUUAUAGUGUAUUUUUGUCAUCUUUGUAUGACUUGCAGGUCGUCCUGAUUUGGUACAUGACUGGACACAGGAAUUGGACUCAUAUUUUUCAAACCAGAAUGCCAACAAUCAAGGAUUUUCUUUUGAAAGCACUGGCGUCUUCUUCAAUGCCAAAAAGGUUAGAGAUUUUCUGUAUCCUGUUUUGUAUUUGAUCAGUUUAGCAUGUGGGUGGCAAUCAAGAAAAGUUAUUAUAACAUUUUUGUGUUCCCGAAAAACUGCUGAUGAUGUGUGACUUCUUUUUAUUUGUAUUCUUUCUUUUUUCUUUUCUCCCCAACAGUAUUAUGCAUUUCGAAGAGCUUCUUGAAGUUGAUUACCAUGUAUGCCACUUUCUUUACUCUAUGCUCAGGAUGUGAUUUUGCCAAGCAUUAAAAUGGUUUAGGUCAGAACCAUCAUCUAAAGUUUACUUAAAGUUGACGGAUUAAUUCCUUUUAAUAAUGGUCGAGUUAAUUUUACUAUACUCAUAAAACUAUUCUUAUUCUGAUAAUGCCACAAAUGUUAUGAUGUUUUCUUCAGCUAAUGAUCUUCUAUCAGGACUAGUUAGAAAUCAAAUGCUUAAAACACCGAUUGAAUGAAUAAUGCAGAAGUUUAAACAGUAUCUAAUUGAAAAUUGCAUGAAACAUGAAACAUCAAUUCAAGUCCUUCCUUAAACAGAGAAUGCAUCAAACAAAUCCAAAGUGUCUUGCAUGUCUGUAGCAUGACAAAAAAGUUGCAAAUGCGUUUAGAACCAAAUUAUUCAAGUACAGGAGAACGAGCAAGUUGAAUCAUGUACACGAGAUUGGCCUGGUUUGAGAUAGCUUCUUCACUGUACCUGAAGGGUUGGCUCAAUCUUUUCUUUAGAAUUCUGCACAUUUUGUAAUUACUCGUGUAAGCAAGCAUACAUUACAACCAUAAUAAUAAUAAAGCAAGAGUAAUGAUACGACCACCACCUCUUGUACACAAACAAUAUUGUAUAAACUAAUACGACAUAAUAUGAUUGGUUGAACAAAAACAUUACAUGGCCCUCAUAAUUUAUUUAUUUAUUUAUUAUUAUAUAUUUUCAGUCAACCAAUCAUAUUAUAUCACAUUAGUUUCUAUAAAAUAAUUUUCUAAAUAGCACCAAAACUUAAUUGAUACUCACCAUUUCAUUGAACAAUUUUUUUAUGGUGUCAUUGAGGUUGCCUUCCCAACAUCCUUCAUCAUCAUCUUUUUCUUCUUCGGUGACGUUCACUUUGUUUAGCAUUGGUGUGUCUAAGACUCCUUGAGAGAAGAUCUUCAUUUUUGGACACUGUCUCACAACUACUUGUUUCAAGGACGGGAAUUCAAGAGCGUAAUUACCUAAACAAAAGCUUGUUAGGCUUGGCAAACAAUCAAGUCCCAAGUACUUUAAUUCCUUGAAAACAAUGCAAUCUUUCGCUUCUUCUGCAACCGGCGACUGUAUGAUUUCUUCUAUCCUUUUGCAAUCAGCUAUCGUCAUACUUUGAAGAAUUAUCAGACUUCUAGAUGUUGAGAGCGUCAACAAAUUUAUCAACCUGUGACACUUCGAUACUUUCAAAGCCUCAAGAUUUUCCAAAUGCCACGAAGCUGGUACUAAUUUCUGUAACUUACUACAUUCAAAUAUUUCUAGACUUUUCAAGUUUGCAAACGCUUUGUUGGAUUCGUCAUUUUCCUUCCAGAGAUGCUGCACUUUGUGUAAUCUAGAUAGCUUUAACUCCUUCAAUUGAGGGAAUGUAAGCUGAAAAUCAACAAAAUUAAGUUGUAAAUGAAAAUAUGUAUCCAAUCUCUGCAGUAUUCCCCUGCAUAUUUUAUGGACAAGAUUAAUCACGGCAUUUUAUAUUUUAUUUCCAAAUUAGUAUGCUUUGCAGUAGGAUCCCAAAUAUAAGUAUCAAAUCGAUUACCCUUUGAAACACAUAAAUGAAAUCUGAUACUAAAUCCAAUAUGAAUUAGCUAGGAAAACAGAGAUGCGACAAGCAUAAUUGAUAUAGUUCAUCACCUCAUGUUACCAGUCAUCGAAAUAAUUUAAGACAUUUUUUUAAUUCAUACUAUAAAGUUAGUUCAUAACUGUAGUUGUAUUGUUAAUUCAUAUAUGAAUCAAGAUGACAUGCAAAAAGAUGAGUCAUAAAAUUUGAUUUGAUUCUAAUGAAAUUACAUCUGUGCAAACAAAAGUGAAGGGGAAAAUAAAAAUAAUAAUAAUAAUCACCUUUUCAUCGAAGAGGGGUUGUACUUGAUGAGCCAGCAAAAAGUUCUCUUCUGAUGUUAAUUUUUGAGGUUCCUUGUUAUUUGUUGUCACAUGCACUACCGAGUUGGAUAUGAAUGUUUCCAUAUCAGGGCAAUUCUCAAUAGUUAGAUUCUCCAACUCAGACAGUUCAAUUAUAUUCCCAGUGAAGUUACAGAAUCUUUUGAGUUUUGGAAGAUCAAUAAGCCUUAGUCUGUUAAGCCUAGGAAACCGGGGGCCUAUAUGUUCUUCCUUAGCAUUUAGCUCUUCUAAAUGAAGCACCUCUUCUAUUAAAUCACAAUUCCUCACUUCCAGGCAUCUCAAAUUGUUCAAGCAACGUAGCAGAUUGGUAGGAAUAGCACUCGACAUAUUCGUGCAGUCAUCCACAGCCAGUUGUCGUAAAUUGUUGAAGAAGCUGACAGGCACUGCUUGGCCGUGCCAUAUUUCUCUCAAGCGUGGAAAAUGUGAGAGUUGCAAAUGCUCUAUGUCACGGAAUCCAAUCUGCAUAAACCAAAACAAUUGCACUGGAUAUAUAUAAAUUUCUUUUUUUGAAAGGCAUUAGAUAUAUAUAUACAUUAAACUUACAUGUUUUGUGCUAUAACUUCUAAAAAUAUAUUUACAACGCAUGUGUAUAUGUUUAAAUGUGGUAUAGUGGAAUUAAGCUUAUUGCCAUUACUUCGAAGUGGUGUUCGUAACACCAUUACUUCGCAAAGUGAAUCGAUAAACACAUACCAUUACUUGGANNNNNNNNNNNNNNNNNNNNNNNNNNNNNNNNNNNGCCUUCCCAAUGGUGUUCACCCUCUUCCCUUUCAGUCACUUGCACUACGUAUAGCUUUGGUGUGGAUGAGAUUCCCCGAGAAAAAGUCUUCAUGUUCGGACAAUGUGUCAUAGAAACUUGUUCCAAUGAUGGGAAUUCAAGAGUGUAAUUCUCCAAACAAAAGCUGGUAAGCCUUGGUAAAUCAUCAAGUUCCAAAAGUUUUAAUUCGUUGAAAGCAAUACGAUUCUCCUUCGCUUCUUCUCCAACAUGUCCUAUGAUUUCUUCUAUUUUUGCACAGUCUGAUACAUCAAGAUUCACUAGACUAUUGGGAAUUCCAACCUGAAAUAAAGAGUAGCAUUCAACUAGAUCAAAGUAUGUCAAAAUCAUACAAUUGUUUUAUGAAAAAUAACAAUUUUGAGGAAUUGAAAGAUAACUAAUUUAAUUUUUUUUUGGAAAGACUAAUAAUGAAUGAAUUAAUGAUUAAAUAAUAUUAUUAGUUAUAUCUAUUUAAUAUUAAUGUUAUCAAAUAUAGAUUUUUCAUAAAAAAUAAUUCUUAACUAUAUAAUUAAUAAUUAGAGAGAUGUUAAUAAGCUUUUUGAUUUCCUAAAAUACGUAAUUUAAAAAAAAUUAGAAUUAUUAAAAAAAUUCAAAAAAUGAGGCCUUCACAAAAUAUGGGACCUUAGGCGACCGCCUUGUUCGCCUAUACCUAAAGCCACCCCUGCAUGGGACUGUAAUAGAGUGAAUAUUUGAGGAAAUUUUUUAAUCAACGGUCGACUCAAAAUGACCAUCAUGAAUUUGUGCUUAAUCAAUGGCGUAAUCAAUUCAUAACUAAACCAGAGAUAUUAACUACAUUUGAACACUUUUCUUUAUUUUUUAUUUUUAAAUCGAAAUCUAAAGACCCAAGGAAAAGAGAAAUAUAUAUGAAUUUGUGAACUUAAAAGCUGAGUAACUAAGUAUCUUUUAAUUUCUGAAAAUCUUAUUUAUUAGGAUAUAAGAAAAAAAAACAAUUAAAUUGAAUUAUAUUAUGCUGUUAAAUCGUGUUUAAAACAAUUACUUUAAUGCAGGUGAACCUAUAAAUUAGAUUGAAAAUGCAGAGUUCAGAAUGGUGAUUUGAAGUACACUACUUUUUUGCCCUCCAGAAGUUUGAAGUAAAAUACUUGCAAUAAAUAAUUUGUGAAUGAAAAUUAUUUGUAAACACAAAAAUGAUUAAAAUAAUUGUUGAAUGUUACUUGAAAUAAAAAUUCAAAAUGAAUAUAGCAAUCUUACCAAUGGAGGAAAAAUAUUCAGUAGAUUAUUACACCCAGAUAUCUUCAAUUUUUUCAAUUUGCUAAAAGACUUCGAAGCAAGCUGGUGGUGCCAUAUUUUUCUCAACUUAUCCGCCUCACUAAUAUGUAAUACCUCCAGACUUGGGAGUCGUACCUGAAGUUAAAAAUUCAAUGCAAUUAGAGAUGUAUAUUAAUUAAAUUUGAAGACUCAACGAAAAGAGAAUUUAAAAAUUCAAUGAAAAAAAACCUUUUCAUCAAAGAGGGAUUGAGGUUGCAUUUCAGUGUGAAUGACGUCUUCUGGUGAGGCAAAGCUACUUAGUUUUGGAAGCCAAUGGAGCGACAGGUAGUGUAGUUUGGGAAAAACCUUAAAUUCAUCUCUUCCUCCUAACGUCGUGGUGUUGACUACCCCUUCAAUUGACCGGCAAUUACGAAUCUCAAGAUGUUGGAGUUGCCCAAGACUAUUAACCAUAGAAUAUGAAAACAAAUACUUCAGACGAUGACAACUCCACACGGUCACUUUUGUUAAAUUUUGACAACAAUAUAUUCCCUGAAAUUGAUCGGACCAUAAUUUUUUGAUAUUUGUUAAACUGACAAGUUCCAGUUCCUCCAAGCGUGGAAAAGUAACCUGCAAAGAAAAACCAUACAUUUUUGUUCUUUCAACUACAACUUCUAAUAUAAUAUUCUUUCGAUGAUUGAAGAUCAAUCGUGAUAAUAUAUUAAUUAAUUAAUUAUUAAACAGAAAAUUAUUACCUGGUGAACAGGAUCAUCCUCUGCAUUGAUUUCUAUGAAUCCCUGAGUUGUUGGUGGUUUCUCCAUGUCGGGCCCUAUAAAUGAACCAAAACAAUAUACAAUAAACAUCCGUUGUUUUUUUCACCAAAAAAAAAAAAAAGAAAAAAAGAAAGAGUCAAUGUCAAUAAUCCUACCAAUAAUUAAUUUCAACACUUACCAAUAAUCAUUUUCAAAUCAUCGCAGUCUUCCACUUUUACUUUUUGAAGCCGCAAUAGGUUUUUGGCCAUAGAGAAUGAGAAGAGAUACUUCAAUUUUCGACAGGAAUCUACGUUUAUAAUCCUUAAGUUGCUGAAGGAUUGAUCUUCUCUGAGUUGGCUGUAGCAUAUCGUCUCCAAAUUAGUUAAAAACAUAAGAGACAAUGCCUCCAGCAAGGGAAAGACUUCGCAACGAACCCGUCUAACUGAACCGACAAUAUGUAAAAUCUCAGAACAGUCUGUUACGAGAAGACGCUUCAAUCGUGGAAAACCUUCCCCAUCGUCUAAUUCAUGAACAACACUUUGAACACCCUCCAAUGUUUCUAGCCAGAGAUCUUCAGUUCUCUGCAGCAACAUUUUUGUCCCAUCAUUCUCCUUAAGAAUGCUAACUUUUUUUAUCCCCUUGAGCAUCAUCAAUCUUGAUGCUUCGGAUUUGACGAGCAAUGGGUCAAACUCAUCUUCGGGCCCAUCUCCUAUACGUAUCUUAUAUCUUUGCAAUUCCACAGAGACAAAAUCCGGCGGCAGAAUUUCGGCAUCCGGAACUUCUAUCUCCAAAGUAGUUAGCUCUGUCAACCUCUCCAAUUCGACAAGACUGGCAUUACUUCCUCCUUCAACCUUCUCCCACCCUGAAAAACCGUUACCCAUAUACAAUUCUUCUAAUUGAGAUAAUUUUGAUAUGACAUUCGGUGCUAUCACCUCAAGCCACCAACAAUUGCUCAAAUCUAGCAAUUGUAACCGCGUCAAUUGUCCAAUUUCAACUGGUAGCUGGUUGAUAUUGGAAUAUGCGAGGCUGAGAAUCUCUAAUUUCUUUAGUUGUCCAAUUGCCGCUAUAUCUGCUAGUUCGCACCAGUCUAAACACAAUGUUUGAAGGUUAAUGAGGCGACCAAGUGAUGAAGGUAAUGAAGAAGAGCCAAUUCCAGGAAACUGUAAAACUUUGAGUCCUUCCAUCCCUUCAAAAAAGUGGUCUGAAACUUGCAUAGGGCCAUUACCCUCCGUAUACAACAAAAAUAACUGGAGAUUGGGACAUUGCAACCUUUCAGGGAGCUCUUGAAUAUCUCUAUGAGGUAAUGAAAUAGCAAUUGGAUCUUUCUGUAUUGUCUCUUCCAUCUUUUUCUCCAAGUCAGCAACAUUUGGAACAUUAAACAUGCGCUCCUCUGUGGCAAUUGAUACGGCAACAACAUGAAUGACGUCAUGCAUUUUAACUUCAUCUUCAGCAUCACCGUCCAACAAUAAGCAUGAAGAUUUGAGGUUGUCGAUCAACCGAUGCACUCUACUCCUUGCUUCUUCCAAUGUGUAAACAUUUUCAAACAAACCCCAACCCACACCAUAUCUCAAUAAGUCAGAAACUUGUAUGACAUUACCUUCACUGUAUAGACUACAAAGACGGAACAGAGAUUUUGCCUCCUCACUUUCCAAGAAGUCAUAACUCAAUUUUAUGGAGGUGUACACAUUUGCUUGCAUGCCAUGAAUUUCUCUAGCAUCCGAUCUUCUUAGCUGAUUCAAUGCAUCUUUCCAAAAGUAACGCUCUUUAGUUUUCAGAGCAUUUGCAACUGUACUCAGUGCAACAGGCAAACCUCCGCAUCUUUCAACGAUCUCAUUUGCUAUACUUUGAAAAGCAGAUAUUUUAGUUGAAUCACCCAAUAUCUUUUCAAAAACUGCAAUGCUUCUUUUGGUGGCAAAGCAUCGAUCGGGAAAUUUUUCUGAGAAUUCAUAUCAAUGCGCAAUAAAUCUCGACUUCUAGACGUCAAUAUUAUUGUGCAUCGUCUCUGAUCAUCCUUUGUAUCUUUCUCAUCAACAUCCCCACAAGGAAUUCCAACUUUUUCGAACUCGAGUUUUUUCCAAAUAUUAUCCAAUAUAACGAGGACCUGCUUCUCGUUCUUCAAUCUUUCACGUAAUCGAUCUGCUCUUUCGAAUUUAUUCUCAUCCGAGCCAAAUUUCAUGCCUAAGUCAAAAGCAAGUUUCUUUUGAAUUUCCUGAUGAUCUGGGGUCUGUGUUACCUCAGCCAUAACGACCUUAUCGAACACCUUAUCUUCCAUAACUUGCCUUGCAACUUGCUUGACUAGCGUGGUUUUACCCACGCCGCCCAUCCCGCAGACCCCAAUUAUCUUGAGCUUAUCAUCCUUCAACGCCUCCACAACAUCUUGAAAUACUUUCAUUCUUGAAUCAAAGGCCUCGAAAUCUUUCACUUGCAUAUGUUCUGCCCGCUUUGGAGCAGGACGGUAGGAAACAUUAGAGAAGUUACCUUUUCCCAUGAGACUAGCAGCAGCUUCUGCGGCCUUUGCUGCUUGUCUACUGAGCUUGUAACGAGAAAUCAAGUUUGGGCACAAUCCUUUGAAACAGAACUUCUUAGCUCUAUCUUCAUCAUCAGUGAUGGAUUUCGCAGCUCCCUGAGUGAAUUCCUUGACGCUAUUAAGCCAGUCUGCAACAUCCUUAUAAAUCUCAUCUCCUUGUUGAGUAGCCUGAUGAACGGGUAUUUCCACCCUUUCUCUUUUAUAUCCCAACUGUUUCACUUGAUCUUUUAGGCCAUCUAUGUAGCUCUGGUACUUGAACACAUAAGAGAUCUGCCGUAUAAUCGGUUUGAACAGUGACUUUGCAUCUUCUGAUACGAUGCUGGAAAAAGCAGCCAGACCCACUUCUACAACCAUUGCCUGUUGCUUAACAAUAUAUGUAUAUAUAUGAAUAAAAUGAAUAAAAAUGUCAAAGAAAGGAAUACAAAUAAAUUAAAAUGAACUAGAGGGAAAGACAGAGAAAGAAAAGACCGCAAACAACAUCGCGAUAUUGAUUUUGAACCAACUGAUACCUAAGUAGAGAAUUUCUUUUUCUAUCUUAAGGAUCAGAGGUUUCGCUAUUAACAGAAAGGUAUCCUUUAAGGAAAGUUGAUGGAAAUUAAGAAAGAAUGGCUAUCAAGAUCAAGUAUUCUGCUACUAAAAAUAAAUGAUAUGACUUAAGAAAAGUAAAUGAUAUGAUUAAGAAAAACCAGAGAAUUUUUUCCUAGGAAAGUUGAUGGAAAUUAAGAAAGAACCGCUAUGAAGAUCAAGUAUCAGAGAUUCUGCUACUAAAAGAAUAUUACAGGUUUUAGAACAAGUGCACCUCUUUACCUGUCUGGGAUCAGAGUCGAUGAGCUGCUGUAUUCACCUUGAAUAUAGAAGAAAUAUUACAGGUUUUGACUAAAGAGGAAUGUGAGGAACGAGUUGAUGAGAGUAAUAACAAUGAAUUUCCAAAAGAAGACGACUUGAGCAUUAAGCAUGCACCCCCUUUAUCAAUCAAAUAUUGGUACGUAUGUACGUAGGGACCAUUAUGCGUAUAUGAAGUCCAUUAGUUGCAAUCAGAAACCCUGGCCCAAUUUAAUUGGCACUCGAUUUUUGAUAAGAAGAAGGCAAGGAUAAGGACAAAGUCAAUCAAUCACCAACAGUAAUUACUUCAAUCUUUGUCAAUCUACUUAAAUUGUCGAUCAACAUGAAAAUUGUUUAAAUUGAUAUUUGUAAAUCAAUCAAUUUUCUAGUUACUAUGAUUAUAACGUUUCACCUUUCAUAUUGGAUUUUAUCUUUUCGAAAGUUUUCAAAUAUGAGUGUCAAUAAUUAUUGAGACUCCAAGCCGUGCUCUCAAGAUCGUGCUGACAAAUCACUAUUGACUUUGUUUAUGCAAAAUUCAAAGAAAAAAAGUUAUGGUUUUGUAUUGCCAGCCCUGCUACUUUUUGUUUUUUUCAUUUGUAUUAUUUACGAAUUAUUUUUUAACAGAAACAUGAGAACUCAUCAUCGUACAAAAUUGCAUGAAAAAAUCUUCAAAUUUAUAAAAGUAAAUUUCGUUGACAGAUUGUGGAUAUGUUAGAAAGAAUAAGGAUAAGAAUGAGUUAAGAAAUAAUAUAUAUAUAUAUAUAGAUAGAGAGAGAGAGAGAGAGUGAAAGUAAACAAUGUUUUGGUACAUUUGGUAUUGUUUUCAAAAUAUUUUGAAAAGAAAAAUUUUCAAUUAUCCACCUAGGAAUUAUCUUAUUAUCCAAAAAGUUAUAAAAAUUUAAAAAUAUUUAAUUUUAUACCCAUUAUUACAAUGUGUAUCAACUGUUUACUAAAAAAAUAAAGUUACUCCUAAAACAUAAUCACCACUACAAUUUUGUGUUCGCUUCUAUUUUGUCACUUUGAACGAAUAACUUUAUAUUUUUAACAGAUGUUUCAUACAAAUUGCAUACAUUGGAUGUAAAAUUAAAUAAAUUUAAAUUUUUAUAAUAAUUUUAAUAAUUGAAUAAACUUUGAGUAAAUGACUGAUAAUUUCUCUUUUAUAAGCUACAAGAAGUUAAAAAGAAAAAAGAAAAAAUAGGAUGAUAAUUUCUCUUUAAUAUGCCUCAGAUGAUUUAUUGUUUCGGGUCUAAGAUUUUAAAUAUUCAACUUAAAAGAUUAAUAUAUUAUAAAUUAAUUAAUUAAAUAAUCAUUAAGCAACUAAAUUGGGUCCCCUGGAUGUCAAUUCCUUUAUUAUUGACGCAACUAUUUUUUUAUGGCAAAUAAUUAUUAAUGCACUUACGGAACUUUUGCAUAUCUACACAGCGAUUUUAAAUAUUACUGGUAACUGCUGAGAAAUGUGCGAGAAAGAAGUUGAUGAGAGUAAUAACAGCGACUUGCAAAAGGAAAAGACAGAAUCAUUCAGACAUUCACCCCUUUUUGUAUCACGUACUUGGUUACUGUUUCCCUGUUGACGCAUGUAUAAAUUUGAGUGAUUUUUCUGCACUUUUUUGGCUGUUGCUUAACAAUGUGUGUGUGUGUGUGUGUGUGUGUAUUUGCUGUUGAAAAAUUUGGAUUCAAAUAAAUUAACUGAAAGAUUAGAGUUUUGACUAUUAACUGAAAGGUUUCAAGGGUAUGAAUGAAAAGCAACAUUCUUUUUUAGAAACUAUUUUAGAGGAGAGAUGCAAAUUAACAAAUGCUAAUAACAAGAACACAGAAGUUAACAAUGAACAGUAACUUAAAUCAAGAAAAUUAAAUGACAAAAUUAAGACAAAUAGGAGAUAUUUUUUCGUGGACGUUAAGAAAUAACUGCUGUCAAGAAUAAGGAGAUUAUGCUAUUAAUAGAAAUUAUCAAAGGAUUUAGGACAAGUUCACCUCUUUAAUUAUCCGGGAUCAGAUAGUUGAUGAGCUUCUCUAUUUGAUCUUGAAUAUUUAAGAAUAAUUUUAAUGAGCAAAAAGAUCACUGGUAACUGCUGAAAAAUAAGUGAGAAAAGAGUUGAUGAGAAUAAUAACAAUGAAUUGAAUAAAAAAAGGACUUAAUCAUGCACCCCCUUUGCAUAUCAUGUAUAGAAUAAUUACAUGUAUUAUUAUAAUUUUGGGUUCGAUAUCCUUGUAUUAGUGUCUAAGAUUUUCAUGAAGAAUUAAACUUGAAAUGACCAAAAGAGGAAGCUGCGGUGUAUUGUUGGACCCAAUUAAGUUGAAGAAAGCACUAGUUCACAACCUUACGUUUGGAUAUAUUCUAAAGAAAUAAUUAAACAGCAAAUGAUCAUCACAUGCACUUUAAUGAUUUGAUCUAUUGUUUUCAAAAGAAAUUGCAAUUAACAGUUUUUGUCAAAAGUUCGCACUGUGUGAAACUAGUGUUAAUAUAAUUUAAAAAAUUACUUUCAAUAGCAUAUGGAAUAAUUAUAAUAUUAUUAAUACCUAAGAUAUAUUUAUAUUUAUUAUAAAAAAUUCAGUUAAAUAUUUGUGUUAACUAGAAUUUAUAAUUAAUAUAAUAUAUCUUAGGUAUUAAUAAUAUUAUAAUUAUUCCAUAUGCUAUUGAAAAUAAUUUAAAUUUUUAGACGUUUAUUUUCAUAUUAAGUUUUUAUUUAUUAUAAAAUUUAGUUUAAUAUAGUAUAAGCUUGUAAAGUAUUAAAAUAUUUUUUUUCAUAUUUUUUAAAAAUAUUAAAAUUAUUUUAAUAUAUAUAUAUUAACAUUGAAGCCAAUUUUUUGAGUUAAUAGAGCUAGUAGGUGUUACACUAAAAAAGAGUAUCUUAGUAUCUCUUAUUGAGUGGGAGAGCCAAAUGAAUCGAAAAAUUCAUGUUUGGUUCGGGAAGGGAUCAUCGAAGUUUUGAGAUGAAUGGAAAGAUAAUCUACUUUCAUUAAGUGAUUUAUUAGAUAAUCGCAAACUGAGGAUUUUGAAUAGUAUUCAAAAUUCAGAAGAAAUGCAGAGAGGGGCCAUUGAACGGCCGGAAAAAGCCCGGCCCGGUUACAAAAAAUCAAAAUAGAAGCAGAUCAAUAUUGAAAAUAUAUAGAUCUAUAUAAUCAUUUUUUCAAAUAUCGAGAUGUAGCUAUAAAAGAAAAAAUAAAUUAAAAAAUUUUAAAUUUUAAAUUUUAAUAUGGCCAUCGUAGGGUUAGAAUCCCCGCUCCAACCCGAUUUGGAGAUGUGCUUGGUCUAUUUAUGUUUUGGAAAAAGAAAAACCAAAGAAAAAAAAUACGCACCCGACCAAAUCAAGUAACUCAUCAAAUAAAAAAUAAAAAAGGAAAGAAAUUUAAUGACUUGCGUGCAAUUUUGGAUCUGAAAUUAAAAUUACAUAAAAAUUCAGGCUUACGUACCUUGAUAUUUACAGCUUAUUUGAUGGCCUCAACAAGUUUAAGCAGCAUCAAAAUGUUGUGGCUCCUUCAAUGACAACAUCGACUUGUUUGACAGCUCCAACAAGGCUACGAUGAUCAGAAAAUGAGCCCUCAAUCAACCAGCGCCUUGCUCUUUGUCAUUUUUCCUCUUGUUAGUUUUCUUCUACAUAUAAUUAUUACACUGGGAAGUAUACACACACCUCUUUUCUUUUUAUAGUACCUUACUAUUAUAUCUUUACAAAACAAUAUCACCCUAAGACAUAUAUGUAUGAAAUAAAUAUAUAAGGAACUGACGAAAUAAAAUUAGAUCUAACACUAGUUUCAUGUGGUGUGUGAACUUUUGACAAUCCUCUCAUACCCCAACAAAAACUUUGUCAUAUUACGAAAGUUAUCACGACCAUAGACUUUUCAAUUGCAUAUUGGAAUUGCAAUGUCAUUUUAUUAUAGUAAUGUCAUUUCCAUUAUUCAUAGUGGCAGACAAUGGACAUCACGGGACACGGCGAGAAGUUAUCACGACCAUAGACUUUUCUAAUUUAUGAAAUAAAUGAAAUUAGAUCUAAUUCUAGUUUUAAGUGGUGUGAACUUUUGACAAUCCUCCCAUAUCCUAACAAAAGCUUUGUCAUAUUGCGAAAAUACCUUUCCAAUGUUUCAAUUGCAAUGUCAUUGCCAUUAUUCAUAGUGGCAGACAAUGGACAUCACGGGACAUGGCUAGAAGUCUAUGUUACGGCUUAUGUAAGUAACAGUAGCCAAUGGGGAACUUCCACAGGGGCUAUAGGAGAGAGAAAGAGGUCCCAAUACAAGUGUUAGAGUGCAAUUUAUACACUAGUUUUGCAUUGUUUACUUCCCUUAAUAUCAAUGUUUUGCAUUUAAUAAUAAUGAUUUACUUGUGUUUUACUUUUGUAGGUGCAAUUCUAUUGAUUUGUUAUAAAAUUGAGGUAUAAGAUGAUGUUUAAAGAUGAUUGUUCUCUUAGAGAAAUUUAGAGCGUCAGAAGAACUUUAUUGAUAAAGCGUGGGCGCGUGCUGUCAACUGCGGACCUGCAGUUUUUAGUUUAAUGUGUUUUGUAUUUUUGGCUAUUUUUGUAAUUACGAAUUUAAUAUUUCAAAUAUUAGUAUUUUAUUUUAAAUAGAACUCUAAAAGAGAAGAGAGAGAGAGUAUUUAAGGGAGGAAUCUAUUGUGAAAAAGGGGGGAUUUUAAUUGGAGAAAAAGAAAGAAACCCUAGAUCUAAUUUUUCUCUUCUCUCUAUGAAGAACUAAACUUAUUUUUUCUGGUGGAAGGUUAAUGAAGCUUUGAUUCAUCAAUACUGUGAGAUCUUUCUUAUGCUUUAAUUGUUUUAUUACUUUUUGGGUAUUUGUUUAUUCUCUGAAUUUGUUUCAUGAUUAUGUUUGUUAAUUAGGUAAUUGGCCACUAUUUAAUUAUCAACUUAAUCUAUUGUCAAUUAAAGAAUUCAUCGUAUGAAGAGUUUAAUGUUUGUGACAAAUAACAUAGCAGUGAGUUGUGUUAUGGGAAUAAACAAUCUAAUUUAAAUGAAUCAUUAUAUGUGUUGAUUAGGAUUUGGGUCUCUAUGGUUUUUCAGGCUGUCAAUUGAUUAAAUCCUAUGAUCGUAUCUAGGGUUGUCUAUUGAUUAGGGAAAUAUCCAACGGUCGUACCUUGGUUAUCGACUAGUUAAGGAGAGAUUGGCUAUUAGAGGGUCUCAAUAGCUAUAACCGGUCUAUUCAUAAGUAAUAAUAAUCUAUUUUUGAAUCAAUGAUUAGUAGUCGAAUCAAGCUGAGUUAAUUCCUUCAACCAGAGCUUUCUCCAAUUUGAAUUACAACUUUAAUUUGCAUUUUUGUUAUUUUAAUUUGAUUUUUUAUUAUUGUCAACAAUUCCCCCAUUUUACGUUUUACGUUUCAAAAGGAUUUAAAUAAUUACCGAUCUCUGUGGACACGACCCUGCUCAAUCACUAUACACAAUUUAUUUAGAGUAGGAAUUUAUUUUUGUUGGCUUCGACAACCAUCAACAAGGUGAUGGAAAUGGGAAAGUUCGAAGCUGUUACUUUCAGCUUCUGCACCGUAGCCAUGUCCCACGGGACAAGGCUAGAAGUUAUCAUGACCAUAGACUUUUCUAAUUUAUUUUUUCCUUUCAAAAAGGGACAAGGAUAAGUUUGGGAGAAUGAUUAUAUUUUUAAUAAAAGAAUUCUUUUUUAUUAUAAUACUUUUUGUCUUUAUUAAUUUAAAAAUAUUAACUCUUAUAUUUUAAUAAAUAUAAAUAUAAUAUUAUAAUAACAUAUAACAAUAUAUACAAAAAUUUAAAAAAAAUUAAGAUUUUAUUAAAAUAAAUUUUAUAAUAAAUACAAAUACAUUAUUAAUAUAAUUUUAAUAAUUUGCAUUUUAAAAAGUAAUACUGAUAUUAAUUUUUUAAAUAUUAAUUUUUUAAAUUAUAUUACUCUACCAAAAAAAAUUAAACUAUUAAAUUAUAUUGAUAUUUAUUACAAAAUUUGCAAUUAAUUCUUAUUAUAUUUUUAAUUGGAAUUUGUUCCUGUGAUAUAACAACAAUUGCUACAGUUUUUUUCCCUAAAUAAAGAUGGAGUUAUAAAUUAUUUGUGUAAGUGUCAUGAAAGUAAUAGUUGAAUAACAAUAAUGGGGCUUUAGGCAAUUUUUUCAUGAGGUCUUCUUGCAAUUUCAACACUUAAACAUACUUGUCCUUGAUCCCAAUUUAUUUACCCCAUUUGGGCCCACGAUGAGAUAAAUAUAUUCCUGUGAGAUGAAAAACAUCAGGAGAAGAAAAUGUUUUAUUAUAAUAAAAAAACAAGUGGUCCAUAAGUCUAUUUAUUACUUUUUUUAUUCAAUACAAAUGGCCAACUUAAAAAAUGAUAAAAAUCACAUAACGCACAAGCAAAAAUUUAGAUUUACAUUUUUUUAGUUCUCUCCGUGUCUCUCUUUCUCUUUUUUUUUUUUAAAAAAAAUAAAUGUCAGUGUAAAAUUAGAAAAAUUUUAGAUAUAAACUUUGGCGAUGACCAAACAAAAAUUGCAAGGGAAAGAAAAUAGAGGACCCUUGAUAUCAUUGAAAUACUGAUCAUAGACACUACAAUAUAAAUAACUUGUUGUGAUCCACUCAACUUGUAACACUUUAAUCCAUAUUCUAAAAUUUGUAUGCUUGUUAGGAAUUUUAUUAUUGACAUUACUGUACCAAUAAAAGUCUAAUUUAUUCAUAUGGAAAGAAAACAUCAAGAAAGGACCUCUGAUUUUUAUUAUAACAGAAAAAAGUGGUCCAUAAGUUUAUUUAUUAUUUUAUUUAUUCAAUACAAAUUGCCAACUUAAAAAAUGGUAAAAAUCACAAAAUGCACAAGUAAAAUUUUAGAAUUACAUUUUUUUAAUUCUCUUUGAGUCUCUCUCUCUCUCUUUAAAAAAUAAACCUCACUGUAAAAUUAGAAAAAUUUUAGACAUAAAAUUUGACAAUCACCAAACAGAAAAUGUAGGGAAAUGAAAAUGGAGGAGCCCUAUUAUCAUUAGAAUAUUGAUCAUAGAUACUAUAAUGUAAAUGAUUUGUUGUGGUUCAUUCAACCUGUCACACUCUAAGCCAUUUUCUAAAAUUUGUAAGGUUUAUAGGAUUUUUAUUAUUGGCAUCAUUGUAUCAAUAAUAUUAUAAAUUAUAUAUUCUAUUGUAAUGAAAAUUUAUGUAAUCUUAGGUAUUUAUUUAUUGUAAUAAUAAAAAAUUUCUAAAUAAAGGUGAUUGCUUCAUUGACAAGUACAUAUUUAUAUUCUCUAUUAGUAUUUGGGUUGUAAACUUUGUUUAUAAAGUGAAUAUAUUGUGGUAAGCGAUGUGGGCAAUAUCGGAUGCAAAAUAUUGAGAGAUCAUUAACGCAUAUAUUUAUUGAAGACGCAUAUAGAGGAAAGAGUGUAGAUCCGGCCGUAACAAUUAUGAAGCUUUCCCCAAGUAUUCUCACGCUUCCUUAACUGUUGCAAAGUAUUUUUCAUAGUGUGCAGAUUUACUUUAUGGUGUCUUAAUUCGUCUAAAAUGAUUACUUUAGUUCUUUUGGGAUGAAAGGUCAUUUAUUGUGUUAGUAUUAAACAAUAGAAAAAAUAAGUAAUGGUAACGAAAGACUAAUUUGUGAUAUUGAAGCAUACAUGCUUAACUCAAUCCAAAACUUAGUAAGUUAGCUCAAGAGUUAAGAGUUGUCCAAAUCUUAUAUGCUGAACCCAAGUUCAAUACUCAAUUGAUGCAGGAUGUUAUUCCUAACACCGCCCCUCAUGCGUAGGAUUGGCAAAAAAACUCGAGUCAGUCCCGCCUAGACCUGCAAGCUUUAUUUAUGGCCAGCAUGAUGAAGUUACAGAUAUUAACCUAAAAAUUUGAAACUUACUAUGAAUGGCCUUGGUUAAAGACUUUUGUAACUUUAAUUUAUAACAAGUAUGUAUACACACACACACACAUGUUUAGAUUGCAUUUGGAUGACUUUUUUAUCAAUGCAAACAAUAUCAAAUUUAUCGGAUUAAUUUGAAUCUGAUCUAUAUCCGAUUUUGCCCGCCAUANNNNNNNNNNNNNNNNNNNNNNNNNNNNNNNNNNNNNNNNNNNNNNNNNNNNNNNNNNNNNNNNNNNNNNNNNNNNNNNNNNNNNNNNNNNNNNNNNNNNNNNNNNNNNNNNNNNNNNNNNNNNNNNNNNNNNNNNNNNNNNNNNNNNNNNNNNNNNNNNNNNNNNNNNNNNNNNNNNNNNNNNNNNNNNNNNNNNNNNNNNNNNNNNNNNNNNNNNNNNNNNNNNNNNNNNNNNNNNNNNNNNNNNNNNNNNNNNNNNNNNNNNNNNNNNNNNNNNNNNNNNNNNNNNNNNNNNNNNNNNNNNNNNNNNNNNNNNNNNNNNNNNNNNNNNNNNNNNNNNNNNNNNNNNNNNNNNNNNNNNNNNNNNNNNNNNNNNNNNNNNNNNNNNNNNNNNNNNNNNNNNNNNNNNNNNNNNNNNNNNNNNNNNNNNNNNNNNNNNNNNNNNNNNNNNNNNNNNNNNNNNNNNNNNNNNNNNNNNNNNNNNNNNNNNNNNNNNNNNNNNNNNNNNNNNNNNNNNNNNNNNNNNNNNNNNNNNNNNNNNNNNNNNNNNNNNNNNNNNNNNNNNNNNNNNNNNNNNNNNNNNNNNNNNNNNNNNNNNNNNNNNNNNNNNNNNNNNNNNNNNNNNNNNNNNNNNNNNNNNNNNNNNNNNNNNNNNNNNNNNNNNNNNNNNNNNNNNNNNNNNNNNNNNNNNNNNNNNNNNNNNNNNNNNNNNNNNNNNNNNNNNNNNNNNNNNNNNNNNNNNNNNNNNNNNNNNNNNNNNNNNNNNNNNNNNNNNNNNNNNNNNNNNNNNNNNNNNNNNNNNNNNNNNNNNNNNNNNNNNNNNNNNNNNNNNNNNNNNNNNNNNNNNNNNNNNNNNNNNNNNNNNNNNNNNNNNNNNNNNNNNNNNNNNNNNNNNNNNNNNNNNNNNNNNNNNNNNNNNNNNNNNNNNNNNNNNNNNNNNNNNNNNNNNNNNNNNNNNNNNNNNNNNNNNNNNNNNNNNNNNNNNNNNNNNNNNNNNNNNNNNNNNNNNNNNNNNNNNNNNNNNNNNNNNNNNNNNNNNNNNNNNNNNNNNNNNNNNNNNNNNNNNNNNNNNNNNNNNNNNNNNNNNNNNNNNNNNNNNNNNNNNNNNNNNNNNNNNNNNNNNNNNNNNNNNNNNNNNNNNNNNNNNNNNNNNNNNNNNNNNNNNNNNNNNNNNNNNNNNNNNNNNNNNNNNNNNNNNNNNNNNNNNNNNNNUACCUCUUUUAACGACAAGAUUCGUAGUAGAUGAUAAAAAGAAAAUUAACUUCAAAUUUUUUCAUUAAAUGUAAAUCUGAUUGAAGUAGUUUAAAUUUUUCUAGUAGACUAAUAUAUAUAACUUAAAUAAUUAAUUUCAUUAUUAAUUUUUAAAAUGUUAACUAAUAUAUUUUUAAUUUAUUAUAAAAAUUUUAAAUAAAUCCUUGGAUUAAAUAGAUUUUACAAUUAAUGUAAUACUUCUGAUUUAUUAAUAAUAUUAAAAUUAUUUUAUAUGAUAUUCAAAAUAAUUUAAACUUAUAUAUAUAUUAAUAUUAUGUCUAUUUAUUAUAAUAUGGUUUAAUAUUAUACGGGAUUGUAAAAUAUUAAAAUAUUUUUCAAUAUCCAAUUAUUUUAAUAUGUAUAUAUCAUUACAUUUAUUUUAGUAUCGUAUUUAUAUUUAUUAUAAAAUAUAAAAUUAAUAAAAUUAAAGAGUAUUGCAGUAAAGUAAAAAAAAAAAGUCUUAUUAUCUCUUAUUCACAAUAUGAGAUUCUACAAAAUUAUUUCCCGAAACGGGUGUCCUUUUCUUAUUUUCAAAAGAAAAAAUAAAGUAAGAAUAAGUCCAUGGGUUUCAAAAACUUCUAGUCUUAUCCCGGGACUACAUUGUCUGCCACUAUAACUAAUGGAAAUGACAAUACAAUUGACAUUGCCUUUCGCAACAUGACAAAUUUUUGGUGGGAUAUGGAAGAAUUGUCAAAAGUUCACGCCAUGUAAGAGUUUUUGGUGGGAUGUGGGAGGAUUGUCAAAAUAUCACACCACGUGAUAUAACCACAAUUGCUAUGGUUUUUAUUUUUUAAAUAAUGAUGGGAGUUAUAAAUUAUUUAUAUAAAUUUGCGUAGAAACUAAUGUAACAUAAAAGAAGUAGCUGAAUAAUAAUAUUUGGUGCUUUAGGUAAUUUUUAUAUGAGCCUUUCUUUUAUUUAGCGGCUCUAGUGCUUAAACAAACUUGUUCUCGAUCUUAAUUUACUGACCCCAUUUAAGCCUAUGAUGACAUAAUUAAACAUAUUCUUUUGUGACGAAAACAUCAAGAGAAGACAUCUCAUGUUUUAUUAUAACAGAAAAGAAGUGAUCCAAACGUCUAUUCGUUAUUUUAUUUAUUCAAUAUAAAUGGUCAACUUUAAAAAAAUGAUAAAAAUCACACAACGCUCAAGUAAAAAUUUAGAAUUACAUUUUUUAAAACUCUCUGAGUCUCUCUCUCCUGCCCCCCCCCCCCCCUCUUUUUUUUAAAAUAAACCUUAGUGUAAAAUUAGAAGAAUUUUAGAUAUAAAAUUUGGCAAUCGCUAAACAGAAAAGUAGCGGAUUGAAAAUAAAAAAGCUCUAUUAUCAUAGGAAUAUUGAUUAUACAUAAUAUAAUAACUUGUUGUGGUUCAUUGUAGCACUCUGAGCCAUACUUUAAAAUUUACUGGUUUGUUAAUGCUUUUAUUAUUGACAUUAUUGUGUCAAUAUUACUAUAAUUUAUUCAUUUUAUUGUAAUGAUAAUUUGUGUAGUCUUAGGUACUUAUUAUAUUAAAUUAUGUAAAUUAAUUGAGAAUACUUUUAGAGACAAAAGAAACACGUGUAUGUAGGAUUAAUAAUCGAAGAAUUGUAAAUGAAGGUGAUUGCUUCAUUGAGAGGCAUAUUGAAUAAUUAUGGAGGUUGCACUAUUUCGGAAGCACAUAUUUAUACUUCCCUAUCAGGAUUUGGGGUAAACGAAGUGCUUUAUCUAUUGCAGUAAGCAAUGUGGGCAAUAUCAGAGGCGAAAUAUUAAAAGAUUAUAACGCAUAUAUUUGAGCCAUUUAUAUUGAAGACACAUAUAGAGGAAAGAGUGCAGAUCAGGCUUUCCUCAAGUAUUCUCAUGCUUCCGCAACUGUUCUGAACUAUUCUUCAUUGUGGGCAGAUUUACUUAAUUACCAACACUAUGAUUCAAUACUUCAAAGGUUGAGGAAAUGUCAAAAUAUGAAAUGAAAAUACUUAAAUACCCUUCUACCUAACAAAACUUGGUACUUCUAACUGCACUCGCAGAGAAUAUAUAAAAUUAAAAAAAUAUAUAUUCAUCCAUGAAAAGCUUCGUAACAGAAAAACCAUCUUUAAAAAAAAUAAAAAUAAAAUUAAAAAAAAAAAACAGAAAAACCGACUCAUUUAUCUGCCAAUGAACCAAUUGGGACUCAUUUAAAAAAGAAUACAAAGCAAAAGUGAAUGACACAAAUUGCAUAGAUAUCUAGGUAUAAUUUGUCCAAGUAAUAAAUUCUCCUAGGUCAAAAGCAAUUAACGAUGAAAACUUUCUUCAUUAAGGUUCUGGCCUACGUAAAAAAACAGAAAAAACCACCCCAAGGUCAAAGCACAACGAUAAGUUUAGAACUGCAGUUUUUAAUUUUUUUUAAUAAAUCAAUGUGUAUCAAAAAUAGAUAAUAAUUUUGGAUAACUUUUUUUGAUAAAUAUAGACAUAAAAUUUUAAAAUCACCAAACAGAAAAACAGGGGAAUUAAAAGAGAGCCCUUGUUUCUCCUCUGUUUUGUUUGUUAUCAAACAGUGAAAUGAAAAGAUCGCAAGCGGAAAUUUUGUUUCUGCGUUGUAUCUUCUCAAUGCUGCAUGCAUUCAAAUUAAACCUUAUAUAUGCUAGCAAACUAGCUACUCUGCAUGUAAGUUCUCGAUAAGUCCAAAUAAUAGAAUAAUUGUAAAAUGUUAAAAUUCAGUAAUUAAUUAUACAUAUUUAUUUAUUCAAAAAUUAUUAUUAUUAAUUAUUGUCAAUAUAUAUUAAUAUUCUGAUUAAUUGUAAAAAAUUUAUCAUUCAUAACAAUAAUAAUGAUGAUGAUGAUAAUAAUAAUAAUAAUUCAAAAUAUAUUAAUUAAUUAUAAUAAUAUAUUAAUUAUUUAAUAAUAGUAAUAAAUGUAAAAUGUAUAAAUUGAUUAGAAUAGUUAUAUUAAUAAAUUAUAAACAUAUAUUAAUUAAUCAUAAUAAUUUUUUAAUUGAGGACAAAAUAGACAUUUUAUAGUUUGUGAGAGGGGGUAAAAUGGUCAAUCUUGGGAACGGGGGAUUGAUUCCCACCACCUUCCUUGGGAAUCAAUCUUCCAUUCCUCAUUCCUAAAUUUGGGUGGCCCCAUAAUUCUGAUUUGGAUCCCUGCCUCCAUCAUUAAUGAUUUCGAUUUCGGAUUCCGAUUCCCCAAUCCAAGAAGUAAAGGCACCAUUAUUGUUAAUUGGUUCAAACACACAAAGAGAAUGUACCAUGUAGCUAGGCGUCAAGGUUGUGUUGCACAAGUAACCUUUUUCUUUUCUUUUUAUUUUUCUUGUUUUCCUUAACGGAUCAGAAGAAAUUGGUGCCUUUGAGAUACCACAAUGUAAAUAAGUACUUGUGGUUCAUUGAAUCGGUAACACUCGGUACCCUAAGGUUGCUUUGGAAAAAAGGCUUUUCUCACUGAUCGCCAAUAUCCAAGUAAGUUUGUUUCAUUUCAGAAGGUGCAAAGUUUCAAACUUGUUGUAUUGGGAUGUAACAAACUUUGGCCUCAUAUGCCUGCUGUGACGUUAGACUGUUCAUUUUGAUUGUUUCCUACCUUCCACUUACGCCAUUGUAGCACUGUAUUAUUCACCAUUUUAACUGUUUAAAUGAAAUUUUAUUUUUGUCAAAAAUAAAAUGACACCAUUAAAAUUUAGAAAAAUAAUAAUGUAGAUCCCAAAUUUUUAAAAAAGAAUACCAAUAUUCCCCUUGACUACAAUACCCUUAGUAGGUGGUAAUAAAAAAAAAUUGGCUUAAAAUUUUUACGAAAUGUAAAUAUGAUUUAAAUAAUUUAAAUUUUCCAGUAGACUAAUAUAUAUAAUUUAAAUAUUAAUUUUUAAAAUUUAAAUUAAUUUAUUUGUAUUUAUAAAAUAGUUGUAAUUAUUUUAAAAUUUAACUAAAUCCUUAGGUUAAAUAGAUUUUACAAUUAAUAUAAUAUUUCUCAUGUAUUAAUAAUAUUAAAAUUAUUUUAUAUGAUAUUGAAAAUAACCUAAAUUUUUAUAUAUUUAUUUGAAUAUUAUGCUCUAUUUAUUAUAAUUUGGUUUAAUAGAAUACGAGAUUGUAAAAUAUUAAAAUUUUAAAUAUUGAAAUUAUUUUAAUAUGUAUAUAUUAUUAUAUUUAUUUUAAUAUCCUAUUUAUAUUUAUCAUAAAUUAUUAGAGUUAAUUUUUUUAGUUAAUAAAUUUAAAAAAUAUUAUAAUUUUAAAAAAAAAGUCUUGUUGUCCGUUAUUCACGAUAUGAGGUUCUACAAAAUUAUUUCUCCAGGCGGGUGUCCUUUUUUUAUUUUCAAAAGGAAAAACAAGUUCAGGGCCUCAGGGGUUUCAAAAAAUUCUGGUCCUAUCUACCACUAUGACUAAUGGGAAAUGACAUUGCAAUUGACAUUGCUUUCCGCAAUAUGACAAAUUAUUGGAGGGAUAUGGGAGAAUUGUCAAACGUUCACACACGCGAGAGCUUUAGGUGGGAUAGGGGAGGAUUGUCAAGAGUUCACACCACGAGAAACUAAUGAUAGGCCUAAUUUCGUUGUCAGUUCUUUAUUUAUUUAUUUUAUUUAUUUCAUACAUUAUUGUUUUUAUAAAGGUAUAAAAGUAAAGUAAAAUACCAGGGGUGCUGUUAAGUUACAACUUAUGUAACUUGCAAUUUUUUCAAAAAUAAUGUAAAAAAUUUAAUAGGUGGUGGGACCCACAUAUUUUUUAAGAGACUUAAGUUACAACAGUUGUAACUUAACAAAAUCUAAAUAUUAGACAAUAAUGCAUAUAAUUUGGGUUUGAUUUUUAAAAGAUUAUUUGAGUACCACCUAUCCUUAUGAUAUUAAUCUGAUUAUAUCUUAAUAUUAAAUAAUCAAAAUUUGUUUAAUUAUUAUUUGUAUUUCAUACAUUACAUAUUAGAUUUGUUUGAAUUUUAAGUUGUUGCUAAUAAAUAUUUAUGUUGUCAAAGUCAAAGUCAAUAGCUACAAAAGCAGAGAUAAUGGUAUUGUAUAUAGUUUUUAAGAAUGCAAGGAUAAGCUGGAUAAUUGACUUAAAUUCUAAUGAUUAAAAGAGCAACUAUCCCUUAAGUUAUAAUGUCAAUUUCUUUAAUUAGAAAUUUUUUUUUUCAUGUGAUAUAACCUCAAUUGCUACAAUUUUUUUUAUAAUAAUAAUGGGAGUUAUAAAUUAUUUAUAUAAAAUUUGGGUUGAAACUAAUGUAACCUAAAAGUGGUUGCUAAAUAACAAUAUUUGAAACUUUAAGUAAUUUUCAUGAGUCCUUUUUAUAUUCAGCAACUUGAAUUGGGGGAAAUCCGACUUGAAUUGGCGGUUGAUUUUGGUGAUGUGGCUUUUGGUUUACGCCGGCUUUACAGUGGCGGAAGACUGGAUUUACGGUUGCCGAAUGCUAGGGAUUAUGGUGGUGGUGUAAAUUGACGGAAAAAGAAGGUGUUUUGGUGGCGGCGCAUCUAGGAAGCACUCGUGGGUUGUCGUUUCGUGUGCUGACAACGGGCGGCGAUCAAGGGCUGAAGUUGGUUGGUUUUUGGUCAACGGAGGCCGGCGAGUUUGUUGGUGGAGGUGGUUGGUGGAGAAAGUGGCUGAAUGGUGGUGGGUUGCUUGGUGGAGCCGUGGGUUUGGGUUGGUGAUUUGCGGCUGUUGAGGCAGCGAUGACUGAGGCUUGGUCAACUGUGGCUAGUGAGGUUUGUGGUGGUGUUGGCUGGCUGAUCGGCGGUGGUGGGCGGCGGUGGAGGUUGAUGUGACGGGUUGGGUUUUCAAAUUUGUAAAUUUUGUUUUUUGAUGGAUUUGGUUUGGAUAGGUAUGGUGUAUCUAGGAAAGAUGUGCGAUUCGCACAUAAUCAUCUUGAUACCAAUUGAUGGAGCGAGGCGUAGCGGAAGCAGAAUUGAUAGGGUAAGAAACAUUAGAUAUUGUUCUAGUACUAGACCAAGCCAACGCGAUUAGUUCACGCUCUAAUCGAAGCAUGAUUAGAUAUCGUUAUAAUCCAAAUGACUCAAUGAGAUUUUUAAUAAUGCGUAAUACGAGAUUAGAUGACACUCUAAUCCAAACGACUCUACAAGAGAGAUUUUGAUAAAUAAUCCUAGAGAAAAUUAUAAAAGAGGGGUUUUAUUUAAUAAUUGAACUUGAAGUUAUGAAAAUAAUGACAAGACAUCUUUAUUUUUUUUAUUACAAAUAUCUUUAUUUAUAAUAGAAGAAACCCGCUUUCCUAAGUUAACCUAAAAAGAAAAUUUAAAUCAUAAUUAUAAUGGAAAUAAAAGAUUAAAAUACAUACCAUAAUUAACUCAAACUAAAAUAGAAAAUCAUAAAAUAAUAAAUAUUCUAGAAUUAUAAAUUAUCUAAAAUAACGUUAAUUAACUUCUUAAAUCACUUCUUUGGUGUUAACCAUUUUGCAUCCAACCUCGCUUUAAAGGUUUGAACCAACGUUACCAACAAUAAUGUAUCAAAUUCCAAUCUAACUUAAGAUCCUGAUACAUCUACCGAUGUCCUUGUUUGAUUAGACAAUAAUGAGUCUAUCUCAUCACUUGUUACCUCUUUCUUGAAGGCUGCAUCUGUUGAAGUGAUAGUCUCGUUUAGAGUUUAAAGAUCUUCUUCCAUGUUAAAUAAAAUGGGCAUUUGAUUAAAAAACUUUAUCUCUAUCUCCUUCUAUCAAAUAACGACAACUAUCCGAAGGGAAAAAAAAUUAGAAAAGUCCAUGGGUCACAAUAAUUUAUGGUCUGUUCCCGGACCCCAUUAUCUGCCACUAUCAAUGAUGAAAAUGAAAAUAAAUGGCAUCUUCCCAAAAUGGCAAAAGAUUUUUGGGGGAUAUGGGGGAAUUGUCAAAAGUUCACACAACGCGAAACAAGUGUUACAUCCAAUUUUAUUUCGUCAUAUAAUGAUAAUAUCAAAUAAUGACAACCAUCCAAAAGUAUGAUGGGUCUUCCACAAUUUUGAAAAUGUCGUCAACAUUUAAUCUUCAAUGCUAAAGAAGAUGAAAUGACCAAAAAUGACACGCAGGACCAACUUACAGACUAAAUGGCUCUGACCACAUGUAACAAACUUUGGCUUUAUGUCCUUGCUGAGGCGUUAGACUGUUGGUCAUUUUGAUUGCUUUUUACCUUCCAUUUACGCCAUUGUAGCAUUGUACUAUUCACCAUUUUAGCUGUUUAAAUGAAAUUGUUAUUUUUUUUUCCAAAAAUAAAAUGACACCCUUAAAAUUUUAGAAAAUAGCCAUGUAGAUCCCAAAUUUUUAAUAAAGAACACUAAUAUCAUUUUUGACUAUAGUACUCUUAGUAGAUGGUAACAAAAAAAAAUGACUGCAAAAGUUUUUACUAAAUGUAAAUAUGAUUUAAAUAGUUUAAAUUUUCUAGUAGACUAGUAUGUCUAAUUUAAAUAAUUAAUUUUUAAAAUGUAAUUUAAUAUAUUUAUUUUAAUAAUAUAUUUAUCAUAAAAAUUUUAAACAAAUCCUUGGGUUAAAUAGAUUUUAUAAUUAAUAUAAUAUUUCUCAUGUUUUAAUAAUAUUAAAAUUAUUUGAUAUGAUAUUGAAAAUAAUUAAAACUUUUAUAUAUUUAUUUGAAUAUUAUUUCUCUAUUUAUUAUAAUUUGGUUUAAUAGAAUACGAGAUUGUAAAAUAUUAAAAUAUUUUUAGGUAUUAAAAUUAUUUUAAUAUGUACAUAUUAUUAUAUUUAUUUUAAUAUCCUGCUUAUAUUUAUUAUAAAAUAUUAAAAUUAAUUUUUUUAGUUAAUAAAUUUAAAAAUAUAUAUUAUAAUUAAAAAAAGAGUCUUAUUGUCUGUUAUUUACGAUAUGAGGUUCUACAAAAUUAUUUUCAAAAGGAAAAAUAAGUCUAAGGGUUUCAACAAAUUCUAGUCCUAUCUGCCACUAUGACUAAUGGAAACGACAUUGCAAUUGACAUUGCUUUUUGUAAUAUGACAAAUUUUUGGAGGCAUAUGGGAGAAUCAUCAAAUGUUCACACUACGCGGGAGUUUUGGAUGGGAUCAGGGAGGAUUGUCAAGAGUUCACACCACGAGAAACCAAUGAUAGCCCUAAUUUCGCUGUCAGUUCUUUGUUUAUUUAUUUUAUUUAUUUCAUACAUUGUUGUCUUGUUGGCAUUGUUUUGUAAAAUAAAAGUAAAGUAAACUAUUAGGGUGCUGCUAGGUUAAGUUGUUGUAACUUACAGUCCCUUAAAAAAUAAUGUAAAAAAUUUAACAUGUGGUGGGAUCCACAUAUGUUUGAAGAGGCCGUAAGUUACAGUAGUUGUGACUUAGCAAAAUCCAAAUAUUAGACAAUAACGCACAUUAACAAUGCAUAUAAUUUGGGUUUUAUUUUUUUUUAAUUAUUUGAGUAUUAUCUAUCCUUAAGAUAUUAAUGUGAAUAUAAUUUAAUAUUAAAUAAUCAAAAUCUAUUUAAUCAUAAUAUAUAUUUCAUACAUUGCAUGUUUAAUCAAAAUCUGAUUGCUUUUUACCUUCUAUUUCGCCCACUGUAGCAUUCUACUAUUUACCAUUUUAGCUAUUUAAAUGAAAUUUAUUUUUUUUCCAAAAAUAAAAUGACACCCUUAAAAUUUUAGAAAAUAGUCAUGCAGACGCCAAAAUUUUAAUAAAGAACACCAAUACCCUUUUUGACUAUAGUACUCUUAUGGUAGCCACAAAAAAAAAAUGACUUCAAAUUUUUUUACUAAAUGUAAAUAUGAUUUAAAUAGUUUAAAUUUUCUAGUAGACUAGUAUGUAUAAUGUAAAUAAUUAAUUUUUAAAAUGUAAUUUAAUAUAUUUAUUAUAAAAAUUUUAAACAAAUCCUUGGGUUAAAUAGUUUUUAUAAUUAAUAUAAUAUUUCUCAUGUUUUAAUAAUAUUAAAAUUAUUUUAUAUGAUAUUGAAAAUUAUUUUAUAUGUAAAUCAUAUUUACAUUUAAUAGAAUACGAGAUUGUAAAAUAUUAAAAUAUUUUUUGGUAUUGAAAUUAUUUUAAUAUGUAUAUAUUAUUAUAUUUAUUUUGAUAUCCUACUUAUAUUUAUUAUAAAAUAUUAAAAUUAAUUUUUUUAGUUAAUAAUUUAAAAAAAAAUAUUAUAGUUAAAAAAAAAGAGUCUCAUUGUCCGUUAUUCACGAUAUGAGGUUCUACAAAAUUAUUUUCAAAAGGAAAAAUAAGUCCAGGGCUUUCAACAAAUUCUAGUCCUUCUGCCACUAUGACUAAUGGAGACGCAUUGAAUUGACAAUGCUUUUUGCAAUAUGACAAAUUUUUGGAGGGAUAUGAGAGAAUCGUCAAGCUUUCACACCAUGCGAGAGCUUUAGGUGGGAUAUGGGAGAAUUGUCAAGAGUUCACACCACGAGAAAUUAAUGACAAGCCUAAUUUCGUUGUCAGUUCUUUAUUUAUUUAUUUUAUUGAUUUCAUACAUUAUUGUCUUGUUGGUACUAUUUUGUAAAGAUAUAAAAGUACAAGUAAAAUAUUAGGGAAAGUAAAGUAAAAUAUUGGAGGUGAUGCUAAGUUACAGCUGCUAUAACUUACAGUUCCUUCAAAAAUAAUGUAAAAAAUUUAACACGUGGUGGGACCCACAUUAUGUUUGAAGAGGCCGUAAGUUAUAGCAGUUGUAAACUAGUAAAAUCCAAAUAUUAGACAAUAAUACACAUUAACAAUGCAUAUAAUUUGGGUUUGAUUUUUAAAAAAAUUAUAUGAGCAUUACCUAUCCUUAAGAUAUUAAUGAGAAUAUAUUUUAAUAUUAAAUAAUCAAAAUAUGUUUAAUCAUAAUAUGUAAUUCAUACAUUGCAUGUUAGAUUUGUUUGGAUUUUAAGUUGUUGCUAAUAAAUAUUUAUGUUGUGAAAGUCGAAUUCAAUAGCUACAAAAGCAGAGAUACUGGUAUUUUAUGUAGUUUUUAAGAAUACAAGAAUAAGACCAUAAUGCAUGAGAUAAUGGUAUUUUAUAUUAAAAGACCAUAACACAUGUAUUUGAGCCAUUUAUAUUGAGGACACAUAUAAAGCGAAGAGUGCAGAUCCGGCCGUAACUAUUGUGAAGCUUUCCUCAAGUAUUCUCAUGCACACAGCCCUUAUCUGGUCAAGUUCUCUGAUUCAAUAUAAUCAAUUUCCGAGUAGUACUGACGACAGCUUCUCUGUAAAGCUCUUCAACCACAAGCAUUUCUACAAGGCAAAAGACUAGGACGUAUUGGAAUGAAUAUCAAUAAGGGAAUGUCUUAUGAAUUUAGUUUAUAUCCUAAUAUAAGACAAUCAGUAAAUAUUGGAUGCAAUCUAAGGGCUAACAUUUGAUUGAUCAUUAUACGAAAAAAAAAAAAGGUGCAAAAAUACAAAACAUAGCUGAUUGAUGGCCUCUCACAGUCAGUUAUAUGACAAAGUAGCCACCACAACAAACUUUUUUUUUUGAACUGAUUAAGCAUCAGGUUACUGUAUUACACAUAGAGAUAUAUAUAACUGCUAUGACAGCAAGUCAUUAUACUGAUAUUUACAAUCAGAUAUAUACAUGAGACUUAUAUUAUUACAUUUUUAUUAUAUGAAGUACAUGCCCAUCCAAAUCUCCCUCACGGAGGAGGGAUGUCUCUACUCCACUCACAUUUCGCAAGGGAGAAAGACGUUAUAAGAAGUUUUCACCACAACAAACUUGAACUUGGGUGGAGGUCUCAUUAGUAGUAUACCUCAGAAAUUAAGACAAAGACUUUAAAAUGCAAACUUAUGGAGCAAUUUAAGCACUGAAACUAAUAACAGUACGGUAUUAGCAAUUGACCUCUGCUUUUGCUUAGACAAAGGUUUUCAUCACAAUGGACUCAUUAGUUGCCCUUGCCUCACACGUUUGGAUGCUAAGGGGAAAAAGGAAGCUUGAAUUAGUCAAUCUCAUUUCUAAUGGCAUUCACAGAGAACUUAUAAAACAAAAAAAAAAAAAAAUUAUAAAAAAAAAUUCAUCCAUAAAAAGCUUAGUAACGGAAAAAUCGACUCUUUUAUCUGCCACUGACGAAAAAAAAACUGAAGUAUUAAAUAGAUAAAGAAUUUAAUUUUUUUCUUGGAAAAACUAAUAAUAAAUUAACAAUUAGAUAAUACUAUUAAUUAGAGAUCUUUAAUAUUAAGGUUGUCAAAGAUAGAAUGUGUAUAAAAAUUCUUAAUUAUAAGAUAAUUACUAACUAAAAAGAGGCCUAAAAAAGAAGAUUUGCUAUUAUAAGUAAUACCAAAAAUAAAAAGGGAGACUUCCUAAUUGUGUAAUUGGUUAAAAAAGAGGAUUUGCUAUUAUAGGCCUAAUUUGCCUAUGCUUAAAACCGUUCCUGGAUGUAAAAAAAUAAAAAUUAUUGUUAAAUUCCUGACUAAUAAGGUCAUUGAAAGUAUUCAAAGGACCUGAACUUAUAGGAAAGCCAGCCAUGAUGAACUAUACCACGUUGCAAGUGAGCUCGUAUCUUCACCCCUUGAUCUGCCAUCGGCAUUUCUCUUCCACUCACUAUACCAUCCUUUUCAAUCGAUUUUUAUAGAUCAUAAGAGACCAUGUGGCCCACCUUAUUUUUAUUUUGGAUCCAUAACCCAAAGCUGGCCCAAGUUCUGAUUCCAGAAUCAUUUGUCUACAAAGUGACCUCAUUCCGGCAAUUGGUUUAUGCUAAUAGCACGUGCAAUUUUCAUUUUCUUCUUUUUAUUAAUUAAUUUCAUCAUUAUUAUUUGCUUAUUAUUUUAAAAUUAAAGCUAGCAUUUUUCAAAUUAAUUAAUUAAAUUGUAUUAAUGAAAUUAAUCUUUCAUUUUCUUUUCUCUUUCAAUGCACAAAGCCAAACAACCAUUCUCGCUUCAAAUACCGAAGAGCUCCUGACUACGGCUGUCAAUGCUUCUAUAUUUACGUGCUGUGCUGCAUCACUCUUAGCGAAAGCUUGAAUGAAUGAUUAAAGACAAAAGCUUAUAUAAAAGCAGAUGCCGGAGGCAGUCAAAAAGCAUUUGAGAGAGAAGCUAAACAGCAAAUCAUCAAACGCACUUCAAUGACUUUAUUUUGAUUUUGAUUUUUGUUUCGAAAGAAGUAGAAAAGUCCAUGGGUCACGAUAACUGCUUGUCCUAUGCCGUGACCUCAUUGUCCACCGCUAGUGUCAAAUAGAUUAAUCUUUCUAGUAGAUUAAUAUAAUUUAUAAUUUUAAUUUCAGUAUUAAUUUUUAAAAUGUUAGUUGUUAUAUUUAUUUUAAUAAUAUAUCUAUUUUUAGUAUAAAAAAUUUAAAUGUAUAUUUAGAUUAAAUAGAAUUUAUAAUUAAUAUAAUAUAUCUCAUGUAUUAAUGAUAUUUAAAUUAUUUUAUAUAAUAUUAAGCCUAACUUAGAAUUAUAUAUAUUUAUUUUAAUAUUAUGUUUCUAUAUAUUAUAUAAUAUUAAGCCUAACUUAGAAUUAUAUAUUAUGUUUCUGAGCCUCUCUCUAUAACACUAUAUAGAACCCUAAGCCUAAGUGUCACGGGAUGAGUGUUUUGCGCAGCUAACCCGUGCGGCACUUAGACAACUUUGCCGAAUGUUGCUAAGUAAGCCUAGAGAUUCUCGAACAAGAGAAGAGAGCAAUUGAGCCAAAGAAACUUGUAUUGCACAAAGAGAGAUUACAAUGCUUGUUGGAUACAAAUGCCUAAUGCCAUCCCAUAUUUAUAGGGGAGGCUUUGUCAAACUUGGCCUAACUUUGCCAAACUUUGCCAAACUCUAGAGUAUUCUACAAUUUCCUAGCUAUUUACAUGUGCUGGAAUUGUAUAAAGAAUUCUAGAAUAUUUACAUGUUCACAUGUGCUAGAGUUUCCUAGAACCUUCCGGAAUUGGGCCAAGCUAGCACUCUUGGCUUUGUGUUGGCUCUCUAGCUCGAAAUUGGGGCAAUUGGGCUAGCGAAUUGGGCGGUCCGCAACAACCUCCCCCACCUAUGCUCGCGGCGUCCUCGUCGCGCUCUCAUGCUUGAACCUCUGGAUGUGCUCAGCGAAUUGCCACAAACCAUCUUCACGUUCCCAAGUGGCUUCACUCUCGGGGAGGUUUUUCCAUUUCACCAAGUACUCGCUAUGUGCUGGCACGCCCCUCCUCGAAACCGUGCGGUCCGCAAUGAUGUAGUCCACAUCUUUGUCGAAUGCGGUGACAACGGCAGUUGGUGCGCGCCUUGAUUCUCCGCGACCUGGUUCUCCCAUGUCUUCGUGAUAUGGCUUGAGAAGGCUCACAUGGAAGACCGGAUGGAUCUUGAGUCUUGGCGGAAGUUGGAGUUGAUACGAGACGUUGCCCACACGUCGAACAACUCGGAAGGGUCCCUCGUAGCGCCUCACUAACCCCUUGUGAACUUUCCGCAAUGUCUUGAAUUGUUGGGGUAGGAGCUUGAUCAUGACUUGAUCUCCUUCCUUGUACUCAACAUGCCGUCUCCUUGUAUCCGCCCAUUUCUUCAUUUUCCUCGCGGCUUUGUCGAGGUAGGCUCGCGUGAUGUCCGCUUCCUCAUGCCAUUCGCGGGCGAGCUUGUGUGCCGCGGGGCUUUUCCCUCCGUAAGUCGAGGCUAUGGCAUUGGGAGUCAUUGGCUGGAAUCCCAUGAUGAUCUCGAACGGACUCUUGCCCGUAGCCUCGCUUCGCUGCAAGUUAUAAGAAAAUUGGGCGAUGUCGAGUAGCUUCGCCCAAUCCCGCUGGUGAGCGCUCACAUAAUGCCUCAGAUACAUCUCGAGGAGGCCGUUAAUGCGCUCGGUCUGCCCAUCCGUUUGUGGGUGGAAGCUUGUCGAGAACUUGAGAUCGGUCCCCAACAUCUUAAAGAGUUCCGUCCAAAACCGCCCAGUGAACCAAGGGUCUCGGUCGCUCACAAUGCUCUUCGGAACUCCCCAAAGCUUCACAAUGUGCUUGACAAAUAGGCGGGCUGCCUCAUCCGCUUUGCAAUCCACUGGUGCGGCAAUGAAUGUGGCGUACUUGCUGUGUCGGUCGACAAUGACCAUGAUGCUUCCGCAACCUUCGGACUUGGGCAGCGAUGUGAUGAAGUCCAUGGAGACACUUUCCCAUGGCCUUGUUGCUAGUGGUAGCGGCUCCAACAAUCCCGCUGGAAGUUGAUGAUCCACCUUGUCUUGUUGGCACACAAGACAAGUUCGCACAUAUGCCUCGAUGUCGUCCCUCAUGUGCGGCCAAAAAUACGAGGCUUGAACUAGUGCGGUGGUGCGCUCGAUUCCUGGGUGACCAGCCCACUUGGAGUCGUGGCACUCCUUGAUAACUUCCUUCCGCAAAUUUCCCCACCUUGGCACAAACAGCCGAUCUCCCUUGGUGAGGAGGAUGCCUUCCUCUUGCCAAAAUCGCCUUGUCUUCCCUUCGAGCACCUUCUCCAGCAAAUCCUUUGUUAGCGGGUCUUGUUGGAGGCCUUCCUUGAUGCGUGAGACAAGGUCGGACUUCGGUUGGCUCAUGCUAAGUGUUGCCAAUUCCGCCUUGCGGCUUAGAGCGUCCGCAACGACAUUGGCUUUCCCCGGUUUGUACUCUAGCCGAUAGUCGAAUUCCGCAAGGAAAUCUUGCCACCGUGUUUGCUUCGGACUCAACUUCUUUUGAGUUUGAAAGUAGCUUGUCGCCACGUUGUCCGUUAUGAUCGUGAAGUGUGAGCCAAGCAAGUAAUGUCGCCACACUCUUAGACAAUGGAUGAUGGCUGUCAUCUCCUUUUCUUGCACCGUGUAGCGGCGUUCCGUAUCAUUUAGCUUUCGACUCUCGAACGCUAUUGGGUGGCCUUCUUGCAUAAGGACUCCACCUAUGGCGAAAUCCGAGGCAUCUGUUUGAACUUCGAAGGGCUUGGUGUGGUCCGGAAGAGCGAGGACUGGUUCCUCCGAAAUUGCCUUCUUCAACUCCUCGAAUGGACGUUGGCACUCUUCGGAUCAAUGCCACGUUCUGUUUUUCUUGAGCAUAUCCGUCAAGGGUGCCGCCUUGGCUGAAUAGCCCUUGAUGAAAUGGCGGUAGUAAUUCACCAACCCAAGGAACGAGCGAAGCUCGGGUACUUUCGAGGGAGGCUCCCAAUCGAGGAUGGCCUCUACUUUGUCAUUCUCCAUCAUGAUCUUCCCGCCCGCAAUCUUAUGGCCAAGGAACUCCACCUCUUGUUGGGCAAACGAGCACUUCUCUAGUUUGAGGAAGAGCUCAUUGUCUUGAAGUACUUGGAGGACUUUUUGCAAGUGUUGGGCAUGAUCCUCGAGUGUGGUGCUAUACACCACGAUGUCGUCCAAGUACACGACCACGAAGCGGUCGAGGAAUGGUUGGAGUACCUUGUUCAUGAGUGUGCAAAAUGUGGCGGGUGCAUUAGUAAGGCCAAAAGGCAUCACAAGGAAUUCGAAAGACCCGUACCUUGUUGUGCACGCUGUCUUUGGUUCGUCUCCCUUGGCGAUGCGCACUUGGUAGUACCCGGAGCGCAAGUCAAGUUUGGUGAAGUACCGCGCUUUGCCAAGCUGGUCGAACAAGUCCGCAAUCAAUGGAAUCGGAUACUUGUUCUUGAUGGUGAUCUUGUUGAGCGCUCUAUAGUCGAUGCACAUCCGCAGCGAUCCAUCCUUUUUCUUUUGGAAGAGGACCGGUGCACCGAAUGGGGCCUUUGAGGGGCGAACGUAGCCUGCGUCCAGCAAGUCUUUGAGCUGUCUCCGCAACUCCUCUAAUUCGGGUGGCGCCAUGCGGUAGGGCGCCAAGGCUGGUGGCUUCGCGCCUUGUUCUAGCUCAAUCGCAUGAUCUACCUCUCGCGGAGGUGGGAGCUUCUUCGGAAGUUCUGGAGGCAUCACGUCCUUGUACUCAUUGAGGACGGCUUGAAUUCGCGGAGGGACUUGGCUUGGCGACGUUCCGCUAUUUCCUUCCUCGUUUAGUUCCCGAAUGGAGACCAAGAAGCUUGGGUCCUUCUUGAAAGCCCUCUUGAAUUGCAUGGCGGAGAGUUUCUUCUCCUCGGACUUGCCUCGUUCGGUGGGUACCAUGCAUGCUUUGCUCCCAUCGAGGAUGCUUAGGGAGUUUGUAGCGGGCAGCGGGAAGGCAUGGACUUGGUCGAAGAAUUCCAUGCCAAGGACCAUCUUGAAGUCAUCCAUGGGCACAAUGGAGAAAUCAAGCUUUCCGCUCCAUGUACCGAGUGUGAUGUGCACGCCUUGUGCAAUUCCCGCAAUUGGUUUGGCGGGUGAGUUUACUGCCUUCAUUGUGCCUCCUUCCUUGGUGGCCUUGAGGCCUAAACGCUUGGCCUCGUCUACGGACACGAAAUUGUGUGUUGCUCCCGUGUCUAGCAGCGCGCGAACAGACUGGCCGUUUACCUUUGCGCUAACAUACAUGAGCCCUUUCUUGGCUAGUGCGGGCUGUUGGCGGUUGAGUGCCCCGAGGCGUUGGAGAGAACCCAUGCUGAGUUGGGGUUCCUCCGUGGACAUUGUGGGGUUGCUCUUGAGUUGGGCAGCAAGAACAUUAAGCGACCGCUUCUCCGGACAGUCGCGUACCCAAUUUGGACCGUUGCAUAUGAAGCAUGGGCUUCGCGGCUUUGGCGCCUCCUUCUUGCCCUCCGAUUUUCCUUGCCAACUCUUGUUGCUAGACGGCUUUUUCUGCCCCCAAUCUUUGCGGUUGUUACCCUUGUCCUUGCGACUCUCUCCCCCACCUUUGCCUUGGUUGGCCUUUUUGUCCUUGGAUUGGGUAGAGUAUUCGGUGAGCGACUCCGCAACGGCGAUGGCGUCGUCAAGUGUUUGAACACCACGCCUAUCAAGCUCGGUCUUGGCCCAAUCCUUGAGGCCAUCUUGGAAGUAGAAGAGUGAAUCUUUGUCGGACAUGUCACUUAUCUCCAACAUGAGGGUAGAGAACUCGUUAAUGUAGUCCCGAAUGCUACCCGAUUGCUUGAGGCGACGUAAGCGCGCUCGCGCUUCCUUCUCUGCAUUGCUUGGGGUGAACUGCUUUCGGAGUUCUUGCUUGAAGUCGGCCCAAGUGUCGAUGGUGCAAAUGCCCUUGCCCAUCUCGCCAUGCUUGCGACGCCACCAUAGUUGUGCAGCGCCUCUAAGAUAGGUGGGUGCAGUGCCCACUUUCGAUGCCUCAUCUCGUACACCCAUGGCAUCGAAGUAUUGAUCCAGCCCGAACAGGAAGUUGUCCACGAUUGUGGCAUUGCGUGUGCCAUCGUAGGUGUCGGGCUUUGGCACAUCAAUGCGGCGCGCAUCACUCGAGUUUGCGGAAGCUGGACUUGCGGAGAGUGUGCGCUUGUGCCAUGCCCAAUCCGAGCGGACUUCAUCCACUUCCGCACGGACAGCACGUAGUUCGUCCUGAACAAAACUACGAAGUUUUAGCAACUCAUCAUGGAAAGAAUGAAACUCACCUCGGAGAAUGUUCGCUUGCUCAUGCAUGAGAGCUUUUGUGGCCACCGUGAACUCGGCGUAUUCUCCCUCGAGAUUGUCCACUCUUCUCUCUAAUCCCUCAAGGCUAUCUUGAGUGGCGGACAAGGCUAUUUCGAGAGUGCCUACACGAGGCUCCAAAGCAUCCACGGAUGGGGCCUUGGACUUGCCGCGAUUCUUGCCUUGGGCGCGUUCUCCCUCUCGGCCGCGGCUUGGUUCUGGUGGAACAUCCACACCAACAAAACCCUCUUGUGCUACGUUUGAAGGGUUGGCCAUUGCUUUGUGAGCUAAUUUGCGUGCGUGCAAACCUUAGCUCUGAUACCACUUGUCACGGGAUGAGUGUUUUGCGCAGCUAACCCGUGCGGCACUUAGACAACUUUGCCGAAUGUUGCUAAGUAAGCCUAGAGAUUCUCGAACAAGAGAAGAGAGCAAUUGAGCCAAAGAAACUUGUAUUGCACAAAGAGAGAUUACAAUGCUUGUUGGAUACAAAUGCCUAAUGCCAUCCCAUAUUUAUAGGGGAGGCUUUGUCAAACUUGGCCUAACUUUGCCAAACUUUGCCAAACUCUAGAGUAUUCUACAAUUUCCUAGCUAUUUACAUGUGCUGGAAUUGUAUAAAGAAUUCUAGAAUAUUUACAUGUUCACAUGUGCUAGAGUUUCCUAGAACCUUCCGGAAUUGGGCCAAGCUAGCACUCUUGGCUUUGUGUUGGCUCUCUAGCCCGAAAUUGAGGCAAUUGGGCUAGCGAAUUGGGCAGUCCGCAACAUAAGUCUCACAUUCGCAACCGCCCCACAUAUCAGAACCACAGCGAACUGCCUCCGACCCUUCGGACCCAAAAAAAUGAUUGUAUUCCUGCUCUUUCACUUUAAUAAUUUUUUGUAUUAUUCCAUAUCUUUCACUUUAAUAACCCAAAAGCUUUCCUCUGUUUCAACCCAAAAGCUCAAAUUCCUUUUUUCAAUCGAAAAUUGUGUUUGCCUAAUUUUUUAACCAUUUUUAUAUGUCCGUUAAACUUGACAGCCAAUGUGGUCUAUUCGCUAAACAGAGUAAACGAUAACAAUCAAUGGAAAUUGAAACAAAACCCACCAAUCAACAAAACAGAAUAGCCGAGGAAUCCAAUUUCAGGAAACAGCAGUUUCAAAACUCACCAGAGACAAAUGAUAAAACGAAGCUACGCCGUUCCUCGAUCGGUGAUAACUGGCUACAAGGUUUCUUCGCAUUCGUUGGCCUAAUUUUUUAACCAUUUUUAUAUGUCCGUUAUGCUUGACAGCCAAUGUGGUCUAUUCGCUAAACAGAGUAAACGAUAACAAUCAAUGGAAAUUGAAACAAAACCCACCAAUCAACAAUGUGGUCUAUUCGCUAAAUGGUUAAAAAAUCUAACCUUUGUUCACAAUAAUUGUAUUUGCCUCACUGUUUUUGUUUUAUGAGAUCUAUAAUUGAUCUUGGGAUAUUACUUUCUAGUUCUCAUGCAAGCAAGUUACUACCUUCCCACUGCAUCUCCUCCUUUAUCUGCUAUUCAAGAGUUGCGUGCCAUAAUCUGGUGUUACCUCUGCAAGAUUGUGAAUGAAUAUAACGCCUCUAAAUUUAUUUUAUACAUAAUGCUGAUGCUGAAUAAUAUAUUGUAGCUCCUGUCAUAUUCUACUUUGACUUUUUAUAUUCUGUUUCAUAUAAAAAUCUUAUUCAACUUUAGUUGUUCAUGAGCAAAUGUCACAUGUAUAAGCCCAAAUGAUGUUUAAAGGUAGCGCGGCUACCUUUAGUUUGAGCUGACAAUGGAUGAAAAAGAUAUUGAAACUGAUAUUUUGCUGUUUUUCUGAUUUUUCAAAGUAUUUUAGAUCCUGACUUUUGUUAAGUUGUUUCCAACACCUCGUGCCAAAUGAAAGCACAAUCUUUCUGAUUCAGAUGUCUUGUUAAUUAUGCUUCAUUUUUUCAUUAAAGAUUGGAUGGUUACAUGGAUUGAUGGAGUUGGAGUUCAACCAAUAAUUCUAAUUUUUUGGACUUAAAAUGCCUUUUUCUUCUGUAUAAAAACUUUAGUAAGUGCUAUUGAGUUGACAGAAGUUGCAUACUUACAGGUUGUUUCACACUUUUUAGUAGUUUUACAUAUAUGAAUUUCUGUUUUUUGAAUUGCAGAAAGGAGGUGGAACUAUUGAUUUGGAGCCUUAUCUUACUCACUCAUCGACAACGGAGCCUACCCUCACUCCCAUGGCAGUGGAACGGACAACGACUACUAGGGCUGCAACAUCAGUUGGUUUGGGUCUGUUUUGGGUUUAUUGUCAUUUAUUUGGGUAUGUUUUGAUAGCGAAUUUUGAUAUGUCAAUAGAAUGUGUAAUUGUUUUGGGUUGAGCUGGUAAUUAUGCUGGAUUAGAUUGGUUUGGUUUUGGUGCUUCUCUGAUGGAACACUGCUUUUUUUAGAAAUUUUGAAUGUAAUAUGAGACUACAUUUAGUUUAAUUGAACACUGCAUCUAGUCUAAUUACUAGAAGUGUGGCAUUUGGUUUGGUUUAUCCGAUAUUCUCCAGAAUUUCACUUGCAUCUGGUUUUGUUGCAUAUGUUUGUUUGCUUGCAUUUGAUGGCAGUAGCAGACUGUUUGUUUUUGUGACAUUUGAUGGCAGUUUGGUCUGUUCUUGGUGUUGAUUUAAGAUUCUUCCUGUUGUGCUGAUGUUAAUUGCAGGUGCUUGAAUCAGCUAGGGUUGCUGGUUUAUUCAGAUGGUUGACUCAGGCGUUGCUACUGGUUAAUUCAGGUGGCUGACUCAAGUUGUUCAUUUAAUGUUAGGAAGCAAAUUAGGAAUUAAUGAAGUAUUCAUUUAACUAUAAUUAUUGUAGUUAUUUUAUUUCAUAACUGAAUUAUAAUCUAUGAUACUUGUGAACAAAUUAGAGAAUUUUUAUAUAUGAAUUAUAUAUAUGUGUGUGUAUGUACAUUUUGCUAUUUAUAUAAUAAUUUAAAGAAUAUAUUUCAAUUCCCACAAAAAAAAGGCUCCAAUUUCAAUAAUUCCCGCCAAAUAAUUAAAUUUUUUUAAUUUACCACCAAAAUAUAUCUUAAGUUAUUCUUGCUAGAUUUAACAAAAAUAAUUUGUAGGAUUAACAUUUAAUUAAAAUAAUUAAAUAAUUUUAUUAUUCCAAUUAAAUAUGUCAUGCUUAUACGACAGACAAUAAUCAUGAAUGGGAAGUAUUAGUAACAUAUUCUUCCUUGGGAUUUCAGGCAAAUGAAAAAAAGAUUGAGAAUGAUUUCAAGAGGACAGGUGGAUGAUAAAUAUUCAUUUUUGUAUAUUUGGCUAAUGUCCUCAUUAGUGGAUUUUUAUGGUAUUGAUCUUUUUCUUUUUUUAAAAAAAUUUUCAAUUAGUUGCAGCCCUAGAGGAAGAGCAGGCUGAUCAAAUUGAUUUGUCUUGUUUUUCGGGCAAUCUACGACACGAUGACCGUGAUAAUGCUCGUGACUGCUGGAAACUUUCUGAUGGAAAUAACUUUAGAGUUCGUAGCAAGCAUUUUUGUUAUGACAAAACAAAGGUUCCCCCAUAUUUUGUUUGUUUGUUAUGGUAUUUAUAUAUCCUGCAUAGGCUAGGUAGACAGGUUAUGAUGUAGUUUGGUUGGCUCUUCUUGUGCUUUGUGCAAUUUGUAACUGCAGAUACCUGUGGUAAAACAUUUAAUGGAUCUUGUUGCUGUUGAUUGGUUCAAAGACACAAAGAGAAUGGACCAUGUAGCUAGGCGUCAAGGCUGUGCUGCACAAGUAACUAUUCUUUUCUUUUUAUUUAAAAAAAUAAAACACAUUGCCAACAAGGAUCUCUUCAUUGAACAUGUGUCUAGUUCUGAUAAGCUAGCUGAUGUGCUUACCAAACCUCUGAGUUUUGAUCAUUUUGCCUAUAUGCAAACUAAGGUCAAUGUCUGCCCAUGACCUUGAGCUUACGGGGGCAUUUUAAGAAUAACAUAUGCUGAGUCAUCAAGCCAUGCUGGAAGUCAGUUUUGCAGUUAGUUAGAGAGCUUAUCAGCUUCCCUCCAAAAGUUUGUUAUGUGUAUUAGAAUCUGGGCUCACGAGUUUUGUGAGAUUGUAACCUUGAGAAGAUUCUCACACUACUAUAAAUUGUAUUGUGACUCAAUUAAUAAAAUAAGUUGAAGCUUUGCAUUUUCUCUCAGUCAAAAUUUUCUCUCUAUUUUUCUAAGUAACCAAACAAGAUCUACAGAGCAUUUUGUAUUUUAACUGGAGCGGCUGAUUGGUGCUGUACGUGUUACAUUUUUACUUUUUUAACUCAAGUCUGCUGUUGUCCCAAAGUUGGAACUAGAGAUAUCAUUUCACCUCAACUGUGUUUUUUUUUUAAUUAAAAAAAUCAUUUGUUUUAGGUAUACAUACAUGUAUUUUAAUUCUAUUUUCCUUGUAAUUUCUCCUUUACUUUGAAUGAAAGUCAUUGGUGUUUUCGAAUGGGAAUUUUGCAUUAAAAAAUUAAGAAUAGUUAAUAGGAAAUUUCCUGAUUCUUUAGUUACUAUUUUUGGUAUGAGUGUAAUUAGUAGUAAAGUUGGUUUCUACUCGCAAACAAGUGAACUGCUCGAUUCCCAAGUGCUAUUAACCAGUUUCCAACUUUUUAAUAUACACUAAUUGUUCCUGUUUAAUAGCUACUACUAUUAAAACUCAACAGCUAACAAAAAUACUAAAAAAAAAUGAUUUUUUCUUAUGAUGCUGUGAAAAAAAUUACGGGUUUACUUAUUUCCACGAGAUCUUGUAUAGUGUUCUUGUAUAGUGGAAUUAAGAUUGUCUUCCCGAUGGUGCAAUUCACCCUCUUCCUUUACAGUCACUUGCACUUUGUGCAGCUUUGGUGUGGAUAAGAUUCCCAGGGAAAAAGUCUUCAUGUUCGGACAAUGUGUCACAAAUACUCGUUCCAAUGAUGGGAAUUCAAGAGUGUAAUUCUCCAAACAAAAGCUGGUAAGCCUUGGUAAAUCAUCAAGUUCCAAAAGUUUUAAUUCUUUGAAAGCAAUACGAUUCUCCUUCGUUUCUUCUCCAGCAUGUCCUACGAUUUGUUCUAAUUUUUUGCAGUUCCAUACAUAAAGAUUCACCAGACUAGUAGGAAUUCCAACCUGAAAAUAAGCAGAGAGUGUGUGUGUGUGUUAAAAAAGUAAAAAUGUAAGAGUGUCAUUCAACUAAGCUCAAAGUAUGUUUGAUAAUACAAUUAUACGUUUUAUGAACAUAACAAACUGUGAAAUGUCUACUAGAUAUUUUUUGUUAAACAAAAAACGUAACAAGAUAAAUAAAUAAAUAAAUAAAAGCCAGAUAAACAAAGAUGAUAAAAAUGUAUUUACACUAUUUAGUAUUAGGGACGUAGAAAGAAUUUAAGGCAAUUUCUAAAUAUUUUAGACUUAUUUUGCAUCUUGAUAUAAGUUUUUAAGCAUAAAUUUGCACAUUUCAACUAUUCCUUUAAAAAGAACUCAACUAAAAUGCCUCUUUUUCCCUUUUCCUUGGUCCCCUUUUUUUUAUAUAUAUAUAAAAAUGGAAAAAAAAAUUUGGAAAAGACUUCUUAGUACUGUCAACAAGGGAUUGCUGUAAAGUGGAUCUUUAUUAAGUACUUCCAGACUCGAGGAAAUUUCUUUACAAUCUCAAAAAAAUAGUAAACAAUCAUGAAUUUGUGGUUAAUUAAUGGCAUAAUCAAUUCUUAACUAAACUGGAGAUAUUAAUUAAAUUUGAAGACUUUUUUUUUCCGAUCGAAAUGUGAAGAACUAUGGAACAGAGAAAUAUAUAGAUGAAUUUGUGAACUUAUAAGAUGAGUGACUAUCCUUUAAUUUUUGAAAAUCGUACUUAUUAAGAUAUGAGCAAAAACAAUUAAAUUGAAUUAUAUUAUGCUGUUGAAUCUGUUUAAAAAAAUUAUAUUGUUGAUUCUAAUGCUGGUGAACCUAAAAACUAGACUUAAAACGUAGAUUUCAGAGUGGUGGUUUGAAGUACAAUAUUUGAAAUAAAUAAUUAGUGGCUGAAUAUCAUUUGUAAACACAGAAAUGAUUAAAAAAUUGUUGAAUGUUAUUUGAAAAAAAAAAUCGAAAUGAAUACAGAAACCUUACCAAUGGAGGAAAAAUAUUCAUUAGGUUAUCACACUCUUCUAUCUCCAAAUUCUUCAAUUUCCUGAAAGACUCUGAAGCAAGCUGGUGGUGCCAUAUUGUUCUUAGGUUAUCCAUCCACGCAAUAUAUAAUACCUCCAACCUAGGAAGUCGUACCUGGCAGUUAAAGAUUAAAUAACUAAUUAAUCAAUUAAUGGCAUAAUCAAUUGAUAACUAAAUUAGAGGCGGAUAUUAACUAAAUUUGAAGACUCAAGGAAAAGACAAAUCAAGUAUUGUGACUAAAAUUAUUUUUUUAAUUAAAAAAAAAACCUUUUCAUCAAAGAGAGGAGGAGGUUGCAUUUCAGAAUGAAUGGUAUCUUCUGGUGAGCUCGUAGAGAUGAAUCUUAACAUAUUACUGCAACAACCAAUCAUGAGGUUUAGCAAAGAAGGGAAUUCAACAACUAAAUCUGUAUGAAUAUGUCCCAUAUUGGCAAAGCUACUUAGUCUUGGAAGCCAUUCUAGCUGCAGGGAGUGUAGCUUAGGAAAAACCUUUAAUUCAAUCAACUUUCCUUCAUCUCUUUCUGACCAUCCCGUGGUGUCGACUACCCCUUCCAUUGACUCACAAUAGCUUAUCUCAAGAUGUUGGAGUUGCAAAAGGCUAUUAACCAUAGAAUAUGAAAACAGAUACUUCAGACGAUAACACCUUUCCACAGUCACUUUUGUUAAAUUUUGACAACAGUACAUUCUUUGAUUAUGAUCGGCCCAUAAUUUUUUCAUGUUUCUUAAGUCCCUGAGAUUCAAUUCCUCUAAGCUCGGAAGAAUAACCUGCAAAGAAAACCCGUACAUUUUUGUUCCUUCAAGUACAACCGUCUAGUAUAAUAUUCUUUUGAUGAUCGAAGAUUAAUCGUGAUAAUAAAUUAAUCAAUUAAUUAUUGAACAGAAAAUUAUCACCUUUGGAGCAGGAUCAUCAUCAGCAAUGAGUUCCUUGAAUCCCAAAGAAGUUGUUGGUUUGUCCAUGUCGGGUCCUAUAAACAAACAAAAACAAUAUACAUAAUUAAUCUUUGUCGUUGUCUUUUUUUUAAAAAAAUAAUUGAGGCGAAGUCCAUAAAUCCACCAACACUUAAUUUCAACACUUACCAACAAUCAUUUCCAGAUCAUCGCAAAAAAACACUUCUACCUUUUGAAGCCGCAGUAGGUUUUUGGCCAUGGAGAAUGAGAAAAGAUGCUUCAAUUCGUGACAGUCUGAUACUUUUAUAAUCCUUAAGUUGCUGAAAGAUUGAUCUUCUGUGAGUUGGAUGUCACAUAUUGUCUCCAAAUUGAUCAAACGACGAAGAGACAAUGACUCCAGCAAGGGGAAGACUUUGCGACGAACCCGUCCAACUGAACAGACAAUAUGCAAAAUCUCAGAACAACUUUUUACAGAAAGAUGCUUCAAUCGUGGAAAACCUUCCCCAUCAUCUAAUUCAUGAACAACAUUCUGAACACCCUUCAGUUCUCCUAGAUAGAGAUAUUCAGUUCUCUUCAACAACAGUUUCAUCCUGUAAUUCUGCAAAAGAAUGCCAAACUUUUCUAGCCCCUGGAGCUUCAUCAAUCUUGAUAAUCCAGUUUUAACGGACCAGCUGCUCCACCACUUAUUUCCUAUACAUAUCUUAUAGCUUUGCAAUUCCACAGAGACCAAAUCCUGCGGUAGAAUUUCGGCAUCCCGAACGUGUAUCUCCAAAGUAGUUAGCUUUGACAACCCCUUCAACUCAACAAGACUGGCGUUACUUCCUCCUUCAACCUUCUCCCACAGUGAAAAGCUGUUACCAAUAUAUAGUUCUUCUAAUCGAGAUAAUUUUGAUAUGACAUUUGGAGCUAUCACCACAAGGCUGCUACAAUUGCUCAAAUCUAGCAACUGUAAUCUCGUCAAUUGUCCAAUUACAAGUGGCAACUCCUUAACAUCAGAAUCUCGGAAGCUGAGAAUCUCUAAUUUCCUUAGCUGUCCAAUUAUAGUUAUAUCGUUCAGUCGGCAACCAUCUAAACAUAAUGUUUGAACGUUAAUGAGGCAACCAAGUGAUGAAGGUAAUGAAGAGAAAAAUAUUCCAGUAAAAUCUAAAACUUUGAGUUCUUCUGUCCCUUCAAAAAAGAGGUCUGAAAUUUGCAAAGAGCUAUCACGCUUUGAAAACAACAAAAGAACUCGAGACGGGGACAUUCCAACCUUUCGGGAAGCUCUUGAAUAUCUCUAUAAGGUAAAGAAAUAGCUAUUGGACCUUCCCGUAUUGUCUCUUCCAUCUUUUUCUCCACGUAGGCAACAUUUGGAAUAUUAAACAUGAGCUCCUCUUCUGCAAUUGAUACAGUAACAGCAUGAAUGAUGUCAUGCAUUUUAACUUCAUCUUCGGCAUCACUGUCCAACAAUAAGCACGAAGAUUUGAGUUUGCCGAUCAACGUAUGCACUCUACUCCUUGCUUCUUCCAGUGUGUAAACGUUUUUAAAAUAGCCCAUACCCAUACCAUAUCUCAAUAAGUCAGAAACAUGUAUACCACGACCUUCAUUAUAUAGACCACAAAGAAGGAACAGAGAUUUUGCUUCCUUACUUCCCAGUAAGUCGUAACUCAAUUUUAUGGAGAUGUACACAUUUCUUUCCAUUCCAUCAAUUUCUUUUGCAUUGGAACUUCUUAGCUGACGCAGCACAUCCUUCCAAGUGUCAAGCCUCUCAUUUUUCAAAGCUUUUGCAAGUGUAAUCAGUGCAACAGGCAAUCCUCCGCAUUUUUCAACGAUCUCAUCUGCUAAAGGUUGAAAAGCAGAUGCUUUUGCAGAAUUACACACUAUCUUUCCAAACAAUUGCAAUGCUUCUUCCUUUGAUAAAACUUCAAUUGAGAAAUCCUUCUGAGAUUUCAUAUCAUUGCGCAAUAAAUCUCGACUUCUAGACGUCAAUAUUAUUGUGCGUCUUCUCCGAUCGUCCUCUCUAUCUUUCUCAUCAACAUCCCCAUAAGGAAUUCCAACUGUAUCGAACUCAAGUUUUGUCCAAAUAUUAUCCAGUAUAAUGAGGAGCCGCUUCUCUUGCUUCAACCUUUGACACAGUCGAGAAGCUCUUUGAAAUUCAUUCUCAUUCAAGUCAAAUUCCAUGCCUAAAUCAAAAGCAAGUUUGUCUUGAAUUUUAUGAUGAUCUGGGGUCUGUGUUAUCUCAGCCAUAACGAACUUAUCGAACAACUUAUCUUCCAUCACUUGGUUUGCAACUUGUUUGACCAGCGUGGUUUUGCCCACGCCGCCCAUCCCAUAGACCCCAAUUAUGUUGACUUUGUCAUCCUUCACCGCCUCCACAACAUCUUGAAAUACUUUCAUUCUUGAAUCAAACGCCUCGAAAUCUUUCACUUGCAUAUGUUCUGCCCGCUUUGGAGCAGGACGGUAGGAAACAUUGGAGAAGUUGCCUUUUCCCACGAGACUAGCGGCAGCUUCUGCCGCCUUUGCUGCUUGUUUACUAAGCUUGUAACGAGAAAUCAAGUUUGGGCAUAAUCCUUUGAAGCAGGACUUCUUAGCUCUAUCUUCAUCAUCAAUGACGGAUUUUGCAACCCCUUCACUGAUGAAUUCAUUAACGCUAUGUAGCCAGUCUGUGACACCCUCAUAAAGCUCAUCCCCUUGUAGCCUAGCAUGAUUAACUGGUUGCUGCACCAUUUCUCUCUUAUAUCCCAGCUGCUUCACUUGAACUUUUAGCUCAUCUAUGUAGCUCUGGUACUUGAACACAUAAGAUAUCUGCCGUGUAAUCGGGUUGAACAGUGACUUUGCACCUUCUGAUACACAGUUGGUUAAAAAAGCGAGACACGCUUCUAUAGCCAUUGCCUGUUGCUUAACAAUAUAUAUCUAGUUUUUUGGCUGUUGAAAAAAAAAAAUGGAUUCAAAUAAAUUAAAUGAACUAGCGGGGAAGAAAAAGAAAGAAACGACAACAAACAACUUUUUAGAAAAAGGUUUCAGGGGCCUGAAUGGAAAACCAACAAUUUUUUGAGGAAAGAAAACUUUUUUGGAAGAUGGAUGCAAAUUAACCAUUAAUAAUACUGCAUAAGAACACAGAAGUUGACAAUAAACAGUAACUUAAAACUCAAGAAAAUUAAAUGACAAGAUUAAGACAAACAAGAGAUAGUUUUUGUCGGACAUUAAGAAACAACUGCUAUCAAGAUCAAAGAUUAGAAAUUAUGCUAUUGAAAGAAAUUAUUAAAGUAUUUAGAACAAACGCACCUCUUCAAUUAUCUAGGAUCACGGAGUUUAUGAGCUUCACUCUUGGCCUUCGAUUUAUAAGAAAAAAUUUAAUGAGCAAAAGAUCACUGUUGACUGCAGAAGAAUGUGAGUAAGCAAUACAAUUGAAUUGUAAAAGAACAAGACUUAAAGCGUGCACCCCGUGUUCAUAUAAACAGAACACAUGUUCAUUUUUAACAAAGUGAUCAAUAACUAUAUUCGUUAUUUAAUUGAUAUUGUAACCAAUUCUAAGAGAAUAUAAUAAUAAUCAUUCAAUCCAUAAAUUUAGAAUUAGAUUUUUUUAACUCUUUAUUUAAAUAUAAACCUUAAUGGAAAAUUAUAAAAGUUUAGAGAUAAAAUUUUUCAAUCACCAAACGAAAAAAACAGGGGAAUGAAAACAGAGGAAUCUUGUUUUAACUAUUUUUUUUUCCUCAACUCUUGUUCUUAUAUUAAUAAUCUUGUUUUGAUGAUAGUGCUCGUGACUGCGGGAAAAUUUGUACUGGAAACAACUCAAUUUCGGAAGAAAACUUAAUUUUGCAAGUGAUGAAUUUGAACUCGUUGGAUUGGUUGAUUUAUGAUUGACUGAAUUUCACUUUUGCCCAAAAGAUCUUUAACCAAAGUUUAAUAGCCAUCAUGUACUCCUUAAAAGCAAUUUUUUUUUUUAGAUUUGACUGAAUUUGAACUUGUUGGAUUGGUUGUUUUUAGAUUAUUAAUAUGAGAUAUUACAACGUAAAUAUUUUCAUGUGGUUGAGCCCUAUUCUAAAAUCUGUAUAGUUAGCUUUAGAAAAAGGGCUUUUCCUGCUGAUCUGUAAUCUUCAAAUAAACUUAGAUACAAAUAAUGAAAUAAAAGACAACAAACACGCNNNNNNNNNNNNNNNNNNNNNNNNNNNNNNNNNNNNNNNNNNNNNNNNNNNNNNNNNNNNNNNNNNNNNNNNNNNNNNNNNNNNNNNNNNNNNNNNNNNNNNNNNNNNNNNNNNNNNNNNNNNNNNNNNNNNNNNNNNNNNNNNNNNNNNNNNNNNNNNNNNNNNNNNNNNNNNNNNNNNNNNNNNNNNNNNNNNNNNNNNNNNNNNNNNNNNNNNNNNNNNNNNNNNNNNNNNNNNNNNNNNNNNNNNNNNNNNNNNNNNNNNNNNNNNNNNNNNNNNNNNNNNNNNNNNNNNNNNNNNNNNNNNNNNNNNNNNNNNNNNNNNNNNNNNNNNNNNNNNNNNNNNNNNNNNNNNNNNNNNNNNNNNNNNNNNNNNNNNNNNNNNNNNNNNNNNNNNNNNNNNNNNNNNNNNNNNNNNNNNNNNNNNNNNNNNNNNNNNNNNNNNNNNNNNNNNNNNNNNNNNNNNNNNNNNNNNNNNNNNNNNNNNNNNNNNNNNNNNNNNNNNNNNNNNNNNNNNNNNNNNNNNNNNNNNNNNNNNNNNNNNNNNNNNNNNNNNNNNNNNNNNNNNNNNNNNNNNNNNNNNNNNNNNNNNNNNNNNNNNNNNNNNNNNNNNNNNNNNNNNNNNNNNNNNNNNNNNNNNNNNNNNNNNNNNNNNNNNNNNNNNNNNNNNNNNNNNNNNNNNNNNNNNNNNNNNNNNNNNNNNNNNNNNNNNNNNNNNNNNNNNNNNNNNNNNNNNNNNNNNNNNNNNNNNNNNNNNNNNNNNNNNNNNNNNNNNNNNNNNNNNNNNNNNNNNNNNNNNNNNNNNNNNNNNNNNNNNNNNNNNNNNNNNNNNNNNNNNNNNNNNNNNNNNNNNNNNNNNNNNNNNNNNNNNNNNNNNNNNNNNNNNNNNNNNNNNNNNNNNNNNNNNNNNNNNNNNNNNNNNNNNNNNNNNNNNNNNNNNNNNNNNNNNNNNNNNNNNNNNNNNNNNNNNNNNNNNNNNNNNNNNNNNNNNNNNNNNNNNNNNNNNNNNNNNNNNNNNNNNNNNNNNNNNNNNNNNNNNNNNNNNNNNNNNNNNNNNNNNNNNNNNNNNNNNNNNNNNNNNNNNNNNNNNNNNNNNNNNNNNNNNNNNNNNNNNNNNNNNNNNNNNNNNNNNNNNNNNNNNNNNNNNNNNNNNNNNNNNNNNNNNNNNNNNNNNNNNNNNNNNNNNNNNNNNNNNNNNNNNNNNNNNNNNNNNNNNNNNNNNNNNNNNNNNNNNNNNNNNNNNNNNNNNNNNNNNNNNNNNNNNNNNNNNNNNNNNNNNNNNNNNNNNNNNNNNNNNNNNNNNNNNNNNNNNNNNNNNNNNNNNNNNNNNNNNNNNNNNNNNNNNNNNNNNNNNNNNNNNNNNNNNNNNNNNNNNNNNNNNNNNNNNNNNNNNNNNNNNNNNNNNNNNNNNNNNNNNNNNNNNNNNNNNNNNNNNNNNNNNNNNNNNNNNNNUAAACUUUUUUUUGGGGGGGGGGGGGGGGAGCAUGCAAAUUUACCAAAAGAAAUAAUAAGAGCACAGGCUUUAACAAUGAAUAGUAACUUAAAACUCAUGCAAAAUAAGUUACAAUAUGAAAACAAACCAGAGAAAAUUUUUUCUUGGAAAGUAGAUGGAACUUAAGAAAGAGCAGAUGUCAAGAUCAAGGAUCAGGGAUUCUACUAUUAAAAAAAAAAAAAAAUUAUUCAAGGAUUUAGAAAACGUGCACCUCUUUAAUUAUCUGGGAUUAGAGAGUUGGUGAGCUUCUCUAUUUGGCCUUCAAUAUUUAAGAACAAGUUGAAAGAGGAAAAAGAUCACUGGUAACUGCUGAGGAAUGUGUGAGAAAAGAGUUGAUGAGAGCAAUAACAAUGACCUGCAAAAGAAAAAGAAUUAGUCACGCACCGCUUUUCUAUAUCAUGUAUUUGGUUAUUGUUGCCCUGUUGACGCAUGUUGAAGAAGAAAGCACUAGUACACAACUCUAUGUUUUCAUAUAUUCUAAAGAAAUAAUUAAGUUUUCAUAGAAUAAUACCUGUUGUGUUUGAAUAAUUUGGUAUCUACAUUGCUUGUGUACUGUGAAAUUGAAAUGAAUAUUGAUUGACAGAGCAAUGUAUAUACCUAAUAAAACAUAAAGCAAAUCCUUGAACGAAUGAUUCGGGACUAAAACUUUUAUAAAAGCAAAUACCGGAAACACACAAAAAGCAUUUAAGAUAGAAACUAAACAGCAAAUAAUCGAAGUAAGAUCAAUAAUAUAUGAUUUGAUUUAUGCAUAUUCAAAAACCAAAAUUUAAAAUAAAAUAAAAAAUAAAGUUUGAUUUAUUCUUUCCACAAAAAACAGGGGAGUGAAAACAGAGGCAGCUUGUUUUACCAAUUUUUUCUUCUUAAUUUCCGGCAAAAAAAAAAAUUCAAUAAACAGGGGAAUGAAAACAAAGGAACGAAAACAGAGGAAACUUGCUUUUCAGGCUAUCUUGUGACAUGAUGAUAUUGCUCGUGAAUGCAUGAAAAUUUCUAAUGCAAACAGCUCAAUUUGGGAUGAUAAGCUUAAGUUUGCAAGUGAUGCAAGUAAAUAAGUUUUUGCGGUUAAUUGAAUCUUUAAUACUCUGGGCCCUAUUCUAAAAUUUGUAGGUUGCUUCAGAAGAAAGGGCGGUUCUCACUCAUCUUUAAUCUCCAAGUAAAAUUAGAUACAAAGCAAAUCUAAUAAAAUGACAAACAAACAAACAAAACAAAGAAAAGACAGGAGGCAAACAACAUUGAUCUUAAGCCAACUGAUAUUUAAACAGAGAAUUCUUUUCUUUUAUUUUUUUAACCACCUUUUGCUCAAGGAUUAGAGUUUUUAUAUUAACAGAAAGGUUUCAGGGGUCUGAAUAAAAGCCCACAAUUUCUCUAAUUGUUUUUUUUUUUUUUUUUUUGGGAAAAAUGGAUGCAAAUUAUCCAAAGCUAAUAAUAAGAACACAGACAUUACAAAUGAACAAUAACUUAAAACUCAAGCAAAAUAAAUGACAAGAUGAAAACAAACAAGAUAAAUUUUUUCUUGGAAAUUAGAUGGAAAUUAAGGACUGCUAGUAAAAGAUAUUAUUAGAUGAUUUAGAACAUGUGUACCUCUUUAAUUGUCUGGGAUCAAAGAAUUGAUGAGCUUCUCCAUUCGCAUUGAAUAUUAAGUAAGAACGGGUAUUCAAAGAAAUUAUUAGGAAAAAUUUUAAUGAGUAAAAGAUCACUGUUAACUGCAGACGAAUGUCCUAGUAAAAUGUUGAUUUGUGUAAUAACAAUGAAUUGCAAAAGAAGAAAACUUAAUCAUGCACCCCUUUUAUACCCGAGUUUUAAGAUUUAAUUUUUGAAGUUCAGAAUCAAGACCAAAAGCCGAAGCUUUAACAAGGCAUGCAGUGAGAUACAAGAAAUGGAUCGGGUAAAAUACUUUAAAAAAUGUUGUUCAACUCAAUUAACUUGAAGAAAGCACUAAUUUCAUAUGUUCUAAUGAAAUAAUCAAGUUAAAAGUUUUCAACGAAUAAAUACCUGUUGCGCUUGAAUAAUUUUGGCAUAUACAUUACUUGUAUCCUGUGAAAUUGAAAAGAAUAUUGAUAUGCAGAGCUUAUUAGUAGAGAGAAAGCUUUGUAAGAUGCCUGAUAAAAGAGAAACCAAAAGCUUGAAUGAGGAAUGACAUCUUAGAAAGAAACUAAACAUCAAAGUAGGAUCAAUAAUGACUUGAUUUAUGCUUUUUUGUUAUUUCAUUUGUUCUGUCAACAAAUGAUGCCUCGUUAUUACGAGUUCCAACCUGGACGUUAUGCACAAAUUGUUUUUAUGUUUAACAGAAAAAAAUGAAAGCAGGUCACCAUACAAAAUUGCAUGAACAAAUCUUCAAUUUAAUGAUUAUAAAAUAAAAUAAAUUUUAUUAAUAGAUUAUGGGUAUGUUAACGUUAGGGAUUUGAUCAGAUGAUCAUAUGAUUUACUAAACGCUUUAACAAGAACAAGAAAAAGAAUUAAUGGGUUAAAAAAAAUUUAAAAAUAAAAUAAGAGAGAAGUAAAGAACUUAUUUGCAAUUACCAAACUGAAAAAAUGCGAAAUGAAAACAAGGGAGCCCUGUUUUUCCUCACAUUUUUUUUCUCUCUUUUUCAAGUGGUGAGAAUGAUAGCAGAAAAUGCGAGCUCACUAUUUUCAUUUGUUGGCCUAAAAGCCUUCCUCCAAGAGAUGCAUAAAUUUUAUUUGUACAUUUGUUCCAUUUUAAGUACACAUUGUUGCAUGCAUUUUGAACUGUAUUAUCAAUCCUUUUUGUUUUCAGUUGGUUAGUUCAUAAUAACAAAUGAAUUAUAUUAUUUUGCAUGGAUCGAAAUUUAACUUUCCCUCUUUAUUUGUCCCACAACUAAAUAGUCUCAUCUUUUGUAGUAAGCUCGCAGUACGUACGGGGAACUACUGUAUGGGUGCUUUAGCCUAAAAUGAAGAUCUAUUAAAAAUUUCCCUAAUAUCAUGAUAUUAAACAUUAAAUAAUAUCAACAUUUUGACUUCCAUUUUGUUUUUUGGAUGGAGGAUGUUCCAUCUUCUAUUUUAGGUGCUUUGUAAGACUUUUAAUUGAACAAUUGAUGCAAUCAGUAACAAAGGCUUUACUUACAUAUGCAAGUAAAAUUUGCAGGUUGCUUCAGAAGAACGGGCAGUUCUCACUCAUCUUUAAUCUCCAAGUAAAAUUAGAUACAAAGCAAAUCUAAUAAAAUGACAAACAAACAAACAAAACAAAGAAAAGACAGGAGGCAAACAACAUUGAUCUUAAGCCAACUGAUAAUUAAACAGAGAAUUCUUUUUUUUUUUAACCUUUUGCUCAAGGAUUAGAGUUUUUACAUUAACAGAAAGGUUUCAGGGGUCUGAAUAAAAGCCCACAAUUUCUCUAUUUUAUUUUUAUUUUUAUUUUUUGAAAGGAGCUUCACUAUUGGCCUUGAACAUAUAAGAAUAAGCAAAAGAUCAAUGUCAACUGCAAAGGAAUGUGAGUAUGUCAAAGUCAUGGGCGGUUUGGCACCAUUAACAUAUUUCAAAAUGGCCACCCUAAUUGAAGGAAAUUAAAGGCCAAGUAGAUGCCGCCCAAGGAAAGAAACAAAAGAGAAUGAAGAAAAAGAAGAAAGAGAGAAGAAAAAGAGAUGUCGGGCCGAAGAAGGAAAAGAAAAGAAAAAUUAAUAAAAUAAUAAUAAUAAUUAAAUAUUAAACAAAUAGUAGCUAAUUUUGGCUAUAAAACCGCUAGCUCCCUUCAUUUGUAAAUCAUCUAGUUCUUCAGUUCUUUUCUUUAUUUAGAGAGCGAUUUUAAGAGUCUAGUGAUUUGAGAGUUUAGGUGUAUUGGGAUUUUGGGUAGUGAGCUAAAAUACCACAAUACUUGUAACUUCUUUUCACUAGUAAAAUACUUUCCUUCUGUUUUCACCUGUGAACGUAGGCUAAAAGCUGAACCACGUAAUUUCUUGUGUCUAUUUUUUGUACUUGUUCUUUAUUUUCUUCCAAUUUCACUUUAGCUGCGUGUUUGCUUCACUCACCAAUUUUGUAAUAGUGAAUCAGAGCUAUUAGUUGUAUUUUUUGGAGUCGGGUACUGUUCACGUAAGGGGUACUAUUCACGUAUAUGGCACUGUUCACGUAUACGGUACUAUUCACGUAAAACGAUGGGAGGAUCCAAGAAUUUUGCGGUGCAAAGCAGGGAAUAGUGGUGUGAGUAAAACAACUGUGUGGUUUUGUACAUGUCUAGGAAAGUUCUAUCACAAAGGCGAUAAGAGCUUAAGGAGUCUGGGUUUUAAGUGGGACCAUUGUGACCCCUCCAAUGUUUCCUGGGAACUUUCUUGGUGUGCAUUCUCACACAUACUCACAACUAUUCAAGGUGGUACACUUGCUUGUGUGCGGUAUUUAUCAAUAAAAUGGCGGCAAAGUAUGAAAUUGAGAAAUUUAACGGAAACAAUUUUUCAUUGUGGAAAAUGAAGAUGAAAGCUGUAUUGAGAAAAAAUAAUUGCUUAGCAGUAAUUGGAGAAAGGCUUUUGGAGAUAACUGAUGACAAGUGGAACGAGAUAGAUGGCAACACCAUUUCUGAUCUACACUUGGCACUUGCAGAUGGAGUAUUAUCUAGUGUGGCAGAGAAAAAUACAGCGAAGGAAAUAUGGGAUACUCUCACAAAAUUGUAUGAGGCUAAGUCACUACACAGCAAAAUCUUCUUAAAGAGGAAACUUUAUACUCUUCGAAUGGUGGAAUCUACAAUGGUGAUCGACCACAUCAACACCUUGAAGACUCUAUUUUCACAACUCACAACGUUGGGUCAUAAUAUAGAGGAGAAUAAACAUGUAGAGCUUGUACUUCAAAGUCUACCAAAUUCGUAUGAUCAACUCAUCAUCAACCUAACGAACAACAAUCCAGCGGAUAGUCUAGUUUUCGACGAUGUUGCAGCUUUCCUAUUAAAUGAGGAGAGCAGGCGAAAAAAUAAGAAAAACAGACAAGCAAUUUCGCAGCAAGCGGCGGUGCUAUCGGUGACGAGAGGGAGAUCAACGGAACGUGGCCCUAGUGGGAGUCAAAAUCAUAGUAAAUCAAAAUCCAGAAGUAAGAAGAAUGUUAAAUGCUACAACUGUGGCAAGAAAGGACACGUCAAGAAAGAGUAUUGGAGUAACUAGAAGAGAAAAGAGGAUAAAGAACCUGAGUCAUCAAAUGCUCAGGGGUGUGUAGCAAGUACCUCAGAUGAUAGCGAAAUUCUUUACACUGGGGCAAUAACUAUUUCAGAAGGCAGAAAACGACUAUCUAAUGUCUGGCUUAUAGACUCAGGAGCUACCUGGCACAUGACGGAGAGAAUGGUUCUAGACAUAUGAACCUAUCUCAGGAGGAUCUGUAUAUAUGUGAGAUGAUCAUGCCUUGGAGAUCGCUGGUAUUGGUACUAUCAAAAUAAAAAUAUUUGAUGGUACAAUUCGCACAAUUGGGGAGGUACGACAUGUCAAUGACCUGAAGAAAAAUCUAUUGUCUUUGGGACAAAUAGGCAGUUAUGGGUGCAAAACUCAUGUGGAGAAUGGAAUUAUGAAGAUUGUUAAAGGAGAGCUUGUAUUGAUGAAGGCAGAAAAGAUCGGUGCUAAUCUAUUCAUGCUUAAAGGAGAGUCACUACAGGAGGCUGAUGCGUGUGUCGCAUCAAAUGGAGAAGAGUUAAUGAUGAUGUGACAUCUCAAACUUGGCCACAUGUCGGAACAUUGUUUGAAGAUUCUCUCUGAGCGAAAAUUACUUCCAGGGCUUAAAUCGGUAAGUUUACCUUUUUGCGAGCAUUGUGUUACCAGUAAGCAGCAUAGAUUAAAAUUUAGUAGAUCUAUUCUAGAAGUAAAUAUAUUCUAGACUUGAUUCAUUCUGAUGUUUGGAAAUCACCGGAUAUAUCCAUGGGAGGUGCAAAGUACAUGGCGACUUUCAUUGAUAAUUAUUCCAGAAGAUGUUGUGUGUAUCUAAUUAAGAAAAAGUUAGAUGUAUUUCCAGUGUUUAAAGAAUACAAAGCGCGGGUGAAACUUGAAUCUGGUAAAAAGAUUAAGUGCUUGAGGACGGAUAAUGGUGGAGAGUAUACAGACGGCGAGUUUCUUGCUUUCUGUAAGCAAGAAGGUAUUUAGAGACAGUUCACCAUAGCAUACACUCCUCAACAAAACGGAGUGGCGGAGCGGAUGAACAGAACUCUUACAGAAAGAAUAAGAGCUAUGUUGAGGACUGCUGGUCUACCUAAUUCAUUCUGGGCAGAAGCAGCCAAAACUGCUUGUUAUAUAGUAAAUCGGUUGCCAUCUACAGCUAUUAGGCUAAAGACAACGAUGGAGAUGUGGACUGGAAAGCCAACUGAUUAUUCCUACCUACAUGCAUUUAAAUGUCCUGUGUACGUGAUGUACAAUGCCCAAGAAAGAACAAAGCUGGAUCCAAAAUCUAGAAUAUGUAUCUUCUUGAGAUAUGCUGAUGGAAUAAAGGGGUAUCGUCUGUGGGACCCCACUGCCCACAAGAUCGUUAUCAGCAGAGAUGUUAUCUUCAUAGAAGAUCAACUGCAAAGGAAAGAUGAAGAUGAUAGUAGUGUAAAAGAAAAGUCAGAGACUAUACCGGUAUAUGUGGAAAAUAAUCCAUAAGAUUCAGAUUCUUCUGAAGCAGAACCAGAGCACGAGCAACAAAAACCAGUCGAGUCUGAGGCUCCAGAAGUUCGUCGGUCAACUCGUGAGAGACGACCGCCAAUGUGGCACUCGGAGUAUGUUACAGAGAUCAACGUUGCAUACUGUCUUCUAAUAGAGGAUAGAGAGCCUUUAACUUUCCAUCAAGCUUUAGAAAGCUCAGAUGUUGCUUUGUGGAUGACAGCAAUGCAGGAAGAAAUAAAGCUCUACAUAAUAACAAGACAUGAGAACUUGUACCACUACCACGUGGAAGAAAAGCCAUUGGAAACAAAUGGGUCUACAAAAUCAAACGUGAAGGCAAUGACCAAGUAGAGCGGUGUCGUGCGAGAUUGGUGGUGAAAGGAUAUGCUCAGAAAGAAGGUAUUGACUUCAACGAGAUAUUUUCGCCGGUGGUUUGCCUCACGACGGUCAGAGUAGUCUUGGCAAUGUGUGCUACAUUUGACCUACAUUUAGAGCAGUUAGAUGUGAAAACUACAUUUCUUCAUGGAGAACUUGAAGAAGAAAUAUAUAUGCUCCAACCAGAAGGUUUUGCAGAAACAGGAAAAGAGAACUUGGUUUGCAGGUUGAACAAAUCUUUAUUCGGUCUCAAACAGGCGCUGAGGUGUUGGUAUAAGAGAUUUGAUUCCUUUAUCAUGAGCCUUGGAUACAACAGACUCAGUUCAUACCAUUGUGCAUAUUAUAAAAGGUUUGCAGAUAAUGAUUUCAUUAUUUUACUAUUGUAUGUGGAUGACAUGUUGGUAGCAGGCCCUAACAAAGAUCGAAUCCAAGAAUUGAAGGCACAGUUGGCUAGGGAGUUUGAAAUGAAGGACUUGGGACCAGCAAACAAGAUUUUAGGAAUGCAAAUUCACCGAGACAUAAAUAACAGGAAGAUUUGGCUUUAGCAGAAGAAUUACUUGAAGAAAAUCUUGUGGCGCUUCAACAUGCAAGAUUGUAAGUCAAUUUCUACCCCACUUCCUGUUAAUUUCAAAUUAUCCUCAAGUAUGUGUCCUAGCAAUGAAGCAGAGAGGAAGGAGAUGUCUCGAGUACCGUAUGCAUCAGUAGUGGGAAGUUUAAUGUUCGCUAUGAUAUGUACUAGACCAGACAUUGCACAAGUAGUGGGAGCAGUCAGUCGAUACAUGGCGAAUCCCGGUGGAGAGCAUUGGAUAGUUGUGAAGAGGAUUCUGAGAUACAUCAAAGGAACCUCAGAUGUUGCAUUAUGUUACGUAGGAUCAGAGUUUACUGUCAAGGGCUAUGUGGAUUCAGAUUUUGCAGGAGAUCUUGAUAAAAGAAAAUCCACUACUAGUUAUGUGUUUACACUUGCGGGAGCAGCUGUAAGCUGGGUUUCGAAACUGCAGACUGUUGUGGCUUUAUCUACAAUAGAAGCAUAAUACAUGGCAGCUACACAAGCUUGCGAGGAAGCUAUUUGGAUACAAAGAUUAUUGGAGGAGCUCGGGCACAAACAAGAGAAAAAUUAUGUGUUUUGUGACAGUCAGAGUGUCUUUCACAUUGCAAGAAAUCCAGCCUUUUAUUCCAAGACAAAGCAUAUAGGAGUUCAGUAUCACUUCGUUCGAGAAGUAGUGGAAGAUGGAAAUAUGGAUUUACAGAAAAUCCAUACGAAGGAGAACCUAGCAGAUGUUUUGACUAAGCCGAUAAAUGCUGACAAGUUUAUCUGGAGUAGAUCUUCUUGUGGCCUAGCAGAAACGUAGGCAACAUGAUUAUGGCGAAGCAGAAAGGAUGUUGUGGACAUUGAUUGAUUCUCAAUCUAAUCUCCAGGUGGGAGAAUGUCAAAGUCAUGGGCGGUUUAGCAUCAUUAACAUAUUUCAAAAUGGCCACCCAAAUUGAAGGAAAUUAAAGGCCAAGUAGAUGCCGCCCAAGGAAAGAAACAAAAGAAAAAGAAGAAAAAGAAGAAAGAGAGAAGAAAAAGAGAUGUCAGGUCGAAGAAGGAAAAGAAAAGAAAAAUUAAUAAAAUAAUAAUAAUAAUUAAAUAUUAAAUGAACGGUAGCUAAUUUUGGCUAUAAAACCGCUGGCUCCCUUCAUUUGUAAAUCAUCGAGUUCUUCAGUUCUUUUCUUUAUUUAAAGAGUGAUUUUAAGAGUCUAGUGAUUUGAGAGUUUGGGUGUAUUGGGAUUUUGGGUAGUAAGCUAAAAUACCACAAUACUUGUAAAUCAUUUUCACUAGUAAAAUAUUUUCCUCAUGUUUUCGCCCGUGGACGUAGGCUAAAAGUCGAACCACGUAAUUUCUUGUGUCCAUUUUUUGUGCUUGUUCUUUAUUUUUUUUCCAAUUUCACUUUAUCUGCAUGUCUGCUUCACCCACCAAGUUCCUAACAGAGUAAAGAUUUCAUCAGAGUAAGUAAUACAAAUGAAUUGUAAAAGAACAAGACUUAAGCGUGCACCCCGUGUUUUGUUUUAUUCGUAUAAACAUAACAUGUUCAUUUUUAACAAAGUGGUCAAUAACUCUAUUCGCUAUGAAAAUGAUAUUGUACCCAAUUUUAAGAGAGCAUAACAAUAACCAUUCAAUGCAUAAAUUUAGAAUUUUUUUUUUGUAAUUCUUUAUUUAAAUAUAAACGUCGAUGGAAAAUUAUAAAAAUUUAGAUAUGAAAUUUUAAGUCACCAGACAAAAAAAAAAAAAAAAAAAAGGGGAACAGAAAUAGAGGAAUCUUGCUUUACCUUUUUUUUUUUUUCCUUUAACUCUUGUUCUUAUAUAAAUAAUCUUGUUUUGAUGAUUGUAACUCGUGACUGCGGGAAAUUUUCUAAUGGAAACAACUAAUUUCGGAAGAUAAGCUUAAUUACGCAAGUGAUGAAUUUGUUCAAUUGACUCUGUACUUGAACUAGUUGGAUUGGUUGAUUGAUGAUUGACUAAAUUUGAAUUAAGUUUAAUAGCUAUGAUGUGCUCCUUAAAAGCAAACGUAAAUCUUUUUUAGAUUUGACUGAAUUUGGGAACCUGUUGGAUUGAUUGUUUUUAGAUCAUUAAUAUCGGUUACUACAACGUAAAUAUUUUAUUGUGGUUGAGUCCUAUUCUCAAAUCAGUAGGUUGCCUUAGAAAAAGGGCUUUUCUCACUGAUCUUUUUUUUUUCUUUAAUUCACACGCACUUGAUUAUUGACUUCUUUCAUGAAGAAAUAAACUUGUAAUGACUUAAAGAUUUAAUUUCAAGUUAGAAUCAAUACCAAAAGACGGAGGUUUAACAAAGCCGUUUAGUGUGAUAAAAGUACUUUAAAAAAUGUUGUUCGACCCAAUUAAGUUGAAGAAAUAACAAAGUUUUCAUGGAAUAAAUACCGGUUGUGCUUUAAUGAUUUUGGCAUAGACAUUGCUUGUGUACUGUGAAAUCGAAAUGAAUUACUGUGAAAUUGAAAUGAAUAUUAAGUGACAGCGCGAUGUAUAUGCCUAAUAAAAGAUCAGCAAAAGCUUGGAUGAAUGAUUGAGGACCAAAACUUUUAUAAAAGCAUUUUUGAGAGAAACUAAACACCAAAUUAUCAAAGUAAGAUCAACAGUAUAUGAUUUGAUUUAUACAUAUUCAAAAACAAAAUAAUGAUUAAUAAUAAAGUUUGAUUUUGUAUUGCCAACGAUGCUUUUUUGUUGUUUCAUUUGUUCGACGUGGCCUUAUUUACAAAUUGGUUUAUGUUAACAGAAACAUAAAAUUCACAUCACACAAAAUUCCACGAACAAAUAUUAAGAGAACGUAAUAAUAAUCACUCAAUGCAUAAGGGUAAAUUUAGAAUUACAUAUUCUUUUUUAUUUAAUAAAAUCCCAACGGGAAGUCAUAAAAAUUUAGAUAUAAAAUUUUCAAUCACCAAACAAAAAAACAGGGGGAAUGAAAACACAGAAAACUUAUUUUAACUUUUUUUUCAUCUAACUCUUGUUCUUAUAUAAUAUUUUCCCUAGUAUUUCAGGCAAAAAAAAAAAAUCAAUAGAGAGCAAGUUGCUCAAAUUGAUUUAUCUUGUUUUUCAGGCAAUCUUGUGAUAUGAUGAUAAAGCUCAUGAAUGCUAGAAAACUUCUAAUGCAAACAACUCUAUUUGGGAUGAUAAGCUUAAUUUUACAAGCGAUAAAUAUAAAUAACUUUUUGUGGUUAAUUGAAUUUGUAAUUACUCUUAGCCCUAUUCUAAAAUUUGUAGGCUGCUUCAGAAAAGAAAAAAAAAAAUUCUUACUCAUCUUUAAUCUUCAAGUAAAAAGCAAAUCUAAUAAAAUGAAAAACAAACAAACAAGUAAAAGACAGCAAACAAACAACAUUUAACCAACUGAUAUUUAAACAAGGAAUUCUUUCUUCUUCCUUUUUCUUCCCCCCCCCCCCCCCCCCCCCGGGGCUCAUGGAUUAGAGUUUUUGCUAUUAACUGAAAGGUUUCAAGGGUCUGAAUAAAAUCCCAGACUUUUUUUUUUAAUUAACCAAAGCCAUAUAAUAAGAUCACAGACUUUAACAAUGAACAAUAAUUUGAAACUCAAGCAAAACCAAUGACAAGAUUAAAACAAACCAGAGAAAUUUUUUCUUGGAAAGUAGAUGAAAACUAAGUAAGAACUGCUAUUAAAGGAUAUUAUUAAAGGAUUUAGAACAUGUAUACCUCUUUAUUUAUAUGGGAUCAGAGAGUCGAUGACCUCCUCUAUUCGCUUCGGAUAUUAAGUAAGAACUGCUAUCAAAAGAAUGAAUUGAUGAGAGAAAUAACAGUGAAUUGCAAAAGAGGAAGACUUAAUCACGUACCCCUAUUAUACCCGAUUUUUAAGAUUUAAUUUUGAAGUCCAGAAUCAAGACAAAAGACGAAGCCUUAAAAAAUAUGCAGUGAGAAUAAUUAAGUUGAAGAAAGCACUAGUUUAUGGCUCAGUGUUUCAUAUGCUGUAAUGAAAUAAUUAAGUUGAAGUUUUUAACGAAUAAAUACAUGUUGUGCUAGAAUAAUUUUAGAAGAAUAUUGGCUUAUAGAGCAUAUUAGUAGGGAUAAGAUAGAAUAAAUGAAAUAAUAAAAAGCAUAACUGAUCAAGUCAUUAUUGAUCUUACUUUGAUUAUUACAUUGCACAUUAGUUUCUUUCUAAAAAUGUCAUUCUUCAUUCAAGCUUUUGCUUUAUCUUUUAUCAGGCAUCCUACUGUUGAUGCCCAAAUCUGAUCUAGUCUAUUAGUGACUUAAUAUCAGACUUCUACACUAGCAUUAGAUUUAUUUGGUAGAGAAUCGAUUGGUCAAUUGUCAAGAUGUCCUGCAACCACUAGCGAUUAACCUGCGAAUACCUGAAAUCAUAGAAGACGGUCAGAGGCGCUGGAAGUUUUUCCGGCGUGAACCCUCUAACGCUCAAGUCAGUUUCUGGGCCUUUGCCAAAAAACUUGUGCCACCACUCAUAUGGCUUAAUAAACAUUAACUUAAAAACCAAAAGCUUUUUGAGUAACUUGCAGAAAAAUGAAAUAGAGUGUAAAAGAAAGGAUUUUCCAUGAGAAGAAGAGAGAAAAAGAUGCCUUACAGACCCCGAAAAAAUAAAUAAAUCCUCCUUUUAAGGUCACGCCCCACUCCCCUCUUUUCCCCUUUGUUCUCCUCCACUUACGGAAGUUAAGGAUGAGUAAAAGUAAUGCCUCUACUCUCCAUUUUUUUCUCCUUUUUCCGUUACCAAACACUAGUCCCCCAGUUUCUAGUGUUGAGAGUUUUAACGAAUCAAGACUGGAAACUAUAUGAAUUUUAAAGUGACCUUGAUGUGGUUGGCAUAAAUCGGCUCGGGAUUGCUAAAAUUAACCUUACUAUUUGCAAAAAAUUUCAAGUUUUAAACUUUUACAUGCCUUUAAAUAUACCAUUUUCCUACUUGCAUAAUCAUGUAAAGCAGGUUUCAUAAGUUCACGUAUUUAUCUCACCUAAAGUAGGUUUUGAGACUUAGUCAUUUAUCUGCUUUAGAAUAUUUUUCACUCAUAUAACUCUUGCUCGCCUAAUCUUGGUCGGGCAAGAGCAGGCAAACUUUGACUUCAUCUCACUGCGAGGAGGUUUAAAGACUGUAAGCCUUUUACUUGAAGUACCCUUUGUUUUUUUUUUUUUUAACUUUCUGCUCGCCUUCACAUGGUUGAGCAGAUUCUGGCAAGCUUGAUUUCUUAUCUCGCCAUCGAGCAGACUUUGAGACUUUAAAGUCUUUUGUGUGCCUUAGAAACUUUCUUGGGAUUUUUGUUCUCUGCUCGCCUUUACAUGGUCGAGCAGAUUCUGGCGAGCUUGGCUUCCUGUCUCGCCAUCAAGGAGGCUUUGCGACUUUGGAGCCUUUGCUUGCCUUAGAAACUUUUUUGGAACUUUUGUGGUCUGCUCGCCUUCGCUUAGUCGAGCAGAUCCUGGCAUGCUUGGCUUCCUGUCUUGCCAUAAAAUAGGCUUUGAGACUUUGGAGCCUUUGCUUGCCUUAGAAACUUUUUUGGAAUUCUCAUUUUUUGCUCGCCUUCACAUGGUCGAGCAGAUUCUGGCGAGCUUGGCUUCCUGUCUCGCCAUUGAGGAGGCUUUGAGACUUUGAAGCCUUUGCUUGCCUUAGAAACUUUUUUGGAACUUUUGUGGUCUGCUCGCCUUCGCUUGGUCGAGCAGAUCCUGGCAUGCUUGGCUUCCUGUCUCGCCAUAAAAUAGGCUUUGAGGCUUUGGAGCCUUUGCUUGCCUUAGAAACUUUUUUGGAACUUUUGUGGUCUGCUCGCCUUCGCUUGGUCGAGCAGAUCCUGGUAUGCUUGGCUUCCUGUCUCACCAUAAAACAGGCUUUGAGACUUUGGAGCCUUUGCGUGCCUUAGAAGAUUUUUGAAACUUUUUUGGUCUGCUCGCUUUCGCUUGGUCGAGCAGAUCCUGGCAUGCUUGGCUUCCUGUCUCACCAUAAAACAGGCUUUGAGACUUUGGAGCCUUUGCGUGCCUUAGAAGAUUUUUGAAACUUUUUUGGUCUGCUCGCCUUCGCUUGGUUGAGCAGAUCCUGGCAUGCUUGGCUUCCUGUCUCGCCAUAAAACAGGCUUUGAGACUUUGGAGCCUUUGCGUGCCUUAGAAGAUUUUUGAAACUUUUUUGGUCUGCUCGCCUUCGCUUGGUCGAGCAGAUCCUGGCAUGCUUGCUUCCUGUCUCGCCAUAAAACAGGCUUUGAGACUUUGGAGCCUUUGCGUGCCUUAGAAGAUUUUUGAAACUUUUUUGGUCUGCUCGCCUUCGCUUGGUCGAGCAGAUCCUGGCAUGCUUGCUUCCUGUCUCGCCAUAAAACAGGCUUUGAGACUUUGGAGCCUUUGCGUGCCUUAGAAGAUUUUUGAAACUUUUUUGGUCUGCUCGCCUUCGCUUGGUCGAGUAAAUGUGGCUUCCUGUCUCGCCAUAAAACAAGCUUUGAGACUUUAGAGCCUUUGCGUGAUGAUGGGUGUCGAAGCCAACAAAAAUAAAUUCCUACUCUAAAUAAAUUGUGUAUAGUGAUUGAGCAGGGUCGUGUCCACAGAGAUCGGUAAUUAUUUAAAUCCUUUUGAAACGUAAAAAUAAAAUGGGGGUUUUGUUGACAAUAAUAAAAAUCAAAUUAAAAUAACGAGAAUGCAAAUUAAAGUUGUAAUUCAAAUUGGAGAAAGCUCUGGUUGAAGGAAUUAACUCAGCUUGAUUCGACUACUGAUCAUUGAUUCAAAUAAAGAUUAUUAUUACUUAUGAAUAGACCGGUUAUAGCUAUUGAGACCCUCUAAUAGCCAAUCUCUCCUUAACUAGUCGAUAACCAAGGUACGACCGUUGGAUAUUUCCCUAAUCAAAUAGACAACCCUAGAUACGAUCAUAAGAUUUAAUCAAUUGACAGCCUGAAAAACCAGAGAGACCCAAAUCCUAAUCAACACAUAUGAUGAUUCAUUUAAAUUAGAUUGUUUAUUCUCACAACACAACUCUCUGCUAUGUUAUUUGUCACAAAUAUUAAAUUCUUCAUACGAUGAAUCCUUUAAUUGACAAUAGAUUAAGUUGAUAAUUAAAUAGUGGCCAAUUACCUAAUUAACAAACAUAAUCAUGAAACUAAUUCAGAGAAUAAACAAAUACCCAAAGAGCAAUAAAACAAUUAAAGCACAAGAAAGAUCUCACAGUAGUGAUGAAUCAAAGCUUCAUUAUCCUUCAACCAGAAAAUAAGUUUAGUUCUCCAUAGAGAGAAGAGAAAAAUUAGCUCUAGGGUUUCUUUCUUUUUCUCCAAUCCCAAAAAAUCCCCCUUUUCACAAUAGAUUCCUCCCUUAAAUACUCUCUCUCUCUUCUCUUUUAGAGUUCUAUUUAAAAUAAAAUACUAAUAUUUGAAAUAUUAAAUUCGUAAUAAAAAAAUAGCCAAAAAUACAAAACACGUUAAACUAAAAACUGCAAGUCCGCAGUUGACAGCACGCGCCCACGCCUUAUCAACAAAGUUCUUCUGCCGCUCAUAAUUUCUCCAAGAAAACAAUCAUCCUUAAACAUCAUCUUAUAGCUCAAUUUUAUCACCAAUCAAUAGAAUUGCACCUACAAAAGUAAAACACAAGUAAAUCACUAUUAUUAAAUGCAAAACAUCGAUAUUAAGGGAAGUAAACAAUGCAAAACUAGUGCAUAAAUUGCACUCUAACACGUGCCUUCAAUGUGCUCUUAUUUGAGGUUUUUGCUUUAAAUCCUUACAUAUGGAUAACCAUCAAAAAUUUAAUUUCGGACUUGUAACUUAUAACUUGUCCAGAAAAUAGCUCUCAUUUACAACUUGCGCUUUAGCUAUUUAUAUAUGUUUGGGCCUUUGAUGGAUAAACAUCCUUGGUGUUUUUAUUACCAUCUAUAAUAUUUGGUUAGCAAUAUUAUUAAAGACCUUUGCUAAAGGUGCAGAGCACCAUUUACCAACACUAAAGAUAUUAAAAUUUAUAUAUAAAAUAAAUCAUAUUAUAUAAAAUAUGUAAUCAACAAAUAAAUGGUACCAUAAAAGUUUAAGCAAAGUCAUAUCACUGUAUCAAGGAAAUACGAUCUCAUGCUAACCCAAGUUCCAUCAAUCCUUCGGUCAAGCAUGUUGUGUGCUAAUAUAUGACUAUGCUAUAUAUUCUAUAAUAUGUAAUCUUAACUAUUUUCUAUUAACGACUUAAUAAGUCAAAACCCCAUCCAUCAGAUUUUUGAAGUCAAGUAGUGGAUUUAAAGGAUAAAUAUAAAACUGAGGUAUUAGAACAAGUGCACCUGAGAUUGUGCUCUGCAUUAUUUCAUUAGUACUUCAUCAAACAAAUCUCGAGCUUGACUCUGCUUUGCUCCCUUCUUAGAAUUAUUCUUGCAAUAUUUUAACAUGGGCACAAAACGGAUAAAAUAUGAAGGAAACAAAAAUCCAACUUCAUCAAUUCUUUGAAGCUUGAAGACAUGCCUAUCAAGCAUAUAUGUAGUGUAUGUAGUGUAAUCAGCAACAAACUCACUUUUGAACUUUCAUAUCCCUUGAGGCGAUUUAACGAAUAGCUCCUGAUUUGAAUUUUAACAAUUCGGCCUCAACUUGUAAUGAACCGAGUUUCAUACCAGAAUUGUCUAAAUACUUUCCCUGCAUAUUCUUCACAUGAAAACUAGCAGCAUGAUUGAUUGAUGGGGUGUAAAACCAGCAGGAAAUAUCUUGAAGAAACCACAGAUCCGUGGAUUUUUUAUGCUUACCACCAAAUGAAUUUAACAAUUUGUGUGAUCUUUAUUUUAAGAAAUUGAACAUUGCUAAUACCGCAAAUCGAUUGCUCUUUUGAACAGACUUUAUAUCUUGAGUUCGAUGAAAAGAGAACAAUCAAUCAAGAAAUAUAAAUACAUCAGCAAAAUAAUGAUGGUAGCAGCAUUACACAUCUAAUUAGCCAUAACGAAGCUGAAUAAUUAGCCAUAAUAAAUCUGAAAUGUUAACAUUAUGUCAAGCAUGUUGUUGGAAAAUACUAAAUUAAUUCAUUUGCAAGUAUAAUAGCAUGUAAUCUUGAAUUAUGAAUGAAGCCCAUUCUAACAAGCUAAUUUUGUGAAGGAACAUUAUCAACGAAUUCCAAGGGAUAAUAUUCAAUUUCAGCAAAUAUAUCAUGCACGGUAUUGAAACAUGCAUGUUAUUAAAGAAUUUCCAAGCAUCUCUCAGUUGAUAAAUCAAUCAUCAUAGCAAUUGGAAAUUGAAUUUUAAUGACAAUAUACUUAAAGCAAUAAAUAAGCCAAAACCUUUACAGGUAAGCAUUCCAUCCAGCCUUGAUUGGCUUCCGUGUUUGAGCCAGCUUAUCAAUUUGUGCAUGAUAAUAUUAUGCCUUUGGCUUGGCCGGAUGCAAAAUUGGUAGAGACAAGAAGUUGGCUUUUUGUAUCGAUUCCCCACAGACGGUGCCAAAUGUUGAUGCCCAAAUCUGAUCUAGUCUAUUAGCGACUUAAUAUCAAACUUCUACACCAGCAUUAGAUUUAUUUGGUAGAGAAUCGAUUGGUCAAUCGUCAAGAUGUCCUGCAACCACUAGCGAUUAACUUGCGAAUAUUUAAAAUCAUAGAAGACGGUCAGAGGCGCCGAAAGUUUUUCCGGCGUGAACCCUCCGACGCUCAAGUCAGUUUCUGGGCCUUUGCCAAAAAACUUGUGCUACCACUCAUAUGGCUUAAUAAACAUUACCUUAAAAACCAAAAGUUUUUUGAGUAAUUUGCAGAAAAAUGAAAUAGAGUGUAAAAGAAAGGAUUUUCCAUGAGAGGAAGAGAGAAAAAGAUGCCCUGCAGACCCCGAAAAAAUAAAUAAAUCCUCCUUUUAAGGUCAUGCCCCACUCCCCUCUUUUCCCCUUUGUUCUCCUCCACUUAUUGAAGUUAAGGAUGAGAUAAAAGUAAUGCCUCCACUGUCCAUUUUUUUUCUCCUUUUUCCGUUACCAAACACCUACAAAUCUUAUCCCUACUAAUAUCCUCUAUAAGCCAAUAUUCUUCUAAAAUUAUUAAAUGCCAUUCUUCAUUCAAGCUUUCAUGGACAUUAUUUACAAAUUGUUCUUGUAUUUGACAGAAAAAUGAAAACGCCUCGUCAUACAAAACUGGAUGAACAAAUCUUCUGUUUAAUUGUGAUAAAAUAAUAAAUUCCAUUAACAGAUUCAGCUGUAUGUUAAUGUGAGGGAUUUGAUCAGAUGAUCAUAUAAUUUACUACACGCUUUAAGAAGAACAAGAAUUGAUGACUUAAAAAUUAAAAAAUAAACAAAUAAAGAGUAGAUACAAAGAAUGUUAUUUGCAAUCACCAAACUGAAGAACAUGGGAAUGAUAACAGAGGACGGUUGAUGCAACAUUAUGAAGUCAAAAUUAAGAAAGGCCUUUUUUCCUUUUUUUUUUUUACAUUAUUCUAUUUAAUCUUACAUAAGGCGCACACUACGAAUAUAAAUUAAAUUCAUAAUUAAGAAUAAACGAUAAACCCUAACAAUCAUCUAGCAAGUACCGUGUAGACUGCAUCAAAAAUUUAGAUUUAAAUUUUUACAAUCACCAAAUGGAAAAACAGGGGACUGAAAACAAAGGAGCCCUGUUUCCAGAAACCGGGGAGUUUCCGGGUUUCUGGAAACAAACUCAGAAACGAAUGAACUGGCUGCCGGCGGUACUUUCUAGAUAAAUCGCUUGGUGUAUAUAAGCUUUCAUGGUCUGGUUUUAGUCUGGUUAGGUUCAGCCACUGUGACUGUUAGGGAUUCUCGUAAACUGAAUUUAAAGUUGCGGCUUAAAGUGUUUACCAACUUAAAACCAGAGCUAUAAAGUGUUUGAUGAAUUAUUUUUUAAUUUAAAAAAAAAAAACUGAUUUAGCGGGAUAAAAUAAUGCUCCAUUCCGUUUAGUAUGUGAAGUCCAGAGUAUUACCUACUACUAACUAAAUCCGCUUGAUUCACAAGACUACCAAGAGAUAACUGAAUCUUCAAUGUAAUAAAAUAAUAAUCAGCCUCACAGGAUACAUAAAAAGCUCAUUUAUCACAAUCAUAUCCUAGUGCAUCAUAAAUUUAGAUUAUUUACUUUUACUAUUAGGAAACCUACUUAUAUAAGGCGCAAACCACAAAUUCUAAAUUAAAUACCUAACUAGGAAUAAAAGAUAAACCCUAACAGUCAUACACCAGGUGCCGUGUAGCCUGCAUCAUAAAUUCUGAUUUAAAUAUUUGCAAUCACCGAACAGAAAAACAGGGGAACGAAAACAGAGGAGCCCUAUUUUUCCAUUUUUUUAACCCUUAACUCUUGCUCUUCUAAUUAUAUUUUUCCUUGGAAUUUCAAGUAUGAGAUGAAUUUGGAGAAAGUAAAUAAAUUUGAAUUACGUGAAAAAUUCUAAUUUUUUUAACCCUUAACAGUUGGUAUAUUUUUUUUAGGUCAUAUAUUAAUAAUUUCUUUUAAAAAAAAUUUAUAAUAUCAAUUAAUAUUAUAACCUACAGAUUAAUACAGAUAAAAAUAUGAUUGAUUUAUCUCCACCACCUAAGUCUUAGCCAAAUUUAAUUAAAGAUUAAUUUAAUAAAUUACCGAAAAUAAUAAAGUAAACGAAAAAUAAAGCACGCAAUUAAGUAAUCAUGCUUCUAAAGGGCUAAUUAACCAUAAUAGGCAUAGGUAUUAAUUUGACUUCUAUGAAAGUCCCUUCUAGUUUCUCAAAAUUCAAAAAUUACAAUAAAAAGCCAAAGAAAAAGUCAAUGCUUCUAAAGUAGAAAAGUUUGAGUACUAGAUAGGCUGCCCAAAAUACAUUUUCAUUACUCACAUAUCUCUAUAGAAAGUAAUUUUUUUAAUAAAAACAACCUAUUUGGCUAAUAUUCAGUCGUCUUUUUUGUUGAUGGAAUUAUCCUCUUAACAAUAUUUUAAAAAGUUUACAUGAAUAUUCCUUUUUUUUUAAAAAAAAGAAUUAAUAACGUGUAUUGUUAGGAUAAAAAUGAUCAUCAAUACGUAUGUAUAUAGGCACAAAUAUAUGAAAAAAAAUCAAGUUUAAGUACAAUGUAUAGGUCAAUGCCUAAGAGUCAAGCCUAAAUUAGGGCAACAUAUAACUACAAAAUACAAUUUCGUACACUACAAAAUUUUGAUAUCAGCAGUAGGGGUAUAAAAAAAUCAUUGUUGCCAAAAAUCCAAAAGCUAACUAGAGGUUUGGUUUUGUUUCAAAAAUUAAAAAAACAAGUCAAUUCGUAAAAUCAAAAACAGAAAAAGAAAAACAAAAUAUAGAGGAAUUUACAGUUUAAAAAGAAAAACCAAGCCAAAACGAAAUUGAAUCGAAAGUCGAACCAACUCAGUUCAGUUUGAUUUGAAUUUUAUUUUAUAAAAAAAAAUGAUCGGAACCAACUAAACUGUAUUAUGUUAUAAAUUAUUAUAUAACAUAAAUUUUUGAAUACCUUUGUGACGAGCACAAUUUAAAAUUUUAUGAUUUUAAAUUUUAACAUUAAUGGAGAGUUAAUACUCCACCAUUUUCCAAUUUUUACAAUACAUAUUACUAGUUUAGAUAUGCUGUAUAUUAUUGUUAUAAUUUUUCGAGCAAGAUAAUAUUUGUCAAUUGGUGUUAUGACAUCAAAAUACUUGGUAUUAGUUAGUGCUAAGUGCUUCUUUUUCUUAAAAAAAGCGGUUCCUUAGUUUUAAAACAAAAAUCAUUAUCCUGAAAUUCUCCAUUUGCUUUGUUAACAGAUAUAACAAAAUAAAGUGAUAAAAGUUUAAUUUAUAAAACUUCGGCAUUUAUAUCUAUCAGAUUCAACACUUUAGUGUCAUAGAUUUAUUUCGGUGGAGCACGAUGUGGGUCGGGCCAGGCUUAGAAUUUUAAGCACGAGAGCCUUAAAAAUAUGAUAUGAUUAGAGAUGGACUGAGCACAGCACGAUGAAAAUGCCCACAAUAAGCACAUUAUAUUUUUUUUUUAUUGAAAAUAAACUUAAAAUUUUAUGUUUUAUAAAUAACUUGAAGUUGAAUUUUUUAAAUUCAUUUAAUUCUUAGUUUAAAAAAAUAUUAUAAUUAAUUUAUAUUCAUAAUUUAUUAAAUAAAUAAUUGAUAUCAUGAUUUUAAUGAAUAAAAUUAUAAAUAUCACGAUUUUAUAAAUAUGCAUUAAUAUUAUUGUGAACUAUGAUCUAUGACUCUAUGUAACUCUAAGUUAACAAUUAAGUUAGCCCUUAAGAAAAUAUUAUUAUUAUUGUUGUUGUUGUUGUUGUUGUUGUUGUUGUUGUUGAGUAUUAAAAAAAUUAUAAUACUAAGAGAUCAAACUUAGUAAUUAAUAUUAAAUUUUCUUACUAUUAUUAGUUUAUUAUUAUUGAAUAUAAACUUGAGUUUUGAUUUUUUGAUUCUAUUAAAUUUGAAUAAAAGUAUAGACCUAAGAAAAAUAUAUAGACUUGAAAAAAAUAUGCCAACAGUUUAGUAUGCCCCUUAAAAAAUUUAAAAAAAAAAAGAAAAAAACUUAGUGAGCUUUUUUUCUUAGGCAUGGCACGGCAUGUAUCGGCAUGUGUGCUAGGCCGAACCUAAACAAAAAAAUAAAUAAAUAAAUCUUGACACGACACAACACAAGCAUAAGCACGCAUGGGCCUUACUUACCGCCCGACCCAUUGAGCAUCUCUAACUGUAUCUAUCUCCGCCAUAAUAAAUUAAACAUCGGGUAACUACUAGACUAGGCAUUAGCACAUAAACUAACUAACUAUAGUACCAAAAAGAAUGAUGCGACAUUGUAAAAGAGAUGGGGCAAAGGGCAGAAUGGGAAACGAAUGAACCAAAUAAUAGUAUAUAAUAAUAUGAAUUUGGUAAAAAUAAAAAAUAAAUAAAGUAAAGUGGUGACACGUACCUCCUUUUAUUUCUCGAUCGAGUAGUGCAGAAAGUGGAGUGUGUGUGUGUGUGUUAAUUGUGAAAUGUCAGCCAAUUUUUUCUCUCUCAUUCUGAAACAGCUCAGCAGGAAUGGUGUACACUAGAGACGUCUGUCUGUCAGUCAGAACUGCCAAAAGAGCAAAACGGGUGCACGUACAAAUUAAAGCAGCCAAUCAGCGAUAUAUUUCAGUUACUUAAAGCUAGCACAGAGGGAACAAGCAAUGUGCAGGGCCAAAAGAGAUGAGACCCCUGAACCCGAACCCUCCUGAAUGAUCUGAUCACAUCUGAUUCGAUGUCUCGAGUCAUUAGAUUUAACAUAUUUUAAAAAUAUUUCUCAGUUAAUAUGUGAUUUAAUUAAAGGUCAAGUUUACAUCUGAAACUGAACUUAUUAAAAAUUAAUUUGAAAUAACAUCUAAGCUAUCUAUUUGUUUAUAAUAAAAUUUAAUUGUCAUAUCAGAAUUAUUUUCCGUUAGACUUUACAAUAAGUUAAUCCCAAAUAAAUUGACAAUUUCAAUUUUAAAGUUAGUUUGUAACUUUAAAAUAAUUUUCUAAUAAAAAUUUAAUCUGAAACAUCUGCAAUAAUAUCAAGUAUUUUGAUGUCAUAACACCAAUGUUUCACAUGCACACACAAGUCAUAUAUAAGUUAAUAAAAACAUCAUUUGUUAUUAACAAAAUCAUGUUAAUUUUUAAUUCUUAAAUUAACUCCCUGUUAAAUUUUGGCUAAAUCAUUAUUGCAAUUUAUAAAUUAAUAUUUAUAAAAAAUUAUGAAUCAUCCAAAAAGCUGCUUGAUAUAGAUUAAUUUCAUGGUCAUCAAUUUUUUUUUUAUUUAUACACCUUUAAAUUAUCACUUGUAUCAUAUGAAAAGACUAUAUUACCCCUCUAACAUCAUCAUAUUUAAACGGCAACUAAGCUAUGGUGAACGACAUUAUAUUUUGUCAACUUAAGAUGAAUGACUGAUAUACGCUAAAAGUAUUGUAGUAAAUUUGAUAAUAAAGUAUACAAUUGAUAAUUUUCCUAUUUAUAAUUUAUCCCCUUAAUUAUGAGUAAUUUUGUUUUUGUCUUCAUUUGUCCCUUUCCUACAAAACCAUUACUAAUGUACAAGUUACAUAUAUAAAACAUUCUUCUUUAAUCAAGUUUGGAAUAUUUUCAUCCUUAUGUAAAAUUAUGCAUAUAUCUUUUGAGUUUCUCAAUUGUACUUGAAAAAAAAAAUUACAUUUAAUCACGGUUGGUUAUCCAUAAAAAAUUUUAGGUGGAAAGUUCACGCGUUUUAAAAUUUAAUUGUGGAAUUAUAUUACAUUUAUUAUUUAGUUUCAAUUUAAUCAUGUAUCAAAUUCAUGUUUUAAAACAUGUGGAAAUUUAUAAUAUAUAAUGAUUCUAUGUAAAUAUAUUAUCUCAUUUCUUCAUUCUUUUGUUAUUAGUUCUCCUCCACUGCAUUAGAUAUAUUUUGAAGUUUUCUAAUGUAAAUGUUACUAACAAAUACGCAUUGAAUAAUUAUCGGGUAGUUUAUAUUAUAAUUUAAUAAUAGCCACAACAUAAAUGUACAAUUUGGUGAUAGUAAAUGACAUUACAUGAAAAUGAAAUCAUCAUGUUGCAAACAAGAUGCAACCAAGGGAUUGCAAACAAUGUUAAGUUACUAUUGGGUCACUUGAACUCCUGGGCUCUCUCCUGUGUAAUUUAUAUUAGACUGUCGCGUACAAAACGCAGACAUAUAUAUACAUACAAGUAGUGCUUUGGCAACAGACACAAUAACCAAGAAGCAGCCCUUGUUUUCAAAUUCAUUCAAAUGCCAGCCUGCAGUUUUGAAUCCUUCAAAUGCCAGCCUGCAGUUUUGAAUCCUUCAAAUUGUGCUCCACCUUUUGAGGGGACGAUGAAGAGUGAAAGAAGAGACAAAUGGCAGAAUAUCAUCCAUUGCAAUGCCUCGUUUCUUAUAUUUCCAUGCCCGAACAGCAAAUUCCACCAAUCUUUUUGCUGCCUUUUCCCUAUCCACUACUGAAGAAACAAUCUCCACCGCCUCUUGGUUCGAAAUCACAUCCCAAACCUGAAGAACAAUCCAUAAUUGAUCUUUCAAACAUUGACAUUAGUUCAGAUCAAAAGAUAAUUCCAAUAUGUGGAUACGUACCCCGUCCGAUGCCAGAAUGACAAAUUGGUCUCGUGUUGUUAUGUUUCUUUGCGUUACAUGGAGCACGGAGAUUAGGCCAUAGUCCUUGACACAGUAAUCACCCAAGGCUCUUGAUAUGGCUAGUCCCGGAGUCUCACCAUUCGGCAUCCAGACUCUGUAUACGCCCGGCUCAUCAUUUAAGCAAAACACAAGCCCUUUGGACUGCGUUAUUCGCUCCGCUUCCUCUGUAUAGGCCAGUGAAGACAAGAACCCGUACGCAGACCUUAAAACACACCCAUAUAUACACCUACACGAGGCAGAAAUAUUUAAGAGAAGAUGAGAUAAUUGAGAUCUGAUUGGUAAAAUAUUGUUAAUUAGUAAAAAAUAAUUAAUAUACUUGCUAUUUAAGUAUUUUACUAAUAUUUUAAACAUCGGUAUUCAAUGAUGUUAAUAUGUGAUUUUAAUAUUAAAUUUAUGUUCUCAUUUAUAACAGUAUGGUCAUCAGUAUUCACAACACAUCAUAUAUUAAUGUAUGGGUUUAUUAAUAUUAACAAACAUUUAUUUCCAAAUAAAUAUGGUAGCCUUAGUAUUUAAGAAUAUUCUUUAUUGUCUAGUCGUCUGUCCAAGGAAGAACGGGCCAUCAUCAAAUUUAUCAAGGGCCUUCUCUAAGUAAUCAAAAGCAGGACCUGUGACAAAUUAAAACUUUUUCCGUGAGUUCAGCACAUAUAUAUACAUAUUCAAAAUGCAUUCUAUUAUAAACAAGUAAGCAAGUUUCAAAUCCUACCAGCUUGUUUUGCUGGGUCUCCUUUGAAUGAAGUAUACACAUCGUUGGUGAAGGUAUCGAUGUGGGAAAACAGUUCAUCAGCAAACUUUCGUUUCUCAGGAUCCUACAAUAUUUUCACAACAUUACUUUACUCAAAGUUGAGAGAGAGAGAGAGAGAGAGAGAAGCUUUUAUUAAAAGCAACAAUGUAAUCAGCAAAAUCUUACAUCAGGUAAAAGUGAAGGCCCUUCAAAAUUGCUGUCAACAUAUUUAAUCAAAUCAAGAGAUUCUCCAAUAACUUUGCCAUUGUGCUCCAGUGCUGGAACCUGUAAAGAAGAACUCUAAUAGGUAAAUAUACUUCAUAACUCCAGCAAUGAUCUCUAAUCUUGCACGAAAAUGUAACAAUCAGUUUAACUCUUUCGUUGUGUUUUCUUGCAAGCAAGCAACUUGCUCAAAUCAGAAUAUGUUAAGAUUUUACUAGGCACACAAAGCACAAAGACACCAUUCCAAUUUUAUUCAGGAACUCCUCCGCACAGAUUACAAGCAUUUCAAUUUCAAAGAUGGGGCAUAAGUGUUGGAGAAUUAACAAAUAAAACACACAAAAAACACACUAUUUUAUUUCUUCAACAACACUCCUCACCAAUUACAACUCUUAUCUUUCACUCUCUACACCUUAGAGAUUUUGCUACUUCACUUGAUGAUUAAACCAAAGGGGAGAGGGGGUAUUUAUACAUGAAACAAACUAAUCACAACCAUUCAUUUAUUCAACUAAUACACAAAUCCUCACCAUCCAUUAAAACCUACCACUCACCUACUUCACCAACCACACCUAACACACCUAACACAAAUAAUUCAAACCUCACCAACCAUACCUACUCAUGGAACCUUCCAUGAGUUGGGCUUGAUUUGGAUCAAGUUUAUGAUCCAACACCUCCCCUUAAACUUGAUCCUGUGACACCAAGCAAACUUCUGAAUCUUAUAAAGUCUUCUUGCUUGAGUGGCUUAGUGAAGAUAUCAGCUGUUUGAUCAUGUGAUUUUACAUACUUGAUUUGCACUUCUUUUGUUGCAAUACACUCUCUUAUAAAAUGAUAGCGAGUGUCUAUGUGUUUACUUCGAUCAUGAAAGACUGGAUUCUUGGAUAGGGCAAUUGCUGAUUUGUUAUCAACACAAAUCUCGGUUGGCUCUUCUUGUGCCAAACUCAACUCCUUCAGCAAAUUUCUGAGCCAAAUUGCAUGACAAACACUUGAUGUGGCAGCUACAUAUUCAGCUUCACAGGUGGAUAGCGUGACAAUUGGUUGCUUCUUUGACAUCCAUGUGAAAGCAGUAUCUCCCAUGAAGAACACAAAUCCUGUGGUGCUCUUUCAAUCAUCUACAUCUCCACCCCAAUCGCUAUCGCUAUAUCCAACAAGCUUAUAGUCAUUAGAAAAUGAGUACAGCAAGCUGAAAUUAGUUGUACCUUUGAUGUAGCGAAGGAUUCUUUUUGCAGCUUUAAAAUGGGUGGUCUUUGGAUUCUCCAUGUAUCGGCUCACAAGUCCAACAGCAUAAAGGAUAUCUGGUCUUGUGCAUGUCAAAUAACGUAGGCUUCCAACCAAACUUUUAAAGAAUGUUGGAUCUAUAUCUUCGCCUUCAUCAAGUUUGGAUAACUUGACUCCGCAUUCCACUGGCGUGCUUAUAGGCUUGCAAUAAUUCAUCUUGAUCCUUUUGAGAAUCUCCUUUGCAUAGCUUUCUUGGGAGAUAAAUAUGUCUUCUUCCUUUUGCUUGACUUCAAUGCCGAGGUAAUAUGCCAUCAGUCCGAUGUCAGUCAUCUCGAACUCUUUGAUCAUCACUCUCUUGAACUCUUCAAACAAGCUUGGAUUACUUCCAGUAAAGAUGAGAUCAUCCACACACAGGCACACAAUCAAAAUAUCUCCAUCUUUUUCUUUGACGUAGAGAGCAUGUUCAUAUGGGCAUUUAGUGAAGCCUUUCUCUUGAAAAUACUUGUCAAUUCUGCUAUUCCAUGCCCUUGGUGCUUGCUUUAACCCGUAGAGAGCUUUCUUCAAUCUCAAAACUUUGUCUUCAUGUCCUUUCACCACAUAGCCUAUUGGUUGUUCGAUGUAAACUUCUUCUUCAAGGAAUCCAUUCAAGAAAGCAGACUUCACAUCCAUUUGAAAAAUCUUCCAUUUGUUCUGAGCAGCCAAAGAAAUAAUAAGUCUAAUAGUUUCAAGUCGAGCUACAGGAGCAAAUACCUCGUCAUAGUCUAUGCCAGCCUUUUGACUAUAGCCUUUUGCAACUAGCCUUGCCUUGUGCUUUUCAAUUUCUCCCUUCGCAUUUCUUUUUGUUUUAUACACCCAUUUGACACCGAUCGCCUUGUGACCUUUUGGAAGAGUAGUAAGCUCCCAAGUAUCAUUCUUCACAAUGGCUUUGAUUUCUUCAUCCAUUGCAGUUCUCCACUUCUCAUCUAGUAUAGCUUCUUAGAAGUUGACUGGCUCACAAUCAGCAAAGAGGCAAAAGAGAGUGAGAUUAUCAUGUCUCUCAGUUACCUCAUAGAGAUCUUGAAGACUCCUUGUACGUUCUUCGAUUCUUUCAUUUAAGAAAGACGGCGGUGAAUCUCUGCAUGUGGUUGGUGCUGGUGAGAUAGGUGGAGUAGCAAGCUAUUGUUGUUCGUCUACUUGUUUUAUCUGUGUAUGAUCAUUUUCUUCAAUGGGAAAGAAGUUGAAGUCAUCCACACCAGAGCCAAAAUCCCAUUCUCCUUCUUCAUCAAAAAUUACAUCUCGACUGAUCACGAUCUUCCCGUUGUUUGGAUUGUAAAGCUUGUAUCCUUUGGAGUUGUUGUCGUAGCUGAUGAAGAUGAACUUCUCACUUUUGUCAUCCAGCUUGGCUCUACUUUCGUCUGGUACAUAUACAUGGGCAAUGCUUCCGAAAACUCUUAGAUGGGUGAUGCCGGGUUUUCUUCCACUCCAAGCUUCUUGUGGCGUCUUGCCCCACACGCUUCUUGUUGGAGAUCGAUUGGAUAAGUAGACUGCACAUGCAACUGCUUCAGCCCAAAAUUCUUUAGGUAGCCUCUUACUCUUAAGCAUGCUUCUUGCCAUGUCGAGGAUGGUUCUGUUCUUCCUUUCUGCAACACCAUUUUGUUGGGGGGAUCUUGGAACUGUCAAAGGGCGUCGAAUUCCAUUUGCUUCACAAAACUCUAAAAAUUCUUUGGAAGUGAACUCACCACCUCGAUCAGAUCUCAUGGCUUUAAUCUGGUAUCCACUUUCUUUUUCCACUGCAGCUUUAAACUUCUUGAAAGCUUCAAAGACUUCUGAUUUUUGCUUCAAAAAAUACACCCAAGUUUUUCUUGAAAAAUCAUCUAUGAAGAGAAGGAAGUAGUUACUUUUACCAAGGGAGUUUGGCUUGAAUGGACCGCACACAUCAGUAUGAAUAAGCUCGAGUGGCUUCUGAGCUCUUGAGUUUGACUCCUUUGGAAAGCUCUUUCUGAACUGCUUGCCAAGUAAACAUCCUUCACAAAGUUGAUCAGGGUGAUUGAUGUAUGGUAAGCCUUUCACCAUGUUCUUCUUAGAUAGUAGCUCCAGUCCUCCAAAGUUGAGAUGCCCAUAUCGAAGAUGCCAAGUCCAGGAUUGAUCUUUGUGACAGGCUUUGAGACAUUUUGCAACAUCAUUUUGAAUAUUUAAUGGAAACAUUCUAUUCUUUGACAUUUUCACCUUUGUAAUUAGAUUUCCUUUAUCAUCUCUUAGGAAAAGACUAUAAUCUUUUAAGUGAAUAUCAUAGCCUUUUUCAAAAAGUUGACCCAAACUAAGAAUGUUGCUUUUCAUAUUGGGCACAUAGUAAACAUUCGAAAUUAUUUGGUGACUACCAUCUUUUGCACGAAAAAGAAUGUUACCUCUACCCUUCACUGGUACUUUUGAAUCAUCUCCAAAAGCAACACUGCCAUUCACAGAUUCACUUAGCUGCACGAACAUGCUUUUGUUCCCACUCAUAUGAUUGCUAGCACCUGUGUCAAGAUACCAUGUAUUUUCUUGACCCCCACUUGUGUCAUUGCGUGCUAGUAAAAGUGUGCCAUCUUCACCAUUUUUCUCUUCAGCAUAGUUCACUCUCUCCUCAAUUCUAGUGCUUGGAGCUCUGCAUUCUGAAGCAUAAUGCCCAAACUUUUGACAAUUAUAGCACUGUACUUGAGAUUUGUCAUACCCUCGAUCUUGGAUUGCCUCUGCCUCGUCCUCUGCUUGAGCUUUCUCCUUUUGGCCAUAAUUGGAGUUGUUAUUGAAAUUCCCAACCCUCGUCCAUGACCCACGACCUCUACCUCGUCCCUCGACCUCUACCUCGGACAUAGUGUCUUCUCUCGUUGUCGGAGCUUUCUUCUCUUUUCUUUGGAUUGACUUCCAUCUUGAGAAGUUGUUCUUCGAUUCCCUGCUUCUUUUUUUGUUUCUCUUCAUAGGCUUGUAACCUUCCUUAAAGUUGCUCGAUCGUCAUAUCUUCCACGAACCUUCUUUACUUGCUCCGCUCCUUUGUAAGAGGUCUCUAGUUUCUCCCAUGCUUCUUUUGAGGAGGUUGUACCAGCAAUCUUUUCAAAAGCAUCUUCAUCUAAUGAUUGAAAGAUGAGAUACUUUGCUUUAUUCUCUUUCUUCUUCAAGUCUUUUAAAUUCUCCUUCUGCGCCGCAGUUAAAGUGGCUUCAUUUUCUGGCACAAUAAAGCCUUUCUCCACGACAUCCCAUACGUCAUGUGCACCCAAUAGAGCUUUCAUUUUAAUACUCCAAUUGUCAAACUUACUUCCCUUUAAUUGUGGAACUUAAAAUGACAUCAUACCAUUGUUUGCCAUAACUCACAAAUUGAGUGAAAAUUUGGAGAUUCUGAAAGCACAGAUGGAUCCGGCACGUCGAAAAACCUUGGGAAGGACUCGAGUCAACUUUCAGUCAACGGUCAACGUCGGUCAACGGUCAACACCGGCUUGGUAGUCUUGGUUUGGUCCGGAUUGGUUCAGCUCCAGUUGGCUCGGUUCGACUCGGCUCGGUUCAGCUCGGCUCGGCUUGGUUCAGUUCGGCUCAGCUUGGUUCAACUCGGUGAGUCGACUCAGCUUCAGGACAGAAAACUUCCGAUGGCAAGUGUGGGUGCGUUCGGUCUCGGAUCGGGAUGAUUUUUGCGGCGUCACGUUCCUCUCGUCAAGAUCUUCGAUUUGAUAUGCUAUAUGACUAUAUAUAGCAUCAAACACUAGCUCUGAUACCACUUUGUUGGAGAAUUAACAAAUAAAACACACAAAAAACACACUAUUUUAUUUCUUCAACAACACUCCUCACCAAUUACAACUCUUAUCUUUCACUCUCUACACCUUAGAGAUUUUGCUACUUCACUUGAUGAUUAAACCAAAGGGGAGAGGGGGUAUUUAUACAUGAAACAAACUAAUCACAACCAUUCAUUUAUUCAACUAAUACACAAAUCCUCACCAUCCAUUAAAACCUACCACUCACCUACUUCACCAACCACACCUAACACACCUAACACAAAUAAUUCAAACCUCACCAACCAUACCUACUCAUGGAACCUUCCAUGAGUUGGGCUUGAUUUGGAUCAAGUUUAUGAUCCAACAAUAAGGACACAGAGUCACAUAAUUAGGCUAUUUGGUAUUGAGGUGCUGUAGUUUUUUUAGCUACAGCUGCCACGGACCCAAAAAAAAAAAACUGUAACUAUAAAAUAAAAGUUAAAAAUGCGUAAUAAAUAUGAAUUUUAAAUUAAGAUUUUGACAAAAAUAGUAGAAAUAUUAUAAUUUUACAAAACACUUUUAACUCUAUACCUUUUAAUCCACGGCCGCCCUACCUCAAUACCNNNNNNNNNNNNNNNNNNNNNNNNNNNNNNNNNNNNNNNNNNNNNNNNNNNNNNNNNNNNNNNNNNNNNNNNNNNNNNNNNNNNNNNNNNNNNNNNNNNNNNNNNNNNNNNNNNNNNNNNNNNNNNNNNNNNNNNNNNNNNNNNNNNNNNNNNNNNNNNNNNNNNNNNNNNNNNNNNNNNNNNNNNNNNNNNNNNNNNNNNNNNNNNNNNNNNNNNNNNNNNNNNNNNNNNNNNNNNNNNNNNNNNNNNNNNNNNNNNNNNNNNNNNNNNNNNNNNNNNNNNNNNNNNNNNNNNNNNNNNNNNNNNNNNNNNNNNNNNNNNNNNNNNNNNNNNNNNNNNNNNNNNNNNNNNNNNNNNNNNNNNNNNNNNNNNNNNNNNNNNNNNNNNNNNNNNNNNNNNNNNNNNNNNNNNNNNNNNNNNNNNNNNNNNNNNNNNNNNNNNNNNNNNNNNNNNNNNNNNNNNNNNNNNNNNNNNNNNNNNNNNNNNNNNNNNNNNNNNNNNNNNNNNNNNNNNNNNNNNNNNNNNNNNNNNNNNNNNNNNNNNNNNNNNNNNNNNNNNNNNNNNNNNNNNNNNNNNNNNNNNNNNNNNNNNNNNNNNNNNNNNNNNNNNNNNNNNNNNNNNNNNNNNNNNNNNNNNNNNNNNNNNNNNNNNNNNNNNNNNNNNNNNNNNNNNNNNNNNNNNNNNNNNNNNNNNNNNNNNNNNNNNNNNNNNNNNNNNNNNNNNNNCUGGAAAGAGCUCAAGCUAAUUAAUUGAUUUUUAUCUUUUGGAUGCACUUAAUUGUAAUUAACCGGAUCAAAUUUUGAAACCAAAAUAAUUCACGGGGCAUUCUAGCUUCUAGCUAAUUCAUCCAAAAAAAUAUAAAAUUAUAUAAAAAUAAUAAAAAUACGUGUGAUGUCAGCUUGAUGCGUACAUUCAAAGUUCCAAUUGAAAACAAAUAGAUAUUCAUUUUUCUUGUCAAAUUAUUGAAAGAGACAUCUCUUAAUUUCUUCCAUCACCAGCAACGGUUGAGUGACCUUGUCUUACAUUGUGCAGCAGCCUCCUCGAAGUUAAAAAAAAAAAAAAAAAAUAGCCCAUUAUCUUGGCUUUUGGCUGGAUCCAAAUUUUUGUUAAAUACAAAUAAAUAUAAUAUCAACUUAAAUAUUCCAAUAAACCUUCUAAUAUCUUCUUUGAACAGUUUUAUUUUUAUUUUAUGAGGAGGGAAGAGUAAACCAUUAAAACUAUAAUUCAUCAUAAAUUUAUUGUACCAAUUUUUUUUUUAAAUCCAUAAUUUUGUGAAAUAUAAAUUUUAAGAAUUGAAAAAUAUCAUUAUAGCUUUCAUAUCCAAAGUUAAUUUUGAUAUUUUUGUACAAUUACAUAAUCUUCAAAUGUGGAUAAUGUAAAAGAUGAAAAUUGUCAAAUUAUUAGAUAAUUGUUUUUACAAAAUUUUAACGAUCAGAAAAAUCUUAAUUUAUAUGUCUUAGUUUAAAGAAUUGGUAUUAUCAAAUGUUACUUAAAUGUAAAUAUAAUAUAAAUAUUUUGUGUAUUUAUAUGUUACGUUUAUGAUUUGAUCACUGUUUAUCUAAAUUUUAAUAAAAUCAGACAUAUUUAUGUAAUUUACUCAUAAAAAAAUAAUCCAUGAUUUAAUUUGCAAUGAUCAAAUUGUUGUAUUUUGUCAUAUCAAAAUACAUAUUUUUGUACAAUUACCCAUAAAGUUUAUGCUACAAUCAAGCUAUUUAUAAUAUAAGUGUGAUUUUUGAAUUUAAUAUUGAUAUUAGUAUUAAAUAUGAUAAUAGAAAAAUAUUUUAUUAGAUAUUAAUUGGGUCAUUUGUGUUAUUGUUUUUAAAAAUUAAUGACCUGCAACAUUAAUUGUCAAUAAUGGGUUUUUUUAAAACAUGCUGGUGCCCGGAUGUAAAUGCCGGUACCUCCCAAGUCAGUAGCCUUAUUAUAACAGUGUAUUCCCGUCAGCAUAUUGGCCUGCCCCUGUACCAUUACUCCAAUUGAUGCUGAAAAUAUAACAACAUCAGUGACCGCGUUGUCGUUUCCCGUGAUGUUUAUUCCGAUGCCGGAGAAAUCCUUUUCGCGAUCAUCCCCGCCGAUGUUGAUGUGUUGGCCGAUGAAGGAAUUUCUUAUAUACGUUUCGUGGCCAUCUUGGAUGGAAAUGCCAGCGGUAGUGAAAUGCGAAAUGUAACAAUUGUCCACUGUGGUUCUUAUUGAAUUUAUAAUGGCAAUGCCGCCACCCCUAAAAUUGGAGUCCAACAUAAGCUCCUUCAAAGUAAUGUAUUCGUAUAAUGACGAUGAUGAUGACGAUCUUAACUCUAUGAGAUGUCCGUUGCCCGAAAAAUCAUCCGAUGCUCGGAGGGACCCACCGUGUACCUAUGUAUACAUAUAUAGAUGUUAAAAGUAAGAAUUAAAGUAAGAAUUAAAUUUUAAAUUAAUAUGUGAUUUGGUAUGAUUCCUAGUUACAAAAUUUUGGCAUUUUGUAUUCGGUUUUGUAGUCCUUCAUAAGACUGGCAAAAAUCAUUAUCAAUUAAACAUUAUGUUGUUAUAUUUUUUUAAUGAUCUUUAUUUUAUUUGCUUUAAACAAUAUCUAUUUUUCAAAAACAAUACUUUUGACAAGCAAACCCUAAAGUGGGAUUGAAGCAGAGAUGAAAGAGAAAGCAUGCAUUUUGCACAUGUUUAUAAAAACAAGAGAGUAUAUUUAAUCUCAAUCUGUAAUUCUGUAUAAUGUAUUAUUCUUAAGUUUGAAUCAAAUUAUUCUUGAUUCCAUCUGCCAAUCCAUCUCGGGCCAUUGAAUUAUGCAUAGCUAUUAUGGUAAUGGUCUCUUUAUUCUCCUCACAAUCAAUUAAUUGUGAUGACCAUACUGUUCUCACGAUUCUCAACCGCAAAAAAUUUAAAUAUUGUAUUGUACAUUUUUAUAAACAAAUUUUAUGUCAUCUCCAUUAUUGUGGAAUUUUAAUAUCCUAAUACAAUAUUAUGAUAGUAAUUGGGUCAAUAUGGGUAUUGGGUCAUAUUAUCGUUAUAAAUAUUAAUUUAUUAUAACUGAGUGUGUAAAGUAUCUUUUUUUAUUGUUGUACCAUAUUUAACUUUUGGCUGCAAAUAUAUAUAUACUUAGCAUUAUUUAUAUCAAUAAGUUAAUAUAUAUAUCCUUUUCUUUAGCAUCAAAUUUAAGUUUUUAAAAAGUUAUGAUAAUUCACUAAUUUGGUAUUUAGGAAAUUAAAUCCAUAUCAAUUUAUUAGAUAUCUUAAACCGUAUGUAAAAAUAGAAUAUUGACCAUUAUUCUAUUAGUAAUAUAUCCAUUAAAGAUUUUGACGUGCUAUGGUCUAAAAAAAUUAACUUGGCGGGAUGUUAUGAUUAUAUUCAAGGUGAUAGGCAAGAAAGUUAUGAGGAGACCCCAUUGAAGCCUAUAUAUUAUAGUAUGCAUAAAGACUCAAAAAGUGCACUUGAAAUAACAGUUGUCACUGACAGGUUAAGAUAAGCUACCAAAUUGGCACUUAAAGGAAGAAAUUCUAGUAUUAGUGUCAUAUUUUAUGCCAUAUUAUGUAAUGCAUAUUAGUAAUGAUUUCUUCAUAAUAUCGCAUAUAUAUAAAAGUUCAUCCUAGCUAGAUGCAUUGUAGAUUUUGUAAGAAUUAUUUUACUCUGUCCAAAUGAGUUCACAUUAUUAUCCAAUUUUCCUUUUUUUAAGUUGAUUUAUGAAAGAAAAAAAAAAAUGACACCAAUGUUUUCCACGUCGCCGCAAGUCUCAUCGAUAAAAGUCCAUCUACAAAUUAGUUCAUAAUUCUUUUUGUAACUUCGCUAAAAGCUAGUCAAGUCAUUGCUAGCAAGCCUCAAAAGCACGAAGUACGCGAAUCACGGCGAUAACUGAUAAUAACUUGGUUGUCCGGUUUCGCAUACUAAUUAGCUUGAUUGAAAAUCGUGAAGUAUGGGGCACGACUAACGCAACGCAUACGUCUCAUGCAUUAGGCAAAUAUUGUACGCGACCCAUGUUGAGAGCACAAAUCCACUAUCUACAAGUACUAUAUAUAGAGCUGCAAUGCGUGCUUCAAGUAUUCACAACUUACCCCCAGCUGGCUAGCUAGCCUCUAUAAUUUGAAGGGAAAAAAAAAAAAAAAAAACCUUGUUCAACUUGCAAAUACCUACCAAUUAUUAUGGAGAAAAGCUUUGAUAUCAUUGCCCUGUCUAUGAUCAUUCUGGUGACUUAUUCAUCUAAAAUGGUGUCGGUCGCCGGCCGGUCGCUGCAUGAACCAUCCAUUGUUGAGAAGCAUGAAAAAUGGAUGGCUGAGCAUGGGCGCACUUACAAGGACGACCUGGAGAAGGAAAAGCGGUUUAAGAUAUUCAAAGAAAACCUUGAAUACAUUGAGAAAGCCAAUGAGGAGGCGAAUCGGACGUACAAGUUAGGCACCAAUGAAUUUUCAGACUUAACUAAUGAGGAGUUUCGUGCUUCAUAUACAGGAUACAGGGUGCCAAGCCAGUCAUCUUCAUCACGGCAAUCCACAACAGCAUCCUUCAAGUAUCAAAACCUGACUGACGUUCCAACUAGCAUGGACUGGAGAGAGAAAGGAGCUGUCACUCCUAUUAAGAACCAAGGUCAAUGUGGUAAGUAAAUCGUAUACUAAAUAUUUAUGAAGUAACUAUAAUAGAUUAUUUAGCCUCCAACCUCUUUCAGAACUCAAACUCAGUUGACCAUCAGCUAAUUAAUAAAAACAGCUUGACAACCGUCUGCCAAACCCCUGCUGGGGCAUGUUUCAUGUAACUUAAUCAAGCCUUUUUUUUUUUUUUUUCCCUUAAUAUGUACGAUGCAGGAGACUGUUGGGCAUUUUCAACUGUGGCGGCGGUGGAAGGGGUGACUGAGAUUAGUAGUGGUAAUCUUAUUCCACUUUCGGAGCAGCAAAUACUAGACUGCUCAAUAGAUGGUAACCGUGGAUGCGGUGGCGGUUGGAUGGACAAUGCCUUUAAAUAUAUUAUAAAAAACCAGGGUAUUGCCUCAGAAGCGGAUUAUCCAUACAAGGAAGUCCAAGGGACUUGUGAAGACGCACAGGUCAAGGCAGCUGCUAAAAUUAGUAACUUUGAAGAUGUAAAACCCAAUGAUGAGCAGGCUUUACUCCAAGCUGUAGCCAUGCAGCCAGUAUCAAUUUGCAUUGAAGGAAGUGGACCAGACUUCCAGAGUUACAAAGGCGGUAUUUUUAACGGAGGAUGUGGAACUCAGUGUUCUCAUGCUGUUGCUAUCGUUGGAUAUGGGGCAACUGAAGAUGGAAUGAAGUAUUGGUUAAUUAAGAAUUCAUGGGGGGAGAGCUGGGGUGAGGCCGGCUACAUGAGGAUUCUCAGAGAUGUUGAAGCACCUGAAGGUCUCUGUGGCAUUGCCACUAAACCUUCCUACCCAGUUGCAUGAGUAGCAGUAUUUUAUAUUAUAAUAUUAUUAGCCGCCUCUUAGUAAUGAUGUCUUCAAGCCUACACAUGCAUUAGCCUCGAAAGGCUUAUACGAACCGUAUGAAUCGUAUGAUUCUGUGGUUUUACCUAUGUUGAGUAUUUCAUAAGUUGUAAUUGAACGCCAAUAUUUGGUAUUAGUUAAUGUUAAAUCUCUCGUUUAAAUAUAAGUUUGAUCUUUGCAGUAAUUAGUCAUUUACAUUUAAUGUCACGGAUACUCAAUUCGACCAAGAAAUACAUAGUUUAUAUCUUAGUUACUCUGAUAUUUUAUGUGGCAUGUUAUAUGUAGUUCAUUGAUCAAGUUGUAAGAAUAGUAUGUAAAUAAUUAAUAAUAAAUUUAUUUAUUAUCAUUUAUGAGACAAUAAAUGAUUAGUGGAACAUUAAUUAAAAUACAAACUAUUAUUAUUUAUUUAAGAAAUAUAUAUUGGUCAAUGAAAUUAAUGCAAGACAAAAAGUAACUGAAUUUUGAUUACACGCUUGAUGUCUGGAAGUACAAUGAUUAUGAAUUUGUGUUUAAUUAGGUCAAAGUUUUAAGUUAAAAUAAUCAAACCUAUAUACUCACACUAACUUUUAAAGUUUGAGUGGAAUUUGCCCGCUUUAAUUGGGGUCUCAUACAGCAAAAAAUUUUUGGCCAUCUUGAAUUUCUUUUUCUAUUUACUUAUAAAAAUUUAAAGGCUUGGUAAUUUCCCUCCCCCAAAUUCUGUCUUUAUUCCUAAGUAAAUUAGUUAGUCAUUAUUUCAAUAAUUAAAAUUAUUCUAAGUUCUAAAUUUUGGGCGUGGAGGGAAAGUUAAGCGCAAGUAGCCGUGACUGAUUAAUAUUAAACAAUAUAAUUUAAUGCAUUUUUUUCUUCAUCUAUUUUUUUAAUAUUAGUUUUUGAACAAAAUAGUAGAACGAUAGUUAGAAUUUAUUAAUCAAAUUUUUUUACUUUCAUAUCCAUAUUAUAUUGUCAAUAAUAGUGUCAUGUAAUUAUAAUUAAAAGUAUUUGCAAAUAAUUUUGAAAGUCGACCGCCUCAUCAAAAACUCAGGAUGGCCGAGUGGUCUAAGGCGCCAGACUCAAGUCUGGUCUUCGAAAGAGGGCGUGGGUUCAAAUCCCACUUCUGACAAUGUAAUUUUUUAUUUUUUAUUCAUUUUUUUACAACGUUACGACUAAACGACGUCAUUUUCAUUAAACGGCAAGUCGUUUCAGUCGUCUUCUUUAACGGAAUAAAAAAUAUCUAAACCGAAGACCAAUGUUUCCAAACCCGCUAUAAACCCUACAGAUAACCCUCAUUGCCACUCGCAUCACUGAGUUCUUAACCUGAGUUAAAAUGGCCGAGUCCGCAUCCGAACUCAGUGAGUUCCGGAUUUUUCCGGCGGACUCACCGCCACCACAACCGAAUUCAACCGGAGUUCCGGUUCAUAAUCUAACACCAGAGGAGCUCGUGGCCAAAGCCAUAGCUCCAGUUAAGAAACAGUUUCUUCGUCAUUAAAUUCCAAAAUAAAUUUUAACAUAAUAAUUAAUUCUUUUAAUAGAUAAAAUUUUCUAUAUGCACGAUUGAAUUCAGCCCCAAAAUGUUAAUUAAAAAACAAUUAUCCAAUAUUCAAGAUAGUUUGAAUCGUCAUUCUCAUAUCGUUAUAAUGUCAUGAAAUAAUUGUACAAAAACAAAUGACCAAUAAAUUCACAAACGUAUAAUAUUGCCUAAUGUAAAUAACUUAUUAAUUAAUAUUGAUAUAUUAUUAAUUACUUAAUGUUUUACCUUUUUAUAAAACAUAAAAUUAUGUUUACUUCCAUUCAAGAUAUCCCAAAAAAAUUAAUCUUUUUGGAUGAUUCAUAAUUUUCAAGAGGAUGUUUUUACACCAUACCAUCGUCAAAUUGAUAAGGGCCAUGUUAUUUUUUAUUUAAUUGAUUUAAAUUUCAACUAGAGAGCUAUUGGAAUCGAUCACUGUAAAAGUUAAGUUGUGAUGUAAUCACACAAUCUUGAGAUCUGCUAUUAGAAAAAUAAUUGAAGAACCAAAUCCCAAUGAAAAUACAUCCAAAAUGAUGUCGUUUUGAAUUUGUUCCCAAAAAAAAAAAAAAAUUAAACUCACUAAAAAACAACAUGUGUGUUUUUGUUAACCUUUUAUCGAAUUGUAAUUUAAAUAUUUAUCAUGUACUUUUAUAUUCUAUUCAGGGCUGGCUCAACCAUAUUUGAGGCCUUAGGCAAAUGGUUUUAAUUAGUUUUUCUUAAAAUUUAGGACAAAAAAUAUGUUUAUUAGUUAUGAGUGAUGAUACAGCCACAAACUCUUGUACAAACUGACGUGGUAUUAAUUCAUUGGUUGAAUGAAAAUAUAAAAUAAUAAAAACAAAUCACGUGAGCCAAGUGAUAUUUAAUUCAACCAAUCUUAUCAUGCCACAUCAGUUUGUACAAGAGUUUGUGGUUAUAUCAUUACUCAUUAGUUAUAUAAUAUUUAUUGAAAAUCAAUUCUUUAAACACUCUCUAAAAUGUAAAAUUAUUAAAUAAAAUUAUAUUACACUAUUGUCAAUCCUUGAAAUUUUAAUUCAAUUAUAAUAUUUUUACUUUUUUUUUUAACUCAAAUUACAUCUUUUAUACUACUUCUUUUCUACAUUAAAUUAAUUUUUUUAUUCUUCUAUUUUCUAAAGUUUUUUGAUAUAGUUAUUUAUUUCACAAUAGAAAAAAAAAAGCACACAAAAAAUAGUAGAUGAAUAAAAGAAUGUAUUAAAAAGAAAUAAGAACACAUAAAUAAUACGAUUAAUUAAGAGAAUAAUAAAAAAUAAAAUCUGAAAUUUGAAAUUUGAGAUGAAAUCAUAAAUUAACUUUAUCUUUAUAUUAAUUAUUUGAAGAUUUGAGUAAUGACUAAUAGCCAUAGAGAAUAGAAAAAAACUAUUAGAUUUUUUCUUUUUUUUCUUGAGUGGAAAGUAGAGGAAGCAAGAUUUUUUUUCCCCUCUCUCUCUUUCUUGCUCUCAAAAACGAAGAACAUAUGCUGUCUUCAUUGUUAGAAGAAAAAUUUAAUGGAUAAGUAAUAAAAUGUGGGGCUUUUAUAGAGGUUUAAAAUGAAUAUAAAACUUUUAUAUAAGUUGUUAAUUCUAACAAUGAAAUAACGAAUUUAUAGGAUUGAAACUAUUAAUUUAUCGGUUUUGUAGGAAUUAAAACUACUAAGUACUACAUUAAAUAAACUUUAUAGGAACUCGGUAGUUUAUUUGAGAAAAGAUAAUUACAAAAUAAUAAUAAAUUAGAUGCAUGAUAAUGACUUUUAAAUUCACUUUCCUCUUUUAUAUACAAAAUAAUCAUCUUAUAGGAUUUUCUUGUAAAGUAGGGCUCUAAGCAACCGCCUAAGUUGUCUAGAGAUCGAACUGCUACUGAUUCUAUUACUAAUUUUGAAAUUUUCAGACAUAUUUAAGCUCCACUAUUUUAUUUUUUUAAUCAAAAUAGUAUGUUUAUUAAUAAUGAUUAUAAAAAAAAGAUAAUGAUUCAAUAAUGUUGUUUAUAUAUAUUGAAUCAACUUUAAAAGUCAACAUUUACUUUACACACUCGUAUAAAUGCUAAAAUAACCCUUUAUUUAUGUAUUUUUUAAGGCUGUAGAAUGUAUUCAUUACAAAGAUACAGUACAUUUAAUUUGUGGUAUUCAAAAUUUGAUGAUUACCAUUUUUGAGUUGAUGGUCUUAUGCUUCAUAUUUGCAUUAAUUUUAUGUUUAAUAGUAUGACAGUGAUUUCAUGUAAAGUUUUAUUUCCUAAUUACAAUUUUAAAUUAAUGUUCCUAAAUUUCAUAUUAUCAUUAGUUUCAUAUAUCUUUUAUGUUCAAUAUUAAUGAUUUCAUGUAAUACUCCAAUGAAUUCUAGCUUAAUUAUUACAAUUGUAAGUAGAUGAUCAUAUUAUUUUAUGCUUAAUUUUAUAAUUAAAUUAACGAAUGAAACUGUUGCUACCUUUUCAUAAUUAUUUAUUUUCCAGGAAUCAUUUUUUAGCACUUCUCAAUGUCAUUAUUUGAAAAUUAAAUGAGGGGUUGGGUUUGUAUUCAUUACAUCGGAUGAUUUAUAUUUAAAUAAAUUAUUUCAAUCUCAUAUCGUUAUAUUAUGGGUGAUUUUAUAUCCACAUUUAAAUUUUUAAAGUUGUUAUCUUAACUUUUUAAAAUCAGAGUUGUGUUUAUUUAUCAAUUUAAAACGUCAAUAAUCUACUAUUGGCGUAACAAUUGAUAUUCUCAUUUUGGAAUCAUCAAGAAUCUUAAAAUUUUCAAAGCCACCAUGCUCAAUUUAUACACGAAAAAGAGGAGGGGGGGGGGGGGGGGUAAGAUGCAUGAUCAGAAAUGAAUUUGGCAAGUAUUUGAUUGAGUUGAGAGGUCACUAAUCUCACUUAAUUUGCGAAUCACAAUAUGAUUGUUUUCAAUCGGCACCAAAACGAAGGGCUGGUUUUGGUUAUUAUAGUGCCUUGUUCUAUGAAGGAUUUUGGUUACCCACAUAUGGGAUUGAUCUUUGCUUCUACUCAGUAUAAAUUCUUGAAUUAUACUAUAUAUAUAAAAAAAUAAAAAUUAUAGAACAUGCUAUAAGCGUAUAAAUUGAGACUUUCGUUAAAUUUUAAUUUAUAAUAUUUUUCCGGAGAAAAGUAAUUAGCAUGAAACACAACAGCGGUGAAUCAUCUCAUUUUUCAAGAAAUAAUAUUUGUCAGAGCUUUUUUUUUUAUAUUAGUUUAUAAUUAACUUUAAUAUGUAAUAAUAUAGCAUAUUCUGGGAAACCUGUUGGGAUAAUUGUUUUUAAUAUUAUUAUGAUAUUACACAUGAUUGGCAGUCGCAACUCAUCAUCAUCAUCUGAAACCAUAUUAACAAACAUUUAUUUAACAAUAUUCUUUAUGUAAACAGGAUUACCCUAAACCCAAUUAAUAUCUGCAGGGAUCAGACGACUGUUAGAACAUAUGUUAAAUUUGUAUAAUAUAUGAUUUAAAAAUUUAAAAAAUAAAUUUUUCUUUUUUGGAGAUAACAGUUGGUAUAUUUAGGAUUAGUAAAACUAAAUGUUUUAUUUUUAUUCUAUGUGCUCCAUCAUGGCAGUAGUUAUUUUUUUGCGAUUAAACAUACUAUUUUGAUUUAAAUGGAUUACAAAAUGGCACAUUUUUUUAACCCUUAACAGUUGGUAUAUUUUUUUUUAACCCUUAACAGUUGGUAUAUAUUUUUUAAUAAGAUUAUUAAUGCAUCAAGUAAUCUUGUUUUGAUGAUUGUAACUCGUGACUGCGGGAAAAUUUCUAAUGGAAACAACUCAAUUUCGGAAGAAAACUUGAUUUUGCAAGUGAUGAAUUUGAACUCGUUGGAUUGGUUGAUUUAUGAUUGACUGAAUUUCACUUUUCCUCAUAAGAUCUUUAACCAAAGUUUAAUAGCUAUCAUGUACUCCUUAAAAGCAAUUUUUUUUUUUAGAUUUGACUGAAUUUGAACUUGUUGGAUUGGUUGCUUUUAGAUUAUUAAUAUGAGAUAUUACAACGUAAAUAUUUUCAUGUGGUUGAGCCCUAUUCUAAAAUCUGUAUAGUUAGCUUUAGAAAAAGGGCUUUUCCUGCUGAUCUGUAAUCUUGAAAUAAACUUAGAUACAAAUAAUGAAAUAAAGGACAACAAACAAGCAAUACUGAUACAAAGCCAACAGAUCAGAGUUUUUGGUACAAAUCCAAUAAAAGACAAUAAACUUAGGACCUUUUUUUCUUGCUUUCUUUUGUUGAAGGAUUAGAGUUUUUGGUAUUAUCAGUAAAGGUUUCAAGGAGUAAAAGCCUAUAAACUUUUUUUUUGGGGGAGCGCCGCCGGGGGGGGCGGGGGAGAGCAUGCAAAUUAACCAAAAGAAAUAAUAAGAGCACAGGCUUUAACAAUGAAUACUGACUUAAAACUCAUGCAAAAUAAGUUACAAUACUAAAACAAACCAGAGAAAUUUUUUUCUUGGAAAGUAGAUGGAACUUAUGAAAGAGCAGAUGUCAAGGAUUUAGAAAACGUGCACCUCUUUAAUUACCUGGGAUUAGAGAGUUGGUGAGCUUCUCUAUUUAAGAACAAGUUGAAAGAGGAAAAAGAUCACUGGUAACUGCUGAGGAAUGUGUGAGAAAAGAGUUGAUGAGAGCAAUAACAAUGACCUGCAAAAGAAACAGAAUUAGUCAUUCACCGCUUUUCUAUAUCAUGUAUUUGGUUAUUGUUGCCCUGUUGACGCAUGUUGAAGAAGAAAGCACUAGUUCACAACUCUACGUUUUCAUAUAUUCUAAAGAAAUAAUUAAGCUUUCAUAGAAUAAUACCUGUUGUGUUUGAGUAAUUUUGGUAUAUACAUUGCUUGUGUACUGUGAAAUUGAAAUGAAUAUUGAUUGACAGAGCAAUGUAUAUGCCUAAUAAAACACAAAGCAAAUACCGGAAUUCCCCUUUUAAGGUGAAGGCCUUACUCAAUUCCUAUUGGAAUUGCAACGAAUGAUUCGGGACUAAAACUUUUAUAAAAGCAAAUACCGGAAACACACAAAAAGCAUUUAAGAGAGAAACUAAACAGCAAAUAAUAGAAGUAAGAUCAAUAAUAUAUGAUUUGAUUUAUGCAUAUUCAAAAACCAAAAUAUAAAAUAAAAUAAAAAAAUAAAGUUUGAUUUAUUCUUUCCACAAAAAACAGGGGAAUGAAAACAGAGGCAACUUGUUUUACCAAUUUUUUCUUCUUAAUUUCCGGCAAAAAAAAAAAAUUCAAUAAACAGGGGAAUGAACACAAAGGAACGAAAACAGAGGAAACUUGCUUUUCAGGCUAUCUUGUGACAUGAUGAUAUUGCUCGUGAAUGCAUGAAAAUUUCUAAUGCAAACAGCUCAAUUUGGGAUGAUAAGCUUAAGUUUGCAAGUGAUGCAAGUAAAUAAGUUUUUGCGGUUAAUUGAAUCUUUAAUACUCUGGGCCCUAUUCUAAAAUUUGUAGGUUGCUUCAGAAGAAAGGGCAGUUCUCACUCAUCUUUAAUCUCCAAGUAAAAUUAGAUACAAAGCAAAUCUAAUAAAAUGACAAACAAACAAACAAACAAAACAAAGAAAAGACAGGAGGCAAACAACAUUGAUCUUAAGCCAACUGAUAUUUUAAACAGAGAAUUCUUUUCUUUUAUUUUUUUUAACCACCUUUUGCUCAAGGAUUAGAGUUUUUAUAUUAACAGAAAGGUUUCAGGGGUCUGAAUAAAAGCCCACAAUUUCUCUAAUUGUUAUUUUUUUUUUUAUUAUUGAAAGGAGCUUCACUAUUGGCCUUGAACAUAUAAGAAUGAGCAAAAGAUCAAUGUCAACUGCCGAGGAAUGUGAGUAAAGAUUUCAUCAGAGUAAGUAAUACAAAUGAAUUGUAAAAGAACAAGACUUAAGCGUGCACCCCGUGUUUUGUUUUAUUGUACGUAUAAACAUAACAUGUUCAUUUUUAACAAAGUGGUCAAUUACUCUUUUUUUUUUUGGUACAAAGACGUGCCUAGCAUAGACUAGGGCAAAACAAAACGGGGGUGUGAAACCCCAAUACAAUUAUGACGAAUCCAAAACCCAGCCCCUAAAGGAAGAGAAUUGAAAAUGUGCAAUCCAACAGGGAGUGAAAGAGCAGAGUUUGCAAGAAAGUCAGCUGCAAAAUUUGAUUCUCUGUAAACAUGCUUGACCUGCACUUGCCAGGUUUUGUUAAGCAAUUCCUUAAUACCCCUGACAAGAGAAGCAUGUGCAUUUGGCCUAAUCUCGUCAUCCGCCACCAAAAGAGUAACACAAAGGCUGUCAAUCUCCACAUGAAGCUGCCGAAUUCCAUUAUCCCAAGCCAGACAUAACCCUUGAUAAAGGCCCCAUAACUCAGCACCAGUGAUGGUACCCACACCAAUAUUCAUUCCAAAACCAAUUAUCCACUCUCCAUAACAGUUUCUAAUCAAGCCAUCUGCACUAGACAGACCAGAACUUUUACGAGCUCCAUCUGUGUCGAGUUUAAACCAAGGCCAAGUAGGUGCCACCCAUCCAAAAUAUUCUCAAUCUUCAUGGCAGCAGGAACCAAACAACUCUAAUUAAUCUUUUGAAUUUCUUCUGUACGGAUCUUAAUAUCCAUUACAACAGUACUCUUGCUGUUGCUGGUAAAAACACCAUUAUGCAGAUUUUGGUUACGCCAAAACCAAAGCCUCCAAACUGUGACCCCAAAAAGACACGGCCAGUCAAACAUACCAUCAUACUUCCACAAGUUCCUCAAAUUAUAUAACAUCCAAUCUCGGAGAUUCAAACUAAAAAAUUAAUGACUAAUCCCAUGGGGUAUCAAUGACGACCAGACAUGCUUAGCACUGGGGCAAUCCCGUAGCACAUGAAGAGUAUUUUCAACAACACAGCCACACUUUGCACAGCUCAUAUCAUCAACAAUAUGUCUCCGGAAAAGUUCUGCUUUAGUUUUAAGUCUAUUUUGACCCACCACCCACAGAAAGGUUUUGAUACGUUGGGGACCUCUCCACUGCCAAAGAAUGCGCCAAAAUGAUUCUUCAUUGUGAACCUCCAUUUUUGACAAAGCCCUAUAUGCUGAAUUAGUAGUGAAAUCUCCUGACUUAGAAUAUGCCCAGUUCAUGUAAUCAUCCUCAUCAUUUACACUGGGAGGCUUGGUGGCUGCAAUUUUGAGAAGUAAAUGAUGGGGCAAUAAAUUCUCAAAAAGCCGCCAAUUCCAAGUACCCUCAACAGUGAUAAACCUCACCACGCACUCCUCAAGCUGCUCUAAAGGUAUCGGCUGCAAAGCGAAAGUAUACAAAGGGUAUUCCUCUGUUACCCAAUUAUCCCACCAAAAUCUAACUCGGUUGCCAUUUCCAAUGUCCCAUUUGAUCCCUUUUAAAACCUCAUGCCAAAUGCCUCCCACAGCCUUCCACAUGUAAGAGCCACAUUUCGUAGGUAAUGUGCUGGGGAGAGCAUUAGGAGCCAGCCCAUACUUAGACAAGAGAACCUUCAACCAUAAACUAUUUGGAGAAGCAAUUAAACCGCCCCCAAUCUUCAUGAGCAGAGCAUCAUUCAUUAAAUUAAGCUGCUUAAGACCAAGGCCUCCGCUAGGUUUCGGUUGACAUAUUGUAUCCUAUUUCACUAAACUGAUUUUCUUCUUGUCUGCUGUCCCGCUCCAAAUAAACCUCCUACAAGCCUGAUCAAUUUUCUCCCGAAUACCAAACGGAAUCCUCGUGGUCUGCAUUGCAUAAAUAGGAAUCGCCUGGAUUACCGAUUGAGUGAGAGUGAUCCUACCCGCCAAGGACAAAUGUAUCGCAUUCCACCGCAACAAAUGUUGGUUCACUUUGUCCAAAAUUCCCUGAUAAGUUAGCUUAUUAACCCGUGAAUGAAUAAUUGGCAUUCCUAAAUAUUUCCCUAGGUUUUUUGUGACAGAAAAACUGAAGGAAUCACCAAUUUCCUUAGCCUCAGCAAACUUUACGUUGUGGGAGAAAAAAACUUAUGUCUUUGUUUUACUAACUUUCUCUCCAGAGCUCAUACAAUAAACAUUCAACACUUCAUUUAUAACCAUUGCUUGCCUAGAGGAAGCCUCUGCAAGCAAGAUAAGAUCGUUAGCAAAAAAUAAGUGAGAUAAAGAGGUACCUGCACGAGACAGUUUAAUAGGUUUCCAGUACCCUCUCUUCACAGUGUCAUUUACUCCAUGGCUUAACCUUUCUAUACAUAACACAAAGAUAUAUGGGGAAAUGGGGUCUCCCUGUCUAAUACCCCUAGAAGGGGUAAAACUCUCCGUAAUUUCUCCAUUCCAUAGAAGUUGCAUAGUCGCCGUUGUAAUACAUUCCAUAAUAAGCUGAACCAAAACAGUAGGCAAUCCAAACUCCCUCAAGGUUUCAUAAAUAAAAUCCCAGCUUAAACGAUCAUACGCCUUUUCCAAAUCCACCUUAAUGGCCAUCUGCCCAAUCCUCCCUUUCUUACGUCUCAUCUAAUGAAUAACUUCCUGAGCAACCACUAUGUUUUCCGUUAUGUGUCUCCCCGGGAUAAAACUAGUCAGGGUAGGAAUGAGGUCAGGCAAGAUAGAUUUCAGCCGGUUAGCUAAUAACUUAGUGAUAGUUUUAUAGAUAACCGGGCAAAGACUAAUCGGACGAAAAAGCUUAAGGCUAAUAGGAUUAUCCGACUUAGGAACCAACACAAUCAGAGUUUUGUUCAGCUCCUUAAGGAUCUCGUUGCCAUUAAAAAUACCUUUUAUAAGACUACAGACAGAUUUUCCCACUACAUGCCACUGGGUCUGGUAAAAGAGAGCAUGCAACCCGCCUAUUCCAGGGGCUUUCAAAGCCUUCAUGCUGAAGAUCACAUUCUUAAUUUCCUCAUCCUCCACUGCUUGUCCCAAAGCUUGCAUUCGACUUUCCUCAAGGACUGGGAAGGCGUUAACAACAUGGUAUGGAUGAUAGAUUGCAUCCUCUUUGGGAUAGAGCUUUGAAAAGAAGGACACAGCAUAAUCUCUAAUCUCAUCAUUAUUCAACAACCAAUAACUCUAUUCGUUAUGAAAUUGAUAUUGUACCCAAUUUUAAGAGAGCAUAAUAAUAACCAUUCAAUGCAUAAAUUUAGAAUUAGGUUUUUUUUUGUAAUUCUUUAUUUAAAUAUAAACUUCAAUGGAAAAUUAUAAAAAUUUAGAUAUAAAAUUUUAAAUCACCGGACCAAAAAAAAAAAAAAGGGGAACGGAAAUAGAGGAAUCUUGCUUUACCUUUUUUUCCUUUAACUCUUGUUCUUAUAUAAAUAAUCUUGUUUUGAUGAUUGUAACUCAUGACUGCGGGAAAAUUUCUAAUGGAUUUGUUAUGCAAGUGAUGGAUUUGUUCAAUUGACUCUGUACUUGAACUAGUUGGAUUGGUUGAUUGAUGAUUGACUAAAUUUGAAUUAAGUUUAAUAGCUUAGCUAUCAUGUACUCCUUAAAAGCAAACGUAAAUCUUUUUUAGAUUUGAAUGAAUUUGGGAACCUGUUGGAUUGAUUGUUUAUAGAUCAUUAAUUUCAGAUACUACAACGUAAAUAUUUUCUUGUGGUUGAAUACCGGUUCUGCUUUAAUGAUUUUGGCAUAGACAUUGCUUGUGAACUGUGAAAUUGAAAUGAAUAUUAAGUGACAGCGCGAUGUAUAUGCCUAAUAAAAGAUCAGCAAAAGCUUGGAUGAAUGAUUGAAGACCAAAACUUUUAUAAAAGCAUUUUUGAGAGAAACUAAACACCAAAUUAUCAAAGUAAGAUCAACAGUAUAUGAUUUGAUCUAUACACAUUCAAAAACAAAAUGAUGAUUAAUAAUAAAGUUUGAUUUUGUAUUGCCAACGAUGCUUUUUUGUUGUUUCAUUUGUUCGACGUGGCCUUAUUUACAAAUUGGUUUAUGUUAACAGAAACAUGAAAUUCACAUCACACAAAAUUGCACGAACAAAUAUUAAGAGAACGUAAUAAUAAUCAGUCAAUGCGUAAGGGUAAAUUUAGAAUUACAUAUUCUUUUUUAUUUAAUAAAAUCCCAACGGGAAGUCAUAAAAAUUUAGAUAUAAAAUUUUCAAUCACCAAACGAAAAAACAGGGGGAAUGAAAACACAGAAAACUUGUUUUACCUUUUUUUUUUUCAUCUAAUUCCUGUUCUUAUAUAAUAUUUUCCCUAGUAUUUCGGGCAAGAAAAAAAAAAUUCAACAAAGAGCAAGUUGCUCAGAUUGAUUUAUCUUGUUUUUCAGGUUAUCUUGUGAAAUGAUGAUAAUGCUCAUGAAUGCUAGAAAACUUCUAAUGCAAACAACUCUAUUUGGGAUGAUAAGCCUAAUUUUACAAGCGAUAAAUAUAAAUAACUUUUUGUGGUCAAUUGAAUUUGUAAUUACUCUUAGCCCUAUUCUAAAAUUUGCAGGCUGCUUGAGAAAAAAGAAUAUUUCUCACUCAUCUUUAAUCUUCAAGGAAAAAACAAAUCUAAUAAAAUGACAAACAAACAAACAAACAUAUAAAAGACAGCAAACAAACAACAUUGAUCUUAUGCCUACUGAUAUUUAAACAGAGAAUUCUUUCUUCUUUUUCUCUUCAUGGAUUAGAGUUUUUGCUAUUAACAGAAAGGUUUCAAGGGUCUGAAUACAAUCCCAGACUUUUUUUUAACUUUGUUUUUUGUGGGAAAAUGGAUUCAAGUUAACCAAAGCCAAUAAUAAGAUCACAGACUUUAACAAUGAACAAUAACUUAAGCAAAACCAAUGACAAGAUUAAAACAAACCAGAGAAAUUUUUCUCGGAAAGUAGAUGAAAAGCAAGUAAGAACUGCUAUUAAAUAUUAUUAAAGGAUUUAGAACAUGUAUACCUCUUUAAUUAUAUGGGAUCAGAGAAAUGACCUUCUCUAUUCGCUUCGGAUAUUAAGUAAGAACUGCUAUUAAAAGAAUGAAUUGAUGAGAGUAAUAACAAUGAAUUGCAAAAUAGGAAGACUCAAUCAUGCACCCCUUUUAUACCCGAUUUUUAAGAUUUAAUUUUGAAGUUCACCAAUCAAGAACAAAGAAAAAACCUUAAUAAAGAAUGCAGUGAGAAUAAUUAAGUUAAAGAAAGUACUAGGUUAUGGCUCUGCGUUUCAUAUGCUGUAAUGAAAUAAUUAAGUUGAAGUUUUUAACGAUUAAAUACCUGUUGUGCUAGAAUAAUUUUAGAAGAAUAUUGGCUUAUAGAGCAUAUUAGUAGGGAUAAGAUUUGUAAGAUGCCAGAUAAAAGAUAAAGCGAAAGCUUGAAUGAAGAAUGGCAUUUAAUAAUUAUAGAAGAAUAUUGGCUUAUAGAGCAUUUUAGUAGUGAUAAGAUUUGUGGACAGAAUAAAUGAAAUAAUAAAAGGCAUAACUGAUCAAGUCAUUAUUGAUCUUACUUUGAUUAUUACAUUGCACAUUAGUUUCUUUCUAAAAAUGCCAUUCUUCAUUCAAGCUUUCGCUUUAUCUUUCAUCAGGCAUCCUACAAAUCUUAUCCCAACUAAUAUGCUCUAUAAGCCAAUAUUCUUCUAAAAUUAUUAAAUUCCAUUCUUCAUUCAAGCUUUCAUGGACACUAUUUACAAAUUGUUCUUGUAUUUGACAGAAAAAUGAAAACUCCUCAUCAUACAAAACUGCAUGAACAAAUCUUCAAUUUAAUUAUGAUAAAAUAAUUAAUUCCAUUAAUAGAUUAUGUUGUUUUUUUUUUUUUUGUCUUGACCACAAGGUAUCCUGGGAAGGGCCCCAACUGUGGGAGGCAUUUUUAAGCCCGUACCACAACCCAUACUAGAAGUCCCCACUCGAACCGGGAGGCACAAGUUCUCCCAACAAAGGCGACUUCCCUGCAAUUCGAACUGGGGAGCAAACCCAGUCAAUCCACUUAAGGGGACUCCAUUGCCAGUGGAGCCAACACUUUGUUGGUUAUGUUGUAUGUUAAUGUGAGGGAUUUGAUCAGGUGAUCAUAUAAUUUACUAAACGCUUUAAGAAGAACAAGAAUUAAUGAGUUAAAAAUUAAAAAAUAAAUAAAUAAAGAGUAGAUGGAAAGAAUGUUAUUUGCAAUCACUAAACCAAAGAACAGGGGAAUGAUAAGAGAGGACGGUUACUGCAACAUUAUGAAGUCAAAAUUAAGAAAGGCAUUCUUUUUUUUUUCACAUUAUUCUAUUUAAUCUUUCAUAAGGCGCACACUACGAAUCUAAAUUAAAUUCAUAAUUAAGAAUAAAAGAUAAACCCAAACAAUCAUCUAGCAGGUGCCGUGUAGACUGCAUCAAAAAUUUAGAUUUAGAUUUUUACAAUCACCAAAUGGAAAAACAGGGGAAUGAAAACAAAGGUGCCGUGUUUGUAGAAACAGGGGAGUUUCCGGGUUUCUGGAAACAAACUCAGAAACGAAUAAAUCUCUUGGUGUAUAUAAGCUUUCAUCAUCUGGUUUUAGUUUGGUUAGGUUUAACUACAUUUCCUGGGUAGCAUUACUUAUGCUAGUAUAUUCAUUUCUACCCAAGCCACAGUGACUGUUAGGAGUUCUCGUAAACUGAAUUUAAAGUUGCGGCUUAAAGUGUUUACCAACUUAAAACCAGAGCUAUAAAGUGUUUGAUGAAUUAUUUUUUCAUUAAAAAAAAAAAAACUGAUUUAGCGGGAUAAAAUAAUGCUCCAUUCCGUUUAGUAAGUGAAGUCCAGAGUAUUACCUACUACUAACUAAAUCCGCUUGAUUCACAAGACUACCAAGAGAUGACUGAAUCUUCAAUGUAAUAAAAUAAUAAUCAGCCUCACAGGAUACAUAAAAAGCUCAUUUUUCACAACCAUAUCCUAGUGCAUCAUAAACUUGAUUAUUUAAUUUUACUAUUAGGAAACCUACUUAUAUAAGGCGCACACUACAAAUUCUAAAUUAAAUUUUCAACUAAGAAUAAAAGGUAAACCCUAGCAGUCUUCCACCAGGUGCCGUGUAGCCUGCAUCAUAAAUUUUGAUUUAAAUCUUUGUAAUCACCGAACAGAAAAACAGGGGAAUGAAAACAGAGGAGCCCUCAUUUUUUUAACCCUUAACUCUUGUUCUUCUAAUUAUAUUUUUACUUGGAAUUUCAGGCAAACAACAAAAAAUAGUGACAACUAUUCAGAGAGAACAGGUGGAUGAUAGCAAAAAUAUUUUUAAUUAAUAUGCAUGAUUAACUCUUGUUCUUCAUUAUUGGUAGUCUCUGUGGGCUCAUUUCGUCUCCAGACCUGAUAUUGUAUAUCUCUUUUUGAAUAUGCAUGCUGCUGAAUAAAGAUGAUUACUUCCAAAUUUUUGUUGCUUUUUUUUUUUUUUUUUGGGCUUUGGUGCAUGAAGAAUGUGGAAAUAGAAAUAGCUUUCGAAGUUUAAUGGCUUGCUUCAUUAGUAAAGAAAGACAAGGAUAUCUGUCCCUUUUUGUUACUGAAUUAUUGAUCAAUUGACGGUUGAAGUUGGUUAUAUUAAUUUGUUGUACAAGAAUUGAAGCUUAUAUCUUAGCCGUUUCGUGAAGUGUCAAAUAUGUUCUUUCCUUGCAAUUGUUCAAAAUAUGUUAUUCUUUUGAAGUCACUAUUACAUAAAGGGUGUUGUAAAAUAGGGAAAGGCGGGUUUAUGAUUAGAUUUUAAUAUGUUUAAUUCAAGGAUUAACCGAAGCUAUUAACCAACGGCUACUAACCGAAAACCGAAUUUAACAAUAAACACUAACUCAGAAUUCAAGAAAAUUAAAUGACAAGAUUGAGACAAAUGAGAGAUAUUUUUCUUGGACAUUAAGAAAGAACUACUACCAAGAUCAAGGAUUAGAGAUUAUAUAUGCUAUUAUUAAUAGAAAUUAUUAAAGGAUUUAGAACAAGUUCACCUCGUUAAUUAUCUGGGAUGAUGAGUUUCUAUAUUCACCUUGAAUAUAUAAUAACAAUUUUAGUGAGCAAAAGAUCACUGGUAACUGCAGAGGAAUGUGUGAGUUUAAGAGCUUAUUAGAGUAAGCAAUACAAAUGAAUUUUCAAAUUAUGUACUUGGUCAUUGUUGUCCUACUGACGCACGUUUUUUUUCAUGAAUAAUUGCCAGAUCAGAAAAGAAUAAAUUCGGUUGAUUGAAAGAUUGCUGAAGUAAGUAAAACAAUCUUCAUAUCGAACAUGAUUCCAAUUAAAUUAAUCUUUUUAUAAGAUGACUAAUAAAAGAUAAAAGUAGAAGCUUUGAUGAAUGAACGAUGACCAAAACUUUUGUAAAAGCGGAUGCCGAUAAAAUAAACAAAAGGCACUUUAAAAAGAAACUAAAGUGCGAUCAUCAAAGUAAGAUCACUAAUGAUGCUUCGCUAUCACAAGGUCCGCAUGGACAUUAUUUACAAAUUGUUCUUAUGUUUCACAGAAAAAAAUGAAACACUGUUCAUCAUACAAAAUUGCAUGACCGAAUCUUCAAUUUUUAUAAUUAUAAAAUAAUGGAUUAUGGGUAUGUUAAUGUUACGGAUAUGAUCAGAUCAUCAUAUAAGUUACUAGAAGCAUUAACAAGAACAAGAUCUAAUGAGCUAAAAGUUUUUUUUUUAAAAAAAGUUAAAUAAAUAAAGAGUAAAAGUAAAAAAAUGUUAUUUGCAAUCACCAAAAUGAAAACAGAGGAGCCCUGUUUUUCCUCUUGUUUCUACUUCUCUCUUUUUCAAGUAGUAGAAAAUGAUAUCAGAGUAUGAGAGCUCACUGCUUUCAUUAGUUGGAAAGUGUCGCCUAAAACACUUCCUCUGCUGGGUGGAAUUGUUGGCUUGAAGAGAUGAGUUCUUGUCACGAGCACAAAUUUUAGCUGUACAUUAUUUCCUUUUAAAUGCACCAUUGUUGCACAGAUUUGAACCAUAUGAUCAUUAGUUUUUUGUUUUGAUUUGGUUAGUUCGUGAUGACAAAUGAAUUAUUUUCAUCACAUUGUCAUUAUGGUAAAAAGUUGCCCUCUUUGUUACUUCCACAGCUAUUUAGUUUAAUAUUUUGUAAUAAGAUCACAAAGUGCGUGGGAACUAUUGUUCGGGUACUUUAGCCUAAAAUGAAGAUCUAUUAAAAAUUUCCCUGAUGUCAUGAUAUAAAACAAUAAAAGGUACCAACUUCAGCUUAAAUUCAUAUAAAAUUAAACCUUACCACAUACUGUAUUGAAACAAAUUACUCAUCUUUAUUGGUAACAUCAUCACCUUCAUAAAAUAUAUGGUAUCGUACAAAGUUCUUGCGCUGGGUUCGGGCAUCUAACAACGAGGACACAGCAACCUAUUCGCUAGGUUAGAGACCAAAUAGCCAACAGCAAAAUGUGCACGACGCAUGUCACUAUCAUGAAAACAACAUUCUUUUUCUUUUUUUUUUUCCCCUCAAUAAUUUCAGAUAUAAUAUUUUAACUAAGUUUGUAACACUGUUGAUUGAAAUUAUCAAGUACGAAUGUGUGUAGAUUUUAACAUGUGCACUCAUAAUUAUUAUUGUGCAGUUUUAGACUUGGUUGGGUAUUGAGGUGCUAAAACUUUUGCCGUAAGAAAAAAAAGUUUUGCAAAAGUUUUAAGUAUAAAAUAAAAGUUAAUAGUAUAUAAUAAAUUUAGUUUUUUUAAUAAUAAUUUUGAUAAAAUUAUAAAAGAUAUAAUAAAUUUUUUAUCAUAUAAGUGUAAAAUCAAAUCAUCUUAACUUUUAAACUACAACAACUAUAACAUUUUAACUGUUCAAUCUCAAUCCUAAAUAGACCCUUAAUUUAUAAUUAGAUUGUCACUAAAAGAUUUUAAGUAUGUAUUUUAGAAUUUAACGAAUACACUUUUAAACUACCUUUGUCAGAUGAAAUGUUGGGAAAUUUUUAUUAAGCUCCAAAAGUGUUUGAAAUAAAUUUAUGUUUUUAUGAUACCAAAAAAAAAAAGAUUUAUGAACAUUUUUGUGAAGCUUAGGCGAAAAUUUUUGUUAGGCUCUAUUGGGCUAGAUGAGCAGCUCGGGCAGUUAAUUAUCGCCCAAAAAGCCCAACCCAGAUUACAACAAGCUGGGAUUUGGUUAGCUCGUUGACGGCCAUUUGGGUAUGCAUGAAUUGGGUGGAUGAUUAAUAAAUACGAUUUAUUAAUUAUUUCGCCGAUUUGAAUAUUCUCCUAAUUUAAUCUUUUCUAAUAUUAUAAUAACGAGAUUUUGACAUGUGUUAUACCUGUGUUAUUUUAAUAAUCCAAUAGAUAAUAUCUACUUUAUUUUUAUCUUUCGUUAUUAAAUACAAAAACACUAAUAGAAAAAAAAAAUGACUUAACUCUUUUUAUAUUUUUAAUUUUUAUUUAUUUCCGUUUAUUGCUUUCCUAGCAAUGUUCAUCUUUUUACUCUACAACAUCCAUAACCUUAACUUUGGAAAUAAAAGAGAAUAUGCGAAAGUAUAAGUAGGAGAAAGACUUCAUUGAAAUCAAACGAAUUGGGCAACGUUAGAUUUUUCUUUAAAAUUCUCAUGCGAUAUUAAUUAGUAGUAUUAUCGUUGUUGCCUGCCUACUUCUAACCUCAACCAAUAUAUGAUCAAUGCUUGAUUUGGUCAAUCUAAAUAAUUAUAAUCGAUGAUAGGAUAUUGUUGAAGGGCGGCCCUAAGGAUGAGAGAGGGAAUGCGUGUGCAAGCCACAUGUGUGAAGAAAAAGAAAAACGCAAGAGUGAAGAUGACGGCGAUUAAGAUCGUGUUUGAUUUCUUUUCCUGUUUAAUUUUAGUUAAUAUGCUGUUGUUAGUUCCAAAAUUUGAGUUAGCAACAAAAUGACAUGUUUUUGUGUUUAAUAAGGAAAAAGUAAAUAAUAGAUUUUCUAUAGGAUUCUUGGAAUGGAUUAGAUUAGACUAUGGAGAGAAAUAUAUUUGAAAAUAUUAGUGUUGAGUCAUUCUAAUGUCUUUAAUAGUAAAUUCAAUUAAGAAUAUUUUAGUAAUAUAAUUUUUUAUUAAAAUUAGAGUGUUCAAAGUUAGUAAUAAAAAAUUCAUAUAACUCUGGAUUUUUUUAUUGAAUUUAUAUAACUCUGGAUUCUUUUUUUUUUUUUUUUUUCCAACACUGAUAUGGUUCUGUUCUGUGUAUUUAUAUACAAUUUAAUGUUUACAUACAAGUUAAAUUAUAUACAAUCCUUCAAGUCGUAACUCAAUUUUAUGGAGGUUUAUACAUCUUUCAACGAUCAAUUUAAUAUUUAUAUACAAACCUCCGCAUCUUUCAACGAUCUCAUCUGCUGAUUUUUUGUAUUCCUGUUCUUUCACUUCAAUAAUUUUUUGUAUUAUUCCAUAUCUUUCACUUUAAUAACCCAAAAGCUUUCCUCUGUUUCAAUCGAAAGAAAACCCUAGCUUAAACUAAGAGAAAAUUUACAUAUUAAAGCUAAUUAGUACUGAAUUUUUUCUGGUGGUGCGACCAGAGGUGGAAACAGGGUAUGAAAAUGCGUUACUGGUGAGGUUGCUGCUUAAGAUGAGAAUGCAUUCUUUUCAAAAAUCCUUGGUAGGUGUUAUCUAAUUAUCUUUGAUGGAAUAUUAAAUGGCUAAAAAUCUGUCAUACGUUCAAACUUUGUUUUUGUUUAGAAGAAUGGUGUUGACUGUAUAUUCGUUUGGAAGAAUGGUGUUGAUUGUAUAUUCAUUUGCUUAGCCUUUUGACAGAUGGAUUUGGAACUGACGACAAAUGUGAUUCAAUUUACAAGGUUUUCGAGGGGCUCACCGUGGAAGGGAUAUUGAAGAACUGGUCUAAGAUAAAGCCUAUGAUUGUGAAAGAUUGGAGUGAGAAUAUAGAUGCUCUUUUUCAUCUUUUUGGCAAGGUCAGAGAUGAAUGGAUAGAUAAGGAUUUAUUUGACUACUUGGACUGGUGCUAAUAGGUAUUUUAGGCAAGCUUUUUGAGAUAACACUGAGCAAGUUAUACUACUAUUUUGCACAUGAUGAUCUCGAAAAGUAAAAUAAAAUAAAUUAUUAACUUUUACUUUCAUCUUUUGCAUAGCAAUCAAUGUGGUGCUUGUUCUGUGACAACUUUGAUAAUCUACUUAAUUAUUGGUUAGCAUUUGGACCAAAAAAGUUCUUAUGAUUUACAUGUUUUGUAGAAAUGCAUGAACCUUAAAUGUGCUGAUCAGGGAGUUUAAUUAUUGCACCUUGAAAUUCAUUUAUUGUUAACUAAUUGGCUUUCCUUUGCAUAAAGCCACUUAUAAGGCUUGAGUGGACGUCUUUAUGGGCAUAUUAUUUGUAUUUCUAUAUGCAUGCCUUUAUCAUUUAAUGUGCUGCUUUUAUUUCUUUAUGCAUGCCUUUAUCAUUUAAUGGCCAGCUCCCUCUCCUCUUUUGUAAUUUGAAUAGUAGUAUGGGCCUCCAUUUUACAAAUCUUUAACAUCUUUUGCUGUAAAUUAAUUUUUCUUUCAAAUAUUCACUACUAGAAAAAUAGUCUUUACUGACUUUACAAUAGUAUCAGAAAUUACUUUCACUGACACUUGUUAAUUGUGUCAGUAAUCUGGGAGUCAGAAAAAUAGUGACACUUAUAAGUGGUGUCAGUGAUUACUAUUACUACAGUAUCACCGAUAUUAUGACACCAUAGUGUUAGUAGUUAUUGAUAUUUUAUUAGUGUCUAUAAUUACUGUUACCAUGGUAUCACUAAUUAAUAUAUUUUUUUAAAAAUAAAAAAUUGAAUUGGAUCAUUGCCUAUUGAUUUAUUUGUAAAAUUAAAAGCACCACAAAAUAACAAAAAGAAAUUGAUUUAUAUCACAAAAUCUUUCAUUUCACAUUUAAAUAUUAUUAGUAUAUAACUAAAUAAUCCAAAUUCAAUACAUAAAAAUUUCUACCAUCCAAUCAAAUGCCUACUACUUGUGGCUAAAUUUAUAAAUCUAGAAGUUAAAUUGAGAAUGAUGACUGUCUUUCACUCUUUGAAUAUGAGUAGUAUAAUUGCGUUAUCACACCAGCAGCUUCUCCAUUUAAUAAACUGUAUGGGUUAUGAUACAAGUGAAGUUGAGGAAUAAACACUUCAAACACAUUGAGCAAAUAUGCAUACAUGGAAAAGGGAGAAAAAAUUAGCUGCCAAUUCCCAACCAUUAGAGAAACAAUGGUUAAUAUAAAUAAAUCUAUUUUGUUCUAAAGAAAAAAUAUUCAUACACUAUUUAUAAGUAAACUCAAUUAUUUCUAAUGGUGGAGCACAUAUGUGUGAACAACAGAGCAUCACAUAGCUCAAAGUACAUUAACUGUUCUGUGUCUUAUUCAUUUUUCACUUUAGCUUUUAUUUUAGCAAUUUUUUGAGAAUAAGCUCCAACUCAGAAGGUGAAAUCCAACUUCCAUAUGUAGACAUUCUUGCAGCUGACAGCAAUUAGUUUGGGACUACGGCUUUUUUGAGCAUCUGGCAUGGAUUACAUUGAGAUAUACAAUUUACAUACAAACAUUAAAGAACUAAAACAUUAUUUAUAUUUAGAGACAAUUCAAAUGUCAGCAAACAUUAUUUAUAUUGGUUUAGCAAGUGGCACGACAAUUUUUUAGAUAGAAAUGUACAGAAACUAUAAAGGAAAAACAUUAUCAAGACACCAUUAAAGAAUCAUAGAGUACCUUUACCGGAUUUGUUUGCUUUGCAGGUGGGCUGUGAUGAUGAUGAGCAUAAAGCAUUUUCAUUUAAGCGGACAAGUGCCUUAGCUUCUUUACUUACUACAGACCACGUGUUCUCCCCAUCUAGCCUUGCACUUCCAAAAUCAUGAAAUCCAUCUUUGUGGAAUGUCUUAAUGCCAGGAGUGCGUGAAAAUUCUGGGAGUGCAUUGGCCUUCUAAAUAAAAAGAAACUCGUAAAUAAUUCUUGUGUCAAGUAACAAGGACAAAAAUUUACUUGGAAGCAGCGCAUCCAUGAAAAGAUAGACGCAGAUAGCUACAGAGACACAGUCAACACAUAAUAGCUAAUCCUAAACCUUAUUGGAUAUAAUACCUCAUUAGCAGAGAUUGCUUCGUCAUCUGAGGUACAUGUUGAUGCCUUCCUUGGCGAGAAGAUAAAACCAACCUCAUCAGGAAAUUCAGGCGUUUCAACCUCGUCUUCCACAAAGACACUUAUUUGCUUCUGUUACAGCGACAUACACAAAUGUCAGUUUCUCCUAAGAAAACUGGUCGGAACCUGAAAAUUCUAUUCAAAUUUAAUCACUUGCCUUUGGUGAUAAACUGCCAGCAAUCCUUCCACAAGUUUCUCCAUGAGUACCUGUAUGUCAGAAACCAAAUCUGUGCUUUGGAACCUAAACAUGAAUAUCGAUGAACAACACCCUCAACAAUCUCAUUAGCGUCAAAAACAUUUUAUUACAAAAUAAUACUACGGUUUCGGAGCGCACCUUUCAGUAUGUCUAGUCGCGAUUGAAGUUGCACUACUUCCUAUCAAUUUACAAAAAUCAUAGCAUGAAUAAAUAAAACAAUUGCCUCUAAAUUUACAAAAUCAACGUCAUCACAUCAAUUACGUGAUGGAUAACAAUUUAAGUAAAUUUUAAUAAAAAAUUAUUCAACAAUUAAAUCGAAUGACAAUUAAAUUAGUAAAUUGAAUACUGACCUCUUUCUCCGAUGGCCCACCCAACGAAACACAAUUAUCUCGUAAAUCGACGUUAAAAUCUUCCUCAUCUGCAAAUCAAAAAAUUUGAAAAACAGAGAAAUGCUUAAAACGCGUACAGUGUUUAGUGUAUACAUAACAUAAGAGUAUUUAAAAAAUAAUGGCAACCCUGUAUGAAAUGUCAAUCAAAUUACCAGAAAUGCUUUGAUCAGAAUCUUCAUCUCCCUGAAAGCGCAUAAGAUCCCGGCAAAAUGAAAAGAAAAAAAUAAAACGAAUUAUCAUCUACAAAAAAAAACAACUUUAGUUGGUUAAAAUCUACAAACUAAGUGCGGCUCGGAUAGCAGAAUAUGACUAGAAAAACAAAAACAUUAUUGAGUAACCAGAACAUCUAACAUCGCAUAUGGGCACCAGAACAAAAUUCAUGCAAAAAUAUGGAAGUUGAAAAAUCAGCAAAUGCCGCUAACCGAGUUAAUGGAAUGCGAAACCUGCCUAGAUAGUGGAGGAGUUCCGGUAAAGGAGGACCAUCAAGCACAGCUAAGGAGGAAGAAUGCAACUUAAAAUAGUUAUAGUUUCAUUACGAAUUAAAAAAGUUUAAUCCUCUAAUUUUCAAUACAAUGGCAUCUCCUAUUCAUGCGCAUGCAUCAGCAGCAUUGUUAUUGAUAGAACUGAAAAAUUGGCACUCGGAUAAUCAUAUGGUUGUAGACACUGCUCCAAAAUAAUCAUUAAACAUGGAAACUAAUAAGGCCACAGGUUCUGGAAUGCCAAAAGCUGCACGCAUAUAUAUGGGUCAGUCACGAAUAAAAAGAAACGAAUUAUCAUAACCUCGACACGAAUGGGCGUAGUCACUAUAGGAUCAGAGCGGCACAGCCCUCAGCCACUAUAGGCAGGGGUUAUAUUAAUGGUUGUGAAUGAAUAAAUUCAAAUAUCAACUUUAGUAAUCAACUUAUUAAUUUACAAGUAUUUUUUUAUAUUAUGAUAUCGUAUACUCUACUAAUUGUAUUUAAAAUAUACACACACACAUACAUACAUAUAUACCAACUUAUAAUUGUGAGGUAAGCUAAGACUCGAAGCUAUUCCUUAACAAUCUAACACUCUAUAUAAUCUCAAGUGUGGAAAACCAGCAGAGAAACCAAGUUGCUUAAACUCUUGUUCAGUCAUGUGUUUACCUUUGGCCCUGUAGAUGGUCAUAACAAAAAUGUCCCCUUCUAAGAGAGCACGAGUCCUCUGACUUUCAUUUGAAUCAUCAGGCAGCACAGGCUCGCAAGCAAUCAGUUUUCCUCCUGCAGGAAUAGCCUUGUAACAAUUCUCCAUUAUCAGCUUGCAUUCAUCAUCAGUCCAUGUAGUUAAAACCCACUUCAUAAAGAUAGCAUCAGCGGCAGGAAUGGACUUAAACAUGUCCCCACCAAUAUGGGUCACUCCAGGGAUACUUGGAGCUUCGGCAACAACCUCAGGCAAAUCAAAAUUGAUCCCUUCACAUAUAAAACGAUGUUUCUAUAAUAUCAUCCUCAGGCAAUCACCUGCACUCCCACCCACAUCAACCAAUCGCUUCACACCUUUGAACCCAUCGUAACCGUCCAAAAUGGACGUCAUGAACGGCACGGACACUCCCGACAUGGCUUUUCGCAUCAAGCCGUUCAUUUCAGGCAUCUUCCCAUAAUAACUAUAUGUCGGCUCGCCAUGGACUUUCACAAAUGGCUCAAUAGUUGGGUCCAGAAUGGCCUCGUGCACCAAAGGCCACGCGCUCAUAAGCGCGUCCUGGUGAUGCUGGAGCACGUAGGGCGCGUACGAUUGACCCUCGGCAUCAGUAACGAGGGAUUUCCCAAUCUCGGUGAGGCUGUACUUCCUUUCGCCUCCAAAUUCGCGAUGCUCCGAGAACACGCCGUAGUUGGUGAGCAAGCGGAGGAUACGUUGCAAGUUCUCGGCGUCCCCACCGCCGGAUGGGAGGAUACGUGUCAAGAUCUGGGAGGCGGAGAGAGGGGUGUUGGCCAGUCUUCCCUUCUUCCCGCCAUCUCUGCACUCGUUAUCUUCCAUUACUGCUUACUGACCUUUGAUUUCGCAGCACCAUGCCGGCCAAACAAAAAGAUAAGACCUGAGCACUUUUUGACAAUUUGAAUGUUAGGGAUUUUUCAGAUGUGGGGAGCUUAGGAGGGAACGAAUACUUUGGUAGAGGGAGUUGAAAAGUUGUAUUUUGGAUAAGAUAAAGAUUUGUUCAUUUGUUUUGUUUUUAUCCACUCAAAAAGUACAAAUUCUAAAAAAAUUAAAAAUAAUUCGUAGUCUAGUGGUCUUUUGAUUCAAUGUAGAAGUUCUAGGUUUAAGCAGUCUUGGGUUCGAAUUCAGACUAAAACAAAAUUAGAAUGAUAAUUUUUAAUUACUGAUACUUAAGCGUCAUUGAUCGCUAUUACUAAAGUUAUUGAUACUUCAGUAUUAGUAAUUAGUGAUACAUAUCUGUUAAACGCGGAAAAUAAUCUAAAUAUAUGUAUAUAUUGAUACUUUUAAAUAAAGUGUCAGAACACAAGUAUCAGUAAAGACCAUUUUUCUAGUAGUGAUUUUGGAGGUCAUUGGAAUUCCUGUAGGUCUAUUUACCAGAUUUUAGUAAGUUUAAGGUUUUAAUUUUGCUUAGACUUUAAUUUUUCUGAAAGAUUGUAGUAUUGAUCCUUAAAGAAAGAUCAUGCUACUUCAAAUUAUUUUGAAGUGUUGCUAGUUAUAGCCUUACAUAUAAAAUUCCAUUUGUCUGGAAAUUUAUUGAUAGCUGUUACAGCAGCAUAUUUUAUGACUCUACUUCUUAGUUAUGUAAGUUCAUUAUGUUUAGGUCAGAGGCAGUCAGCUGUGGGGAAUUGAUAUAUACACAGAUGACUUUGAUCUUGUUGCCGGUAUGUGGUUCUAUGAAUAAUUGUUCACAAUAAUUGUGUUUGCCUCACUGUUUUUGUUUUAUGAGAUCUAUAAUUGAUCUUGGGAUAUUACUUUCUAGUUCUCAUGCAAGCAAGUUACUACCUUCCCACUGUAUCUCCUCCUUUAUCUGCUAUUCAAGAGUUGCGUGCCAUAAUCUGGUGUUACCUCUGCAAGAUUGUGAAUGAAUAUAAUGCCUCUAAAUUUAUUUUAUACAUAAUGCUGAUGCUGAAUAAUAUAUUGUAGCUCCUGUCAUAUUCUACUUUGACUUUUUAUAUUCUGUUUCAUAUAAAAAUCUUAUUCAACUUUAGUUGUUCAUGAGCAAAUGUCACAUGUAUAAGCCCAAAUGAUGUUUAAAGGUAGCGCAGCUACCUUUAGUUUGAGCUUACAAUGGAUGAAAAAGAAAUUGAAACUGAUAUUUUGCUGUUUUUCUGAUUUUUCAAAGUAUUUUAGAUCCUGACUUUUGUUUGGACUUGAUGGUUAUAGAUUGUGUCUAGAUUUGUUAAGUUGUUUCCAACACCUCGUGCCAAAUGAAAGCACAAUCUUUCUGAUUCAGAUGUCUUGUUAAUUGAAGAGAGCUCAUUGUGCUGAGUUAAAACAAGAAAGGAAGCCAGCAGUCAAGAUUCUUCAGCAAUGCCAUGUCAGUGCUGAGUCAGCUGAUUCUGUUAAGGAUUGUUGAAAGCUCACGUGACUAUUAGUUAGUUAAUUAGCUUUUAGUUAGUAAUGCAGGAUUCUGAUUGGUUGAUUAAUUGCAAUGCUUAUUUGAUCAAUUGUAGCUUGGAAAUAAACUGUAUAUAAACAGAGUCUAUAACGAUUGCUUCAAUUAAUGAAAAGAAAAUAUUCCAGAGAGUUCAUCUAUUUUCUCAGUAACCAAACAAGCAUUUAGCUUAAUUUGCUAUUAUUUUACAUGGUAUCAGGGCCACAAUAUGGCAAGCUCAAGCAAUCCAAACGGAAAUUCAAACACAAUCACUGCAAAUCAAUCAAUACAAACCACAUUCUCCUUCAUAUCACCAAUCAAGUUAGAUCGAUCUAACUACAUGCUCUGGCGAAAUCAAGUUCUAGCCUCUAUAAGAGGAAACAGACUUGAAGGUUACAUUAAUGGAGAGAAGGUUGCUCCCAAUCAGUUUAUCACAACUGGAGGAUAUGCUGGAGCAGCAGGUAGUUCUACUCAACAGAAAGAAAAUCCAGAAUAUACAGUCUGGAGAUCACAAGAUCAGACAUUACUAAGCUGGCUGUUGAGCUCAGUCACUGAAGGUAUUCUCCGCCUUGUUCAUUCUUGCAAUACUUCAUAUGAUAUAUGGAAAACAUUGGAGAAAAAGUUUGGUGCAAAAUCUGAAGCAAGAGUACUUCAACUUAGAUAUGAAAUGAGUGUUUUAAGAAAAGAUUCACUGAAUAUAGAAGAUUAUUGUUUGAAGAUGAAACAAAUAGCAGAUAAACUAGCAUGUGCUGGUAAUCCAGUUUCAGAUAAAGAUUUGCUGCAACAAAUUCUAAAUGGUCUUGGACAAGGAUAUCUUGAUUUAGCUACAUUCAUAACAGCAAGUAAACUUGAUUAUGAUGAUGCAUAUGCACUACUACUUACUCAUGAAACAAGACUUGAACAGAGUAUGAAUGAAAAACAGAUGUUCAAUGCAAAUUUUGCCAAUUUUACUCCUAAUAACAGUGGAUAUGGUAUGAUGAAUGCCUUUUAUGCACAAGCAAGAGGCAAUGCUCGAAGAGGUGGAUAUAAUGGAGGUUUUCACAGUGGCAAUCAAGGAGGAAGAAAUAAUUUUCAUACUGGAAGGGGAAUGUUUGUUAACUCUCAUCCAAGAGGUUUUCCCUCUGGAACUGGAAAUUUUGGUAACAGUCAUGGUAGAGGUCAGAUGAUUGGUAAUAAUAAACAGAUGCAAUUUAUGAGAGGUCAAUACAGUAGUAACUCUGGUAUGCCAAACUCUGAUGGUAAUGAUGAGCAAAGUGUUGUAUGUCAAAUUUGUUUUAAAUCUGGGCAUACAACAACAGAAUGUUGGCAUAGAUUUGAAGAGAAUUAUGUACCACAAUACAUGAAGAAAUGAAGAAAUUAGAGAUGAGCUUAUAUGGCAUAUUAUGAUGCACCAACUGAAAAUUCAUGGUCAACUGCUUGUUCAGGAAUGCCUCAAAUGCACAAUCCAUCAUUCACCCCAUACAUGUCUGAUUCAGUGAACUUGUUAGGAGCUGGAGCUGGAGCUGCCUAUGUUGCUAAUUUUGAAGGUCCAGCAGAUGAAGGAUGGUAUCUUGACAGUGGGGCUACACAUCAUUUGACAAACAACAUGGCAAAUAUGCAUGUCAGAGAUGAAUUCAAUGGUAAUGACAAGCUGAUUAUUGGCAAUGGUAAAGGUCUGUCAAUCACACACAUUGGUAGCACUACUUUUUCAGUUCAAGGUUCUAAGUCACAAGCUGCACGUAAAUGCAUUACACUUAAAGAUAUACUGCUUGUUCCUUCUAUCACAAAGAAUUUAAUAAGUGUUUCUAAACUUACUGCUGAUAAUAACCUAUCUAUUGAAUUCUUUGGAUGUAUCUGUUAUGUGAAGGAUUCACUGGAGGGGAAGGUUCUGCUACAGGGUAUUGCUGAGAAAGGUCUAUACAAAUUGCUGAUCAAAUCAUCUUCAAAAUCAUCACUACAACCUACAUACACCUCUUUUCUUUCUCAAAGCUCAAUAAAUCAACCUUUGUCUAUGUUGUCUCUCUGUCAUUUCAGUUCUGCAACUAAUAAUACUUGUUCUGCAAAUUGUUUUCAUUCAAAUAAAAACUCUUGUACUGAUUCAUCAUCAAAUAAAAUGUCUCUAUUUCACAGAAGAUUUGGUCAUCCCAAUGCUCAAAGUUUCAUUCACUUACUUAUACUUGUGCAUCCUAACUUGUUAUCUACAAAUAUGCUUAAUCAAGUAAUAAAGCAUUUAUGUGAAGCAUGUCAGCUGGGCAAAUUUCAUAGACUUCAUUUUCCUAUAACUGAUAUUAAGUCUAAAUCAGCACUAGAACUAAUCCAUACUGAUCUAUGGGGCCCUUCACUAAUAUGUUCUAGAGAAGGUUAUAGAUAUUAUAUUAGUUUUGUGGAUGAUCACACUAGAUACACCUGGAUAUACCCUCUGAAAUUAAAAUCAGAAGCUCUAGAAGUGUUCAAAUUGUUUAAACUUCAAGUUGAAAAUCAGUUUCAAACCACCAUCAAAGCUCUACAAUCUGACUGGGGGGGAGAGUAUAGACCAUUCACUACUUUUCUAAAUGAAUGUGGUAUUCUUUUCAGACACUCUUGUCCCUACACACAUUAUCGAAAUGGCCUUGUUGAAAGAAAACACAGACAGAUUAUAGAAUUAGGCUUAACACUUCUAGCACAAGUUAAACUUCCAUUCCAGUUUUGGUGGGAUGCUUUUCAUACCUCGGUUUAUCAUAUUAACAGACUUCCUACCUCUGCCCUUAAGAUGUCUAUUCCAUAUGAAAAAUUAUACAGACAUAAAGCUGAUUACAACAUGCUGAAAUGCUUUGGUUGUGCUUGUUAUCCAUACUUGAGAGAUUACAAUAAGCAUAAAUUUGAUUAUCAUACAACCAAGUGCAUCUUUCUUUGUUAUAGUCCUUUUCAUAAAGGUUUCAAGUGCUUUCAUCCCUCUGGUCGUGUGUAUAUUGCUAGACAUGUCAAUUUUGAUGAAACUUCAUAUCCAUUCUUUUCAGAUCCUGAUUUUCAUUCUUUGAAUAAAUCUCAGUCCAACUCUUAUGAUUCCAUUACACCUAUACAAGUAUUUCAAUUGUCUACCUUACCUGUCAUAUCAGUUUUUUUGAAUAACAGCAAUGAGUCUCUUUCUCAAGCAUAUACCAGUAGUGAUAACUUUCCUUCAGCAGUAGAUUCAACACAAGUACAUGUCUCAGAUCAACAACUCUCAAACACAAACAAUGUCUCAGAUCAACAACCAAUUUUACCUGCACCUACAACAUUACCUUCUCCAGAUGAAAUUCCACAAACUCAACCUAUUCUAAACUCACCAUCUCUAAACCACCAUCCUAUGAUUACUAGAGGAAAGGCAGGUAUCUUUAAGCCAAAGCUAUGUACUGCAGUUUUGUUGUACAAAGAACCAAAAACUAUUCAGGAGGCUCUCAACAAUGAAAGGUGGUUUCAGGCAAUGAAAGCUGAAUAUAAUGCAUUGAUAUCAAAUGGCACUUGGACAUUGGUACCAAGAACAGAAAAUCAUAAGCUUAUUGGUAACAAAUGGGUUUUCAGAAUAAAAACCAAUACUGAUGGAAGUGUUGAGAAAUAUAAGGCAAGAUUGGUUGCUAAAGGAUUUCAGCAGAUUGAGGGUGUUAACUACUUCGAGACUUUCAGUCCAGUGGUAAAAUCAGCAACAGUUAGAGUGAUCUUAAGUUUGGCAGUGAUGAACCAGUGGCAAAUACGACAAGUUGAUGUGAAUAAUGCAUUCUUAAAUGGAGAUCUAACUGAAGAAGUUUAUAUGAGACAGCCAGAAGGAUUUGUUGAUCCACAAAGACCAGACUCUGUAUGUAAACUGCACAAAGCUCUUUAUGGCCUGAAACAAGCUCCUCGUGGUUGGUUUGACAAACUGAAAAGUAGUCUUAUACAAUGGGGAUUCAAGAAUUCUAAGUCUGACACAUCUCUAUUCUUGAGAAGAACCAAGAGCUCAAUCAUUAUAAUUCUGAUAUAUGUAGAUGAUAUAUUGAUUAUAGGAUCAGAUUGUGUUGAGUUGGAAGAGUUUAUUAAGUUGUUCAGCUCUACAUUUGCAUUAAAGGAUCUGGGGAGACUAUCUUACUUUCUGGGUAUAGAAGUAUUAUAUGGUCAUGAUAGUAUAUACCUGUCACAAAAGAAGUAUAUCCGAGACUUGCUUGCAAAAGUUGACAUGCUUGAAUGCAAGGGAACAAACACACCAAUGAGUAGCAGUAAAGAUUACAGAUUGCAGAAGAGUGUUGAGGGAGAAAUGGGCUAUUAUAUUGAAGAUCCCACUCAUUACAGAAGCAUAGUUGGAGGACUGCAGUAUUUGGUUUUAACUAGACCUGAGAUAGCUUAUUCUAUUUACAAACUAAGUCAGUAUGUGUCUUCACCAACUCUUCAACAACUUAUGGCAUGUAAACGAGUGCUAAGAUAUUUGAAGGAAACACAAGAAUAUGGUCUAAAGUUUGUUAGAGAAGGUGACAUGAAGCUUACAGCAUUUACAGAUGCUGAUUGGGGAAGUGAUCUUGAUGACAGAAGAUCAGUUGGAGCUUAUUGUGUAUACUUGGGAAACAAUUUAAUCUCAUGGUCCUCAAAGAAACAAUCAGUGGUUACCAAGUCAUCAGCUGAAAGUGAAUACAGGGCUCUUGCUGCAGCUGUUUCUGAAAUAACAUGGCUAAAGUCAUUGUUCCUUGAAAUUGGUUUAUGUUGUGAUGAAAGCCAAUCAUAUGGUGUGACAAUGUGAGUGCUGCUGAACUUGCUCGCAAUCCAGUAUUUCACUCAAGAACAAAACACAUAGAAAUUGAUCUACACUUUAUCAGAGACAAGGUUUUGGCUGGAGACUUGAAGAUACUAUAUGUUCCCAAUGCAGAGCAAAUAGCUGACAUAUUAACUAAGCCACUGAACUCUUCUCAAUUCAAACCUAAGGCUCAAACUCAAUGUGGAGCUAUGUCCCUUGAGUUUGAGGGGGGCUGUGAAGAGAGCUCACUGUGCUGAGUUAAAACAAGAAAGGAAGCCAGCAGUCAAGAUUCUUCAGCAAUGCCACGUCAGUGCUGAGUCAGCUGAUUCUGUUAAGGAUUGUUGAAAGCUCACGUGACUAUUAGUUAGUUAAUUAGCUUUUAGUUAGUGAUGUAGGAUUCUGAUUGGUUGAUUAAUUGCAAUGCUUAUUUGAUCAAUUGUAGCUUGGAAAUAAACUGUAUAUAAACAGAGUCUGUAACGAUUGCUUCAAUUAAUGAAAAGAAAAUAUUCCAGAGAGUUCAUCUAUUUUCUCAGUAACCAAACAAGCAUUUAGCUUAAUUUGCUAUUAUUUUACAUUAAUUAUGCUUCAUUUUUUCGUUAAAGAUUGGAUGGUUGCAUGGAUUGAUGGAGUUGGAGUUCAACCAAUAAUUCUAAUUUUUUGGACUUAAAAUGCCUUUUUCUUCGGUAUAAAAACUUUAGUAAGUGCUAUUGAGUUGACAGAAGUUGAAUACUUACAGGUUGUUUCACACUUUUUAAUAGUUUUACAUAUAUGAAUUUCUGUUUUUUGAUUUUCAGAAAGGAGGUGGAACUAUUGAUUUGGAACCUUAUCUUACUCAUUCAUCGACAACGGAGCCUACCCUCGCUCCCAUGGCAGUGGAACGGACAACGACUACUAGGGCUGCAACAUCAGUUGGUUUGGGUCUGUUUUGAGUUUAUUUUCAUUUAUUUGGCUAUGUUUUGAUAGCGAAUUUUGAUAUGUCAAUGUAGGGUGCGUUUGGGAUUGAGGUGCUGUAGCUUUUAAGCUAUAGCCACUGUGAAAAAAAAGUUGUAAUUAUGAAAUAAAAGUUAAUAAUAUAUAAUAAAUAUAAAUUUUAAAUAAUAAUUUUAUUAAAAUUAUUAAAGAUAUAAUAAAUUUUAUAUUAUACAAGUGAAAAAUUAUAUCAACAUAACUUAAAAGCUACAGCAGUUAGUGUUUACCAAACACUUUAGUGCUGUAGCUUUUAAGCUACAGCUGGCCAACCUCAAUCCCAAACGCACCUGUAAUGUGUAAUUGUUUUGGGUUGAGCUGGUAAUUAUGCUGGAUUAGAUUGGUUUGGUUUUGGUGCUUCUCUGAUGGAACACUGUUUUUUUUAGAAAUUUUGAAUGUAAUAUGAGACUACAUUUAGUUUAAUUGAACACUGCAUCUAGUCUAAUUACUAGAAGUGCGGCAUUUGGUUUGGUUUAUCCGAUAUUCUCCAGAAUUUCACUUGCAUCUGGUUUUGUUGCAUAUGUUUGCUUGCAUUUGGUGGCAGUAGCAGACUGUUUGGUUUUGUGACAUUUGAUGGCAGUUUUGUCUGUUCUUGGUGUUGAUUUAAGAUUGUUCCUGUUGUGCUGAUGUUAAUUGCAGGUGCUUGAAUCAGCUAGGGUUGCUGGUUUAUUCAGAUGGUUGACUCAGGCGUUGUUACUGGUUAAUUCAGGUGGCUGACUCAAGUUGUUCAUUUAAUGUUAGGAAGCAAAUUAAGAAUUAAUGAAGUAUUCAUUUAACUAUAAUUAUUGUAGUUAUUUUAUUUCAUAACUGAAUUAUAAUCUAUGAUACUUGUGAACAAAUUAGAGAAUUUUUAUAUAUGAAUUAUAUAUAUGUGUAUGUACAUUUUGCUAAUAAUUUAAAGAAUAUAUUUCAAUUCCCACAAAAAAAUGGCUCCAAUUUCAAUAAUUCCCGCCAAAUAAUUAAAUUUUUUUAAUUUACCAGCAAAAUAUAUCUUAAAGAAAUUUUAGUUAUUCUUGCUAGAUUUAACAAAAAUGAUUUGUAGGAUUAACAUUUAAUUAAAAUAAUUAAAUAAUUUUAUUAUUCCAAUUAAAUAUGUCAUGUUUAUACGACAGACAAUAUUCAUGAAUGGGAAGUAUUAGUUACAUAUUUUUCCUUGGGAUUUCAGGCAAAUGAAAAAAAGAUUGAGAAUGAUUUCAAGAGGACAGGUGGAUGAUAAGUAUUCAUUUUUGUAUAUUUGUCUAAUGUCCUCAUUAGUGGAUUUUUAUUAGGGAUGGCAAUGGGGAGAGGAGGGGAGGGGACCAAUCUCCCCGUACCCAUCCCUGAUAUUUUGCGUAUGUCCCCGUCCCCUCUCCAUCCCCAUCAAAAUUAUUUAAGAGAAUCCCCAUCCCCUCCCCGAAUAAUAACAGGGGAUCCCCGAGGGUCCCCGAUCCCCGAAUAACUAAUACAUUUUUUUUAUUUUCGAUUUUGAGUUAAUCAUAUUAAAAUAAAAAAUUCAAAUAAAAGUAAAGUUCAAAAUAUAUCUUACAUUAAUAUCCAUUACAAAAGUCACAUACAUUAAAUUAGUAAGUAACGCAGCAUGCAAGAGAUACAAACUAUCAUGAACAAAUUAAUAGCCUAAUACAAAAUUGUUACAAAUAAAAUCAAAUUUAGAUUAAAAAUUAACUUUUCAAUGGUGGCGUGGGCACUUUAUAAAUGUGGACUAUUCCCUUUACAUCACAAUAGUUAAGUCGAAGCAAAUCAAGAGUAAAUAUUAGAUUAGAUUAUAUAUUAAAAUUGUGAUUUGCUGUGGGCAAUUAUAACAUCUAAAAAAAAAUAGAUUUAAGAUAAAUAAAAAAUAGAUUUAAGUUUAAAAUAUUUAAUGAAUAUUAAAAUUAAAACAAAAGUUUUGGGCUAAUAGAAUCUGUCCGGUCUUUUUAAUGUCCUAAAUAAAAAUUUAGGACUUUAAUUAGUUAAUUAGGCCUAAAAAUUUAAUAAUAUAAAUAUUUUGAUAUUUUUUAUUUUUACCAAUACUUAUAAUUUUAUAAUUCAAAUUUUAUUAUUUAUUUACUAGUAAUUUUAAAAAAUAAAAAUUAAAUUAAAAAUUAAAAUGGGGAAAUGGGUAGGGGAUGGGGAUUCCACCUCAUCCCUGUCCCCUCCCCGAAUAAGAAAUUGGGUACAAAAAUUUCCCCGUCCCUUCCCCGAAUAAGAAAUUAGGUAUGAAAUUAUCCCCAUACCCUCCCCGAAUGGGGAAAAUCCCCGAGCGUACCCGUCCCCGUGGGAAUUUUUGCCAUCCCUAAUUUUUAUGGUAUUGAUCUUUUUUUUUUUUAAUUUUCAGUUAGUUGCAGCCCUAGAGGAAGAGCAGGCUGAUCAAAUUGAUUUGUCUUGUUUUUCGGGCAAUCUACGACAUGAUGACCGUGAUAAUGCUCGUGACUGCUGGAAACUUUCUGAUGGAAAUAACUUUAGAGUUCGUAGCAAGCAUUUUUGUUAUGACAAAACAAAGGUUCCCCCAUAUUUUGUUUGUUUGUUAUGGUAUUUAUAUAUCCUGCAUUGGCUAGGUAGACAGGUUAUGAUGUACGUGUUUCUCAUAUAGAACUCAAGUCUGCUGUUGUCCCAAAGUUGGAACCAGAGAUAUCAUGACUCUGGUUUCAUUUCACCUCAACUGUGUUUUUUUUUUUUUAAUUAAAAAAAUAUUUGUUUUAGGUAUACAUACAUGUAUUUUGAUUCUAUUUUCAUUGUAAUUUCUCAUUUACUUUGAAUGAAAGUCAUUGGUGUUUUCGAAUGGGAAUUUUGCAUUAAAAAAUGAAGAAUAGUGAAUAGGAAAUUUCUUGAUUCUUUAGUUACUAUUUUUGGUAUGAGUGCCAUUAGUAGUAAGGUUGGUUUCUACUCGCAAACAAGUGAACUGCUCGAUUCCCGAGUGGUAUCAACCAGUUUCCAACUUUUUAAUAUACACUAAUUGUUAGUGUUUAAUAGCUACUGCUAUUAAAAUUCAACAGCUAACAAAAAUACUUAAAAAAAAUGAUUUUUCUUAUGAUGUUGGGAAAAAAAUUAUGGGUUUACUUAUUUCCACGAGAUCUAUAACAUGGUCUUGACUUCACGAAAUUCUUUUAAUUUAAAGCGUGCUGGUGUGAGAAGGUCAGUUUGACGGAUUAAUUCUUUUCAACAGUGGUCAAGAUAAUUUUACUAUACUAAAAAAUAUUCUUAUUCUGAUAAUGCCACAAAUGUUAUGCUGUUUUCUUCGGCUAAUGAUCUUCUAUUAGGAGAGGUUAGAAAUCAAAUGCUUAAAAGACCAAUUGAACGAAUAAUACAGAAAUUUAGGCAGAAUCUAAUCGAAUAUUGCAUGAAACAUGAAACAUCAAUUCAAGUCUUUUCUUAAACGGAGAAUGCAUCAAACAAAAUCCAAAGUGUCUUGCAAGUCUGUAGCAUGAGCAAAAAAUUGUAAAUAUGUUGAACCAAAUUAUUCAAGUACAGAAGAACGAGCAAGCUAAAUCAUGUAUAAGAGAUUGGCCUGGUUCGGGAUAGCUUCUUCACUGUACCUGAAGGGUUGGCUCAAUCUCUUCUUUAGAAUUCUGCAGAUUUUGUAAUUACUCGUGUAAGCAAGCAUACAUUGCCACCAUAAGAAUAAUAAAGCUAGAGUAAUGAUAUGACCACCACCUCUUGUGCACAAACAAUAUUGUAUAAACUAAUGCGACAUAAUAUGAUUGGUUAAACAAAAACAUUACAUGGCCCUCAUAAUUUAUUUAUUUAUUAUUAUUAUUAUAUAUUUUCAGUCAACCAAUCAUAUUAUAUUACAUUAGUUUCUAUAAAAUAAUUUGCUAAAUAGCACCAAAACUUAAUUGAUACUCACCAUUUCAUUGAACAAUUUUUUCAUGGUGUCAUUGAGAUUGCCUUCCCAACAUCCUUUAUCAUCAUCUUUUUCUUCUUCGGUGACGUUCACUUUGUUUAGCAUUGGUGUGUCUAAGACUCCUUGAGAGAAGAUCUUCAUUUUUGGACACUGUCUCACAACUACUUGUUUCAAGGACGGGAAUUCAAGAGCGUAAUUACCUAAACAAAAGCUUGUUAGGCUUGGCAAACAAUCAAGUCCCAAGUACUUCAAUUUGUUGAAAACAAUGCAAUCUUUCGAUUCUUCUCCAACCUGCGACUGUAUGAUUUCUUCCAUCAUUUUGCAAUCAGUUAUCUUCAUUCUUCUGAGAUUAACCAGAUUUUUAGAUGCUGAGAGCGUCAACACAUUUAUCAACCCGUGACACUUCGAUACUUUCAAAACCUCAAGGUUUUCCAAAUGCCACGAAGGUGGUACUAAUUUUUGCAACUUACCACAUUCCGAUAUUUUUAGACUUUCCAAAUUUGCAAAUACUUUGUUGGAUUCGGCAUUUUCCUUCCAGAGAUGCUGCAAUUUGUGUAAUCCAGACAACUCUAACCCCCACAAUUGAGGGAAAGCAACCUGAAAAUCAACAAAAUUAAGUUGUAAAUGAAAAUAUGUAUCCAAUCUCUGCAGUCUUCCUCUGCAUAUUUUAUGGACAAGAUUAAUCACGGCAUUUUAUAUUUUAUUUUCCAAAUUAGUAUGCUUUGCAGUAGGAUCCCAAAUAUAAGUAUCAAAUCGAUUACUCUUUGAAACACAUAAAUGAAAUCUGAUGCUAAAUCCAAUAUGAAUUAGCUAGGAAAACAGAGAUGUUACACACAUAAUUAAUAUAGUUCAUCACCUCGUGUUACCAGGCAUCCAAUUAAUUUCUGACAUUUUUAUAAUUCAUACUAUAAAGUUAGUUAAUAACGGAGGUUAUAUUGUUAAAUCAGAUAUAAAUUAAGACGACAUGCAAAAAGAUGAGUCAUUAAAUUUGAUUUGAUUCUAAUGAAAUUACAUCUGUGCGAAUGAAAGUGAAGGGAAAAAUAAUAAUAAUGAUUACCUUUUCAUCGAAGAGAUGUUGUAUUUGAUUAGCUACCAAGAGGUUCUCUUCUGAUUUUAAUUUUUGAGCUUCCUUAUUAUCUGCUGUCAUGUGCAGUACAGAUGUAGAAUUGGAUAUGAAUGUUUCCAUAUCAGGGCAAUUCUCAAUAGUUAGAUAACUCAGCAGUUCAAUUAUAUUCCCAGUGAAGUUGCAGAAUCUUUUGAGUUUUGGAAGAUCAAUGAGCCUUAGGUUGGAAAGCUUAGGAAACAGGGGGCCUAUAUGUUCUUUGUCAGCAUUAAUUAGCUCUUCCAAAUGGAGCACCUCUUCUAGUGAAUCACAAUUCGUCACUGCCAGGCAUUCCAAAUUGUUCAAGCACCGUAGCAGAUUGGCAGGAAUAGCACUCGACAUAUUCGUGCAGUCAUCCACUUCCAGCUUUCUUAAAUUGUUGAAGAAGCUGACAGGCAGUUCUUGGCCAUGCCAUAUUUCUUUCAAACGUGGAAAACGUGAGAGUUGCAAAUACUCUAUAUCACGAAAUCCAAUCUGCACAAACCAAAACAAUUGCACUGGAUAUAUACAAUUUUUUUUUAAAGGCAUUAGAUAUAUAUAUAUAUAUAUAUAUACACACACACACACACACACACAUUAAACUUACAUGUUUUGUGUUUUAACUUCUAAAACUACAUAUACAAGGUAGGUGUAUAUGUUUAAAUGUGCAAGCGUAGGGGAGAUGCAUGAACAAUUUGGGUGAAUCGAUUAACACAGACCAUCUUUUUGUAACAUAUUUUUAAAUGUGCAAGUGCAAGGGAGAUGCAUGAGCAAUUUGGAUGAAUUGAUGAGCACAUACCAUUUCUUUGUAACACUUCUGUAUAGUGGAAUUAAGAUUGCCUUCCCGAUGGUACAAUUCACUGUCUUCCUUUUUACUAACUUGCACUUUGUACAGCUUUGGUGUGGAUAAGAUUCCCUGGGGAAAAGUCUUCAUGUUCGGACAAUGUGUCACCGAAACUCGUUCCAAUGAUGGGAAUUCAAGAGUAUAAUUCUCCAAACAAAAGCUGGUAAGCCUUGGUAAAUAAUCAAGUAUCAAAACUUUUAAUUCGCUGAAAGCAAUACGAUUCUCCUUCACUUCUUCUCCAACAUGUCCUACGAUUUCUUCUAAUUUUUGGCAAUUCGAUACAUUAAGAUUCACCAGACUACUAGGAAUUCCAACCUGAAAAUAAGCAAAAGUGUGUGUAUAUUAAAAAAGUAAAAAUGUAAGAAUAUCAUUCAACUAGCACCACAACAGAAAUGGCUUUUUGCAACAAAAAGAUUUUGUUGCCUAAAGUGCCAAUUUUGUUGCCAUAGGUUAUUGCUACAAAAACAAGCUUGUCGGCCCGGUCGUCGGCCUAGCACUGUCGCCCUCUAUGUUUAACAACAUAUCAAAACAUUUCUCGCCUCAAACUUCCUUUCGCAACAAAACAGAUUCGUUGUGAAGGAGUCUUCAACUUGUUUAGAGAAUAAUUUGGCAACAAACAUUUUUGUUGCGCUAAACAGUUUUACACAACAAACUAAUUUUGUUUCUAUAUAGUUAUUUACUACAAAACUAAUUUGUUGCUAAGAAAUAAAGUACAUUUUAUAAAAAAAACGUGUACCAACAAAGGUGUUUGUUAGCUAAGAUCAUUUUAGGCAACAAAACUACUUUGUUUCUUUAUGUUGAAAAUUUUACAAAUUUGCAAUAAAUAUUUAUAUAUUUUUAGAAACAAAUCAAUUUUGUCAUUAAAAAAUAGUACAAUUUUUUUUUAAUAAUAUCAUGGUAUAAAAGGAAGCAAACCAAGUUCGUUGGGAAAGAUACCAAUUUUUUCCCCCACCAUGACAAUAAUAAACUAGAAAUAUAUGUUGAGAAAUCUAACAAAAAAAUCAUUAAUGUCAUUGAACUAAUUUAAAAGUUAAAGGCCCAUUCAGUAUCCAAGCUAUAUAUAUAUAUAUACAAAACUGACUUUAAGAAUCACAUAUGAUAGUCAAAUACAAAAGUGGAUUGUCAUCUAUCCCAAAAAUGUAAUGAGCAAAAAUUAUAAACGAUCUCUAAUUACAACUACUCCAAACUCCAAAUACUUAAAGAUAUGACAUGCACCAGCAGUAACCAAAAAGAUCAAGUGAUGACCAAUUCAAAAUACUAACAAGUUCAAGAUACUCUAAGGACAUCAUUGAAAUGAGUAAUCAUUGAGUAGCUGAAUCUGUAAAGCAAAAAGUGGAUCCUUGAGAAGAAAAAAAUUGCUGCAUCAUACCCUCAAAUUGGGACAAUCUGGACUCCAAUUGAUCAAUAGUCUUCUUUUGUUCUUGAAGCUCAACAUCUUGUGAAUCCAAUCUACUUUGUUGUGAAGAUAUAAUACCAUGCAAUCUGUCAGCCUCAGAAGUAUCAACACCAUGGUUUGAAGUUGGGCGUGGUCCGUUGCCAAGUCCUCGAAAAUAGCCUGUUUUCUUUCCAAGUACUUCAAUGCAUAUUUCCUUUUGAGUUAGUGGUUUUGCUUCUUGAGGAUCUAUUUGUUGCUGUUGUUGUAUCUCUACCAUUUGGUCCUAUACAUAAAGCUUUGUUAGUAAAUGAAGGAAGAAAAAAAAGAAUUUUAUUAAUUAAAUAGUUGAAAUUUAAUCCAUUGGUCAUGGAAUUAAUUUGUAUUAAGGCAUAAAUUGAAAAAAAAAAAAAAGAAACUUGCUGUUAUACUUAUAAAUCUAAUUAUUUGAUAUUUCAAAUAAUAAAGUUAAUUAGAGCAUGAAAGAAAAAUUAAGAAAAAAAAACUCAAUGAGUAAACUUUCAUCAACAGUAUGUAGGUGAUAAGAAAUAAUAAAAUUAAAAAUUUUGUUUCCAACAAAGCAUCUUACAUGGUUUAAGUGUGCCAUCUCAUUCACCCAACCUUUUGUCUUGCUGAAAUGAUUGACGCGAAAUAAUUCUAUUUCACCAUCAACCAUGUCAUCCUCAAGAUAAUUAACAAAAGGUCUUGAUCCCCCACAAUGGACAUAUGGGAGCUUAGCACGAUUAGCUUUGUUUUUGGUAGAUUGAGUCUACAUUAAAAAAAUAUAACAGUGGAAAAUAAGAUACAUAUACAAGCAUAUUGACAACUAGUUGGACAAUUUAAAGUUCAUAAUAUGAAUAUCAUUGGACCUGGAAACUUGCGGAAUUGUAAAUGUUAUGACAAAGCCAAGCCCAAUCAUCUGGACAUAUGCCUGGAUAUGAAUGCUUAAGUGCCUCUUCAAAGGAUGGAUAAUCCAAGUAAUGAUCAUACAUCCAAUGUCUCAUAUCAUGAUAUCUCCCACCCAUAAUGUUAUUCACACAUCGACGAACAUGUGGUACGUUCAAAUCAAUCUCAAACUUUGACUGAAUUUAGGAAAAAAAAGAUAUCUCAGUUUAUAAUUAAAAAAAAUGACAUAUGAAGAAUAUUAAUAAUCAUAAGUACUUACUAAUAGUCGAUCAAACAAAACCUACCAAUUAAACUCUUUAAAUACCAAAUUCUAGAGUUGUAACAACACCUUGCACAAACUCUUGGCUGGGCAUAACAGGCUAAGAUUGGGGAAUUGUAGAUGCGACAACAAUUUCUGCUCUUACACGUUUGGUAACUCUAUGUCCAGGACCCAUCUAGUAAUUAUUAAAAAUAUACAUUAGAGUUUAUUAAUAAUCAACAUAAAAAUAAAUCAAGAUAACUAUAAUUUUGUCAAAGAAAUUAUAACAUGAAAGAUCCUAUUACUGGGCAUAGAUCCUAAAUUCAUUUGACUAUUGUCCACAAACUCAGGUUCUUCACCAUGAAAAACCCAUGAAAAAUCCAUUAACUUUAAUUUAACAAAUUAAAAAUUGAAACAAAGACCCACUUAAUAAAUAAUUAAAGCAAAACCCACUAAACAAAAUCAAACUCAACAGGCCAAUAUAUAAAAUAAAACUAAAUUUACUUGAAGAAAUCGUUGUCUUGAGUGGUGCCUUCCAAGUACAACUCUUCAAUGGCUUAAAGCUUGGGCAGAGAGAAUGACUCCAAGGCAGGGCAAAAGAAACAAGCGAAGAGUAAAGUGGAAAUAUUCUAGAAGCAAUAUUUUAAUUAAGAAAAAAUUGGAGAUGGAAACUUUACUUCGGUUAGCACGCGGUUUAUUAAAUAAAGGGCGCGGAAAUAAAAAAUUAAAAAGCCUCCCACAAAGUCAUGUUUGCUUUUAUAUUAUCUUUAUAUUUUCAUUUAUUAAUUUAAUAUUUUUGUUAACCUUUGCGCAACAAAAUUAAUCUCGUUGCAAAAAACUCUGAGAGUACAAAACAAAUUUUCUCGCUAAUCACAACCUUUUGCAAUAUUUCAUUUGUUGCAACUGAUUUAAGUGUUUGUUGUGGAAAAACUUGAGCAACGAAACAUAUUUUGCCUUCAUUAAGCUUGUUAGGCAACAAGAACACUUUUGUUGCCAAACAUAGCGUAGGGCAAGAAAAUAUUUUGUUGCCAUAUAUUCUAAUUUUCUUGCCUAUUCCACAUCAUUAAGAAGAAUAAAAUCUGUUUAGCUAUAGCGAUAAAGACUAAUUUUUGUUGCAAGAUAUGAAUUUUAGCAAUAAAGUAAGUUUUGUUGCAAUAGAAUUUGUAGCCAAUACUCUAUUUUCUUGUGGUGUAGGUUCAAAGUAUGUUUAAUCAUACAAUUAUACGUUUUAUAAACAUAACAAACCAUGAAAUGUCUACUAGAUAAUUUUUUGUUAAACAAAAAAAGCAACAAGAUAAAUAAAUAAAUAAAAGCCAGAUAAACAAAGAUAAUAAAAAUGCAUUUACACUAUUUACUAUUAGGAAUGUAGAAAGAAUUUAAGGCAAUUUCUAAAUAUUUUAGACUUAUUUUGCAUCUUGAUAUCAGUUUUUAAGCAUAAAUUUGCAAAUUUCAACUAUUCCUUUUGGGGAAAAAAAAAUCAACCAAAAUGCCGCUUUUUCCCUUUUCCUUGGUCCCUUUUUUUUAUGUACAUUUAAAAAUGGGAAAAAAAAUUGGAAAAGACUUCCCAAUAUUGUCAACAAGGGACUGCUGCUGUAAAGUGGAUCUUUAUUAAGUACUUCCAGACUCAAGGAAAUUUCUUUACAAUCACGGGUCAGUUGUAAAUAAUCAUCAAUUUGUGGUUAAUUAAUGGCAUAAUCAAUUCGUAACUAAACAAGAGAUAUUAAUUAAAUUUGAAGACUUUUAUUUUCUUUUUUUUCUUUUUCCAAUCGAAAUGUGAAGAAUUAAGGAAAAGAGAAAUAUAUAGAUGAAUUUAUGAACCUAUAAGAUGAGUGACUAUCCUUUAAUUUUUGAAAAUCGUACUUUUUAAGAUAUGAGCAAAAACUAUUUAAUUGAAUUAUAUUAUGCUGUUGAAUCGUGUUUGAAAAAUUUAUAUUGUUAAUUCUAAUGCUGACGAACCUAAAAACCGGACUUAAAACGUAGAUUUCAGGGUGGUGGUUCGAAGUACGAUACUUGAAAUAAAUAAUCAGUGGCUGAAUAUCAUUUGUAAACAAAAAAUGGUUAAAAUAUUGUUGGAUGUAAUUUGAAAAAAAAAAAAAAGAUUCGAAAUGAAUACAGCGAACUUACCAAUGGAGGAAAAAUAUUCUUUAGGUUAUCACACCAAUUUAUCUCCAAAUUCUUCAAUUUGCUGAAAGACUCCGAAGCAAGCUGGUGGUGCCAUAUUCUUCUCAAAUUAUCCAUCCUCCCAAUAUCUAAUACCUCCAACCUAGGAAGUCGUACCUGGCAGUUAAAGAUUAAAUAACUAAUUGAUCAAUUAAUGGCAUAAUCAAUUGAUAACUAAAUUAGAGGCGGAUAUUAACUAAUUUUGAAGACUCAAGGAAAAGAAAAAUUAAGUAUUGUGACUAAAAUUAAUUUUUUUUAUUAAAAAAAAAACUUUUCGUCAAAGAGAGGAGGAGGUUGCAUUUCAGAAUGAUUGGUGUCUUCUGGUGAGCUCGUAGAGAUGAAUCUUAACAUAUUUCUGCAACCACGAAACUUGAGGUUUAGCAAAGAAGGGAAUUCAACAACUGAAUCUGAAUGAAUAUGUCCCGUAUUGGCAAAGCUUGUUAGUUUAUAAAGCCCAUAGAGCUGUAGGGAGUGUAGUUUAGGAAAAACCUUUAAUUCAAUCAACUUUCCUUCAUCUCUUUCUGACCACCCCGUGGUGUCGACUACCCUUUCCAUUGACCAACAAGUGGUUAUCUCAAGAUGUUGGAGUUUCGCAAGACUAUUAACCAUAGAAUAUGAAAACAGAUACUUCAUACGAUGACAACUGACCACGUGCAGCUUUGUUAGAUUUUGAUAACAGUACAUUCCUUGAUUAUGAUCGGCCCAUAAUUUUUUCAUGUUUCUUAAGUCCCUGAGAUUCAAUUCCUCUAAGCUCGGAAGAAUAACCUGCAAAGAAAACCCGUACAUUUUUGUUCCUUCAAGUACAACCGUCUAGUAUAAUAUUUUUUUGAUGAUCGAAGAUUAAUGGUGAUAAUAAAUUAAUCAAUUAAUUAUUGAACAGAAAAUUAUCACCUUUGGAGCAGUAUCAUCAUCAGCAAUGAUUUCGUUGAAUCCCAAAGAAGUUGUUGGUUUCUCCCUGUCGGGUCCUAUAAACAAACAAAAACAAUAUAUACAUAAUUAAUCUUUGUUUUUUUUUGGUCCAAAAUAAUUGAGGAGAAGUCCAUAAUCACACCAACACUUACCAACAAUCAUUUCCAGAUCAUCGCAAGAAGCCACUUCUACCUUUUGAAGCUGCAGUAGGUUUUUGGCUAUGGAGAAUGAGAAAAGAUGCUUCAAUUCGCGACAGGAUUUUACUUCGAUAAUCCUUAAGUUGCUGAAAGAUUGAUCUUCUGUGAGUUGGCUGUCACAUAUUGUCUCCAAAUUAUUCAAAUAGCUAAGAGACAAUGACUCCAGCAAGGGAAAGACUGUCCAAUGAACCCGUCCAACUGAACCAACAAUAUGCGAAAUAUCAUAACAAUAUUCUACACGAAGAUGCUUCAAUCGUGGAAAACCUUCCCCAUCAUCUAAUUCAUGAACAACAUUCUGAACACCCUUCAGUUCGAUUAGAUGGAUCUCUUCAGUUAACUUCAGCAACAUUUUCGUCCCAUAAUUCUCCCAAAGAGUGCUAACAUUUUCUAACCCAUGGAGCUCCACCAAUCUUGAUGUUUCAGAAUUAACGCGCCACCACGCUUCUCCUAUACAUAUCUUAUAUCUUUGCAAUUCCACAGGGACCCAAUCCUGCGGCAGAAUUUGGGCAUCCCGAACGUGUAUCUCCAAGGUACUUAGCUUUGACAACCCCUUCAAUUCAGCAAGACUGGCGUUACUUCCUCCUUCAACCUUAUCCCACUGCGAAAAACUGUCACCCAUAUAUAGUUCUUCCAAUCGAGAAAAAUUUGAUAUGACAUUUGGUGCUAUCACUACAAGGCUCCUACAAUGUUGGGUGCAAGCGGAAGUGCAGAAAAAUUUUUAUUUAAGAACAGAGUAUUUUGCUGGAAAUUUCUGAAACUUUAUUGCUUAAUUCAUUUUUUUCGUUUCUCUCUUCCUUUUCAUACAACCAGAGUUCUAUAUUUAUAUGCAUUAUAGACAACUCUAGAGAUUACAUUAAUCAUGCUUUACAUUUCCAAAGCUACAUUGCAAACAUCAAUUCUACCCUUUACUUCAUGUUGAAAAACAAACCAAAUAACCCUUCAAACUUCUUGCUCAAUUUACUAGAUUAUUAAUUAUAUCUCAACACCCCCUCUUAAUUAGUAAUCUUCAAUUGCUUCUUGAAUUUUUCAAACUUCUCAAUGUUGAUUGCUUUGGUCAGAAAAUCUGCUGGCUGCUCAUUAGUGCUGAUAAACUCCAUAUUAACUUCUCCUUUGUUUACUAAGUCACGGAUGUAGUGAUAACGCAGCUCAAUGUGCUUAGAUUUAGCAUGAAAUACGGGGUUCUUUGUUAGAGCAAUGGCUGACAUGUUGUCACAAUAAAUUGUUGUUGCAGCAUCUUGAUUGAAUUGCAAAUCCUUGAGAAUUCUUCUAAGCCAAACGGCUUCACAAGCUGAUUCAGUUGCUGCAAUGUACUCUGCCUCGGCUGAGGAUAAAGCUACUGACUUCUGCUUCCUUGAGCUCCAUGAAAUCACAUUUGUACCAAGACAAAAUAAAUAACCUGAUGUGCUUUUUCUGUUAUCAAGGGAACCAGCCCAGUCACUGUCAGUAAAACCAACAAGCUUGCAAUUGUCUUCUUUUUCAUACAUGAUCCCCUGCUUUUUUGUUCCUUGAAGAUACCUUAAGAUUCUCUUUGCUGCAAUAUAAUGGGACUUCCUUGGAUCAUUCAUAAAUCUAGAAAGAACACUAACUGAGUGCAAAAUGUCAGGUCUUGAGUUGGUUAGAUAAAUCAAUGAACCAACCAAGCUUCUAUAGAUUCUUGCGUCAGCCUUUUCUUCUUUUUCAUCAUGUUUCAAUUUUUCAUUCAAACCCAUAGGAGUAGGUGCUGGUUUGCAUUUGAACAUGUGGAAUUUCUUCAACAAAUCUUCUACGUAUUUUUCUUGACAAAAGAAGAUUUUACCUCUGGCUUGCUUCACUUGAAUGCCAAGAAAAUACAUCAUUAAGCCCAAGUCAGUCAUCUCAAAUUCAUCUAGCAUGCUUUUUUUAAACUCUUCCACCAUUUUCAGAUUAGUGCCACAAUAAAUUAGAUCAUCAACAUAAAGGCAAACAAUAAGGAAAUCAGUACCUUCCUUUUUGACAUAAAGAGAAGGUUCACUUGAGCUUCUGUCAAAUCCAUUUUUAACAAAAUAUCUAUCAAUUCUACUAUUCCACGCUCGAGGGGCUUGCUUCAAGCCAUACAAGGCUUUUCGGAGUCGAUAAACUUUGUUUUCUUCACCUUUUACUUCAUAUCCUUUAGGCUGCUCAACAUAAACCUCUUCUUCAAUUUCACCAUUUAGAAAUGCCGAUUUUACAUCUAGCUGAAACACAUUUAAUUCCAUUUGGGCUGCCAAGGCAAGAACAGUUCGAAUAGUCUCCAUUCGAGCUACGGGAGCAAACGUUUCUGUAAAAUCAACUCCAGGCAGCUGAGAGUAUCCUUUGGCAACGAGCCGCGCCUUAUAUUUUUGAACUGAACCAUCUUCAUUGUACUUGAUUUUGAAGAUCCAUUUCAGCCCAAUUGUUUCUUUUCCAUUUGGCAAAUUAACCAUCUCCCAAGUUUUAUUUUUCACAAUGGUGGCCAUUUCCUCGUUCAUUGCUUUGAUCCAAUCUUCAUUUCUUGAGGCCUCCUCAAAGUCUUGAGGCUCACAAGAAAAUAAAGCAAGUUCACAUGACUCAUAAAUUUCUCUCAUUGACUUUAUCUUCCUUGGAGGGCUUUCAUCAUCCGAAGAAACUUUCUGCUGCUGAAUUUNNNNNNNNNNNNNNNNNNNNNNNNNNNNNNNNNNNNNNNNNNNNNNNNNNNNNNNNNNNNNNNNNNNNNNNNNNNNNNNNNNNNNNNNNNNNNNNNNNNNNNNNNNNNNNNNNNNNNNNNNNNNNNNNNNNNNNNNNNNNNNNNNNNNNNNNNNNNNNNNNNNNNNNNNNNNNNNNNNNNNNNNNNNNNNNNNNNNNNNNNNNNNNNNNNNNNNNNNNNNNNNNNNNNNNNNNNNNNNNNNNNNNNNNNNNNNNNNNNNNNNNNNNNNNNNNNNNNNNNNNNNNNNNNNNNNNNNNNNNNNNNNNNNNNNNNNNNNNNNNNNNNNNNNNNNNNNNNNNNNNNNNNNNNNNNNNNNNNNNNNNNNNNNNNNNNNNNNNNNNNNNNNNNNNNNNNNNNNNNNNNNNNNNNNNNNNNNNNNNNNNNNNNNNNNNNNNNNNNNNNNNNNNNNNNNNNNNNNNNNNNNNNNNNNNNNNNNNNNNNNNNNNNNNNNNNNNNNNNNNNNNNNNNNNNNNNNNNNNNNNNNNNNNNNNNNNNNNNNNNNNNNNNNNNNNNNNNNNNNNNNNNNNNNNNNNNNNNNNNNNNNNNNNNNNNNNNNNNNNNNNNNNNNNNNNNNNNNNNNNNNNNNNNNNNNNNNNNNNNNNNNNNNNNNNNNNNNNNNNNNNNNNNNNNNNNNNNNNNNNNNNNNNNNNNNNNNNNNNNNNNNNNNNNNNNNNNNNNNNNNNNNNNNNNNNNNNNNNNNNNNNNNNNNNNNNNNNNNNNNNNNNNNNNNNNNNNNNNNNNNNNNNNNNNNNNNNNNNNNNNNNNNNNNNNNNNNNNNNNNNNNNNNNNNNNNNNNNNNNNNNNNNNNNNNNNNNNNNNNNNNNNNNNNNNNNNNNNNNNNNNNNNNNNNNNNNNNNNNNNNNNNNNNNNNNNNNNNNNNNNNNNNNNNNNNNNNNNNNNNNNNNNNNNNNNNNNNNNNNNNNNNNNNNNNNNNNNNNNNNNNNNNNNNNNNNNNNNNNNNNNNNNNNNNNNNNNNNNNNNNNNNNNNNNNNNNNNNNNNNNNNNNNNNNNNNNNNNNNNNNNNNNNNNNNNNNNNNNNNNNNNNNNNNNNNNNNNNNNNNNNNNNNNNNNNNNNNNNNNNNNNNNNNNNNNNNNNNNNNNAACUUGAUGGUGACUGCCUUUUCGGACCUUGAAAUUCUUGUUUUAGGAUUUCCCAAGCAUUUUUGGCCUUUUUGACACCAAAUAUUCUGGGGAAAAUUGACUUACUAACACCUUGCUGGAUAUAUCGAAGUGCCGUGGCAUUUCUCUGUAUGUUUUCUUUGUACUGCUGUUGAUGUGCUGGAGUCCAAUCUGAAGAACUUGCUGAUUCUGGUGGUUCAGCAUAUCCAUCUUCAACAACAAGGUGUUGGGUGCAAGCGGAAGUGCAGAAAAAUUUUUAUUUAAGAACAGAGUAUUUUGCUGGAAAUUUUUAUUUACAAUUGCUCAAAUCUAGCAAUUGUAACCCCGUCAAUUGUCCAAUUUCAAGUGGUAACUGCUUAAUGUCGGAAUAUCGAAAGCUAAGAAUCUCCAAUUUCUUUAGUUGUCCAAUUGCCGCUACAUCUUCUAGUUGGCACCAGUCUAAACACAAUGUUUGAAGGUUAAUGAGGCGACCGAGUGACGAAGGUAAUGAAGAGAAAGGAAUUCUAGUAAGACUUAAAACUUUGAGUUCUUCUGUCCCUUCAAAAAAGAGAUCUGAAAUUUGCAUAGGGCCAUUACCCUUUCUAAACAACAAAAAUAACUGGAGAUUGGGACAUUGCAACCUUUCAGGGAGCUCUUGAAUAUUUCUCUGGGGUAAUGAAAUGGCAAUUGGAUCUUUCCGUAUUGUCUCUUCCAUCUUUUUCUCUAAGUCGGCAACAUUUGGAAUAUUAAACAUGCGCUUCUCUGCGGCAAUUGAUACGGCAACAACAUGAGUGACGUCAUGCAUUUUAACUUCAUCUUUAGCAUCACCGUCCAACAAUAAGCAUGAAGAUUUGAGGUUGUCGAUCAACCGAUGCACUCUACUCCUUGCUUCUUCCGAUGUGUAAACAUUUUCAAAUAAACGCCAACCCACACCAUAUCUCAAUAAGUUAGAAACUUGUAUGACAUAACCUUCACUGUAUAGACCACAAAGACGGAACAGAGAUUUUGCCUCCUCACUUUCCAAGAAGUCAUAACUCAAUUUUAUGGAGGUGUAAACAUUUGCUUGCAUGCCAUGAAUUUCUCUUGCAUCCGAUCUUCUUAGCUGAUUCAAUGCAUCUUUCCAAAAGUCAAGCUCCUUAGUUUUCAGAGCAUUUGCAACUGUACUCAGUGCAACAGGCAAACCUCCGCAUCUUUCAACGAUCUCAUUGGCUGUACUUUGAAAAGCAGAUAUUUUAGUUGAAUCACCCACUAUCUCCUCAAAUAACUGCAAUGCUUCUUUUGGUGGCAAAGCAUCGAUCUGGAAAUUUUUCUGAGAAUUCAUAUCAAUGCGCAAUAAAUCUUGCUUUCUAGACGUCAAUAUUAUUGUGCAUCUUCUCUGAUCAUCCUUUCUAUCUUUCUCAGCAACAUCCCCGGUUGGAAUUCCAAAUUUAUCCAACUCAAGUUUUGUCCAAAUAUUAUCUAAUAUAAUGAGGAGCUGCUUCUCUUUCUUCAAUCUUUCAUGUAAUCGUUCAGCUCUUUGGAAUUCAUUCUCAUUCAGGCCAAAUUCCAUGCCUAAAUCAAAAGCAAGUUUGUUUUGAAUUUUAUGAUGAUCUGGGGUCUGUGUUACCUCAGCCAUAACGACCUUAUCGAACAAGUUUUCUUCCAUCACUUGCUUUGCAACUUGCUUGACUAUCGUGGUUUUACCCACGCCGCCCAUCCCGUGGACCCCAAUUAUGUUGAGCUUAUCAUCCCUCAACGCCUCCAUAACAUCUUGAAAUACUUUCAUUCUUGAAUCAAACGCCUCGAAAUCUUUCACUUGAAUAUGUUCUGCCAGCUUUGGAGUAGGACGGUGGGAAACAUUAGAGAAGUUGCCUUUUCCCACGAGACUAGCGGCAGCUUCUGCGGCCUUUGCUGCUUGUCUACUGAGCUUGUAACGGGAAAUCAAGUUUGGGCACGAUCCUUUGAAACAGAACUUCUUAGCUCUAUCUUCAUCAUCAGUGAUGGAUUUUGCAGCGCCCUGAGUGAAUUCCUUGACACUAUUAAGCCAGUCUGCAACAUCCUUAUAAAUCUCAUCUCCUUGUUGAGUAGCCUGAUGAACGGGUAUUUCCACCCUUUCUCUUUUGUGUUCCAGCUGCUUCACUUGAUCUUUUAGGCCAUCUAUGUAGCUCUGGUACUUGAACACAUAAGAUAUCUGCCGUAUAAUCGGUUUGAAUAGUGACUUUACACCUUCUGAUACGAUGCUGGAAAAAGCAGCCAGACCCACUUCUGCAGCCAUUGCCUGUUGCUUAACAGUAUAUAUAUAUAAAUAUAUAUAUAUAUAUAAAGUGAAUAAAAAUGUCAAAUAAAGGAAUACAAAUAAAUUAAAAUGAACUAGAGGGAAAGACAGAGAAAGAAUAGACCGCAAACAACAUCACGAUAUUGAUCUUGAACCAACUGAUACCUAAGUGGAGAAUUUCUUUUUCUAUCUUAAGGAUCAGAGGUUUCGCUAUUAACAGAAAGGUAUCCUUCAAGGAAAGUUGAUGGAAAUUAAGAAAGAAUGGCUAUCAAGAUCAAGUAUUCUGCUACUAAAAAUAAAUGAUAUGAUUAAGAAAAACCAGAGAAUUUUUUCCUAGGAAAGUUGAUGGAAAUUAAGAAAGCACCGCUAUGAAGAUCAAGUAUCAGAGAUUCUGCUACUAAAAGAAUAUUACAGGUUUUAGAACAAGUGCACCUCUUUACCUGUCUGGGAUCAGAGUUGAUGAGCUGCUGUAUUCACCUUGAAUAUAGAAGAAAUAUUACAGAUUUUGACUAAAGAGGAAUGUGAGGAACGAGUUGAUGAGAGUAAUAACAAUGAAUUUCCAAAAGAAGACGACUUGAGCAUUAAGCAUGCACCCCCUUUUUCAAUCAAAUAUUGGUACGUAUGUACGUAGGGACCAUUAUGCGUAUAUGAAGUCCAUUAGUUGCAAUCAGAAACCCUGGACCAAUUUAAAUGACACUCGAUUUUUGAUAAGAAGAAGGCAAGGAUAAGGACAAAGUCAAUCAAUCACCAACAGUAAUUACUUCAAUCUUUGUCAAUCUACUUAAAUUGUCGAUCAACAUGAAAAUUGUUUAAAUUGAUAUUUGUAAAUCAAUCAAUUUUCUAGUUACUAUGAUUAUAGCGUUUCACCUUUCAUAUUGGAUUUUAUCUUUUCGAAAGUUUUCAAAUAUGAGUGUCAAUAAUUAUUGAGACUCCAAGCCGUGCUCUCAAGAUCGUGCUGACACAUCACUAUUAACUUUAUUUAUGCAUAUUUCAAAGAAAAAAAGUUAUGGUUUUGUAUUGCCAGCCCUGCUACUUUUUGUUUUUUUUCAUUUGUAUUAUUUACGAUUUUUUUUUAACAGAAACAUGAGAACUCAUCAUCGUACAAAAUUGUAUGAAAAAAUCUUCAAAUUUAUAAAAGUAAAUUUCAUUGACAGAUUGUGGAUAUGUUAGCAAGAAUAAGGAUAAGAAUGAGUUAAGAAAUUAAAAAGAAAAAAAAUAUAGUGUAAGUAAACAAUGUUUUGGUACAUUUGGUAUUGUUUUCAAAAUAUUUUGAAAAGAAAAAUUUUCAAUCAUCCACCUAAAAAUUAUUUUAUUAUCCAAAAGUUAUGAAAAUUUAAAUAUACUUAAUUUUAUACCCAUUAUUACAAUGUGUAUCAACUGUUUACUAAAAAAAUAAAGUUACUCCUAAAACGUAAUCACCACUACAAUUUUAUGUUCGCUUCUAUUUUGUCACUUUGAACGAAUAACUUUGAGUAAAUGACUGAUAAUUUCUCUUUUAUAAGCUACAAGAAGUUAAAAAAAGAAAAAAGAAAAAAUAGGAUGAUAAUUUCUCUUUUAUUUGCCUCAGAUGAUUUAUUGUUUCGGGUCUAAGAUUUUAAAUAUUCAACUUAAAAGAUUAAUAUAUUAUAAAUUAAUUAAUUAAAUAAUCAUUAAGCAAAUAAAUUGUGUCCCUGGAUGUCAAUUCCUUUAAUAUUGACGCAACUAUUUUUUUCUGGCAAAUAAUUAUUAAUGCACUUACGGAACUUUGCAUAUCUACACAGCGAUUUUAAAUAUUACUGGUAACUGCUAAGAAAUGUGCGAGAAAGGAGUUGAUGAGAGUAAUAACAGCGACUUGCAAAAGGAAAAGACAGAAUCAUUCACCCCUUUUUGUAUCACGUAUUUGGUUACUGUUUCCCUGUUGACGCAUGUAUAAAUUUGAGUGGUUUUUCUCCACGUUUUUGAGUGGUCUUUCUGCACUUUUUAACAAUAUGAUAAUUGACAGGUUAAUUAUUUUAUAUCUUUUAUAAAAUUACUAUUAAAGGAGAUUUUCUGCACGCAUGUAUAAUAUUUUAUAUCUUUAUUUAUAUUACUAUUAAUUUUAAAUUAAAAUUAUUUAUAUUUAUUCAUAUUCAAAUAUUUAUUAUUAGUUAUAUUAACUAUAAUAUAAUUAAAUAAUACAUUAUUUAGUUAUAUUUUCAAUAUAAUAAAAAUUAAUAAUAUAAUAAUAAAAUUUAUUUAAACAUUUAUUAACAUGUAAUAAAUUUUGUUUUUGUGUACAAUACAAUAAAUUGAUAACUAAAAUAAAUAUUAUUAACAUUAUUUUAUUAUUUUAUUACCUCAAUAUUAUUAGUAAUUAUAAGAAUUCCUUGAAAGUUAAUGAUUUUACUUUUUUGAUUAAUAAGGAUAAUUUUAUAUUUUUAUAGUAUGUAUGACGGCUUGCCUCCUGCAUGCGUCUAAGUGCAACCUUCCUAUAUAAUCGGUUGCUUUGCUUGUGAAACUACAUCAAACCCUAAUCCUGAUCCUGAUCCUGCUGAGAUGAGUGUUAUAUAUGCUGAAGCAAAUUAAACACGCACAUCAUCAAUUUGAUUCGAUAUGCGCACCGUCUUACGUAUAAAUACCAAAAGAAAUCAUAAUAUACAUCUUAGUACUGAUAGUCGUGAUCACAAAUUAGGAACACAAUAUAUACACAUGCAUAAUAUAAAGAAAACACGAGGUAAAUUAAAAGCGUGUAAAUAUUCAUUUUUUUCAAAUAUUGAGAUGUAGCUAUAAAAGAAAAAAUAAAUUAAAAAAUUUUAAAUUUUAAUAUGGCCAUCGUAGAGUUAGAAUCCCCGCUCCAACCCAAUUUGGAGAUGUGCUUGGUCUAUUUAUGUUUUGGAAAAAGAAAAACCAAAGGAAAAAAAAAUACACACACGACCAAAUCAAGCAAUUCAUCAAAUAAAAAAUAAAAAAAGGAAAGAAAUUUAAUGACUUGCAUGCAAUUUUGGAUCUGAAAUUAAAAUUACAUAAAAAUUAAGGAUUACCUACCUUAAUAUUUACAGCUUAUUUGAUGGACUCAACAGGUUUAAGCAACAUCAAAAUGUUUGUGGCUCCUUAAAUGAGCCCCCGACAUGGUGCAAAUGACAACAUCGACUUGUUUGACAGCUCCAACAAGGCUACGAUGAUCAGAAAAUGAGCCCUCAAUCAACAAGCUAAGAUUGGCUUCUCUAUCCUCUUCUCCCCACAACCAGCGCCUUGCUCUUUGUCAUUUUUCCUCUUGUUAGUUUUCUUCUACAUAUAAUUAUUACACUGGGAAGUACACACCCCUCUUUUCUUUUUAUAGUACCUUACUAUUAUAUCUUUACAAAACAAUAUCACCCUAAGACAGAUAUGUAUGAAAUAAAUGAAAUAAAUAUAUAAGGAACUGACGAAAUAAAAUUAUCAUGACCAUAGACUUUUCUAAUUUAUUUUUUCCUUUAAAAAACGACAAGGAUAAGUUUGGGAAAAUGAUUAUAUUUUUAAUAAAAGAAUUCUUUUUUAUUAUAAGGAUCCACCUACGUUACAAUAGUGAUACCAUACUACAGUUUUUGUCUUUAUUUAGUUGAGUCGUUGGAUGUUUUACUGGUCAAUCUAAUGGCUGAAAUUAAUUAUUAGAUAAUUGAUGCGGCAACCUGCAACCGUUGGAGCCGGUUGCGUUUUAAUGUAAUGUAAUAUCAUUUGCGAGCUUGUGCUGAGAAAGUUUGUUGUACUGCAUCAAUGGAACUGAUUUGGUCAGGAUUUAUGGAUAUAGAGAAAGAGGAGUGUUAGAAAAGAAAACGGUGCAGAAGAUUGUCCCUUCAUCCAUUUGGCCUUUGGUAGGGGCUUCCUUUGAUUUUCACCUGGACUUCAUAAAUUCCUCAAAUUUCCUUCUUGAUAACAGUAAUCCUGCAUUCGGAGAGAGGUAAGUCACCAUGUUUCGUCACAAACGUGGCCAUCUCUUCUCCAUUCGAUUGGUUGCUUUUUAAAUCCAAUGGUUAUAUUAGAUGAGGACAAAAAUUGUGGUAUGGUACCACUGUUGUAACAUAAGUGGAUCCUUAUUAUAAUACUUUUUGUCUUAAUUAAUUUAAAAAUAUUGACUCUUAUAUUUUAAUAAAUAUAAAUAUAAUAUUAUAAUAAAAUAUAACAAUAUAUACAAAUAUUUAAAAAAUUUAAGAUUUUAUUAAAAUAAAUUUUAUAAUAAAUACAAAUAUAUUAUUAAUAUAAUUAUAAUAAUUUGCAUUUUAAAAAGUAAUACUGCUAUAAAUUUUUUAAAUUAUAUUACUCUACCAAAAAAAUAAACUAUUAAAUUAUAUUGAUAUUUAUUAAAAAAUUUGCAAUUAAUUCUUAUUAUAUUUUUAAUUGGAAUUUUUUUCUUGUGAUAUAACAACAAUUGCUACAGUUUUUUCCCUAAAUAAAGAUGGAGUUAUAAAUUAUUUGUAUAAGUGUCAUGAAAGUAAUAGUUGAAUAACAAUAAUGGGGCUUUAGGCAAUUUUUUUAUGAGGUCUUCUUACAAUUUCAACACUUAAACAGACUUGUCCUUGAUCCCAAUUUAUUUACUGCAUUUGGGCCCACGAUGAGAUAAAUAUAUUCCUGUGAGAUGAAAAACAUCAGGAGAAGAAAAUGUUUUAUUAUAAUAAAAAAAAAAGUGGUCCAUAUGUUACCUGUUACCUGCAGAGGAAUGUGAUUAUAGAGAGCUUAUGAGAGUAACGACAAUGAUUUGCAAAAGAAGAAGACUUAAUCAUGCAGCCCUUAGUAUUUAUCAAAUGAUUAGUGAUCAUUUCUUUUAUAAAUAAAAUGCCAACAGCAAAAAGAAAAAAAAAAGGUUAAAUUUAUUAAGUCUUAUUUUAAUUUUAAUUUCUUUUAUUUUCAUUCGCCGAAGAGGGAAUCUCUUUUCCUAAUGUGACAUAAUUAAAGCAAUCUAUAAAUAAUACAAUAAUCAGAUAAUAUAAUAAUUAAAAAGACGCACAUGUUUAUAAUAAUAAUGAUGGGAUCCAUAUGUUUAUACUGAUUAAAUUGGUGGACCAGAAUUUAUUUGACCUUACUUGUUUUCUAUUUAAUUAAAAAUUGAAACGACAGAGAAAAAAUGUCGUACUGAUGGUUUCGAUUGUGGAGUUCCGCUGUGGAUAGCACAUCCAAUAGUGAAAAAUGAAGCUUUCGUCAACUAUCUCACAUCCACGCGUACCAUCAUGCAUAAUUGGAUAUUGCAUUAUUUCUUUAGAAAAGCAAGAUUAAUUCUUUUAACAAGCAAACGCAUAUACAUAGAAUAAUUAUAUGUAUUUGUUGGUUCAAGAAACUUAACUGACAAGAUUGAGACAAACAGGAGAUUUUAAUUUUUUUUGGACAUUAAGAAAUAACAGCUGUCAAGAUCAAGGAGAUUAUGCUAUUAACAGAAAUUAUUAAAGGAUUUAGAACAAGUUAACCUCUUCAGUUAUCCGGGAUCAUACGGUUGAUGAGCUUCUCUGUUUGGCCUUGAAUAUUUAAGAAUAAUUUUGAUGAGCAAAAAGAUCACUGGUAACUGCUGAGAAAUGUGUGAGAAAAGAGCUGAUUAGCGUAAUAACAAUGAAUUGCAAAAGAAAAAGACUUAAGGGUAAUUUUUGGAAACCUCCCCUGAGGUUUGCCCUUGCUACACUUAGAGAGAAUGUAUGCAUAUAUUGACAUAUAGCACCCCUGACCGUGUAUGAGCGUUAGAGUGCCGUUUGGUUGUUAAGGGCAAUAACGUAAUUGCAAAAAUAAAGAGGCUGACUGCAGAAAGAACGCAAUAGCUUUUGCUUCCUCUCCAUGUCUUCGUUCUUGUUCUUUCUCUCGCUCUCAAAAGAAUUUGGAGGCAGAAAAGGAAAAAAAAAAAAUUCUUCUUUUCUUUCUCUUUUCCCCCCUUCCUCUCCACCCAUUUCGUUCUUUUAUCAGUAAAGCUGAAAAACAAAGGCCACUAUUCCUGCAUCACCACCAGUUUGUCGUAUUGCUUUGCUAGUCAACAAAAAUUCUAACCCCAUGUUAAAAAAUAACAUCAAUAUUAAUGCUUCUUCUUCUUAUGAUUCUUUCACCUCUUUAGAAAAUGGUGCACUAGUUAUUCAUAACAAAAGAGAAAGAAAACCAGCAGGCACCCCAUGUAGCUUUCUUUUUCAAUUUUCUUUUGUAUAUGGGUUAAAUUCUUUUAAGGCGAAUUGCAAGUUUUAAUUUUUGUUUUUCCGUUUUUUGUUUGAUACGCACACACGCAUAAAUCCAGAUGAGAGGUGGUUUUUAUAUGCUGUUCAAUCUAAUUAUAAAGCACAUCUAAAAAAUUGUGGUACUAGAGGCCAUUCUUCUGACUGUGGCCGAGUGUUUUCCAGGUUCUUCUCUUUCUCCUAAAUUUACUCCCUUUUUUAUUCUUUCAACAAAAAUGAGAUUCUUUGCUCCUUCAAGUGGAACCUCGGGGGCAAAUUACCUCCACAAAUUGACCCACGGGCCACGGCUACUAGAUUUGGAGGGGAGAGAGAGUGACCUACGGCUGCUGGAAUUGGAGGGGGGAGAGAGUGACCCACGGCGGCUGGAAUUGAAGGGGGGAGAGAGAGUGAACCGUGCGUUUUGUGCUAGAUUUGGAGAUCCGAGGGGAGAAAGAGAGUGUGACCCGUGACCCACAACUGUUGGAUUUGGAGGGGAAAGAGAGUGAGAGCUGUCGACGGAGCGUGGUGAGGAAGAAUGGGAAAUUGGUGGCUUGGUAAGAUUAGUGGCAUGAGCUGUGAGGGAGAGCGAGAGAGGGUGUGCUGCGAACGUUGCGUGUGUGUUGCAAAUGGUGUUGCACAGUUCUUUCAAUCAAACCCUAAGAUCCUCACAAAAUCAUGCCAAAAUAUUGAUUCACCAGGCCUUUUAAUUAAGUUAAAAGCUUCUGUUUUGUUAUCUUCUGCAAUGAAAGAAGCAUCGUCAAGUCUGCAACUCCACGUUGCUGCAAGUAUUGUCAGUUAUUGAACUGUGCAGUGAAGGGCAUUAUUGUACUUUCGGUAACAGAGCAAACGGCAGUCUAACACUGAUACACGGUCAGGGGUGCUAUAUGUCAAUAUAUGCAUACAUUCUCUCCAAGUGUAACAAGGGCAAACCUCAGGGGAGGUUUCCAAAAAUUACCCAAAGACUUAAUCAUGCACCCCUUUUCAUAUCACGUAUUUGGUUACUGUUGCCUUGUUGACAUAUGUGUAUAAUAAGGGUCCGCCUAAGUUACAGCUAAUGUAAGUUGAAGAAAGCACUAGUUCACGACUUUACCUUUGGAUAUAUUCUAAAGAGAUAAUUAAGUUUGAUAAAAGAUAAAGCAAAAGCUUGAAUGCAUGAUUGAGGGCGAAGACUUUUAUUAAAGCAGAUGCCGAAAGCACACGAAAAGCUUGAAUGUUGUGGCUCCUUAAGUGAGGCCCAGACAUGGUGCAAAAGACAAAAUCGACUUGUUUGACAGCUUCAACAAGGCUACGAUGAUCAGAAGAUGAGCCCUCAAUCAAGAGAGCUCCCUGCCUCUUAAAUGAUAAAUUAAAAGCAAUUGUAGCUUGUCGACAUCAGGCCAAUUUCAGGCCUUUGAAGAGCACAAAUGACAUGGCCUUGACCAAAGAUUGCCUUCUCUAUCCUCUGCCGACACAUCCACUUCUCUCCACAACCAACGCCUUGCUCUCUGUCAUUUUUCCUCUUGUUAAUUUUCUUCUACAUAUAAUUAUUACGCUGGGAAGCAUACACACACCUCUUUUCUUUUUUUUCUUUUUUUCAAACUACUAAAUAUUAUGGGAAAAUGAUCGAAACCCUUUUUUUUUUUCUUUCUAGUUAACAUUAUCAGGUGUAUUUUUGGCUUUUCACACUUGCAUAAAAAAUUGAUAAAAAUUUGAAACAUAAAAUUCACUUUAUUACCUUUUACUUUUGUAAAUAAACUAAAAGAUAUUUUAGUCUUUUCAUAUAUUUGCCAAACGUUUUUAUAAAUUAAAUGGUGAAAUUGUUUAUAUAGAUUACAAAUAAACAGUAUAAUUAAUUAUAUUUUGUAUGUAUAAAGCAUUAAAUAAUCAGAUAUUUGUGGCUUUUAAAACUCAAGAAAACUCAAGAAAAUUAAAUGACAAGAUUAAGACAAACAAGAGAUAGUUUUUGUUGGACAUUAAGAAACAACUACUAUCAAGAUCAAAGAUUAGAAAUUAUGCUAUUGAAAGAAAUUAUUAAAGUAUUUAGAACAAACGCACCUCUUCAAUUAUCUAGGAUCACAGAGUUUAUGAGCUUCACUCUUGGCCUUCGAUUUAUAAGAAAAAUUUUAAUGAGCAAAAGAUCGCUGUUAACUGCAGAAGAAUGUGAGUAAAGAGUUUAUGGGAGUAAGCAAUACAAUUGAAUUGUAAAAGAACAAGACUUAAAGCGUGCACCCCGUGUUCAUAUAAACAGAACACAUGUUCAUUUUUAACAAAGUGAUCAAUAACUCUAUUCGUUAUUUAAUUGAUAUUGUAACCAAUUCUAAGAGAAUAUAACAAUUAUCAUUCAAUCCAUAAAUUUUGAAUUAGAUUUUUUUAACUCUUUAUUUAAAUAUAAACCUUAAUGGAAAAUUAUAAAAGUUUAGAGAUAAAAUUUUUCAAUCACCAAACGAAAAAAACAGGGGAAUGAAAACAGAGGAAUCUUGUUUUAACUAAUUUUUUUUCCUCAUUUCUUGGUCUUAUAUUAAUAAUCUUGUUUUGAUGAUAGUGCUCGUGACUGCGGGAAAAUUUCUACUGGAAACAACUCAAUUUCGGAAGAAAACUUAAUUUUGCAAGUGAUGAAUUUGAACUCGUUGGAUUGGUUGAUUUAUGAUUGACUGAAUUUCACUUUUGCCCAAAAGAUCUUUAACCAAAGUUUAAUAGCUAUCAUGUACUCCUUAAAAGCAAUUUUUUUUUUAUAGAUUUGACUGAAUUUGAACUUGUUGGAUUGGUUGUUUUUAGAUUAUUAAUAUGAGAUAUUACAACGUAAAUAUUUUCAUGGGGUUGAGCCCUAUUCUAAAAUCUGUAUAGUUAGCUUUAGAAAAAGGGCUUUUCCUGCUGAUCUGUAAUCUUCAAAUAAACUUAGAUACAAAUAAUGAAAUAAAAGACAACAAACAAGCAAUACUGAUACAAAGCCAACAGAUCAGAGUUUUUGGUACAAAGCCAAUAAAAGACAAUAAACUUAGGACCUUUUUUUCUUGCUUUCUUUUGUUGAAGGAUUAGAGUUUUUGGUAUUAUCAGUAAAGAUUUCAAGGGUCUGAGUAAAAGCCUAUAAUCUUUUUCUAAACUUUUUUUUUGGGGGUGGGGGGGGAGCAUGCAAAUUAACCAAAAGAAAUAAUAAGACCACAGGCUUUAACAAUGAAUGCUAACUUAAAACUCAUGCAAAAUAAGUUACAAUAUUAAAACAAACCAGAGAAAAUUUUUUCUUGGAAAGUAGAUGGAACUUAUGAAAGAGCAGAUGUCAAGGAUUUAGAAAACGUGCACCUCUUUAAUUAUCUGGGAUUAGAGAGUUGGUGAGCUUCUCUAUUUAAGAACAAGUUGAAAGAGGAAAAAGAUCACAGGUAACUGCUGAGGAAUGUGUGAGAAAAGAGUUGAUGAGAGCAAUAACAAUGACCUGCAAAAGAAACAGAAUUAGUCAUUCACCGCUUUUCUAUAUCAUGUAUUUGGUUAUUGUUGCCCUGUUGACGCAUGUUGAAGAAGAAAGCACUAGUUCACAACUCUACGUUUUCAUAUAUUCUAAAGAAAUAAUUAAGUUUUCAUAGAAUAAAAUGGUAAGACUUUUAAUUGAACAAUUGAGUGCAAUCAGUAACAAAGGCUUUACAAAUGCAAGUAAAAUUUGUACGUUGCUUCAGAAAAAAAGGGCAUUUCUCACUCAUCUUUAAUCUGCAAGUAAAAUUAGAUACAAAGCAAAUCUAAUAAAAUGACAAACAAACAAACAAAACAAAGAAAAGACAGGAGGCAAACAACAUUGAUCUUAAGCCAACUGAUAAUUAAACAGAGAAUUCUUUUUUUUUUUUUUAACCUGUUGCUAAAGGAUUAGAGUUUUUAUAUUAACAGAAAGGUUUCAGGGGUCUGAAUAAAAGCCCACAAUUUCUCUAUUUUAUUUUUAUUUUUAUUUUUUGAAAGGAGCUUCACCAUUGGCCUUGAACAUAUAAGAAUGAGCAAAAGAUCAAUGUCAACUGCCGAGGAAUGUGAGUAAAGAUUUCAUCAGAGUAAGAAAUACAAAUGAAUUGUAAAAGAACAAGACUUAAGCGUGCACCCCGUGUUUUGUUUUAUUGUACGUAUAAACAUAACAUGUUCAUUUUUAACAAAGUGGUCAAUAACUCUUUUUUUUUCGGUACAAAGACGUGCCUAGUAUAGACUAGGGCAAAACAAAACGGGGGUGUGAAACCCCAAUACAAUCAUGACGAAUCCAAAACCCAGCCCCUAAAGGAAGAGAAUUGAAAAUGUGCAAUCCAACAGGUAGUGAAAGAGUAGAGUUUGCAAGAAAGUCAGCUGCAAAAUUUGAUUCUCUGUAAACAUGCUUGACCCGCACUUGCCAGGUUCUGUUAAGCAAUUCCUUAAUACCCCUGACAAGAGAAGCAUGUGCAUUUGGCCUAAUCUCGUCAUCCGCCACCAAACGAGUAACACAAAGGCUGUCAACCUCCACCCGAAGCUGCCGAAUUCCAUUAUCCCAAGCCAGACAUAACCCUUGAUAAAGGCCCCGUAACUCAGCACCAGUGAUGGUACCCACACCAAUAUUCAUUCCAAAACCAAUUAUCCACUCUCCAUAACAGUUUCUAAUCAAACCACCCGCACUAGACAUACCAGAACUUUUACGAGCUCCAUCUGUGUUGAGUUUAAACCAAGGCCAAGUAGGUGCCACCCAUCCAAAAUAUUUCUCAAUCUUCAUGGCAGCAGGAACCAAACAACUCUGAUUAAACUUUUGAAUUUCUUCUGUACGGAUCUUAAUAUCCAUUACAACAGUACUCUUGCUGGUAAAAACACCAUUAUGUAGAUUUUGGUUACGCCAAAACCAAAGCCUCCAAACUGUGACCCCAAAAAGACAUGGCCAGUCAAACAUACCAUCAUACUUCCACAAGUUCCUCAAAUUAUAUAACAUCCAAUCUCGGAGAUUCAAACUAAAAAAUUGAUGACUAAUCCCAUGGGGUAUCAAUGACGACCAGAUUGCUUAGCACUGGGGCAAUCCCGCAGCACAUGAAGAGUAUUUUCAACAACACAGCCACACCUUGCACAGCUCAUAUCAUCAAAAAUAUGUCUCCAGAAAAGUUCUGCUUUAGUUUUAAGUCUAUUUUGACCCACCACCCACAGAAAGGUUUUGAUACGUUGGGGACCUCUCCACUGCCAAAGAAUGCGCCAAAAGGAUUCUUCAUUGUGAACCUCCAUUUUUGACAAAGCCCUAUAUGCUGAAUUAGUAGUGAAAUCUCCUGACUUAGAAUAUGCCCAGUACAUGUAAUCAUCCUCAUCAUUUACACUGGGAGGCUUGGUGGCUGCAAUUUUGAGAAGUAAAUGAUGGGGCAAUAAAUUCUCAAAAAGCCGCCAAUUCCAAGUACCCUCAACAGUGAUAAACCUCGCCACACACUCCUCAAGCUGCUCUAAAGGUAUCGGCUGCAAAGCGAAAGUAUACAAAGGGUAUUCCUCUAUUACCCAAUUAUCCCACCAAAAUCUAACUCGGUUGUCAUUUCCAAUGUCCCAUUUGAUCCCUUUUAAAACCUCAUGCCAAAUGCCUCCCACAGCCUUCCACAUGUAAGAGCCAUAUUUCGUAGGUAAUGUGCUGGGGAGAGCAUUAGGAGCCAGCCCAUACUUAGACAAGAGAACCUUCACCCAUAAACUAUUUGGAGAAGCAAUUAAACCCCACCCAAUCUUCAUGAGCAGAGAGCAUCAUUCAUUAAAUUAAGCUGCUUAAGACCAAGGCCUCCGCUAGGUUUCGGUUGACAUAUUGUAUCCCAUUUCACCAAACUGAUUUUCUUCUUGUCUGCUGCCCCGCUCCAAAUAAACCUCCUACAAGCCUGAUUAAUUUUCUCCCGAAUACCAAACGGAAUCCUCGUGGUCUGCAUUGCAUAAAUAGGAAUCGCCUGGAUUACCGAUUGAGUGAGAGUGAUCCUAUCCACCAAGGACAAAUGUAUCGCAUUCCACCCCGACAAACGUUGGUUCACUUUGUCCAAAAUUCCCUGAUAAGUCAGCUUAUUAACCCGUGAAUGAAUAAUUGGCACUCCUAAAUAUUUCCCUAGGUUUUUUGUGACAGAAAAACCCAAGGAAUCACCAAUUUCCUUAGCCUCAGCAGACUUUACGUUGUGGGAGAAAAAAACUUGUGUCUUUGUUUUACUAACUUUCUCUCUAGAGGUCAUAGAAAAAACAUUCAACACUUCAUUUAUAACCAUUGCUUGCCUACAGGAAGCCUCUGCAAGCAAGAUAAGAUCGUUAGCAAAAAAUUAGUGAGAUAAAGAGGUACCUCCACGAGAUAGUUUAAUAGGUUUCCAGUGCCCUCUCUUCACAGUGUCAUUUAUUCCAUGGCUUAACCUUUCUAUACAUAACACAAAGAUAUAUGGGGAAAUGGGGUCUCCCUGUCCAAUACCCCUAGAAGGGGUAAAACUCUCCGUAAUUUCUCCAUUCCAUAGAAGUUGCAUAGUCGCCGUUGGAAUACAUUCCAUAAUAAGCCGAACCAAAACAGUAGGCAAUCCAAACUCCCUCAAGGUUUCAUAAAUAAAAUCCCAGCUUAAACGAUCAUACGCCUUUUCCAAAUCCACCUUAAUGGCCAUCUGCCCAAUCCUCCCUUUCUUACGUCUCAUCGAAUGAAAAACUUCCUGAGCAACCACUAUGUUUUCCGUUAUGUGUCUCCCCGGGAUAAAACUAGUCUGGGUAGGUCCAAUGAGGUCAGGCAAGAUAGAUUUCAGCCGGUUAGCUAAUAACUUAGUGAUAGUUUUAUAGAUAACCGGGCAAAGACUAAUCGGACGAAAAAGCUUAAGGCUAAUAGGAUUAUCCGACUUAAGAACCAACACAAUCAGAGUUUUGUUCAGCUCCUUAGGGAUCUCGUUGCCAUUAAAAAUACCUUUUAUAAGACUACAGACAGAUUUUCCCACUACAUGCCAUUGGGUCUGGUAAAAGAGAGCAUGCAACCCGUCUAUUCCAAGGGCUUUCAAAGCCUUCAUGCUGAAGAUCACAUUCUUAAUUUCCUCAUCAUCCUCCACUGCUUGUCCCAAAGCUUGCAUUCGACUUUCCUCAAGGAUUGGGAAGGCGUUAACAACAUGGUAUGGAUGAUAGAUUGCAUCCUCUUUGGAAUAGAGCUUUGAAAAGAAGGACACAGCAUAAUCUCUAAUCUCAUCAUUAUUCAACAUUCAAUAACUCUAUUCGUUAUGAAAUUGAUAUUGUACCCAAUUUUAAGAGAGCAUAAUAAUAACCAUUCAAUGCAUAAAUUUAGAAUUAGGUUUUUUUGUAAUUCUUUAUUUAAAUAUAAACUUCAAUGGAAAAUUAUAAAAAUUUAGAUAUAAAAUUUUAAAUCACCAGACCAAAAAAAAAAUAGGGGAACGGAAAUAGAGGAAUCUUGCUUUACCUUUUUUUCCUUUAACUCUUGUUCUUAUAUAAAUAAUCUUGUUUUGAUGAUUGUAACUCGUGACUGCGGGAAAAUUUCUAAUGGAAACAACUCAAUUUCGGAAGAUAAGCUUAAUUCUGCAAGUGAUGAAUUUGUUCAAUUGACUCUGUACUUGAACUAGUUGGAUUGGUUGAUUGAUGAUUGACUAAAUUUGAAUUAAGUUUAAUAGCUUAGCUAUCAUGUACUCCUUAAAAGCAAACGUAAAUCUUUUUUAGAUUUGACUGAAUUUGGGAACCUGUUGGAUUGAUUAUUUUUAGAUCAUUAAUAUCAGAUACUACAACGUAAAUAUUUUCUUGUGGUUGAGUCCUAUUCUCAAAUCAGUAGGUUGCCAUAGAAAAAGGGCUUUUCUCACUGAUCUUUUUUUUUUUCUUUAAUUCACACGCACUUGAUUAUUGACUUCUUUCAUGAAGAAAUAAACUUGUAAUGACUUAAAGAUUUAAUUUCAAGUUAGAAUCAAUACCAAAAGACGGAGGUUUAACCAAGCAUGCAGUGUGAUAAAAGUACUUUAAAAAAUGUUGUUCGACCCAAUUAAGUUGAAGAAAUAACAAAGUUUUCAUGGAAUAAAUACCGGUUGUGCUUUAAUGAUUUUGGCAUAGACAUUGCUUGUGUACUGUGAAAUUGAAAUGAAUAUUAAGUGACAGCGCGAUGUAUAUGCCUAAUAAAAGAUCAGCAAAAGCUUGGAUGAAUGAUUGAAGACCAAAACUUUUAUAAAAGCAUUUUUGAGAGAAACUAAACACCAAAUUAUCAAAGUAAGAUCAACAGUAUAUGAUUUGAUUUAUACAUAUUCAAAAACAAAAUAAUGAUUAAUAAUAAAGUUUGAUUUUGUAUUGCCAACGAUGCUUUUUUGUUGUUUCAUUUGUUCGACGUGGCCUUAUUUACAAAUUGGUUGAUGUUAACAGAAACAUGAAAUUCACAUCACACAAAAUUGCACGAACAAAUAUUAAGAGAACGUAAUAAUAAUCAGUCAAUGCGUAAGGGUAAAUUUAGAAUUACAUAUUCUUUUUUAUUUAAUAAAAUCCCAACGGGAAGUCAUAAAAAUUUAGAUAUAAAAUUUUCAAUCACCAAACAAAAAAACAGGGGGAAUGAAAACACAGAAAACUUGUUUUACCUUUUUUUUUUCAUCUAAUUCCUGUUCUUAUAUAAUAUUUUCCCUAGUAUUUCAGGCAAGAAAAAAAAAUUCAAUAAAGAGCAAGAAAACUUCACAAGCUCAGAUUGAUUUAUCUUGUUUUUCAGGUUAGCUUGUGAAAUGAUGAUAAUGCUCAUGAAUGCUAGAAAACUUCUAAUAUAAACAACUCUAUUUGGGAUGAUAAGCCUAAUUUUAUAAGCGAUAAAUAUAAAUAACUUUUUGUGGUUAAUUGAAUUUGUAAUUACUCUUAGCCCUAUUCUAAAAUUUGUAGGCUGCUUCAGAAAAAAAGAAUAUUUCUCACUCAUCUUUAAUCUUCAAGUAGAAAGCAAAUCUAAUAAAAUGACGAACAAACAAACAAAUAAAAGACAGCAAACAAAGAGAAGGGUUUCUUUCUUCUUUUCUUCCUCUCCCACACCCCCCCCCCCAACCCCCGCCUCAUGGAUCAGAGUUUUUGCUAUUAACAGAAAGGUUUCAAGGGUCUGAAUAAAAUCGCAGACUUUUUUUAAAAAUUUUUUUUUUUGGGAAAAUGGAUUCAAAAUAACCAAAGCCAAUAAUAAGAUCACCGACUUUGACAAUGAACAAUAACUUUUUCUCGGAAAGUAGAUGGAAACUAAGUAAGAACUGCUAUUAGAGGAUAUUAUUAAAGGAUUUAGAACAUGUAUAACUCUGUAAUUAUAUGGGAUCAGAGAGUCGAUGACCCCCUCUAUUCGCUUCGGAUAUUAAGUAAGAACUGCAAUUAAAAGAAUGAAUUGAUGAGAGUAAUAACAAUGAAUUGCAAAAGAGGAAGACUUAAUCACGCACCCCUUUUAUACCCGAUUUUGAAGAUUUAAUUUCGAAGUUCACCAAUCAAGAACAAAGAAAAAACCUUAAUAAAGUAUGCAGUGAGAAUAAUUAAGUUAGAGAAAGUACUAGGUUAUGGCUCUGCGUUUCAGAUGCUGUAAUGAAAUAAUUAAGUUGAAGUUUUUAACGAUUAAAUACCUGUUGUGAUAGAAUGAUUUUAGAAGAAUAUUGGCUUAUAGAGCAUAUUAGUAGGGAUAAGAUUUGUAAGAUGCCAGAUAAAAGAUAAAGCGAAAGCUUGAAUGAAGAAUGGCGUUUAAUAAUUAUAGAAGAAUAUUGGCUUAUAGAGCAUUUUAGUAGGGAUAAGAUUUGUGGACAGAAUAAAUGAAAUAAUAAAAGGCAUAACUGAUCAAGUCAUUAUUGAUCUUACUUUGAUUAUUACAUUGCACAUUAGUUUCUUUCUAAAAAUGCCAUUCUUCAUUCAAGCCUUCGCUUUAUCUUUUAUCACGCAUCCUACAAAUCUUAUAUACAAACCUCCGCAUCUUUCAACGAUCUCAUCUGCUGAUUUUUUGUAUUCCUGUUCUUUCACUUCAAUAAUUUUUUGUAUUAUUCCAUAUCUUUCACUUUAAUAACCCAAAAGCUUUCCUCUGUUUCAACUAAGCGAAAAUUUACAUAUUAAAGCCUGGCUCAAAUUCCUUUUUUCAAUCGAAAUAAAACGUAGCCACAAAACCCUAAUUCACCACACCAAUUUAUCUCUGCCCGGUAUUCAUUUAAACCCUACCUCGCGGUUCAAUGUCAUUCUAUACGAUUGCAGAUGCCGUUUCAACUUGUCAUUUAGUUAGCGCCAUCCAGUUCUCUAUGGUAAGCCUUAACCCUAACAACUAAUCGACUGUGGUAGCACGUUGCUUGUUAGGAGUGGGGAUACAUUAUUUGAAUAUACGAAUUGGGUGAUGUUAGUGAUUCAUUCCCCUAUUUGUCGUGAAUUGAGAUUUGUGUAUAAUGCUCGUAAGAUUGCUAAAAAUUUCAUAUUUUGUAUUGUUCCAGUUGAAUUUCUUGCUUGUGGAAGAUAGAACAAAAGUUCAAUUUCAUGUUGAUUUAAUUCUUCUUUUUCAUCUUUUUUUUUUCUUCUUUAUAGUCACGCUCUGGCUGGUGCUAUGCUUAGUGCAGUCUAUGGUUUCAAGAUUAAGUCACGUUUAUUUGAUGGCGUCGACUCCAUCAUUAAGAAGCUCUUCUUAUUUUAUCUCAGUUUCAAUUUUCUUUUAUUAUCUGCCUCUACCUGAAAAUGGACGUGUUUUACUAGUAAGCAGACUUUUUUUAUUUAAUUGAUAUUUUAAUUUUAUGUAUAAGAAUGGAGGUUUAUUUUAAAAAAAAAAGAAAUAAAAAAAUAGACUCUGUUGAAGCUAAUUAGUACUGUUUUUUUUUGGUGGUGCGACCAGAGGUGGAAACCGGGUAUGACAAUGUGUUACUGGUGAGGUUGCUGCUUAAGAUGAGAAUGCAUUCUUUUCAAAAAUCCUUUGUAGGUGUUAUCUAAUUAUCUUUGAUGGAAUAUUAAAUGGCCAAAAAUCUGUCAUACGUUCAAACUUUGUUUGUGUUUAGAAGAAUGGUGUUGAUUGUAUAUUCAUUUGCUUAGCCUUUUGACAGAUGGAUUUGGAACUGACGAUAAAUGUGAUUCAAUUCACAAGGUUUUCAAGGGGCUCACCGUGGAAGGGAUAUUGAAGAGCUGGUCUAGGAUAAAGCCUAUGAUUGUGAAAGAUUGGAGUGAGAAUAUAGAUGCUCGUUUUCAUCUUUUUGGCAAGGUCAGAGAUGAAUGGAUAGAUAAGGAUUUAUUUGACUACCUGGAUUGGUGCUAAUAGGUAUUUUAAGCAAGCUUUUUGAGAUAACACUGAGCAAGUUGUACUACUAUUUUGCACAUGAUGAUCAAAACUCUCGAAAAGUAAAAUAAAAUAAAGUAUUAACUUUUACUUUCAUCUUUUGCAUAGCAAUCAAUGUGGUGCUUGUUCUGUAACAACUUUGAUAAUCUACUUUAUUGGUUAGCGUUUGGACCAAAAAGGUUCUUAUGAUUUACAUGUUUUGUAGAAAUGCAUGAACCUUAAAUGUGCUGAUCAGGGAGUUUAAUUAUUGCACCUUGAAAUUCAUUUAUUGUUAACUAAUUGGCUUUCCUUUGCAUAAAGCCGCUUAUAAGGCUUGAGUGGACGUCUUUAUGGGCAUAUUAUUCGUAUUUCUUUAUGCAUGCCUUUAUCAUUUAAUGUGCUGCUUGUAUUUCUUUAUGCAUGCCUUUAUCAUUUAAUGGCCAGCUCCCUUUCCUCAUUUGUAAUUUGAAUAGUAGUAUGGGCCUCCAUUUUACAAAUCUUUAACAUUUUUUGCUGUAAAUUAAUUUUUCUUUCAAAUAUUUUGGAGGUCAUUGGAAUUCCUGUAGGUCUAUUUACCAGAUUUUAGUAUGUUUAAGGUUUUAAUUUUUCUUAGACUUUAAUUUUUCUGAAAGAUUGUAGUAUUGAUCCUUAAAGUAAGAUCAUGCUACUUCAAAUUAUUUUGAAGCGUUGCUAGUUAUAGCCUUACAUAUCAAAUUCCAUUUGUCUGGAAAUUUAUUGAUAGCUGUUACAGCAGCAUAUUUUAUGACUCUACUUCUUAGUUAUGUAAGUUCAUUAUGUUUAGGUCAGAGGCAGUCAGCUAUGGGGAAUCGAUAUAUGCACAGAUGACUCUGAUCUUGUUGCUGGUAUGUGGUUCUAUGAAUAAUUGUUCACAAUAAUUGUGUUUGCCUCACUGUUUUUGUUUUAUGAGAUCUAUAAUUGAUCUUGGGAUAUUGCUUUCUAGUUCUCAUGCAAGCAAGUUACUACCUUCCCACUGCAUCUCCUCCUUUAUCUGCUAUUCAAGAGUUGCGUGCCAUAAUCUGGUAUUACCUCUGCAAGAUUGUGAAUCAAUAUAUUGCGUCUAAAUUUAUUUUAUACAUAAUGCUAAUGCUGAAUAAUAUAUUGUAGCUCCUGUCAUAUUCUACUUUGACUUUUUAUAUUCUGUUUCAUAUAAAAAUCUUAUUCAACUUUAGUUGUUCAUGAGCAAAUGUCACAUGUAUAAGCCCAAAUGAUGUUUAAAGGUAGCCCGGCUACCUUCAGUUUGAGCUUACAAUGGGUGAAAAAGAAUUUGAGACUGAUAUUUUGCUGUUUUUGUGAUUUUUCAAAGUAUUUUAGAUCUUGACUUUUGUUUGGACUUGAUGGUUAUAGAUUGUGUCUAGAUUUGUUAAGUUGUUUCCAACACCUCGUGCCAAAUCAAAGCACAAUCUUUCUGAUUCAGAUGUCUGGUUAAUUAUGCUUCAUUUUUUCGUUAAAGAUUGGAUGGUUGCAUGGAUUGAUGGAGUUGGAGUUCAACCAGUAAUUCUAAUUUUUUGGACUUAAAAUGCUCUGUAUAAAAACUUUAGUAAGUGUUAUUGAGUUGACAGAAGUUGAAUACUUACAGGUUGUUUCACACUUUCUAAAAGUUUUACAUAAAUGAAUUUCUGUUUUUUGAAUUGCAGAAAGGAGGUGGAACUAUUGAUUUGGAGCCUUAUCUUACUCACUCAUCGACAACGGAGCCUACCCUCGCUCCCAUGGCAGUGGAACGGACAAUGACUACUAGGGCUGCAGCAUCGGUUGGUUUGGGUCUGUUUUGAGUUUUAUUGUCAUUUAUUUGGCUAUGUUUUGAUAGCGAAUUUUGAUAUGUCAAUAUAAUGUGUAAUUGUUUUGGGUUGAGCUGGUAAUUAUGCUGGAUUAGAUUGGUUUGUUUUGGUGGUUCUCUGAUGGAACACUGCUUUCUUUUAGAAAUUUUGAAUAUAAUAUGAGACUACAUAUAGUUUAAUUGAACACUGCAUCUAGUCUAAUUACUAGAAGUGUGGCAUUUGGUUUGGUUUAUCCGAUAUUCUCUAGAAUUUCACUUGCAUCUGGUUUUGUUGCAUAUGUUUGCUUGCAUUUGAUGGUAGUAGCAGACUGUUUGGUUUUGUGGCAUUUGAUGGCAGUUUGAUCUGUUCUUGGUGCUGAUUUAAGAUUGUUCCUGUUGUGCUGAUGUUAAUUGCAGGUGCUUGAAUCAGCUAGGGUUGCUGGUUUAUUCAGACGACUGACUCAGGCGUUGUUAUUGGUUGAUUCAGGUGGUUCAUUUAAUGUUAGGAAGCAAAUUAAGAAAUAAUGAAGUAUUCAUUUAACUAUAAUUAUUGUAGUUAUUUUAUUUCAUAACUGAAUUAUAAUCUAUGAUACUUGUGAACAAAUUAGAGAAUUUUUAUAUAUGAAUUAUAUAUAUGUGUGUAUGUACAUUUUGCUAUUUAUAUAAUAAUUUAAAGAAUAUAUUUCAAUUCCCACAAAAAAUGGCUCCAAUUCCAAUAAUUCCUGCCAAAUAAUUAAAUUUUUUAAAUUUACCACCAAAAUAUAUCUUAAAGAAAUGUUAGUUAUUCUUGCUAGAUUUAACAAAAAUAAUUUGUAGGAUUAAUAUUUAAUUAAAAUGAUUAAAUAAUUUUAUUAUUCCAAUUAAAUAUGUCAUGUUUAUAUGACAGGCAAUAGUCAUGAAUGGGAAGUAUUAGUUACAUAUUUUUCCUUGGGAUUUCAGGCAAAUGAAAAAAAGAUUGAGAAUGAUUUCAAGAGGACAGGUGGAUGAUAAGUAUUCAUUUUUGCAUAUUUGGCUAAUGUCCUCAGCAGUGGAUUUUUAUGGUAUUGAUUUUAUAAUUUUCAAUUAGUUGCAGCCCUAGAGGAAGAGUAGGCUGAUCAAAUUGAUUUGUCUUGUUUUUGGGGCAAUUUGCGACACGAUGACCGUGAUAAUGCUCGUGACUGCUGGAAACUUUCUGAUGGAAAUAACUUUAGAGUUCGUAGCAAGCAUUUCUGUUAUGACAAAACAAAGGUUCCCCCAUAUUUUGGUUGUUUGUUAUGGUAUUUAUAUAUCCUGCAUAUGCUAGGUCGACAGGUUAUGAUGUAGUUUGGUUGGCUCUUCUUGUGCUUUGUGCAAUUUGUAACUGCAGAUACCUGCGAGAAAACAUUUAAUGGAUCUUGUUGCUGUUGAUUGGUUCAAAGACACAGAGAAUGGACCAUGUAGCUAGGCGUCAAGGCUGUGCUGCACAAGUAACUAUUCUUUUCUUUUUAUUUUUCCUUUUCCAUUGAUGCGUUAGGAGAAAAUACUGCCUGUGAGAUACUACAAUGUAAAUAACUUCUUAUGGUUCAUUGAAUCUAUAACACACUGAGCCCUAUUCUAAAAUAUGUAGGUUGCUUCUGAAAAAGGACUUUUCUCACUGAUCUUUAAUCGUCAAGUAAGUUUGUUUCAUUUCAGAAGGUAUAAGUUUCAAACUUAUUGUAUUGGGAGGUUGUAUAGUUGUAACCUAAGCAUCUGCAGCUUCCUGGUUCAACACAUUAUAGUAUGGUAUUUUAUUUUGUCACAAGGUAAUUGGUUACGGGAUCACUUUUGCGACGGUUUGUUGAUGGCGAUGAUGAAUUUCGCAAUAGUAGGUUGAAACUUAUUCCAUCUGUUCCUAAGGUAUCCAUCUUGGCCUUCAUGUAUUAGGACUAUAUUAAUGUAUACUUACCCUUUACUACACGGUACACUUCAAUUUGUACAAAGAAGGCAUGCAUUUAGGUGUAAAUGUACUGAUGGGUUGUAUCUUCAAUCUUCAUGUCCUUUUUACCCUCUUGAAUUUGUUUUGCACUUGUUCUUGAUUUGAAGCACUGAAUCAUGCAGGGGUCAUGGAUCGUGCGCCAUAGUGUUGGAAGCACCACUUGUUUAUUAGGGAAAGCGGUUGAUUGUAACUAUCUUCAUGGUCCCAAGUACUUAGAAGUAAAUGCUCUUGGAAUUUCUUUAGUACACGAGAUGUUCCCCUUUCAAAUAGUGUCCGAUAUCAUUAACAUGGUUUAACAUUGUUCAUCUUUCUGUAGAUUGAUGUUGACAUCGGUUCUUCUACUGUUGCUAAUGGAGUUUUGGGCCUUGUAAAUGGUGUAAUUACGACAUUGGUGGUUGACAUGGCUUUCCUUGUACAGGUAUGUAUGAUUGUUAUUUUAUUUUAUUUUAUUUUUUUACCCCCACUUCUAAAUGGACACAAGGGAAAAGACAUGAUUUUGAGAUAUUGCCCUACAAUUUGCAUUUUUGCAUACUUGAAUGUUCUCAGAAUGGUAUAAAUAAUGCUUCGAGUGUCUCUUCUUUAUCUUGCUUUUUUGUAUGCAGGCAAACACUACAGAUGAAUUACCAGAGCGACUGAUUGGAGUUGUACGUGUUUCUAGUCUGCUAUUGUCCCAAAGUUGGAACCAGAGACAUCAUCAUGACUGUGGUUUCAUUUCACCUCAACUGUUUUUUUUUUUAAUUGAAAAAAAAAAUCAUUUGUUUUAGGUAUACGUACAUGUAUUUUGAUCCCGUUUUCAUUGUAAUUUCUCAUUUACUUUGAAAGAAAGUCAUUGGUGUUUUCGAAUGGGAAUUUUGCAUUAAAAAAUGAAGAAUACUUAAUAGGAAAUUUCAUGAUUCUUUAGUUACUAUUUUUGGAAUGAGUGUAAUAGUAUUAAAGUUGGUUUCUACUCGCAAACAAGUGAACUACUCGAUCCCAACUGCGACCACGCUAAUUGUCAUUGUUUAAUAGCUACUACUUUUAAAACUCAACAACUAACAAAAAUACUAAAAAAAAAAUGAUUUUCUUAUGAUGCUGUGAAAACAUUUAUGGGUUCACUUAUUUCCACAAGAUCUAUAACAUGGUCUUGACUUCACGAAAUUCUUUUAAUUUAAAGGGUGCUGGUCUGAGAAAGUCAGUUUGACGGAUUAAUUCUUUUUAAUAAUGGUCGAGUUAAUUUUACUAGACUCAUAAAAUUAUUCUUAUUCUGAUAAUGCCACAAAUGUUAUGUUGUUUUCUUCAGCUAAUGAUCUUCUAUCAGGACUAGUUGGAAAUCAAAUGCUUAAAACACCAAUUGAAUGAAUAAUGCAGAAGUUUAAACAGUAUCUAAUUGAAAAUUGCAUGAAACUUGAAACAUCAAUUCAAGUCCUUCCUUAAACAGAGAAUGCAUCAAACAAAUCCAAAGUGUCUUUCAAGUCUGUAGCAUGACUAAAAAAUUGUAAAUGCCUUCAGAACCAAAUUAUUCAAGUACAGGAGAACGAGCAAGUUGAAUCAUGUACAAGAGGUUGGCUUGGUUCCAGAUAGCUUCUUCACUGUACCUGAAGGGUUGGCUCAAUCUUUUCUUUAGAAUUCUGCACAUUUUGUAAUUACUCAUGUAAGCAAGCAUACAUUACAACCAUAAUAAUAAUAAAGCAAGAGUAAUGAUACGACCACAACCUCUUGUGCACAAAUAAUAUUGUACAAACUAAUAUGACAUAAUAUGAUUGAGUAAUGAUACGACCACAAUCUUUUGUGCACAAAUAAUAUUGUACAAACUAAUAUGACGUAAUAUGAUUGAUUAAACAAAAACAUAACAUAACCCUCAUAAUUUAUUUAUUAUUAUUUUAUAUUUUCAAUCAAGCAAUCAUAUUAUGCCACGUUAAUAGCUAUAGAAAUAAUUUGCUAGAUAGUGCAACACUUCAUUGAUACUCACCAUUUCAUUGAACAAUUUUUUUAUGGUGUCAUUGAGGUUUCCUUCCCAACAUCCUUCGUCAUCACCAUCUUCUUCUUCGGUGGGUUUCACUUUGUUUAGCUUCGGUGCGUCUACGACUCCUUGAGAGAAAAUCUUCAUUGUUGGGCACUGUCUCACAACUACGUGUUCCAAGGACGGGAACUCAAGAGCGUAAUUACCCAAACAAAAGCUUGUUAGGCUUGGCAAACAAUCAAGUCCCAAGUACUCCAAUUUCCUGAAAACAAUGCAAUCUUCCGCUUCUUCUCCAACCUGCGAUUGUAUGAUUUCUUCUAUCAUUUUGCAAUCAGCUAUCUUCAUUCUUUCGAGAUUCACUAGAGUUUUAGAUGUUGAGAGCGUCAACACAUUUAUCAACCCGUGACACUUCGAUACUUCUAGUUCCCACAGAUUUUCCAAAUGCCACGAAGGUGGUACUAAUUUUUGCAACUUACUACAUUCCGAUAUUUCUAGACUUCCCAAGUUUGCAAACGCUUUGCUGGAUUCGUCAUUUUCCUUCCAGAGAUGCUGCACUUUGUGUAAUCCAGAUACUUUAACUCUAUCAAUUGAGGGAAUGCAACCUAAAAAUCAACAAAAUUAAGUUGUAAAUGAAAAUAUGUAUCCAAUCUCUGCAGUCUUCCCCUGCAUAUUUUAUGGACAAGAUUAAUCACAGCAUUUUAUAUUUUUUUUUCCAAAUUAGUAUGCUUUGCAGUAGGAUCCCAAAUAUAAGUAUCAAAUCGAUUACCCUUUGAAACACAUAAAUGAAAUCUGAUGCUAAAUCUAAUAUGAAUUAGCUAGGAAAACAGAGAUGUUACACACAUAAUUAAUAUAGUUCAUCACCUCGUGUUACCAGGCAUCCAAUUAAUUUCAGACACUUUUAUAAUUCAUACUAUAAAGUUAGUUAAUAAUUGCGGUUAUAUUGUUAAAUCAGAUAUAAAUUAAGACGACAUGUAAAAAGAUGAGUCAUUAAAUUUGAUUUGAUUCUAAUGAAAUUACAACUGUGCGAAAGAAAGUGAAGGGAAAAAUAAUAAUAAUGAUUACCUUUUCAUUGAAGAGAUGUUGUAUUUGAUCAGCUACCAAGAGGUUCUUUUCUGAUUUUAAUUUUUGAGCUUCCUUAUUAUCUGCUGUCAUGUGCAGUACAGAUGUAGAAUUGGAUAUGAAUGUUUCCAUAUCAGGGCAAUUCUCAAUAGUUAGAUAUCUCAACUUAGGCAGUUCAAUUAUAUUCCUAGUGAAGUUGAAAAAUCUUUUGAGUUUUGGAAGGUCAGUGAGCCCUAGCUUGAAAAGCUUAGGAAACAGGGGGCCUAUAUGUUCUUUGUCAGCAUUAAUUAGCUCUUCCAAAUGAAGCACCUCUUCAAGUGAAUCACAAUUCCUCACUUCCAGGUAUACCAAAUUGUUCAAGCACCGUAGCAGAUUAGCAGGAAUAGCACUCGACAUAUUCGUGCAGUCAUCCACCACCAGGUCGAAUAAAUUGUUGAAGAAGCUGACAGGCAGUGCUUGGCCAUGCCAUAUUUCUUUCAAACGUGGAAAAUGCGAGAGUUGCAAAUGUAUUAUGUCACGAAAUCCAAUCUGCACAAACCAAAACAAUUGCACUGGAUAUAUACAAUUUUUUCUUUUUGAAAGGCAUAGAUAUAUAUAUACAUUAAACUUAUAUGUUCAAAUGUGCAAGUGCAAGGGAGAUGCAUAAGUAAUUUCGACGAAUCGAUUUAACACAUACCAUUUCUUCGUAACACUUUUGUAUAGUGGAAUUAAGGUUGCCUUCCCAACGGCGCAAUUCACCCUCUUCCUGUUAAGAAUAGAAUUAGUUAGUUAAUGAGUAUGCUGACAUGGCAGCUGAGUCAGCUAAAGGUUGUUAUAGAGGUUGUUAGUAGUAACCUGUGCGUGUGUGCAAUGUGUGUAGAAUCUUCUAUGCACAUAUAAAAAGGCUUGUAAUUUCCAGAUUCAUUAGAUCAAUAAUAACAGAAUUCUCAGCUUACAGAAGUUUUCUUUCUUCCUAUUUUCUUAGUAACCUAACAACAUCACAGUUUCAUAUAAAACUUAAUACUUCCUUUUACUCACUUGCACUUUGCAUAGCUUUGGUGUGGAUAAGAUUCCCUGAGAAAAAGUCUUCAUGUUCAGACAAUGUGUCAUAGAAACUUGUUCCAAUGAUGGGAAUUCAAGAGUGUAAUUCUCCGAACAAAAGCUGGUAAGCCUUGGUAAAUAAUCAAGUUCCAAAAGUUUUAAUUCGCUGAAAGCAAUACGAUUCUCCUUCGCUUCUUCUCCAACAUGUCCUAUGAUUUCUUCUAUUUUUUCACAGAGUGAUACAUUAAGAUUCACUAGACUAUUGGGAAUUCCAACCUGAAAAUAAAGAGUAGCAUUCAACUAGAUUCAAAGUAUGUCAAAAUCAUACAAUUGUUUUAUGAAAAAUAACAAACCAUGAAUGUCUACUAGAUAUUUUUUGUUAAAGAAAAAAAGGAAAAAAUUAAAACAAAAAUAAAUAAAUAGAAGUCCAGAAAAACAAAGAUAAUGAAAAUGCAUUUACACUAUUUAGUAUUAGGAACGGAGAAAGAAUUUCAGCUAAUUUUUAAAUAUUAUAAAUUCAUUUUUCAUCUUGAUGCUAGUUUUUAAAAAAUUUUAAUUUUCAAACAUGCCUAUUUUUAAAAUAACUAAACUAAAACGCUGUAUUUCCCAUUUUUUUUUCCCGAUAUUCAUGCUUUUAAAAAUGGAAAACAUUUCUGGAAAACACUUCCCAACGCCAUCAACAUGGGACUGUUAUAGAGUGAAUAUUUGAGGAAUUUUUUUAAUCAACGGUCGAUUCAAAAUGACCAUCAUGAAUUUGUGCUUAAUCAAUGGCGUAAUCAAUUCAUAACUAAACUAGAGAUAUUAACUACAUUUGAACACUUUUUUUUUUUAAAUAGAAAUCUAAAGACCCAAGGAAAAGAGAAAUAUAUAUGAAUUUGUGAACUUAAAAGCUGAGUAAUUAAGUAUCUUUUAAUUUCUGAAAAUCUUAUUUAUUAGGAUUUAAGAAAAAAAAACAAUUAAAUUGAAUUAUAUUAUGCUGUUAAAUCGUGUUUAAAACAAUUAUAUUGUUGACUUUAAUGCAGGUGAACCUAUAAAUUAGAUUGAAAAUGCAGAGUUCAGAAUGGUGAUUUGAAGUUCAAUACUUUUGUUCCCUCCAGAAGUUUGAAGUACAAUACUUGCAAUAAAUAAUUUGUGAAUGAAAAUUAUUUGUAAACACAAAAAUGAUUAAAAUAAUUGUUGAAUGUUAUUUGAAAUAAAAAUUCAAAAUGAAUAUAGCAAUCUUACCAAUGGAGGAAAAAUAUUCAGUAGAUUAUCACACUCAGAUAUCUCCAAUUUUUUCAAUUUGCUAAAAGACUUCGAAGCAAGCUGGUGGUGCCAUAUUUUUCUCAACUUAUCCGCCUCACUAAUAUGUAAUACCUCCAGACUUGGGAGUCGUACCUGAAGUUAAAAAUUCAAUGCAAUUAGAGAUGUAUAUUAAUUAAAUUUGAAGACUCAACGAAAAGAGAAAUUAACUAUUGAGAAUAAAAUUAAUUUAAAAAAAAAAAACCUUUUCAUCAAAGAGGGGUUGAGGUUGCAUUUCAGUGUGAAUGACGUCUUCUGGUGAGGCAAAGCUACAUAGUUUUGGAAGACCAUCGAGCCGCAGGUAGUGUAGUUUGGGAAAAACCUUUAAUUCAUCUCUUCCUCCUAACCCCCCCGUGGUGUCGACUACCCCUUCCAUUGACUCACAAUCCCAUAUCUCAAGAUGUUGGAGUUGCCCAAGACUAUUAACCAUAGAACAUGAAAACAGAUACUUCACACAAUGACACCUUUCCACAGUCACUUUUGUUAAAUUUUGACAACAAUACAUUCCCUGAAAUUGAUCGAGCCAUAAUUUUUCGAUGUUUCGUAAAUCGAAAAGUUUCAGUUUCUCCAAACGUGGAAAAGAAACCUGCAAAGCAAAACCGUACAUUUUUGUUCCUUCAACUACAACUUCUAAUAUAAUAUUCUUUCGAUGAUUGAAGAUCAAUCGUAAUAAUAUAUUAAUUAAUUAAUUAUUAAACAGAAAAUUAUUACCUGUUGAACAGGAUCAUCCUCUGCAUUGAUUUCUGUGAAUCCCUGAGUAGUUGUUGGUUUCUCCAUGUCGGGCCCUAUAAAUGAACAAAAACAAUAUGUAAUAAACAUCCGUGUUUUUUUUCACCAAAAAAAGAAAAAGAAAAAGAAAAAAAGAAUGAGUCAAUGUCAAUAAUCCUACCAAUAAUUAAUUUCAAUACUUACCAAUAAUCAUUUUCAAAUCAUCGCAGUUUUCCACUUCUACUUUUUGAAGCCGCAAUAGGUUUUUGGCCAUAGAGAAUGAGAAGAGAUACUUCAAUUUUGGACAGCAAUCUACGUUUAUAAUCCUUAAGUUGCUGAAAGAUUGAUCUUCUCUGAGUUGGCUGUAGCAUAUCGUCUCCAAAUUAGUUAAAAACAUAAGAGACAAUGACUCCAGCAAGGGAAAGACUUUGCAACGAACCCGUCUAACUGAACCGACAAUAUGUAAAAUCUCAGAACAACUUUUUACAUGAAGAUGCUUCAAUCGUGGAAAACCUUCCCCAUCGUCUAAUUCAUGAACAACACUUUGAACACCCUCCAAUGUUUCUAGCCAGAGACCUUCAGUUCUCUGCAGCAACAUUUUUGUCCCAUCAUUCUCCUGAAGAAUGCUAACUUUUUCUAGCCCCUUGAGCAUCAUCAAUCUUGGUGCUUCAGAUUUGACGAGCAAUGGGUCAAACUCAUCUUCGGACUCAUCUCCUAUGCGUAUCCUAUAUCUUUGCAAUUCCACAGAGACAAAAUUCGGCGGCAGAAUUUCGGCAUCCGCAACUUCUAUCUCCAAAGUAGCUAGCUUUGUCAACCUCUCCAACUCGACAAGACUGGCAUUACUUCCUCCUUCAACCUUCUCCCACCCUGAAAAGCUGUUACCCAUAUACAAUUCUUCUAAUUGAGAUAAUUUUGAUAUGACAUUCGGUGCUAUCACCUCAAGCAACCAACAAUUGCUCAAAUCUAGCAACUGUAACCGCGUCAAUUGUCCAAUUUCAAGUGGUAACUGCUUGAUAGUGGAACGUGCAAGGAUGAGAAUCUCUAAUUUCUUUAGCUGUCCAACUAUUGCUAUAUCUUUUAGUCGGCAAUAGUCUAAACACAAUGUUUGGAGGUUAAUGAGGCAACCAAGUGAUGAAGGUAAUGAAGAGAAGUGAAUUCGAGUAAAAUUCAAAACUUUGAGUCCUUCCGUCCCUUUAAAGAAGUGAUCUGAAACUUGCAUAGAGCCAUCACCCUCCGUAUGCAAUAGCUCAAGACAGGGACAUUGCAACCUUUCAGGAAGCACUUGAAUACCUCCAUAAGUUAAAGAAAUAGCAAUUGGAUCUUUUCGUAUUGUCUCUUCCAUCUUUUUCUCCAAGUCGGCAACAUUUGGAAUAUUAAACAUGCGCUUCUCAAAUAACUGCAAUGCUUCUUUUCGUGGCAAAGCAUCGAUCGGAAAAUUUUUCUGACAACUCAUAUCAAUGCGCAAUAAAUCUUGCUUUCUAGACGUCAAUAUUAUUGUGCAUCUUCUCUGAUCAUCCUUUCUAUCUUUCUCAGCAACAUCCCCAGAAGGAAUUCCAACAACAUCCAACUCAAGUUCUGUCCAAAUAUUAUCCAAUAUAAUGAGGACCCGCUUCUCUUUCUUCAAUCUUUCACGUAAUCGAUCAGCUCUUUCGAAUUUAUUCUCAUCCGAGCCAAAUUUCAUGCCUAAGUCAAAAGCAAGUUUCUUUUGAAUUUCCUGAUGAUCUGGGGUCUGUGUUACCUCAGCCAUAACGACCUUAUCGAACAACUUAUCUUCCAUAACUUGCUUUGCAACUUGCUUGACUAGCGUGGUUUUACCCACGCCGCCCAUGCCGUAGACCCCAAUAAUGUUGAGCUUAUCAUCCUUCAACGCCUCCACAACAUCUUGAAAUACUUUCAUUCUUGAAUCAAAGGCCUCGUAAUCUUUCACUUGCAUAUGUUCUGCCCGCUUUGGAGCAGGACGGUAGGAAACAUUAGAGAAGUUUCCUUUUCCCAGGAGACUAGCGGCAGCUUCUGCGGCCUUUGCUGCUUGUUUACUAAGCUUGUAACGAGAAAUCAAGUUUGGGCACAAUCCUUUGAAGCAGGACUUCUUAGCUCUAUCUUCAUCAUCACUGAUGGAUUUUGCAACCCCUUCACUGAAUUCAUCAACUUGAUUUAGCCAGUCUGUGACACCCUCAUAAAUCUCAUCCCCUUGUAGUCUAGCAUGAUUAACAGGUUGUUGCACCGUUUCUCUUCUAUAUCCCAGCUGCUUCACUUGAUCUUUUAGGCCAUCUAUGUAGCUCUGGUACUUGAACACAUAAGAUAUCUGCCGUACAAUCGGUUUGAACAGUGACUUUGCACCUUCUGCUACGAUGCUGGAAAAAGCAGCCAGACCCACUUCUGCCAUCGCCUGCUGCUUAACAAAUCUAAUAAUAUGUCAAAGAAAGGAAUACAAAUAAACUAAAAUGAACUAGAGGGAAAGACAAAAAAUGGAAAAGACAGCAAACAGUAUCGCAACAUUGAUCUUGAAUCAACUGAAACAUGAACAAAGCAUUUUUUCUUCUUUCUUAAGGAUCAGAGUUUUUGCUAUUAACAGAAACGUACUUCAAGUGUCUAAAAAAAAUUAACUAUAAAUGAACAAUAACUACAAAACUCAAGCAAAACAAGCCAUAAAAUUUUUAUCUUGGAAAGUGGAUGGAAAUUAAGAAAGAAAUGGUAUAGAGAUCAAGCAUCAGAGAUUAUGCUAUUAAAAGAAAUUAAUUGAAGGUUUUAGAACAAGUGCACCUGUUUAAUUAUGUGGGAUCAGAAAGUUGAUGAGCUUAUGUAAUCGCCUUGAAUAUUUAAGAACAAUUUCAAUGAGCAAAAAAUUUCUGUUACCUGCAGAGGAAUGUGAUUAUAGAGAGCUUAUGAGAGUAAUGACAAUGAUUUGGAAAAGAAGAAGACUUAAUCAUGCAGCCCUUAAUAUUUAUUGAAUGACUUGUGAUCAUUUCUUUUAUGAAUAAAAUGCCAACAGCAAAAAGAGAAGAAAGGGCGAAAUUUACUAAGUCUUAUUUUAUUUUUAAUUUCUUUUAUUUUCAUUCGGCGAAGAGGGAAUCUCUCCCUCUUUUUGUUUUUUUACGGGGAAUCUCCUUACCUAAUGUGACAUAAUGAAAGCAAUCUGUAAAUAGUAAUAUAAUGUAAUAAUUAAAAAUACCCACAUAUUUAUAAUAUUAAUGAUGGGAUCCAUAUGUUUAUACUGAUUAAAUUGGUGGACCAGAAUUUAUUUGACCGUACUUGUUUUCUAUUUAAUUAAGAUUGAAACGAUAGAGAAAAAUUUGUCGUAUUGAUUUGUUUCGAUUGUGGAGUUCCAACACUGAAAGUGAAGAUUUCAUCAACUUUCUCACAUGGACACGUACCGUCAUGCAUAUUGCAUUAUUUUCCUAGAAAAGCAAGAUUAAUUCUUUUAAUAAGCAAACGCGUAGGUGGGAAUCCAUUCAUGAAACAAGUGGAACGACAAUAUCAAACCAAUGAUAAUUCAAAAUCUGAAUCCGCCUGAUGGACGGCAACUAAUCUGAACCAUUCUCCUUUAGUAACAGGGGAAUGAAAUUAUAUCGAUGAUAGAUAAUUUCAAAACAGGGGAAUGAAAACAGAGGAACCUGUUUUUCCUUCCUUUUCUUCUUUCCCCCAACUCUUCUUCUAUUUAUAUUUUCCUUGGAAUUUUCGGCAAACGAAAAAAAAUUGGGAAUGAUUUCAGGAAAACAGGUGGAUAAUAACUAAAAUAUUUAUUUUUAUAUUUUUGAUAAACACACUCACUAUUAAUAGAAUUCAUUAGAUAUCAUAACUUAAAUAACUUCUUGUGAUUAAUUGAGGGUACAUUUGGGAUUUCUUUUAUUUCCCAAUAAUUAGCUUCUAUGUUGAUUCUCAGAAAAUUAAUUUUACGAAUAAUUUAGUAGGGUGUUUGGUAAAUGAUGAUUAUUUGACAACCAGUUUUCAAAUAAUCUACUAUACAAAUUUGAUAAGUAAAAAUUAGAAGUGUAAUAUUCAAGUGCAAAUGUGCAAUGAUAAAAAUGUAAUUGUUUGUUUAUUUGUAGUUUAUUUAGAAUAUUAUUACUAACAUCAUUUUUUUAUUUACUGGAUUUUUAAAGAGUAUAUUCUAUUUUCUUUAUUACAUAUCUAUAUCAAUUUUUUAUUAACUAUUUUAAUUUGUAAUAAAACUAACUUUAAUUUUUUUUAACUAAAAAAUUUGUUAUGCAGUUUGUUAUAUUAAAAAAAAAAUUCGGACGGUGUCUAAACAUGGUCACCAGUGAUUGUUAUAUUAAAAAAAAAUCUAUUCAAUUUUUUCUCUGAUUUUGUGUCGAUAUCUUUCUUACGUAUGUUGAUAUCAUAUUAAAGUGAAUUCAAGACCCUAUAUUAUUUUGCAUAACAUCAAAAUUUAGCCGAAUGGUAAUUAAGAAUUUCCUUUUUUGUUUGUCCCACAAUUAUAUAGUCUCAUUUUUUACAAUAAGCUCACAAUAUGCACGGAAAUGAAGAUCUAUUAAAAACUUCCCUAUAAUAUUAAACACUAAACAAUAUCACCAUGUUAUGCAUAUGGUGCCUCGUCAACAAUUUGAUGUUUAUUUUGUUUCUCGGGUGAAUAUGACUACUUGCGUUGCGAGUCCAUGCUUUUGUCGUUUGGAUGGAGGACGUGCCAUCUUUUUAUUUUAGAUGGUUUGUAAGACUUCUGAUUUAAUGAUUGAAUGCAGUCAAUUAACAAAAGCUUACAUAUUAUGUAGGUGCUGAUAUGUCUGUUCUUGAUAAAGUAGAUUUAUUUACAUCCAAGCCAACGGAGCCAAAGACAUUUCGUUAAUAAAAUACACGAUAAUUAUUUUUGUUAAACUGAUUUCUGGUUAAUAAGACCUAUAACAGCAUUCAAGGAAGCCACCGAACUCAAAGGAAAGGCAUGGUUAAAUAUACUGCGAAGCAUGUGAGUUCGUUUUUUAAUCUCUUGAUCACUCAUAAGCUUUUCUAUACCACUCACUGUAUCAUCCUUUUGAAUCGAUUUUGAUUGAUCAUCAGAGAUCAUGUACCCCACCUUAAGAUGAUUGAUCACAAAUUUGGCAUUGUAAUGUUGGUCACCUCUAAUUGGCCAUGCUAAAAUUGGGACUCGACAACCAAUUGCUUUUACUGUUGAAUUCCAUCCACAAUGAGAUAAAAAUCCACCCGUGAUUGAUGACUCAAUAUCAAUAAUUGUGGCGCCCAUCCAUCUAUUAUCAAAUCCUUUUUACCGACUUUAUUAUCCAAACCACUACGAAAAUAACUGCCUUCAGCUGGUUUGUCCAAAUGACGUAGAGGAUCCAAUCUACCUGCACCACCUUGAAUUACCCAAAUAAACGAUCGAUUUGAUGCUUCUAAAGGAUUAGCUAGUACUAAGUACUCAUCUAAGGUCAGAUCCACUUCAGUACCAAAUGACACAUAUAACACAGAUCCGCGUGAUUUCAAAUUCAACCUUUGAACGAUCUCAUCUUCCGUCAUAUUAGAACUCCGCCGGUUGGUUCUCAUCUCAUGAUCAUCAAGCACUGAACCGGCCGAUUUGUAAAAUUGUUCAGGUAAUAGUGGGCCCACUCCCCACAUCGGCUUUCCCAAUUCAUUGGCUAAAUAAUUAAUAAAUGGUCCCUCAAGACCAUCACACGUGUUGAACAUCAACGCCAUUGAUCCCUCCACUUCCUUCAUCCAGUGUGGUUGAUCACCGGCUUCUGGUGGACCUAUUUUCUCGGAACCGGGUGCACCUCUCAGAGGUGGUGGACCACCAGGAGGGGGCCCAUGAGGCCUGUGUUUUAGGUCCGAUUCAAAUAAAGCCAUAUCCUCGGGUAACCGAGGAAGUAAACGGGCCUCUCCCGGUUUGACAUCUUGGAUGCGAGCCUGCCACAUGGCACACUCCGCAGCUGCCGAGCAAGCACCAGAAGUGAAGAACCCAACAAUGGGAACUUCAAAAAUCUUGAAAACAUCAGCCGUCCAGCCCAUCAUAACGUCGAUGACUGCACAAACGGGUCGGCUUUUGGGUUCCCGGGUUGAAAGGAGGUUUCGAACUUCGAAGGCCUUGAAGCAUUUGGCUGUGCAUGGCAACAUGAGGGUGAGGAGGCGAAGGAGGGUAUUUCAGUAACUUCAAAGAGAGGGUAUUGGUGAAACGAGGAAGGGAUGAUGCUGGGGGCGGAAAUGUGAGAGGGAAUGAUGAGGGUAGAUUUGUAAUUACGAGUAGCGAUUUGCUUGCAUAAUUCAAUGCAUGGAAACAGAUGUCCCUGACCGAAGAAUGGGACAAUCCAAACCUCGGCCUCAGCAGCAGUAGCAACAGAGCUUGACAUCUUUUUGAAUUAUUUGAUACUUAAUUGUUACUGUUUGCUUUUACAUCUUUCAUAAAACACUCUUUGUUAUAUAUAAAGAGAUGACUUAAUGGAGAAGUAAGUGUUUUAGUUUUACAGUUUUACUAGUAGGUGAGCUCUGAGUUUGAUAAUUUGAUUGUUAGUUUUAGUUGGUUAGUUAUGAGAAAGCAUCUUUUAGAAAAUUCAUUCCAGUUUCAACUAAAAUUAAUAAUAUUGUUCAAAUUAAUUACUCGAUAAAUAAAUAAUUAGAGAUAAAUCUAUCCCUAAUCUCACAUUUAUAAAAUAAGGAUUGAAAUAAGUUCUUGUGGAUUCGAACUCAAGCCCUCAAGCCGAGUGGCUGGAUCUUGACUACUUUGACUUAAUUAUUAUUAUUAUUAUUAUUAUUAUUAUUAUUAUUAUUAUUAUUAUUAUUAUUAUUAUUAUUAUAUAUAUAUAUAUAUUUCAUUCUUUCAUUGAACAUCUUUUGUUAUAUAAUAAAGAAGAUAAGUUGACGGAGAAGAGUUUUACUUUUACUAGUAGAUGAGCUUUGAGUUGAGAACGUUAGUUUUAGUUGAUUAAAUAUCUACCAUCCAAAUCAACAUUCCUUAAACUAUUAUUCAAGUGAGAUGUCUGAGUAACAUACGCUUGAGUUAGUUGGUGCCUAACAAUUCGUGUGAUACAUGAAACCAACCAAUAUGAAAACCAAAUCAAGUUGGUAGGAUUACAUUAAUUUAAAUUAACUUUCAAGUUCCAACAUUAUAAGAUAAAUAAAUAGCAUAAACUAAUUUUUUUUUUCAAGUAAAUAUGUUUAUCGUUUAAAAAUUAUUUUUUCUUGCGGUAAAUGCAACACUAAAUAAGGAGUGAAGAGGGUAUUUUGUAGGGUAUACCCCCACCUUUUAUUUCAUUUCAUUAUUAAAAAAUAAAGGCUUGAUUCAACAUUCAAGUAAAAUUAACAAUUCCAUGAUAAAAUUGCUUGAGAAUAAGAAUUAAAAUAAAAAAAGAAAACAGCAACUCAAAAACGACAUACAAAUACCGCAUAGAGGUUUUUCGUCACGAGAUAUUUUUGGGUUGAGACAACAGUUGUAUAACAGAGCAUACAGACUGAAUGACGGUGAGAAUAAGAAGGAAAACGGCGCCACACACCGAAAUGCCAGCCCAUGGAGUAUUGAAGUAAUUUUGUUUCAAGUUUGCCCUCCAUUUGUAGCACGUUCUUUUGCAGUGAUCAUUCAAUCCUUUGCAUAGCCCAGAAAAAUAGAAGCUAUUAGACAGCAGAGUAGUACCUCUAGAAAGGAACACAUAAUCAUUUAUGUAACACAUAAUCAUUUAUGUAAUUCUCUGAGUAAUGCCGUUGUUCAAAGGCAAUGAGAUUACGAAAUAAGGAUUCUGUUUCUAGCUGUAGCUUCAGUUUCGGAAUAUGCGAUGUCCUGUUUUUGAAUUCUAUGGCGAACAAAUCAUUGCUCUUGCUCAAACUGAAGUGGACUCCAGCUUGGUGGAGAUUAGUCACACUUGGUGCGGUUUUACCUUUGUGGUAUUGCUGACCUUCUUGUUUUUCCUGAUUCCUCGAUGAUGGGAGAUGGCAAAUCCUUAGAAAAUCAAGGAAAUGCUCUACCCUAGCCUUAGUGUAAGGAGGGAAUUUUUGCUGAUUACCUUGUACUACCUCUAAACCCUUGAAAUACUCGUAUGUGACUGUGAUGAUGGUUGGAUUUUCAUGUUGGUCGGGGAUUUCAAUUGCCGCUAGAGCAAAAAGAUCCUCAAGAAUGAAGAAAGGAAGCUGAUUCUCAAGCAACCACAUAUCAUACCGUAUAUCCUCUAUUAAAUAGGGUUUAUGAAAUAUAUGAUCAUCUUUUUUUUGAAGUUGACGGAAAUGAUACCUCAAUAAGAGUUCAAUGAUGAAGGCAGCAUCCAGCAGAAUCAUUUCAACAAAUUUAUCACUACUUAGUUCGACUUUUUCUGCAUAAGAACCUCGUAAUUCUGCUUCUCUGAACUUUAUAAUUUGAACAAACUCGUCAAAGCUUAUUUGGGUCCGUUGAAGAAAGUAAUGCAGGUACCGCUGUUUAUGUUCUUCCAUGAACUGUAAGUUUGCUUUGCCAUGCUGAAGAGGGCCAAUUGAGACUACCUGAGGUGUAUGUACCUUUUCAUUUAUCUGACGUAAUCGCUCUGGAACUCUGUAGAUGCAGCAGUUUGAGGGCAAUGGUGAUAAUUUUUUCAACUUAACUUGCAAGCAUUCUUCCAUGUUAUAAACUGAAAACAUGGCGCGAAAUUUAAUCAAUUCAACACUUAAUAAGGCAUAGUAAUUAAAAAAGAAUUAAAAAAAAAAACCAAAUACAAGAGCAUUCUUACACGUACAGAAGCACCUCAAUCCCUACUAUUUGCAGAGCUGUAGCCAGGAGUCAAUGAUAGACCAGACUGAACUAAAAGGAACAACUUUCUUAGGAAUAUGUUAUCGGUAUUUUCUCUGGCCUCAGGCCAUCAACAAAGCAGUUUCAGUGCUUCUUAUAUAAUUCCAUGGAUUAUUCCUUGCCUUUACAGAUGAUAUAAGUCACAAUUCAUAUAUUAAUUUCUCCAGAUUCCGUACAAGUGGACCAUAACUAUGGAAAAAUUCAAAGAAUGCAACAGCCAUUUGAUUGGUCCAUGUCAGAAGUUAAUCUGGGGAAAGAAGCUUGAUCUAGCAGUAAAAUUCUCUCCUUCAAUCAGUCAGUUUGGGGCAGCAACAAGAUCAAAGCCACCACGCAAACAUUUACUAAAGUUUAUAUAAUAUUCACUAGUUUAUAUAAUAUUCUUGAAACUCAUCUUAAGUAAAGCAACAAAAGCCUUCACUGUUUCUUAACAACUUUAUUGCUCUAACACGUAGCAUAACACUUUUAAAUUUGCAUAAAGCACAAUAGUACUUUAGUUUGUAACAACAGCACAGAUAAUAAAUCGCAUUUUAUAGCUUUAACAAAAGCAUACAAAAUUCUUAAACCUUGUUUCAAGCAAUUCAUUAAUGCCACAAGGAUGUCUUUUUGCUUCCUACAGUUUUUAUUGAAAUUCAUAUAUUCUUCUUUAUCAAAUUAAGUAAUUUUCCUUUUUCAAAAAAUCAAGAAGGUUUCGACUGCAUGGAAAUACAGCACACAAUUACUACUAUUCCCGGAGUAAGAAAUUCAUAAAUGCAAUAUAAACAUACAUUUUCAUAAGACAUCAGAAUCAAAGAAUCAUCAAUGCAUCAAAUCUGUACACCCAAAAAAGUUGAAAGCAUCAAGAGAAAAUUAUACCGCAUGGACCCUUUACAACCCUUAUAACGAGUUCAGACAGCCUAAUCCAAUUUAAUAGAUUUGAGGACAGCUACAAUGUGCAAUACAAAAUUUCCCAAUACUAUUUAGAACAAAGUCUAGAAAAUAAAACCUAUAUAUUGUACAAAAUCACGAAAACCAGAAAUGACGAAAAACCUGCGAAUGUAAUUUUUGGGUUUCUUCAACAUAUCUUCCAUCCAAAUCAAACAAGAAUCGAUAAAUCAACAACAUUCAUCUUUAAACGACAUAUUACCACAAUAAAAUUGUCAACCAAGCCUCAUAUAAACCUUUUUUGUGUUUUUUGGUAAAUAUAUUUGUUAUUCUCUAAGAAUACUAGGGAAAAAAGAAACCCACUUUCUUAAUCAAGAAUCAAAUAGUAUAUAUGAAUCUAAGCUGAAGUAAGUCUUGGGUUUGAUGAAAAAGCUUGCAUUGUGAUUUAGAUUGGAAAGGAAGUUGAUUUUUGCUGGUUGAGAGAGAGAGAUUUGAGACUUAAGGAGUGUUGCUAAUCUUCGAUCGUGUAAACAAGGGUAACUGGGUCAUAGUUCAAAAUAAGGGUCCAAAAUUUACUAAAGCUAUUAAGGAGCCCAAAACUCAUAAUGGCUUCCCCAAAAUAAAUAAAAUUUUCUAGCAUUAAGUUUUUGUUUCUUCUUGAGAUUUCCUUGUCGUACUUACCCAUAUUUCGAUAUUGCCUCCAAGUAAACUUAUAUAUAUUGAUUAACAAUAUAAACAAGCACUAUGAAGUUUUAGGCCUGAAAAAACAUUGAGGUUGAAAUGAAAACCAUCUAUUUAAGUAACAAAAUCUUCUGAUAAUUUGAUGCUUAAUAAAUAGAGCAGAGAUGACAUAUUAAUCACGCUAUGAUGUGGAAGUUAUGAUUAUAUUCAUCUUAAGAAUAAGAUCUUUCAAACACUGGCAGAUUAGUAUCAAAAUACUCAGCAUAAGACCUACAAACUAGAAAUCAUGAACCAAUUAUUGAACUCAGUACAUAAGUUGAUCUUUUAUAAGCUAUAAAACAAAUCUGCUAUAACAUAAGAAAGUGGGAUUUAUCACCAGACAAAUAUUUUGGUGAAACUCAAGAUGACGGAAGGAUAUCCAAAACAACCUCCUUAAGGGAAGGCAUCACUUCCUGCUGAUGCAAACAUAUAUAUUUAUUACUCACUUUCUUGAGGACCUUCCAGGAACCUGGGUAGCAUCUAACAGAAAGUGGAAAAGAAUAAAAUGUAAAAUAUAAGUUAAACAGCAGGAAAACAGUGAGUGAUACUAGGCAAGCAUUAAUAGGUUGCCGCAGGAAAAGUGUCAGUAACUAGCUAGCAAACCUGAAAAGGGUUCCUCCAUUGCGACCCUUAAAAUUGUGAAUGUAAUAUAUGGUCUCCAUCACAGGAAAAAGUGUAUUGGAUAGUGCAGCCAGCUUAGUGUUGCGGACCGCCCAAAUUCGUAGCCCAAUUUAUUCACCAAGAGCCCAACACAAGGCCAAGAGUGCUACCUUGGCCCGAUUCCGGAAAAUUCUAGGCAACUCUAGCACAUUGAGCUUGUAAAUACUCUAGAAUUCUCCAUAGAAUUCCAGCACAUGUAAAUAGCUAGGAAAUGGUAGAAUUCUCUAGAAUCUCUAGAGCUUGGCAAGCCUCCCCUAUAAAUAUGGGAUGGCAUUAGGCAUUUGUAUCCAACAAACACUACAACAAGCAUUGUAAGCAACUCAAGCAAUGUAAUUCUCUCUUUGUGCAAUACAAUUUCUCUUAUUCGGCUCUAUUGCUCUCUUCUCUAGUUCGAGAAGCUCUAAGCUUACUUAGCAACAUUCGGCAAAGUUGUCUAAGUGCCGCACGAGUUAGCUGCGCAAAAUACUCAUCCCGUGACAAGUGGUAUCAGAGCUAAAGUUUGCACGCACGCAAAUUAGCUCACGAGCAAUGGCCAACCUUUCAAACGUAGCACAAUAGGGUGUUGUUGGUGUGGAUGUUCCACUGGAACCAAGCCGCGACCAAGAGGGAGAACGCUCCCAAGGCAAGACUCGUGGCAAGUCCAAGGCCCCAUCCGUGGAUGCGUUGGAGCCUCGUGUGACUACUCUCGAAAUCACAUUGUCCGCCGCUCAAGAAAGUCUCGAGGGAUUGGAGGAACGAGUGGACGGUCUCGAGGGGGAAUACGCCGAGUUCACGGUGGCAACAAAAGCUCUCAUCCAAGAGCAAGCGAACACUCUCCGAGGUGAGUUUCGUUCUUUCCAUGAUGAGUUGCUCAAACUUCGUAGCUUUGUUCAGGAUGAACUACGAGCUGUCCGUGCAGAAGUGGAUGAAGUCCGCUCGGAUUGGGCAUGGCACAAGUGCACAGUCUCUGCUAGUCCAGCUUCCGCAAACUCGAGUGAUGCGCGCCGCAUUGACGUGCCAAAGCCCGACACCUACGAUGGCACACACAAUGCCACCAUCGUGGAUAAUUUCCUCUUUGGGCUCGAUCAAUACUUCGAUGCCAUGGGUGUCCGAGACGAGGCAUCGAAAGUGGGCACUGCACCCACCUAUCUUAGAGGCGCUGCACAACUAUGGUGGCGUCGCAAGUAUGGCGAGAUGGGCAAGGGCAUUUGCACCAUCGACACUUGGGCCAACUUCAAGCAAGAACGCCGAAAGCAGUUCGCCCCAAGCAAUGCGGAGAAGGAAGCACGAGCGUGCUUACGUCGCCUCAAGCAAACGGGUAGCAUAUGGGACUACAUCAACGAGUUCACUACCCUUAUGUUGGAGAUAAGCGACAUGUCCGACAAAGAUUCGCUCUUCUACUUCCAAGAUGGCCUCAAGGAUUGGGCCAAGACUGAGCUUGAUAGGCGUGGUGUUCAAACACUUGACGAUGCCAUGGCCGUUGCGGAGUCGCUCACCGAAUACUCUAUCCAAUCCAAGGACAAAAAGGCCAACCAAGGCAAAGGUGGGGGAGAGAGUCGCAAGGACAAGGGCAACAACCGCAAAGAUUGGGGGUAGAAAAAACUGCCUAGCAACAAGAGCGAGCAAGGAAAAUCGGAGGGUAAGAAGGAGGCGCCAAAGCCGCGAAGCCCAUGCUUCAUAUGCAAUGGUCCUGAUUGGGUACGCGACUAUCCGGAGAAGAGGUCGCUAAACGCUCUUGCUGCCCAACUCAAGAGCAACCCUACAAUGUCCACAGAGGAACCCCAACUCAGCAUGGGUUCUCUCCAACGCCUCGGCGCACUUAAUCACUAACAGCCUGCACUCGUCAAGAAAGGGCUCAUGUAUGUAAGCGCAAAGGUAAACGGUCAGUUCGUUCGCGCGCUGCUAGACACGGGAGCGACGCACAACUUUGUGUCCGUAGACGAGGCCAAGCGCUUAGGCCUCAAGGCCACCAAGGAAGGAGGCACGAUGAAAGCGGUGAACUCACCCGCCAAGCCAAUUGCGGGGAUCGCACAAGGCGUGCACAUUAUGCUUGGAACAUGGAGCGGAAAGCUUGAUUUCUCCAUCGUUCCCAUGGAUGACUUCAAGAUGGUCCUCGGCAUGGAAUUCUUCAACCAAGUCCAUGCCUUCUCGCUGCCCGCUCCGAACUUCCUAAGCAUCCUCGACGGGAGUAAGGCAUGCAUGGUUCCCACGGAACGAGGCAAGUCCGAGGAGAAGACACUCUCUACCAUGCAAUUUAAAAGGGCUUUCAAGAAGGACCCAAGUUUCUUGGUCUCCAUUCGGGAACUAAACGAGGUAGGAAAUAGCGGAAUCUCGCCAAACCAAGUCCCUCCGCGAAUUCAAGCCGUCCUUAAUGAGUACAAGGACGUGAUGCCUCCAGAACUUCCGAAGAAACUCCUACCUCGACGAGAGGUUGACCAUGCAAUUGAGCUGGAACAAGGCACGAAGCCACCAGCCUUGGCGCCCUACCGCAUGGCGCCACCCGAAUUAGAGGAGUUGCGGAGACAACUCAAAGACUUACUGGACGCAUGCUACAUUCGCCCCUCAAAGGCCCCAUUCGGUGCACCUGUGCUCUUCCAAAAGAAAAAUGAUGGAUUGCUGCGGAUGUGCAUCGAUUAUAGAGCGCUCAACAAGAUCACCAUCAAGAACAAGUAUCCGAUUCCCUUGAUCGCGGACUUGUUCGACCAGCUUGGCAAAGCGCGGUACUUCACCAAACUCGACUUGCGCUCCGGGUACUACCAAGUGCGCAUCGCCAAGGGAGACGAACCAAAGACAGCGUGCACAACAAGGUACGGGUCUUUCGAAUUCCUUGUGAUGCCUUUUGGCCUUACUAAUGCACCCGCCACAUUUUGUACGCUCAUGAACAAGGUGCUCCAACCAUUUCUCGACCGCUUCGUGGUCGUGUACUUGGAUGACAUAGUGGUGUAUAGCACCACGCUCGAGGAUCAUGCCCAACACUUGCGACAAGCCCUCCAAGUACUUCGAGACAAUGAGCUAUUCCUCAAAUUGGAGAAGUGCUCGUUUGCCCAACGAGAAGUGGAGUUCCUUGGCCACAAGAUUGCGGGCGGGAAGCUCAUGAUGGAAAAUGCCAAAGUGAAGGCCAUUCUCAAAUGGGAACCUCCCUCGAAAGUGCCCGAGCUUCGCUCAUUCCUUGGGCUGGUGAACUACUACUGCCACUUCAUCAAAGGCUAUUCGGCCAAGGCAGCACCCUUGACGGAUAUCAGAACGUGGCAUUAGUUCGAAGAGUGCCAACGCGCAUUCGAGGAGUUGAAGAAGGCAAUUUCAGAAGAACCUGUCCUCGCUCUACCGGACCACACAAAGCCCUUCGAAGUCCAAACAGAUGCCUCAGAUUUUGCCAUAGGUGGAGUCCUUAUGCAAGAAGGCCACCCCAUAGCGUUCGAGAGUCGAAAGCUAAAUGAUACGGAGCGUCGCUACACGGUGUAAGAGAAGGAGAUGACAGCCAUCAUACAUUGCUUGCGUGUGUGGCGACAUUACUUGCUAGGCUCACACUUCACGAUUAUGACGGACAACGUGGUGACAAGCUACUUUCAAACUCUAAAGAAGUUGAGUCCGAAGCAAGCACGGUGGCAAGACUUCCUUGCGGAAUUCGACUAUUGGCUCGAGUACAAACCGGGGAAAGCCAAUGUCGUUGCGGACGCUCUAAGCCGCAAGGUGGAAUUGGCAACACUUAGCAUGAGCCAACCGAAGUUCGACCUUAUCUCACGCAUCAAGGAAGGCCUCCAACAAGAUCCGCUAGCAAAGGAUUUGCUGGAGAAGGUGCUCGAGGGAAAGACAAGGCGUUUUUGGCAAGAGGAAGGCAUCCUCCUCACCAAGGGAGAUAGGCUGUUCGUGCCAAGGUGAGGAAACUUGUGGAAGGAAGUUAUCAAGGAGUGCCACGACUUCAAGUGGGCUAGUCACCUAGGAAUCGAGCGCACCACCGCACUAGUUCAAGCCUCGUAUUUUUUGCCACACAUGAGGGACGACAUCGAGGCAUAUGUGCGAACUUGUCUUGUGUGCCAACAAGACAAGGUGGAUCAUCAACUUCCAGCGGGAUUAUUAGAGCCGCUAUCGCUAGCAACAAGACCAUGGGAAAGUGUCUCCAUGGACUUCAUCACAUCGCUGCCUAAGUCCGAAGGAUGCGGAAGUAUCAUGGUCGUUGUCGACCGAUACAACAAGUAUGCCACAUUUAUUGCCGUACCAAUCGAUUGCAAAGCGGAUGAGGCAUCUCGCCUAUUCGUCAAGCACAUUAUGAAGCUUUGGGGAGUUCCAAAGAACAUUGUGAGCGACCGAGACCCUUGGUUCACUGGGCGUUUCUGGACGGAGCUCUUCAAGAUGUUAGGGACCGAUCUCAAGUUCUCGACAAGCUUUCACUCACAAACGGAUGGGCAGACCGAGCGCAUUAAUGGCCUCCUCGAGAUGUACUUGAGGCAUUAUGUGAGCGCUCAUCAGCGAGAUUGGGCGAAGCUAAUCGACAUCGCCCAAUUUUCUUAUAACUUACAGCGAAGCAAGGCUACGGGCAAGAGUCCGUUCGAGAUCAUCAUGGGAUUUCAGCCCAUGACCCCCAACGCCAUAGCCUCGACUUACGGAAGGAAAAGCCCCGCGGCACACAAGCUCACCCGCGAAUGGCAUGAGGAAGCGAACACCACGCAAGCCUAUCUCGACAAAGCCGUGAGGAAAAUGAAGAAAUGGGCGGAUACAAGGAGACGACAUGUUGAGUAUAAGGAAGGUGAUCAAGUUAUGAUCAAGCUCCUACCCCAACAAUUCAAGAUGUUGCGGAAAGUCCACAAGGGGUUAGUGAGGCGCUACGAGGGACCCUUCCGAGUUGUUCGACGUGUGGGCAACGUCUCGUAUCAACUCCAACUUCCGCCAAGACUCAAGAUCCAUCCGGUCUUCCAUGUGAGUCUUCUCAAGCCAUAUCACGAAGACAUGGGAGACCCAAGUCGCGGAGAAUCGAGGCGCGCACCAACUGCCGUUGUCACCGCGUUCGACAAAGAUGUGGACUACAUCAUUGCGAACCGCGUGGUUUCGAGGAGGGGCGUGCCAGCACAUAGCGAGUACUUGGUGAAGUGGAAAAACCUCCCCGAGAGCGAAGCCACUUGGGAACGUGAAGACAAUUUGUGGCAAUUCGUUGAGCACAUCCAGAGGUUCAAGCACGAGAGCGCGAUGAGGACGCCGCGAGGUUAGGUGGGGGAGGAUGUUGCGGACAGCCCAAAUUCGUAGCCCAAUUUGCUCGCCAAGAGCCCAACACAAGGCCAAGAGUGCUAGCUUGGCCCGAUUCCGGAAAAUUCUAGGCAACUCUAGCACAUUGAGCUUUUAAAUACUCUAGAAUUCUCCAUAGAAUUCCAGCACAUGUAAAUAUCUAGGAAAUGGUAGAAUUCUCUAGAAUCUCUAGAGCUUGGCAAGCCUCCCCUAUAAAUAUGGGAUGGCAUUAGGCAUUUGUAUCCAACAAACACUACAACAAGCAUUGUAAGCAACUCAAGCAUUGUAAUUCUCUCUUUGUGCAAUACAAUUUCUCUUAUUCGGCUCCAUUGCUCUCUUCUCUAGUUCGAGAAGCUCUAGGCUUACUUAGCAACAUUCGGCAAAGUUGUCUAAGUGUCGCACGGGUUAGCUGCGCAAAAUACUCAUCUCGUGACAUUAGGGUAGAAGAAUGACGGAUAAUCUUUAGCUCAUUUAAGGAAAUCCUCUCUGAUCCUUUCAUUGCACAUUCCAAAACAACUCUACUACAACCAAGUUACCAAUUCUUUUUGUUAAGUCAUUGUUAUUUGUUAAAAAAAAAAAAAGUCUUCCUUGCAACAUUUUAUUGAAAGAUAUAACAUGAUCAUCCCUAUUAAUUCCCUUUUAGAUUUCUGUGAGUGAAUUUCAAAUUAUUGUAUUCAAAAAUAGAAGCAAAAGACCCACUUUACUUUCAAUUUCUGCAACAAGAUACCAAUUGAAGGACCAAAAAGUUGUAAACAAGCAAUUCAAUGGGUGGGCAUCUAGAAACUGCUAAAUAGCAUCAAAAUCAUACUAAAUUUACAGAAAGUACAAUAAUAAUGAAAGAAUGGUGAAGGAUACACCCAGACCUUAUCCGGUCAAGUUCUCUAUUGAAUAUAAUCAGUUUCUGGGCAGUAUUGAAGACAGCUUCUUUGUAAAGCUCUUCAACGACAAGCAUUUCUACAAGACGAAAGAAAAGCAAAAUUAAUUACCUUAAGGAAUGAAUAUCAAUAAGAAGACAAGGUGUAAGACUACCAUUGACAUUAAAAUAUGGAUAGGCGACUAGAAACAAUUCAUCUUCUGGCUUCACACGGUCUGCCAUUUUAACCUUCUCAGUGAAUCCAAAAUCCUCAAAGAAUGAAGGUUUUGUUAGAUAGUCCAACUUAAAUAAUGAUCCUUCAAAGACCGAUUUUCUUGCAUAUUUGACUUCAUUUGCCUCUGGGAAAAACUAAAAACCAAAUGACAGACCAAGAUCACGAAACGAAUCAUGAACAUAGAUAUCAGAUAAUCAGAAAUGGGCAUUAAACAGACUACUAACAAGUAGGAAAUGCAUACAGAAAACAUUAUUCAUACACCUUAUGCACAUGAAAUAUAUAUGCAGAGGGAUCCUCUUGUGAAUUUAGUUUAUAUCCUAAUAUGAGACAAUGAACAAUUGGAUGGCAUCUAAGGGCUAACAUUUGUUUGAUUAUUAUAUGAAAAAAAAAAACAAAACAGAGUUGAUUGAUGGCCUUUGAUGGAUUGCCUACACUCUUAAAGUGCAGAGAGCCUGAUUAAUUGCUUUACCUGCCCCCCCCCCCCACACACACUUGGUUUUAUUAUCUCUCUUUUCAAAUAUAUAAUCAUUGGCUGUCUUUCAUCCUGAUCCGGCUCUCCUUCCAGGCCCCAGCUGUGUUUUCUUCAAUUCAGUGAAACAUUCACAUUCAGGUAAGAAUAAACUUGUCCUUCCUCAAAAAUCAGCUUCUCACCAUGAAGCUUUCUUUUUUAAACCAAUUACUAGUCUAGCAUAACGCAUCUAAUUGAAGACAACUCAGAAUUGAAAAAGCCAUACUUUAAUGUCUGUUGUUGGGACCUCAAGACCAGGAACAAAAAGCUUCUUUCUAACAGUUGGAUUAACAAGUAGAAAUAGCUUUUUUUCUGAAGGACCCAACAUUGCAUUGAAAAAUUCAACAAAAGGAAUGGCAUCAUAUUUAGUCCUGCUAGAAUUUUGUGCACUUAACACAAUGGUUAAUAAUUGGCCCAGCGGACACUUUGUCGAACUAUUGGCAACCUUGACUGUGGAAAUGCAUAUUUCAAAUGUUGGCAGGCUCUAGCUUCUUGAUGUACUGUUGAUAGAAAUGCCUAUUUCAAAAGUUGGCAGGCUCAAACUGCCGAGACUUUGGUUUCUUGCAUUUCAAACCCACAAAUAAAACUUUGGCAGAACCCCAGAAAGAGCUACACCUCCCAAAUUUGAUGACAAAUGAAGAGACCAUGCCUAGUGCUUAGUUCGGCAAAUGAGUAAGUUUGAAAGAAAUUAAGGGAAACCUUUCCCACAGAGAGUCAUAUUGAAGGUUACAAUUUGAAGACUUUGUCCCCUGUCGCCCACAACCUUCUUUGAUCUCUUUGCUUAGUCAUAAAUAAUCAAACAUAUGUUAGUCGUUGGAUGCAAUCCACUCACUGACAUCUCAUGUCCACAAUCAAUCAACCAUAUUUUAAUAGAAAUGAAAACAUUUUAAUUAAAAAAGAAUGAGAUAGGAACAAAAUGAAACUUGGCAGACAUGGGUCUAUGAGAUUUUAAAGAUGCUUGGUGAAAGUCGUAUUCAAGAGUUCAACAGUCAGUUCUAUCACCUAUGGCAAAGUAACCACCAUAACUAAAGCAAUUACAAAACAUCAAGAAGCUUGAACUUGGCAAGAGGUCUCAUUAACAGUAUACCUCAGAAAUUAAGACAGACUUAAAGUACAAGCUUUUGGAUUUAUUUAAACACUGAAAAUAAUAUGGGUAGAAGCUCCUAUGGUCACAGCAAACAAUUACAAAGCACAAAACCCAAAAAAUAGAUAUGCAAAAAGCUGCAAAAGAACAUUAUUAGCAAUUGACAUCUGCUUUGCUCAGACAAAGGUUCUCAUAACAAAGGACUUAGUGAUUAUCUUUCAUAUGUUUAUGUUAAGGGGAAAAAGGAAGUUUGUUUUAGUCAAUCUCAUGUCUAAUGGCAUUCAUAAGGAGCCCAAAAAUAAAAGAAAAAAUAAAGAGUUAGUAGGUGUUUCUCGCAGUAUAAAGAAAAUUUAUCAUCCAUGAAAAACUUAGUAUGGAAAAAGCUAACUCAUUUAUCUGCCAAUGGAGAAAAACUUGUUGUCCACCCACUAAGGACCCACCAUUGGGAGAUGGAUCCCAUGGAUGGGAACCACAAAUAUUUUAUUCUAAAUGAAAUGGGUAUUGUACCAUAUCAUUUAAUUUGUAGAUUCCACUGAUGGAACUCAUCAAACUUUUCAAAUGGUAGGUCCUUCAUGGGUAGGCGCAUCACUUCAGCAUCCUUCUCCACCGAUGACUAAAUCUGGACUCAUUUAAAAAGAAUACAAAGCAAAACUAAUUGACACAAAUUGCAUAGAGGUCUAGGAGCCAAAUCAAUGUUGUUAACUCAUCCAAUUAAUACAUUCUCUUAGAGGUCAUACCUUGGUAACUCAUUUCAAAAGAAAUUAAAAGAAAAACGACUGCACAAAUUGUACUGAGCUCAAGAAGACCUGUUCAAGGUGUUCACUUGUCCAACUAAUAAAAGUCAUCAAGGAUUGUAUCGGGGACUUGGGACCAAUCCUGCCUUAACUAGAGAAAGGGAAUUUAGGAUGAAGAAGAUAACCUCUUCUCCUAGAGCCCUUUUGGACAAAAAUGAAUUCCUACUAAUUCUGAGAAUAAAACCAUAGACAUCUAACUUCUGAUAUCUAGUCAAUCUGGUAAAAUCUUGUCAGUUGCACUUGGGGCAGAAAUUAGUUCCACCUUGGUUUACAGGACAGAAAUUCGUCAUAUGCAUGUAUUUAUUUAUGUUUUAUACACAAACGCAUACAUGUACACACAAACACUACCUUCACUUUGAAGAAAAGAUUAAAAUAACACUGCUCACAUACACAAUACUUACUAUUCUAGUUCGUGUAACUUUCUCUGGAGUCACAAACAGGUCACAGAAUUCACGUAUUAACCGCAUACUUCCAGUCAUUUCUAUUCCUCCUUCACCAUCACCUGUCCCACAAUUACAAAAAGUGAGAGGUAAUAACCAACAUAUUUGGGUUGCUCUUCGGUAAGGGGUGGGAGGUAAGGGUUAGUUGUGGAGGGCACCUGGUACAGAAUCAAGGCCAGCUGUUGGGAAUUCGAUCUCUUGUAACAUAUACUUGUUCAUCAUAAACUAUAUACUUAUUCUGCAGUCGAUGUGUGCAUAUAGCUCUUCAAUUAUCCAGUAAUAACUCACCAUCAACUUCCUACCAUCCUUCAUGGCUAAUUCAGCAGCCAUUUUUGCCUGUUUAAAGGUCAAAAGCCCAAACUAAGCAGAUGCUCCUACUCCGAUACUUAUUAUCUAACUACUACAGAACAGAUGAUACACAUCAAGUUGUAUCAAGAGAGACACCAAGUUGUGUUUUCCAAGAGGUUCCAAAGAGGAUCUGUUUCUUUGUGUAAUUUUUAGACUGCUUUGACAACUCAUCUUAAAGGUGCCACUCAUCCAAUAUGAUGUGGUGACAGUAGUUUAGAGUUUUAAACUAAAUGCAGAGCUAAUAGUAUUUUGGAAAUAUAAUCAUCCUAAGAUACUAUAACACAAGGAUUCUUACACAAAAACAACAACUUCGAUGUAGAGAGAAGAUGAUUUCACAAAAGCAGAUGUUUUGAUUUAAGUCUCCAAAACCCCCACCAAGAAAAUGUUCAACGGAUAUAGAAAUAUGAUCCACAUAUCUGUAACUUAAACUGUAAAAGUUGUUGAUGUUGUUCUAAAAUUGCCACAAUCUAUCUACCCCAUGAAUGUUUUUGGAUAAAACAAGAAGCAGGACCCAAUGCCUGUUUUCUAAUAGCUUCAAAAAGGCCAAAUUGGUUUUGAAAUGUCUCCAGCUUUUCAUUUAACAAGUUUAAGGAUCCCUUCGGCAUUGCAAUUGGGGAGCUCAGAUAUAUAAAAGUGCCUGGUAAACUCUUACAGCCGCAGCUUUUGAGCAAAAAUAAUUUUAUCUCAUAAUUGUUUGACUAAAAACAUAUAUCACCUUUUAUCAGUUUUGUAAAAAAUAUUAUUUAUAAGUCAUAUUUACCAAACACAGUCAACUUUUACAUCACAACUAUAGCUUUUUUUUUUUUUUCACCACACAUAUAUAGUUAAAAACUACAAGAACUCGAUAUCAAACAGAUCCUAAAGCGUAAUCUAAUAAAAAGGUAAAUAAACAAAUGCAGAAGCCAGCGUACUUGAUCAAGAAGCUCUGAAUAGUCACUGGGAAAGGGAAUAUCGACGUUAAUGGGGUUAUUGCCAUCGCUUGAAACCGAAUUGGUGAGACAAUUGCGUUUUCUUCUGUACGGCGAAAAUGUGACGAUUGAGUAACAACUUAUAUCGAACUUUAGGUUAAAAUAAUUACUAUGGAAUAUUGGAAUACGAGAUUAUUAGCAUUUGAGUGCUUGAGUGGGAAUCAAGAAAACUUAAAAUAGUUCAGUUAACCCAAAAAGAAAAAGGGGGGAAAAAACCCAUGGAAAGUGCGAUGAAUGUAAAUCCACUUUAAAACUUUAAUCAUAAAUGGUUAACUAAUUUUAAGUAAUUUGGAUUAACUUGACAAAUUGAAAAACCAUGCACUAGAGGAAAAUGUUCAUAUUUGGAGGUCCGAAUUUAUCUACCAUUCAACCCUAUUUUCAGCUCCUGCAUGGAGGAUAAGUUAGUUUGGUGAAUCUACCACUAGCUAAUUAGCUAAUUUUUUUUUUUGAAGAUAGCUAAUUAGCUAAUUAAGAGAGCAUUAACGUUGAUAAUUUGUCCUAUCUAAAAUGAAAAGUAAGAAAUUUACACUAGUAAAUUUUACACAAUCACAGUUGGAAUUUCAAAGAAACAAAAACGGAUCAAUAGUGCAAUUGUAAUUCAAAUUUGCACUUUAGGCCACACGUUCGGCCCAGUUCUUGUAUUAACACUUCAAUACUUGACAUGUGGCCAUUUUUUUAUUCGUCCACGUUCUUUGCAUUCUCAUGGUAGUACUCGAACAAGACAAAAUUUCACGAAUAUUCAGUUGAAUUGUUGUUGAAACAUGUAUAAGAAAUCAAAUCUCGUUAGUUUUGAAUAUUACCAGCAACUCAAAUUAUUUUAACCUAAAGUUCAAUAUAAGUUGUUGUUGGGGGUUAACGGCAUUUUGAACCACAAAGUAAAGAGAGAGAGAGAAGAAACGCUCCCCUUUCAAAUACCGUGCUCUUUUGUACCUGGGAAUUUAAUAAUUCAUGCGAAUAAAAAAAUUAUAAAUUUAGUAAAUUAUUUAUUAAAAAAUAUUGAGAGGUUGUGCAUUAUUUUAUUAGUAAUGACAUAGUAAUCAUCAAAUUAGUUGAAUUAAAAUAGUUGUUGACUCACGUAAUUUAUUUUUAUUAUUUUUAAAAAAAAUGGUCUGCGUUAAUAAGGUUAAGGGUGACAACUGGGAUCAAUAUACAGUUUAUUCGGGUGCUUAAAACCUAAUAAAUAUCCACUAACUCAUAUAUAGUUAAAAUAUAAUUAUUUUUAAAUAAAAAAUUUAAUAUAAACUAAACAAAUUGAUCGGAUUUUGUUUCUCAAGGUACAUCAUUAGAACGUUACUUUUAAUUGAACAAAAGCACACAUAACUAGCACAUUCGCCACAAAAGCCUCGGCUUAGUGGUCGGCUUAUUAAUUAUCCUAAUAAAAUCAUGGUCAUAAAUUUGAGUCCCCGUAGGUUAGGUAGCUUUUUUAGACUACACUAUAAAUACAUGUAUUUUACUUCUCGCGGGUAUUGCUUCUAGUAGUUAUCCAUCCGAGUAUAGAGCUUUGUAGCUUUCUUCAUGACCUUCCCCAAUUUCAAUGCUUGUUAAACAAUCUCCACAGAAAAUGUGAUAGAAAUGUCCCGCUGCCACUUGUUGUGCAUAGUCCAAAUCUGCAAUUUAAGGUCAUCAUUUCAUUUAAUUUUCCGUUAUAUAUAUUCAUCUUUCUUAGAGGCCAAGAAGUCUUCGACAGAAAUGUGAUCUUUUUCUAGUAGCCUCCCGGUGAUGAGCUUCUCCCAAGUUUCAAUUAAUUCGCUUUGAGUGAGGAUAUUUUCUGGUGGCCUCAAAUACAAUGUUUUGUUCAGCACUCGAGGAGCAUCUAUUCUCUUAAUAGUAUAUAUGGCAACAUCAUCGAUAUGCACCAUAGAAAAAAAGAUAAUCAUUUUGUUUAAUAUGAACAUAAAUUCUUACAGUCUAACUCAUAUUAUAGUGAACGAUGUUGUUGUGUGGUGCGUGCAUGCACUAUCUAUAGUUUUAAUAUUAUUAAUAAAGAGUUAAAAGUCUUGAUUUAAUUUUAAAUUGUCAUUCCUCUAACUUCACCGUCUUCAUAGAUCCAGACUUUAUCUUUUGAAGGGCGAGGGUAGCUAUAUUUGAGAGAGGUGUCCGGGGAACCAACCAGCAAAAAACAGCUAGCAGAAACAUAAAUGACAGGGAUUUGAGCAGCCUUGAUUGCCCUUCUCACACAUGUGCUCUGCGUUCUCCCUCUCGCUCUCACUCACUCACGCCCAAAUCUCACCUCACUCACGCCCAAAUCUCACCUCACUCACGCAUCUCUCCUUCUGACCGGUGGUUUUCUCUCUCUCGCCGUGGGUCUCUAGGCUGGCAGGGAUUUCUCGACUUGACUACUAAAACAUAAUCCAAAAACUACUAAGAGAUGUAUAUAUUACUCUGAUAUACACAAUAUGAAGAAACUGCAGUUAUAUUUCAAAUAUUAUAUGAAGGAAGAGGCUGUAUGGAUUAUCCAAAGGUGCUGAAAUUAAGAGACCCACACCAACCGACAGACCCCCGGUGAUAGAGAGAAAGUCGACCGUGAGAUGCAUUCAAGACGGGGGAAGAGUGAGAGAGAAAACUGCCCGGUCAGAAAGAGAGAUGCAUGAUUGAGGUGAGAGAUUUGGGCGUGAAUGAGUGAGGAGUGAGGGAGAGGGUGCCGCGUGUGUGGGAUGCGUACAGUGACAAUUUAUACUUACAUCAAAACGCCGAGUUCGGUGCCAUGUGUAGGGCUAACUGUGGUUUGAAUCUCACUUUGGUAACGGAAAUGACUUUGCAAUUGACAGUUUUUGUCAAAAGUUCGCACUGCAUGAAACUAGUGUUAAUAUAAUUUAAAAAAUUAAUUUCAGUAUUAAUUUUUAAAAUGUUAAUUAUUAUAUUUAUUUUAAUAAUAUAUUUAUAUUUAUAAUAAAAAUUUUAGUUAAAUAUUUGUGUUAAAUAGAAUUUAUAAUUAAUAUAAUAUAUCUUAGGUAUUAAUUAUUAUAAUUAUUCUAUAUGCUAUUGAAAAUCAUUUAAAUUUUUAGAUGUUUAUUUUCAUACUAAGUUUCUAUUUAUUUUAAAAUUUAGUUUAAUAUAAUAUAAGCAAGUAAAGUAUUAAAAUAUUUUUUAGUAUUUUUAAAAUAUUAAAAUUAUUUUAAAAUAUAAGUCAAUUUUUUAAGUUAAUAGAACUAAUAUUUACAGUUUAUUUGAUGGCCUCAACAAGCUAAAGCAGCAUCAAAAUUAUGUGGCUCCUUAUUUUAUUUUUUCCCUUUCAAAAAGGGAAAAGGAUAAGUUUGGGAGAAUGUUUAUAUUUUUAAUAAAUUCUUUUUUAUUAUAAUACUUUUUGUCUUUAUUAAUUUAAAAAUAUUGACUCUUAUAUUUUAAAAAAUAUAAAUAUAAUAUUAUAAUAAAAUAUAACAAUAUAUAUCAAAUAUUUAAAAAAAAUUUAUAAUUUUAUAUUAUAUUAAAAUAAAUUUUUAAUAAAUAAAAAUAAUCUAUUAAAAUAAAGUACAAAAAUUUAAAUUAUUUUCAUUAUCAUCUAAAAUAAAUUUACUAUUAUUAAUGCAUGAAAUAUAUUAUAGUAAUUGUAAAUUUCAUUUAACUCAAAGAUUUAUUUAGAAUGUUUAUAAUAAGUCCAAAUAUAUUAUUAAAAUAAUUAUAAUAAUUUACAUUUUAAAAAUUAAUACUGAUAUUAAUUUUUAAAUUAUAUUACUCUACCAGAAAAAUUAAACUAUUAAAUUAUAUCAAUAUUUAUUAAAAAAAUUGAAAUUAAUUCUUGUUAUAUUUUUAAUUGGAAUUUUUUCAUGUGAUAUAACCACAAUUGCUACAUUUUUUCCCCUGAAUAAAGAUGGAGUUAUAAAUUAUUUGUAUAAGUGUCUGUGUGGAAACUAAUGUGACAUGAAAGUAAUAGUUGAAUAACAAUAAUGGGGCUUUAGGCAAUUUUUUCAUGAGAUUUUCUUGCGAUUUCAACACUUAAACAGACUUGUCCUUCAUCCCAAUUUAUUUACCCCAUUUGGGCCCGUUAUGACAUAGACAUAUUCUUGUGGAAUGAAAAACUUCAUGAGAAGAAAUUGUUUUAUUAUAAUAGAAAAAAGUGGUCCAUAAGUCUAUUCAUUACUUUUUUUAUUCAAUAUAAAUGGCUAACUUUAAAAAUGGUAAAAAUCACAUAACGCGCAAGCGAAAUCUAAGAUUUAUAUUUUUUAAUACUCUCCAAGUCUCUCUUUCUCUUUUUCUUUUUUUAAAUAAAUGUCAAUAUAAAAUUAGAAAAAUUUUAGAUAUAAAAUUUGGCGAUGACCAAACAAAAAUUGUAGAGGAAACCUUGAUAUCAUUGAAAUACUGAUCAUAGACACUACAGUAUAAAUAACUUAUUGUGAUCCACUCAACUUGUAACACUUUAAUCCAUAUUCUAAAAUUUUCAUGUUUGUUAGGAUUUUUAUUAUUGAUACUACUGUAUCAAUAAAAUUAUAAUUUAUUCAUAUGGAAUGAAAACAUCAAGAAAGGACCUCUGAUUUUUAUUAUAACAGAAAAAAAUGGUCCAUAAGUCUAUUAAUUAUUUUAUUUAUUCAAUACAAAUGUCCAACUUUAAAAAUGGUAAAAAUCACACAAUGCACAAGUAAAAUAUUACAAUUACAUUUUUUAACUCUCUUUGAGUCUCUCUCUCUCUCUUUAAAAAAUAAACCUCACUAUAAAAUUAGAAAAAUUUUAGACAUAAAAUUUGACAAUCACCAAACAGAAAACAUAGGGAAAUGAAAAUGGAGGAGCCCUAUUUUCAUUAGAAUAUUGAUCAUAGAUACUAUAAUGUAAAUGAUUUGUUGUGGUUCAUUCAACUUGUCACACUCUAAGCCAUUUUCUAAAAUUUGUAAGGUUUAUAGUAUUUUUAUUAUUGCCAUCAUUGUAUCAAUAAUAUUAUAAAUUAUAUAUUCUAUUGUAAUGAAAAUUUGUGUAAUCUUAGGUAUUUAUUAUAUUAAAUUGUGUGGAUUAAUUAAGAAUAUUUUUGGAGACAAAAGAAGUGUGUGUACGUAGGAUUAAUGAUAAAAAAUUUCUAAAUAAAGAUGAUUGCUUCAUUGACAAGCACAUAUUUAUAUUCCUCUAUUAAUAUUUGGGUUGUAAACUCUAUAAUAAAGUUGGUUGGUGUGAGUGGUUCGGCACUCUCACUCCUUAAGAAAGAUCAGGGGUUCAAGCCUCGCUCUCGUAUGGAGUCACCACUUUGGCCAGCACUUUACCUCUUACGGGCCGACCCGAUGCGAGCAUGAAUUAGUAUGAGUUGUGGUACGGGCUUAAAGGUGCCUCCCAUAGUUUGGGCCCACUUAGGAUCACCUCGUGGUUCAAACAAAAAAAAAGUGAAUAUAUUGUGGUAAGCGAUGUGGGCAAUAUCGGUUGCGAAAUAUUGAGAGAUCAUUAAUGCAUAUAAUUAUUGAAGAUGCAUAUAGAGGGAAGAGUGUAGAUCUGGCUGUAACAAUUAUGAAGCUUUCCCCAAGUAUACUCAUGCUUCCUUAAUUGUUCCGAAGUAUUUUUCAUAGUGUGCAGAUUUACUUUAUGGUGUCUUAAUUCGUCUUAAAUGAUUACUUUAGUUGUUUUGGGAUUUAAUGUCAUUUAUUGUGUUAAUUUUAAACAAUAGAAAAAAUAAGUAAUGGUAACGAAAGACUAAUUUGUGAUAUUGAAGCAUACGGGCUUAACUCAAUCCAAAAAUUAGUAAGUUAGCUCAAGAGUUAAGAGUUGUCCAAAUCUUAUAUGCUGAAUCCAAGUUUAAUACACAAUUGAUGCGGGAUGUUAUUCCUAACACCUUCCAUCAUGCGUAGGAUUGGCAAAAAAAUUCGGGUCAGUCCCACCUAAACCUGCAGGCUUUAUGCAUGGCUCGCAUGAUGAAGUUACGGAUAUUAACCUAAAAAUUUGAAACUUACUAUGAAUGGCCUUGCUUAAAGACUUUUGCAACUUUAAUUUAUAACAAGUAUGUAUAUAUACACACACAUAAGCUUAGAUUGCAUUUGGAUGGCUUUUUUAAUCAAUUCAAACAAUUUGAAAUUUAUCGGAUUAAUCUGAAUCUUAUCUGUAUCCGAUUUUGUCCGCCCCUACUAUUUAUAAGCCCAGGUGACUCUCUUUUACUAAUUAAUAAGAGAAUUUUUGACCUUAUAUCCUUGCUGUGGUGUUAGACUGUUGGUCAUUUUGAUUGUUUCCUACCUUCCAUUUACGCCAGCUAUAACAUUGUAUUAUCACCAUUUUAGCCAUUUAAAUGAAAUUUUAUUUUUGUCAAAAAUAAAAUGACACCCUUAAAAUUAAAAAAGAAAUAGUUAUGUAGACCUCAAAUUUUUAAUAAAGAAUGCCAAUACCCCUUUUAACUACAAGAUUCUUAGUAGAUGAUAACUAAAAAAAUUAACUUCAAAAAUUUUCACUAAAUGUAAAUCUGAUUGAAAUAGUUUAAAUUUUUCUAGUAGACUAAUAUAUAUAACUUAAAUAAUUAAUUUCAUUAUUAAUUUUUAAAAUGUUAACUAAUAUAUUUUUAAUUUAUUAUAAAAAUUUUAAAUAAAUUCUUGGAUUAGAUAGAUUUUACAAUUAAUGUAAUACUGUUGAUUUAUUAAUAAUAUUAAAAUUAUUUUAUAUGAUAUUCAAAAUAAUUUAAACUUUGAUAUAUUUAUUUUAAUAGUAUGUCUAUUUAUUAUAAUUUGGUUUAAUAUAAUACGGGAUUGCAAAAUAUUAAAAUAUUUUUCAAUAUCAAAUUAUUUUAAUAUGUAUAUAUCAUUACAUUUAUUUCAAUAUCGCAUUUAUAUUUAUUAUAAGAUAUAAAAUUAAAGAGUAUUGCAAUAAAGUAAAAAAAGAAAAAAAAAAGUCUUAUUAUCCCUUAUUCACGAUAUGAGGUUCUAUAAAAUUAUUUCCCCAAACGGGUGUCCUUUUCUUAUUUUCAAAAGAAAAACUAAAGUAAGAAUAAGUCCAUGGGUUUCAAAAGACUUAUAGUCCUAUCCCGGAACCUACAUUAUCUGCCACUAUGACUAAUGACAAAUUUUUGGUGGGAUAUAGGAAAAUUGUCAAAAGUUCAUGCUGCGUGAGAGUCUUUGGUGGGAUGUGGAAGGAUUGUCAAAAGAUCACACCACGUGACAUAACCACAAUUGCUACAGUUUUUUUUUUUUAAAAUAUUGAUGGGAGUUAUAAAUUAUUUAUAUAAAUUUGCGUAGACUGAUGUAACAUAAAAGAAGUAGCUGAAUAACAAUAUUUGGUGCUUUAGGUAAUUUUCAGAUGGGCCUUUCUUUUAUUUAGCGACUUUAGUGCUUAAACAAACUUGUGCUCGAUCUUAAUUUAAGCCUAUGAUGACAUAAACAUAUUCUUUUGUGACGAAAACAUCAAGAGAAGACAUCUCAUGUUUUAUUAUAACAGAAAAGAAGUGGUCCAAACGUCUAUUCAUUAUUUUAUUUAUUCAAUAUAAAUGGCCAACUUUAAAAAUCACACAACGCUCAAGUGAAAAUUUAGAAUUACAUUUUUUAAUACUCUCGGAGUCUUUCUCUCGUGCCCCCUUUUUUUCUAAAAAAAUAAACCUUAGUGUAAAAUUAGAAGAAUUUUAGAUAUAAAAUUUAACAAUCGCUAAACAGAAAAGCAGCGGAUUGAAAAUAGAGGAGCUCUGUUAUCAUUGGAAUAUUGAUUAUAGAUAAUAGGGUAUUUUUUAAUUGAGUCCUCAUUAUUUCUAGAAAAAAAUUCAGAGACCAGAAAUUUACUAAAUGAAUUAAUUAAAUCCUUUCAAGUACAAAUUAAUAUCAUUCAAGUCCAUAACUUAACUCUUCAGUUAGAAAUAUUAACAACGUUGAGGACAUUUUAGUAAAAGAACAAUUGAACCCUUCCUCAUUCUUUUAUUUUUGACAGGUGGCAAUAGUUUGCUUACAGGUGGCAAUAGUUUAAAGCAAAGUCAAUUCACCUAACCAAGUUAAAGUUCUUUCAAGCGGAAAAAAAAAAAACCUCUAGAAGAAACUGCCGUAUUCUUCGUGUGAGAGGAGGGAUUGAGAGAACGUGGGAUGGCGUCAAAAAUGUUAUAUAAAUAUACUGUAAUUUUGACCAAAGCUUUGUUAGCAUUGGUUGAGUUCAAGUAUUGGAGAGAAGCCGAGCUUAAAGGUUAGUAACUCUAAUUUUUAAGUGAUUUUUGCAAGUAUUUUCUGAUAAAAUUGUUUCCAUAUUUAGUGAUCUUUGUGAAAAAUUAUGUUUUUCAAGUCUAUUUUUCUAAAUGACAAACUAUGUUUAAUUAUUGGUGGAUUUUUUUAUUGAAUGUUGUAUUUUGUUAAUAUACUUUUUUUAAUUUGCUCUUUAUAUAAUAAUUAGACCAAAUACACCAUAUUUAUAUAUGUAUUUAUUGAACUUAUUUUGCCUAUUUUAUAGGCUUUCUUGAGUUGUUGUAUAUGUACAAUAUUUCAUUUCAACCAAUUGGUAUCGUUAUAUUAAUAAGAUUGAAUUCAUUGUAUUUGCUUUUUUGUUCAUGUAAAAUUGAAUUCUAUGUGUUAUUAUGAGUGGUAAUUUUUAUAUAUAUUAGACUAAAUUCUCUAUAGUUGUUGGGUUAUUUUUUCUUUUCAGUUUUUAUUUUUAUAUGUAUUAGAUUGAAUUUUCUUUUAUACUUUUUUUAAUCGAAUUACAUGUAUAUUUCAUUUAGGUUGAGUUUUUUAUUCUUUGCUAAAUAAAAUUGUAUUAGUUUAGCCAUUUUUUGAUGCAAUACUUUUUUGUUUUAAAAUUGAUGCAGGUAGUCAUGUUACCUUUUUUUUUGUUGGUUAAAAUUAAUGGGGCGGUGUAUGAGAUAGGAUAUAGGGACCCAGAGGAAUAUAAGAUUAUUAGGUUGUUUCAUGAAAUUCUAGAAGUCAUGGUUAAGUAUGGACACAAUGAAAUGGAUUUGAUUGAAAUUUUUGUUGUGUUGCCAUGGACUACAAGUAGGCAGAGGAAGCUAAUUUCAAAUGAUAGUGAAUUGUAUUCGGUUUUUGAGGAGUUUUUUUACUAAUAGUUGUCAUGUUAUUGAGUUUGAGGUGCACACUGGGUUAGGUGGUCAAUCAUGUCAUGAAAGUGUUGUAAUAGGAUCUGAAAAUCCUGUCAAUAUAGGUGUUAGUAUGGGUAGUGAUAAGUUUGAAAAACUUAGUGAGGAUGGCUUUAUCGGAGGGCACUUAUCUGAUGAAGAGAAUGGUCUCUUACAUAUGUAUGAAUCCAUUGUUGAUAAUGAGUGGAAACCAAAUCUAAAUGGUUCAGUUAGUCUAAAAGUAGGAAAUACCUUUGAAUCUGUUGCAUUAUUAAAAGAGGUUAUGGUGAAAUAUGCAAUCCAAGAGGGUUUUGAGUUAAAUAGGAUUAAAAAUGAUGGUGUUAGGUAUACUUGUUGUUGUGUUAAUCCAAAAUGCACUUGGAAACUUCAUGCUUCAUCGAUGGUUGAUGGGAUAACUUUUAAAAUUAGGUAUAUUAAAGGGAAACAUGAUUGCCAGAUUAAAUCAAUUAACAAAGAUGCAACAGCACCUUGGAUAGCUAAAGUUUGUGCUGGACUUAUUCAAACUAACCCAGGAGUUGGUGUAAAUGUCAUAAGAAGUGAGUUAAAAGAUAAACAUGGGAUUGAAUGUGACAAACAAAAACUAUACAGGGCAAAAAAAAUUGCAUUAGAAAACCUAGGUGCUGACCACAUUGCUUGCUAUGGAAAGCUUUUGAAAUAUGCUCACAUUCUAAUGAAAAUGAAUAGAGGUGCUUGUGUUAAGGUAAAGGUUAAAAGGCCAUUGUCAAAUAGCCCAGUUUUUCAAAGGUUUUUUUUGUCAUUUCCUGCACUUAAAGUGGGGUACCUAACUGGGUGUAGACCUUUCAUAGGAUUGGAUGGGUGUCACUUGAAGGGGCCAUACAGGGGAGUAUUGUUAUCUGCUGUUGCAUUAGAUGAUGAUAGUGGAAUUUUUCCAUUGGCUUUUUGCAUAUGUGAGGUAGAGAACUAUGAUAGUUGGAGUUAUUUUUUAUCUUUGCUGUAUGAAUUCAUUGGGGCUGAUGAUCAUAGGUCUGUAACUAUUAUUAGUGAUAGACAAAAAGGUCUUUUAUGGGGAUUGGAAAAAUAUUGGCCUAAUGCUAGUACUAGAUAUUGUGCUAGGCAUAUCUUUGCCAAUUUGAAGUGUAAGUUUCCUGGUUUGAAUGUCAUGGGGUUAUUUUGGAAAGCUUGUAGGGCUGCAAAUCAGUAUGACUUUGAGAGGGCAAUGAGUCAAAUUAGGGCUAAAGACCAAAAUUGUUAUGAAUGGUUGAGAAAAAUACCACCUGCACAGUGGUCUAGAAGCGGGUUUGAUCAUCAUGUGAAAUCUGACCAUGUUACAAACAACAUGACUGAAUCUUUUAAUAAGUGGGUGGAUGAGGUUAGGGAUAAGCCUGUCCUAACCAUUCUUGAGCAUAUUCGUAGACAACUAAUGGUGAGAAUGUUGAAAAAAUAUCAGCUAGGUGAAACUUGGCAAGACCAUUUGACCCCAUAUGCUAGAGAAAGACUAAAUCAAUCCUCAAAUGAGGCAAGGAGAAUUAAGGUCUUUGGAGGUAGAGGGGAGCUGUUUGAAUGUUGUCAAGCUGGCUAUAGAAACAUCCUGGUACAUAUUACAGAUGGUACAUGUGAAUGUGGGAUGUGGCAAGUUAGUGGAGUGCCUUGCAAACAUGCAGUAGCUGCUAUUCUUCAUAAAGGAGGGCAACCUGAAAAUUAUGUGCAUCAUUAUCUGACCAAGGAAUCUUUUAUGAUGACAUACAUGGGGACUAUAAAUCCUAUUCCUGAUGAGUGUGCUUGGCCUGAAGUGGAAGCUGAACCUUCCCCUGAUGUUGUGGUGCCUGUGAAGGUUGGACCACCUGACAUAAAGGCUCCAGUUGGUAGACCGAAAAAGAAAAGAACAAAAGAACCUGGUGAGACCAAACUAACUAGUAAAAGGUUUACUAUCAAAUGUAGUGCUUGCAGAUGUCUUGGGCACAACAAAAGGGGUUGCCCUAAUUUUCCAAAAACCACAAGAACUAUAGAGGUAUAACAUAAGAGUCAUUUUUGUUUUUUAAAUUUCAUUUGGUGAAGCUAACAAAUAUUGAUCUUGAUGUUGUGCAGGGAAGCAAUAGGACUUCAUCAAGUGCACAGGUUUAAUUUAAUUAUACAAUUUUAAUUCAAAAGGAUUUUUUUUUCUUUUGCACUAGAUAUUGCUUAAAACUUGGUGAUAUUGGUUGUGUGCAACGAAGAAAUAAGGCUUAAUCAAGUGGACAUGUUUAAUCUAGUUCUGAAAAUUUAAUUCUAAAGGAUUUUUUUCGUUCUUUUUCAUUAAAUUGCUUAAAACUUGGUGAUUUUUUUUGUGCGCAGGCAAGCGAUAUCACUUCAUCAACUGCACAGGUCUGAUUUUGUAAUUGAAUCUCCUUAUAUAUGUUUUGUUAUGUUAUCAAAUGGAUUAAUAACUUGGUACUAUAUAUGUUUGAUUUGAUCAUGGAAUUAUAUUGAAUAGAUUGAUUCUUUUUUUUUUAUUAAAUGAAAUUGAUGUCUUUUUUUUUUUCUUUUUGGACAGCAUGGAACUAACCCACAAUCUCAAGAAGUAGAUGUCAAUGAUCAAUCAAUUGGCAAUAGUUCUGAACAAGCUAGUUAGGCUUCAAUCAAUGUCACUCAACCAGUGGGGCUGUAUACACAACUAUUGUGGACUGUACUUCAACCUCAAAAUGAAGAAAUUAUCACUGUUAACAAGGAGUAGGAUAAUACAAUUUCACCUUGGGUUGACAUUUAAUUCUCCAUUAUAGAAUUUAGAAGACAAUUAACUAUUUUUUGUGUUUAAAUUUCAGUUUACCUUAGUAUUGUUAAGGUAUUUGUUAGUUUGAAUUUAAUUGACUUUCAUACUUUUAAUUUCAUUUUUAGACCGAAUGUUAUUGUGAUUUUUUUAAUAUUAUAUUCAAUACAUAUGUUAUUUAGUUUAACAAUUAUUAUAUUUUUAUAGAUGUGAUGAAAUUAUAUGGAUAGCAAAUUACAUUUUCAUGUAUAAUUCACUCAAAUUGAUAAAUAGGCUGUUAGAUUGAAAAAAAAAAGUCCAAGGUUAAAAUUGUACUUUAAAUCACUAAUAUGAUUAUAGGGGUAUACCUGUCUUUUAUGUUUAACUUAACAUUUUCACUAAUUUUUUUAACGGAAGAAUUGGGUUAAGGGCUUGAAUGACAUAAAUUUACAGUUGAAAGGAUUUAAUUGAUUCAUUUAGUAAACUUCUGGUCUCUGAAUUUUUUUCUAGAAAUAAUGAGGACUCAAUUAAAAAUUACCCUAGAUAAUAUAAUAACUUGUUGUGGUUCAUUGUAGCACUCUGAGCCAUAUUUUAAAAUUUACUGGUUUGUUAAUGCUUUUAUUAUUGACAUUAUUGUGUCAAUAUUAUUAUAAUUAAUUUAUUCAUUUUAUUGUAAUGAUAAUUUGUCUAGUCUUAGGUACUUAUUAUAUUAAAUUAUGUAAAUUAAUUGAGAAUACUUUUAGAGACAAAAGAAACACGUGUAUGUAGGAUUAAUAAGCGAAGAGUUGUAAAUGAUGGUGAUUGCUUCAUUCAGAGGCAUAUUAAAUAAUUAUGGAGAGUUGCUCUAUUUCGGAAGCAUAUAUUUAUACUUCCCUACCAGGAUUUGGGGUAAGCGAAGUGCUUUAUGUAUUGCAGUAAGGAAAUGUGGGCAAUAUCAGAGCCGAAAUAUUAAAAGAUCAUAACGCAUAUAAACAAUUAGUAUAUUCAAGACACAUAUAGAGGAAAGAGUGCAGAUCCGGCCGUAACUAUUAUGAGGAUUUCCUCAAGUAUUCUCAUGCUUCCUCAACUGUUCUGAACUAUAUAUUCUUCAUUGUGGGCUGUUUUGCUUAAAUACCAACACAAUGAUUCAAUACUUCAAAGGUCAAGGAAAUGUCAAAAUAUGAAAUGAAAAUACUUAAAUAGCCUUCUACCUAACAAAACUUAGUACUUCUAACUGCCUUCGCAGAGAAUCUAUAAAAUAAAAAAAAAAUCAUCCAGGAAAAGUUUCGUAACAGAAAAACCGUCUUUCAAAAAAUAAAAAUAGAAAAACCGACUCAUUUAUCUGCCAAUGAACCAGUCGGGACUCAUUUAAAAAAGAUUAAAAAGCAAAAGUAAAUGACACAAAUUGCAUAGAUAUCUCGGAGCCGCAUCAAAGGACAAAGGUGUUAAUUUGUCCAAGUAAUAAAUUCUCCUAGGUCAAAAGCAAUUAACGAUGAAAACUUUCUUCAUUAAGGGUCUGGCCUACGUAAAAAAAAAACAGAAAAACCACCCCAAGGUCAAAGCACAACCAUAAGUUUUGAGUUGCAGUUUUUAAAUUUUUUUUAUAAUAAAUCAACGUGUAUAAAAAAUAGAUAAUGAUUUUGAAUAAUCUUUUUGAUAAAUAUAGACAUAAAAUUUUAAAAUCACCAAACAGAAAAACAGGGAAUUAAAAGAGAGCCCUUGUUUCUCCUCUAUUUUGUUUGUUUGUCCUCUAUUUUAGCAGGGCAGCUAAAAGGGUUUGGAAGUUGACUGAAUUUUAUGAGGAUGUAAAGCAAUUAGCUCGGCAAGACAUGUUGAGUGUGCUGCAGGAUUUAACUGUGAAGAGAAAAAAGAAUGAGCUGGAGCUUGUUGUUGCGGUGUGCUGGGCCAUCUGGUACUCUAGGAAUCGUUUGGUGUUUGAAGGAAAGGAUGAAGAUCCAAAAAAUUCAGUGGCCAGAGCAAUUGCUAUGGUGGAAUCAUACAGGCGAAUAAAAGUUCCAAAUGAACAAAAUUCUCCAGGCCAUAGCAGAAUCAGUCAACUAGAAUGGGCAAAUCCUCCAAAGGGGUGUUAUAAAGUCAACGUUGAUGCUCCAAUCAAUGUUUCAAACCAAAAGGCAGGGUUGGGGGUAGUCAUUAGAAACUCUGUGGGUAAGGUUGUUGCUGCAGCAGUCCAAGGAACUCCAUAUAGGGGAGAUGUGGCGUGUAUGGAGGCUGAAGCUGUUCUGUUUGGUCUUCAGAGUGCCCAACAAGCAGCUGUUUCCCCAAUAAUUAUUGAGUCAGAUUCAAAGGAAGUGGUGGACCUAUCCUUAAAGAAAAAGAUCAGCAAGACUGAAAUUGAGUGGAAAAUUGCAGAAAUCCAAGCAAAUCUGGAAAAUCAGAAUGUGUCCUCGCUGUCAUAUGUCCCUAGAAACUGUAACUCUAUUGCUCAUUCUAUUGCAAAGAUAGCUCUAGGUUUUGAAAGUCAAGUCUUUUGGCUGGAAAACUUUCCAGAACAUAUCAGGUGUACUCUUGCUAAGUUCAUCAAUUGAAAAGCUUUACUUUUCUCAUCAAAAAAAAAAAAAUAGGGAAAUGAAAAGAUCGUAGGUGGAAAUUUUUUUUCUGCGUUGUAUCUUCUCAAUGCUGCAUGCAUUCAAAUUGUCAUAUUGCGAAAAUCCCUUUUCAAUGUUUCAAUUGCAAUGUCAUUGCCAUUAUUCAUAGUGGCAGACAAUGGACAUCACGGGACAUGGCUAGAAGUCUAUGUUACGGCUUCUGUAAGUAACAGCAGCCAAUGGGGAACUUCCACGGGUGCUAGAGGAGAGAGAAAGAGGUCCCAAUGCAAGGUGAUGGAAAUAGGGAUGGCAAUUGUACCCGCAAACCCGCAAACCCGCCCAAACCCACCCGCCAAAACCCGCCCGUUGCGGGUAAUUUUACCCGUUGCGGGCGGGUUUAGUAUUAUAAAUUAAAACCCGCACAUGGAUGCGGGUGGGUUUGGUAUUAACCUUAUAUCCGGUGGAUACCCGCAUGGAUAUCCACCAAACCCGCAAUAUUUUUUUUCAAAUAUUUUUAAUUUAAUUUAAAUAUAAAAAUGUAUAAAGAAAAUAAUGUCAUUAAUCAAAUUACCAAAUAGACAAAUGCUCAAAGUUGUGUAUGUGUGUAUGUGACCCAUCUCUUAUUCUAAAGUCAUAAGCUAAAGAAAACUAAAGGCAUUACCCUUCGAAUUAGUAUUUGAAAAUAUUAAUCUUAAUUAUUAUUAUAGGCAUUGUGUUGGAUGGGUGCUUAUGGUGGUGAAUGAAAUGAAUAUAUUCUCUUGGAUCUUGUUUUAAAUGAUAAUAUGAAAUGUAAUUAUUAUUUUUAGAUACUAGUUUGUGUUUUUUAAAUAGAUUUGUGUAAUUUAUACUUAAAUUUGAGAAUUUGUAUUGAAUUGAUGUGGAAAUUUUAAUUUUUCAUUGACAUUGUUUAAAUAUAAAAUUGAGUAUGCUAUAUGGAAUUUGAGGUUAUUAUUAUAAAUUUAUAUAUUAAAUAUUUGUGAUUUUAAAUACGGAAACCCGCAAAAAAUCCGCCGGAUACCAUUGCGGGUUUGGUAAUUGUUAAAACCCGCUGCGGGUGGGUUUUUUUAAAAAAAUUAAAACCCGCUGCGGAUUGCGGGUGGAUUUGGUGAUUUAAAUUUUGUGCGGGUUUGGGUUUGAUAAUGGCAAACCCGCUGCGGGCGGUGCCCAUUGCCAUCCCUAGAUGGAAAUGGGAAAGUUCAAAGCUGUUACUUUCAGCUUCUGCACCGUAGCCAUGUCCCACGGGACAAGGCUAGAAGUUAUCAUGACCAUAGACUUUUCUAAUUUAUUUUUUCCUUUCAAAAAGGGACAAGGAUAAGUUUGGGAGAAUGAUUAUAUUUUUAAUAAAAGAAUUCUUUUUUAUUAUAAUACUUUUUGUCUUUAUUAAUUUAAAAAUAUUAACUCUUAUAUUUUAAUAAAUAUAAUUAUAAUAUUAUAAUAACAUAUAACAAUAUAUACAAAUAUUUAAAAAAAAUUAAGAUUUUAUUAAAAUAAUUUUAUAAUAAAUACAAAUAUAUUAUUAAUAUAAUUAUAAUAAUUUUCAUUUUAAAAAGUAAUACUGAUAUUAAUUUUUUAAAUUAUAUUACUCUACUCAAAAAAUUAAACUAUUAAAUUAUAUUGAUAUUUCUUAAAAAAGUUGCAAUUAAUUCUUAUUAUAUUUUUAAUUGGAUUUUUUUCCCGAGAUAUAACAACAAUUGCUACAGUUUUUUCCCAAAUAAAGAUGGAGUUAUAAAUUAUUUGUAUAAGUGUCUGUGUGGAAACUAAUGUGACAUGAAAGUAAUGGUUGAAUAACAAUAAUGGGGCUUUAGGCAAUUUUUUUAUGAGGUCCUCUUGCAAUUUCAACACUUAAACAGACUUGUCCUUGAUCCCAAUUUAUUUACCCAUUUAGGCCCACGAUGAGAUAAAUAUAUUCCUGUGAGAUGAAAAACAUCAGGAGAAGAAAAUGUUUUAUUAUAAUAAAAAAAACAAGUGGUCCAUAAGUCUAUUUAUUACUUUUUUUAUUCAAUACAAAUGGCCAACUUAAAAAAUGAUAAAAAUCACAUAACGCACAAGCGAAAAUUUAGAUUUACAUUUUUUAGUUCUCUCCGUGUCUCUCUUUCUCUUUUUUUUUUAAAAAAAUAAAUAAAUGUCAGUGUAAAAUUAGAAAAAUUUUAGAUAUAAACUUUGGCGAUGACCAAACAAAAAUUGAAAUACUGAUCAUAGACACUACAAUAUAAAUAACUUGUUGUGAUCCACUCAACUUGUAACACUUUAAUCCAUACUCUAAAAUUUGUAUGUUUGUUAGGAAUUUUAUUAUUGACAUUAUUGUACCAAUAAAAUUAUACUUUAUUCAUAUGGAAAGAAAACAUCAAGAAAGGACCUCUGAUUUUUAUUAUAACAGAAAAAAGUGGUCCAUAAGCCUAUUUAUUAUUUUAUUUAUUCAAUACAAAUUGCCAACUUAAAAAAUGGUAAAAAUCACAAAAUGCACAAGUAAAAUUUUAGAAUUACAUUUUUUUAAUUCUCUUUGAGUCUCUGUUUCUCUCUUUAAAAAAUAAACCUCACUGUAAAAUUAGAAUAAUUUUAGACAUAAAAUUUGGCAAUCACCAAACAAAAAAUGUAGGGAAAUGAAAAUGGAGGAGCCCUAUUAUCAUUAGAAUAUUGAUCAUAGAUACUAUAAUGUAAAUGAUUUUUUGUGGUUCAUUCAACCUGUCACACUCUAAGCCAUUUUCUAAAAUUUGUAAGGUUUAUAGGAUUUUUAUUAUUGGCAUCAUUGUAUCAAUAAUAUUAUAAAUUAUAUAUUCUAUUGUAAUGAAAAUUUGUGUAAUCUUAGGUAUUUAUUGUAUUAAAUUGUGUGGAUUAAUUAAGAAUAUUUUUGGAGACAAAAGAAGUGUGUGUACGUAGGAUUAAUGAUAAAAAAUUUCUAAAUAAAGGUGAUUGCUUCAUUGACAAGUACAUAUUUAUAUUCUCUAUUAGUAUUUGGGUUGUAAACUUUGUUUAUAAAGUGAAUAUAUUGUGGUAAGCGAUGUGGGCAAUAUCGGAUGCAAAAUAUUGAGAGAUCAUUAACGCAUAUAUUUAUUGAAGACGCAUAUAGAGGAAAGAGUGUAGAUCCGGCUGUAACAAUUAUGAAGCUUUCCCCAAGUAUUCUCACGCUUCCUUAACUGUUCCAAAGUAUUUUUCAUAGUGUGCAGAUUUACUUUAUGGUGUCUUAAUCCGUCUAAAAUGAUUACUUUAGUUCUUUUGGGAUGAAAGGUCAUUUAUUGUGUUAGUAUUAAACAAUAGAAAAAAUAAGUAAUGGUAACGAAAGACUAAUUUGUGAUAUUGAAGUAUACAUGCUUAACUCAAUCCAAACUUAGUAAGUUAGCUCAAGAGUUAAGAGUUGUCCAAAUCUUAUAUACUGAACCCAAGUUCAAUACUCAAUUGAUGUAGGAUGUUAUUCAUAACACCGCCCGUCAUGCGUAGGAUUGGCAAAAAAACUCGAGUCAAUCCCACCUAGACCUGCAAGCUUUAUUUAUGGCCAGCAUAAUGAAGUUACAGAUAUUAACCUAAAAAUUUGAAACUUACUAUGAGUGGCCUUGGUUAAAGACUUUUGCAACUUUAAUUUAUAACAAGUAUGUACACACACACACACACACACACACACACAUGUUUAGAUUGCAUUUGGAUGACUUUUUUUUAUCAAUGCAAACAAUAUCAAAUUUAUCGGAUUAAUUUGAAUCUGAUCUAUAUCCGAUUUUGCCUACCCCUACUAUUUAUAAGCCCAAGUGACUCUCUUUUACUAAUUAAUAAGGGAAUUUUUUGACCUCAUGUCCUUGCUGUGGCAUUAGACUGUUGGUCAUUUUGAUUGUUUCCUACCUUCCAUUUACGCCAGCUGUAACAUUGUAUUAUUCACCAUUUUAGCCAUUUAAAUGAAAUUUUAUUUUUGUCAAAAAUAAAAUGACACCCUUAAAAUUAAAAAAAAAAUAGUUAUGUAGACCUCAAAUUUUUAAUAAAGAAUGUCAAUACCUCUUUUAACUACAAGAUUCGUAGUAGAUGAUAAAAAGAAAAUUAACCUCAAAUUUUUUCAUUAAAUGUAAAUCUGAUUGAAGUAGUUUAAAUUUUUCUAGUAGACUAAUAUAUAUAACUUAAAUAAUUAAUUUCAUUAUUAAUUUUUAAAAUGUUAACUAAUAUAUUUUUAAUUUAUUAUAAAAUUUUUAAAUAUUAUCCUUGGAUUAAAUAGAUUUUACAAUUAAUGUAAUACUUCUUAUUUUUUAAUAAUAUUAAAAUUAUUUUAUAUGAUAUUCAAAAUAAUUUAAACUUAUAUAUAUUAAUAUUAUGUCUAUUUAUUAUAAUAUGGUUUAAUAUUAUACGGGAUUGUAAAAUAUUAAAAUAUUCUUCAAUAUCAAAUUAUUUUAAUAUGUACAUAUCAUUACUUUUAUUUUAGUAUCGCAUUUAUAUUUAUUAUAAAUAUAAAAUUAAUAAAAUUAAAGAGUAUUGCAGUAAAGUAAAAAAAAAAAGUCUUAUUAUCCCUUAUUCAUGAUAUGAGAUUCUACAAAAUUAUUUCCCGAAACGGGUGUCCUUUUCUCAUUUUCAAAAGAAAAAAUAAAGUAAGAAUAAGUCCAUGGGUUUCAAAAACUUCUAGUCCUAUCCCGGGACUACAUUGCUGCCACUAUAACUAAUGGAAAUGACAUUUCAAUUGACAUUGCCUUUCGCAACAUGAAAAAUUUUUGGUGGGAUAUGGAAGAAUUGUCAAAAGUUCACGCCGUGUGAGAGUUUUUGGUAGGAUGUAGGAGGAUUGUCAAAAGAUCACACCAUGUGAUAAAACCACAAUUGCUAUGGUUUUUAUUUUUUAAAUAAUGAUGGGAGUUAUAAAUUAUUUAUAUAAAUUUGCGUAGAAACUAAUGUAACAUAAAAGAAAUAGCUGAAUAACAAUAUUUGGUGCUUUAAGUAAUUUUUAUAUGAGCCUUUCUUUUAUUUAGCGGCUUUAGUGUUUAAACAAACUUGUUCUCGAUCUUAAUUUACUGACCCCAUUUAAGCCCAUAAUUAAACAUAUUCUUUUGUGACGAAAACAUCAAGAGAAGACAUCUCAUGUUUUAUUAUAACAGAAAAAGAAGUAGUCCAAACAUCUAUUCGUUAUUUUAUUUAUUCAAUAUAAAUGGCCAACUUUAAAAAAAUGAUAAAAAUCACACAACGCUCAAGUAAAAAUUUAGAAUUACAUUUUGUAAUACUCUCUGAGUCUCUCUCUCCUGCCCCCCCCCCCCCUUCCUUUUAAAAAAAAUAAACCUUAGUGUAAAAUUAGAAGAAUUUUAGAUAUAAAAUUUGGCAAUAGCUAAACAGAAAAGCGGCGGAUUGAAAAUAAAAAAGCUCUAUUACCAUUGGAAUAUUGAUUAUAGAUAAUAUAAUAACUUGUUGUGGUUCAUUGUAGCACUGUGAGCCAUAUUCUAAAAUUUAUAGGUUUGUUAAGGCAUUUAUUAUUGACAUUAUUGUGUCAAUACUAUUAUAAUUUAUUCAUUUUAUUGUAAUGAUAAUUUGUCUAGUCUUAGGUACUUAUUAUAUUAAAUUAUGUAAAUUAAUUGAGGAUACUUUUAGAGACAAAAGAAACACGUGUAUGUAGGAUUAAUAAUCGAAGAAUUGUAAAUGAAGGUGAUUGCUUCAUUGAGAGGCAUAUUAAAUAAUUAUGGAGAGUUGCACUAUUUCGGAAGCACAUAUUUAUACUUCCCUAUCAGGAUUUGGGAUAAACGAAGUGCUUUAUCUAUUGCAGUAAGCAAUGUGGGCAAUAUCAGAGGCGAAAUAUUAAAAGAUCAUCCAUGAAAAGCUUCGUAACAGAAAAACCGUCUUUCAAAAAAAAAUAAAAUAAAAUAAAAAUAAAAACAGAAAAACCGACUCAUUUAUCUGCCAAUGAACCAAUCAGGACUCAUUUAAAAAAGAAUACAAAGCAAAAGUAAAUGACACAAAUUGCAUAGAUAUCUAGUAGCCGCAUCAAAGGACAAAGGUGUUAAUUUGUCCAAGAAUAAAUUCUCCUAGGUCAAAAGCAAUUAACGAUGAAAACUUUCUUCAUUAAGGUUCUGGCCUACGUAAAAAAACAGAAAAAAUCACCCCAAGGUCAAAGCACAACGAUAAGUUUAGAAUUGGAAUUUUUAAUUUUUUUUAAUAAAUCAACGUGUAUCAAAAAUAGAUAAUAAUUUUGGAUAACUUUUUUUGAUAAAUAUAGACAUAAAAUUUUAAAAUCGCCAAACAGAAAAACAGGGGAAUUAAAACAAAGUCCCUGUUUAUCCUCUAUUUUGCUUGUUAUUAAAAAGGGAAAUGAAAAGAUUGCAAGCCGAAAUUUUGUUUCUGCGUUGUCUCUUCUCAAUGCUGCAUGCAUUCAAAUUAAACCUUACAUAUGCUAGCAAACUAGCUACUCUGCAUGUAAGUUCUCGAUAAGUCCAAAUAAUAGAAUAAUUGUAAAAUGUUCAAAUUCAGUAAUUAAUUAUACAUAUUUAUUUAUUCAAAAAUUAUUAUUAUUACUAAUUAUUGUCAAUAAUAUAUUAAUAUACUAAUUAAUUGUAAAAAAAUUUAUCAUUCAUAACAAUAAUGAUGAUGAUGAUAAUAAUAAAAAUUCAAAAUAUAUUAAUUAAUUAUAAUAAUAUAUUAAUUAUUUAAUAAUAAUAUAUUUAAAAUAUAUAAAUUGAUUAGAAUAGUUAUAUUAAUAAAUUAUAAACAUAUAUUAAUUAAUCAUAAUAAUUUUUUAAUUGAUGACAAAAUAGAUAUUUUAUAGUUUGUGAGAGGGGGCAAAAUGAUCAAUCUUGGGAAUGGGGGAUUGAUUCCCACCACCUUCCUUAGGAAUCAAUCUUCCAUUCCUCAUUCCUAAUUUGGGUGGUCCCCAUAGUUCUUAUUCGGAUCCCAGCCUCUAUUUUGUGAAGUAAACAUCAUUAAUGAUUUCGAUUUCGGAUUCCGAUUCUCCAAUCCAAGAAGUAAAGGCACCAUUAUUGUUAAUUGGUUCAAACACACAAAGAGAAUGUACCAUGUAGCUAGGCGUCAAGGUUGUGUGGCACAAGGUUGUGUGGCACAAGUAGGGAUGGCAAUUCAACCCGCACCCGGCCCGGACCCGGAUGAAACCCGGAUUUUCCAGUCCGGGUUUAACCCGUACCGGAUUAAAUAAAAUCCGGAUCCGGAUGUCAUUUUAAAAACCCGCAUGUACCCGGGUCCGGUUCCGGGUUUAAGUAAACCCGUACAUCCGGAACCCGGACCCGGAUAUAUAUUAAUUUUAAAAAAUUAUUUUUAAUAUAAAUAGAAAGCAAAAAAAACCCAAAUGGUGCCCUAGAAGCUCAUUACACUUUCCCAGCCGCACAAACAUUUCCUCUCUUAUUCCCUCUUCAGCUCAUCUUCAUCUUCAUCAAAUCAUCGUCGCAUCACUUGCCCAUCUUCGCGGCUGUUCAACUUCAACAUCAUCAUCAUCAUCAUCAUCAGCCGUCGUUUCCUUUCUUUUUCUGCGGCGACCGGUAACUAGCUGUGAUACGGGUUGAACGCCGCCUUUGCCAAUCGCAACCGCGGCUGUGUUCAUCAUCAUCAACCGCCGUCACUUUCAAGAACGAUACUCGAAAAUAUUUUGAUGGGAAUCUUGUUUUUGGUCAUUUUAGUAACAGUGUGUGCAAGUGCGAGUGAGAGAGAGAGAGAACGUGGCUUACUCGAUGCCACUUAUCAUGCUUUCAUCUUUUUUCAUCCAGUGCGGGGUCUGUCUUUGUUGGCUUUUUGGAAAACUUGUUGCUUUUAAUGGUGUAUUACUUCUUUUGAAUAUCCAAUCAAUGUAAACUUAUUUACAUUACCCCUCCAGUUUUCCCAUCACCAUUAAAAGUGCUUUGGUUGCUCCUUGACUGUGCUUUGGUUGCUCCUUGACUCCUGACUUCCUGCUCGCAACAAAAGCUAGUUCUUUAGCUCUCUUUACUAAUUGAACGAGUCACCACAUUGGGUUGCUGAUUCUGGGCAGCCAAACAAAAUUGUUGUUUUUGUUAAUUAGUUUCCAGAUGAAAUAAUUUUUCUUUGAUUUGCUGAAAUCCUGGAUAUGUAUUUCUAUUUGAUUUUUUUAGUCGAAUUUAGUUUUUUUUUUUAAAUUGGAUUCAUCAAUCCGGGUUGGAAACCCGCAGUCCGGAAACCCGGAUUUUUCCGGGUUGAACCCGUACCGGACCCGGAGUGGAAAAAUGCGGGUUUAUUUCCGGGUCCGGUACAGAAAAUAUUCGUCCGGGUCCGGAUCCAGAAUGACUAAACCCGGACCCGGACCCGGAUUUUGCCAUCCCUAGGCACAAGUAACCUUUUUCUUUUCUUUUUAUUUUUUUUUGUUUUCCUUAACGGAUCAGAAGAAAUCGGUGCCUUUGAGAUACUACAAUGUAAAUAAGUACUUGUGGUUCAUUAAAUCUGUAACACUCGGUACCCUAAGGUUUCUUUUGAAAAAGGGCUUUUCUCACUGAUCACCAAUAUCCAAGUAAGUUUGUUUCAUUUCAGAAGGUGCAAAGUUUCAAACUUUUUGUAUUGGGAUGUAACAAACUUUGGCCUUAUAUGCCUGCUGUGACGUUAGACUGUUCAUUUUGAUUGUUUCAUACCUUUCACUUGCGCGCACUGUAGCACUGUAUUAUUCAUCAUUUUAGCUGUUUAAAUGAAAUUUUAUUUUUGUCAAAAAUAAAAUGACACCAUAAAAAUUUAGAAAAAUAAUCAUGUAGAUCCCAAAUUUUUAAUAAAGAAUACCAAUAUUCCCCUUGACUACAAUACCCUUAGUAGGUGGUAAUCAAACAAAUUGACUUAAACUUUUUUACGAAAUGUAAAUAUGAUUUAAAUAAUUUAAAUUUUCCAGUAGACUAAUAUAUAAUUUAAAUAAUUAAUUUCAAUAUUAAUUUUUAAAAUGUAAAUUAAUUUAUUUGUAUUUAUAAAAUAUUUGUAAUUAUUUUAAAAUUUUAACUAAAUCCUUAGGUUAAAUAGAUUUUACAAUUAAUAUAAUAUUUCUCAUGUAUUAAUAAUAUUAAAACUAUUUUAUAUGAUAUUGAAAAUAACCUAAAUUUUUAUAUAUUUAUUUGAAUAUUAUGUCUCUAUUUAUUAUAAUUUGGUUUAAUAGAAUACGAGAUUGUAAAUUAUUAAAAUUUUUAGAUAUUGAAAUUAUUUUAAUAUGUACAUAUUAUUAUAUUUAUUUUAAUAUCCUACUUAUAUUUAUUAUAAAAUAUUAAAAUUAAUUUUUUUAGUUAAUAAAUUUAAAAAAUAUUAUAAUUAAAAAAAAGAGUCUUAUUGCCUGUUAUUCACGAUAUGAGGUUCUACAAAAUUAUUUUCAAAAGGAAAAAUAAGUCCAGGGGUUUCAAUAAAUUCUAGUCCUAUCUGCCACUAUAACUAAUGGAAACGACAUUGCAAUUGACAUUGCUUUUCGCAAUAUGACAAUUUUUUGGAGGGAUAUGGGAGAAUCGUCAAAUGUUCACACUAUGCGGGAGUUUUGAAUGGGAUCGGGGAGAAUUGUCAAGAGUUCACACCACGAGAAACCAAUGAUAGCCAUAAUUACGCUGUCAGUUCUUUGUUUAUUUAUUUUGUUUAUUUCAUACAUUGUUGUCUUGUUGGCAUUGUUUUGUAAAUAUAUAAAAGUAAAGUAAACUAUUAGGGUGCUGCUAAGUUAAACUGUUGUAACUUACAAUCCCUUAAAAAAUAAUGUAAAAAAUUUAACACGUGGUGGGAUCGACAUAUGUUUGAAGAGGCUUUAAGUUACAGUAGUUGUGACUUAGAAAAAUCCAAAUAUUAGACAAUAACACACAUUAACAAUGCAUAUAAUUUGGGUUUGAUUUUUUUAAAAAUUAUUUGAGUAUUAACUAUCCUUAAGAUAUUAAUGUGAAUAUAAUUUAAUAUUAAAUAAUCAAAAUCUGUAUAAUUAUAAUAUAUAUUUCAUACAUUGCAUGUUUAAUCAAAAUCGGAUUGCUUUUUACCUUCCAUUUACGCCCACUGUAGCAUUGUACUAUUCACCAUUUUAGCUGUUUAAAUGAAAUUUUUAUUUUUUUUCAAAAAUAAAAUGACACCCUUAAAAUUUUAGAAAAUAGUCAUGUAAACCCCAAAAUUUUAAUAAAAAACACCAAUACCCUUUUUUACUAUAGUACUCUUAUGGUAGCCACAAAAAAAAAUGACUUCAAAAUUUUUUACUAAAUGUAAAUAUGAUUUAAAUAGUUUAAAUUUUCUAGUAGACUAGUAUGUAUAAUUUAAAUAAUUAAUUUUUAAAAUGUAAUUUAAUAUAUUUAUUUUAAUAAUAUAUUUAUUAUAAAAUUUUAAACAAAUCCUUGGGUUAAAUAGUUUUUAUAAUUAAUAUAAUAUUUCUCACGUUUUAAUAAUAUUAAAGUUAUUUUCUAUGAUAUUGAAAAUAAUUUAAAAUUUUAUAUAUUUAUUUUAAUAUUAUGUCUCUAUUUAUUAUAAUUUGGUUUAAUAGAAUACGAGAUUGUAAACUAUUAAAAUAUUUUUAGGUAUUGAAAUUAUUUUAAUAUGUAUAUAUUAUUAUAUUUAUUUUAAUAUCCUACUUAUAUUUAUUAUAAAAUAUUAAAAUUAAUUUUUUUAGUUAAUAAUUUAAAAAAAUAUUAUGGUUAAAAAAAAGAGUCUCAUUGUCCGUUAUUCACGAUAUGAGAUUCUACAAAAUUAUUUUCAAAAGGAAAAAUAAGUUCAGGGGUUUCAACAAAUUCUAGUCCUAUAUGCCAUUAUGACUAAUGGAAACGAUAUUGAAUUGACAUUGUUUUUUGCAAUAUGACAAAUUUUUGGAGGGAUAUGGGAGAAUCGUCAAGCGUUCACACCAUGCAAGAGCUUUAUGUCACGGGAUGAGUGUUUUGCGCAGCUAACCCGUGCGGCACUUAGACAACUUUGCCGAAUGUUGCUAAGUAAGCCUAGAGCUUCUCGAACAAGAGAAGAGAGCAAUUGAGCCAAAGAAGAAACUUGUAUUGCACAAAGAGAGAUUACAAUGCUUGUUGCUUACAAAGCUUGUUAGAUACAAAUGCCUAAUGCCAUUCCAUAUUUAUAGGGGAGGCUUGCCAAGCUCUAGAGAUUCUAGAGAAUUCUACCAACUAUCUAGAAUUUACAUGUGCUGGAAAGUCAUAGAGAAUUCUAGAGUAUUUACAAGCUCACAUGUGCUAGAGUUUCCUAGAACUUUCCGGAAUAAGGUCAAGCUAGCACUCUUGACCUUGUGUUGGCUCUCUACCCCGAAAUUGUGGGCAAUUGGGCUAGUGAAUUGGGAGGUCCGUAACAUCCUCCCCCACCUAAGCUCGCGGCGUCCUCGUCGUGCUCUCAUGCUUGAAGCGUUGGAUGUGCUCAGCGAAUUGCCACAAAUCAUCUUCACAUUCCCAAGUGGCUUCACUCUCGGGGAGGUUUUUCCACUUCACUAAGUACUCGCUAUGUGCUGGCACGCCUCUCCUCGAAACCGUGCGGUCCGCAAUGAUGUAGUCCACAUCUUUGUCGAACGCGUUGACAACGGCAGUUGGUGCACGCCUUGAUUCUCCAAGACUUGGUUCUCCCACGUCUUCGUGAUAUGGCUUGAGAAGGCUCACAUGGAAGACCAGAUGGAUCUUGAGUCUUGGUGGAAGUUGGAGUUGAUACGAGACGUUGCCCACAUGUCGAACAACUCGGAAGGGUCCCUCGUAGCGCCUCACUAACCCCUUGUGAACUUUCCGCAAAGUCUUGAAUUGUUGGGGUAGGAGCUUGAUCAUGACUUGAUCACCUUCCUUGUACUCAACAUGCCGUCUCCUUGUAUCCUCCCAUUUCUUCAUUUUCCUCGCGGCUUUGUCGAGAUAGGCUCGCGUGAUAUCCGCUUCCUCAUGCCAUUCGUGGGCGAGCUUGUGUGCCGCGGGAUUUUCCCUCCGUAAGUCGAGGCUAUGGCAUUGGGGGUCAUGGGCUGGAAUCCCAUGAUGAUCUCGAAUGGACUCUUGCCCGUAGCCUCACUUCGCUGCAAGUUAUAAGAAAAUUAGGCGAUGUCAAGUAGUUUCGCCCAAUCCCUCUGAUGAGCGCUCACAUAAUGCCUCAAGUACAUCUCGAGGAGGCCAUUGAUGCGCUCGGUCUGCCCAUCCGUUUGUGGGUGGAAGCUUGUCGAGAACUCGAGAUUGGUCCCCAACAUCUUGAAGAGCUCCGUCCAAAAAUACCCAGUGAACCGAGGGUCUCGGUCGCUCACAAUGCUUUUUGGAACUCCCCAAAGCUUCACAAUGUGCUUGACGAAUAGGCGGGCUGCCUCGUCCGCUUUACAGUCGACGGGUGCGGCAAUGAAUGUGACAUACUUGUUGUAUCGGUCGACAACAACGAUGAUGCUUCCGCAACCUUCAGACUUGGGGCAGCGAUGUGAUGAAGUCCAUGGAGACACUUUCUCAUGGCCUUGUUGCUAGCAGUAGCAGCUCCAACAAUCCCGCUGGAAGUUAAUGAUCCACCUUGUCUUGUUGGCACACAAGACAAGUUCGCACAUAUGCCUCGAUGCUGUCCCUCAUGUGCGGCCAAAAAUAUGAGGCUUGAACUAGUGCGGUGGUGCGCUCAAUUCCUGGGUGACCAGCCCACUUGGAGUCGUGGCACUCCUUGAUAACUUCCUUCCGCAAGUUUCCCCACCUUGGCACGAACAGCCGAUCUCCCUUGGUGAGGAGGAUGCCUUCCUCUUGCCAAAAUCACCUUGUCUUUCCCUCGAGCACCUUCUCUAGCAAAUCCUUGGCUAGCGGAUCUUGUUGGAAGCCUUCCUUGAUGCGUGAGACAAGGUCGGACUUCGGUUGGCUCAUGCUAAGUGUCGCCAAUUCGGCCUUGCGGCUUAGAGCGUCCGCAACGACAUUGGUCUUGCCUGGUUUGUACUCAAGCCGAUAGUCAAAUUCCGCUAGGAAAUCUUGCCACCGCGCUUGCUUCGGACUCAACUUCUUCUGAGUUUGGAAGUAGCUUGUCGCUACGUUGUCCGUCAUAAUCGUGAAGUGAGAGCCUAGCAAGUAAUGUCGCCACACGCGCAAGCAAUGUAUGAUGGCUGUCAUCUCCUUUUCUUGCACUGUGUAGCGGCGUUCCGUAUCAUUAAGCUUUCAACUCUCGAACGCUAUAGGGUGGCCUUCUUGCAUGAGGACUUCUCCUAUGGCAAAAUCCAAGGCAUCCGUUUGGACUUCAAAGGGCUUUGUGUGGUCCGGGAGAGUAAGGACAGGUUCCUCCGAAAUUGCCUUCUUCAAAUCCUCGAAUGCGCGUUGGCACUCUUUAGACCAAUGCCACGUUCUGUUUUUCUUGAGCAUAUCCGUCAAGGGUGCUGCCUUGGCCGAAUAGCCCUUGAUGAAGCGGCGGUAGUAGUUCACCAAACCAAGGAAUAAGCGAAGCUCGGGCACUUUCGAGGGAAGUUCCCAUUCAAGGAUGGCCUUCACUUUAGCAUUCUCCAUCAUAAUCUUCCCGUCCGCAAUCUUGUGGCCAAAGAACUCCACCUCUUGUUGGGCAAACGAGCACUUCUCUAGUUUGAGGAAGAGCUCAUUGUCUCGAAGUACUUGGAGGACUUGUCGCAAGUGUUGGGCAUGAUCCUAGAGCGUGGUGCUAUACACCACUAUGUCAUCCAAGUACACGACCACGAAGCGGUUGAGGAAUGGUUGGAGCACCUUGUUCAUGAGCGUACAAAAUGUGGCGGGUGCAUUAGUAAGGCCAAAAGGCAUUACAAGGAAUUUGAAAAACCCGUACCUUGUUGUGCACGCUGUCUUUGGUUCGUCUCCCUUGGCGAUGCGUUCUUGGUAGUACCCUGAGCGCAAGUCGAGUUUGGUGAAGUACCGCACUUUGCCAAGCUGGUCGAACUAGUCUGCGAUCAAGGAAAUCGGAUACUUGUUCUUGAUAGUGAUCUUGUUGAGUGCUCUAUAGUCGAUGCACAUCCGCAGCGAUCCAUCCUUUUUCUUUUGGAAGAGGACCGGUGCACCGAAUGGGGCCUUUGAGGGGCGAAUAUAGCCUGCGUUCAGCAAGUCUUUGAGUUGUCUCCACAACUCUUAUAAUUUUGGUGGCGCCAUGCGGUAGGGCGCCAGGGCUGGUGGCUUCGCGCCUUGUUCCAGCUCGAUGGCAUGAUCUACCUCUUGUCGAGGUGGGAGCUUCUUCGGAAGUUCUGGAGGCAUCACGUCCUUGUACUCAUUGAGGACGACUUGAAUUCGCGGAGGGACUUGGCUUGGCGAAGUUCCGCUAUGUCCUUCCUCAUUUAGUUCUCGAAUAGAGACCAAGAAGCUUGGGUCCUUCUUGAAAGCCCUUUUGAAUUGCAUGGCGGAGAGUGUCUUCUCCUCGGACUUGCCUCGCUCCGUGGGUACCAUGCAUGCUUUGCUCCCGUCGAGAAUGCUUAGGGAGUUUGUAGCGGGCAGCGGGAAGGCAUGGACUUGGUCAAAGAAUUUCAUGCUGAGGACCAUCUUGAAGUCGUCCAUGGGCACAAUGGAGAAGUCAAGCUUUCCGCUCCACGUACCGAGUGUGAUGUGCACGCCUUGUACGAUUCCCGCAAUUGGCUUGGCGGGUGAGUUUACUACCUUCAUUGUGCCUCCUUCCUUCGUGGCCUUGAGGCCUAAGCGCUUGGCCUCAUCUACGGACACGAAGUUGUGCGUUGCUCCCGUGUCUAGCAGCGUGCGAACGGACUGGCCGUUUACCUUUGCGCUAACAUACAUGAGCCAUUUCUUGACGAGUGCGGGCUGUUGGCGAUUGAGUGCGCCGAGGCGUUGGAGAGAACCCAUGCUGAGUUGGGGUUCCUCCGUGGACAUUGUAGGGUUGCUCUUGAGUUGGGCAGCAAGAGCGUUAAGCGACCUCUUCUCCGGACAGUCGCGCACCCAAUGGGGACCAUUGCAUAUGAAGCAUGGGUUUCGCAGUUUUGGCGCCUCCUUCUUGCCCUCCGAUUUUCCUUGCCCGCUCUUGUUAUUAGGCGGCUUUUUAUGCCCCCAAUCUUUACGGUUGUUGCCCUUGUCCUUGUGACUCUCUCCCCUACCUUUGCCUUGACUAGACUUCUUGUCUUUGGAUUGGGUAGAGUAUUCGGUGAGCGAUUCCGCAACGGCGAUGGCGUCGUCAAGUGUUUGAACACCACACCUAUCAAGCUCGGUCUUGGCCCAAUCCUUGAGGCCAUCUUGGAAGUAGAAGAGUGAAUCUUUGUCAGACAUGUCGCUUAUCUCCAACAUAAGGGUAGUGAACUCAUUGAUGUAGUCCCGAAUGCUACCCGAUUGCUUGAGGCGACGUAAGCGCGCUCGCGCUUCCUUCUCCGCAUUGCUUGGGGCGAACUGUUUUCAGAGUUCUUGCUUGAAGUCGGCCCAAGUGUCGAUGGUGCAAAUGCCCUUGCCCAUCUCGCCAUGCUUGCGACACCACCAUAGUUGUGCAGCACUUCGAAGAUAAGUGGGUGCAGUGCCCACUUUCGAUGCCUCAUCUCGUACACCCAUGGCAUCGAAGUAUUGAUCCAGCCCGAAUAAGAAGUUGUCCACGAUUGUGGCAUUGCGUGUUGUUGUGCAAAUUUUAAUGUACUCGCAAGCGCACGAAUCUAUUAUAGUAUAGAUCAAUGGUGACGAGUGUCGAUCCCACGAGAAGGUGGAUUUUAAUUGUGUAUAGAAUUAAUUUUGCAAAUGGUUGAUUGGAUUUGUGGUGGAAAUGAUUUGGAAUAUGCUAAAACUUAAAUUAAAAUGGCGAGAAUAAAUUCUGAAAUUGGAAUUGAAAUGACGAGAAUAAAUUGAAGAGAAUUCUAUUGAAAUGACGUACUUGGGUAUCUGGAUCCGUAUCAACAUGCAUCAUGGGCUAAAUAAUCCGUAUUAAUGCCAAUUAAAUCAUGAGGGGGGAAUCCACACCUCAUGAACCACGCUCUAAUCAAUAUGGUGCUAAGGGCUUAUCGUGCCAAAUAAUAAUAACCUUGUACUAGAGAGCCGGUGUAACCAAGGCGGUAUCUAGACAAGAUCAGUAUUAUUUGUCGACGAUAAGUCAAAUCAUCCACAAAAACUAGAGGGGAAAAGAAAAUAAAUUUACCAAAUAAAGCCCAUGACACAUGUUGAGACUUCACCUUCAACCCAAGCUUGAAAGAAAAUUAGCCACUCAUAAUUGAACUAAGGGCAAAAUGGGAAUUUAUUAAAAUACAAAGAAAAUACAAGAUGGAGAAGGAAUUACAGAAAAUGGAUCCCAAAAAUGGAUUCAGAGAUAUCAAAUUAGGGGGGGGAGGCCCCCUUUUUAUAGAUACAUGGAGUAAAUCAUGGCCAUCGGAUUAAAAACAGUUUGGACGCUCAGGAUUGCGCCACGUCAUCAGUCAACAGUCCACGGUUUGACCACGCGGAUGAACAGUAACACGGUUUGACCUGGAUGAACAGUAACGCGGUUUGGUUGACAAUAAUCCUGUGUGAUGCAUGCACCGUACGCGAGAUUUUUCGUCCACUGAUAUGCUGCCACGUCACCAUCAACAGUACAUAAGAUUUUAGUCCAACAGGAUCGUGACACCUCAUCAGUCAAUGCCACAUCAUCGGUCAAUGCCACAUCAUCGGUCAAUGCCACGUCAUCGAUCAAUGCCACGUCAUCGAUCCGUCUAUGUGAACAGUGUCGUGAACAGUAACGUAGACAGUACCGUAUACGUGAAUAGUACCGUACAUGUGAAUAGUGCCAUUUUUCCUUUUAUGCUCCUCCUAAGGUUUUCGACCGUCCUGAGUUCAAAAGUGAUGUCCGUUUUGCCAUCUGAUCUCUCCUUUAUUGUGAAAUGACUAUAAUGCCCCUAAAAUACAUAAAAUACUUAAUUAAAAUAACACACACGUAAUUACAUCACAAGAAGGUUAAAUACAUAAAAGUAAGGGUUGUUAGUAAGACUUGAAAUGUAAAAUGACGGUUUUCUCCUUUAUAAAUAUGCAUUUUCUAACACUCAACACACCCCCCAACCAGCUUAUUGCUAGUCCCUAGCAAAUAAAGCGAAAACAAAAUUCAAAUUCAAAUUUUUUUUUUUUUUUUUAGAAACACUCGUGUUUAUUCAAUCAGAUUAAUGAUAGCAAUCAAAUAAAAGUAUAAGCAUUAUCUCCAGUCUAAAGCAAUAUCACACCCACAUCAACCAUCCACAUGAAUCGGCCCAGUAGAUUUUGUUAUAGGUACUUUCAAGAAUGACAUGUCAAACCCCAAAAUCUCACUGGAAGUAAUGACACUCUCACAAAUAAAUUAAACCCAAUAAAAAUAGUCACUCCAAUGAAUGGUAAUUGAGAGAGAAAAUAAUAAAGAAGUGAUAUCACAUGCUCUCACCAAGAUGAAAUAAAUAUGCCCUUAGCUUAGAAAUAAUACGAUCUCAAGUCAAAUAAAAUGUUAGUCAACCCACUUUAUAUAUCUUUUUUUUUUUUUAUUAUGCAUCACUACAUCUUUUUAGCCCAUAUAACUAGCUUCUACUUCAAACUAUAGUUCCCUAAAAUCAAGAAGGACUUUUAUUAGGACGUAACGUAGGCUAGGGAUAUGGCUAAUAAAGAAAGGAAAUAAGGAAAACAAAGUGUAUGUUUGAGAAAAAUGCAGAAAUAAUUUUUUUUUUUUUUUGAAGUUGCAAGGUAGAUUUCACCUAUUAUUGUUAUUUUAUUCUUUUGAAACAACAACUUUUGUUUUUAUUUUAAUUUUUUUUUUUACUUUUAUUUGGCAUAACUUCACUGAACAACAUAAUUAUUUACAUUUUCUCAAACAUAAAUAGGUGAUGGAACUUAAAAGACAUUGGGUAAUACUCCAAAUCGGAGUGGGUCAAGAUGAUAAGUUGACAAAGAAAAUGUUUUUUUUUUUUUUUUUUUAAAGGCUCAAAAGGGGUAACUAUGGAUAUUUAAUAACAGGGAUGGCUAGAAAGGCUCAAACGGAUCAAAGAUGGUCUUUCCAUCGUUUUUUAGGGCUCUAAAUAAUUAUCCAUAUCUACUAGUUAAAUGGGCAUCCCAAUAUAGCAACACACAUUUUUUUCUUUUUUCUUUUUUUUUUUACCAUUUUUUUUUAAAGGGUUAACUCAAAAGAAAUCUAGAGAUCGUGUAUAAAAUAAUAAACUGCUAAGUUGUAUAGAGAAUGGGCAAAAGGGUUACUCUCCAAGAAAAUGAUAGGCUCAACUACUCACUUGGCACUUAUUUAUGACAUGUUCAUUCCUUCAAGCAACUCAUAUUUGUCUCCGACAUCAACAUGUAAAGUAGCAAACAUAGCGUAACAUCACUUAAGACCAAAGAUAAUACAAAUACUAAAAUUUGAAAUUAAUCAUGUCAUCCAAUGUUAAAACAAAUAACACAAUUUUUUUUUUUUAAACAACAUUCUACCCCCCAACCUAUUCUAAACAUGAAAGGAAAAUAUGCAUGCAGAAAUGUGAAAAUGAUGUAGAAAAAUUAAUUAGAAAAAGAAAUUUUUUUUUUUUAAACUAAGAAGAUGCGUUUCUAGAGGCACUACACUCCAUAUUCAGCCAUCUUCGACUCAAAAAUUUGAAACUACAUAUUUAUAAAGGAGAAAGAGGAAGAAAACAGGUUUUUUUUUUUUUUUUUUUUUUUUUAAACGAUGAAGAUGCGUUUCUAGAGGCACUACACUCCAUAUUCAGCCAUCUUCAACAUAAAAUGUUAGCAACAGUUAGUUUCUACAACAAAAAAUCAGUAAAAACUUAACCAAGAUUCCACAAUUGUCGACUAUUCCCUCCCCCCAACCAGAACGAAACAUUGUCCUCAAUGUUUUAAAGGAAAGAAGUAGAGUUUAGAAGACAUCACCUGGGUGGUGCAACACAGAAGAAAAUAUUUACAGGCGGAGAGUUAAAUCUAAUUUGUACUUCUUACUGCGGCUACUGUUACCAUCAUUAUUUGGUCGCUCCAACACAAAGGUCCAGGGGUCUGGCUCCGGUUUAUAAGCUUGUAACAUAUCAAGUAGCUCAUUAGCAGUGUGAGCACAAAUAAAGAGUUUUUUCACAUUAGAAGGAAUGAAAUAGUUUUUUAUUGCAUGGUUAAGAAAUGCGAUAAAGCCAUCAUAAAAGUUAUUGACAUUUAACAAACCGAUGGGUUUCUGGUGGAUGUGCAGAUGGGCCCAAGAUGCUAGUGUCAUAAGUGCCUCUAGUGUUGCAAGAUCUCCUGGAAGGAAAAUAAAAGCAUCAGCAUGAUUAAGCAUUUCAGUUAUUCUUUCUUGCAUACCUGAGACGACUAACUCUUCUCCAGUUGAUGAGUCAGACGAACUGCCCAAUGGUUUUAGGAUUCUUGGGAUGAUGCCUAACACUUGACUUCCUCUGAUAAAAGCUGCUUCUGAGACCAUUUUUGAUAACCCUCGGUUACCUCCUCCAUACACCAAAUGUAAUUUUCUCGCUGCUAUGCUUCGACCAAGAUCUAUGGCUGCCUCCACGAACUCUUUAUGUUUGCCAUAGGUAAAUCCAGAAAGCACACAAAUGUUCUUGAAUUGUCUAUUAGGAGUAGCUGCCAUUGUGAUACUUCUCAAAAAUAAUUUGUGAGUGCUUGACAAAAGAUAAAUCACAUUUAAGAAUCUUGGUGACAGUGGAUCACAGCUGUGAAUAAGGUAACAUGUCAGUGUCAAAUAACGCGUAAAGCACGUGGCUCGCGAGUCAAAAAGGAAACAGUAAAAAGGAAAAAGCAAACAGUAACAAAAUUAUUAAAGACAAUAAUGCAAACAAUAAAACAACAGUGAAAUGAAAUAAAAUAACAGUAAAGUAAAAGGAUAUUUACACGUAGUUGCGACUGUGGCUCACAUCUUCCUCUGGUUUUACGUCCAGAAACGGCUUGAACGCCCUCUAUGGGUCGAGGAUAGGCUUCCUAUCCAGUUUUCUUAUAAACUGGCAAACAGGGUCGUUUAUAGUCAGAUUCCCAAGACUAUAUUGUGUAUGCUCUUUCUGGAAUAAUGGCCAUAACUGGAGAAUCGCUCCUUGCACAUAUCCACUGGGAUGCGUUUCAAGAGACAAAAGGAUAUCAUCCAAUGACUCCUUAUUCAAGCCAUCCCUAAUGAAUUGAAUCUUAUCUUCUCUGUUAUCAGACACCAUUCCUAAAGAACAUGGGUUUCUAUCGCAACUCAUUCUGGCACACUUGUGACAAGCAACAGAAAUUCUUCGAGCUCGUCGUUUUCUUGCGUAAUUUCCUUUACCACAACCAGGCAUGUAUGCAAUAAAUUUAGGAGGUAACUCACCUGCCAAUCGUACUUUAGCCUCGAUUAACCAACGGAUGUCUGCAGGUAUGUUAUUCCUCAUGAGCAAUCGCAUGCGUUCAGACCGGGCUUUAUAGAUUGUAAGGAGGGCAUUCUGAGGAAGUGAAGGGAAUCGCUUGUGAAGCUUUGCUAGAAUCUCGUUUCUAUCCAUACCUUCGCCUCAGAAUAUCAGUUAUUAUGGGAAACUGAAGUAACCGACUUGAUUGUCACGGAGUACCGUUAUCCGCCACUUCACCGGGGUAACAAACUAAAGCACACAAAUAGAAAAACAAAUCAAAACACACAAAGAAAAUUAAAAUCGUCCUCUUAUUGAAUUUACCUCAAGCUCCAACUGGAUGUCGUAAACACUUCUCUCAAUGUCUCUGAGUUGGCGUUCUAAACCCUCAACAUAGGCUACUAACUCUGGUGGUUGUAGAGCCCAAAUGCGUUGUGUUUUACAAAAUNNNNNNNNNNNNNNNNNNNNNNNNNNNNNNNNNNNNNNNNNNNNNNNNNNNNNNNNNNNNNNNNNNNNNNNNNNNNNNNNNNNNNNNNNNNNNNNNNNNNNNNNNNNNNNNNNNNNNNNNNNNNNNNNNNNNNNNNNNNNNNNNNNNNNNNNNNNNNNNNNNNNNNNNNNNNNNNNNNNNNNNNNNNNNNNNNNNNNNNNNNNNNNNNNNNNNNNNNNNNNNNNNNNNNNNNNNNNNNNNNNNNNNNNNNNNNNNNNNNNNNNNNNNNNNNNNNNNNNNNNNNNNNNNNNNNNNNNNNNNNNNNNNNNNNNNNNNNNNNNNNNNNNNNNNNNNNNNNNNNNNNNNNNNNNNNNNNNNNNNNNNNNNNNNNNNNNNNNNNNNNNNNNNNNNNNNNNNNNNNNNNNNNNNNNNNNNNNNNNNNNNNNNNNNNNNNNNNNNNNNNNNNNNNNNNNNNNNNNNNNNNNNNNNNNNNNNNNNNNNNNNNNNNNNNNNNNNNNNNNNNNNNNNNNNNNNNNNNNNNNNNNNNNNNNNNNNNNNNNNNNNNNNNNNNNNNNNNNNNNNNNNNNNNNNNNNNNNNNNNNNNNNNNNNNNNNNNNNNNNNNNNNNNNNNNNNNNNNNNNNNNNNNNNNNNNNNNNNNNNNNNNNNNNNNNNNNNNNNNNNNNNNNNNNNNNNNNNNNNNNNNNNNNNNNNNNNNNNNNNNNNNNNNNNNNNNNNNNNNNNNNNNNNNNNNNNNNNNNNNNNNNNNNNNNNNNNNNNNNNNNNNNNNNNNNNNNNNNNNNNNNNNNNNNNNNNNNNNNNNNNNNNNNNNNNNNNNNNNNNNNNNNNNNNNNNNNNNNNNNNNNNNNNNNNNNNNNNNNNNNNNNNNNNNNNNNNNNNNNNNNNNNNNNNNNNNNNNNNNNNNNNNNNNNNNNNNNNNNNNNNNNNNNNNNNNNNNNNNNNNNNNNNNNNNNNNNNNNNNNNNNNNNNNNNNNNNNNNNNNNNNNNNNNNNNNNNNNNNNNNNNNNNNNNNNNNNNNNNNNNNNNNNNNNNNNNNNNNNNNNNNNNNNNNNNNNNNNNNNNNNNNNNNNNNNNNNNNNNNNNNNNNNNNNNNNNNNNNNNNNNNNNNNNNNNNNNNNNNNNNNNNNNNNNNNNNNNNNNNNNNNNNNNNNNNNNNNNNNNNNNNNNNNNNNNNNNNNNNNNNNNNNNNNNNNNNNNNNNNNNNNNNNNNNNNNNNNNNNNNNNNNNNNNNNNNNNNNNNNNNNNNNNNNNNNNNNNNNNNNNNNNNNNNNNNNNNNNNNNNNNNNNNNNNNNNNNNNNNNNNNNNNNNNNNNNNNNNNNNNNNNNNNNNNNNNNNNNNNNNNNNNNNNNNNNNNNNNNNNNNNNNNNNNNNNNNNNNNNNNNNNNNNNNNNNNNNNNNNNNNNNNNNNNNNNNNNNNNNNNNNNNNNNNNNNNNNNNNNNNNNNNNNNNNNNNNNNNNNNNNNNNNNNNNNNNNNNNNNNNNNNNNNNNNNNNNNNNNNNNNNNNNNNNNNNNNNNNNNNNNNNNNNNNNNNNNNNNNNNNNNNNNNNNNNNNNNNNNNNNNNNNNNNNNNNNNNNNNNNNNNNNNNNNNNNNNNNNNNNNNNNNNNNNNNNNNNNNNNNNNNNNNNNNNNNNNNNNNNNNNNNNNNNNNNNNNNNNNNNNNNNNNNNNNNNNNNNNNNNNNNNNNNNNNNNNNNNNNNNNNNNNNNNNNNNNNNNNNNNNNNNNNNNNNNNNNNNNNNNNNNNNNNNNNNNNNNNNNNNNNNNNNNNNNNNNNNNNNNNNNNNNNNNNNNNNNNNNNNNNNNNNNNNNNNNNNNNNNNNNNNNNNNNNNNNNNNNNNNNNNNNNNNNNNNNNNNNNNNNNNNNNNNNNNNNNNNNNNNNNNNNNNNNNNNNNNNNNNNNNNNNNNNNNNNNNNNNNNNNNNNNNNNNNNNNNNNNNNNNNNNNNNNNNNNNNNNNNNNNNNNNNNNNNNNNNNNNNNNNNNNNNNNNNNNNNNNNNNNNNNNNNNNNNNNNNNNNNNNNNNNNNNNNNNNNNNNNNNNNNNNNNNNNNNNNNNNNNNNNNNNNNNNNNNNNNNNNNNNNNNNNNNNNNNNNNNNNNNNNNNNNNNNNNNNNNNNNNNNNNNNNNNNNNNNNNNNNNNNNNNNNNNNNNNNNNNNNNNNNNNNNNNNNNNNNNNNNNNNNNNNNNNNNNNNNNNNNNNNNNNNNNNNNNNNNNNNNNNNNNNNNNNNNNNNNNNNNNNNNNNNNNNNNNNNNNNNNNNNNNNNNNNNNNNNNNNNNNNNNNNNNNNNNNNNNNNNNNNNNNNNNNNNNNNNNNNNNNNNNNNNNNNNNNNNNNNNNNNNNNNNNNNNNNNNNNNNNNNNNNNNNNNNNNNNNNNNNNNNNNNNNNNNNNNNNNNNNNNNNNNNNNNNNNNNNNNNNNNNNNNNNNNNNNNNNNNNNNNNNNNNNNNNNNNNNNNNNNNNNNNNNNNNNNNNNNNNNNNNNNNNNNNNNNNNNNNNNNNNNNNNNNNNNNNNNNNNNNNNNNNNNNNNNNNNNNNNNNNNNNNNNNNNNNNNNNNNNNNNNNNNNNNNNNNNNNNNNNNNNNNNNNNNNNNNNNNNNNNNNNNNNNNNNNNNNNNNNNNNNNNNNNNNNNNNNNNNNNNNNNNNNNNNNNNNNNNNNNNNNNNNNNNNNNNNNNNNNNNNNNNNNNNNNNNNNNNNNNNNNNNNNNNNNNNNNNNNNNNNNNNNNNNNNNNNNNNNNNNNNNNNNNNNNNNNNNNNNNNNNNNNNNNNNNNNNNNNNNNNNNNNNNNNNNNNNNNNNNNNNNNNNNNNNNNNNNNNNNNNNNNNNNNNNNNNNNNNNNNNNNNNNNNNNNNNNNNNNNNNNNNNNNNNNNNNNNNNNNNNNNNNNNNNNNNNNNNNNNNNNNNNNNNNNNNNNNNNNNNNNNNNNNNNNNNNNNNNNNNNNNNNNNNNNNNNNNNNNNNNNNNNNNNNNNNNNNNNNNNNNNNNNNNNNNNNNNNNNNNNNNNNNNNNNNNNNNNNNNNNNNNNNNNNNNNNNNNNNNNNNNNNNNNNNNNNNNNNNNNNNNNNNNNNNNNNNNNNNNNNNNNNNNNNNNNNNNNNNNNNNNNNNNNNNNNNNNNNNNNNNNNNNNNNNNNNNNNNNNNNNNNNNNNNNNNNNNNNNNNNNNNNNNNNNNNNNNNNNNNNNNNNNNNNNNNNNNNNNNNNNNNNNNNNNNNNNNNNNNNNNNNNNNNNNNNNNNNNNNNNNNNNNNNNNNNNNNNNNNNNNNNNNNNNNNNNNNNNNNNNNNNNNNNNNNNNNNNNNNNNNNNNNNNNNNNNNNNNNNNNNNNNNNNNNNNNNNNNNNNNNNNNNNNNNNNNNNNNNNNNNNNNNNNNNNNNNNNNNNNNNNNNNNNNNNNNNNNNNNNNNNNNNNNNNNNNNNNNNNNNNNNNNNNNNNNNNNNNNNNNNNNNNNNNNNNNNNNNNNNNNNNNNNNNNNNNNNNNNNNNNNNNNNNNNNNNNNNNNNNNNNNNNNNNNNNNNNNNNNNNNNNNNNNNNNNNNNNNNNNNNNNNNNNNNNNNNNNNNNNNNNNNNNNNNNNNNNNNNNNNNNNNNNNNNNNNNNNNNNNNNNNNNNNNNNNNNNNNNNNNNNNNNNNNNNNNNNNNNNNNNNNNNNNNNNNNNNNNNNNNNNNNNNNNNNNNNNNNNNNNNNNNNNNNNNNNNNNNNNNNNNNNNNNNNNNNNNNNNNNNNNNNNNNNNNNNNNNNNNNNNNNNNNNNNNNNNNNNNNNNNNNNNNNNNNNNNNNNNNNNNNNNNNNNNNNNNNNNNNNNNNNNNNNNNNNNNNNNNNNNNNNNNNNNNNNNNNNNNNNNNNNNNNNNNNNNNNNNNNNNNNNNNNNNNNNNNNNNNNNNNNNNNNNNNNNNNNNNNNNNNNNNNNNNNNNNNNNNNNNNNNNNNNNNNNNNNNNNNNNNNNNNNNNNNNNNNNNNNNNNNNNNNNNNNNNNNNNNNNNNNNNNNNNNNNNNNNNNNNNNNNNNNNNNNNNNNNNNNNNNNNNNNNNNNNNNNNNNNNNNNNNNNNNNNNNNNNNNNNNNNNNNNNNNNNNNNNNNNNNNNNNNNNNNNNNNNNNNNNNNNNNNNNNNNNNNNNNNNNNNNNNNNNNNNNNNNNNNNNNNNNNNNNNNNNNNNNNNNNNNNNNNNNNNNNNNNNNNNNNNNNNNNNNNNNNNNNNNNNNNNNNNNNNNNNNNNNNNNNNNNNNNNNNNNNNNNNNNNNNNNNNNNNNNNNNNNNNNNNNNNNNNNNNNNNNNNNNNNNNNNNNNNNNNNNNNNNNNNNNNNNNNNNNNNNNNNNNNNNNNNNNNNNNNNNNNNNNNNNNNNNNNNNNNNNNNNNNNNNNNNNNNNNNNNNNNNNNNNNNNNNNNNNNNNNNNNNNNNNNNNNNNNNNNNNNNNNNNNNNNNNNNNNNNNNNNNNNNNNNNNNNNNNNNNNNNNNNNNNNNNNNNNNNNNNNNNNNNNNNNNNNNNNNNNNNNNNNNNNNNNNNNNNNNNNNNNNNNNNNNNNNNNNNNNNNNNNNNNNNNNNNNNNNNNNNNNNNNNNNNNNNNNNNNNNNNNNNNNNNNNNNNNNNNNNNNNNNNNNNNNNNNNNNNNNNNNNNNNNNNNNNNNNNNNNNNNNNNNNNNNNNNNNNNNNNNNNNNNNNNNNNNNNNNNNNNNNNNNNNNNNNNNNNNNNNNNNNNNNNNNNNNNNNNNNNNNNNNNNNNNNNNNNNNNNNNNNNNNNNNNNNNNNNNNNNNNNNNNNNNNNNNNNNNNNNNNNNNNNNNNNNNNNNNNNNNNNNNNNNNNNNNNNNNNNNNNNNNNNNNNNNNNNNNNNNNNNNNNNNNNNNNNNNNNNNNNNNNNNNNNNNNNNNNNNNNNNNNNNNNNNNNNNNNNNNNNNNNNNNNNNNNNNNNNNNNNNNNNNNNNNNNNNNNNNNNNNNNNNNNNNNNNNNNNNNNNNNNNNNNNNNNNNNNNNNNNNNNNNNNNNNNNNNNNNNNNNNNNNNNNNNNNNNNNNNNNNNNNNNNNNNNNNNNNNNNNNNNNNNNNNNNNNNNNNNNNNNNNNNNNNNNNNNNNNNNNNNNNNNNNNNNNNNNNNNNNNNNNNNNNNNNNNNNNNNNNNNNNNNNNNNNNNNNNNNNNNNNNNNNNNNNNNNNNNNNNNNNNNNNNNNNNNNNNNNNNNNNNNNNNNNNNNNNNNNNNNNNNNNNNNNNNNNNNNNNNNNNNNNNNNNNNNNNNNNNNNNNNNNNNNNNNNNNNNNNNNNNNNNNNNNNNNNNNNNNNNNNNNNNNNNNNNNNNNNNNNNNNNNNNNNNNNNNNNNNNNNNNNNNNNNNNNNAUGAACUAUCAGAAAUUGGGUAAAUGAUACCUGCGUCUAAUAGCUUAAGGACUUCUGUUCUAACAACUUCUUUCAUAUUAGGAUUUAACCGACGUUGCAUUUCCCUAGUAGAUUUAGCAUUUUCAUCAAGGUGAAUGUAAUGCAUGCAGUCUACUGGAUUUAUACCUUUGAUGUCUGCUAUGGUCCAUCCUAAUGCCCCUUUGUGCUCUUUUAAAACAUCCAACAACUUACCUUUUUGUUCGUCAUUUAGGGAUGAUGAGAUGAUUACCGGCAGAGUACUUUCUUCUCCCAAAAAUGCAUAUUCCAGAGUGUUGGGUAAUGGUUUGAGCUCGAGUUUCGGUGGUGAUUCUGAUGAUGGAAUGAGUUUCUUCUCUGAUGGUGCUAGUUGUUCAACUCUUGACUUCCAUUUAUUAGUGUCCAUGGAUGGUGCUGAGUCAAGUAGGGCGUUGACCUCUUCGACCGAUCUGUCAAUAUCAAAAUCCAAACCAAAGUGAGUUAAACAUGUUUGUAAAGGAUCAUCACUAAGGUUUGAAAGAAAAGUAUUAUCAACUAUUGUUUCUAUUAAAUCCACAUCAACAAUUCCAUCAUCUGCACUGUGAGGUUGUUUGGCAAUGUUGAAGAUGUUUAGCUCCAUAGUCAUGUUGCCGAAGGACAAUUGCAUAUUUCCGGUCCUACAUUGAAUAUGAGCAUCUGCAGUUGCCAAGAAAGGUCGGCCUAGAAUAAUGGGGAUGUGCUUCCUUGAGUCCUGUAUUGGUUGAGUGUCAAUUACAAUGAAAUCAACAGGAAAAUAAAACUUGUCUACCUGGAUAAGCACGUCCUCCACAAAACCACGAGGUAUUUUUGUGGACCGAUCUGCAAGUUGUAACACCACUGGAGUUGGGUGUAAUUCUCCCAGUCCAAGUUUCACGAAUACAGAGUAAGGCAACAAAUUUACACUAGCUCCUAAAUCCAACAAAGCAUUCUCAAUUGUGUGGUUCCCUAUACUACAUGAGAUAGUGGGGGAGCCUGGGUCUUUGCAUUUUAAAGGAAUUUUAUGUUGGAGUAUAGAACUAACGUUUUCUGUUAAAAAUGCCUUCUUUUGAACAUGCAUAUUUCUCUUUUUAGUACAAAGGUCUUUAAGAAACUUGGCAUAAGAUGGAACUUGCUUUAUAGCAUCAAGUAAAGGGAUGUUAACACUUACCUGUUUGAAGAUUUCGAGAAUCUCACCUGUGGAUUUUCCUUUCUUGCCUUUCGCUAACCUCUGAGGAAAUGGAGCUUUCGGAACGUAUUCUCGUGGGUUGGUUUCUUCUUUCUCCUCCGGUGGUGAGUCUUCAACAUUCACAGGUACAAUUUGAUUUUCUUUUGUCACCGGCAUCUCCACUUUGUUGUCGACUUCCUUUCCUUUUCGCAAGGUCAUGACUGCUUUGACCUCUCCAUGCUGUUGUGGUGAACUGGUACUUGCUUCAUGUACUCCUUUAGGAUUAGGCACUGGUUGACUUGGAAAUUUUCCUUUCUCAACAGUCAUUGCCAAGGUCUGAACUGAAGAAGCAAGUUGUCCCACCAUCUUCUCGAGGCUUGAAACUGAUUGAGCUUGUGAGUUGAAGCCUGCUCUCAACUCAUUUCGUAGUCCAUCAAUGGUGCGGUUCUGUUGCUCAAUCGUAGAGUGAGUAGCAUUCUUGAAAUUCUGGAAUGAAUCCUCCCAUGGUCUGGGUUGAGAGUAGUUUUGGUUCUGAUUGAAUGGUCUAAAUGGGGGCUGAGAGGCUUGAGGAUUUUGAGGAAUUUGUUGCAUUGGUGGAGCUGCUGGUCCAUUCUGUUGGAAUCCUUGAGACCAUGAAAAAUUGGGGUGGUCUCUCCAUCCAGGAUUAUAUGUGUUGGAGUAUGGGUUGUAAUUCGAUGGUUUUCUCAUUACACCUAUGGCAUUGGCUUGAUCUGAGUAUGAGUCAUGGUCAUGUGAUUCUGUUGAUUUAGCAGUCGAUAACGAUGCUAUUUGUCGAGCAAGACCUUCAACCAUCUCCUUGACUUCUUUGAUUUCCGAAGUUGACUCGCCAAUUUGAACCUCAUUUACUCCCUUAAUUCUUCUAGUAUUCCUGAGUGAUCGACUCCGUUGUUGGGAAUUAUCCGCUUGUCGCUGGAAGAAUUCCCAAAUCUCUGAUGCACUUUUUGACAUUAGCUCUCCUCCACUUGUUGCCAUUAGCCAUUCUUGCACAUUUGGUAGUAAUCCCUCCAAAAAGUAUUGACAUUGGUGCCAUUUUUCGUACCCAUGAUGUGGACACUUCAAGAGUAGCCCAUUGAAUCGCUCCCAUGUUUCGAAAAACUGCUCGUCCUCUCUCUGUGUAAACUCUGAAAUUUCCCUGCGAAUAGCAUUGGUUUUAUGCACUGGGAAAUAUUUAUUCAAAAAUUUUGUAACCAUUUGUUCCCAUGAUGCAAUGCUAUUAGCAGGCAAUGUAUUAAGCCAUGAACGAGCUCUAUCCUUUAAAGAAAAUGGGAAUAAUCUGAGUUUAACAUCAUCGUCUGAAAAAUUCUCAUAUUUGAAUGUUUGACAAAUGGCAUGAAAAUCAUUCAAAUGAUUAUAUGGGUCCUCAUUUUCUAAGCCAUAGAAUGUGGGGAGACAAUUUAGCACACUAGGUUUUAAUUCAAAACUCCUAGCAGCUACAUUUGGGUAUCUUAUGCAUGACGUGCUCAAAUUAGCUAAGGGACUAAAAUAGUCCUUAAAUGGCCUCUCCUGUGGUGCUUGUAAAUCUAUUUUAUUUUUAACGUGUUUGUGUGUGCGAAGUGUUUUUUCUAAUUCAAGGUCUAUAGGUUCAAGAUUUGGUAAUAAUGACCUACGACCAUGCAUGCAAAAUAAAUAAAAUAAAAAUAAAGAUGGGAACAAAAACAAAUAAAAAUAAAGAAGAGGGAGAAAUUACGAUACUAACCUUAUUGCGCUAUUACAACCUUUCUAUAAAAAUACACAAAAACAAAUACGUGAAAUAAAUUAACUAAAAAUUAAAUUAAUAAAAUAAACAAAAAUUACAAAGAAAAAAAAUUAAAAAUUAAAUUACAGAAUUUUAAAGAAGAGAAAAAGAAAAGAAAUAAUAACCUUUAAAUGUAGAUUUACUUUUUUUUUUAAUAAAAAAUACAAGAAAACAAAUAAAAGAAAUUAUUCACAAAAAUUAAUUCUAUGAAUUAAAAUUACUUACCUCCCCAGCAACGGCGCCAAAAACUUGUUGUGCAAAUUUUAAUGUACUCGCAAGCGCACGAAUCUAUUAUAGUAUAGAUCAAUGGUGACGAGUGUCGAUCCCACGAGGAGGUGGAUUUUAAUUGUGUAUAGAAUUAAUUUUGCAAAUGGUUGAUUGGAUCUGUGGUGGAAAUGAUUUGGAAUAUGCUAAAACUUAAAUUAAAAUGGCGAGAAUAAAUUCUGAAAUUGGAAUUGAAAUGACGAGAAUAAAUUGAAGAGAAUUCUAUUGAAAUGACGUACUUGGGUAUCUGGAUCCGUAUCAACAUGCAUCAUGGGCUAAAUAAUCCGUAUUAAUGCCAAUUAAAUCAUGAGGGGGGAAUCCACACCUCAUGAACCACGCUCUAAUCAAUAUGGUGCUAAGGGCUUAUCGUGCCAAAUAAUAAUAACCUUGUACUAGAGAGCCGGUGUAACCAAGGCGGUAUCUAGACAAGAUCAGUAUUAUUUGUCGACGAUAAGUCAAAUCAUCCACAAAAACUAGAGGGGAAAAGAAAAUAAAUUUACCAAAUAAAGCUCAUGACACAUGUUGAGACUUCACCUUCAACCCAAGCUUGAAAGAAAAUUAGCCACUCAUAAUUGAACUAAGGGCAAAAUGGGAAUUUAUUAAAAUACAAAGAAAAUACAAGAUGGAGAAGGAAUUACAGAAAAUGGAUCCCAAAAAUGGAUUCAAAGAUAUCAAAUUAGGGGGGGAGGCCCCCUUUUUAUAGAUACAUGGAGUAAAUCAUGGCCAUCGGAUUAAAAACAGUUUGGACGCUCAGGAUUGCGCCACGUCAUCAGUCAACAGUCCACGGUUUGACCACGCGGAUGAACAGUAACACGGUUUGACCCGGAUGAACAGUAACACGGUUUGGUUGACAAUAAUCCUGUGUGAUGCAUGCACCGUACGCGAGAUUUUUCGUCCACUGAUAUGCUGCCACGUCACCAUCAACAGUACAUAAGAUUUUAGUCCAACAGGAUCGUGACACCUCAUCAGUCAAUGCCACAUCAUCGGUCAAUGCCACAUCAUCGGUCAAUGCCACGUCAUCGAUCAAUGCCACGUCAUCGAUCCGUCUAUGUGAACAGUGUCGUGAACAGUAACGUAGACAGUACCGUAUACGUGAAUAGUACCGUACAUGUGAAUAGUGCCAUUUUUCCUUUUAUGCUCCUCCUAAGGUUUUCGACCGUCCUGAGUUCAAAAGUGAUGUCCGUUUUGCCAUCUGAUCUCUCCUUUAUUGUGAAAUGACUAUAAUGCCCCUAAAAUACAUAAAAUACUUAAUUAAAAUAACACACACGUAAUUACAUCACAAGAAGGUUAAAUACAUAAAAGUAAGGGUUGUUAGUAAGACUUGAAAUGUAAAAUGACGGUUUUCUCCUUUAUAAAUAUGCAUUUUCUAACACUCAACNNNNNNNNNNNNNNNNNNNNNNNNNNNNNNNNNNNNNNNNNNNNNNNNNNNNNNNNNNNNNNNNNNNNNNNNNNNNNNNNNNNNNNNNNNNNNNNNNNNNCACUGGAGUUUGCGGAAGCUGGACUUGCGGAGAGUGUGCGAUUGUUCCAUGCCCAAUCCGAGCGGACUUCAUCCACUUCCGCACGGACAACGUGUAGUUCGUCCUGAACAAAACUACGAAGUUUUAGCAACUCAUCAUGGAAAGAUCAAAACUCACCUCAGAGAGUGUUCGCUUACUCAUGGAUGAGAGCUUUUGUGGCCACCGUGAACUCGGCGUAUUCUCCCUUGAGACCGUCCACUCUUCCUUCCAAUCCCUCGAGGCUUUCUUGAGCGGCGGACAAUGCGAUUUCGAGAGUGCCUACACGAGGCUCCAACGCAUCCACGGAUGGGGCCUUGGACUUGCCGCGAAUCUUGCCUUGGGCGCGUUCUCCCUCUCGGCCGCGGCUUGGUUCCGGUGGAACAUCCACACCAACAACACCCUCUUAUGCUACGUUCGAAGGGUUGGCCAUUGCUUCGUGAGCUAACUUGUGUGCGUGCAAACCUUAGCUCUGAUACCACUUGUCACGGGAUGAGUGUUUUGCGCAGCUAACCCGUGCGGCACUUAGACAACUUUGCCGAUUGUUGCUAAGUAAGCCUAGAGCUUCUCGAACAAGAGAAGAGAGCAAUUGAGCCAAAGAAGAAACUUGUAUUGCACAAAGAGAGAUUACAAUGCUUGUUGCUUACAAAGCUUGUUAGAUACAAAUGCCUAAUGCCAUCCCAUAUUUAUAAGGGAGACUUGCCAAGCUCUAGAGAUUCUAGAGAAUUCUACCCACUAUCUAGAAUUUACAUGUGCUGGAAAGUCAUAGAGAAUUCUAGAGUAUUUACAAGCUCACAUGUGCUAGAGUUUCCUAGAACUUUCCGGAAUUGGGUCAAGCUAGCACUCUUGGCCUUGUGUUGGCUCUCUAGCCCGAAAUUGUGGGCAAUUGGGCUAGUGAAUUGGGCGGUCCGCAACAUUUAGGUGGGAUAUGGGAGAAUUGUCAAGAGUUCACACCAAGAGAAAUUAAUGAUAGGCCUAAUUUCGUUGUCAAUUCUUUAUUUAUUUAUUUUAUUUUUUUAUACAUUAUUGUCUUGUUGGCAUUGUUUUGUAAAGAUAUAAAAGUACAAGUAAAAUAUUAGGGGAAGUAAAGUAAAAUAUUGGAGGUGUUGCUAAGUUACAGCUGCCGUAACUUACAGUUCCUUAAAAAAUAAUGUAAAAAAUUUAACACGUGGUGGGACCCACAUUAUGUUUGAAGAGGCCGUAAGUUAUAGCAGUUGUAAAUUAGUAAAAUCCAAAUAUUAGACAAUAAUACACAUUAACAAUGCAUAUAAUUUGAGUUUGAUUUUUAAAAAAAUUAUGUGAGUAUUACCUAUCCUUAAGACAUUAAUGAGAAUAUAUUUUAAUUUUAAAUAAUCAAAAUCUGUUUAAUCAUAAUAUGUAAUUCAUACAUUGCAUGUUAGAUUUGUUUGGAUUUUAAGUUGUUGCUAAUAAAUAUUUAUGUUGUGAAAGUCGAAUUCAAUAGCUACAAAAGCAGAGAUAAUGGUAUUUUAUGUAGUUUUUAAGAAUACAAGGAUAAGACCAUAACGCAUGAGAUAGUGUUAUUUUAUAUUAAAAGACCAUAACACAUGUAUUUGAGCCAUUUAUAUUGAGGACACAUAUAGAGCGAAAAGUGCAGAUCCGGCCGUAACUAUUGUGAAGCUUUCCUCAAGUAUUCUCAUGCACGCAGACCUUAGCUGGUCAAGUUUUCUGAUUUAAUAUAAUCAAUUUCCGCGCAGUACUAACGACAGCUUCUUUGUAAAGCUCUUCAACCACAAGCAUUUCUACAAGGCAAAAGACUAGGACGUGUCGGAAUGAAUAUCAAUAAGGGAAUGUCUUAUGAAUUUAGUUUAUAUCCUAAUAUAAGACAAUCAAUAAAUAUUAGAUGCAAUCUAAGGGCUAACAUUUGAUUGAUCAUUAUACGAAAAAAAGGUACAAAAAUACAAAACAGAGCUGAUUGAUGGCCUCUCACAGUCAGUUAUAUGACAAAGUAGCCACCACAACAAACUUGAACUUGGCUGGAGGUCUCAUUAGCAGUAUACCUCCGAACUUAAGACAAAGACUUUAAAAUGCAAACUUAUGGAGCAAUUUAAGCACUGAAACUAAUAACAGUACGGUAUUAGCAAUUGACCUCUGCUUUUGCUUAGACAAAGGUUCUCAUCACAAUGGAUUCAUUAGUUGCCCUUGCCUCACACGUUUGGAUGCUAAGGGGAAAAAGGAAGUUUGAAUUAGUCAAUCUCAUUUCUAAUGGCAUUCACAGAGAACCUAUAAAGCAAAAAAAUAAAUAAAAAUUUUCAUGUUGCAAGUGAGCUCGUUUUCAAUCGAUUUUUAUUGAUCAUAAGAGAUCAUGUGGCCCACCUUAUUUUUAUUUUGGAUCCAUAACCCAAAGCUGGCCCAAGUUCUGAUUCCAGAAUCAUUUGUCUACAAAGUGACCUCAUUCCGGCAAUUGGUUUAUGCUAAUAGCACGUGCAAUUUUCAUUUUCUUCUUUUUAUUAAUUAAUUUCAUCAUUAUUAUUUGCUUAUUAGUUUAAAUUAAUUAAUUAUAUUGUAUUAAUGAAAUUAGUCUUUCAUUUUCUUUUCUCUUUCAAUGCACAAAGCCAAACAACCAUUCUUUCUUCAAAUACCGAAGAGCUCCUGACUACGGCUGUCAAUGCUUCUAUAUUUAUGUGCUGUGCUGCAGCACUCUUAGCGAAAGCUUGAAUGAAUGAUUAAAGACAAAAGCUUAUAUAAAAGCAGAUGCCGGAGGCACUCAAAAAGCAUUUGAGAGAGAAGCUAAACAGCAAAUCAUCAAACGCACUUCAAUGACUUUGAUUUUGAUUUUUGUUUCAAAAGAAGUAGAAAAGUCCAUGGGUCACGAUAACUGCUUGUCCUCUGCCGUGACCUCAUUGUCCGCUGCUAGUGUCAAAUAGAUUAAUCUUUCUAGUAGAUUAAUAUAAUUUAUAAUUUUAAUUUCAGUAUUAAUUUUUAAAAUGUUAGUUGUUAUAUUUAUUUUAAUGAUAUAUCUAUUUUUAGUAUAAAAAUUUAAAUAAAUAUUUAGAUUAAAUAGAAUUUAUAAUUGAUAUAAUAUAUCUCAUGUAUUAAUGAUAUUUAAAUUAUUUUAAAUAAUAUUAAUCCUAACUUAAAAUUUUAUAUAUUUAUUUUAAUGUUAUGUUUCUAUAUAUUAUAAAAUUUAGUUUAAUAUAAUAUAAGAUUGUAAAGUAUUCAAAUAUUUUUUAAAUAUUAAAAUUAUUAUAAAAUGUAUAUACUGUUACAUUUUUAACAUUGAAGUCAAUCUUUUUUAAGUUAAUAGAGUGAAAAGAUAUAAUAAUAAAAGGCUAUGUAAUCUUUCACUUGCACAUAUUCUGUACUCUCUGGAGCACGACGGUAGGAAACAUGAUUACAGAUGUUAAAUUCGCCUUUUUUCACAAGUUUAUCAGCUUCGUUUGCGGCCUCUGCUGCUUGUUUACCAAGCUUGUAACGAGAAAUCAAAUUUGGGCACAACCCUUUGAAGCAGAAUAUCUUAGCUCUAUCUUUAUCAUCAAUGAUGGAUUUUGCAACCCCUUCACUGAAUUCAGCAACUCUAUUUAGCCAGUCUCUGACACCCUUAUAAAUCUCAUCUCCUUGUAGAGUAGCCUCUCUAACCAGUGUUUGCACCCUUUCUCUUAUAUAUUCCAGCUCCUUCACUCAAUCUUUUAGCCCAUUUAUGUAGCUCUGGUACUCGAACACAUAAGAUAUGUGCCGCAUAAUCAGUUCGAAUAAUGCUUUUGAACAUUGUGAUACAAUGCUGGAAAAAGCAGGGAGACACCCUUCUGCAGCCAUUGCUUGUUGCUUAACAAUAUAUAUAUAUAUAUAUAUAUACAAGUGUCAAAGAAAGGAAUACAAAUAAAUUAAUAUGAACUAGAGAGAAAGAUAGAGAAUGAAAAGACCGCCAACAAUAUCGCUAUAUUGAUCUUGAACCAACUAAUAAUUAAAUAGAGAAUUUCUUUUUCUUUCUUAAGGAUCAGAGGUUUUGCUAUUAGCAAAAAGGUACUUCAAGGGUCUGAAUAAAAAACCAACCAUAAAUUAUCAAAAGCUAGUAAGAACACAGACGUAAACAAUGAACAAUUACUUAAGCCAAACAGACCAUGAUACAAAGCAAAUCUAAUAAAAUGACAAAGAAAGAAAGAAAGAAAAUACAACAAACAGUAUUGAAGUGUUGAUCAUGAGCCAACUGAUAUUUAAACAGAUUUUUUUUUUAAUUUUUAGUCUUUUCUAAAAGGAUUAGAGUUCUUGCUAUUAAUAGAAAGGUUUCAAAGAUCUGACACUAUUAGAAAAGUAUUAAAUAAUGACAAAAAUUUUAUGACAUAUAUGGUUGUAUCUCGAAUGUGUCAUAAAAUUAUGAUAGAUUCAUAAUAUGUAUUCAUAUGCCCAGAAUAUAUGAUAUAUUCAUGACUUAUAACUUAACCGUAGUAAAUAAAUGAUACAUAUAAGUCAUGAUUAAGUUUUGUGACCUUAUAAGAUUGUAAAACAGUGUCGUUUAAAUUAACGACACCGUUCUGUAUAACUUAAAACACAUCAACACUUCAGCCAAAUUUUGGCGGGUAAAAACCCAUUUAGUCCCUAUAUUUUAAGAUUAGUAUACAUUUAGUCCCUAUAUUUUUAAAAAUGCCUCGAAACGUUCCUGCCGUUAAAGUAUUGAUACCCCUACUGUUACUUUUUAUUUCUUUUGGCUUACUUUUACAAUAUUAUAAAAGUGUAAUAUUGUAAAAGUAAGCCAAAAGAAAUAAAAAGUAACAGUAGGGGUAUCAAUACUUUAACGACAGGGACGUUUCGAGGUAUUUUUAAAAAUAUAGGGACUAAACAGACACUAAUAUUAAAAUAGAGGGACUAAAUGAAUUUUUACCCAAUUUUGACUAAGCGUUGAAUAAAUCCCUCUCUCUCCACUGGCGACUACAACCUAAAAUGAAUCAACUCUGAGCCUCUCUCUAUAACACUAUAUAGAACCCUAAACCUAAGAGCAUCUCCAAAAGGCUUUAUAAAUUUUACUCUUUAAAUAUUUAUUUGCUUACCUAUGUGGCUAAUAGAAGAGUGAAAAAAUAUAUUAUCUCUAAAAGACUUUUCAAAUAUAAAUGAGUUAAUAUUAUUUUAAUUAAAUAAUUAUUUUUUAAAAUGAAAAGUCAAUAAUAAUUAAAUCAUCUCUCUCUUUUUCCAACAAAAAUAAUAAAAUAUAAAUUAAAAAGAAAGAAAUCAACUCUCUAAAUUUAAAGAGAUAGAAUAAUUUUUUAUUUAAAAAAUUUUAAUUAAAAUAUUUUAUAAAACUUUAAAUGUUGACUUAACUUUUCAGACAGCUAAUAAAAUAAGAAAUAAAAUCUUAUUUGAAAAGUGUUUUCCUUAUAUUUUAAGUCUCACAUUCGCAACCGACGAAGCUGAAAAAGUUCCCCACAUAUCAAAACCACAGCGAACUGCCUCCGACCCUACGGACCCAAAAAAAUUUAUUGUAUUCCUGCUCUUUCACAUCAAUAAUUUUUUGUAUUAUUCCAUAACCCAAAAGCUUUCCUCUGUUUCAACUAAGCGAAAAUUUACAUAUUAAAGCCUAGCUCAAAUUCCUUUUUUCAAUCGAAAUAAAACGUAGCCCCAAAACCCUAAUUCACCACACCAAUUUAUCUCUGCCCGGUAUUCAUUUAAACCCUACCUCGCGGUUCAAUGUCAUUCAAUACGAUUGCAGAUGCCGUUUCAACUUGUCAUUUAGUUAUUGCCAUCCAGUUCUCUAUGGUAAGCCUUAACCCUAACAACUAAUCGACUGUGGUAGCACGUUGCUUGUUAGGAGUGGGGAUACAUUAUUUAACUAUAUGAAUUGGGUGAUGUUAGUGAUUCAUUCCCCUAUUUGUCAUGAAUUAAGAUUUGUGUAUAAUGCUAGUCAGAUUGCUAAAAAUUUCAUAUUUUGUAUUGUUCCAGUUGAAUUUCUUGCUUGUGGAAGAUAAAACAAAAGUUCAAUUUCAUGUUGAUUUAAUUCUUCUUUUUCUUCUUUUUUUUUUUCUUCUUUAUAGUCACGCUCUGGCUUUGGUGCUAUGCUUAGUGCAGUUUAUGGUUUCAAGAUUAAGUCACGUUUAUUUGAUGGCAUCGAUUCCAUCGUUGAGGAUUGGAUUGUUGAUCAAAUGCACAUAGUAAGCUCUUCUUAUUUUAUCUCAGUUUUAAUUUUCUUUUAUUAUCUGCCUCUACCUGAAAAUGGACGUGUUUUACUAGUAAGCAUAGACUUUGUUUAUUUAAUUGAUAUUUUAAUUUUAUGUAUAAGAAUAGAGGUUUAUUUUGGAAAAAAAAGCAAUAAAAAAACAGACUCUGUUGAAGCUAAUUAGUACUGAAUGUUUUUGGUGGUGCGACCAGAGGUGGAAACAGGGUAUGAAAAUGUGUUACUAGUGAGGUUGCUGCUUAAGAUGAGAAUGCAUUCUUUUCAAAAAUCCUUGGUAGGUGUGAUCUAAUUAUAUUUGAUGGAAUAUUAAAUGGCUAAAAAUCUGUCAUACGUUCAAACUUUGUUUGUGUUUGGAAGAAUGGUGUUGACUGUAUAUUCGUUUGGAAGAAUGGUGUUGAUUGUAUAUUCAUUUGCUUAGCCUUUUGACAGAUGGAUUUGAAACUGACGACAAAUGUGAUUCAAUUUACAAGGUUUUCGAGGGGCUCACAGUGGAAGGGAUAUUGAAGAACUGGUCUAAGAUAAAGCCUAUGAUUGUGAAAGAUUGGAGUGAGAAUAUAAAUGCUCGUUUAAAUCUCUUUGGCAAGGUCAGAGAUGAAUGGAUAGAUAAGGAUUUAUUUGACUACUUGGACUGGUGCUAAUAGGUAUUUUAGGCAAGCUUUUUGAGAUAACACUGAGCAAGUUAUACUACUAGUUUGCACAUGAUGAUCAAAACUCUCAAAAAGUAAAAUAAAAUAAAUUAUUAACUUUUACUUAUCUUUUGCAUAGCAAUCAAUGUGGUGCUUGUUCUGUGACAACUUUGAUAAUCUACUUAAUUAUUGGUUAGCAUUUGGACCAAAAAAGUUCUUAUGAUUUACAUGUUUUGUAGAAAUGCAUGAACCUUAAAUGUGCUGAUCAGGGAGUUUAAUUAUUGCACCUUGAAAUUCAUUUAUUGUUAACUAAUUGGCUUUCCUUUGCAUAAAGCCGCUUAUAAGGCUUGAGUGGACGUCUUUAUGGGCAUAUUAUUUGUAUUUCUAUAUGCAUGCCUUUAUCACUUAAUGUGCUGCUUUUAUUUCUUUAUGCAUGCCUUUAUCAUUUAAUGGCCAGCUCCCUCUCCUCUUUUGUAAUUUGAAUAGUAGUAUGGGCCUCCAUUUUACAAAUCUUUAACAUUUUUUGCUGUAAAUUAAUUUUUCUUUCAAAUAUUUUGGAGGUCAUUGGAAUUCCUGUAGGUCUAUUUACCAGAUUUUAGUAUGUUUAAGGUUUUAAUUUUGCUUAAACUUUAAUUUUUCUGAAAGAUUGUAGUAUUGAUCCUUAAAGAAAGAUCAUGCUACUUCAAAUUAUUUUGAAGUGUUGCCAGUUAUAGCCUUACAUAACAAAUUCCAUUUGUCUGGAAAUUUAUUGAUAGCUGUUACAGCAGCAUAUUUUAUGACUCUACUUCUUAGUUAUGUAAGUUCAUUAUGUUUAGGUCAGAGGCAGUCAGCUGUGGGGAAUCGAUAUAUACACAGAUGACUUUGAUCUUGUUGCUGGUAUGUGGUUCUAUGAAUAAUUGUGUUUGCCUCACUGUUUUUGUUUUAUGAGAUCUAUAAUUGAUCUUGGGAUAUUACUUUCUAGUCCUCAUGCAAGCAAGUUACUACCUUCCCACUGCAUCUCCUCCUUUAUCUGCUAUUCAAGAGUUGCGUGCCAUAAUCUGGUGUUACCUCUGCAAGAUUGUGAAUGAAUAUAAUGCCUCUAAAUUUAUUUUAUACAUAAUGCUGAUGCUGAAUAAUAUAUUGUAGCUCCUGUCAUAUUCUACUUUGACUUUUUAUAUUCUGUUUCAUAUAAAAAUCUUAUUCAACUUUAGUUGUUCAUGAGCAAAUGUCACAUGUAUAAGCCCAAAUGAUGUUUAAAGGUAGCGCGGCUACCUUUAGUUUGAGCUUACAAUGGAUGAAAAAGAAAUUGAAACUGAUAUUUUGCUGUUUUUCUGAUUUUUCAAAGUAUUUUAGAUCCUGAGUUUUGUUUGGACUUGAUGGUUAUAGAUUGUGUCUAGAUUUGUUAAGUUGUUUCCAACACCUCGUGCCAAAUGAAAGCACAAUCUUUCUGAUUCAGAUGUCUUGUUAAUUAUGCUUCAUUUUUUCGUUAAAGAUUGGAUGGUUGCAUGGAUUGAUGGAGUUGGAGUUCAACCAAUAAUUCUAAUUUUUUGGACUUAAAAUGCCUUUUUCUUCUGUAUAAAAACUUUAGUAAGUGCUAUUGAGUUGACGGAGGUUGAAUACUUACAGGUUGUUUCACACUUUUUAAUAGUUUUACAUAUAUGAAUUUCUGUUUUUUGAAUUGCAGAAAGGAGGUGGAACUAUUGAUUUGGAGCCUUAUCUUACUCACUCAUCGACAAUGGAGCCUAUCCUCGCUCCCAUGGCAGUGGAACGGACAACAACUACUAGGGCUGCAACAUCAGUUGGUUUGGGUCUGUUUUGAGUUUAUUUUCAUUUAUUUGGCUAUGUUUUGAUAGCGAAUUUUGAUAUGUCAAUAUAAUGUGUAAUUGUUUUGGGUUGAGCUGGUAAUUAUGCUGGAUUAGAUUGGUUUGGUUUUGGUGCUUCUCUGAUGGAACUCUGCUUUUUUUAGAAAUUUUGAAUGUAAUAUGAGACUACAUUUAGUUUAAUUUAACACUGCAUCUAGUCUAAUUACUAGAAGUGUGGCAUUUGGUUUGGUUUAUCCGAUAUUCUCCAGAAUUUCACUUGCAUCUGGUUUUGUUGCAUAUGUUUGCUUGCAUUUGAUGGCAGUAGCAGACUGUUUGGUUUUGUGACAUUUGAUGGCAGUUUGGUCUGUUCUUGGUGUUGAUUUAAGAUUGUUCCUGUUGUGCUGAUGUUAAUUGCAGGUGCUUGAAUCAGCUAGGGUUGCUGGUUUAUUCAGAUGGUUGACUCAGGCGUUGUUACUGGUUAAUUCAGGUGGCUGACUCAAGUUGUUCAUUUAAUGUUAGGAAGCAAACUAAGAAUUAAUGAAGUAUUCAUUUAACUAUAAUUAUUGUAGUUAUUUUAUUUCAUAACUGAAUUAUAAUCUAUGAUACUUGUGAACAAAUUAGAGAAUUUUUAUAUAUGAAUUAUAUAUGUGUGUGUAUGUACAUUUUGCUAUUUAUAUAAUAAUUUAAAGAAUAUAUUUCAAUUCCCACAAAAAAAAAUGGCUCCAAUUUCAAUAAUUCCCGCCAAAUAAUUAAAUUUUUUUAAUUUACUGCCAAAAUAUAUCUUAAAGAAAUGUUAGUUAUUCUUGCUAGAUUUAACAAAAAUAAUUUGUAGGAUUAACAUUUAAUUAAAAUAAUUAAAUAAUUUUAUUAUUCCAAUUAAAUAUGUCAUGUUUAUACGUCAUACAAUAGUCAUGAAUGGGAAGUAUUAGUUACAUAUUUUUCCUUGGGAUUUCAGGCAAAUGAAAAAAAGAUUGAGAAUGGUUUCAAGAGGACAGGUGGAUGAUAAGUAUUCAUUUUUGUAUAUUUGGUUAGGGGAUUUUUAUGGUAUUGAUCUUUUUUUUUUUUUAAAUUUUCAAUUAGUUGCAGCCUUAGAGGAAGAGCAGGCUGAUCAAAUUGAUUUGUCUUGUUUUUCGGGCAAUCUACGACACGAUGAUCGUGAUAAUGCUCGUGACUGCUGGAAACUUUGUGAUGGAAAUAACUUUAGAGUUCGUAGCAAGCAUUUUUGUUAUGACAAAACAAAGGUUCCCCCAUAUUUUGUUUGUUUGUUAUGGUAUUUAUAUAUCCUGCAUAGGCUAGGUAGACAGGUUAUGAUGUAGUUUGGUUGGCUCUUCUUGUGCUUUGUGCAAUUUGUAACUGCAGAUACCUGCGGGAAAACAUUUAAUGGACCUUGUUGCUGUUGAUUGGUUCAAAGACACAAAGAGAAUUGACCAUGUAGCUAGGCGUCAAGGCUGUGCUGCACAAGUAACUAUUCUUUUCUUUUUAUUUUUCCUUUUCCAUUGAUGCAUUAGGAGAAAAUAUUGCCUGUGAGAUACUUCAAUGUAAAUAACUUCUCAUGGUUCAUUGAAUCUAUAACACACUGACCCUCUUCUAAAAAACGUAGGUUGCUUCUGAAAAAGGGCUUUUCUCACUGAUCUUUAAUCUUCAAGUAAGUUUGUUUCAUUUCAGAAGGUAUUAAGUUUCAAACUUAUUGUAUUGGGAGGUUGUAUAGUUGUAACCUAAGCAUCUGCAGGUUCCUGGUUCGACACAUUAAAGUAUGGUAUUUUAUUUUGUCACAAGGCAAUUGGUUAUGGGAUCACUUUUGCAACGGUUUGUUGAUGGCGAUGAUGAGUUUCGCAAUAGUAGGUUGAAACUUAUUCCAUCUGUUCCUAAGGUAUCCAUCUUGGCCUUCAUGUAUUAGGACUAUAUUAACGUAUACUUACCCUUUUCUGCAUGGUACACUUCAAUUUGUCCAAAGAAGGCAUGCAUUUAGGUGUAAAUGUAUUGAUGGGUAGUACCUUCAAACUUCAUGUCCUUUUUACCCUCUUGAAUUUGUUUUGCACUUGUUCUUGAUUUUAAGCACUGAAUCAUGCAGGGGUCAUGGAUCGUGCGCCAGAGUGUUGGAAGCACCCCUUGUUCAUUAGGGAAAGCGGUUAAUUG
Molecule: long non-coding RNA, 368578 nt
Filed under: Citrus x clementina
Lineage: Eukaryota; Viridiplantae; Streptophyta; Magnoliopsida; Sapindales; Rutaceae
Source: RNAcentral